ACGGAUUAUGUAAGAUGAUUUCGUAAGACUUUUCCACUCCGGAGUCCAGACAUUUAUCAUUUUCUCGUUAAAAAAAAUUGCAUAAAAUUAAAAAUCCAUUGGCAACGGAAAGAGAGAAACAAAGUAAGAAGAAUUCAGAAGAUGGAACCCGAAGAAGAAACCCUAGCAACAAUCCCAGAUGAAGAAUUUUCUUGGGUUGCGAUAAAAAUGAAUUUUUUUUUUCAGUAUAUAAGAAAACUGUGUGAGAUACAGAAGUUGAGACAAGCUAGAGAAGCCAUGAAUGAGAUUUUUCCUUUGACUCCUGCUAUGUGGCAAGAAUUUGCGAGAGAUGAAGCCUCUAUUUCAACCGGGUAUCUGUCAUUUCCUUUUUGCAGUGGUUUUUGAUUUUGUGAACAAAUAUUUUUUUCGCUUAGAGAUAUAGAUGUUUAUGUUCGUUAUUUGCUAAUGUAAAAAGGAACAAAAACUGCUUAAAAGGUAUUAAAGAAAGAAAAAAGGAACCAAUUUGAAGAAGGGGAUACUCAUAGCGGGAGUUCUGCUUUGGGGUUUAAUUGAUGGGAAGAAGAAAUAGCUUAUAUGUUUACAGAAUUAGACAAUUGAUCACUGAGUUAGUUGAGGAAGAUAAUUAAUCACAAUGUCUGAAGCUGUUGCUUUUGGCAUCACCUAUUGUUAAGAUUUCAUACUUUUUUAUGGUUUUAUAUAGCUGUAACCUAAAGCUUAAUGUAUACGUUGAUAAUUACAUAAUUGGUUUCUUGCUGAUACUUGCCUUUAAUUUGUAAGCCUGAGGCUCUUUUGGGAAUUGAGAAGAUUUACGAAAGAGGAGUUUCUGAUUAUCUGGUUUGUUCUCUUUAUGCUUACAGAAUUUGAAUUAACGCUAUGCAUGAAUUUAUGAUUCUUUUUUUUUUGGAGAAAUAUUUUAUGAAAUUGAAGCAUUGUAGUAAAGUGUACUAGUCGUAAGCUUGAUUCACUUUGUUUUCAUUUUAUUACCAAGAGGUGCUAACAGUUCAUGAUGCAUAAAAGAGGGGGAAAAAACUCUUCUUGGUAGAUACAUAAAUUUUAAUUUCUGAAUCAUUUUCAACCAAAGAAAUAAUUUUACAGAGGCUGAAGAGCAGCAUUUUCAUUUAUAUGAAAGUUCAAUUGUUAUAUCAUCUGUUUCCGUAUCUUUUGUGGUAAAUAAAGUCCUUGAUGAUGGCAAUAAGAAGCACAGAAGAAGUUGUUAGUUUCAUAUGUGGAGAUUUUCAUCAUAGUAGUUCAUCGAAAGUGAAGGCAGCUGAAUACCCUUUUUUCUGAUGCAGUCUGUCCCUCUUUGGUGUGAUUAUUUGAAAUUUGUGCAAGAAUAUGAUCCAUCUAUACACGAAUGUUUACCCGAUGGCACUUCAAAGGCAAGGAAUCUAUUUGAGCGGCUAUUACUGCUGCUGGUCUGCAUGUUUUAGAAGGCAGUGAAAUAUGGGAAUUGUACAGAGAAUUUAAGCUAGCUAUAUUUAGUAGGAUUGAUAAGAUUAACUUGAAGGUGAGAUAUUUUAAUUUAUUUUACUUUUUUUUUGGGAUUAAAUAACGAGUUUAUUCCCAUCUAUAGAAAGAAAAAGGGAAUUUUUUUUUUGGUUGGGGGGGGGGGGGGGGGGGGGGGGGGGGGUGUUUCCAACCCUAGCACAUGACAAGCAUUCCAAGACCCUUGCUGCUUGUUUUGCAGGAAAAGGAAAACAGGUUCUGCGGAUUCGAAGUAUAUUUCAUCGCCAGUUGUCUGUUCCCCUUGCUAACUCAAGUGCAACUCUUCUUGCCUACAAGUCUUGGGAGGUCGAACAGGGGGCUGUCCUUGAUGUUGAAUCUAGUAAUCUAGAUGGGAUUUCUUCUAAUGUUGCCUCAGCAUACCAAAAGGCAUUGGAGAUGUGUAAUGCACGAGCUCAUGUUGAAGAGCAGAUUUCUAGGCAGGAUUUAUCUGACUCAGAGAAAUUUCAACAAUACAUGGUAGAUGACUUUACUAUCGUCAUUUGAUAGCUUUUUAUAGUAAGUGAAAUCUAGCACUAAAAAUUUUAUUAAUAUGAAUUUUUUUUUGGGGGAUUUCUUCUUAUGGCAUUAUUAUUUUGCUUUUGUGUAGCUAACAAUUAAUAUCUGCACUUUAAAUAUUAUCUAUUGUUUCUUAGCAAAUAAUAGUAAUAAUAAUAAGUAAUAAAUAAUUAAUAUCUGCAUUCUCAAAAAAAAAAAAUAAUGUCUGCUCUUUUUACUCUGGGGGGGGGGGCAUUCAGUGUCAUUAUCUUCCUUCUUCUCCUUUUUGUAUUUUGUGCCUUCAAGUUUAAUAUUAUUAUAUUAAUCUGUUAUUGUUGUAGAUAUACUUGAAGUAUGAGCAAUCUUCUGGAGAUCCUGGCAGAGUUCAACUUCUUUAUGAACGUGCUAUUACCGACUUUACUGUAUCAAGUGAUCUCUGGCUUGAUUAUACUCGUUAUCUUGACAAAACAUUAAAGGUUUAUCCUUCUAUUUUCUAUUUUACUUCUUCUGUUGCAGCUAUUUGUAUACUAAUCGACUUUCCUCUUCAGGUAGGUAAUGUUGUGAGAGAUGUUUAUUCCAGGGCUACAAAAAAUUGUCCCUGGGUAGGAAAACUUUGGGUACGAUCUUUGCUUUCUCUGGAACAUGGCCGUGUUUCUGAGGAGGAGAUAUCCACUGUAGGUUUAAUUGUUACCCUUCAUUCUGACCUUAAUCAAUUUUCCUGAAUGUAAUUGAUUUUGAAUGUUUGAAGUUAAAGAAAUGAUCAGCUUCCUAGGCAAAUUUCUUGGCAAGCACUUGAUUGUGGGAGUAACUGAGGAGAAGCAUUCCCUAAUGUUUUUUAGUUUUUCUCCUCCCCUAAAAUUGCAAUAUACUUCCCUUGAAGAGUAUUUUUUGCUUUAGCAUUUACACAUCUGUACAGAAGCAAACAUGAAUCAGAGAGAUUUAGUGGGCAAAUUCACCUGUGCUGACAAAUUAAUGCCUAUUAAAUACCGCAGUGUUGGAAUGUUCCAAAAAUUGUUUUCUUGGUGCUCCUGCUCCUUUUGCACUUUCAUAGCGUUUUAAUAACUGGGUUGUUUAAAUGUCCUGUACUUAUUUUCUUUACAAAUGUCUUUGUAUUUUUUUAAAUUUAUAAAAGAUUGUUCUAAUUAUAUUAAUAGCAACAUAUUGCGCAAACUCAAAUCUUAAUUUCAUUCUGCCCCUAUUACAUAUGUACGGGAUUCUCCUAUUAUUUCAUCAAAUUUUCCAUUACUAAUUUCAGGUCUUUGAGAAGUCACUACUAUGUACUUUUUCAACCUUUGAGGAGGUAGAGAUAUAAAUUUAUGUCUUCUGUACAUACCUUGGUUUCUUGAGCUGUAUGAUUUGGUAUAUAUCUACUUCUGAUUCAUCAUGCAUUUUUUUGUUAACUGGUUCUUUUUUGUUUCAGUACCUAGAUCAUUCCUUACUUGAAUAGAUGGUUUGAGGCGGAGAAUUUUAUUCUCCGGUGAAGUUGAGGGCGCCUUGGAUUAUUCAUUUAUAACGGAAACCUUUCAGGUUUGUAAACUUAUACUGUUGGCUAUUCAAUAUUAAAAUUGGUUUUACUCCUUAAUAUCAAGAAAUUGAAGCUUCCCAAAUCAUACCCAAGAAAUGCUCUAUUGUGGAUUACUGGAUGGAGCUAGUUGCUAGAUGAUACCUUUAAGAUUCAAGACAUAUGUUGUUUUGUGUAUGGCUAUCAAGUACUUUGGCCUGCAAUUGUGGCAGAUUGGUCUUACGCCAGCAUCAGGAAUAACAUUGUGUCUGGCAUAUAUACCAUUGGAAUUCUGGGUUUCUGUUGAAUGGGCUCCAACAGCUAUAUCUGUGUCCAAUGUUGUGGGGUCCUCUUCUUUGGUGCUUUUAAGUGAAGUUUUAAGUUUCCUUGUCAAUAUUUUGUUACAUAUCAAGUAGAAGGCACUGCACUGAAGCAUUGGUACUUCUAGAUCGCUUGUUCUGCAUGGUAGAUUUCAAUCCAUUGCUUUUAUUUCUUGGAUCAUGUUUAUCAUUGAGGACUUUCCUGGCCAGUGAUAGAGCUGACUGGUGCUACCAUCAUCAUUGGUAGGCAAAAAAGUCAAUUCCUAUGGGAUGCUUUCUGACUUAGAGAAGAUGUCUUCAAGAAUUUGUGGAUUUAAGUCUUCACAUGAUGUUCAACUCUUGAUAGUCUAACCUUGGUACAGGAUUUAUAGCUGUCUUCAAAGUUUGUGCUCAUAAAUGAGUAACCUGUCUGUCUUUAUGAUACCAGUUAAAUUUGUUAGCUUUAUGGGAUUUGGAGGUUGUAAAUGUCCAUAAACAACAAUGUCUUCUCUUCCUUGCAGCGUGCAUCAGAUUACUUGUCAGAACAGAUGAAAAAUACCAAUGGUUUGCUGCGUUUGUAUGCUUAUUGGGCACGUCUUGAACAAAGUAUGGGAAAAGAUACGGUUUCAGCUCGUAGUGUCUGGGAGAGGCUACUUAAGAUCAGGUUCACCAAUUUUAAUUUUUGCCAGUGCAUACAUAGCAAAAUUUCUUUAUAUCUAUAUAUUUUCGGAUAACUUGUGCUUCUCUUAAUGCAGUGGUACAAUGUUGGAAGCCCGCCAAAGUUAUAUAUCUAUGGAAAUUGAAUUGGGUCAUAUUAAUGAAGCUAGAUCCAUCGACAAGAGAUGCUACAGAGAAGAUUUACAAGCACAGGUUCAGAGGUAAAUUUCUUUCGUCCAGCUUCUUUAAUUAAUAUUAACUGCUUAACAACGUACCUUGUUGUUUCCAUCUUGUUUGUUUAACUGGUCUUAUUUGUAAACACCUGAAAUCAUACAUCUUAAUUUCUGAUAAUUAGAUGUUAUUUUAGAUAUCUGUAUCUGUUAACGUUCUUUCAAGUCUGAUUCCAAUGCAUAUUUAGUUAAACUGCUCUUUACUGCAUUUUGGAUUAGUUGAUAUCUUCCUUUCCUAAAAACAGAAUCAUUCAGGACAUAUGCCAUGCUUGGCUGCAAUUUGAACGGGAAUUUUGUAAUAAAAUUUUUAAUGAAUUUAUGGGUUUGAUGAGUAAAAUUAGGGGUUCAUAUAGACUCACCCAUAAAUUGAACCCUUAUUUUAUGUGUCAGAAUCAAUUUCACUGAAAACUGAGGUAUCCAAGUCAUUUAACUCAUCAACUGUUUUGUCAACAAAUUUUUUUAAAAUUUGAUAUGAAAUCUGGUUUUUGGCAAAUUCAAAUUCACCCUAAAGACCGUUACAAAACUGUUUUUACUGUUCUAUUUGGACAGUACGAAUGGACAGUAAUGCCAUUCAAAUUCAAAAAAUUAUAAACAGUAAUUCAUUGCAAAAUAUAUAACAUGACAUGACUAUUUUUAUUUUUAUAAAAUAAAUUGUGAAAAAAUGAAAUAAAAUUGAGAAAGGAACAGAAAAAGAACCAGACUUUGCACCGGCAGGACGGCAUGGUUGAGCCGUGCGGUCGAACGAGAGAAGAGAGAGAGGUCUCACAUCUGCUGCUUCAGUUGCAUUUUGGCCCCCGCCGACACACAGCGUUUUCUGUUCUUUUUUUUCUUGAGAAGAGAGCGUUUUCUUUCUCUGCCGUUUAUAUUUCUUUUUUACCCGAGAACGAAUCGCCUUUUUUUCUUUUUUUUUUUUAUUACUCCCGAAAUGUUGCUUUAAAUUUUGUAAUUUAAAUUUCUUUUAAAAUUAUAAAUAAAAUAAUAAAAAAAAAUUUGUGGCUGACAUGGGUUGAUUGUGACAUAACAAGUAUAACAUUUAAUAAAAAGAACAAAAAGUUAAAAUUCGUAAUUAUUAGAUCUGAUGUUAAUUAUUAGAUCUAAUGUUAAUUAUUAGAUCUGAUGUUUGAAUUGAUUAAAAUUUAAAAAAAUUAAAUUUAUUACGCUAAUUGAUUUGAUAGUAAUAAGUAAAGCUGACAAAAUUUGAUACGAUCCGAUUAUCCGAUACGAACACGAUAUAAAUAAAUAGGUACGAGUCGUCGAAUUUGACACAAUUAUUAAAUAUGUUGGGUUUGAGUCGACACGAUUUUUUUUCGUGUUGGAUUAGGGUUAAAGUUCUUGAUCCAUUUACCCAAUCAAUGACCCGAUUAUAUUUUUAUUUUAAAAUAAUUUGUAGGUUCUUGUUAUCAAAACUCAAAUAUUAGAGAUGAUUCUCUCUUUUAUUUUUAUUUUUUGAAAUGAUGAAUAUAAACACAGUAUUUUAUUUAUAAAAUUUUAUAUACAUUUAGAGCUUUAAUAAUGUAAAUGUGUAAAAUAUUGUUAGACAUGUAUAUUUUAUAAUAUUAAUAUAUAAUAUUAUUUGUAUAUAUAUAAUUAAAACUUCAAUAGUGUAAAUGUGUAAUAUUUUCUUAGAUAUGCACAUUUUAUAAUAUCGAUAAAUUAUGUAUUUACGAUAGUGUAUGAAUGUUUGAUGUAAAUUUUAUUUAAUAUAUAGAUAUUAAGUAGGUUAUUGGGUAACCUGAUUAUUUUUCCGUGUCGGGUUUGGGUCGAUAUAAAUUUGACACAGCAUCAAGCUGACACGACAAGAACAUGACCCGAUGACCCAUUUUGCUAGCUCUCAAUUGAAAAAUAUAUAAGUUAAAUCCACAUCCAGAUCUAUAUUUUUUGUGUGGAUAUGAAUGCGGAUCCGGUUUCACAAGUCACAUUUUAAUACUUUUCAAUAAACUCAUCACUAUUUGGUAUUUUAGCAAUAUAUUGUUAGAUGUAAUCAAUAGUGCACAUUAAUUUUAAUAAAAAAAUUUGUAUUAUUUUGAAAUAAUACAACCAAUUAACAAUUAUAGUAUAUUAUAAAAAAAUUAUAUUAUUUUGAAAUAAUACAACCAAUUAAUAAAUAUAUUAUUAACUAUAAUUAUUAAAAAUUAUAGUUCUUGAAUAAAUAAUCACAAUAAUUAAUUUAUUAUUAUUGUUAUUUUAAUUAAUUAUUUAUUUAUUUAUUUAUUUAUUUAAUAUACAAUUAUAAUAAUUAUUAAUAUAAUAAAUUUAUAUAUUAUUAUUAAUGAAUUAAUAUAAUUAUUACUAUUAAUUAAUAUAUUAUUAACAACAAUUAUUAAUAAUUAUAAUUUUUGAAUAAAUAAUCACAAUAAUUAAUAUAGUAAUAAUUAUAUUUUUUAUCUUUUGCUUUAAAAGAUAUACUUUCAUAAUUGACAGUAUAGGGGGUAAUGAGAUUUAUGAAAAGAGUUCCUAAAAUGACAGUAUGAUGUAUGUCAUUUGUGAGAAGGAAAGAGGUUUUAAAUUCAAAAUCAUUGUUAUAAAUUGAAGCAUCAACUUUGGAUUUAACAUUGAGUUUUGAAUUAUUGGCGCAUUUGUGAGAAGGAAAGAGGUUUUAAAUUCAAAAUCAUUGUUAUUAAUUGAAGAAUCAACUUUGGAUUUAACAUUGAGUUUUGAAUUAUUGGCGGCAGAAAGCCUUUCUUUAGUUUUCUCAUGAAAUCUUUUAGGGACAAUGUCUUCUUUAAUGACAAUCCUGACUAUUUACCUUGAUCCUCUGAUACCAGUAGGUGUAUGUCAUUUGUGAGAAGGAAAGAGGUUUUAAAAACUUGUUUGGAUUUAAGAAUGACAUUGAUUUGGUUCUGGUAAAUAGAGAAAUAGAUAGAUCAAUCGAAUUGUUUUCGAUAAACGAAAUAUGCUUGCAGUAGAGAAUGAACUCAAAGGAGACCCGAGGCUACAUGGUUUGGAGAAGCAGAUUAAGGCAAAUGCACAGGAUACAUUUCAUGAAUUAGUAUAGCACUCUCUGUAAGGUGACGAGAAAAAUAGAGUCAUGGGAUUUAAUGUGGGAAAAGAGCAGUUGUUCGUUUUCUGGUUUGUUGUUAAGGUGUAGUGCAGAAGAUUGAAUAAUGCGAUUUAAUGUGGGAAAAGCAACAAUUGUUUGUUUCCCAAUUUGUUGUUAAGGCUAGGGAUUUAGUAUUUAAGGGUUAGGAUUAUGGACGGGAGCGUGUAGCUGACAGAACGAAGAUAGGAUUCUCUCACAGCGGGAACCCUUUCAAACACAAAUAACUGUAAAAGAACUAAAAGAAAUUAGUAUUCAGGUUUUGCAACAAUAGAAAUACCAAUAGCAAAUUCAAAGAACAUGUGGCUGGUCCUCACCAUAAGCAUAUACAAAAAACCACCAAUAUUUGCAUUCCUUUUCUUUUUGAAAGCCUUCAAGGAGGUAUGAAGACAAGCUAAAACUGCUGCCCCCCAUGCAUAAUCAUUUACCCUAUCUAAAUCUUCCAAAAGAGGAAGGUAAGAAGAUGAAACAAUAUUUGUAGAUGUACUUGUAAAGAAAAAAGACCCAAGCAAAUAUAAAAUGUAUGCUCGGGUAGCACACGAAACAGCUUCUUCGCUGUCCAGAAGCAUACCUUUAAAAUGAGCUCUAAGUUUGCUCAUAUUAACAAAUUUUCCUACAAAAAAACCUACAUCUUCUCUAACACCCAAGUAUUGGGCAGCUUUCUCUAUACUUAUUACUUUUUCUGUAACUGGCAGGCCAUCUACUGGCAAACCAGUGAGGAAAUAAACAUCUUCUAAACCUAAAAACAAAGACAAAAUUUUGAAAAAGAAAACAAGACGAUUUUACAUCAUACUUCCUAGCUAGAUAUUCUAUGAGGUCUAAAUCCUUUUCCAUUUUAUCCUUUAUUUGUAAAAAGGGUGAAAAACAGGUAUCUUUCCUUUUUUCUUCAACCCUUUCAUCUGGUCUCCAGCUGAGUAGGUUGUUCAUAAAACAACUAAUUUUACCUGCAUAAUGAAAGACAGUGUUAGCGAAAUGAAACUUAUUGUUCAAAUCUAAAAAUAACUUAGCAAAAUGUAGUUUAGACUUAAAAAUAACUUACUUUUCGUGCCAUAGCAGCUGAUGUAUAUAACAGGGCACUUGUCACUGAACAAGAAUAACUGUGAUCAACAUUUCAACAACCACUUAUGAUUUUGCAACAAAAAAUAGGUUAUCAUUACAAAAACUCAAAAUUUCAUAAUGUUAUAACUUAUAAUAUCCUAAAUUGAACAACUAUCACGAUUUAAUUAAUAAUAAAAACAAUAACAGCAACAACAUUUGGGAAUAUAUAUAACUUUGCCGAACAACAAUUAAGUUAAACAAACAAUAAUAAUAACACUAAUAAUAACUACGAAUCAGCAAUUCAGCAUAUUGCCAUUUUCUAAAUUAAAAAAACAGCACAAAUUAAUCAAUUAAUCAAUGAAUUAAUUAACAAUCUCCAAUUUAAUUAAUAAUAACAGCAACAAACCCACUCCAAUUUAAUUAAUAAUAGUCUCCAAUUGUUCAAUUAUCAGUAAACCCACUCCAAUUUAACUAAUAACAAUCUCCCUUGGUUCAAUUACCGGUCAACAACAACAAACCCACUCCAAAUAAUUCAAUAAUUGCCAAUCAAUUAAUUAAAAAUAUACAAUUUAAUUAAUAGCAACAGGCUGUUAAAAUUCGAUUCCGGUUUCGUCAAAAAAAAAAAAAAAAUUCGAUUCCGGUUGCCAACAGCUGCGUGCAAGUCAGCAACUAACCCACUCCAAAAUCCAAAUAUCAGUAUUAAGUGAAAAACCUUGAUCUCGGAGAAGCUACAGCGUCGGCAGAGCGAGAACGUGUUAGGCUGAGUGGGACCCGAGGUGAACGCACGGCGCGGCUGCGGGCGAGGCGUGCUGGCUGACGGCGAGUGGGCUGCGGUGAAUGGCUGGUGUCUGUUGGAGCUGGACGGGGCUGCUGGCUGCUGCUGUCGAAAGUGAGAGUUUAGGGAUUUUAACGGUUGCCGCUGCCCGCUGGUAAUGAGAGGAGUAUGAGACCGAGUGUGAGAAACUGAGAAGUGAAGAUUCUCUCAAAGAGGGAGCAGGGAUUAGGAAUGCAAAACAUCGGGUCGAGCUCGGGCUUGGCCAAACCCGACCCGACCCGAUCAACCAAAAAAAAAUCCGACCCUAACAAAAAAAAAAGGUCGAGGUAGGCCUUUGUUAGGGUCGGAUUUGUUUUUGGUUGAUCGGGUCGGGUCGGGUUUGGCCAAGCCCGAGCUCGACCCGAUGUUUUGCAUUCCUAAUCCCUGCUCCCUCUUUGUUAGAAUCUUCACUUCUCAGUUUCUCACACUCGGUCUCAUACUCCUCUCAUUACCAGCGGGCAGCGGCAACCGUUAAAAUCCCUAAACUCUCACUUUCGACAGCAGCAGCCAGCAGCCCCGUCCAGCUCCAACAGACACCAGCCAUUCACCGCAGCCCACUCGCCGUCGGCCAGCACGCCUCGCCCGCAGCCGCGCCGUGCGUUCACCUCGGGUCCCACUCAGCCUAACACGUUCUCGCUCUGCCGACGCUGUAGCUUCUCCAAGAUCAAGGUUUGUCACUUAAUACUGAUAUUUGGAUUUUGGAGUGGGUUAGUUGCUGACUUGCACGCAGCUGUUGGCAACCGGAAUCGAUUUUUUUUUUUUUUUUUGACGAAACCGGAAUCGAAUUUUAACAGCCUGUUGCUAUUAAUUAAAUUGUAUAUUUUUAAUUAAUUGAUUGGCAAUUAUUGAAUUAUUUGGAGUGGGUUUGUUGUUGUUGACUGGUAAUUGAACCAAUAGAGAUUGUUAUUAGUUAAAUUGGAGUGGGUUUACUGAUAAUUGAACAAUUGGAGACUAUUAUUAAUUAAAUUGGAGUGGGUUUGUUGCUGUUAUUAUUAAUUAAAUUGGAGAUUGUUAAUUAAUUCAUUGAUUAAUUGAUUAAUUUGUGCUGUUUUUUUAAUUUAGAAAAUGGCAAUAUGCUGAAUUGCUGAUUCGUAGUUAUUAUUAGUGUUAUUAUUAUUGUUUGUUUAACUUAAUUGUUGUUCGGCAAAGUUAUAUAUAUUCCCAAAUGUUGUUGCUGUUAUUGUUUUUAUUAUUAAUUAAAUCGUGAUAUUUGUUCAAUUUAGGAUAUUAUAAGUUAUAACAUUAUGAAAUUUUGAGUUUUUGUAAUGAGAACCUAUUUUUUGUUGCAAAAUCAUAAGUGGUUGUUGAAAUGUUGAUCACAGUUAUUCUUGUUCAGUGACAAGUGCCCUGUUAUAUACAUCAGCUGCUAUGGCACGAAAAGUAAGUUAUUUUUAAGUCUAAACUACAUUUUGCUAAGUUAUUUUUAGAUUUGAACAAUAAGUUUCAUUUCGCUAACACUGUCUUUCAUUAUGCAGGUAAAAAUUAGUUGUUUUAUGAACAACCUACUCAGCUGGAGACCAGAUGAAAGGGUUGAAGAAAAAAGGAAAGAUACCUGUUUUUCACCCUUUUUACAAAUAAAGGAUAAAAUGGAAAAGGAUUUAGACCUCAUAGAAUAUCUAGCUAGGAAGUAUGAUGUAAAAUCGUCUUGUUUUCUUUUUCAAAAUUUUUUCUUUGUUUUUAGGUUUAGAAGAUGUUUAUUUCCUCACUGGUUUGCCAGUAGAUGGCCUGCCAGUUACAGGAAAAGUAAUAAGUAUAGAGAAAGCUGCCCAAUACUUGGGUGUUAGAGAAGAUGUAGGUUUUUUUGUAGGAAAAUUUGUUAAUAUGAGCAAACCUAGAGCUCAUUUUAAAGGUAUGCUUCUGGACAGCGAAGAAGCUGUUUCCCGAGCAUACAUUUUAUAUUUGCUUGGGUCUUUUUUCUUUACAAGUACAUCUACAAAUAUUAAAACUCACUAUUACCGCUUUUGUUUUCAUUCUUAGAACAGAUUAGUUUCUUUUGAGAAAAUUCAAACUCAUUCCCAUUACUUCCUUUUCAAUAAUCACCUCUCAAUUUUUUCAUCAAUCACUCAAUUUCGACUUUCAUAUCCAUUCUCUUUCGAAGAAGAACGCACGAAUAAUUUUAGCUUGCUUUAGCUGCUUCUCGAAUUUCAGGUAUUGUUUCCUUUAAUUUUGAUUUUUUUUUUUUACUUCUCUCUUUCUAGUUUGAUAAUUUAGGGUUUUAGUUAAAUUAAUUGUAUUUUUAAGCAACCUAGAUUGAUUUAAUUGAUUCCAAGUCUCAAUUUCCUGUUCAACAAACAAGGAACGCACAAAUAAUUUUCAUUUUCAUUCUCAAUUUUGAAAGAAUCAAUCAAUUUAUUUUAUCUUUGGUUAGUACACUUCUGUUCAAUUUUUGUUUAUUUAACUUAAGACAUUAUUUUCAUUCUUUUCUUCAAGCAGAUUAUAGCGUUGCUCCUCCCAUUGAUUAUAUUGAUAAAAUUACAACGUUGAUUUCAGGUAAUAAUUGAAUGUGUGAUAUUUUCAAUUGAAAUUAAUUGAAUCUCGUAAUAAUAAUAGGGAUUUGAGGUUUACAUCCUGUUGAAAUGAUUUUAGAGUGUUCUGCUAUUUGAAUGCGCAUUAAUUGUUUGAUUAAAUGUCUCUUUAAAAGAUUAUUUUUGUUUUUCGCAAACAUCUUACUGAGAUGUCUCUCGUAAUAGUAUUACCGUAAUGCACUUUGCUUCAAUUUGGUCUGUUUAUACAUUUUAACAAGGGAAAAUUAUAGAACUGCAACAGUUUUCAAAUUGAUUGCAUAUUAGAAGUAAUGUUAAUUUAUGCUGCAACAGUUCAAUGGGCUGGGCACAAGUUUAGGACUUUAGUUGCUCAAUUAAUGAAUCCACCACUCAUCAGACUUGGAACUUAUAUCUACUGAAUCAAUAAAAAUAGUUGAUGGAAUCAAUACCGAAAGCUCCAUUUGAUUAAUAAUGAACUGCAGACAUUUAUUUACAACAUCUGUUAGUAGCAGAAACUAUGAUCGAGACACUGUAGUUGCUUAAUUAGUGAAAUUGUGAUCUCAUUGCCCCCUUUUUUUGGUUGAUUUUAUAAUUUUAUUAGUUGUUCUUGGGGUUGUAAACAAUAUCAAUUUCUAAUAUUAAUAAAACUGAAUGAAUAUAAUGCAAUGCAUUUGCAGGAAAGUUAAUAGUUUAAAUAUGGAAAAAUCUUGGAUGUUGAUGGAUAGGUCUAUAGAAUAUGAGAACGCGGUAAAUGAGUUUCUCAAGUUUGCAGUACUUCAUGCUAGUCAUCCUGAGCUUUUGAGAUGUCCAUGCCAAGCAUGUCUUAGUUUAUAGGCUCAAACAAUUAAGAGUAUAGAAAAUGCAUGAUAGAACACAGAACUCAUAUUUUAGCAACAAUCCUCGGCUCACUGGCCCUUAGUUCAGAAUGACAAUUCUUAUUAGCCAAAGAUUCAAAAUGAUUUUUAGUUGUUAAUAAGUAGAGCACUAGAUCAACAAAUAAUUGAAGCACUAUACGAUGAUGGCAAUUCGAAGACUACAACUUGACUCUGCCAUUUGAAGUAAGCAACGCAGCUGCCCAAAGUCUGCCAAGCCAUCAAGGCUCCAUCAAGUAUACUUCAAAGCCACAUCAAGACAAUACUAAGAUACAACGUCAAUAAUAAUAACACCAAGAAAUACAUGGAGGCCAUUGCAUGCUACAGCCACCCCAAUAAGAAAUUAAUAAAUACAGUCCUAGAAAUUUACAAACCCAUGCAGUAGGAAUAACUAAUUAAUUUAUACAGUUCAGUACUUGUUCCUCUGUUUCAAAUCCAAAUCCACUGGUCUACUAUUCAUUAUGACGCAAUGCAUAUGCCGAUAUUGUCUUCCACCCUUUAUGUAACUUUCAAUUUAGUGAGGUUUAGACAGGGGUUCCAGAUUUGGUAAAUCAACAAUCACCAGAUAUGAUAGAGCGGCCGGAAGAGAAGCAUGGUUCCUAAUCCUAAUCUUGAUUUAGAGCAGAUUAGGUAACAUGUGGCAUUCUACAGGUUAAGCAGAUCAAAUAAACAGAACAGAGGAAAUAAGUGAUCAAUUUAUUACUUUGUGCAAUGGCCACAGCAACAGCGAAAAUAUGUCUACAUGACUACAUUAUACGACUGGCAUGGUAGUAUCACCGUGCAGCAUUACACUAACAUUUCCUUAUCAAUCAAUUGUGAUGGAAUGAUAUUAAAAACAUCGAUUUCAUAAUUUUAUGUAAUUCAAAGAAAAGAUAUAAUUGAUUUGAGUUAGUUUAACAUAAAAGGAAAGAGUAAUGGGGAAUAAUGUCGAUGUGGCAUGUGAUGAGUAAAGAUAGACAACAAAUAUUGAUCGUGUAAUAAUGAAAUAUGUAUUUAAUGAAAAUAAAUUGACAAUUAAAAUUAAUAGAUAUUUAUCCAAUGCAUCGAGUUUAUUUUAUCACUUUGCUAACCAUUUUGUAACUACAUGUUAAUUAGAAGUUCAAUUAAUUUUGACCAAAGACUCUAGAGAAUGUUGAAAAGAGAUUUGAUUUUUGUCUUAAAAAAAAUUAGAAAUGAAAUAAGUCAAAAUCAAUCACAAGAACAACAAUAAGAGCAUAUUUUAUAAAACCACAAAUACAUAAUAUAAAUUUAGUUUCGAAUUAGAUAAUUAUUAAUUUGUAUAGUAAGAGAGUCUUAUAGAAAAAUAGGAAUUUUUUAAAAGGAGAUUUGCUUAAGGAACAACUUUAGUUUGGUUUAAUUUGUGAAGACUCGAGUAAUUGAAAGCAACGCAAUGGAAGGAAAUACAAGCUUUUGAUUUUGACAAAAUAAUCACUAAAAUAUUUGACAAGUUUGAGAUGUUAAAAAACUGGAAAAAUAGACAAAUAAUGAAAACCCUACAAGUUGGCAAAGCAAAUAAACAGAGGAAAACAGAGCAAAUAUUUACCGUUGUACAUAUAUUUUUUUAUUUUUUUCCGAAAAAGAAUGUUGCGAUAUUUUUUCCCAAAAAGAAGCACAGUUUGAUAUUACUACCAUAGAACUUUAGCUACCAUAUGUAAGCACGUGUCUAAUUACCAAAUGAAUUCCGCUAUAACAAAGAAUAAAAGGUAAAUUCAUUGAUGGCAUAUGUUGUGCUUUCUUUUAUUUUAUUUUAUUUUAUUUUAUUGAAGUUACUUUGUAAACUGCUCCAAGCUAAAUACAAAAUUUACUCUUACACUAGGAUCUUUGCAAUGGUCCAGCAAUUUGUAUUUCCUUUCGGUGAGAUUGGUUUUUUUCUUUAAAUAAAAUUUCAGGGAUGAGAAAUCUUAUCCAUUGAACAUCAACUUUGAAUUUUCUUAAUAUUCAAACUUAGAAAGUACUGCAGGAACAAAGUGCAUUCAUAGCAGAAAAUGCUAAGGAGCGAGAGGAACGAGAGAAUGAUGAGAGAAACGGCAUUCUCUCCUGCCGUUUCGCUUCUCGUUCCUCUCGCCACAUAAAACAUUAAAAUAAGAAAAGAAUGAAUAAAGAAAGACUGAUUUAUCACUUCGUGCAGAGGGAAAUCUUAUCAAGUUAUCUCCAGUCCUCACUUUCCUCUCUCCCUCACGGCUUCCGGCGUGCCUCACCAGCUUCUCUCCCUCACGCUUCCGGCUUGCCUCACCAGCUUCUCUCUCCCUCAUGCUUCCGGCUUGCCUCACCAGCUUCUCUCUCCCUCACGGUUCCAGAAACUCCCUCACGGCUUCCGGCGUGCCUCACCAGCUUCUCUCUCCCUCACGCUUCCGGCUUGCCUCACCAGCUUCUGUCUCCCUCACGCUUCCAGAAGCUCCCUCACGCUUCCGGCGUUAUGACGAGAUGGCUGAGAUUUCUAGGGGGAUUGCGAAGCAAAAGACAAAAUUGGACUCACUGAGGUGGCAAACACAGCAAGGGAUAUCGAGUAGCGCUUUUCAAAGAUUGAGAGUGGAUGCUGAGCAACUUAGUAAAGCUAGGGAAUUUGGGUUGAAGAAAGCGGGCAUGCAUAGCAAACUGCUGUGAUUUUUUUUUUUUUUUUUUGUAAAUUACCACAUUAAAGCCAAUAUCCUUUGUAUUAAAUUCGCAAUAAACCAUUUGGCUGAUGUAUUUCUGGUUUAUUAGUAUUGGAAAGAUGACUUUUUGUUUUACUUGAUGAAUUUGCUGUGACUUUGGAGGUUAGCAUUAUGCAGUUUAUUUAUCAUUAAUUUGGUUUUCCUGUUUGGUUGUUGUACUUUUUUACCCAUCAAUAUUCAAGUAUUUCUGUUGAAUAGCUAACCUGAGUUUUGCUAGAAAUUACGUUAUGGCCUUGAAUAUUGUUGAAAGGUGAAAAUAUAAACUCUUUAGAGGGCAAAGGUGAAAUUAUAAUUCACUUAAUCUAUUUUCGGUAAUUUGUAUUUAACUUUCAAGAUUAGUUUCUCUGGGGUUUUAAUUCUCGCAACUUCACAACUCAUCAUUUAUUGGUUGGCACUUUUGGUAAUACAUUAAAAACAUAUUUUUAAUCAACAAUUGAAGCAGUUCUAAAAUCCAAUAUUAUUUUGUAAAAAUUAAAUGUAAUUUUGUGAUCUGAAACCUUUGCUGAAGGAAUUUUAUUGGUUGUUGUCUAUGCACAAAAUAAUUACUAUUUAAUAAACAAUUUGUUAUAGAAAAUUGCUUAAUUCACUUAUGCAUAAAAAUGAACCGUGAGGGAGAGAGAUGAUCGGCCAAGCUUAAGGAAUGUGCAUAGAACCGUAAAUUUUAUGCACAAAAUAAUUUUAUUGGUUGUUGUCUAUGCACAAAAUAAUUAACAUUUAUAUUCAGUUUCAUAAAAAUUAAAUUUACAAAAUUUCUAAAACAAAUAGUAUUGAGAUAAAACAAAAUUCAUAAUAUAUCCCACAACAAAAUUCACAACAUAAACACCAAAUAAAAUAAAAUUCAUAACAUAACCCGCAACAAAAUUUACAUUGCUUAAAUUCCAGAAGCUUACAUUCCAACGAGACCCACCAAAAUUUCUAAAACAAAUAGUAUUGAAAUAAAUUCUGCAUACCAUAAGAUAACCCGCAACAAAAUUCACAACAUAAACACCAAAGUUGAAAUAAAACAAAAUUCAUAACAUAACCCGUAAUAAAAUUUACAUUGCUUAAAUUCCAUAAGCUUAAAUUCCAACGAGACCCAGCAACAACACCCAAAAAAAACAAACUUAAAUUCCACAAUACGCUUAAAUUCCACGCCAGAUCUUUCACAUAACAGAAAAUUAAAACAAAAAGAACAAGCUGAAAAAAGCCACCGCUCACUUAAUGUUUGCCGAGAGAGCCGAGAGAGGGGGAGAGGGAGGAGGUCGUGAUCGGUUGCUGGCUGGAGAGGGAGGAGGCCGUGAAUAGUUGCUCGGGCUGGAGAGGGAGGCCGUGAUUUGCGUGAGAGAGGAAAGUGAAGAGUGAAGCCUGCGUGAGAGAGAGAGGAAAGUGAAAGCUGGAUUUCACGCCAUUUUUUAAUUCAUUUUUUUUUAUUUUUUUAAUGUUUAAUGAGUGAGAGGAACGAGAGGAGAAACGGCAGGAGAGAAUGUCGUUUCUGUCGUCCUUCUCUCGUCCCUCUCGAUACCUAGCAGCACUCAUUCAUAGCCGGUUACACUAUGUCUAGCUACAAUGCAAGUUUCACUUUUACUUAAUUAAAUAUACAAAAUUAAAUCACAUGAGCCUCUCGUUUCAUUAUACUUCAACUCAAAAUUAAAACACAGAAUUGACGGUAUUGGAGUUUCAUAUUUAAUUUAAGUAGAGCACUAGAUCAAACUGGCUCAACAAAUAAUUGAAGACUUGCACACAUAAAAAAUCUCCAUUUUAUUGUUCAAACUGGCAGUUCUUAUUAGUCAAAGAAUCAAAUUGACUUUUAGUUGUAUAUAAGUAGAGCACUAGAUCAACAAAUAAUUGAAGACUUGCUUGGCUGUGGAACCAUAGGAAGGCAAUUCGUGAACAGCCUUGAUAUUUCGUUUGGUUUUAUUUAAUUCUUUGUAUAGUUGUAUUUUAAGUAAAAUUUUUGUUAAAUGAAAUCGGUAGGUGAAGAGAAUUUUUAAAAGCAACCAUCAAAGUCACGAUCAAAAGGAAGAAAUCAGUAUAAAUAUUGAUUGUCUCAAGUUAGAUUAUACAAAGAUGAAAUAAUGCUAAUCUAAAAAAUUCGAUGAUUAUAAUUUGAUUUCCAUUAUAUUAAUUAUAUUCAAUCAUGCUAUUUAAAUGAAGAACACUCUAGCAUUUAUAUACACUCAGCUUAUGAUAUUAAUUACAAAACGAUCUUUGACAAAGUCUGAUGAAAAAAGUACAAACUUAGACUUCCCGAUCAUGCAACCACCCAUCGAAUUGUGUAUUGUGUCAUCGUUGAGCUCUUAGAAGGAUUCAGCGUCUGAGGAGAAGAUAUAAUCUGUUUUUGUGUGAGAAGCUAUGUACUAUGCUUUUAUGGUGUUUCUCUUGGUAGUUGUCGGACAAACUGUAAUGUGAAUUUCUAUCUAAUGGGUAUCGUUUUAGUUAGUUUGGGAUUGUUGAUUUAUAUAUGAUGUUUGGUAUCUAAAAUUCAGAUUAUGAUAAUCUUGGCAGUACUUUUGUCAAAUUUUCUUGUGUUGUUGUUGGUUUAAUAAAAUAUCACAAAGGUGCAAAAUACAGUAAAAUUAACAUUAGAUAUAUUGAAAAAGACAUUGACACAAGAAACUGGAAAUUAGUUGUUAAUUAUGAUGGGAAUAUGAUCUUGGUAUUUCAAUUAUAUCAUUUGCACUAAUCUCAUUUGUGUCUAUCACUGAAAAGCAGAGUGACUUGAUUGAAUAGUGUCAUAUUACGUCACAGCAAUCACAGAAACUCACCCAAAAGUACAUGAGCAUUGAACAUUCAGCUAAUUUAUACUAAUUAAUUAAUAAUACUAACAAGAGAAGUUGGAUCUCGUCUUCUCUUGGAUAUAUCCGAUGACUUUGAGCUCUCCAGCCUCCCAGCCGGAAAUGUUCUUCCUUCACAUUCGGUGAUUGUUUUUCAUUAUUGCGGCUACUUGACUCAAAUAUGCUAUUGCAAGAGGAGAUUUCUAUUUUGUCUGAUUUAAGCCAUAAGACGGGUUUCAAGGUUCAUUCUGAUUGGUUAUCUGUUAGCUUUUUUGUUUUAAGAACUUCUUAUUUACGGAAGCAAAAUUCUCCUUUCCAGGAUGAUCUAGAUUUAGAAGUUGCUUUUGUCAUAUCAGACGAAGAGGCCAUCUUUAAGGCCUUGUCUAAGAUUGUUGAAUUUACUAGAAGGGACUACUGCUCUGAUUGGUCAAAACUACUAUGGCUGUCUUUUUCAUGAGCUUCUAAUAUCGAAUCAGUUUUAAUGGUAUGAUAUUAAAAAAAUCGAUUUCAUAAUUUUAUGUAAUUUCAUAGAAAAGAUAUAAUUGAUUUGAGUUAGUUUAACGUAUAAAGAAAGAGAGAUGGGGACUGAUGUUGAUUUGGCAUGUGAUGCGUAAUAAUAGACACCAAAUAUUAAUCAUGUAAUAGUGAAAUAUAUAUUUACUGAAAAAUAUUUGGCAAUAAAAUGAUGCUUCAAAAAAUUAAUAUUAUUUGCAAGAAAGUAAUUCGACAAUUAAAAGUAAAAGAUGUAUAUGCGACACUUCGAGCUUAUCUUAUCACUUCACUAGCCAUUUUGUAACAACAACUUUAAUAGAAGUUCAAUUAAUUCUGACCAAAGACUUUAGAGAAUGUCGAGAAGAGAUUUGAUAUUUGCAUUUCAAAAAAUUAGAGAUGAGAUAAGUUAAAAUCAAUUACAAGAACAACAAUAGGAACACAUUUUGUAAAACCCACAAAUAUAUAAAAUAUAAAUUUAAUUUCGAAUUAAGUAAUUACUAAUUUAUAUAGUAAGAGAGUCUUAUAGGAAAGUAGGAAUUUUUUAAAAGAGAUUUGCUUAUGGAAAAAGUUUAGUUUGGUUUAGUUUGUGAAGGCUCAAGUAAUUGAAAGCAAUGCAAUUGAAGGAAAUAUAAGAUUCUAAUUUUUUUAAAGUAAUCGCUAAAAUAUUUGACGAAUAGUGAAGACCCUACAAGUUGACAAUGCAAAUAAACCGGGGAAAAUAGGGCAAAUAUUUACUUUCUUCCAAAAAUAAUAAAAGCACAGUCUGCUACUACUAUUAUAGAAUGUUAGCUACCAUAUAGCUACUAUAUAUGAGCACGUGUCCAGUUACCAAAUAAUUUCCACUUUAAAAAGGAAUAAAAGCUAAUAUCAUUGUUAGCAAAUUUUAUUUAUUUAUUAUUAUUUUUUAUUAUCCUUUUUUUUUUUUUGCGCUUUUAGUUAUAGGCCUAAAAAGAUAAAGCUAAAAAUCAAUCCCAAAUCUAAAGUGAAAAAUUGUGUCUAGAACAGAAUCUAUGUUUUGAUGUCUUUGUUUACAAGCUUAAACAAUUCAUAGUAUACAAAAUGCAUGAUAGAGAACAGAACUCAUAUUUUAGCAAUAAUCCUCAGCUCACUGGCCGUUAGUUCAGAAUGACAAUUCUUAUUAGUCAAAGAGUCAAAAUGAUUUUGAGUUGUAUAUAAAUAGAGCACUAGAUCAACAAAGAAUUGAAGACUUGCUUUUGCUAUUAAACCACGCGAUGGCAGUUCGAAGACUACAGCUUAGCUCUGCCAUUCGAAGUAAGCAAUUCAGCUGCCCAAAGACUGCCAAGCCAUCAAGACAAUACCAAGAUACAACAUCAAGAAUCACGUACAGGCCGUCACAUAUUACAUUUGUCGUCUGUUUUAAGAAAGAUUUACGAGCCCAUGCAGUAGGAGUAAUUUAUUAAUUUAUACAGUUCAGUACUCAUUCCUCUUUCUUCUGUUUCAGAUCGAAAUCUAGUGCUCCAUCAUUUAUUAUGACGCAAGGUAUAUGGGUUAGCAUGUGUCGAUAUUGUCCUCCAUUCUUUGUGUACCUUUCUUCGAACAAGGGACAACCCGAGAUCUCUAAUCGCAAAAGAGAGGCAGGCAGGCCCUUCUCUGGAAAGUACUUGAGCUUGGGACAAUUACAGAGUUUAAUGAAAUGAGGUUUUGAUGCUCAACAAUUGAAGAAGACAGGCGUUCCAAAUUUAGUAAAUUAACAAUCACCAAAUAUGGUAGGGUGGCAGGCAGAGGAAGCGUGGUUCCUAAUCCUAAUCAUGAUUGAUAACUGGCUAUGUAACAUGUGGCAUUCUACAUUCUUGCAAUGCCAUUUCUUGUUAUGGCAGCAGCGUUCUUUCAUCAUGGCGUCACAAGCAAAUGUUUGAUUUGAAGACUUGCUUAGCUGAGAAAAAUAAGGAGAGCAAAGGUAAUGAAUUUUGGUGUGAUGAAUAUUUUUAUGGAUGUACUAAGAAAAAUAAAGAUAAUAGAAGUGAUGUUAUUGAGGAGCAUUUUGAUAUUUACAAAAGUGUUCAAAGAAAAAAGUUAUUUUUUGAAAUCUAUUUGCUGGUGCACAUAACAAAAGGGCAUUCUGAGUAAAUUUAAAACUACAAAUAGUCUCACUCUUUUAAUAAUAUUCUUCAAUUAAUUCUGUUUAUUUAAAAAUAAAUAUUCUAUCUCUUUAUUACUUUCUAACUAGUCAUGCUAAUAUGCUAAUAAUUAUGAAGAACUAGUGUAAUUUAUAUGAUAUAAGAAGCCCUUUAGCACAUUAACCCGAAUUUUGCUAAUACAUGUGCCUAAUAUAGCGAAAUCAACAUUCAGCGCAUUAGAGUGCCAUUAUAUAUAUUGAGAGAGAAAUUAACACAAAAAAUGGAAUAUUAAUUGACAUUGGAUCAUGUUGGAUUGUCAGUUGUUAAUUAUGAUGGGAAUACAAUCUUCAUCUUUUGAUUAUCAGCUAGCUAAUGCAUGUGCACUUUCAUUUGUGUCUAUCACUGAAGAGUAAAGUUACUUGAUUGAGUAGUAUCAUAUCACAGGAACUCCAAACUCAAUUUCAUUGCCGGAGCAUACUAUGCCAUAUGUAGCUUAAAAGUGCAGCUAUCUUAUACUAAUUAUUUAAUACGACUAUUAGCUCUUUAUGAUUAAUUAAAAGAGAAAAUGUUUGACAAUCACGAAAAUAAUAACAAUUCACUCCUAUAAACAACAUAACAAUACAUGGUCUAUAUUGCAAAUCUUUUUAUGAUUAUAAUUAAAAGAGAAAAUACGAAGACAUAUUUUAUAUAAUAAUUGAAUGUUCUCCUUGAUAAUUAGACAAAAUAACACCAAUCUAGCUAAUUAAUCCAAUCAUCAUACUAAUCCAAUUUUCAUUAUUUAAUUAUGUCCAAUCAUGCUAAUUUAAUAAAGAGCACUGAACACUCGAGUACUUAUAUGUUCAACAACUUUGGCCGAGUUUGAAAAAGAUUAGAGCUGCAUUUAUGCUUUGUGUUAUUACUGACGACAUGAUCAUAUUAUGUCGCAUUUGUCAGAGAACCGAAAAACUGUGGGGGAAAAAAAAAUCCUAAAAGAGAUGUAACGAAAGCAAAAUGAGAAAAUAAUGCACACAUCAUAGCAAUGCUUCAUUCAUUUUGAUUCUAUCUAUACAAAAACUUGUAUCCGAUGGUUUACAUUUGUUUAAUCUAACGGCUAUAACAUGUAUACAGUCAAACGCUACUGCUGCCAUCUUUCUUUGUCCUCGUUGUAUCCUUGAUCUUAUAUUAUCCUGGUGAUUCUUGAAAGAUCUUCUCAUUCUCAUAUGCUGAGUCGCUUGUUGGGAUGAUUAAUACUCGAAGGUCCUUCAUUGAGACAUUUCAGCAAACACCUGAUUCAUUCUAUCAAACAUCUGCAUCACUAAUCGCUAAAUGAUAUAAAAUAGUUCUGUUUUGAAAAAUUGAUAUAAAUCAGUCGCCUUAGAUUUUCUUAGUCUCAGAGCACAACGGGUGAUGAUUCGAUGAGAAAUAUUAAUAUGCAUGCAUCCGCUGCAUUAGUUAGAGCUGCUUGUCAUUUUCUUCUUUCUUUUGGAUACUAUUUUAAAUUUUUAAUCAGUCUAAUUCAGCUGCAUGUUUGCUUUCAGUCCAAAUCGAAAUCAGAUAUUAAGUGCUUCUACUGGUAUGGACACACCCAAAAAUCUAUGGGAUCCGUAGUUCUUGCAGAAGCGGCAGAAUGCUGCCAGCAAUUCAGGCAGAUAGAGGCUUGGCUGAGUGGUUGUUCUUCAAUGUGAAAUUCUACAUAAUGGCGAUCCUUUUAAUGGGGUUUAAAUUUUUUUUUUUUUUUGAGUUGUUGAUUUAGAGCAGAUUAAGUAGCAUGUGGCAUUCUAUAUUCUUGCAAUGCCAUUUCUUGUUAUGGCAUCAACAUUCUUAAUUUUGAUUUGCUUAAUUUUGCUUUCUGUUUUUGAUAUUUUCUUCGCAUUGUUGUUGUGGGAUUUGUUAUUUGUAGAUAGUGUAUAUGUAUGAAGAUAACGUAAUAAAGUGCUUUUGAUAAAUUCCCCUGGUCUGUUUACUUCACUAAUUCAUUAAUGAGCAAGUCCUCUAUAGAGCUGUGUUGUGCGUACAAGUUUUGCUACAUGAAAUCGUUAGGUGAGGAGAAUUUUUAAAAGCAUACAUCAAAGUAAUGAUUAAAGGGACAAAAUCAACGUAAAUAUUGAUUAUCUUGAGUUAGAUUAUACAAAGAUGAAAUAAUGAUAAUCUAGUAAAUUUAUCAGAAUACACUACUAAAAAAUGCAUUUUAAUGACACAAAUUUUAUGACAUACAUCUUUACGUCAUGAAAAUAUUAUGAAAAUACUUGCAUGAUGUAUAAUGCUUUCGUGAUUAUUUGAUGAUAAAUUCAUAAUUGACGCUAAUAUGAAAUGAAGUGAUCAUAGGUAAAUAUCAUGCAUUUUUUUUUUAUGGGUAAGAAUAUUUGAACCCACCAAAUUACUCUUUAAAUUUAUUUUUUUAUUGAUAAUUUUAUUACAAAAUUACCGAUAAUUUGAAUUACUAUUACAGACAAACAAUAAUUAUAUAAAAUUAUUUUAUUUUUACUCAUUGUUUAAACCUACCGCAAAACUCAAUCAAAGUAUGCUUAUUUUUUUCUUCUACAAGUGUUUAAUAAGUUCAUCCUUCAUCCACAGUUGAGAACUUUCUAAUUUUUUUUCUUGUUCUAGUAAUUUGGAUAUGCUGUGUUAGAUACUGAAUUUAUUAAAUUUCUUCUUCUCUUUUGAAUAAAAUCUCUUUAAAAUUCAAUUCAUAAAAAAAUAAAAAAUUAAUCUCCUUAUAAUUUAAUAUGUUUCAGCUGUCUUAGUGGAAUGAUGCAAUUUGUUUCCAUCAAAGUUUUGAAGCAUCCCGAAAUUUUGAGAUCGACAUGAUAACAAAUUAAUUUAAUUCAUUGUGUACUCUAAAUUUUCAGCCACAAAAAAAUAGCCAAAUUGAAGUGUACCUGGGCAAGAAGAAACUGCGAUUAUACAAUUUCAGUGUUCGACUCUAUCAAUAAAAAAGAAAAUAAAAAAGAACUCUCAUUGUUCCAUUAUUUUUCCCAUAAAUAAUGAUAUACAGAGAAUUCAGUUUGAUAUGGGAUAUAAUAAGUAUUUAGGUGAGUUUAUAAAGUAAAUUUUAAAAUUUUAAAAUUUAGUAAUGGGUUUAUAAAUAAUUGAGUUCAUAUAAUAUUUUAAUAAAUUCAAAUAACCCACCCUUUUUUUUUUUUAAAAAAGAUCUAAUUACAAAAAUACCAUUCCAAUCGGCAGCAUUUUAUAUUUUAUUUUAUUAAAUAUUAUUUUAUUUUUAAAUUACUAGUGACGCAAGAAACGGCAUCAUUUAUUGAUAUUUUUAAAUUGUUUAAGAUUUGUUUAAUUAGAAAAUUGCCAUUGUUGAUAUUUAAUUAAUUUUAAAAAAUAAAAAUAAUAAAAUUGGUAAGCUCUACUCCAUAAGUGAUGAACGAAUUGACAAAUUUGCAGUAAGUGAUGAACGAAUUGAUAAGCUCUACUCCAUCGGUUCCUUAAUUGAGAAAAAACCCAAGCCCGUGCAGCGCAGCCUCACAAUUGAUAGAGACCCUAAGCCACCAAACUCGACAAUCAUCACUCAACGUCGUCGCAAGCUACCGGUCGCUCAACAAGCACCAGUUCCUUGCUCUACAGCCAUCGCUCAACCGCUGCCAUUACCUGUUAAUUAUUCGCUUGAAUUAGGGUUCUGAUAUUUUGGGAUUUUUUGUUAGUCGUGGAAUUAUGAAGCAAGGACGACGAUGACGAAGAUGUGGUGGUUGACGACGGCAAUGGCAACGUUGAAUAUUGAGGCACCGGAGGAAAAAGCAUUGGCUAUGUAUCUUGGUCGAUUUGCCUCGAAUUGAUCACUAAACAUGGGGAUAUCGUGGGCCGAGCUUCAACGCAGUGGCAAAUUUCAUUUGGGUAACUGAAUUUUUUUUUUUGUUUAAUUUGUUUAGAGUUCAAUUGUUUAGAUCUAGGCUAAUUUUUAAUGAUAAUUUUUAUGAUUAAAUUAUAUGAGUAUGCUUAAAUUUUUUUUCCUUCAAAUUUAUUUUCUGAUGUUGCAUUUGGUUAGCAAAAAGAUAAAAAUAGUAGAAAAUGUCAGAAUUAUUGUUAUGAAAAUGUUGUUUUAGUCUGAUAUUGGGAAAAUAUCAUUAUACAUAUUGGCAUGAUAUUCAUGGGAGACAAAAUUGAGAAUGAUGACAGACUAUGCAUUGCUCACAACUAAUUUAAAACUCACUAUUUCUAUUGUUUGUGUUUCAGUAACUUUGGGGGAAUUCCAACUAUAGUUAAUAAGCUAUAAACUUGUUUAGGAUUGCUGAUCAAUUUGCUAGAAAGAGUUGCAAAGUAAUUAGCUUUCUCUUAUAACUUUUACAGAUCAUCUGUGGAGGAGAACUGCAAGGAGUUGAAGACUCUAGACCCUAAACUUCAUAUCUUGAUUUAUAAGUGCAAUGGGCAUAAGUCCGAAUUAUGGGCUGGAGAUGGUAUAUGUAAUCUUUCUACUCUUGGUGUUUUUUUUUCCUCUAGUUAUUUUUUGUUCUCUACUCCAUUGUAUAUUUGUAUUCAAAAGUAUUUUUUCUUUGUUUUAAGCUUUUAAAUUUAUGGAGAUGAUCUUAUUAGGUGUUAAAAAAAAUAGUUGUAGAGCUUUACUAAAACUAUGUAAACUCCUAUUGAGAUUUGGGUUUGAUUUUGUAAGAUUGCUAAAAAUUUCAUAUUUUAUACUUGUUUUAUACUUUUCUAGUUGAAUUUCUUGCUUGUGGAAGAUAAAAUAAAAGUCCAAUUCAUGUUGUAAAAUUUUUUUUCCUCCCUUCUUUCUUUCCUUAUAAUCUGGCUCUGGCUUUGGUGCUAUGCUUGGUGCAGUUUAUGGUUUCAAUGCAGGGAACCAAUUUCAUCAUAAUCAUCUUAAAGGAUCAAAAUGGCUUUCUUUUGUAACUGGGUAAGUCAAUGCUACUUCCUGAAUUCGAUUUGGAGUUCUUUCGGAAUAGAUUUCCUUCCCUUACAUCACUUGGCUUCUAGUUGCAUCUUCUUGGCUUUCUCCAGCGGACUUUUUUAUUGGCAAAAUUCCUUUGUUUCUAUUGUUUUCAAGUGCUAGUGCUGGAUUUAGAGGUAUGAAUGGUGCCUUCAUUUUUAUUUUUUUAUUUUUAUUUUGGGUGUAUAGUACUGUAAUAUACUUCUUUGUAUAGCUAGUACAAAAUAGUUCUUCAACUUCUUACUUUUGGCUUUAAUGGGUUCGAUAUAUGAUAGCGGAGCCCUAUCAGCAUUUGAUGUCAGACAACAAAUAGGGGACAGAUGGGAUUAGAAAAAUAAGAAACAUGACCAAAAUAAAAAUCUAAUCUACUCAUAUAAGCAACUCAUCAAAUAAGUGUAUCACAUACUUAAGUGAAUAAGAUUCCGUGAUUUCUAGGAAUCCAAGUCAAAUUAUAACAUUCUUUAAAUAAGACUCACAAGCUUAUUAGGUGUUAUAUUGAAUCAUCUAAGUUGAAUAAUCUUUUGGGUUGAAUAUGUUAAUUUCUUAUUCCAUAUGUUUCAGCCUCUCAAUAGUUGAAUUAGCAAUGAAAAUUUGAAAAUGGAAAAACUCAGUGCAAUUAUUUUAGGUGCUUAUCAUAGAUAAGAAUUUCACUUUUUACACUUCAUUGUCUGUUGUCAAAUUUAUUAAGUAUGAACCCGGAUUAGGUUUGUGCUCUCAAGGAUUUAUAAAUAAGUGCUACUUGACUUAGAUGUAAGAAAAUUGAAAAGCAGAGUUGCUUGAUUGAAUAGCUUCAUAUUUUACAUCACAGAAACUCAAUUUUCAUUGCCAUAUGUAGCUCAAAAGAGCAUGAACAUUGAACAUUCAGCUAAUUUAUACUAAUUAAUUAACACAACUAUCAGUUCUUACUUCUUGGUACCCGGCAACAUCCAUCCAUAAGAGUGAAACCCCCAUUGAUUUCAUAUAUACAAAAUAAAUAACUUACAAAGACAAUACCUGACAAUCACAACAAAAACACCAAUUCACUCCAAUAAACAACAUAACGAAUACAUGGUCUAAAUUGCAAGUCUUGUUACGAUUUUAAUUAAAAGAGAAAAUGCGAAGGACAUGUUAUAUAUAAUUGAAUGUUAUCCUUGAUAAUUAGACAAAAUAACACUAAUGUAGCUAACUAAUCCAAUCAUUGUAAUAAUUGGAUUUUCUUUUUUUAAUUAUGUCUAUUGAUGCUAAUUUAAUCAAGAACACUGAAUACUUGAGUGUUUUUAUGUUCAACAACUUUGGCUAAGUUUGAAAAGAUCAUAUUAAUUAUUAAUAUAAAUAAAUAAGCCAACAAGGUACAUAUUACAUAUAUGUGUAGUUGCAAUAAAUACAUAUGUAAUAAAGAUCAUAAAGCUCAGGGCCAUUAAUUCAACAUUACCAAAUCAAUAUCCCAAUAAUGGUUUGAUUACUAAUCUAAGCAUUAAAUGAUCAGCAAACUUUAUUUGGCCAAAACAAAUGCUUCCUUGUUGCCUCCUUGAUCUUUUCCUGGCUGGUGAUUCCUGAAUGUUCUUCUCAUUUUGAUAUGCUGAGUCGUUUGCUGAUUAUAAAUGCUAAUCACCUUAAAUUUUCUUAGUCUUCUUCUUCAUGUGAAAUUCUACCUAAUGGCUAUCCUUUUAUCUGGUUUGAAUUCUUCUUUUUUCUUUGAAUUGUUGAUUUCUAAUGUUCUUGUCAUUCGCACAUGUGGCGUUCUGCACUCUUGCAAUGCCAUUUCUUAUUAUGGCAGCAGCAUUCUUGGUCAUGGCAUCACAAGCAAAUGCUUUUGAAUUGCUUUGUUUGAUUUUUGUUUCUAAUAUUUUUUUUUUUUGGCAUUGUGGGAUACUGUUUCUCUUUUGAUUUUCUGUCUUUGUUGUUAUGGGAUUCUGGUAUAGUAUGCAUCAGUACACAUAUGAAGAUGAUGUGAUAAAGUGCUUUUGAUAAAUUGCCCCAGUCAGUUUACUUCACAAACCAACCAUUAAUGAGCAAAUCCUUCUAAUGACCCUUGUACACAUUAGAAUAAAUACAAUUCUAUAUAUACACAAAAAUAAAUAACUCUCAAGUAUAUUAUUUGAUAAUCGCAAAAGCAACAAUUCACUCCAAUAAAUCUCAUAACACACUCAUGUUCUAUGUUGCAAGUCUUUGUAGAGAAAAAAUGAAGGACACACAAUUGAAUUUUUUCUAUAAUAAAGAACUCUAAACAAAUUCAUAUACAUAUUGCAGUACCCCUUACAAAUUCAUUUGUUUCUUCUUUUCCUUUGAUCAAGUGCUAAUUACAGCCUUGAUAUUUCAUUUGGUUUUAGUUAAUUUUCUAUAGGGUUGUGUUGUGUGAAAUUAAUUACAAAACAAUCUUUAACGAAGUCUUAUGAAAAUACCAUAUUAUAACUACAAAGUUAGGCUUCCUAAUCAAGCUACUGUUCAUCAGAUUGUGUAUUGUGUUACUGGUGAGCUCUUAUGUCAAUUAUGACCAGAUGGCGCCUUGGCUAACUGUGAGUUAUGUGCGAACAUAAGAGCUGCAAAUGAGUUAUGUACUAUUUUUAUGUGACAAGGUAUGUGCUCUGUUUUUAUGGUCUUUCUCUCUGUAGUUCCCUCUGUAGUUUUUUUUUUUUUGGGAUACAUUGAUAAUAAAAUUAGAAGUCUACUAAUAUGUACAACCAGAAACCUAUUGGGGACUUUUUGUCUUUUGAUGCAGUUGUAGGGCACAGCUCAAAUAUUCUUUCCUCAUUUAAUAUUGGAGAAAUCCGACUCCCAAGCGAUUCUGUCUACGGUUGUUGGACAAACUGUAAUGUGAAUUUCUAUCUAAUGGGUGUAUCAUCCUUGCAGUCAGUUUGGGAUUGUUGAUAUAGAUAUGAUGUUUAGUCUCCAAAAUUCAGAUGAUGAUAAUGUUGUGAGUACUUUUUGUCAUAUUUUCUUUUGUGUUGGUGUUGGGAUCUUAAUUUUGUAUCCACUGUUAGGACAAUAUGAACCCAUUUUAAGUGAUAUGAUGCAAGUUCAUGUUCAAGAAUCCAUUUAAUGAAACAUUCCAGUGUUUAAUAAUGAGUAAUUGGUUUAAGAUUAAUACCAAAUAUUUUAAGUAACAUGUGGCGUAUUCUAGUGAGAUCCUCCAACUCAGAUUUCUAACUCAAAUGGAAACGUUUCGAAUUUCUUCAGAACAUUCUGCAGAACGGUUCGUCUUGUCUUUACAGUUUCUUUUGUGAAUUUCUCCCAGUUUCUUUUGUGAAGACUUCUGAAUAAGCUUCCAGAUAUUGAGAUACAAUCCAAUCUAAGCCCAUACGUAUAUACGCCUCACAUUUGUCCAUUUCCCCAGAAAAUCAAAAAGCACUUUAGUUCGAAACAAACACUCUAAAAAAAACCAUCUAGCUACCCAGAUGGCGAAAUCAAGAAUCUUGCAAUGGCAAUGCCAUUUCUUGUUAUGGCAGUAGCAUUGAUGAUCAUGGCAUCACAAGCAAAUGCUCUGAUGCCGUACACACGAUCACCUUUCUUUGACGUGAUGUUCCCAAUGACGGAAGAUCCUUUCAGGGUUCUUGAACAAACCCGUUAACAAUCCCAAAAGGAGCUGAACAUCAUCAAACUCUAGCACUGGCGAGAGCAGACUGAAAGGAGACACCAACAUCACACGUGAUCACACUCGACAUUACAGGGAUGAAGAAAGACGAUGUGAAGAUUGAAGUUGAAGAGAACAGUGUACAGAGAGUGAGUGGGGAGAGGAAGAGUGAUGAUUAUUAUAAGGAGGAAGUUGAAGGAGAAAAAUGACACAGAGCUGAGAGAACAUUUGGCAAGUUUUGGAGGCAGUUUAGGAUGCCUAUGAGUGCUGACUUGGAUCAUGUUAAGGCUCAUUUGGAAAAUGGUUCUAAGGAUCACAGUGCCAAAACUUGCUGAGGGGAAGAAGAGGCAGCCUAAGGUUAUUUAAAUAUUUUUAUUAGUUAUAAUAAGUUAUAAAUUUAUUAAUAAAUUAUAAUGUAAAAAUAAAAAAUGCUAUUAUUGAAUGAUAAAUUAUUUAUUUAUUAAUUUAUAUUAAUAAUUAUAAUGUAAAAACAAAUAAAAUAAAAAUAUUAUAUUAAAUUAAAAACUAUAUUUAUUUAUUUAUUAUUUUAGUAUUAUAAUAAUAAUAAAACAAAAAGCAAAAGUUAAAAGCAAAAGCAAAAAAAAAAAAAACAAAGCUAAUGUGUCAGUUGAUGCAUUAGCUACAGUGCUUUUAACCCAUGUCAUGUUUCCCCAAACAUGGUACAAGUAUUAACUUAAUGUAAAUAGUAAUUUAAUACCCCCUUAAUACUACAACCAAACACAUUCAAAGAUAUUCAUCUUCUGUCAUAUUAAUGUGUUAGUACGAAGGUUUAUUGGAAUUAUAAUAGUUUAGAUUAAUCCAAAAUAUUCAAUAAUUGAUAAAUAGUAUAUAUAAAUAUUAAUAGCAAUGGCACAUAAUCAAUUAAUUCAAGAACUUGCCCAUAGUGCAUUAAGUUAAAAGAGUAAAAAUAACAUUGCAAUCAGGGAUAUUUAUAACACUGUUGCUGAUGAGGCAGCUGUUAAUUCUUCUGGUGAAGAUGUUAAGACCACUAAAGCUGGAAUGUAAUCAGGGAAAUAUAAUGUAUUCACUUAGUUUGCUAUUUGUGUUUUUUAUAUUUGUUUGGCUAAUUCUUUGCUCAGAUUGCUUUUUUGUUUUUGAGAUUUUAUUGGCUUAGUCGUGGGAUAUUAUUUAAUCUUUUAAUUUUGUGUUUUUAUUGUUAUGGGAUUUGAUGAUGGCAUACAUAUAAGAAAAUUAUGCAAGAAAGUGCUUUUAAUAAAUUAUGGUCAGUUUACUAUUAAUUAACCAAAUUUAAUUUACUCAAAUUACUCCUAUACACGAUCAAAAUAAUUUCAAUUCCAUGAUAUAAAUACGCGCAUGCGGACACACAAAAUGUAAGUAACUUUUAAAUACAAAAUAUUUAAAAUAAUCAUCACACUAACAAUUCACAAGUUAGAUUAUAUUAAGGCCACCAAGGCUUAAAUGUAAUUGAUUAAGGAAAGAAGUGCUUGCUUUGCUUGAUGUGCCAUUUGUCUAUGAUGUUUUCUUGAUUUUGUUGUGUGAUGCUUCUCUUUAGAUGUGCUGUUUAUUGUAUUUUGAUGGGUUUUUGAGGAUGGUUGUAUGUAUUAGCAACAACAAGGUGCUUUUUAUAAAAUCCGGGUUCUAAUUUUGUAAAAGAAAUUAAUACUCUCGGUUUAUUGUUAAUAAAAAAGAAAAAAGAAAAAGCCUUUUUUCUUUGGCAUAUAUUAUGCAUUUUAAGAAAGAAAAAAAAUCACAUUCCAAUUCAUGAAAGACAUUCAUUCUGUCAUAUUGAUGUGUUAAUAGAAAGAUUUAUGUGAAUUAUAACAAUUUUGAUGAAUCUAAAUAUUUAAUAACUGAUAAAUUGUAUUUAUAAAUAUUAAUACCGGUGGCACAUAAGCACUUAAUUCAAGAACUCGCCUAUAGUGCAUUAAUUUAAAGAGUAGAAAUAUUUAAUAAAUCAUGCUCGGUUUACUAUUAAUUAAUCAAAUUUAAUUUACUCAAAUAUACUCCUCUACAUGAUCAAAGUAAUUUCAAGUAUACAACACACAAAAAUGUAAAUGACUUUGAAAUAUAAAAUAUUUAAAAUAAUCACCCCGCUAACAAUUCACCAGCAAGAUUAUAAAUAGUCGAAAUAAUGAUAAUCUAGGGGGUACAGUCAUAAUAAUUUGAUUUUUAUUUAUAUUAAUUAUAUCAAAAAGAGUACUCGAGAUUAUAUAUAUCCAACAGCUAAAAUUUCAAAACAAUAUUUGUCAAAGUCUGAUGAAGAGAAUAUAUAUAUAUAUAUAUAUAUAUCAUGCACUCGCACACAUUCUAUUGUUUAAUUAAAAAAUUUGAAAGCCCAUUAUAUACAUGAUAAAGACUCACCGACACUGAACCAUAUUCAUUUAAAGGAAUUGUUUUCAACUGAGAUUUGAAAUUAUAUACACAAACACACCCGUUUUUUUUUUAAAAUUACUAAUAAUAAAAUAUUUCAGUCGUGCUCUGUUCAGCCACCAAAAAUCCAUUUAUAUAUCUAACAGAUAAGAUGUCAAAACAAAUUUUGCCGAAAGCAAAAAGUCUGGUGAAAAGAAAUGUUAUAUGUAUAUAACCGUACAGGCGCAGGGGAAGGAUAAGUCAAAAGAAAAACGAAGUUUCAACAAGAAAUUAAUUACACAUUUACACUUAAUGAGAAAUUAAUUCAUUACUUUCUAGCGCUUGCAGUCUAUUUUUUAAUAAAAAAAAUUCGAAAACCGAUUACAUGAUAAAAACUCACCGACACCGAACCUUAUUAAUUUAAAAUAGUUUUCAACUAAAAUCGACACGCGGUAGAAAAUGGUAAACAAACUAAAGGAAGACUAAAGGACGACAAAAAUUAGCGUGGUUUCACGCGUUCUCUUACGUCAAUUCAAAAAUGCAUGGGACCAUAAUAAAUAAUAAAAUAAAGAAUAAGAAAAUGAAAAAGCAGCUCAAAUUUCUUCAUUUUAUCUUUUUCCUUAUACUUUAUCCAGCAAAUCUCCCCAGAGAGAUAGAGAGGAUAGGAAACUAAUUUUAAUCCUUUUUCCUCUUAAUUUCAGCUUAGCACCGUGUGAGCAUUCCCUUUUCAUCAAACGAUGUCGCUCUGCUUUGCUUCAAUUCAUUUCAGCUGGUCAGCACGUUGUGAGCUCUGCUCUGUUUCGAAAAUAAAUCAGAACAUAAAAAAUUUUGUGCCCAGGCCAAACUGACAAAAUUGGAAAACUGAACUGACUUUUAUUGAUUAUCUCUAUUACAAACAUUGAUUUUGUGCCGAGGCCAAACACUUAUUAUAGAAGCUUGUAGUUGAGACAGGAAUAGAAACAGAGACAAACAAAAACACACAAACACAAAAAAAAAAAAAAAAAAAUUCCAGCAGCAACAACUCCAGCAUCAAUUCCAGCACCAAUAACACUUUCAGCAAAAAAAAUUCCAGUAACACUUCCAGCAAAAAAAUUCCAGCAGCAACAACCUGGCUAAGGGGAGCCGUGGUGUGGCGCUUUGUGAGUGGAUGAGGAGAUGAGAAGGGAGAGAGGUUGCCCCAGUUUGACCCACGAACCCGACCCGCGAACGUGACCCGGUUGGAUUUCACGAUCCCGGCCACUCUACCGGCCAAUCAAGGUAUUGAUCUGAAGCUUGGAAGCCAGCCCUCGUUUCCCUGCCAUCCUUGCCGCCGAAAACCAACAAGAACGCCGUCGAUUUAGCUCAAAAACCGCGAACCCGACCCGACCCACGAACGUGACCCAGUUGGAUUUCAUGAUCCCGGCAACUCCACCGGCCGAUCAAGGUAUUGAUCUGAAGCUUGGAAGCCGACCGUCGUUUCCCUACCAUCCUCGCCGACGAAAACCAACAGGAACGCCGACCUUUUAGCUCGAAAGAACCACGGCUCCAACACACCACCGCGUGAGUUCUACUCCCUCGAUCACGUGAUGGUUGUGGUCCGUCGUCUGUGGGCUCGUCCGUCGUAUGUGGUUUGUCAAACGGAAAGUAAGAGUGCGUGGCUGAUUGUUGAUUGUGGGUGUGAUUCUGUGGUUUGUCAGAAGGGAAGUAAAGAGUGCGUGCGUGAGUGAGUUUGUGGUUUCUAUUCCAGCUAAAAGGGAGGUGAGAGAGAAAAAAAAAUUCUUGUUAAUGCUUUAUUGGCUCACGCAUUAUGUUUAAUUUAAUUUUUUAAAUUGAUUGUGGGACUAACUUAAAAUUCACGCAUGCUCAUUUUCUAAAGAGAGAGGAUAGGAAACGACAGCAUGUGCUGCCGUUUCUGUCUUCCUUUUGUCGUCCCUGAGUCUCAAUAUAAGCACUCUAUUUCAUUCGUCCAAUUUAAAAAAAAAACUAAUAAUAAAAUAUUUCACCAACACAUAAUACACGCCCAAUUUAAAAAAAAAACUAAUAAUAAAAUAUUUCAUUCGUCCUAUGUUGAGUCGUCAAAAACCACUGGAAGAUGGAUUCUAACACGCGGUAUAUGGGUUAACAAGUCCCAAUAUUGUCCUCCAUCCUUUCUGCACUUCUCUUCUAUCAACGGACAUUCGUCGAUGUAUAAUCGCAAAAGUGAGGAAGGCAGGCCCUUCUCCGAAAAGUAUUUGAGCUUGGGACAAUCAUAGAGUUGCAAGUAUUUGAGGUUUUGAAGAUCAACAAUUGAAGAAGAUAGGCGUUCCAGAUUUGGAAAAUCUCCAAUCGUCAGGGAUGCUAGAGAGGCAGGAAGAGGAAGCGUGGUCCCCAAUCUUCUGUCCUCUGGUGGGAAUGACACCAUGUCGUCAUCACAUCCUUCGAUUGUAAGAUGUCGCAGAGAGGAGAAUUUGUGAAAUCCCCGCUCAAUCAUUGACUUCCAAAUCUCCAUAUUACGCUCAAUCUUCAGAAAAUGAAGGUUGGUGGGAAGGCCAUCUUCUUCAAGGCUUGGAAGCUUACCUCCUAUUCUUAAUUUUUUAAGAGACUUCAGAUUGUGCAAUCCCUUGGGUAAGGCCUCUAGUCUCUCACACCUAUAGAUCCCGAGCUUACUCAGUUUCGCACAAGGCAAUCCCCCUUCGGGAAAGGACACCAGAUUUUCACAUCCCCAUAAUUGGAUCUCUUGAAGCUGGCGGAGAUUAUGUAAACCACUCGGUAAAAAUUUCAGAUUUUCACACCAUAAAAUACUGAUCAUUUCAAGAGAUGUGUUGUUGUCCAACCUUUCUGCUAUUGACUCCAGCUUUGAACAACUCCAAACAUUAAGGCUCUUAAGAGACGGAGGUAGAUUGCCAACUUCAAGGGACUCAAGCGUGGCAGGUAACUCGUUUUUUGAAAAUAUACAUGUCAGUGAUGGACAAUCCCAAAUUUCCAACUUCUCGAGAAGAUAUGAGGUGUACCUUCUGCUGCUACUCUGGAUGCCGUCUUCCACUGUCAAAGUCCUUAUAUUAUCGCAAUGGCUGAUGUCCAACCUCUUAAGGCUCGGUGGUAGCUGGACUCUAGCAAUAUAUGGCAACGAAUGGCAACUCCAAAUCUUCAAGAUCUCGAGAGAUGAAUUGGUGCCGCACAUCCAUGCCUCUGGUAACGAUUUCAGUGCAUCACAUUCUCUAAUCUCAAUUUUCUUCAACUUGGAAGGCAGAGCAACCUCAGGAAAGGAAACAAGGGAAUGACAACGGCAGAUUUCUAUCUCUCUCAAGGAACUGAGGCUGAGAGAUGAUUGUGGCAGCUUCACAAGGCCUUUGCAAUAUCUCAAUAUUAGAUAUUCGAGUCUGCAUGACAACUCGCAGAGCUGCUGUUGUUGGUCUUUCUCUUCCUCCGCCACCAAGGAUUGAAGUUUGGGACAGCUGUCAAUCGUCAAUCUUUUGAGAGAGCAAAUGUCUUGUAGUAAUCCGUCAUGACUCUUCCAUAUAUAUGUUUGCUCUUUUGUCGACAAAAUUAAUUCUUCCAAUUUCUGUAGUUGUGGCUUCAAUGGCCCCGCAAGAAACACUUGAUUUGAUGUAUCUCUACAAACCACUGAAUUCUGUGAUCCGAGAUGAUCAGUUGCACUUCUCCACACAACCUUUUUACAUCCACCAAUCUGUAAUUUGCAAAGAGCUGGAAGACUCGAAACUGAAACUGACAAUUCUUCACAUCCUUUAAUAACAAGCUUCUCCAAUGCAGGAAGGUGCUCUGGAAAUGUUCCUUGCAGCUUAGAACAUCUUAAAAUGUGAAGCUCUCUCAAUUUAGGAAACCCUUCAACUCCUUGACCGGAUCCAUGAGGAAUCCAGUCUUCCCAUUCUUCCAUGUCUUCAAAACGAAGAGUCUCCAAGUAUGGAAAAGGAAUUGAAGCAUCCUUCCCAUAGAACUCUGGAUCUAAUCUCCUUACGCUGCUCAUUCCACAUACUACGAGAUGCUUUAGAGAGGGUAGUUGCCCGACUGACGGAAGGGCCGUACAUAUGCCACAAUUUUCAAAUUUUAAGGUCACUAAAUUUGAGAACAAGGAAUCUCCCAACCAAGUUGGAAAUUUCAUACCUCCAUAGCCUUUGAUACAAAAUUGCUCCAGAUUUGCAUGAGGUUUUAGCACGUCAAGCACGCCCAUUUCAGUUUCUGCCUCCCUUGAAGAUGAACCAUCGGUACUGCAAGUCCAAUUAAGCGAUAAUUCUUUCAGAUUCUUCUUUCCAUCCAUUUGAGCCUCCAUGGCAUCACCAACGCAUUUUACAUUCUCCAAUUUUGAAAUUUUAAGUGUCCUCUCAAGAUGCGUCAACGACUUCAGCUCUCUUAACCCGGAACCACUGUCUUUUGCCACAACAAAAUUACACAACGUUUGAAGACAAGUCAGCCUGACAAUUCCUAGUGGCAUUUCCUCCAAGGAAUCUGUAUUUGAAUUUUUAAGAUGAUGCAAUUUGAUGAGGUUUCCCAUGUCUGCACACAACUUCUUCAGCCGAUCACAAUCUUCCAACAAAAGACUAUGCAAAUUGUAAAGCUUGUUGACUGAUUCAGGCAGAGAUCUAAUCACAGCUCCAGACAGGUUAAGGUACCUUAAAUACCUCAAAUCACCAACUGAAUCCGGCAGCUCAGGGAUGCAGUAUCCACGCAAAGAGAAGACCCUCAAGCGUUGGAGUUUGAGCAACUUAGGAAGAAUGCUAGGAGCCAAGUAGCAAGGCCCACUAUUUGUCAACAUUACUGGUAAAAAAGUUCUCAAAUGUUGGAUAUCAUACAAGUCCCCAAACCUUUGAACGCCAUCAUAAUCUCCACGAAUGUAUGAUAGAUGACGAAGAUUUCUGGAAAAACAUUGUCGCUUGUUAACCUCAGAGGUAUACUCCAGUGUGAAGUAUGUCUCCCCCCCUGCAGCCCAACGGGCAAGGCCGUUGAUAAGAUCGUGCAUAACAAAUCGUGAUGCAUCGGUGGCCGAUUGCUGGAAAAAAGAUCUUGAACGUAGCUCUUGAAAGAACUUUCGACCUAGAUCUUCGUUAGGAUUCCCACUCUCUUUAUGAUCCAAGAAACCCGAGGCACACCAUAACAAAAUUAUCUCCUCCUCGUCAAAUUCAUAAUCCUUCGGAAACAACGAGCAGUAUGCAAAGCAUUGUUUCAAAAUUGGAGGAAGAUAAUAAUAGCUCACUGCAAGAGCUGGUAUAAUGGGACAUCUAUCUUCUGGUAAUUCCCAUAUCUUGCUACUGAGCACGCCUUUCCACUCACGUUUGUAAGGUUUUCCAUGUAAAAGUCCUCCCAGUGUUUUUGCUGCCAAGGGCAAGCCGUUGCAUUUGAUCACUAUCUCCUUGCCAAUUUCCUCCAAUGACUUGUGUGAACUGAAAUCUGUUGUCUCCAAAGAGUGCUGAGCGAGUACAGACAGACAGUCCUCAGUUGACAAGCUUUUGAGUUCAUAAGCUUGAUCCAGGCUCAUGAUUUUGGCAACCUCUUCAUUGCGAGUAGUGACAACAAUCUUACUUCCCUGUGCGCCAGCUUGAAAUGGAAGGCUGAGGCGAGCCCAAUCAGUGUAAUUCUCAUUCCAAACGUCAUCUAAAACAAGCAAAAAUUUCUUUCGAGACAACUGCUUCUUUAGCUCCUCUUGAAGAAAAUUUAAAUCAUUAUUAUCAACAGUCUGCUUAGUAAUGGAGCUUAGAAUUGUUCUUGUUAGCCCCUUAACGUCGAAAUCCUCAGAGACACAAGUCCAUGCCUUGAGAUCAAAGUGAUCCUGCACUCGCUUAUCAUUGUAGACAAGCUGAGCAAGAGUGGUUUUACCCAGCCCGCCCAUACCUAUAAUAGGAAUAACUGCGAAUCCACCAUCAUUUCUUGAAUCAUCCUUCAACAACAAUUCAACAAUUUCCUUCUUUUCUGUUUCCCUGCCAUAAACUUUGGCCUCCACCAAAGAAGUUGUAUCUCGCCUUUGCCUGGCUUUUUUGGACCCCCCAGCUGAACUUUUUAUCAAAUUCAGCGGGCCUAUUCCUUCUUCAAUAUCUUGAAAUCUGUCGUUGAUCUUUUUGAUUUUGGACAUCAUGGCGUAAUCGAACUGAAUCGACCGUGGAGUUAAAGUGGUGCAGCAAGUAGGAAUGAGCUUCCGAAACUUACUCUUCGUGCUUGUACGACUGCUGCUGGCUUGAUCAUGAGCAGCAGCUGGUUCUCCAUUUCCAAGCAGCAACUUCCUCCGGAAAGCCUCAGUUUGGAACUCAUCCAACAAGUCUUCAACGUCAUAAACCAAGUUCUGAAGCUCGCCAAGCCACAACUUCACAGCAUCAUUAGUCGUCUUCUUCUCCUCAGCAUCAUCAAGCACCGCCUUGAUCGUCACCAACUUAUUCUUCCACUUCACUAGAUCUGCUUGGAUUCGACCUUGGCGUGCAAACAACCGAAUCCCCUCUGAAGCUAAUUUAUUGAUCAGCAUCUCAACGGACGCCGUAAGGAUUGCCUCUCCGAUGAUCGACAUUUUUUCUUUUUUCUUUUUUUGGGUUUUUUUGGACAGAGAAAGAAACUGAAUUAUGAGUUUGUGGAAAGCAAAAUGAGAAAAGUGAAUAAGCGGAAUGUGUUUGUGAUUGUGUCUAGCAAGCCUAGAAAUCAAGAAAAACCCACUGUAAAAGUGAAAAGUAAAACGGAUCCCACCACAAAUAUAAAAUCAGAGGAGCACAGAAAUUAUAAAAAAAAAAAUCAAACAUGUAAUGAUUUGUAAAGUUAUUAGCGAUUUGUAAAAAUCAAACACGCGUCUUCUUCCUCUGAUUGUAUUUUUUAUUUUUUCUUUUUCAAAAGAGAUGGUGGGGUUGGGUUGUUUGCAAAGUUAAUUGCGUGGGUCUAUUUGUUUUUUUUUUUAACUUUAUUAAUUAAUUAGUGAAGCAUGUAAUGAUUUGUAAAGAUCACGGGCAUCAAAUUAUUGAGAGGUAUUGCGCUUAGUAUUCACAAUUUCUUGUAAGAUGAAUUUGUAAGACUUAUUAAUUUUGAUGAAAAUAUAUCGUUAUUAAGUUAUUAUUUAAUUCAUUAAGUUAACUUGAGGUAUUAAUAUUCAUUAAUUGUGGUGCACUGGUGCUGGUGAAUUUACUUAAUUUGUCAUUAUUUAUAAUUAAAGAAUGAGGUUCAAUCAAUUUAUUGGAGAAAAUUUGAUUUUAAUUCUUAGGAUUUGAUUUCACUCUCUUUUAUUUUUUGACGUUGCUAAAGAUGCAGUAACAAACUUGCUAAAUGUCAUCAAAUGCUUGUAUCUUAUCUCACAAAUUGGCAAUAUUUGUUUGGUAUUUCAUCUCAACGGGACGCCGUAAGGAUUGCCUCUCCGAUGAUUGACAUUUUUUUUUUCUUUUUUCCAGCACAGAAAGAAACAGAAUUUUGAGUUUUAAAGCAAAAUCAGAAAAUUGAGCAAAAUGCAGGUAGCAAGUCUUCCGCUUGUUUAUUCCAGUAAAGUGAAAAUAAAAACAGAGCCCACCACCCAUUGAUAAUUGGAAAAUGAUAAACGAACGAAAGCGCAACGAAGGGACGACAGAAAACGCGUUUCCUCAUCCAAUUUUAUUCUUACCGAUAAUAAAUAAUAAAAUAUUUUUUUAUGGGACCGACAACAAAUAGUAAAAUAAAGAACCAAAAAAAAAAGAUAGUGUGAACGAACGGAAGCACAACGAAGGAACGACAGAAAACGCGUUCGCGCAUCAAAAUUUUCUUUUAUGGGACCGAUAAUAAAUAAUAAAAUAUUUUUUUGUGGGACCGAUUAUAAUAGUAAAAUAAAGAAUAAAAAAUGAAAAAAAGGAUAGUGUGCAAUUUUUCUUUUAAUAAUUUGGCAAUUCACCAAUCACCAGUCACCACCACUUGUUACCAGAUUCAAUGAACGUAAAAUCGCACCUCGACAUUUGUAGGGUCAAGCAACAUUAAUCCAGUUGUCCGGGUAAAUGCUGAAUAAAGUGGAAACUGGGAUGUAUCUACUACGAACCUUCCCUUUACAAAUCUUCAAACUGAUAAGCCAGAGGCAGCCCCCACCACCAUCAAUAAUUCAGCAAGUUUCACAUGCUUGUGCUUGUCUGCUUGACGAACCGGAAAUGGGUGGACCAGGCACCAUUGAAUAAUUGGAAAAAAAAUGAAAAAUAAAAAUCCGUGUCCAGCAAAAAGAAUGCAUCUUCAUGUGUUGCUUCCUAUUCAGUACCUCUAGUCAUCUACCUAGCAUUUAAAAAAAUGGAAGUAGUAAUUAAAUCUGACUUUUUUAGAUAUGGCUCAUAUAUAUUACAAGUAUCAAGAUUUAAUUAGAGUACACGUAUUUACAAUGCGUCUAGUUUUAAUUGAGAGAUAAACUAAUCAUUAAUAAUCAGGUUUUUCUAAAUGAUUGAAUAAUGAUAUUAAUUAUUGAUAUUUAUAAAAUUUCUAAGAAGUGAUAACUAAUACGUUGGGGAUAUGUAUUUGUGCGGAAUGGUAAAUAUAAAGAAUAGCAAUAAAAAUGGUGGAACUUUAAUAUGAUAAAAAAAGUAAACUGUAGAAAAUUAAUAUGUAAUUUAAGGCACGUUAUAAAUAUCACUUUUCUUAAGACAUUAUUUACCCCUACCAAUUGAGUGAUGCACAUGAGUUAAACAAAUAUACCUCUAGGAUAUAAUGAAAUGCUUCUUUAUUUGCUUGCGUUGUGCAUCGAAGAAAGUAAACCUGAAUACUCUUGAAUGUUGCAAGCCUGCUAGGAAUCAAUAUGUUGAUUCUGUUAAAAAAACAAUGUAUUGGAUAUUUGAUGCAUAAAAAAUAGAUGUUAUUUGAUGAAAUUCAUUUUAAGAAAUAGGGGUAAGAAAAGAGUAGUGCAUGAUUAUCUUAUUCAUAUCUAAAAUUCUAAAUAUAUGGAUUUAUUUAUUAUGGAGACAUAAUAGUAAUUGUAAAUUAAAAAUAAAUUUAUUAAUAAAAAUAAGGGUUAUAUAUCUUUUUUAAAAUGUUAAGAAGUUUAAUAUCCUUUUUUAGAUUAAAUUUUCUAUUUCAUAUUAAGCAAAACCCACGUCAAAAGUGAAAAGGAUAAACAGAGCCCACAAAACAGAGCGCAUUACAAAUAUAAAAUCGGAGGAGCUCAUGGUCAUGCCUUUUGCUUUACCUACUAAAUUAAAUAAAAGCCAAACCAAAAUCUUACCUUUGCUUAACAUGAUUAAUUAGGCACUGCAUCAGAGAGAACACGAAGGCAAUGAACCAUUUUGUUAAUCUUAAAUGUCAGGAGUAUAAUUAGCUUGGAAUAAAGUUGCAUUCUUCUCCUCUGACCGUCUCUUCAGGUUCAUUUCAAAAGUUUGAAGAGAGUUUCAAUUCUUCUACACUUUAGAUUUUCUAUUUUUUAAUUGUACAGAAAAUGGGACUAAUUUUCAAAUAUUUUCAAAUUCACUUAUUAACAAAAGCUGUACAAAAUGAUUUCCUUUUUAUUUUGAAAUAUUAUACGGAAUCAAAUAACAGUGAUUGAAAGAGUGUAAAGUGGUAAUUUUCUGAUCGUAUUUUCUCUCUUUUUUAAAAGGAGAUGGUGGGGUUUGGUUGUUUUGCAAAAUUAUUGGUGUGAGGGUCUAUUUGUUUUUGUUUUCACUUUAUUAAUUAAUUACGAAGCAAACAUGUAAUCAUUUGUAAAGGGGCAACUAGCAUCGGAUCAUGUAAGAUGAAUUACUUAUUAAUUUCGAUGAAAAUGGAGCAUUAUUAAGUUAUUAAUUCAUUAACUUGAGGUACUAAUAUUUACUAAUUGUGGUGAUUAAUUUAUUUAACUUUGUCAUAAUUUUCAAUUGAGAAUGAAGUUCAAUCAAUGUAUAAAAAGAUAAUUUUUUUAGAUUUUUAAUUCCUAUGAUUUAAUUUCUCUCUGUUUCGAUUAUUGACGUGUUAAAAGCUUGUAGAAUAUCAUGAAAUGCUUGUAUCUCACCUCACAAAUUGACAAAUAUUGGUUGGUUUCUCCAAAGGCUCCCUUGACGAAUUGAAAGUAAAAACAACCACCAUUGAAAAUUAAAUUUUAAAAAUCUUUUUUACUUGAAAUUUUUUAAAAGAAAAAUUAAGUAAAUUAGAUUACAGAUAUCAAUCUUAAUAUUUUGUUGAUGAAAAUUAAUUAAUUAAUCCCAGUACUUUCUUAAUUUUGUGUUGUGCACCGCAUUGGCCACUUCUGAUUGUGUUGCACAUUUGUUAAUUCAAAAAAAUAGAACUUUUGUAUUGAUCAAACUUAUUUUAUUAGUAUUAUUCAUCAUAUGGUUAAUGGCUUAGCCAAUGAAGGAGAAGGGGUCAGCCAAAACAAAUAAAGUACUUUCUCAUGCAUUAACCUUUAUUAAAAAGCUUUAUUAACUGUUGUAGUUAAAAUAAUUUUAAAACAAGUUAAAACAGUUCCAACUCAAAAUCAGUAGGCUGCAAUUGGGUUGUUACACAUAUUUCUAAAUUUCAGUCUAAUUUAAUUGUGUAUGGACAAACUAAGAAAUAAAGUUUCCACCACCGUACCAGUAUGUCGAUUUGCGAAUACAUUCAUUCAAAUAUUAAACGUUCAGAGAAGAAAGCAAACCGUGGCAGGAUAGCAAAACCUGCGAAUGGUCAUUCCCAACACGAACCCCUAUGGCUGUUUUCCUUUUAAUUUUCUUCUUUGAAUUCUCCUUUUAUUAAUAAUUAGAAAAACUCCCUUUUUUUUUAAAUCACGUGUUAUUAACAUUUACAUGGUUAAUGUCAUCGAAAUCAAAUGGUUUUUAUCUACGAAAAGAAAAUUGCUAGAAAUUUUGUUAGUCCCAUUGCAACAAUAUAUUGUUAUAAAUUGCAUUGUGUCCCAUAUAACAAAUAUAAUAAAAUCUCAAUAAAUUAAUAAUUUUGGGAACCAUAAAAAAAUUUAUUAAAAUUUAACAAAUAUCAAUUAAUCAGUAAAUUAAUAAAUUAUUAAUUUAUGAAAAUAUUCAUUAUUUUGGAAAAACAUGAUCACGUUUUUAAUAUUGAUUUACCUUGAGUUAAUAUCUAUUAUGUUUUAUUUGUCUAUUAGUUUUAUCUUGGGAAGAUUUUUCAAGAGUUAGCUGCUUUAUAUUAAGUUAUUAACAGUAAUAAAAUUAUUAGUUGAUACAGGCGAAUUUUCUGACCAAAAUCGUACAAAGAAGUUGAAAGUGUUUAUUUUUGUUAUUUCAAGACAUUCUAACAAACUAUAAGGGGUCACAAAAAGGUUGAUACCCCUACUUGUUCUUUUUUUCCUCAAGAGUCAAGCAAAAUACGACAUAAAAUGUGGCAAGUCUUCCCACUUGUUGUUCUUUGCAGCUAAGAAAAGAAAAACAGAUUCCGCAAUGGAGUCCCCUUAAGUGGCUUGACUGGGUUUGCUCCCCAGUUCGAGUCGCAAGGAAGUCGCCUUUGUUGGGAGAACCUGUGUCCCCCAGUUCGAGCGGGGACUUCUAGUCUAGGUUAUGGUACGGGUUUAAAAGUGCCUCACACAGUUGGGACCUCCCCAGGAUACCUCGUGGUUAAAAAAAAAAAACAAGAAAAACAGAGCCCGCCACCCAUUAAUAAUUUAGCAAUUCACCAAUCACCACAAAAUUCCAUUAGAUAUUCGUCGAUCAAGUAGUUAAUCCAGUGUCUGUUACGUAGAGCCUUCACUUUACAAAUCUUCAACUCAUAAACCAAGUUAAAUCAAGACGUUUCUCUGUAUAUAUAUAUAUAUAUAUUAACUCCUAAAACGUUUCUUUUUAGGAAUAUUUUACUUUAUUCAUCUAAUAUGUUAUCUAACAAAUAGACACAGAUGAAAUCACUCUAAAGUGAAGAUGAAAAGGGAGAAAAAAACAUUCCAACCACCAAUAAUUUAGCAAGCUUCACUUUUAUUCCACCAAAGUGUAAAUAAAGCCAGCCCCCACCACCAUCAAUAAUUUAGCAAGCUUCACACGCUUGUUGUCUUCUCCUUGACGAACUGGACGGGGUGGACCAAGAAUCAAUGAAUGAAUUUUAAAAAUAAUAAUAAAAGAAAAACAUAAACAUUUUGGACUCAGAGUAGAACCGUAAUUAAUGCUAAAAUUUAUUCCGCUAACGUUUUCAAAAUAUUGUUCUUUAUAAUUGUACAGCAAAUAAGACUAAGUUUUGGACAUUUUCAUAUUCACUUACUUUCAAAAGCAGUAUUUCGAAACAUUUUACAGAAUCAAGUAACAGUUAUAUAACGAGAAAAGUGCAAAGUUGUGUAAUUCUAAUGUUUUUUUUUUAUCACAGACACUCAGAUAAUUUUUUAUUUGGGUCGCCAACUCGCCAAUGAACCCAUGAUUGAAUGAGUGUUUAGAAAGAAAAUCAAUAAAAAACAGUUUAUUUUUUGUCGUCGAAAUAUAGUAAGUGAGAAAGAUUAUUCUGUUUUUUUGUUAAUUAGGCUAGUAUUUAUGAUUGAGUGACUCAGAACUAUAUUUUAGAUUGAGAAUCAAUGGUUCUCCCACACUGAGAGGCUGUAAGUUUAAGAUUGUCGUUUGCUAUUUCAUCGACAAGAGAGCACUCGAUUUUAUUAAAUGGAGAAAGUCUUCCUUUUUACUUGAAAAUUUAAUAUACAAAAACUUACUAAUAAAUGACAUAUUAUACAUAAAUUAUUAAUUCAUUUGAUAGUUGAUUAUCGAAUGACAUGUGACCCAUGGGAGCAUGCAGUCUAUAAAAUAAUUCUUCUUUUUUUUUUAAACAAAAAAUCGGUGAUGUUGAAAAGCAUUUCUGUAUAUUAUUAUUACUCUAAUUGGGGUGAACAUUUCAUAAAAAGAAUGCCGUAUGAAACUAAAUUAUUAAUUCAUUUGAUAGUUGGUUAUCGAAUGACAUGUGACCCACAACAAGACAAACUUAAAGCAACGCAGAGGUUUUCCUUCGAAAUACAUAAACAGUUCGAAUAUGAAAUUUCAAUAUCACAAUAAUAUUGAUCAUGAUUCAAUUUCUUUUUCUUGUUUCUUUUUUUGAUUUCCAAUCUUUACCAAAAGAAAAAAUUUAUUGAUCCCUUUUAUCAACUUGCUUUUAUUGACUUUCUUCCAAUAAUAGAAGUGAAAAAGAGAAACCAAUAAUUUAGUACAUGUAUAUAUAGAUAUACACAUGCACAUGCAGCACAUCUAUCUAAAAUUUAAAAAAACUGAAUUAGAAACCUUCUUGAAUAAAUGAAUAGGAAUAGAAAUACUCUCUAAUAAUACUUCCUAAAAUAAUUAACCCUAAAUAAUUUGUCCUGCAUCAUCGAACUCCAGAUCUUAUAAAGUAUAACAGACAAAUUUGAGUUUUUUUUUAAUUAAAAAAAGGAUUGGAAAAAUAAACAAAUAAUGAAGACAGAAGUUAAGCAGACAGAGGAAAAUGAAUUACAUACUGUCCUUGAGAACUCAAUUCUUUAAUAAACUCAAAUUUUUAAAUGUAUAUUUUUUUUUUGGGUAAACUCAUGUCAUAUACUAUAGUCUUUAAUUCGGGCUUUGUUGUAUCAAUUUUUUGGUGGUUAUCUUGUUUUAUUUAUUUUUUAUGCAAUAUUUUUGGUAGAAAUACAUCAGGAAUAAAAGUGAAAUCUCAAUUUUAAAAUUUAGGGGAAACGAAAUACGAUAUAUUUUUUUUAUGAAUAAAAAAAAUUAAUUUUUUUUAAUUCUACCAGGAAAAACUAUUAAUUUAUCAACCCAUCAAGUUAUUGGUUUCAUUUUACAACUGACAGUCGGUUUCUUAGUUUCAUUCCUUAAUUAUCUUUUAAAAGAUAUUACAAUGCUCUGGCCAUUUGGUAAUUACAAAUUAGAAAAGUCAAAUAUUUCUGGCCAAAGACACUAGUGGAAGAGAUUUUGAUUCAUUUUUGUGUACACGCACAACACAAUUAUUUAAACGUCAAAUAAUUGUGAAAUAUAAAUGACAGUUUAUUUAAACGUCAAAUAAUUGUGACGUUUUAUCAAAUAAGUGACAAAUAUAUUACAUAUUUAUUGAAUCAUUAUCAUUUACCUUUUCCUUUUAUUGACUAAGAAAAAAAAAACAAAAAACUUGCUAUACCGCUUCUGUUUUCGUUCUUGGAACAGAUUAGUUUCUUUUGAGAAAAGUCAAACUCAUUCCCAUUACUUUCUUUUCAAUAAUCACCUCUCAGUUUUACAUCAGUCACUCAAUUUCGAAUUUCAUCUCCAUUCUCUUUCAAAGAAGAACACACGAAGAAUUUUAGCUUGCUUUACCUGCUUCUCAAAUUUCAGGUAUUGUUUCCUUUAAUUUUGAUUUUUUUUUUUUACCUCUCUGUUUCUAGUUUGAUAAUUUAGGGUUAUACUUGAAUUAAUUGUAUUUUUAAUCAUCCUAGGUUGAUUUAAUUGAUUCCAAGUCUCAAUUUCCUGUUCAACAAACAAGGAACGCACGAGUAAUUUUCAUUUUCAUUCUCAAUUUUGAAAGAAUCAAUUUAUUUUAUGUGUUCAAUUUUUGUUUAUUUAACUUAGGAUAUCUUUUUCAUUCUUUUCUUCAAGCAGAUUAUAGCGUUGCUCCUCCCAUUGAUCAUAUUGAGAACAGUGCUUUCUCCUUAAUUCCGCCAAGAACAACUUUGAUUUCAGGUGAUAAUUGAAUGUGUAAUAUUUUCAAUUGAAAUUAAUUGAGUCUCGUAAUAAUAAUAGUGAUUUGAGAUUUACAUCCUGUUGAAAUGAUUUUAGAGUGUUCUGCUAUUUGAAUGCGCAUUAAUUGUUUGAUUAAAUGUCUCUUUAAAAGAUUAUUUUUGUUUUUUAGCAAACAUCUUACUGAGAUGCCUCUCGUAAUAGUAUUUACCGUAAUGCACUUUGCUUCAAUUUGGUCAGUUUACACAUUUUAACAAGGGAAAAUUACAGAACUGCAACAGUUUUCAAAUUGAUUGCAGAUUAGAAGCAACAUGUGGCAUUCAACAUUCCUGCAAUGCCAUUUCUUGUUAUGGCAGCGGCAUUCUUGGUCAUGGCAUCACAAGCAAAUGCUUUGACUUGAAGACUUGCUUGGCUAUGAAAAAUAAGGAGAGCAAAGGUAAUUAAUCUUGGUGUGAUCAAUAUUUUUAUGGGGGUACUAAGAAAAAUAAAGAUAAUAUAAGGAAUGUUGUUGAGGAGUAUUUUGAUAUUUACAAAAGUGUUUAAAGUAAAAAUUGAUUUCUUAAAACUCAUUAGCUAGGGCACAUAAUAAUGGGGAGUAAAUUUUAGACUACGAAUAAUCCCACCCAUUUAAUAAUAUUCUUCAAUCAAUUAUGUUUACUUCAAAAAAAAAAAAAAACCCAUCUCUUUAUUACUUUCUAACUAUUCAUAUUAAUGUGUUAAUAAUUAUGAAGAACCGGUGUAAUUUAUAUGAUGUAGGAAGCACUUUAGGCAAAAUCAUCUGAAUCUCAAAAUUUCGUGAUAUUGUGCCAAAUAUCCAAAACAGAGCUUCCUACAUUGCUAUAGCAGUUUUUAAAAGUUGAGGACUCCAAAUAUCCAAUAACUGAUAAAUUGUGUAAAGAAAUAUAAAUAUUAAUGGUGAUGACACAUAUGCAUGGAAUUCCUCUGUUUUGAGUUUGACUAAAACAACCUGAAUAAUUUCAAACAAUCCAUCAGCCCAAAGUCCUUGAGAGAUCGAACUGGAUUUCAGUGCAUCACAUUCUGAAAUUGAAACUAACAUUAAUUAGAAAGGCAGAACAACCUCUGUUUUUUACUAUAAUACAAAAGGGGAAGUCAAACCAAUUCAAGGAACUCUCCUAUUUUUGACUGAAACAUACAUAAUCCGAACAAUUUACAAUUAAAUAAAUCGUUCAAAAUCUCGAACCCCCAUUUCCAUGGUUUAAUAGAAUAUCAUAAAGGUGCCCAAUACAGUGAAAUUAACGUUCAGCUCAUGAAGUUGCCGUUAUAUAUAUUGAAAAAGAAAUCAAUAAAAGAAACUGAAAACCAAUUGACACUGGAUCACGUAAGAUUGUUCGUUGUUAACUAUGAUGGGAAUAUAUACUUGGUCUAUUACUUAUCAUCUAGCUAAUGCAUGUGCACUUUCAUUUGUGUCUAUCACUGAAGAGUAGAGUUACUUGAUUGAAUAGUAUCAUAUCACAUAAACUCAAAACUUAAUUUCAUGGAAAAUGCUUGGUGUAGAGAAGCACAAGAGAAAGAUGAGAGAAACAAUGAAGAAAUGGGUAGAGAGAGAGUGAGUGGGUAGAGAGAGAGAGAGCAAAAUUCUCUCGUCUUUCUCUCAUGCUUCUCUCUCUCUAGCACUACUCUAAUUUCAUUGCGCGAGCAUACCAGGCCAUAUGUAGCUCAAAAGUGCAAUAACAUUGAACAUUCAGCUAGCUAGCUUAUACUAAUUAAUUAAUACGACUACUAGUUCUUUAUGAUUAAUUAAAAGAGAAAAUAUUUGACAAUCACGAAACAUUGUACCAUCACUGAAGAGUAGAGCUUCCUACAUUGUUACCCAAGCUCUUUUAUAUCUCCCAAACAUUAUUAGAGUCCCACAUUUGUGGCACAUCAUUAAGUAAAAUGUGCCGAUUAGGAAGAACUAGCUUCUUUUUUCUGAUUUCUUGAAUGUGUUGCAACUUUUAAGUAUCACUCAAAAUUUUACACCAUCAACACAUGAAAAUUAUACAUAUUCUGUCAGCACUUGCAUAUGUUGCAAGUGCUGACAGAACUUUUCAUUUGAUUUGAUAAUUGGCUAAGGGUGAUUUCAAUAACAUUUCCAAAGAAGAUAUAGAACAUAGAUCAAAAAGAAAAAUAAGUAAUUUGAUCAGUCGAUGCAAAAAAUGAGCGAGCUUCGUAGUCUGACUAACAAGACAUGGCUUGGAGCAAGGAUCAAUGGACAAGUUUGAGGUUUAUGAAAUAUUGGGAUAAGAGAAAUAAUAAAGCCACUACAAGUUAAGCAGAUCAAAUAAACAGAACAGAGGAAAUAAGUGAUCAAUUUAUUACUUUGUGCAAUGGCCACAGACAGCGAAAAUAUGUCUACAUGACAACAUUAUCCGACUGGCAUGGUACUAUCACCGUGCAGCAUUACACUAACAUUUCCUUAUCAAUCAAUUUUGAUGGUAUGAUAUUAAAAACAUUGAUUUCAUAAUUUUAUGUAAUUCAUAGAAAAGAUAUAAUUGAUUUGAGUUAGCUUAACAUAUACGGAAAGAGUAAUGGGGAAUGAUGUCGAUGUGGCAUGUGAUGAGUAAAGAUAGACAACAAAUAUUGAUCGUGUCAUAAUGAAAUAUGUAUUUAUUGAAAAUAAAUUGACAAUUAAAAUUAAUAGAUAUAUAUCCAAUGCAUCGAGUUUAUUUUAUCACUUCGCUAACCAUUUUGUAACUACAUGUUAAUUAGAAGUUCAAUUAAUUUUGACCAAAGACUCUAGAGAAUAUCGAAAAGAGAUUUGAUUUUUGUCUUAAAAAAAAUUAGAAAUGAAAUAAGUCAAAAUCAAUCACAAAAACAACAAUAAGAGCAUAUUUUAUAAAACCACAAAUGCAUAAUAUAAAUUUAGUUUCGAAUUAGAUAAUUAUUAAUUUGUAUAGCAAAAGAGUCUUAUAGAAAAAUAAGAAUUUUUUUAAAGGAGAUUUGCUUAAGGAACAACUUUAGUUUGGUUUAAUUUGUGAAGACUCAACUAAUUGAAAGCAACGCAAUUGAAGGAAAUACAAGCUUUUGAUUUUGACAAAGUAAUCACUAAAAUAUUUGACAAGUUUGAGAUGUUAAAAAAGCUGGAAAAAUAGACAAAUAAUGAAGAUCCUACAAGCUGGCAGAGCAAAUAAACAGAGGAAAACAAAGCAAAUAUUUACUGUUAUACAUAUAUUUUUUUUUAUUUUUUUCCAAAAAAGAAUGUUGCGAUAUUUUUUCCCAAAAAGAAGCACAGUUUGCUAUUACUACCAUAGAACUUUAGCUACCAUUUAUAAGCACGUGUCUAAUUACCAAAUGAAUUCCACUAUAACAAAGAAUAAAAGCUAAUUUCAUUGAUGGCAUAUGUUGUGCUUUCUUUUAUUUUAUUUUUCUCCUUUUAGUUAUUGAAGUUACUUUGCAAACUGCUCCAAGCUAAAUACAAAACUUACUCUUACACUAGGAUCUUUGCAAUGGUCCAGCAAUUUGUAUUCCUUUCGGUGAGAUUGGUUUUUUUCUUUAAAUAAAAUUUCAGGGAUGAGAAAUCUUAUCCAUUGAACAUCAACUUUGAAUUUUAUUAAUAUUCAAACUUAGAAAGUACUGCAGGAACAAAGUGCAUUCAUAGCCGGUUACACUAUGUCUAGCUACAAUGCAAGUUUCACUUAAUUAAAUAUACAAAAUUAAAUCACACGAGCCUCUCGUUUCUGUUGAAAAUUGAUUAAAAAAAAGUUGAAAAGUCAAAUUCAAAGACAUCAUUUGAAUUCAAAUGGGAGGUGGCCGAGAACUUUGAAAAGUAAUUGGAAGUGGCCAAAACUAUUUUGAAUGUUGAAUGGUGGCUAUUGAAUGUUGAAAAAAUAGAUUGAUUUUAGGCAAAAUUUUGCCUAUAAAAGGAAGCUCUCAUUUGAGAGCUUGGCAUCCCAAAUCCCAGAGAAGCGAUCCAAGUUUUGGUGAGAAAUUGAGAGAGAGAAAUGUUCUUAAGCAUGUAGUUAUAUUGUAGGAGUAUUUGACUCCUCAAUAUAGGUGUUACGGGUUUGCUUUGUUAAAGGAUAUUUCUCAGGAUUAUGUAUUUGGGGAUUGGGUGAGAGAAAAUUAUUUCUCAGAGUGUGGUUGUAAUAAUUUUCCACAUAGUGAAUAUUUUUUCUCUGGUUGGCUUUUGACAACGGCCGUGGUUUUUCUCCAGAUUUGGAGUUUUCCACGUAAAUCUACUGUUGUGUGAUUGGUGUAUUCUCCAUUUAAUUUUUUCUGUUAAUUUGUUGCUUGACAAAUUGCUUAGAGUGAUCUUGGGAGGAAGCUCAAUUUCCUAACAGUUUCAUUAUACUUCAACUUAAAAUUAAAACGAAGAAUUGACAGUAUUGGAGUUUCAUAUUUAAUUUUGCUGCAGUUAUGGGGAAUCAGAUGGCCAUCCAUUUUGACGUCUAUUUUAUGGCCAUCCCCACUAAGUAGCUUGGUCAUAUACAAUAUGUGUGUGCGUGUGUGUGUGUGUGUAUUGGGAUGUCACAGGCGCUAAAAGAUAAAGCUGAACAUCAAUCCCAAAUCUAAAGUGAAAAACAGUAGCUAGAACAGAAUCUUUGUUUCGAUGUCUUAGUUUAUAAGCUGGAACAAUUGAUAGUAUACAAGAUGCAUGAUAGAACAGAGAACUCAUAUUUUAGCAAUAAUCCUCAGCUCACCGCCCCUUAGUUCAGAGUGGCAGUUCUUAUAACAAAUAAUUGAAGACUUGCUUGGCUAUUGAACCACACGAAGGCAAUUCGUGAACAGCCUUGAUAUUUCAUUUGGUUUUAUAUAAUUCUCUGUAAAGUUGUCUUGUGUGUAAAAUUUUUGUUAAAUGAAAUCGGUAGGUGAAGAGAAUUUUUAAAAGCAAACAUCAAAGUAACGAUCAAAUGGAUGAAAUCGGUAUAAAUAUUGAUUGUCUCAAGUUAGAUUAUACAAAGAUGAAAUAAUGCUAAUCUAGAAAAUCCAAUCAUUAUAAUUUGAUUUCCAUUAUAUUAAUUAUGUUCAAUCAGGCUAUUUUAAUGAAGAACACUCGAGCAUUUAUAUACAUUCAGCUUAUGAAAUUAAUUACAAAACGAUCUUUGACCAAGUCUGAUGAAAAGAUCAUCUUGCAAGUACAAAGUUAGACUUCCCGAUCAUGCAACUAUGCAUCAAAUUGUGUAUUGUGUUAUCAUUGAGCUCUUAGGAAGAUUCAGCUGCUGAGGAGAAACUAUCCAUCAAAUUGUGUAUUGUGUUAUCGUUGAGCUCUUAGGAAGAUUCAGCUGCUGAGGAGAAGAUAUAAUCUGUUUUUAUGUGACAAGCUAUGUACUCUGCUUUUAUGGUGUUUCUAGUUGUUGGACAAACUGUAAUAUGAAUUUCUAUCUAAGGGGUAUUUGUAGUUGGUUUUGGAUUGUUGAUUUACAAAUGAUGUUUGGUAUCCAAAAUUCAGAUGAUGAUAAUCUUGGCAGUACUUUUGUCAAAUUUUCUUUUAUGUUGGUGUUGUUUUAAUUAAAUAUCACAAAGGUGCAAAAUACGGUAAAAAUAACAUUGAGCUCAUGAGAUUGCCAUUAGAUAUAUUGAAAUAGAAAUUGAUACAAGGAACUGAAAAUUAGUUGUUAAUUAUGAUGGGAAUAUAAUCUUGGUAUUUUAAUUAUAUCUAUCUAACGCAUGUGCACUAAUCUCAUUUGUGUCUAUCACUGAAAAGCAGAGUGGCUCGAUUGAAUAGUAUCAUAUUACAUCACAGCAAUCACAGAAACUCACUCAACAUUCAACUAAUUUAUACUAAUUAAUUAAUACGACUAACAGGAAAAGUUGGAUCUCGUCUUUUCUUGGACAUAUCCAGUGACUUUGAGCUCUCCAGCCUCCCAGGUUCCGAAUGGGGUCCUAAAAUAUCUUGCCGGAAAUGUUCUUCCUUCAGAUUCGGUGGUUAUACGUGGCCUUGCUAAAAAUCAGGUGAUUGUUUUUCAUUAUUGCGGCUACUUGACUCAAUUAUGUUAUUGCAAGAGGAGAUUUCUAUUUGUCUGGUUUAAGCCAUAAGAUGGGUUUCAAGAUUCAUUCUGAUUGGUUAUCUGUUAGCUUUUUGUUUUAAGAACUUCUUAUUUACGAAAGCCGAAUUCUUCUUUCUAGGUUUAUUCAUAUUCAGAAGUUGCUUUUGUCAUAUCAGAAGAAUAGGCUACGACUGUUGAAGUACUAGAAGGGAACUUAACAAUGCCAUUUAUUUUUUUCCUCGUGUGACCUCUUCACAAUGCCAUUGAUUCCCAUAGUUCAUGUUGCUAGGUGAACUUAACAACAACCAUCUAUUAUGCCUUGUGGAUAACUGAGAAAAUUUAUUGCUUUUGACAAAUUGCUUUUUGAAAUAGAGUGCAAGUAGAUUGACCAAUAAUGAACUUAUUGUAUCAAGUUGUUACAUUUGAACAUAUUAAGGUCAUAUAAAUCAUACUUGUUAUACUUCUUUUUUUCUUUUUUUCCCUCCCCAUUUCCCUGUCUGGAGGGUUUCGUGGACGAUCAGUUUGGCUUCGGUCUAAUUGCUGGAGCAGUUAAGGAAUUACUGUUAUCAAAAUAAAGUUUCCUCUCACUCACUAGCCAGUUAAGCAGCUCGUCACCAGUCGGAUUCAUUGCCGAUUGUAGCCCAUCUCCAUUGCUCAUCACUGUUCGGAUUCGUCAGUUCUGUCAUGUCAGUUCAGUAGCUUGUCGCCGCAGUCAUGGUCGGCCUCUUUGUUGUCAUCGAAGAACCAAUCAAUAAUGAUAACGAUGAUGUUUUAUGACAAUAAUGAUGAUGAUUGAUGAUGAUGAUGAUUAUUACCAUUGUUGAUGAUUAAUAUUAUCGAUGAUGAUGAUGUAGAUGAUGUAAUUGCGGUGAGAUGAUGAAGAUGAAACUGAAUUGUGAUGUUGAUAAUGAAAUUGACAGAAGGAAGAAGAAGAUAAUUGUGGUGAUGAUGAUGAUGAUGUUGAUGGAGAAGAUGAAAUUGACAUGAUUGAUGAUGAAGUAACGAAGAAUUUGUAAAACAGAGAGAGAGAGAGAGAAAGGAGAAGAGGAUAAAAAAAAAAGAAAGAAAAACAGGAGAGAAAAUAAUAAUAAAAACAAGAGGAAAAUAAUUAUUAUUGUUAUUAUUAUUAUUAACAAUAACUUUCUUAAUAACCAUAAUCAUAUAAUAGAUAAUAAAUAUAGUGGUAAUAAUGAAUUUAAGGGUAUUUUAAUAAUUUAAAUAAUUCAUUGUAAUUUUAAGGUAAAGUAAAUACAUUAAUGAUAAUACAAUUUAUUUUAAUUUUGAUUCUUAUAGUUGAAGUAAAUAAUUUAUUUUAAUUUUUUUAUUUCACAUUUCAAUUUUAGUCCAUUCCGAAUUAGUAAACGUAUCAUAAAAUCAUGUGAUUCUACUCCUUUAAAUGUGAGAUUGAUUUUUUUCUUUAAGGCCUACGACAUCCCAAUACGUCUAUAUAUGACCAAGCUACUAAGUGAACGGCCAUAAAAAAGGCAUAAAAUUGGAUAGCCGUCUAAUUAAUUCCCCAUGACCUACAACAAAAAUUUAAGAAGGAACUCUGAUACCAUCAAUUAUGCAUUUUAAUUUGAAGUUGGAAAAUAGUGAAAACAGAAGGUUCGGGUGAUUUAUACAUAUUUAAUCAAGUAAAAAUGGCACCUGUUGUAAUUUGCACAUUUAUCUUUACUUUGAAUAAUAACAAAGUUCAAAUUUUGUAUUCAGUGAAAAAUCAAAUCUAAAGUGAAAAACACUAGCUAGAAAAAAAUCUAUGUUCUGAUGUCUUAGUUCAUAAGCUCAAACAAUGAACAGUUUACAUACAACGCAUGAUAGAACACAAAACUCAUGUAGAUUUUCAGUUUCGAAAUUCAUUUCAGAAAAUCUGUUCUGUUCAACAGGUUAAAGUAGAUUAUCAACUAAACUCUACCCACAUACUUGCGUACAAUUAGAGCACUAUGUCAACAAAGGAGCACAUCUUUCGGAAGAUAAUUGAAGACUUGUUUGGCAAUUUGAAGAUUACAUCUUUGCUCUGCCAUUGGAAGCAAGCAACUCAGCCACCCAAAGACCGCCAAGCCAUCAAGACAACACCAAGAUACAACAUCAAUAAUAAUAACAUCAAGAAUUACAUAGAGGCCGUCGCACGUUACACCCACCCCAACAAGAAACUAAUUAAUACCGUCUUAGCUCCUCUGUAAUUGUCCUCCAUCCUUUUGAGUACCUUUCUUCUACCAAGGGACAACCCGAGAUCUCUAAUCACAAAAGAGAGGGAGGCAGGGCCUUUUCUGGAAAGUAUUUGAGCUUCAGACAAUUACAGAGUUUCAAUUUGCUGAGGUUUUGAUGAUCAGCAAUUGAAGAAGACAGGCGUUAAUAAUUAUGAAGAACCGGUGUAAUUUAUAUCAUGUAGGAAGUCCUUCAGUUACUUCUUUGACCUUGCCCAAGCUCUUUUAAGGGCUAAUAUCAAAAUUUCGUGAUAUUGUGCCGAAAGAGCUUCAUACCUCAUUGUAACUGUUUCUAAAAGUUGAUGAGCCCAAAUAUCCAAUAAGUGAUACAGACGCAUGGAAAUCCCCCGUUUUGAGUUUAUGCUUGUUCUUGUCUGCUUGACAAAUAGGACAUCGGUGGACUAAGCAUCAUUGGAUAACUUGGGGGAAAAAUAGUGUCCAGCAAAAAGAAUCCAUCGUUAUGUGCCGCUUCCUAUUUAAUUACAUUUAUCUAACAUUUAAAAGAUGGAGGUAGAAAUUAAAACUCAGUUUUUCAGAUAUGGCUUAUAUACAUUAAUGCAAGUAUCAAGAUUUAAUUAGAGUUCACAUAUAUACAUGCGUCUAGUUCUUAUUGAGAGAUAAACCAAUCAUAAAUACUCAGUUGCUUCUAAAUGAUUGAAUAAUGAUAUUAUUGUUAUUUAUAAAUUUAUAAGGAUAAAUAACUAAUAGUCCAUCAUAAAUACCGAAAAGGGUCCCCAGCAUAACUUGAACAACUUUACUUGUGUUUGCUCAUUGAAUAAUGUUAUCAAAAAGAAAUACAUAUGUCAGAAGAUUCAUAGUAUAUUGGAGUGUUUUUUGUACUUGAAUGAGAAUGAAUGAAGGUAUGUUAAUUAUAUUUAAAUAAUUGUCUAAAAGGAAUAGAAAUGCUCUAUAACAUAUCAAAUACUACCUUAAUCAAAAUUUAGUUGACAAAAUUUUUUUAAAAAUGGAAUAAAACCCUAAUUAAAUAAUUGUCUUACAUCACCAAACUCUUUUUUUUUUUUUAAUUUUAAGGCAUCACCACACUCUGUAAAGCAUAAAAUAUAAUAGGCAAAUUUGAGUUAAAAAAAAAUGAAGUUAGGAAAAUGACUUGCAUACUGUCUUUGAUGAGCGCAUAAUUUUCUUGAAAAAAAAAGGAUUUUUGUGUGUUUUUUUUUUUUUGUAAAUUUAUGUCGUUUACUAGUCUUUUGGGUUUUGUUGUAUCAAUUCUUUGGAACGUGUUUAUCUUGCUUUUGUAUAUGUUAGGAAACGGAGUGAAAUCCCAAUCUUAAAAUAUGGAAAAAUGAUUUUUCAUGAAUAAAAUGAUUUAAUUUAUUUUUAUUUCUACAACAAAAAUUAUUAAGUUAUCAACAUAUUGAUUUCAUCUGUAAGUUCCAGUCAGUCAGUUUCUUACGUUCCAUUGUUAUCUUUUAAAAGAUACUGCAAUGCUUUAAGUGUGUUUGAUCACUUCACUAAUCAUUUGAUAUUUACAAAUUGAAAAAAUAAAUUAUUUCUGACCAAAGGUACUAGAGAAUGUCGAAAAGAGUUUGAUUAAUUUUUGUAUACGCACACAACACAAAAUUAAAUUACAUGGCAAUGUUGAUAGUGAGUCGUUUUUGGGAAUCCAUAAGUUCACAUGUGCACAGACGUCUGUUGCCUGCCAGCCCUUUCCUUUUUUUAUAUCUUCAAAACAUUUAUUAGAGUCCCAAAUUUAUCACACAUCAUUAAGUAAAAUGUGCCAAUUAGUAAGAGCCAGCUUCUUUCCUCUGUUUUCUUGCGUAUGCUGCAUUCAAGUAUCACUGAAAAUUUUAAUUAUACCGUCAACAGCUGCAGGAAAAUUAUAUACAUUCUAUCAACACCUGCAUGCUGCAAUCCUCAAUGACUGCCAAAUCUUCAUACCAUGAAUAUCAAGUAACUUCCAACUCUUCAUAUAGUGAAUCAGCAGGAUUCACGUCCGACCAACUCCACAGGCACGGCUAAAGCGAAAGAUUAUUUUUUCAGAUAUUAUCAAGAAAUUAAUUUAAGUGAAAUAAGCUAAGAGUGAUUUCGAUAAGGUUUUCAGAGAAGAUAUAGAAAGAAGAUAAAAUAAAUAAAUAAGUAAUUUCAGUCGAUGCAAAAAAUGGGCAUGUGUCUGACUAACAGGACAUGGCUUGGAGCAAAUAUCAAUGGAGGAAAUAUCAGCUUAUAAUUUUAUAAAAUAAGCAUCAAAAUAUUCGACAAGUUUGAGGUUUAUGAAAUAUUGGGAAAAUAGACAAAUAACAAAGACGCUCACACUACAAGUUAAGCAGAUCAAAUAAACAGAACAAAGGAAAUAACUGAUCAAUUUAAUUCUUUGUGCAAUGGCCACGGCAACAGCGAAAAUAUGUCUACAUGACUUUAAUGCUACUGGCGCGGAUGGUACCAUCACCGUGAUGAUAUGAGAUUAAAAGCAUUGAUUUCAUAAUUUUAUAAAAUUUCAUAUAGAAGAUAUAAUUGAUUUGAGUUAGUUUAACAUAGAAAGAAAGAAUAAUAAGGAAUGAUAUCGAUGUGGCGUGUAAUGAGAAUUGAUAGAGACAAAUAUUGAUCAUGUAAUAAUGAAAAAUUUAGUUACUGAAAAAUAUUUGGCAAUAAAAUGAUGCUAUAAAAAUUUAACAUUGUUUACCAGAAAAUAGUUUGCAAUUAAAAGAGAUAUAUAUGCAAUGCUUUGAGUUUAUUUUAUCAUUUCACUAACCAUUUUGUAACUACAUAUUAAAUAGAAGUUGAAUUAAUUCUGAUCUAAGACUCUAGAGAAUGUAGAAAAAUGAUUUGAUUAUGUAUACAAACAAUAUUAGAGAUGAGAUAUCAGAUAUGUCAAAAUCAAUGACAAGAACAAUAAAAAGAACAUAUUCUACAAAAGUUUUAAUUCAUAUAAUAUAAAUUUAGUUUCAAAUUACAAAAUUAUGAAUUUGUAUAGUAAAAGAGUCCAAUAGAAAAAUAGAAUUUUUUUAAAAAGAGAUUUGCUUAGGGAACAACUUUAGCUUGCUUUGGUUUGUGAAGGCUCAAGUAAUUGAAAGCAACGCAAUUGAAGGAAAUACAAACUUCCGCUUUUGACAAAGUAAUCGCAAAAAUGCUAAAAAUGUUGGGACAAUAGACAAAUAAUGAAGACCCUACAGGUUUGUGGAGCAAAUAAAUAGAGUAAAAUAGAGCAAAUAUUUACCAUUAUACAUAUAUUUUUUAUUUUUUAUUUCAAAAACGAUUGUUGCGAUUUUUUUAAGACAAAAAUGAAGCACAGUCUCCUAUUACUACUAUAGCAUGUUAGCUAUUAUAUAAGCGCGAGUCUAAUUAUCAAAUAAAUUCCACUUUAACAAAGAACAAAAGCUAAUUUCAUUGAUACUGCCUGUUGUGCUUUCUUUUAUUUUAUUUUCUUUUUGUUAUUGGAGUUGCCUUGCAAACUACUCCAAGCUGAUUACAAAAUUUCCUCUUGCUUUAGGAUCUUUUGAAUGGUCCUGCUAUUUGUAUUCGUUUAUGUGGGACUGGUUUUUUCUUUAAACAAAAUUUCAGCGAUGAGAAACCUUACCCAUUGAAUACCAACUUUGAAUUUUAUUCUUAUUCAAACUUAGAAAACUGCAGAAACAAAGUGCCUUCAUAACACCAGUUAAACUGUGUCUAGCUACCAUGCUGGUUCUACUUUUACUUUAUUAAUUAUAUACAGCAUUAAAUCACCUGAGCCUCCAGUUUCUCUAGUUUCCAACUUGAAAUUAAAACGUAGAAUUGAUGGUAAUGGAGUUCCUUAUUUAAUUUUGCUGUAGGUCAUGGGCAAUUAGACGGCCAUCCAUUUUUAUGUCUAUUUUAUGUACUAUUGGCCACUAAGUAGCUUGGAUAUUUUAUACGUAGUUUGAAAUAAGUCAAAAUCAAUUACUAGAACAACAAUAAAAGCAUAUUUUAUAAAGGCCAAAAAUACAUAAUAUAAAUUUAGUUUUGAAUUUUGUAAUUAUUAAUUCAUAUAUUAAGAGAGUCUUAUAGAAAAAUAGGAAUUUUUUGAAAGAGAUUUGCUAAAGUAAAAAAUUUCGUUUGGUUUAGUUUGUGAAGGCUCAAGUAAUUGAAAGCAAUGCAAGUGAAGGAUAUAUGAACUUGUAAUUUUUACAAAGUAAUUGCUAAAAUAUUUGACAAGCUUGAGAUUUUAAAAAGGCUGGGAAAAUAGAAAAACAAUGAAGACCCUACGAGUUGGCAGAGCAAAUAAACAGAGGAAAACAUGACAAAUAUUAUGUUGAUGCACAAUCUUAUUUUAUGUUGAUGCACAAUCCAACUUUUUAACAAAAAUAAUAUUUAAAUUGUCACAAAACGUAUUAUUCUUUAAAAAAAAUUCAUAUACAGUAGUUAAUUUUUCUUUACUCCAGGAUCCAACUACAUACCCCUCUUUUUUGUCGUUAUUCUGCUCAGUCGUUAGAUUUUAAUUACUGUAAAGAAUUGUGGAAAUGCUCAUAUAUUAUUUGUUGCUGUGUACAAGAUCCUUAUAUACAAAAAUACUAGAAUCAUCUAAGGCAAGUACCAAACGGUCAAAUAAUAGAAAAGGAAAGAAUAUAAAGGAGAAUGAAUAUUACAAUAUGCUAAGUUAGUGGCUAAGAUCAAGGACUGAUUGAUUCUUGUUCUAAUACUCCCCCUCAAGUUGGGAAGUGAAGAUCCGUAACUCCCAACUUGCCAAGAAGAUAUUGAAAUUGAUGUUUACCAAGAGCUUUGGUAAAAAUGUCAGCCAAUUGUUGUCGUGAAGGCACAUAAGUUAAGGAAAUGAUUUUGGCAUGAAGCUUUACACGAACAAGAUGGCAGUCUAUUUCUAUGUGCUUGGUACGCUCAUUGAAGAUGGGAUUGGCAGCGAUAUGAAGCGCAACUUGAUUGUCACAAUGUAAAGUUAUAGGCAUUGGAUGGGUCACAUGAAGAUCACGAAGUAGAGUUUUCAACCAAACCAAUUCACAUGUUGUUGUCGCCAUGGCUCGAUAUUCGGCUUCAGCGGAAGAGCGCGAUACAACUGGUUGCUUCUUGGUUUUCCAAUAAAUAGGACUAUUGCCAAGCAUGAUAAAAUAUCCAGUAGUGGAUCGACGGGUCAUGGGGCAACUUGCCCAAUCUGAAUCUGAGAAGGCAGAGAGUUCCAAAGAGUUAGUGGAGGACAAGAGGAUACCAGCGCCGGGAGAAAAUUUGAUGUAACGUAAGACACGCAGGGCAGCAUCAUAAUGUGGUCAUCUUGGAGUGUGCAUAAAUUGACUAAGUAUGUUCACAGCAUAUGUAAUUUAUGGCCGGGUGAUUGUCAAAUAGAUGAGACGUCCUACAAGUCGUCGGUAUUGGUCAGGAUUUUGACAAAGGGUUCCUUGAUCGUUAGAGAGCUUCAAGUUUUGUUCCAUUGGAAAAGAAGAUGGCCGUGUGCCUAAUUGUCCACUGUCUUGAAGUAUAUCUAAAGCAUAUUUCCUUUGAUUGAAGAAAAUCCCUUGCUUUGAGCGAGCCACUUCAAUUCCUAAAAAAGAUUUCAAAGUUCCCAAGUCUUUAAUAUGAAAUUGAGCCUGCAAAAACAUCUUCAAUGCAGUUAUAGUGUCAAGAUGGUUACCAGCAAUUAUUAUAUCACCAACAUACACAAGCACCAAUGUAAAAUGAGAAUCAUGCAUUUUAGUAAACAAACAAGAAUCAACAUAAAAUUGAAUGUAACCAAUUUGUUUAAGAGCGGAUGAGAAUUUUUCAAACCAAUUUCGAGAAGCUUGCUUGAGACCAUAAAGGGACUUGUUUAACUGACAAAAUUGAUAAGACUCCCCCUGUUUACAAACUCCUGGAGGUAAGGUCAUAUAAAUUUCCUCAUGCAAGUCACCAUGAAGAAAUGCAUUAUGAACAUCUAACUGAAAUAAUAACCACCCUCGAAUAGCUGCCAUUGCCAAUACACAUCUAACAGUCACAAGUUUUGCAACAGGUGCAAAUAUCUUAUGGUAAUCCAAACCUUCAGUUUGUGUGUAUCCUUUAGCAACAAGGCGUGCUUUGUAUCUCUCAAUAGAACCAUCAGCUUUUCUUUUAAUUUUGAACACCCAUUUACAACCAAUUGGUUUCUUGCCGGGAGGUAGAUCUUGUAUAGGGAUGGCAAAUUGGUCCAUCCAAAUUGGAUAUCCAUAUAUCCAAUCCAAUUGGAUUGGAUAAUAUCCAUCCAAAAUCUUCUUGGAUAUGGAUAUGGAUAUUUUUAAAAAUAUCCAAUUAGAUAUUGGAUGGGUAUGGAUAUUUAAUGGAUAUCCAAAAUCCAAUUAAUUUAUCCAUUUAAAGUUAAAAAAAUUUAUAUUGUUAAACUAAAAUAAAAAAAAAAAUCUAAUUUUCUCUUAUAUUAACUAGUGAAAAAUUUAAAUUUCUCUUAUAUUAAAAACUAAAGUUUUCAAAAUUACCCUUUAAUUUUUUAACUUAUUUAAUACUAUUUAUAAUUGUUAUUUUAUUUUAUUGAUUUAAUAUUAUAAAUGGAUUUCCACCGGAAAGUCACCGGACCACCACCGGAGUUCGCCGGACCACCGUCGGAUAUCGCUGGAAUUACCGCCGGACCUCGGCGGAAAGUCACCAGAAGACCGCCAGACCACCGUUGGCUUCACCGGAAGAUUGCCGGACCACCGCCGGAAUUCGCCGGAAGGUCGCCGGACUUUGCCGGAAAGUUGCCGGACCGCCACCACCGACCACCGGACCGCCAUUUUAUUAUAUAUAUAUAUUAUUACUAAUAUAAAUAGUUUAAUAGCCAAAUUUGAUAUUGAAAUUUUAACUAUUUUAUAUUAUUAUUUUUAUAUAAUUAAAAUAAAAUAUCCAUGGAUCUCCAUAAACUAUAUGGAUAAAAUCCAUAUCCAUGUCCAAUAUUAAAUAGUGGAUAUGGAUAUGGAUAUAUCCAUUAUGGAUAAUUAUGGAUUUAUGUUUAUCCAUCCAUCAUUGGAUAUUUGUCAUCCCUAAUCUUGUAUUGUCCAAGUGUUACUUUGCUCUAAAGCUUUAAUCUCUAUAUCCAUAGCAUUGCGCCAAUGAGCAUGUUGAACGGCUUGAGAAUAUGUAGUUGGUUCAACAUCGUGAGAUAUGGCUGAAAGAAAGGCUACAUGAUCACUAGAAAACUUGUCAUAUGAUAAAUACUUGGAUAAUGGAUAUAAAGAACUUACCAAUAGUGGAUGAUUAGUAAAAGUAUUAGAGUUGCCAAAUGUACCGUGAAGUGCAGUAGAGCAAAUAUAAUUCUGAAGAUAAUUUGGAUGACAAGACUGUCGUUGGGACCGUCGAAGAGGUGGAGAAGGGAGAACUACUGAAUCAGAUGUACCUUGGUGGAGUGGCUGCUCAUUGGAAGAAGUUGGAAGGAGCUGUGCAUUUUCAUUGGCAAGAAGUAUGAUAGGAAGAGGUAAAACAUUGUUAUUUUCUUGUUGAUUGGUGAUAGUUUUGAAUGGGAAUUCAGUUUCCACAAAAGUAACAUCACGAGAAAUAAAAGUCUUUUUGUUAAUGAUAUCAUAAACUUUGUAUCCGGGAUACCCAAAUGGGUAACCAACAAAUAUACACUUGGUAGCACGGGGAGCAAAUUUAUGAUGAUUAGCACUGUUGGUAUGAACAUAACAAAGACAACCAAAGACACGAAGACGAUCAUAGUGAGGUUUAGUCUUAAAAAGCAUUUCAUAAGGAGAUUGACCACCAAGAUUAGGAGUGGGUAUACGAUUAAUCAAAUGGGUUGCAGUUAAAACACAAUCUCCCCAGAAAGAUAAAGGUAAAUGUGCUUGAAAACAUAACGCACGUGCAACUUCUAAAAAAUAUGUCGGUGCUUGCGUUCUGCUACCUAAUUUUGUUGAGGUGUUUCAACACAAGUCCGUUCAUGCAAGAUGCCAUGCUCAUGAAAAAAAGAUUGCAUCUGAUUUGAUAAAAAUUCACGUCCUUGAUCAGUACGAAUUUUUUUAAUUUGUGACUGAAAUUGUGUUUUGAUCAAGAAGUAAAAGUUUUUUAAUAAUUGAAAAGCUUCAAACUUGUGCCGCAUGAGGUAAACCCAAGUACAACGAGUAUGGUCAUCAACAAUAGUAAGAAAAUAAUAUGAUCCCGUAUAUGUAGAUGUGCGAUGAGGUCCCCAAAUAUCACAAAAAAUUAAUUGAAAUGGCAUAUCAGAACGAUUUUUAUUCAAUUGAAAUGAACUUCUAGUGUUUUUUGAAAGUUGACAAAUUUCACAACAAGAAUUAAAUGAUGCAAUAUCAUAAAUAAAAGACAAACGCUGCAUUCGGUCUUUAGAAGGGUGACCGAGUCGCAAAUGCCAAAGAUUGGAAUUGGGUUCCUUUGCAACGUUCAUUACUGAAGGAAGGGAAGAAUGACCAUUGAUAUGCUCAUAAUAAUAUAGUACAUCCCGAACUUCACCCUUUCCAAUCAGCUUCUUCGUUGAAAGGUCCUGAAAAACACAAAAUGAAGGGAAAAAUAUAGCAGCACAGUUCAAAUCCUUGGUUAGCUUGCUUACAGAUAAUAGUUAAAAAUUAAAAUGAGGAACUAAUAAGGCAUUAUCUAAAGUCAAAGAGGAGGAUAAUUUAAUGGAUCCACAUUUUGUUGUAGGAACAGUUGUGACAUUUGGUAGUCUCACGGGUUUGACAUGAGACAUGGGCACAAAAUUUUUAAAGGAAGAAAUAUUAGGGUCAUGUGAUCAGAUGCCCCACUAUCAAUUAUCUAAGAAUUAUUAUAUGAGUUAAUAGCAGAAUUGCAAAAAGGAAUGAUUUUACCAGCUAAGUUUACAGUAGAUGGCUGCUUACUUGUUGAAAGUAUAGAUAAUAAAUGUUGAUAUUGUUCAGCCGUGAGACCGGGAAUUUGGAUAGUAGGCUGAGGUGAUGAAUUCUUGUCUUUUGGAAUGGGAUGAUCAUCUAGUUGUUGUGGCUUCGUGGUUGCAGGAGCAGCAACAUGCGAUCGAUUUGAAUGUUUCCAGUUUGGUGGGUAGCCAACAAUUUUGUAACAUUUGGCUUUUAUAUGCCCAUAUUUCUCGCAAUGAUCCCAUAAAGGUCUACCUCGUCCUUGUGUCUCUUGUACUCCAUGCAAUUGGCUAGGAUGUGAAUGAUUUUGACGGCUGGUCAUUUGAGUCUUAUUAUUGGCUGUCAAGGCUGUUGAUUCAAUAGAUGGUUGACUGGAAACAUGGAGAAGUCGUUGACGUUCUUCCUGAUGAAUAAUUGAAUAUGCUUUUCCAACAUUUGGAAGUGGUUCCAUGGCUAAGAUUUGACUUCAUACCGAAGAAUAUGAAUCAUUGAGACCCAUUAGGAAUUGAAACACCUUUUCAGUCUCCAGUAAUCCCUGUAAUUCAUUUGAAGUUUCACACUUGCAAGAAGAAAUAGUGGUUAAUGUGGACAAUUCAUCCCAAUAAAAUUUCAAAGUAUUAAAAUAAAUCACUAAUGAUUUUUGCUCUUGCUGGUGAUUGCAUAUGGCUCUCUUAAGUUCAUAAAUCCGUGGAUUAUUACUUUGUGAAAAACCUUCUUCCAACCCAAGCCAAAGAGAGCGUGGCGUAUCACAAUAGAUGAGGCCAUUGGCAAGAUUUUUCUCUAUUCCAUUGAGCAUCCAUGAAAGGACCAUGUCAUUGCAUCGCUCCCAAGUUUUUAAAUCUUGUGAGGUUGAUGAAGGUUUUUGUAUGCUUCCAUCAAUAAAACCCAAUUUGUUUUUGGCAUUUAAUGCCAUCUUCAUGGAUCUUUUCCAUGUUGAAUAAUUAUCACCCGUUAGCACAUUAGAUACAAGAAUGGCUCCAGGAUGAUCAGAUGAAUGAAGAAAGUAUGGUGAAGAAACAUCGGUAAUGAGGGAAUUUGAUGUUUCUAAUAUUGGAUUCAAACUACUAGACAUGAUUGUCAAAGAGAAAAGCAGAAAUGAGCAAAAUUUGCUCUGAUACCAUGUAAAGAAUUGUGGAAAUGCUCAUAUAUUAUUUGUUGUUGUGUACAAGAUUCUUAUAUACAAAAAUACUGGAAUCAUCUAAGGCAAGUACCAAACGGUCAAAUAAUAGAAAAGGAAAGAAUAUAAAGGAGAAUGAAUAUUACAAUAUGCUAAGUUAGUGGCUAAGAUCAAGGACUGAUUGAUUCUUGUUCUAAUAAUUACGUUGAUCUAACGGUUGGGAUUUGUAAAUGAAUAACGAAGUGGUGUUUUUGGCUACCGUCUGAACCCAUUGCAUCUAAUUGGUUUUGUGAUUUUUCGCUUUCUUCUCUGCAACGCUUGACUAGUUCUAGAAAUAUCGACAGCAAAUUUGGAGCAUGUAUUAUUUUUCAUUAAAAUAAGUUUCCACCACCGUACCAGUAUAUGGAUUUCUGAAUUAAUUAUUAAAAGAAGCAAACAAUACUGAGAAUAUAUUAAUUAUUAAUUUAUAUAAUAAUAUGUUUGCUUCAAAAUAUACUAUUUGAAUUUGAAAUAAUAUUUUUUUAAAAUUUUAAUAUCACAAUAAUAGUCAUGAUCCAAUUGGUUUGAUUUUUUUUUUUCAGAAAAAAUUUGGAAGAAUAGACAAAUAAUGAAGACACAACCUAAGGAGAGCCAAUAAACAGGGGAAAGUGAAUUGCGUACUGUCCUCGAGCUCUCAAUUAUCCAACAUUCUCAAAUUUCUAUGUACAUUUUCGUAAAUUCAUGUCAUAUACUAGAGCUAGUAUUUUGGGUUUUGUUGCAUUAGUUCUCUGGUGUUUAUCUUGUUUUAUUACCUUAUGAUGCAAGAUUCCUGGUAGCCAUACACCUCGAAUAAAACUAUUUUUAUUUUUUUGGCAUUUUUAUUAGCAAAAAUCAUUAUUAAUUAAUGAACCCAUCGAGAUAUUGGUUUCAUUUGUAACAACUUGCUAAUUGCUUAAUACAUUUUUGUAAUUCUAGUCAUGAAGUCAUAAAGAACCUGCAAAUAAAAUCAUAGAUGAGGUACAUUGUGAUGUGAUAAAUCUAAUUCAAAUCUAAACUAAGAGAUGAUUCCUAUACAGGUACAUAUAGAAUAAAGAUAUUUAAACAUAAGCAUUCAAUUUUAUGAUAAACCUAACUGUCAUUGGCUUAUUGCUAUUAAAGGAAGUGAACAGAAAUAGAUGUAGAAAGUCAGAAAUAUGAAUGAGUGGACUUGAUUUCUCGAAUAGAAAAUUAAAUUAAUAUCAUUUUUAAUAAAUGUGAGAUGAUUUAUACUCUAAAAUUUAUUUUGAACACUCAUAUUUUUAUUACAAAAAAUUUCAUAGUUCAAUUUAUUAGUAUGGACAAUUCAAUAUAAGUAAACAAAAUAAUAAUACUUUUGAAACUCAUCUAACCAUAGUGCGCACGCACCCAUAUAAACCUUAAACCAUAAUAAAACGUUCUUCCUCAACAUAAAGACUAAUUCAUUAUUUAAAAGCAUAUAUUAACAAAUUUGUACACACAGAUUCUAUGGUUCUAAUUUCUUUGACUUUAAUUUUUUACUUCUCCACCAAAGGAGGUUCUACACAAAUAAACAACAGCAGAAAAACAAAUAUAAAAUGUGAUUCGUGUGUAGAAGAUAUAUACUCAUCAUAACAAUAACUGAUAAAUUGUAUUAAGAAAUAAAAAUAUUAGUAGUGAUGACAUGAAAGAAGUCUGUUGUCUUCACUUUGACUAAAAAUAAUUUACAAUAAUCGACCAAGCGAAAUUCCUUAAGAAAUGAACUAGGUUGGGAAGGCAGAGCAGCCUCUGUUCUUUUUACUAUAAUGCUAAGAAUUGACUUCAAUUGGGAAGUCAGGCCAAUUGAAGAAGCUCCCCUGUUUUUCACUGAAUCAUAAUCCGAACAAUUUAUAAUUAAAUAAAUCAUUCAAAAUCUCCUUUAAUCGAACCCCCACUUCUGUGGUUUAAUGAAAUAUUAACGUUCAGCUCCUGAAGUUGCCAUUUUAUGUAUUGAAAAAGAAGAAAAUACAAGAAACUGAAAAUUAAUUGAUGCUGCAUCAUGUUGGAUUGUUAGUUGUUAUUAUGAUGGGGAUAUAAUCUUUGCCUUUUAAUUAUCAUCUAGCUAACGCAAGCCCACUAGUUUCAUUUGUGUCCAUCACUAAAAAGUAGAGUUGUUUAAUUCAAUAGUGUCACGUUACAUCACAUAAAGUCACUCAAUUUUCAUUGCCAUAUGUAGCUCAAAAGUGCAUGAACAUUGAACUUUCAACUAACUUAUAUUGAUUAAUUAAUACGACCAUCAGUUCUUAGUACCCAGCAACAUCCAUCAAUAAGAGCAAAAUCCCCAUUAAUUUCAUAAAUAAAAAUAAUAAUAAGUUACAAAGACAAUAUUUGACAAUCACGAAAACAACUAUAAUUCACUCCAAUAAACAACAUAACAGAUACAUUAUCAAUAUUGCAAGUCUUUUUAUGAUUUAAUUAAAAGAGAAAAUAUGAAGGACAUAUUUUUUAUAUAAUUGAAUGUUCUCCUUGAUAAUUAGACAAAAUAACACCAAUCUAACUACCUAAUUCAAUCAUCAUAAUGAUUCAAUUUUCAUUUUUUAAUUAUGUCCAAUCAUGCUAAUUUAAUAAAGAUUACUGAGCACUUAAAGUACCUAUAUCUUCAACAACUUUGGCUAAGUUAGAAAAGUGUUAGAGCUGCAUUUAUGCUUUGUGUUAUUAAGCAGGACAUGAUCAUAUUACGUUGCGUUUUUCCGAAAACUGAAAAUUAUUAAAAAAAAAAUCUGAAAAGAGAUGUUGAAUCGCGAGCUUAAACUGAGUUUUAGACAUGUUUGACUUGUCGGUUGAUAUCCCUGAUUGUGCAUGUGCUGUCGGUUUUUGGACGGAACACAAGAAUAUGACAGCUGUGUGUUGUCGUCUGGAUCACAUGUUCUUCACGUGAUUUCAUUUACCCUAUGCGGCACAUUUGGCAGUCGUUUUGGUCACUCAUUGAAGCACGAAUUAAGAACGUCAUUCAAGGUUGUUCAUUGACCUUUACAAGGCGGGAAAAUUCUGGGUUUGUUUUAACAAACCCAGAAUGCAGCUUGUGAGUGGGGGGAACUUUCUAGAUUCUUCAUGAUCUGUGUAUAUAGUCUUAGAGGCUACAGUUGAGGCAUAUGAAAAGCUUGUAACUUCUUCUUAAUGAUUGUAGUUUGAUCUCGGUGAUGGAGAUAAGAUUGCUGCCCUGUUCUUCACUUGAUAUAGGCUAUCUCCAAGCGGAACCACUUAAAUUGUGCCUCUGUUUUGCUUGUUUCGAGGUGUGUGAUUUGCUUGUCAUUUCUAAAUCAUCAAUUAGAGAGUUUAGUGAGAUCUUGGUGGUUUUAGAAUGAGUUUAAUCGAUCAAGAAUCAACAAGAUGUAAUGAAAGCAAAAUGAGAGACUAUUGCACGCACAUCAUAGCAAUGUUUCAUUCAUUUUCAAUCUAUAUAUACAAAACUUAUAUCUGGUGGUUUGUGUUUGUUUAAUCUAACGGCUAUAACAUGUAUAUUGUCAAAAGUUAGAGCGGCCAACUUUGUUUGUCCUCAUAGCAUCCUUGAUCUAAUAUCAUCCUGGUGAUUCUUGAGAGCUCUUCUCAUUCUCUCGUGUUGAGUCCCUUGCUGAGAUGAUAAAUACUUGAGGGUCCUUCCUUGAUAUAUUUCAGCAAACACUUGAUUCAUUCUAUCAAACAUUUGCAUCACUAAUCAUUAAAUGGUGUAAGAUAGUUCUGUUUUGAAAAAUCAAUAUAAAAUCAAUCACCUUAGAUUUUCUUAGUCUCAGAGCACAAUGGCUGAUGAUUUGAUGAGAAAUAUUAAUAUGCAUGCAUCCCCUGCAUUCGUUAGAGCUGCUCUCAACCUCUGUUUAAUAAGCUAGUCCUCUGCUGUAUCCUAGAAGGUGGAACAUUAUGCUUCCCAGCUGGCUCAAGAGGGAACUAUGCUUCUGCUGCCAAAUUUUUGAAAGCGAACAUCGUGGGAAGAGGUUGAUCUGAAGCCAUUGCAUCUGAUUGGUUUUGUGAUUUUUUGCUUUCUUCUCUGUAACGCUUGACUAGUUCUGGAAAUAUCGACCAUCAUCGAUGGCAAAUCUGGACCAUGUAUUUGCCCACUACUAAGAAAUAAAGUUUCCACCACCGUACCAGUAUGUCGAUUUACGAAUACAUUCAUUCAAAUAUUAAACGUACAGAGAAGAGAGCAAACUGUGGCAGGAUAGCAAAAACUGCGAAUGGUCAUUCCCAACACGAACGCUUAUGGCUGUUUUCCUUUUAAUUUUCUUCUUUGAAUUCUCCUUUUAUUAAUCAUUAGAAAAACUCCCUUUUUUUAAAUCAUGUGUUAUAAACAUUUACAUGGUUAAUGUCAUCGAAAUCAAAUGGUUGUUAUCUACGAAAAGAGAAUUGUUAGAAAUUUUGUAAGUCCCAUUGCAACAAUAUAUUGUUAUAAAUUGCAUUGUUUCCCAUAUAACAAAUAUAAUAAAAUCUCAAUAAAUUAAUAGUUUUGGGACCAUAAAAAAAUUUAUUAAAAUUUAACAAAUAUCAAUUAAUUGGCAAAUUAAUAAAUUAUUAAUUUAUGAAAAUAUUCAUUAUUUUAGAAAAACAUGAUCACGUUUUUAGUAUUGAUUUACCUUGAGUUAGUAUCUAUUAUGUUUUAUUUGUCUCUAUUAGUUUUCUCUUGGGAAGAUUUUUUAAGAGUUAGCUGCUUUAUAUUAACAGUAAUAAAAUUAUUGUAUGGUUUUGUUUUUCCAUGUUAAAGAUCGAUUAGUCCUCUGCUUCUCCUCAGAGUCAUCGAGCACCGCCUGAAUCAUCAACAGCGUGCUCUUCCACUUCAUCAGAUCGUCUUCGAUCUUCUCUUGGCGUGUGUUAAGGAAGUUAAGGAAGCUCAUAUUUGCAGUCAAGCAGAGGAUCACAGCAGCUUCUAUAAUCAGUUGCAAGUUGAUGACAUGUACUGCCAGCUGGCACCAGGUGGUUAUGUAGCUGCUUGUACUUAUACACGUGAUAAGUUUGUUAAUUAGUUUGUAAUUAGUUAGUUAGUUUUGUAACCAUCAGCUGAGAAGCAACACUUGUAUAUAUAUGCUUGUAAUCGUUCAGUAGCAUUUAAAAAAAAAGCUUGAGAAAAUAAAAGAAGAAAGUUUUCUAAAUCUCAGUUUAUUUUCUUAUUAGCCAAACACUCAUUUUCUGUUUUAUAACUUGGUAUCAGAGCCAGUCAUGGCAUCUCUGAAUAUUGCCUCAUCAAAUCACACUUCGAAUAUUCAUACAAACUCAACAAACUUCUCAUUCACAUUCAAUACCCCUGUGAAACUGGAUCAGGCAAACUAUCUGAUCUGGAGGUCCCAAGUUCUAGCUUCCAUACGCGGCAAUAGGCUAGAAAAGUUUAUUGAUGAAAAAUGUCACUCCUCCUCCAUCUCAUAUUGCUCAAAGGAUUGACGAUGAACUUAGAUCUGUUGAGAAUCCAGAUUCAUCAAGCUGGAAAGCACAAGGUCAAGUACUUCUUGGCUGGUUGUUGUCAUCGAUGAGUGAAGGUAUUAUAAGUCUGGUGUUUAAUUUGGAAACUUCUCUUGAGGUAUGGAAAGCUAUUGAAACUCAAUUUGGAUCACAGUCAAAAUCCAGACUCUUACAUUUGAGAUAUUUGAUGAAUUCAACUAGGAAAGAUGAUCUGAAAAUCAAUGAGUAUUUCAUUAAAAUGAAGAAUAUUGCUGAUAACAUGGCUGCGGCAGGAAGUGCCUUAAGCAGUGAUGAUUUAAUUUUGCAUGUACUCUCAGGACUAGGACCAGAUUAUAAUGCUGUUGCUACUUAUAUUACUGGUCAAAUAAGUGGUGAUAAAAUGAAUUUAAAUGAGGCUUAUGCUAUGUUGUUGACUCAAGAAGCUAGAAUUGAGCAACAAGCACAUAUGCUUUCUGGAAUGGAUGUUAAGCAUAAUUUUGAAGCUAAUUUUGCUCAGAACAGAGGUUUCAAGAAAGGAAAUUUCUCAGGUGGUAGAGGAUCUGGUAAUCAUGACUAUUUUACUGGAUUAGAUAAUGCUGGAAAUUUUGGAAAUAAUUACAGAAGUGGCUAUGGAAGAUCUGGUUUCUUUGGUAAUGGUUUUGGAAAUAAUCAUAAUAACCAAUUAAGAGGAUUUCAAAGUGAUAAUCAAAGGGGAUCAGGCUCAGGAAAUUGGAACAAUGGUGGGGGGUGGUAACAAUAACUCUAUCAGGCCUCAAAUGAAUCCAAAACCUCAGUGGAAUGCUUCUAAACCAACUUGUCAAAUCUACUUAAAAACUGGUCAUACUGCAAAUGUCUGCUGGAAGCUUGAAGAAUUCUUUACCUCUGGUGCUUGCAAACCUCCUCCAAACAGAAAUCCCAAAGCUGCAUAUCUAGCUGAUAUGGAUGGUGCAGUUGAUGCCAACUGGUAUCUGGAUAGUGGAGCUACACACCAUCUUACCAAUGACAUGAGGAAUAUGACUAUGGCAGAAUCCUUUGCAGGUAACUCUAAACUCAUCAUUGGAAAUAGUACUGGUUUACAUAUAACACAUGUUGGAAAUGCUGUGUUAAGAAUGCAUAACUCUUCUGCUCAUCAUAUACUCAAAUUAAACACAUGCUUCUUGUUCCACAAAUAUCCAAGAAUCUUAUUGGCAUAUCUCAGCUAACCAAAGAUAACAACAUUGUUAUUGAAUUUACUGAUAAAUCCUGUGUUGUGAAGGACAAGGUGAGGAAUUUGAUCAUACUGCAGGGCAAAGCUGAAAAAGGUUUAUACAGAUUGCUAUUGUUUCCCUCUAAUAAAGUCUCUUCUCAAUCAUGUCAAAGGUCUCUUGAAGCCACUCAAUCCAAAAUUUCAAAUGUUCCUAAUGUCUAUGUUUUCAGUUGUUCAGUCAGUUGUCAAUAAUCAAACAAGUCCUGCUUGCAUACUGCAGCAGAACCUUGUAUCAGUCCAAAUUGUAUGCUGAGUGUUUCUGUUUUGCAUCAGAAACUUGGUCAUCCUAAUUCCAAAGUUUUAAGUCAUGUAAUAAACUCUUGUUCAGCUUUCAAGAAUUUAAAUGGAAGUAACUUUCUUGAUUCAUGUGAUGCAUGUAAAAUGGGAAAAAUGCAUAGAUUACACUUUCCCAGUUUCUACUACAAAAACAAAGCAUGUAUUAGAAGUUUUGCACACUGAUUUAUGGGGACCUGCCCUGUGCUUUCAGUUCAAGGUUACAGAUAUUAUGUGAGUUUUGUGGAUGAUUUUUCGAGGUUCACAUGGAUAUUCCCAUUAAAAACCAAGGAUGAAACACUAGCUGUGUUUAAAAUCUUUAAGAAGCAAAUUGAGAAACAGCUAGAUAGAUCCAUUAAAUGCAUUCAAUCAGAUUGGGGUGGGGAGUAUAGAUCAUUUGUUAAUUUUCUUCAUGAGGAAGGUAUUCAAUUCAGACACUCAUGUCCCUAUACUCACAAUCAGAAUGGCUUAGUUGAGAGAAAACAUAGACACAUAACCGAGCUAGGUCUCACCUUAGUUGCUCAAGCUUCUUUGCCUCUCAAAUUUUGGUGGGAUUCCUUCCAUACAGCCACCUAUAUUAUCGAUAGACUUCCCACACCCAUACUAUCUAUGCAGUCACCUUAUGAAUAUGUCUUUAAAACCAAACCUGAUUACAAAUUUCUCAAGGUCUUUGGUUGUUCAUGCUUUCCAUUCUUAAGGGAUUAUAAUACUCACAAAUUCCAUUUUCAUACCUCAAAAUGUGUAUUUCUUGGUUACAGCCCUUUACAUAAGGGUUACAAGUGUAUGCAUUCUUCUGGAAAGAUUUUUAUAGCCAGUCAUGUGUUAUUUGAUGAAACUUCUUUUCCUUACACAUCAAAUUCACAAUUCUUAACUUCAUCAUUCAAACCCUCUGAUUUCCAUUACAGUCUUCUUCAAUCUUGUACUGUUUCACUUCCCAAUAGCAAUCAAGAAACCUUUGAAGCUAGCUCUGCAGAAAAUGAAGCUCCAUCUCAUCAUUUCAGUGAUCAUUCCUCACCUGACAGUCAUAAUACAACCUUUGAUGUUUCACCUUCUCAAAUACAUCUUCAACCCUCUACCAUAGCUACUUCACAAACACAACAGCCAUCCUCAUCUACUAUUCAAUCCACACAACCAUCCUAACAUCCUCUGCCGAAUCAUCCCAUGAUUACCAGAGCAAAAGCUGGUAUAUUCAAGCCUAAAGCAUUCUUAACAUCACAUAACAGCCUGGAACCAUCUACUGUUGAUGAAGCUUUGUCUGAUUCUAAGUGGAAAGCUGUAAUGCAAUUAGAGUUUGAUGCUUUAACCAGAAAUAAUACCUGGAAUCUAGUACCUAUGACAUCUCAGCACAAGUUGGUUGGUUGUAAAUGGGUCUUUAGAACCAAGUACAAUACAGAUGGUACAGUUUCUAAACACAAAGCAAGAUUGGUAGCCAAGGGCUUUCACCAGNNNNNNNNNNNNNNNNNNNNNNNNNNNNNNNNNNNNNNNNNNNNNNNNNNNNNNNNNNNNNNNNNNNNNNNNNNNNNNNNNNNNNNNNNNNNNNNNNNNNNNNNNNNNNNNNNNNNNNNNNNNNNNNNNNNNNNNNNNNNNNNNNNNNNNNNNNNNNNNNNNNNNNNNNNNNNNNNNNNNNNNNNNNNNNNNNNNNNNNNNNNNNNNNNNNNNNNNNNNNNNNNNNNNNNNNNNNNNNNNNNNNNNNNNNNNNNNNNNNNNNNNNNNNNNNNNNNNNNNNNNNNNNNNNNNNNNNNNNNNNNNNNNNNNNNNNNNNNNNNNNNNNNNNNNNNNNNNNNNNNNNNNNNNNNNNNNNNNNNNNNNNNNNNNNNNNNNNNNNNNNNNNNNNNNNNNNNNNNNNNNNNNNNNNNNNNNNNNNNNNNNNNNNNNNNNNNNNNNNNNNNNNNNNNNNNNNNNNNNNNNNNNNNNNNNNNNNNNNNNNNNNNNNNNNNNNNNNNNNNNNNNNNNNNNNNNNNNNNNNNNNNNNNNNNNNNNNNNNNNNNNNNNNNNNNNNNNNNNNNNNNNNNNNNNNNNNNNNNNNNNNNNNNNNNNNNNNNNNNNNNNNNNNNNNNNNNNNNNNNNNNNNNNNNNNNNNNNNNNNNNNNNNNNNNNNNNNNNNNNNNNNNNNNNNNNNNNNNNNNNNNNNNNNNNNNNNNNNNNNNNNNNNNNNNNNNNNNNNNNNNNNNNNNNNNNNNNNNNNNNNNNNNNNNNNNNNNNNNNNNNNNNNNNNNNNNNNNNNNNNNNNNNNNNNNNNNNNNNNNNNNNNNNNNNNNNNNNNNNNNNNNNNNNNNNNNNNNNNNNNNNNNNNNNNNNNNNNNNNNNNNNNNNNNNNNNNNNNNNNNNNNNNNNNNNNNNNNNNNNNNNNNNNNNNNNNNNNNNNNNNNNNNNNNNNNNNNNNNNNNNNNNNNNNNNNNNNNNNNNNNNNNNNNNNNNNNNNNNNNNNNNNNNNNNNNNNNNNNNNNNNNNNNNNNNNNNNNNNNNNNNNNNNNNNNNNNNNNNNNNNNNNNNNNNNNNNNNNNNNNNNNNNNNNNNNNNNNNNNNNNNNNNNNNNNNNNNNNNNNNNNNNNNNNNNNNNNNNNNNNNNNNNNNNNNNNNNNNNNNNNNNNNNNNNNNNNNNNNNNNNNNNNNNNNNNNNNNNNNNNNNNNNNNNNNNNNNNNNNNNNNNNNNNNNNNNNNNNNNNNNNNNNNNNNNNNNNNNNNNNNNNNNNNNNNNNNNNNNNNNNNNNNNNNNNNNNNNNNNNNNNNNNNNNNNNNNNNNNNNNNNNNNNNNNNNNNNNNNNNNNNNNNNNNNNNNNNNNNNNNNNNNNNNNNNNNNNNNNNNNNNNNNNNNNNNNNNNNNNNNNNNNNNNNNNNNNNNNNNNNNNNNNNNNNNNNNNNNNNNNNNNNNNNNNNNNNNNNNNNNNNNNNNNNNNNNNNNNNNNNNNNNNNNNNNNNNNNNNNNNNNNNNNNNNNNNNNNNNNNNNNNNNNNNNNNNNNNNNNNNNNNNNNNNNNNNNNNNNNNNNNNNNNNNNNNNNNNNNNNNNNNNNNNNNNNNNNNNNNNNNNNNNNNNNNNNNNNNNNNNNNNNNNNNNNNNNNNNNNNNNNNNNNNNNNNNNNNNNNNNNNNNNNNNNNNNNNNNNNNNNNNNNNNNNNNNNNNNNNNNNNNNNNNNNNNNNNNNNNNNNNNNNNNNNNNNNNNNNNNNNNNNNNNNNNNNNNNNNNNNNNNNNNNNNNNNNNNNNNNNNNNNNNNNNNNNNNNNNNNNNNNNNNNNNNNNNNNNNNNNNNNNNNNNNNNNNNNNNNNNNNNNNNNNNNNNNNNNNNNNNNNNNNNNNNNNNNNNNNNNNNNNNNNNNNNNNNNNNNNNNNNNNNNNNNNNNNNNNNNNNNNNNNNNNNNNNNNNNNNNNNNNNNNNNNNNNNNNNNNNNNNNNNNNNNNNNNNNNNNNNNNNNNNNNNNNNNNNNNNNNNNNNNNNNNNNNNNNNNNNNNNNNNNNNNNNNNNNNNNNNNNNNNNNNNNNNNNNNNNNNNNNNNNNNNNNNNNNNNNNNNNNNNNNNNNNNNNNNNNNNNNNNNNNNNNNNNNNNNNNNNNNNNNNNNNNNNNNNNNNNNNNNNNNNNNNNNNNNNNNNNNNNNNNNNNNNNNNNNNNNNNNNNNNNNNNNNNNNNNNNNNNNNNNNNNNNNNNNNNNNNNNNNNNNNNNNNNNNNNNNNNNNNNNNNNNNNNNNNNNNNNNNNNNNNNNNNNNNNNNNNNNNNNNNNNNNNNNNNNNNNNNNNNNNNNNNNNNNNNNNNNNNNNNNNNNNNNNNNNNNNNNNNNNNNNNNNNNNNNNNNNNNNNNNNNNNNNNNNNNNNNNNNNNNNNNNNNNNNNNNNNNNNNNNNNNNNNNNNNNNNNNNNNNNNNNNNNNNNNNNNNNNNNNNNNNNNNNNNNNNNNNNNNNNNNNNNNNNNNNNNNNNNNNNNNNNNNNNNNNNNNNNNNNNNNNNNNNNNNNNNNNNNNNNNNNNNNNNNNNNNNNNNNNNNNNNNNNNNNNNNNNNNNNNNNNNNNNNNNNNNNNNNNNNNNNNNNNNNNNNNNNNNNNNNNNNNNNNNNNNNNNNNNNNNNNNNNNNNNNNNNNNNNNNNNNNNNNNNNNNNNNNNNNNNNNNNNNNNNNNNNNNNNNNNNNNNNNNNNNNNNNNNNNNNNNNNNNNNNNNNNNNNNNNNNNNNNNNNNNNNNNNNNNNNNNNNNNNNNNNNNNNNNNNNNNNNNNNNNNNNNNNNNNNNNNNNNNNNNNNNNNNNNNNNNNNNNNNNNNNNNNNNNNNNNNNNNNNNNNNNNNNNNNNNNNNNNNNNNNNNNNNNNNNNNNNNNNNNNNNNNNNNNNNNNNNNNNNNNNNNNNNNNNNNNNNNNNNNNNNNNNNNNNNNNNNNNNNNNNNNNNNNNNNNNNNNNNNNNNNNNNNNNNNNNNNNNNNNNNNNNNNNNNNNNNNNNNNNNNNNNNNNNNNNNNNNNNNNNNNNNNNNNNNNNNNNNNNNNNNNNNNNNNNNNNNNNNNNNNNNNNNNNNNNNNNNNNNNNNNNNNNNNNNNNNNNNNNNNNNNNNNNNNNNNNNNNNNNNNNNNNNNNNNNNNNNNNNNNNNNNNNNNNNNNNNNNNNNNNNNNNNNNNNNNNNNNNNNNNNNNNNNNNNNNNNNNNNNNNNNNNNNNNNNNNNNNNNNNNNNNNNNNNNNNNNNNNNNNNNNNNNNNNNNNNNNNNNNNNNNNNNNNNNNNNNNNNNNNNNNNNNNNNNNNNNNNNNNNNNNNNNNNNNNNNNNNNNNNNNNNNNNNNNNNNNNNNNNNNNNNNNNNNNNNNNNNNNNNNNNNNNNNNNNNNNNNNNNNNNNNNNNNNNNNNNNNNNNNNNNNNNNNNNNNNNNNNNNNNNNNNNNNNNNNNNNNNNNNNNNNNNNNNNNNNNNNNNNNNNNNNNNNNNNNNNNNNNNNNNNNNNNNNNNNNNNNNNNNNNNNNNNNNNNNNNNNNNNNNAUAACACAUGUUGGAAAUGCUGUGUUAAGAAUGCAUAACUCUUCUGCUCAUCAUAUACUCAAAUUAAACAACAUGCUUCUUGUUCCACAAAUAUCCAAGAAUCUUAUUGGCAUAUCUCAGCUAACCAAAGAUAACAACAUUGUUAUUGAAUUUACUGAUAAAUCCUGUGUUGUGAAGGACAAGGUGAGGAAUUUGAUCAUACUGCAGGGCAAAGCUGAAAAAGGUUUAUACAGAUUGCUAUUGUUUCCCCUAAUAAGUCUCUUCUCAAUCAUGUCAAAGGUCUCUUGAAGCCACUCAAUCCAAAAUUUCAAAUGUUCCUAUGUCUAUGUUUUCAGUUGUUCAGUCAGUUGUCAAUAAUCAAACAAGUCCCUGCUUGCAUACUGCAGCAGAACCUUGUAUCAGUCCAAAUUGUAUGCUGAGUGUUUCUGUUUUGCAUCAGAAACUUGGUCAUCCUAAUUCCAAAGUUUUAAGUCAUGUAAUAAACUCUUGUUCAGCUUUCAAGAAUUUAAAUGGAAGUAACUUUCUUGAUUCAUGUGAUGCAUGUAAAAUGGGAAAAAUGCAUAGAUUACACUUUCCAGUUUCUACUACCAAAACAAAGCAUGUAUUAGAAGUUUUGCACACUGAUUUAUGGGGACCUGCCCCUGUGCUUUCAGUUCAAGGUUACAGAUAUUAUGUGAGUUUUGUGGAUGAUUUUUCGAGGUUCACAUGGAUAUUCCCAUUAAAAACCAAGGAUGAAACACUAGCUGUGUUUAAAAUCUUUAAGAAGCAAAUUGAGAAACAGCUAGAUAGAUCCAUUAAAUGCAUUCAAUCAGAUUGGGGUGGGGAGUAUAGAUCAUUUGUUAAUUUUCUUCAUGAGGAAGGUAUUCAAUUCAGACACUCAUGUCCCUAUACUCACAAUCAGAAUGGCUUAGUUGAGAGAAAACAUAGACACAUAACCGAGCUAGGUCUCACCUUAGUUGCUCAAGCUUCUUUGCCUCUCAAAUUUUGGUGGAUUCCUUCCAUACAGCCACCUAUAUUAUCAAUAGACUUCCCACACCCCAUACUAUCUAUGCAGUCACCUUAUGAAUAUGUCUUUAAAACCAAACCUGAUUACAAAUUUCUCAAGGUCUUUGGUUGUUCAUGCUUUCCAUUCUUAAGGGAUUAUAAUACUCACAAAUUCCAUUUCUCAUACCUCAAAAUGUUGUAUUUCUUGGUUACAGCCCUUUACAUAAGGGUUACAAGUGUAUGCAUUCUUCUGGAAAGAUUUUUAUAGCCAGUCAUGUGUUAUUUGAUGAAACUUCUUUUCCUUACACAUCAAAUUCACAAUUCUUAACUUCAUCAUUCAAACCCUCUGAUUUCCAUUACAGUCUUCUUCAAUCUUGUACUGUUUCACUUCCCAAUAGCAAUCAAGAAACCUUUGAAGCUAGCUCUGCAGAAGAUGAAGCUCCAUCUCAUCAUUUCAGUGAUCAUUCCUCACCUGACAGUCAUAAUACAACCUUUGAUGUUUCACCUUCUCAAAUACAUCUUCAACCCUCUACCAUAGCUACUUCACAAACACAACAGCCAUCCUCAUCUACUAUUCAAUCCACACAACCAUCCCAACAUCCUCUGCCGAAUCAUCCCAUGAUUACCAUAGCAAAAGCUGGUAUAUUCAAGCCUAAAGCAUUCUUAACAUCACAUAACAGCCUGGAACCAUCUACUGUUGAUGAAGCUUUGUCUGAUUCUAAGUGGAAAGCUGUAAUGCAAUUAGAGUUUGAUGCUUUAACCAGAAAUAAUACCUGGAAUCUAGUACCUAUGACAUCUCAGCACAAGUUGGUUGGUUGUAAAUGGGUCUUUAGAACCAAGUACAAUACAGAUGGUACAGUUUCUAAACACAAAGCAAGAUUGGUAGCCAAGGGCUUUCACCAGGCAGCAGGAGUGGAUUAUAAGGAAACUUUUAGUCCUGUGGUAAAGUCUUCUACAGUAAGAACUAUACUAAGUUUGGCAGUGAUGAAAGGUUGGAAAAGUCAGGCAAAUCGAUAUAAAUAAUGCCUUUCUUAAUGGAGAUAUUUCAGAGGAUAUAUACAUGACACAACUAGAGGGCUUCAUCACCAAAGAGGGCUAUGUCUGCAAACUUAGCAAGGCUCUUUAUGGCUUGAAGCAAGCUCCUAGAGCUUGGUAUGACAAACUCAAAGGGUGUCUUACAAGCUGGAAUUUCUUCAACUCCAAGGCUGAUACAUCCCUGUUCAUCAGACAUGACACGAGAGGUAUCAUUCUUGUUCUUAUCUAUGUGGAUGAUAUUCUUAUUACAGGACUAGAUUCUUCCCUGUUGGAAACAUUCAUCACUAAAUUUAGUAAGGUUUUUGCCUUAAAAGAUUUGGGAUUGGUAUCCUAUUUUCUGGGUGUUGAGGUGUGUUAUACUGAUAGUGGGAUGCAUUUAUCACAAACAAAAUAUAUUAAAGACCUCUUAAGUAGAGCUUCAAUGCAGAACUGUAAAGGUUCUGAUACACCUCUCAGCACAGGUCAAAAGUUAGAAAAGGUAGCAAAGGUCUGUUUGGGGAAAGAAUUUGAAGAUCCAACUCUCUAUAGAAGUAUUGUUGGACGGCUCCAAUACUUGAUACUCACCAGACCUGAUAUUGCAUACUCAGUUCAUAAGCUCAGUCAAUAUUUGAGUGCUCCUACACUUCAGCAUUGGCUUGCUGUAAGAAAGUACUUAGAUAUCUUCAAGCAACUGUCACUCAUGGAAUAUAUAUUCAGAAGGAAGGAGAGCUUGAAGUUACAGGUUUGAAUGGAUACUCAGAUGCAGAUUGGGCUUGUAAUACAGAUGAUAGAAAGUCCAUUGGAGCAUAUUGCAUCUAUCUUGGCAACAAUUUAAUUUCAUGGUCCUCUAAGAAACAAGCCAUAGUGGCCAAAUCCAGCACUGAAAGUGAGUAUAGAGCACUGUCAUCAGCAAGUUCAGAAAUCUCUUGGCUUGAAUCUCUAUUUUCUGAGCUCAACAUUGUAAAGCUGCCAACACCAGUGCUUUGGUGUGAUAAUCAGAGUGCUGGGGAAUUAGCCAAAAAUCCUGUGUUUCACUCCAGGUCUAAGCAUAUCGAGUUGGACAUUCAUUACAUUCGAGAUAAGGUACUUCAAAACCAAUUAGAAGUGAGAUACAUUCCUACAGAUGAACAAGUUGCUGAUGUCCUCACCAAAGCUUUAUCACUUCCAAAAUUCAGCUACUUCAGGUCCAAGCUCAAUGUCGUUAGCAGACCCUUGAGCUUGAGGGGGGAUGUUAAGGAAGUUAAGGAAGCUCAUAUUUGCAGUCAAGCAGAGGAUCACAGAGCAAAGGAUCACAGCAGCUUCUAUAAUCAGUUGCAAGUUGAUGACAUGUACAGCCAGCUGGCACCAGGUGGUUAUGUAGCUGCUUGUACUCAUACACGUGAUAAGUUUGUUAAUCAAUUUGUAAUUAGUUAGUUAGUUUUGUAACCAUCAGCUGAGAAGCAACACUUGUAUAUAUAUGCUUGUAAUCGUUCAGUAGCAUUUAAGAAAAAAGCUUGAGAAAAUAAAAGAAGAAAGUUUUCUAAAUCUCAGUUUAUUUUCUUAUUAGCCAAACACUCAUUUUCUAUUUUAUAACUGCGUGCAAACCACCGAAUCCCCUCUGAAGCUAACUUUGGCGUGCAGCUCUUCGAUGAUUGGCUUUUUUUUUCUUUUUUUUUUGGUUGUGUUUUUUUUUGGCUCCUAGUUUGAUUUAACUUUGUUUCGGUUAUUGACAUUGCUGAAGAGGCAGUAAAAGCUUGUUGAAUGUCAUCAAAUGCACAAAUUGGCAAUAUCGGUUGGCUUCUUUAUAGGCGCAUCCAUCACAAAAUGAAAGUAACAACAACCACCAUCGAAAAUUAAUUUUAAGAAUCUUUUUUACCUAAAAUCUUUGAAAAGAAAAAUUAACCUGACAUUUAUUUAUUUAUUUAUUUUUUGGGGGGCAAAGAAAGAAAGGAACAGAAUUAUGAGUUUUGGAAAGGAGAAUGAGAAAAUUGAACAGAUGAGAAAAUGGAUAAUUAACCAGAAUGAAUUUGCGAUUGGUCCAGCAAGCUUAGUAGAAAUCACGCGCUGAUACUUCAUUGACCAAUGACUAAUAAUUUGGCAAUUCACCCAUCACCAGCACUUGGUAAGCAAAACGAAAAUGCUUAGUAAGUGUCAAGGGUCAAGCAAGAUAUGACGUAAAAUGAGGCAAGUCUCCCCACUUGUUGUUCCUUGCAGCUAAGAAAAGAAAAAACAGAGCCCACCACCCAUUAAUAAUUUAGCAAUUCACCAAUCAAUCACCACCACUUGUUACGCAAUUCCAUUAGGUAUUCGUAUGUCAAGCAGUUAAUCCAGUGUCUAUUACCUAGAACCUUCACUUUACAAAUCUUCAUCUCAAAUGCCAAGUUAAAUCAAAACGUUUCUCUCUCACUCUUUCUUUUUAAACUCCGAAAACGUUUCUUUUUAGAAAUAUUUUACUUUAUUCAUGUAAAUAUGUUGUCUAACAAAUAGACACAAUUGAAAUCACUCUAAAGUGCAAAUAAAAAAAAAAAUCCAAUCACCAGUAAUUUAGCAAGCUUCACUUUAUUCCACCAAAGUGUAAAUAAAACCAGGCCUCACCGCCAUUAAUAGUUUUACAAGCUUCACACGCUUGUUGUUGUCUGCUUGACGAACUGGACAUGGGUUCAUCAAGAAUCAAUGAAAGAAUUAAAAAAAAAAACUGAAAUUUUCGAUUCAGAGUAGAACAGUAAUUAAUGCUAAAAUUUACUCCGCUAACAUUUUCAAGAUAUUGUUCUGUAUAAUUCUACAGCAAAUAAGACUAAGUUUUGGACAUUUUCAAAUUCACUACUUUCACAAGCAAUAUUUUGAAACAUUUUACAGAAUUAGCGAUUAUAUAAAGAGAAAAAUGCAAAGUUGCGUAAUUCUAAUGUUUUUCAGGCUGAGCUGCCUUUGGAUUUAACCUGAAAUGAUCCGAAGGCCAGAAAUUGUAACGGCGGGCUUAAAUGUCAACACGCCAAGACAGUUAAUAGCAGCUAAAUUGGAAAAAAAAAAAAAAAGGCAAUAGAAGUAUAGAUGGAACAAUUUUUCGCUUAGGUCAUAGGUGCAAGAUGAAACUAAAAAAAGGUGGCAGGCAAUUUUAUCACAGACGCUCAUGAUCGUUUUUUAUUUGGGUCGUCAACUCGCCAUGACCCAUGAUUGAAUUAGAGUGUCUAGAAAGAAAAUUAAUAAAUAACGGUUUAUAUAUUUGGCCGUCGGAAUAUUGUAAGUGAGAAAGAUUAUCUUUUUUUUUAUUAUUAUUAAUUAGGUUAGUAUUUAUGAUUGAGUGACUCAGAGCUGUAUUUUAGAUUGAGAAUCAAUUGUUCUCUCAUACUGAGAGGCUAUAAGAUUGUCGUUAGCUAUUUCAUCGAUAAGAGAACACCCAAAUUUAUUAAAAGAAGAAAUGUAUAAGGUCUCCUUUAUGAGAAAAUGUAUCUGAUCAUUCUUUUUGACUUGAAAAUCUCAUAUAUAAAAACUUAUUAAUAAAUAACAUAAUAUAUAUAAAAAUGAUACUCAAUGAUCCUGUACUAAAACUAUAAUUUACCUGCACUAGUAGUUUCCAUAAUUUUAAAUUCAAAAGUAAGCAGUUGAACGUGCUCUCUCUUCUGGUUAUAGAUAUCAUAUAUAUAAAUUGAAGUAAUCGCGCGACAAGUAGCAAAACAGAUAAUGCACGGAAGAUAAUGAUCAAUGGCUGAAGUUUAAUUUAAUUGCAGAUAAAAUGUCAAUCAAGAUUAAGGUCUACUUACAAUUUUAUUUUAUUUUUUAUGAUUUUCAAUCUUUACCAAAAGAAACAUAUUUAGUGAUCCCUUUUAUCAACUUGCUUUUAUUGACUUUCUUCCAAUAAUAGAAGUGAAAAGAGAAACAAAGGCCACCACCACCAAGUGUUACCGGAUUCUAUAAAGACAAAAUCAGUGCCCAGCAAAACGAAUCCAACUUUUCGUUAUGUGUUGCUUCCUAUUUAGUACAUGCACAUAUAGAUAUAAGAUAUCCACAUGCACAUGCAGCGCGUCUAUCUAAAAUUUUAAAAACAGAAUUAGAAACCUUCUUGAAUAGGAAUAGAAAUACUCUCUAAUACUUCCUAAAAUAAUUAACCCUAAAUAAUUUGUCCUGCAUCACCAAACUCCGGAUUUUACAAAGCACGCAUAAAGGAUAAUAGACACGUUUGAGGUUUUUUUUUUUAAAAGAAAAAAAGAUUAUGAAAAUAGACAAAUAAUGAAGACACAAGUUAAGCAGAGCAAAUAAAUAGAGGAGAAUGAAUUAAAUACUAUCCUUGAGAACUCAAUUCUUUAAUAAACUCAAUUUUUUAAAUGCAGGGGUAAACUCAUGUCAUAUACUGUAGUCUUUAAUUUGGGCUUUGUUGUAUCAAUUUUUUGGAGUUUAUCUUGUUUUGUUUUUUCGUUUUUAUAGUGCAAGAUUUUCGGUGGAGAUAAAUCAGGAAUAAGAGUGAAAUCCCAAUCUUAAAAUUUGGGAGAAAUGAAAUGCGAUAUGUUUUUUCAUGAAUAAAACAAUUCAAUUUUUUGUUAGCACUUGUAUAUGUUGCAAGUUAAUUACACCGUCAACACCUGCGGGAAAUUUAUAUAUUUUCUGUCAGCACUUGCAUACGUUGCAAUUUUCAAUGACUUCCAAAUCUUCAUAUCAUGAAUUAGCAGGAUUCAGGUCCGACCAACUCCCCGUGGCUAAAGCAAAGGAUUAAUUUUUGAGAAAUUAUAAAGAAAUUAAUACAAGUAAAGUGAGCCUAUUCAUUUGAUUUGAUAAUUGGCUGAGGGUGAUUUCGAUAACGUUUUCAAAGAAGAUAUAGAACAAAGAUCAAAAAGAAAAAACAAGUAAUUUCAGUCGAUGGAAGAAAUGAGCAAGAUUCGCACAUGCAUGCAUGCGUCUGACUAACAGGACAUGGCUUGGAGCAAGGAUCAAUGGACAAGUUUGAGGUUUAUGAAAUAUUGGGAAAACAGACAAAUUAUAAAGCCACUUGUUAGAGUGCAAUUUAUGCACUAGUUUUGCAUUGUUUACUUCCCUUAAUAUCGAUGUUUUGCAUUUAAUAAUAGUGAUUUACUUGUGUUUUACUUUUGUAGGUGCAAUUCUAUUGAUUGGUGAUAAAAUUGAGCUAUAAGAUGAUGUUUAAGGAUGAUUGUUCUCUUGGAGAAAUUAUAAGCGGCAGAAGAACUUUGUUGAUAAGGCGUGGGCGCGUGCUGUCAACUGCGGACCUGCAGUUUUUAGUUUAACGUGUUUUGUAUUUUUGGCUAUUUUUUAAUUACGAAUUUAAUAUUUCAAAUAUUAGUAUUUUAUUUUAAAUAGAACUCUAAAAGAGAAGAGAGAGAGAGUAUUUAAAGGAGGAAUCUAUUGUGAAAAAGGAGGGAAUUUUGAUUGGAGAAAAAGAAAAGAAACCCUAGAUCUAAUUUUUCUCUUCUCUCUAUGAAGAACUAAACUUAUUUUUCUGGUUGAAGAAUAAUGAAGCUUUGAUUCAUCACUACUGUGAGAUCUUUCUUGUGCUUUAAUUGUUUUAUUGCUUUUUGGGUAUUUGUUUAUUCUCUGAAUUAUUUUCAUGAUUAUGUUUGUUAAUUAGAUAAUUGGCCACUAUUUAAUUAUCAACUUAAUCUAUUGUCAAUUAAAGGAUUCAUCGUAUGAAGAAUUUAAUGUUUGUGACAAAUAACAUAGCAGAGAGUUGUGUUGUGAGAAUAAACAAUCUAAUUUAAAUAAAUCAUCAUAUGUGUUGAUUAGGAUUUGGGUCUCUCUGGUUUUUUAGGCUGUCAAUUGAUUAAAUCCUAUGAUCGUAUCUAGGGUUGUCUAUUGAUUAGGGAAAUAUCCAACGGUCGUACCUUGGUUAUCGACUAAUUAAGGAGAGAUUGGCUAUUAGAGGGUCUCAGUAGCUAUAACCGGUCUAUUCAUAAGUAAUAAUAAUUUAUAUUUGAAUCAAUGAUCAGUAGUCGAAUCAAGCUGAGUUAAUUCCUUCAACCAGAGCUUUCUCCAAUUUGAAUCACAACUUUAAUUUACAUUCUCGUUAUUUUAAUUUGAUUUUUAUUAUUGUCAACAAUUCCCCCAUUUUACAUUUUACGUUUCAAAAGGAUUUAAAUAAUUACCGAUCUCUGUGGACACGACCCUGCUCAAUCACUAUACACAAUUUAUUUAGAGUAGGAAUUUAUUUUUGUUGGCUUCGACAACCAUCAAAUUUUGGCGCCGUUGCCGGGGAUUGGUGUCAUUUAUUUAAUCCUUUUUACGUUUUACUUGGUGUAUGGUUCGUUCUUCUCGUACAGGUACACUUUCGUUUGAUCCUGAAAUUGAGAAGACAGCUCGCCAGCUGAGACAGCAGACGAAGCGAGCUAAGCAACGAUCCUCGUCGCCUUUGCUUUCUGAAACAGAUACGGUGCCUGAUUUAGUUCAAUCAUCUAGCGAUUCGGAAGAACAAGUGAUGAAUAGAGCUGCACCUGUAGAAAGAACUCUUAGAGAGUUAGCUGAACCAGACUUGAAUCAGCAACCACUCUGCAUUCAAUAUGUAGACUUGGAGGUAAAUUUUGAAUUAAAGUCUGGUUUUAUUCAUUUAUUACCCAAGUUUCAUGGUUUUGCAGGUGAAGAUCCUCAUAAACAUCUUAAGGAGUUUCAUGUUGUAUGUUCAAGUAUGAGACCACAAGGCGUGACUGAAGAGCAGAUUAAGCUGCGUGCUUUUCCGUUCUCUGUAGAUGGGCUAGCUAAAGAUUGGUUGUACUACUUGCCUCUUGGAUCGAUUACAACGUGGAAUGGUUUGAAGAAGCAGUUCCUCGAGAAGUACUUUCCUGCUUCAAGAGCUGCCAACAUCAGAAAAGAUAUUUGUGGGAUCAGACAACUUCCUGGGGAGACUUUGUAUGAGUAUUGGGAGCGAUUCAAACAAUUGUGUGCCAGUUGUCCUCAGCAUCAGAUUUCUGAUCAACUUCUUAUUCAAUAUUUUUACGAAGGACUGUCAUUGAUGGAUAGGAGUAUGAUAGAUGCUGCUAGUGGAGGCGUGUUAGUGAACAAGACCCCUACUCAAGCAAGGGAGUUGAUAUCAAAUAUGGCUGCCAACGCACAACAAUUUGGCAGCAGGCAAGAUCCUACUUCAAGGAAGGUGAAUGAGGUAAAUAUUUCUUCUGUUGAACAACGUUUAGAUAAACUUACUUCUCUUGUGGAAAAGUUUGUUGUAGGCAAUGUGCAACAGGUGAAGACUUGUGGCAUUUGUUACAAUAUGGGUCAUUCAACUGAUAUGUGUCCUACACUUCAAGAAGAACCUGUUGAACAAGCCAAUGUAGUUGGAGGAUUUCCAGGCAUGCCUCAGAGGAGGUAUGAUCCUUAUGCACAAACAUACAAUCCGGGAUGGAAGGAUCAUCCCAACUUCAGCUAUGGAGUUAGGCCGUCAGGAUUCCCACAACAGUAUCCACCAAGACAACCAGCACCUCCACAGUCAACCUCCAAGUCAGGUAUAUCUCUUGAAGAAAUUGUUAAAUCGCUUGCGACUAAUACUCAACAAUUUCAGCAGGCAACUACAGCAAGCAUUCAGAACUUGGAGAACCAAAUGAGUCAAUUGGCGACUACAGUGAGCCGUCUGGAGUCUCAAGUAUUAGGGAGAUUGCCUUCACAAUCUGAGGUGAAUCCAAAGCAAAACGUUAGUGUUGUCAUCCUUAGAAGUGGGAAGGAGUUGCAAGAGCCUAGUAAGAAAGUGACAGAGCAUGUAGAAGAUGAGCUUAAGAAGAAUGAAUUGAUGCCUCAAUCUCAAGAUGCACAACCCACCAGAGUGAAACCCCUACCUAUUGUGAUACCUCCUCCUUUUCCAAGCCGGUUUGCAAAAUCCAAGAAGGAGGAACAAGAGAAAGACAUCCUUGAGACAUUUCGCAAGGUUGAGGUAAAUAUUCCUUUAUUAGAUGCUAUUAAACAAAUACCUCGAUAUGCUAAAGUCCUUAAGGAACUGUGCACCUCUAAGAGAAAAUUAAGAGGAGAUGAAAAAGUUCAUAUGGGGGAGAAUGUUUCAGCAGCUCUCCAAAAGAAAUUACCUCCCAAGUGCAAGGAUCCAGGUAUGUUUACUAUCCCUUGCAAAAUUGGUAGUGUUAGAGUCGAGAAGGCUAUGUUAGAUCUAGGAGCUUCUAUUAAUGUCAUGCCUCGUUCCAUUUAUUCAUCUUUGAAUGUUGGUCCAUUAAAAAAAACUGGCGUGAUAAUUCAACUAGCUGAUAGGUCUAAUGCAUAUCCUGAUGGGGUAUUAGAAGAUGUCUUAGUACAAGUUAAUGAGUUGGUUUUUCCUGCUGAUUUUUAUGUACUUGAUAUGGAAGAUGAUAACUCCUCUAAUUCUGUCUCAAUUUUGCUAGGAAGACCUUUUCUUAAGACUGCUAGAACUAAAAUGGAUGUACAUAAAGGGACUCUCACUAUGGAGUUUGAUGGAGAGGUUAUAGAAUUCAAUAUGAAUGAUGCCAUGAAAUAUCCUAGUGAGGAACAUUCGGUAUUUUCUGUGGAUGUUAUUAACCCUAUAGUGCAGGAAGUUUUUUACAAGAAAAAAACGAAGACAUUUCAUGAUAGAAUGAUUUUGAGAAAGGAGUUCUCUGUUGGUCAAAAAGUUCUUCUUUUUCAUUCUAAGCUUAAACUUUUUCCGGGUAAAUUACGUUCUUGCUGGGUUGGACCUUUUAUUAUUACUAAUAUUUUUCCUCAUGGUGCAGUUGAGAUUCGGAGUCCGACCUCUGACAAAGUUUUUAAGGUUAACGGUCAUCGCUUAAAACCUUUUUAUGAAGGUUUUUCGGUGAAUAUUGUGGAGGAUGUGGCUCUCGAGAGUCCCAAUUAUGGAGAUUGAUGCAUAAAUGUGUCUAGCCAAAGACAUAAAACAAAGGCGCUUUUUGGGAGGCAACCCAAAGGAUUUAUUUAUUUUGACUUUUGUUAUAUCUUUUAUUUUUAAUUUAGAUUUAGAUUUUUUUUUAUAAUGUUUUUGCUUAUUUUGGUCAGAAGAAAAUUUUUGAUAAGGCGUGCCCACGUCUUAACUAAUAAGUACUUUUGUGAUUUUUAAAGUAAAAUGGUUUUAAGGCGUGCCCACGUCCUUAUUAGAAAAGUACUUCUGAAAUUCUUUGUGUCUCAAAGUGAUUCAUCACUAAAAAAAAAUUAUUUAUUUAUUUGAAAAUUAAAAAAAAGGAAAAAAAAAACUUUUUUUUCCUUUCUUUUCUUGCUUUUUUAUAUAUAUUUUUUUAUUUGAAAAAAAAACGAAAAAAAAUUUACUGUUCACAAAAUCCCUAAUUCACAGAAUUGGUUUUCUUCUCCAGCUUUCACCGACCAGCCCACGCAGCAGCAGCAGCACGCAGAACCAGCGUCAGCCCAGCCCUCGCGUGCAAUCAACCCCAGCACGCAAAUCCAGCAGCCCACUAGCGCAACAGGACCAGCCCCAGCAGCGCACAGCAGAAUCAGCCCCAGUGCACAGCAUCCCGCACGCAACCAGCGUCACCAGCGCGCAACCAGCAAUCCACCAUCGGGCCAAGCUCCAGCCGAGCAGUAAUCGUCCGCAACCAGCCUACGCCCUUAUUCCAGCCGGGUGAAUCGAAAUCCGUGAGUGAAAUUAUUGUAACAAUGCCGAAGAGGAAAGCAUCAACUUCCAAGUCAUCUAAAAAGACACCCGUCGCAAAGAUAUCCAAGAUUGCCGCUCUCAUUACAGUUUCAUGGAACACAGUUUCAGAUUCACGCCAAGUCGUGAGACAAAGAUCGAACCAUGGAAAAGGCAUGAGUGUUUUGCCACUUGCGGAAUCCAAUCUCGGAGGGUGCCUUGAAUUUACGACUCAACAAGAGAAAGAAAGUUUACUGAACCAGGACCCACUCAACCUCCAAAGAAGCUUUAUGCUAGAAGUGGUGCUACCUCUGAUGACGAGUUUGACGACGACACUGCUGCCCCGCCGACUAUUCCUUCUACAUCCACACCACCUUUGAGCAUUCAGUUAGAGAAAAUGGAGCACAAGUUGAACAAGAUGGAGCAGAAUUUGGCCGCAUACUUCAAGAGUGUAGGAUUUAUCCCACCAUUUCCGCCAAGCUCAUAGACGUUAUGAGGAUCAAAGCUCACAAUUCAGGGAAGUUUUUGCCUUUAAUCUUUUAUCCUUACGCUUUAAUUUUUAUGUGAGCUUUGAUUAUCUUACAUUGGGGACAAUGUAAGUUCUUGGUGUGGGGGAGGGAUUUUUGCAUUAUUGAUGUCUGGAAGUAUUAUUUUCACUCUACUAAUCUAUUUUCAUUCUACUCAUCCUUAAAUGAUUUUGGAGUUAGUAUGCUUCAUAUAUUAUUAUUUUUCUUUUCUUUUCUUUCUCACUACUCUUUUUCCAUCUAUCUCAAAUUAUUUACAUCUAUUUUUAUUCUAUCAUACUCUUUCAUCACUCACAUUUUAUCUUUCACUUUUCAUAUUACUACGUACAUCUUUCUCACUUCUUAUCAUUUUUACCUUUCCUUCACUCAUACAUUCUUCUCAUUCUACACCACUAUUGAUGGUUGAUUCAUUUGAAGAGUGUACAUGAUUUGAUGGCAAAUUUACCAACUUUGUGAGGAUUUGAGCCAAUGAGCAACCACUUUGCUCUAAUUAUUUUUGUUAUGUGAAUAUCAAUCUUAGUUUGUUUAUUCUAGAACUUGCUUUGUUAUGCAUGUUGAAGCCACAUUACGGGAUUUUUUGCAUUAAAAUGAUAAGGGCAAACCAUUUACCAUUUUUCUAUUCUCGCAUUUUCCUUUUUCUCUACCCGAAGACCUUUAUUUGCUACCUUUGUUUGAGCCUUAACCAUUACCCAUCUAAUUCUCUCCGUCUACUUAACCAUUUUUCUUCUUUUUGAGCCUCAAUUUAAAGAGAUUUUUGGACUCAUUGUGUGGAUAUAUUUUGUUGCUUUUUCUACCUUGUAUUAAAGUUUCUCAAUUAGAUCAACAAGCAUUAUGCUUGAAUUAAAUUGUGCAAGGUUCGUUUCUUUUGUUUGAUUCAAAAACAAAACAAAAAAAAAGAAAAAAAAGAACAAAAAAAAAGAAAAAAAAGAACAAAAAAAAAGAAGAAAAAGAAAAAUAAAAAAAAAAGAAAAAAAAGUUUACAUUCUUGGUGACUUGAGUAGAAAUAAGCAUUUUGAUAUCACAAGUUCAUUCAAUGAGUUCAUUCUUCUCAUUUUAAUAUCUUUUUCUUUCGUAAACCUUUCUUUUCCAUUCAACCUAUUUAACCUCAUUACAACCCUUAGAUUUUUGCAUUUUAUUCAUGUUUUGUGGAUUGAGAUGUGAUAUAUGAGCAAGCUUAUGGUAAUAGCAUUCUUUGAUUUGAUUUGAGUGCAUAAAUGAUACCCUAAACACUUUGAGUGCAUGGAGUGAAGUUAUUGAGAGGGCUAUUAAAUCUUGUUGCACUUGAAUUUUGAAUGGAUCCUCUUGGUGGUUGAAUGUUCUUAUUCUAUCUUAUGAAAUUCUAUGCUCUAAAAUCCUUGUCUCUCGAAUGUUGAUCGACUUAAUUUCUUGAGGUAUGCUUGCUUAAAAUUGUUUUUGGAUGAGUUGAGAUGAGAAUUGAGUGGAGAUUUGAGAUUAAUCUUGAGUUAUAUGCUUGAGGACAAGCAUCAUCUUGGUGUGGGGGAAUUUGUUAGAGUGCAAUUUAUGCACUAGUUUUGCAUUGUUUACUUCCCUUAAUAUCGAUGUUUUGCAUUUAAUAAUAGUGAUUUACUUGUGUUUUACUUUUGUAGGUGCAAUUCUAUUGAUUGGUGAUAAAAUUGAGCUAUAAGAUGAUGUUUAAGGAUGAUUGUUCUCUUGGAGAAAUUAUGAGCGGCAGAAGAACUUUGUUGAUAAGGCGUGGGCGCGUGCUGUCAACUGCGGACCUGCAGUUUUUAGUUUAACGUGUUUUGUAUUUUUGGCUAUUUUUUAAUUACGAAUUUAAUAUUUCAAAUAUUAGUAUUUUAUUUUAAAUAGAACUCUAAAAGAGAAGAGAGAGAGAGUAUUUAAGGGAGGAAUCUAUUGUGAAAAAGGAGGGAAUUUUGAUUGGAGAAAAAGAAAAGAAACCCUAGAUCUAAUUUUUCUCUUCUCUCUAUGAAGAACUAAACUUAUUUUUCUGGUUGAAGAAUAAUGAAGCUUUGAUUCAUCACUACUGUGAGAUCUUUCUUGUGCUUUAAUUGUUUUAUUGCUUUUUGGGUAUUUGUUUAUUCUCUGAAUUAUUUUCAUGAUUAUGUUUGUUAAUUAGAUAAUUGGCCACUAUUUAAUUAUCAACUUAAUCUAUUGUCAAUUAAAGGAUUCAUCGUAUGAAGAAUUUAAUGUUUGUGACAAAUAACAUAGCAGAGAGUUGUGUUGUGAGAAUAAACAAUCUAAUUUAAAUAAAUCAUCAUAUGUGUUGAUUAGGAUUUGGGUCUCUCUGGUUUUUUAGGCUGUCAAUUGAUUAAAUCCUAUGAUCGUAUCUAGGGUUGUCUAUUGAUUAGGGAAAUAUCCAACGGUCGUACCUUGGUUAUCGACUAAUUAAGGAGAGAUUGACUAUUGAGGGUCUUAGUAGCUAUAACCGGUCUAUUCAUAAGUAAUAAUAAUUUAUAUUUGAAUCAAUGAUCAGUAGUCGAAUCAAGCUGAGUUAAUUCCUUCAACCAGAGCUUUCUCCAAUUUGAAUCACAACUUUAAUUUACAUUCUCGUUAUUUUAAUUUGAUUUUUAUUAUUGUCAACAAUUCCCCCAUUUUACAUUUUACGUUUCAAAAGGAUUUAAAUAAUUACCGAUCUCUGUGGACACGACCCUGCUCAAUCACUAUACACAAUUUAUUUAGAGUAGGAAUUUAUUUUUAUUGGCUUCGACAACCAUCAAAUAAACAGAGAAAAUAACCGAUCAAUUCUUUGUGCAGUGGCCACAGCAACAGCGAAAAUAUGUCUGCAUGACUACAUUAAUUAAUCCUACCAUCACCAUGCAACAUUAAAUCAACAUUUGAUCAUCUAUCAAUUUUCAUGAUAUGAGAUUAGAAACAUUGAGUUCAUAAUUUCGUGUAAUUUCAUGUACUAGAUGUAUAUAAUUGAUUUGAGUUAGUUUAACAUCUAAAGAAAGAGUAAUGGGGAAUGAUGUCGAUGUGGCAUUUGAUGAGUAAUGAUAGACAACAAAUACUGAUCAUGUAAGAAUGAAGUCUGUAUUUACUGAAAAAUAUUUGGCAAUAAAAUGAUGCUUUAAAAAAUUAAUAUUAGUUGCACGAAAAUAAAUUGGCAACUAAAAUUAAUAGAUAUAUAUCCAAUGCUUCGAGUUUAUUUUAUCACUUCGCUAACAAUUUUGUAACUACAUUUUAAUUAUAAUGUCGAAAAGAGAUUUGAUUUUUGUAUUAAAAAAAAUUAGAAAUGAAACAAGUCAAAAUCAAUCAUAAGAACAACAAUAAGAGCAUAUUUUUAUAAAAACCACAAAUACAUAAUAUAAAUUUAGUUUCGAAUUAGGUGAUUAUUAAUUUACAUAGUAAGAGAGUCUUAUAGAAAAAUAGGAAUUUUUUUAAAAGAGAUUUGCUUAAGGAACAAAUUUAGUAAAUUAACAAUCACCAAAUAUGGUAGGGUGGCAGGCAGAGGAAGCGUGGUUCCUAAUCCUAAUCUUGAGUGAUAACUGGCUAUGUAACAUGUGGCAUUCUACAUUCUUGCAAUGCCAUUAAUUUCUUGUUAUGGCAGCAGCGUUCUUUCAUCAUGGCAUCACAAGCAAAUGUUUGAUUUGAAGACUUGCUUAGCUGAGAAAAAUAAGGAGAGCAAAGGUAAUGAAUUUUGGUGUGAUAAAUAUUUUUAUGGAUGUACUAAGAAAAAUAAAGAUAAUAGAAGUGAUGUUAUUGAGGAGCAUUUUGAUAUUUACCAAAGUGUUCAAAGAAAAAAGUUAUUUUUUGAAAUCUAUUUGCUGGUGCACAUAACAAAAGGGCAUUCUGAGUAAAUUUAAAACUACAAAUAGUUUCACUCUUUUAACAAUAUUCUUCAAUUAAUUCUGUUUAUUUCAAAAUAAAUAUUCUAUCUCUUUAUUACUUUCUAACUAGUCAUGCUAAUAUGCUAAUAAUUAUGAAGAACUAGUGUAAUUUAUAUGAUAUAAGAAGCCCUUUAGCACAUUAACCCGAAUUUAGCUAAUACAUGUGCCUAAUAUAGCGAAAUCAACAUUCAGCGCAUUAGAGUGCCAUUAUAUAUAUUGAGAGAGAAAUUAACACAAAAAACUGAAUAUUAAUUGACACUGGAUCAUAUUGGAUUGUCAGUUGUUAAUUAUGAUGGGAAUACAAUCUUCAUCUUUUGAUUAUCAGCUAGCUAAUGCAUGUGCACUUUCAUUUGUGUCUAUCACUGAAAAGUAAAGUUGCUUGAUUGAGUAGUAUCAUAUCACAGGAACUCCAAACUCAAUUUCAUUGCCGGAGCAUACCAUGCCAUAUGUAGCUUAAAAGUGCAGCUAUCUUAUACUAAUUAUUUAAUACGACUAUUAGCUCUUUAUGAUUAAUUAAAAGAGAAAAUGUUUGACAAUCACGAAAAUAAUAACAAUUCACUCCUAUAAACAACAUAACAAAUACAUGGUCUAUAUUGCAAAUCUUUUUAUGAUUAUAAUUAAAAGAGAAAAUACGAAGACAUAUUAUAUAUAAUAAUUGAAUGUUCUCCUUGAUAAUUAGACAAAAUAACACCAAUCUAGCUAAUUAAUCCAAUCAUCAUACUAAUCCAAUUUUCAUUAUUUAAUUAUGUCCAAUCAUGCUAAUUUAAUAAAGAGCACUGAACACUCGAGUACUUAUAUGUUCAGCAACUUUGGCCGAGUUUGAAAAAGAUUAGAGCUGCAUUUAUGCUUUGUGUUAUUACUUACGACAUGAUCAUAUUAUGUCGCAUUUGUCAGAGAACCGAAAACUGUGGGGGGAAAAAAAAUCCUAAAAGAGAUGUAACGAAAACAAAAUGAGAAAAUAAUGCACACACAUCAUAGCAAUGCUUCAUUCAUUUUGAUUCUAUCUAUACAAAAACUUGUAUCCGAUGGUUUACAUUUGUUUAAUCUAACGGCUAUAACAUGUAUACAGUCAAACGCUACUGCUGCCAUCUUUCUUUGUCCUCGUUGUAUCCUUGAUCUUAUAUUAUCCUGGUGAUUCUUGAAAGAUCUUCUCAUUCUCAUAUGCUGAGUCGCUUGCUGGGAUGAUUAAUACUCGAAGGUCCUUCAUUGAGACAUUUCAGCAAACACCUGAUUCAUUAUAUCAAACAUCUGCAUCACUAAUCGCUAAAAGAUAUAAAAUAGUUCUGUUUUGAAAAAUUGAUAUAAACCAGUCACCUUAGAUUUUCUUAGUCUCAGAGGACAACGGGUGAUGAUUCGAUGAGAAAUAUUAAUAUGCAUGCAUCCGCUGCAUUAGUUAGAGCUGCUUGUCAUUUUCUUCUUUCUUUUGGAUACUAUUUUAAAUUUUUAAUCAGUCUAAUUCAGCUGUAUGUUUGCUUUCAGUCCAAAUCGAACUCAGAUAUUAAGUACUUCUACAGGAAUGGACGCACCCAAAAAUCUAUGGGAUCCGUAGUUCUUGCAGAAGCGGCAGAAUGCUGCCAGCAAUUCAGGCAGAUAGAAGCUUGGUUGAGUGGUUGUUCUUCAAUGUGAAAUUCUACAUAAUGGCGAUCCUUUCAAUGGGGUUUAAAUUUUUUUUUUUUUGAGUUGUUGAUUUAGAGCAGAUUAAGUAACAUGUGGCAUUCUAUAUUCUUGCAAUGCCAUUUCUUGUUAUGGUAUCAACAUUCUUGACCAUGGUUUGAUUUGCGUAAUUUUGCUUUCUGUUUUUGAUAUUUUCUUCGCAUUGUUGUUGUGGGAUUUGUAGAUAGUGUAUAUGUAUGAAGAUAACGUAAUAAAGUGCUUUUGAUAAAUUCCCCUGGUUUGUUUACUUCACUAAUUCAUUAAUGAGCAAGUCCUCUAUAGAGCUGUGUUGUGCGUACAAGUUUUGCUACAUGAAAUCGUUAGGUGAGGAGAAUUUUUAAAAGCAUACAUCAAAGUAAUGAUUAAAGGGACAAAAUCAACGUAAAUAUUGAUUAUCUUGAGUUAGAUUAUACAAAGAUGAAAUAAUGAUAAUCUAAUAAAUUUAUCAUAAUACACUACUCAAAAAUGCAUUUUAAUGACACAAAUUUUAUGACAUACAUCUUUAUGUCAUGAAAAUAUUUGCAUGAUGUAUAAUGCUUUCGUGAUUAUUUGAUGAUAAAUUCAUAAUUGCUGCUGAUAUGAAAUGAAGUGAUGAUAGGUAAAUAUUAUGCGAUUUUUUUUUUAUGGGUAAGAAUAUUUGAACCCACCAAAUUACUCUUUAAACUUAUUUUUUUAUUGAUAAUUUUAUUACAAAAUUACCGAUAAUUUGAAUUACUAUUACAGACAAACAAUAAUUAUAUAAAAUUAUUUUAUUUUUACUCAUUGUUUAAACCUACCGCAAAACUCAAUCAAAGUAUGCCUUUUUUUUUCUUCUGCAAGUUUUUAAUAAGUUCAUCCUUCAUCCACAGUUGAGAACUUUCUAAUUUUUUUUUCUUGUUCUAGUAAUUUGGAUAUGCUGUGUUAGAUACUGAAUUUAUUAAAUUUCUUCUUCUCUUUUGAAUAAAAUCUCUUUAAAAUUCAAUUCAUAAAAAAAUAAAAAAUUAAUCUCCUUCUAAUUUAAUAUGUUUCAGCUGUCUUAGUGGAAUGAUGCAAUUUGUUUCCAUCAAAGUUUUGAAGCAUCCUGAAAUUUUGAGAUCGACAUGAUAACAAAUUAAUUUAAUUCAUGGUGUACUCUAAAUUUUCAGCCACAAAAAAAAUAGCCAAAUUGAAGCGUACCUGGGCAAGAAGAAACUGCGAUUAUACAAUUUCAGUGUUUGACUCUAUCAACAAAAAAGAAAAUAAAAAAGAACUCUCAUUGUUCCAUUGUUUUUCCCAUAAAUAAUGAUAUACAGAGAAUUUAGUUUGAUAAAAGGAUAUAAUAAAUAUUUAGGUGAGUUUAUAAAGUAAAUUUUAAAAAUUUUAAAAUUUAGUAAUGGGUUUAUAAAUAAUUGAGUUCAUAUAAUAUUUUAAUGAAUUCAAAUAACCCCACUCCCUUUUUAUUUUUUAAAAAGAUCUAAUUACAAAAAUACCAUUCCAAUCGGCAGCAUUUUAUAUUUUAUUUUAUUUUUAAAUUACUAGUGACGCACGAAACGGCAUCAUUUAUUGAUAUUUUUAAAUUGUUUAAGAUUUGUUUAAUUAGAAAAUUGCCAUCGUUGAUAUUUAAUUAAUUUUAAAAAAUAAAAAUAAUUAAAUUGGUAAGCUCUACUCCAUCAGUGAUGAACGAAUUGACAAAUUUGCAAUAAGUGAUGAACGAAUUGAUAAGCUCUACUCCAUCAGUUCCUUAAUUGAGAAAAAACCCAAGCCCGUGCAGCGCAGCCUCACAAUUGAUAGAGACCCUAAGCCACCAAACUCGACAAUCAUCACUCAACGUCGUCGCAAGCUACCGGUCGCUCAACAAGCACCAGUUCCUUGCUCUACAGCCAUCGCUCAACCGCUGCCAUUACCUGUUAAUUAUUCGCUUGAAUUAGGGUUCUGAUAUUUGGGAAUUUUUUGUUAGUUGUGGAAUUAUGAAGCAAUGAUGACGAUGACGAAGAUGUGGUGGUUGACGACGGCAAUGGCAACGUUGAAUAUUGAGGCACCGGAGGAAAAAGCAUUGGCUAUGUAUCUUGGUCGAUUUGCCUCGAAUUGAUCACUAAACAUGGGGAUAUCGUGGGCCGAGCUUCAACGCAGUCGCAAAUUUCAUCUGGGUAACUGAAAUUUUUGUUUUGUUUAAUUUGUUUAGAGUUCAAUUGUUUAGAUCUAGGCUAAUUUUUAUGAUUAAACUAUAUGAGUAUGCUUAAAUUUUAUUCCUUCAAAUUUAUUUUAUGAUGUUGCAUUUGGUUAGCAAAAAGAUAAAAAUAGUAGAAAAUGUCAGAAUUAUUGUUAUGAAAAUGUUGUUUUAGUCUGAUAUUGGGAAAAUAUCAUUAUACAUAUUGGCAUGAUAUUCAUGGGAGACAAAAUUGAGAAUGAUGACAGACUAUGCAUUGCUCACAACUAAUUUAAAACUCGCUAUUUCUAUUGUUUGUGUUUCAGUAACUUCGGGGGAAUUCCAACUAUAUUUAAUAAGCUAUAAACUUGUUUAGGAUUACUAAUCAAUUUGCUAGAAAGAGUUGCAAACUAAUUAGCUUUCUCUUAUAACUUUUACAGAUCAUCUGUGGAGGAGAACUGCAAGGAGUUGAAGACUCUAGACCCUAAACUUCAUAUCUUGAUUUAUAAGUGCAAUGGGCAUAAGUUCGAAUUAUGGGCUGGAGAUGGUAUAUGUAAUCUUUCUACUCUUGGUGUUUUUUUUUUCCUCUAGUUAUUUUUUGUUCUCUACUCCAUUGUAUAUUUGUAUUCAAAAGUAUUUUUUCUUUGCUUUAAGCUUUUAAAUUUAUGGAGAUGAUCUUAUUAGGUGUUAAAAAAAAUAGCUGUAGAGCUUUACUAAAACUAUGUAAACUCUUAUUGAGAUUUGGGUUUGAUUUUGUAAGAUUGCUAAAAAUUUCAUAUUUUAUACUUGUUUUAUACUUUUCUAGUUGAAUUUCUUGCUUGUGGAAGAUAAAAUAAAAGUCCAAUUCAUGUUGUAAAAUUUUUUUUCCUCCCUUCUUUCUUUCCUUAUAAUCUGGCUCUGGCUUUGGUGCUAUGCUUGGUGCAGUUUAUGGUUUCAAUGCAGGGAACCAAUUUCAUCAUAAUCAUCUUAAAGGAUCAAAAUGGCUUUCUUUUGUAACUGGGUAAGUCAAUGCUACUUCCUGAAUUCGAUUUGGAGUUCUUUCGGAAUAGAUUUCCUUCCCUUACAUCACUUGGCUUCUAGUUGCAUCUUCUUGGCUUUCUCCAGCGGACUUUUUUAUUGGCAAAUUCCUUUGUUUCUAUUGUUUUCAAGUGCUAGUGCUGGAUUUAGAGGUUAAAUGGUGCCUUCAUUUUUAUUUUUUAUUUUUUUAUUUUGGGAGUAUAGUACUGUAAUAUACUUCUUUGUAUAGCUAGUACAAAAUAGUUCUUCAACUUCUUACUUUUGGCUUUAAUGGGUUCGAUAUAUGAUAGCGGAGCCCUAUCACCAUUUGAUGUCAGACAACAAAUAGGGGACAGAUGGGGUUAGAAAAAUAAGAAACAUGACCAAAAUAAAAAUCUAAUCUACUCAUAUAAGCAGCUCAUCAAAUAAGUGUGUCACAUACUUAAGUGAAUAAGAUUCCGUGAUUUCUAGGAAUCCAAGUCAAAUUAUAACAUUCUUUAAAUAAGACUCACAAGCUUAUUAGGUGUUAUAUUGAAUCAUCUAAGUUGAAUAAUCUUUUGGGUUGAAUAUGUUAAUUUCUUAUUCCAUAUGUUUCAGCCUCUCAAUAGUUGAAUUAGCAAUGAAAAUUUGAAAAUGGAAAAACUCAAUGCAAUUAUUUUAGGUGCUUAUCAUAGAUAAGAAUUUCACUUUUUACACUUCAUUGUCUGUUGUCAAAUUUAUUAAGUAUGAACCCGGAUUAGGUUUGUGCUCUCAAGGAUUUAUAAAUAAGUGCUACUUGACUUAGAUGUAAGAAAAUUGAAAAGCAGAGUUGCUUGAUUGAAUAGCUUCAUAUUUUACAUCAUAGAAACUCAAUUUUCAUUGCCAUAUGUAGCUCAAAAGAGCAUGAACAUUGAACAUUCAGCUAAUUUAUACUAAUUAAUUAACACAACUAUCAGUUCUUACUUCUUGGUACCCGGCAACAUCCAUCCAUAAGAGUGAAACCCCCAUUGAUUUCAUAUAUACAAAAUAAAUAACUUACAAAGACAAUACCUGACAAUCACAACAAAAACACCAAUUCACUCCAAUAAACAACAUAACGAAUACAUGGUUUAAAUUGCAAGUCUUGUUACGAUUUUAAUUAAAAGAGAAAAUGUGAAGGACAUGUUAUAUAUAAUUGAAUGUUAUCCUUGAUAAUUAGACAAAAUAGCACUAAUGUAGCUAACUAAUCCAAUCAUUGUAAUAAUUGGAUUUUCUUUUUUUAAUUAUGUCUAUUGAUGCUAAUUUAAUCAGGAACACUGAAUACUUGAGUGUUUUUAUGUUCAACAGCUUUGGCUAAGUUUGAAAAGAUCAUAUUAAUUAUUAAUAUAAAUAAAUAAGCCAACAAGGUACAUAUUACAUAUAUGUGUAGUUGCAAUAAAUACAUAUGUAAUAAAGAUCAUAAAGCUCAGGGCCAUUAAUUCAACAUUACCAAAUCAAUAUCCCAAUAAUGGUUUGAUUACUAAUCUAAGCAUUAAAUGAUCAGCAAACUUUAUUUGGCCAAAACAAAUGCUUCCUUGUUGCCUCCUUGAUCUUUUCCUGGCUGGUGAUUCCUGAAUGUUCUUCUCAUUUUGAUAUGCUGAGUCGUUUGCUGAUUAUAAAUGCUAAUCACCUUGAAUUUUCUUAGUCUUCUUCUUCAUGUGAAAUUCUACCUAAUGGCUAUCCUUUUAUCUGGUUUGAAUUCUUCUUUUUUCUUUGAAUUGUUGAUUUCUAAUGUUCUUGUCAUUCGCACAUGUGACGUUCUGCACUCUUGCAAUGCCAUUUCUUAUUAUGGCAGCAGCAUUCUUGGUCAUGGCAUCACUAGCAAAUGCUUUUGAAUUGCUUUGUUUGAUUUUUGUUUCUAAUAUUUUUUUUUUGGCAUUGUGGGAUACUGUUUCUCUUUUGAUUUUCUGUCUUUGUUGUUAUGGGAUUCUGGCAUAGUAUGCAUCAGUACACGUAUGAAGAUGAUGUGAUAAAGUGCUUUUGAUAAAUUGCCCCAGUCAGUUUACUUCACAAACCAACCAUUAAUGAGCAAAUCCUUCUAAUGACCCUUGUACACAUUAGAAUAAAUACAAUUCUAUUUAUACACAAAAAUAAAUAACUCUCAAGUAUAUUAUUUGAUAAUCGCAAAAGCAACAAUUCACUCCAAUAAAUCUCAUAACACACUCAUGGUCUAUGUUGCAAGUCUUUGUAGAGAAAAAAAUGAAGGACACACAAUUAAAUUUUUUCUAUGAUAAAGAACUCUAAACAAAUUCAUAUACAUAUUGCAGUACCCCUUACAAAUUCAUUUGUUUCUUUUUUUUUUUAGAAGAAAAUAGACUUUCUAUUAAGCAAAAUUUUUAAAAAUACAAGCAAUCUCAUUCGGGAAAGAGUCCAUCCAAACACUAGACUUUUUACUCUUGAGGGCAUACUUAGCUAAUCUAUGAGCAAGUUCAUUGGUGAAUCUAGGGGUGUGUUGAAAGGUAACCUUGUGAAAGUCACCUGUCAUAUCUUGAGCAGCGGAUAUCACCCAGCAAAUUUCUGUUUUACUCCAUUUCUUAUGGUUGACCAGAUCAACAACUUCCUGGCAGUCUGUCUCAAUGAUAAUCGAUGUCAAUUGAACAUCUUUGGCCACUUGAAGUCCCAGCUCGACAGCCUCUGCUUCUGCAAACUGCACGUCCAAGCUUAGUCUUGAUGGUUUAACUGCAGCUGCCACUACUCUUCCUUUAUCAUCCCUGAUAACAGCCCCCAAGCCUACUGAUUUAGCUUCAACAUUGAUAGCAGCAUCCACGUUAAUCUUGAAACUUCCAGCAGGGGGUGCAGUCCACUGAUGAUGCUUCUUGUCUUCUCGGUUUGCAGCUUGAGAGCUUCCACCAUGCUUCACUCUUCGAUAGUCUUCGACUAUAGCUUGGGCCUUUGCAGCUGAGACAUUUGAGUUAAUUUUCUCCCCUUUGAAAAGCAGCCGAUUUCUAGCAUUCCAAGUAAUCCACCAGGUAGCACCUAAUAAUUCCAAAUCUGCUUUGCACAGCCUCUUAGACAUCUGAAACCACACUUCCAGCAUAUCUUGCCCUUUAUAAACUUCAAUGCCUUUAUCAGCUAGGAUUGACUUCUUCCAAAUCUUACCCGCUGCUUUGCACUCGAUCAGGGCAUGAGAAAUAGUUUCCACGCUUCUUCUGCAAAUUUGGCAUAGAGGGGAUGCAGUCACUUUCUUUUUCCAUAAAUUCUCCACCAUUGGUAGCAUGUUUUGAGCAGCUCUCCAUAAGAAGAUUUUUGUUUUUUCAGGCAGCUCCAAUCUCCAUAUGGCCUUCCAGUAACAAGAGCAAUCCUCCGAGGUGCUGGGGAUAUCAGGAUAUUUCAGUCUUAGAGCAAUCUGAUAGCCGCUCUUAACUGUGUACAUGCCUUUCUUGUCAAAAUGCUAGCAAACUUCAUCCAUCUUUGGGCUUCUAGGGAGAGGGAUCCUCAUUAUGGCUGCUGCAUCUUCUUUAUUAAAGUGCUCCAAAAUUAGAUCUGCUUUCCACUGGUUCCUUGCAUCAAUUAGCUCUGCCACUUUAGCAUCCUCCGACAGAGAUGGUACUGAGAAGGGUUUAAACGUAUUUGGCCUUGGGAUCCAAUUACUCUUAUAAACUUGCACCAUAUCGCCUCUACCUAUUCUCCAUCUAGCCCCAUUUUUUAAAACUUGUCUACCCCACAACAAGCUCCUCUAGAGGAAGGAUGGGUUUGAUCCCAAGUUAGCAUUCCAGAAAUCUGAACAUUUAAAGUAUUUGGCUUUUAGAACUUGGGCAGUCAAAGAAUUCGGAUCCUGAAGUAUUCUCCACCCCUGCUUUGCCACCAUCGCUUGGUUGAAACUACAAAAAUCUCUAAAGCCCAUACCACCUCUACACUUUGCAUGGCUUAGUCUCUCCCAUCUUGUCCAGUGAAUUUUGUGUUUGUCUUCCUUGGAGCCCCACCAGAAUUUUGCUACCGCUCUUUGAAUAUCUUCGCACAGCCCGAUAGGGAGCUUAAAAACACUCAUGGCGUAGGCUGGAAUCGCUUGAGCUACUGCCUUAAUUAACACCUCUUUCUCUCCAGUUGAAAAGAAUUUAUCCUGUCAAUUAGAUAUCUUACUCAAUACCCUGAGCUUUACAUCAUUAAAAAAGCUCAUCUUUUUCCGACCAAUCAUCGAAGGCAGCCCCAAAUACUUCUCGUGUCUCGAUAUUACAUUGAGCUGGAAGAUAUUUUUAAUGGUUUCAGCUUGCUGCUCACUCACCUUGCCGCCAAAGAACAACGAUGACUUCUCAUAGUUGAAUAUUUGCCCUGAGGCUGAUGCAUAAGAGUCAAACAAAGCUUUCAACUGAUUACACUCAUUUGUUGAGGCUCUUGCAAAAAUUAAACUGUCAUCAGCAAAUAAUAAGUGAGUGAUGGAGAUCUCCUGCCCAAACCAUAGCCCAUGGAUCAAGUUUUGUCUUUCUGUCUGCAGCAACAGAUUUGAAAAAGCUUCCGCACAUAUAAGGAAUAGAUAUGAAGAUAGAGGGCACCCUUGCCUAAGACCUCUUUGAGCACGGAACAGCCCUUUGGGUUUUCCAUUUAUGAUUAUAGAAAAAUUUGCUGUUGUAAUACAAUUCAAAACUAGCUUUAUCCAUUUAUGCGAAAAGCCUAGCCGCUCCAUAGUUUGUUCAAGGAACCUCCAUUCCACUCUAUCAUAGACCUUACUAAUAUCUAGUUUUAAAGCUACCAACCCCUUUUUUGUACUUUUAUUAUGCCUAAUUUUGUGAAGACAUUCAUACCCAAUAAUAAUGUUAUCUGUGAUAAGUCUAUUAGGAAUAAAAGCACUUUGUGUAGGUGAGAUAACUUGAUGCAGGAUCUAUUUUAGUCCAUUAGCCAUAGUCUUCGCCACUAUUCUGUAAAUCACAUUACACAAAUUUAUUGGCCUAAACUCGGUCACCUUUUUAGGCUUGGCAACCUUCGGGAUAAGAGCUAUAUAAGUGUGGUUAAGUGGAGUAACAUCACCUUGUGCAUUGAGGAUGUGUAAGCAUGUGUCGAUGACUCCGCUGCCGACAAUUUGCCAAUGCUUUUGGAAGAACGCUGCUGGUAGCCCGUUAGGUCCAGGAGCCUUAGUUGGACACAUUUGGAAUAGAGCGUCAAAGAUCUCCUCAACUGUGAAUGGUUGAUCUAAUGCUUUAUUCAUCUCUACAGUCACCUUUGGGUUCAGGCCUGCUAAGACAUCAUUGAUUUGGUUUUGGUUUGGACUUGAGGUUGUGAACAGAUCUUGGAAAUAUUCACCAAACUCUCUCUCAAUCUCUUCUCCAUCUUCCAGCCAAUGCCCUUGCUGAUUUUCAAUGCCAGAGAUCCUAUUCUUUCUCCUUCGCGAUGAAGCUUUAAAGUGAAAAAACUUCAUGUUUUUAUCCCCCUCCUUAAGCCAAUCAGCCCUUGAUCGUUGCUUCCAAUAAAUCUCCUCAUCAGUUAAUAAGUUGUUGAUCUGUCUUUCCAGGUUCUUGAUUUCAGCACCAUUGUCAUACUACAAAUUAUUGCUUACAGCACACUGGAGCUUUUCCAUCAGAAUUUUCAGCCUUUCUUUUCGCUCCCCGAACUCUCCUUUACUCCACCAUUGCAAUUGGGCCAUCGUAGCUUUUGAUAGCCUUUGGCAAAUCUGCAUUGGAUUUAUAUCAUCUUUACAACCAACACCUGACCACACCUCCUUAACAAUAUUUUUACAGCCUUCAUACGGAGUCCAAAAAUCCUCAUAAUGAACUCUAGAGAAAGUUCUUUGAUCAUAGCUUACUCUACUUUUUUUCUCUUGAACAUUCAUCACAAGCAAAUUAUGAUCUGAUUCCCACAUAACCAUGUUUGUCACAGUCUCUUCCUGAAAAAGGUUCCCCCAAUCCUUACUACAUAAAGCUCUAUCCAGCCUCUCUUCAAUAUGGUGAGAUCCGAAUUGUCUAUUGGACCAUGUAUAGGGAUGCCCUUUAUACCCCAUGUCAAUAAGGUUACAUUCAUAAACUACUUCUCUGAAUUCGGAGAUCAUGCUUACAUUUCUAGCAUUCCCACCAGAUUUUUCAUUUGGAUGCAUAAUUUCAUUGAAAUCACCAAUGCAGAGCCAAGGCAGAGGAGACAAACCUUUCAAUCUUCGCAUCAAAGUCCAUGUAUGCCUUUUUUGCUGAGCUUCUGGAUGACCAUAGAUUCCGAUACAUCUCCACCUUUUACCACUCUCAUUUUGAAUUAUGGCGUCAAUAUGAUGGCUACUGUAAGAGGUAAUGUUUACAGUUAUCUCUGAGUUCCACAUCAUUGCCAACCCCCCACUCAUCCCAGUUCUACUAACCGCAAAAUAAUUAUCUAAGUUCAGUCUUCUACACUCUUCAUCUGCUUGCCUAGACAAUAGCUUUGUUUCAUAGAGAAACAAUAGCUGAGGCCUAUGCAAUUGGAGAAUUUUCUUCAUUGCGAGACGCGUUCGGGGAUUCCCCAAACCCCGAACGUUCCAGCUUACGAGUUUCAUGGCUGUCGGCGGGGCUGGCUCCCAGCCUCCGCCGCUGAUUUCUCCAUUUGCUGAACUGUGUCACUUUCAUCAGCCUUUCCUUUGGUUUCCCAGGCCAGCUUCAGCUUUGGCGCUAUGGGAGUUUCCUGGGGGCUCACAUUCUUCAACCUCUUACUGUUUGGACUCGGCCAAUCUAAUUCACUGCAUGACCUUUUCAUAGAAGUAGGUCCACCAGUCAUCUUGGUAGUAAGGUUUGAGUCUCUAGCUUGCGUUUUCCACUUUCGGCUCUUUGAGUGAGAUUUUGGUUUCGUGGGCUCAAGAUUUGAUUCUGUGCCUCUUGAAGACCCCUGGGUUUGGUUUUCGUUUUUGGCAUGUUGGCCCAUCAAGCCCAUUUUUCGUUCCCCACUCCUCAAUGCAUCUACUUUCUCUUUCCCGCCUAAGUUUCCUUUUGUCUUGCCCUCUGCUCUGUGGAUUUCCCCAGUUGUAGCUGCUGCCCCAGCAAGCUUUUCAUAUUCUAGGUACGACUCUCUCGAUUCCUCAGCCGCUUUCAUUAAUGAUUCCUCACCUACUUCUGCCACAUAAGUCACCUCCACUGACAUUUCCUCAUUGGGGCUAUCCAUUUGGGUUGCACCCGAUCCAUCAUGCUUACUCGGGUUUGGGUUUCUUGGUUGCUCUUUCGGUUUUGGUUGUAUCUGUAUCUUAACACUUGUGUUUCCGGUGGUUGCAUCUGGUUGAUCAUCCCUCCUACCUUUUCUGUUUUUGCCUUUGUUGAGCUUAGCUAAUUCAAAAGGGGUAAGUGCUUUCAUCCAUCCUCCAUAACUGAGCUUCUCCUUUGGUUGGCCCUUGUACUGGAUGCAUUCCCUAAACUGAUGUCCAAUAAGUCCACAGCAGAAGCAAAAAUCUAGUAGCCUCUCAUACUUACUAAGCAUCACAAUAUCUUCCUCGACUUCCUGUUUUAGUAUAAGGAUUCUCUUUAAUGGUUUAGUAAUGUCCACUGAAAUUCUCACCCGAGCAAAAGGACCUAUGCAUUCCCCUUCUUCGUCGGUCUCUACUUCCUCCACUCGUCCUAUCUUUUCCCCCAAUUUUUCAAUGGUUCCUUUCACCAUACACUUGAUGGGCAUUCCAUGGAUUUGCACCCAAAAGGAUGUAUGUGUAAAAGGCUGCCAUUUUAUGCUCCCCAUUCCCACAGGUUCUACAAGCACAAUUAAAGCUUUGUCGAAAUGUCAUGGCCCUUCUGUCAGUACUCUCUUUUUAUCGUGUUCUGUAGCAAGCUUAAAGACAAAAAUGUUGUCUCCCUGACUCUCCACCUUAAUCUCCUUAGUGGUUUUCCAAGCUAGUUGCAUUGCGUAUCUCAACCCCUCCUUAUUUACAUCUCUGUUGAGAAGAAUCUUACCCACAAGACAAUGGGCUGCUACCCUUUCUCCAUCCUUUUCCAUUUCUCCGAUGAACAUGACUGCAUCCUCUUCUUCCUCCUUCAAAGUGAUAGACUUACAUCUACGUAUGAACUCCUCUGUAUCCAUUUUCUGAUCUCGUAUUUAAACCUUCCUUAAUAAAUGGCUCUCACCAACCACUACUUUCGCAACAAAUUAAGUUCUUCAGAAAGUAACCAACCACCCGCCAACAGUAGUUAAGCUUCUGUAUUUGACUGCCUUUUACACUACUUCCAGAACUUAAAUGCUGAAAAAACACCCAACAUGUGAGUGACGUAAAUCGGGUUAUGGCAACCCCCCUAUUCUUCCAUACCGAGUUCUUUUUCUAGAGAGGAAAAGAACUCUCAUAGGAGAUCUCCGUUUGAGGCGUAUUUUUAUCACUUAACUUUCUAUUGAAAUUUUCAAAUUCAUUUGUUUCUUCUUUUCCUUUGAUUAAGUGCUAAUUAUAGCCUUGAUAUUUCAUUUGGUUUUAGUUAAUUUUCUAUAGGGUUGUGUUGUGUGAAAUUAAUUACAAAACAAUCUUUAACGAAGUCUUAUGAAAAUACCAUAUUAUAACUACAAAGUUAGGCUUCCUAAUCAAGCUACUGUUCAUCAGAUUGUGUAUUGUGUUACUGGUGAGCUCUUAUGUCAAUUAUGACCAGACGGCGCCUUGGCUAACUGUGAGUUAUGUGCGAACAUAAGAGCUGCAAAUGAGUUAUGUACUAUUUUUAUGUGACAAGGUAUGUGCUCUGUUUUUAUGGUCUUUCUCUCUGUAGUUCGCUCUGUAGUUUUUUUUUUUGGGAUACAUUGAUAAUAAAUUUAGAAGUCUACUAAUAUGUACAACCAGAAACCUAUUAGGGACUUUUUGUCUUUUGAUGCAGUUGUAGGGCACAGCUCAAAUAUUCUUUCCUCAUUUAAUAUUGGAGAAAUCCGACUCCCAAGCGAUUCUGUCUACGGUUGUUGGACAAACUGUAAUGUGAAUUUCUAUCUAAUGGGUGUGAUCAUCCUUGCAGUCAGUUUAGGAUUGUUGAUAUAGAUAUGAUGUUUAGUCUCCAAAAUUCAGAUGAUGAUAAUCUUGUGAGUACUUUUUGUCAUAUUUUCUUUUGUGUUGGUGUUGGGAUCUUAAUUUUGUAUCCAAUGUCAGGACAAUAUGAACCCAUUUUAAGUGAUAUGAUGCAAGUUCAUGUUCAAGAAUCUAUUUAAUGAAACAUUCCAGUGUUUAAUAAUGAUGAAUAAUUGGUUUAAGAUUAAUACCAAAUAUUUUAAGUAACAUGUGGCGUAUUCUAGUGAGAUCCUCCAACUCAGAUUUCUAACUCAAAUGGAAACGUUUCGAAUUUCUUCAGAACAUUCUGCAGAACGGUUCGUCUUGUCUUUACAGUUUCUUUUGUGAAUUUCUCCCAGUUUCUUUUGUGAAGACUUCUGAAUAAGCUUCCAGAUAUUGAGAUACAAUCCAAUCUAAGCCCAUACGUUUAUCCGCCUCACAUUUGUCCAUUUCCCCAGAAAAUCAAAAAGCACUUUAGUUCGAAACAAACACUCUAAAAAAAACCAUCUAGCUACCCAGAUGGCGAAAUCAAGAAUCUUGCAAUGGCAAUGUCAUCUCUUGUUAUGGCAGUAGCAUUGAUGAUCAUGGCAUCACAAGCAAAUGCUCUGAUGCCGUACACACGAUCACCUUUCUUUGACGUGAUGUUCCCAAUGACGGAAGAUCCUUUCAGGGUUCUUGAACAAACCCCGUUAACAAUCCCAAAAGAGCUGAACAUCAUCAAACUCUAGCACUGGCGAGAGCAGACUGAAAGGAGACACCAACAUCACACGUGAUCACACUCGACAUUACAGGGAUGAAGAAAGACGAUGUGAAGAUUGAAGUUGAAGAGAACAGGGUACUGAGAGUGAGUGGGGAGUGGAAGAGCGAUGAUUAUUAUAAGGAGGAAGUUGAAGGAGAAAAAUGGCAGAGUAGAGAGAACAUUUGGCAAGUUUUGGAGGCAGUUCAGGAUGCCUAUGAGUGCUGACUUGGAUCAUGUUAAGGCUCAUUGGGAAAAUGGUGUUCUGAGGAUCACAGUGCCAAAACUCGCUGAGGAGAAGAAGAGGCAGCCUAAGGUUAUUAACAUUGAUGAAGAGCCUGGUAAUUCUUCCGGUGAAAAUAUUAAGGCGGCUAAGGCUCAAAUGUGAUUGAUUAAAGAAAGAAGUACUUGCUUUGCUUGAUGUGCUAUUUGUUUUGUGAUCUUUUCUUGGUUUUGUUGUGGGAUGUUUUUCUUUGGAUGUUCUGUUUAUUGUAUUUUGAUGGAUUUUUAAAGAUGGCUUGUAUGUAUUAACAAUAAUAAAGUGUUUUUUUUAAAUCCGGGUCCUAAAUUUGUAAAAGAAAUUAAUAAUACGCUUGGUUUCUUGUUAAUAAAAAUAAAAAAGAAGUCUCUUUUUCUUUAGCAUAUAUUAUGCAUUUUAAGGAAAAAAAAUUAUCACAUUCUAAUUCAUAAAGAUAUUCCUCUUCUGUCAUAUUAAUGUGUUAAUACCAAGGUCUAUUGGAAUUAUAAUAGUUUAGAUGAAUCCAAAAUAUUCAAUAAUUGAUAAAUAGUAUAUAUAAAUAUUAAUAGCAAUGGCACAUAAUCAAUUAAUUCAAGAAUUUGCCCACAGUGCAUUAAGUUAAAAGAGUAAAAAUAACAUUGCAAUCAGGGAUAUUUAUAACACUGUUGCUGAUGAGGCAGCUGUUAAUUCUUUUGGUGAAGAUGUUAAGGCCACUAAAGCUGGAACGUAAUCAGGGAAAUAUAAUGUAUUCACUUAGUUUGCUAUUUGUGUUUUUAUAUUUGUUUGGCUAAUUCUUUGAUCAGAUUGCUUUUUGUUUUUGAGAUUUUAUUGGCUUAGUCGUGGGAUAUUAUUUAAUCUUUUAAUUUUGUGUUUUUAUUGUUAUGGGAUUUGAUGAUGGCAUACAUAUAGGAAAAUUAUGUAAGAAAGUGCUUUUAAUAAAUUAUGGUCGGUUUACUAUUAAUUAACUAAAUUUAAUUUACUCAAAUUACUCCUAUACACGAUCAAAAUAAUUUCAAUUCCAUGAUAUAAAUACGCCCGUGCGGACACACAAAAUGUAAAUAACUUUCAAAUACAAAAUAUUUAAAAUAAUCAUCAUACUAACAAUUCACAAGUUAGAUUAUAAUAAGGCCACCAAGACUUAAAUGUAAUUGAUUAAAGAAAGAAGUGCUUGCUUUGCUUGAUGUGCCAUUUGUCUAUGAUGUUUUCUUGGUUUUGUUGUGUGAUGCUUCUCUUUAGAUGUGCUGUUUAUUGUAUUUUGAUGGGUUUUUGAGGAUGGUUGUAUGUAUUAGCAACAACAAGGUGCUUUUUUAUAAAUCCGGGUUCUAAUUUUGUAAAAGAAAUUAAUACUCUCGGUUUAUUGUUAAUAAAAAAGAAAAAAGAAAAAACCUUUUUUCUGUGGCAUAUAUUUUGCAUUUUAAGAAAAAAAAAUCACAUUCCAAUUCAUGAAACACAUUCCUUCUGUCAUAUUGAUGUGUUAAUAGAAAGAUCUAUGUGAAUUAUAACAAUUUUAAUGAAUCUAAAUAUUUAAUAACUGAUAAAUUGCAUUUAUAAAUAUUAAUACCGGUGGCACAUAAGCACUUAAUUCAAGAACUCCCCUAUGGUGCAUUAAUUUAAAGAGUAGAAAUAUUUAAUAAAUCAUGCUCGGUUUACUAUUAAUUAAUCAAAUUUAAUUUACUCAAAUUACUCCUCUACAUGAUCAAAGUAAUUUCAAAUAUACAACACACAAAAUGUAAAUGACUUUGAAAUAUAAAAUAUUUAAAAUAAUCACCCCCACUAACAAUUCACCAGCAAGAUUAUAAAUAGUCGAAAUAAUGAUAAUCUAGGAGGUCCAGUCAUAAUAAUUUGAUUUUUAUUUAUAUUAAUUAUAUCGAAUCAUACUAUUUUAAUAAGAAAGAGUACACGAGAUUAUAUAUAUCCAACAGGGGCUAAAAUUUCAAAACAAUAUUUGCCAAAGUCUGAUGAAGAGAAUACAUACAUAUAACAUGCACUCGCACACAUUUUAUUGUUUAAUUAAAAAAUUCGAAAGUCCAUUAUAUACAUGAUAAAGACUCACCGACACCGAACCAUAUUCAUUUAAAGGAAUUGUUUUCAACUGAGAUUUGAAAUUAUAUACACAAACGCAUCCAAUUGAAAAAAAAAAUCAAAAUAAUUAUAAAGUAUUUCAGUCAUCCUCUGUUCAAUCAUAAAAGAAUAAAAUCUAUGCGAACACGCGGUAUAUGGGUUAACAAGUCCCAAUAUUGUCCUCCAUCCUUUCUGCACUUCUCUGCUAUCAACGGACAUGCCUCGAUCUGUAAUUGCAAAAGUGAGGAAGGCAAGCCCUUCUCCGGAAAGUAUUUGAGCUUGGGACAAUCAAUGAGUCGCAAUUCAGUGAGGUUUUGAAGAUCAACAAUUGAAGAAGAUAGGCGUUCCAGAUUUGGAAAUCUACAAAUCCACAGAGAUGUUAGAGAGGCAGGAAGAGGAAGCGCGGUCCCCGAUCCUUUGUCAUCUGCCUUUGGUGGGAAUGACACCAUGUCGUCAUCACAUUUAAUGAUUCUAAGUUUUCGCAGAGAGGAGAAUCUGUGAAAUCCCCGGCCCCACUCAAUCAUUUGUGGGGGACAAUCCUUUCUGUACUUCUCUGCUAUCAACGGACAUCUAUGGAUGUAUAAACGCAAAAGUGAGGAAGGCAGGCCGUUCUCUGGAAAGUAUUUGAGCCUGGGACAAUUAUAGAGUUCCAAUGAAGUGAGGCUUUGAAGAUCAACAAUUGAAGAAGAUAGCCGUUCCAGAUCAACAUUUUUAUGGGGGUACUAAGAAAAAUAAAGAUAAUAUAAGGAAUGUUGUUGAGGAGUAUUUUGAUAUUUACAAAAGUGUUCAAAGUAAAAAUUGAUUUCUUAAAACUCAUUAGCUAGCGCACAUAAUAAUGGGGAGUAAAUUUUAGACUACGAAUAGUCCCACCCAUUUAAUAAUAUUCUUCGAUCAAUUAUGUUUACUUCAAAAAAAAAAAAAAAACCCAUCUGUUUAUUACUUUCUAACUAUUCAUAUUAAUGUGUUAAUAAUUAUGAAGAACCGGUGUAAUUUAUAUGAUGUAGGAAGCACUUUAGGCAAAAUCAUCUGAAUCUCAAAAUUUCGUGAUAUUGUGCCAAAUAUCCAAAACAGAGCUUCCUACAUUGCUAUAGCAGUUUUUAAAAGUUGAGGAGUCCAAAUAUCCAAUAACUGAUAAAUUGUGUUAAGAAAUAAAAAUAUUAAUGGUGAUGACACAUACGCAUGGAAUAUCUAUAUCCAACAGGUAAAAUUUCAAAACACCAUUUGCCAAAGUCUGAUGAAGAGAAUACAAAUACACACGCGCGCGCUCAUAUAUAUAACCGCACAGCAGAAGGAUAUAUAAAAUAAAUUGAAGUUUCAACAGUUGAACAAUGCAAACUCAUUUUAAAAAAGCCUUCUAUUGUUUAAUUAAAAAAUUCGAAAGCCAUUAUAUACAUGAUAAAGACUCACGGACACCGAACCAUAUUAAUUUAAAAUUAUUUUCAACUGAGAUUUGAAUUUUGAAAUUACAUACACCAACACGCCCGAUUUAAAAAAAAACUAAUAAUAAAAUAUUUAAGUCAUCCUCUGUUCAGUCAUCAAAAACCAAUUUACGAUUUAUUUCAACACAAACACACCCGAUCUAAAAUAAAAUCAAAAUAACAAUAAAAUAUUUCAACCGUCCUCUGUUCAGCCGUCAAAAACGGAUUUCCAAUCUAUGCGAACACGCGGUAUAUGGGUUAACAAGUCCCAAUAUUGUCCUCCAUCCUUUCUGCACUUCUCUGCUAUCAACGGACAUGCCUCGAUCUGUAAUUGCAAAAGUGAGGAAGGCAAGCCCUUCUCCGGAAAGUAUUUGAGCUUGGGACAAUCAAUGAGUCGCAAUUCAGUGAGGUUUUGAAGAUCAACAAUUGAAGAAGAUAGGCGUUCCAGAUUUGGAAAUCUACAAAUCCACAGAGAUGUUAGAGAGGCAGGAAGAGGAAGCGCGGUCCCCGAUCCUUUGUCAUCUGCCUUUGGUGGGAAUGACACCAUGUCGUCAUCACAUUUAAUGAUUCUAAGUUUUCGCAGAGAGGAGAAUCUGUGAAAUCCCCGGCCCCACUCAAUCAUUUGUGGGGGACAAUCCUUUCUGUACUUCUCUGCUAUCAACGGACAUCUAUGGAUGUAUAAACGCAAAAGUGAGGAAGGCAGGCCGUUCUCUGGAAAGUAUUUGAGCCUGGGACAAUUAUAGAGUUCCAAUGAAGUGAGGCUUUGAAGAUCAACAAUUGAAGAAGAUAGCCGUUCCAGAUCAACAUUUUUAUGGGGGUACUAAGAAAAAUAAAGAUAAUAUAAGGAAUGUUGUUGAGGAGUAUUUUGAUAUUUACAAAAGUGUUCAAAGUAAAAAUUGAUUUCUUAAAACUCAUUAGCUAGCGCACAUAAUAAUGGGGAGUAAAUUUUAGACUACGAAUAGUCCCACCCAUUUAAUAAUAUUCUUCGAUCAAUUAUGUUUACUUCAAAAAAAAAAAAAAAACCCAUCUGUUUAUUACUUUCUAACUAUUCAUAUUAAUGUGUUAAUAAUUAUGAAGAACCGGUGUAAUUUAUAUGAUGUAGGAAGCACUUUAGGCAAAAUCAUCUGAAUCUCAAAAUUUCGUGAUAUUGUGCCAAAUAUCCAAAACAGAGCUUCCUACAUUGCUAUAGCAGUUUUUAAAAGUUGAGGAGUCCAAAUAUCCAAUAACUGAUAAAUUGUGUUAAGAAAUAAAAAUAUUAAUGGUGAUGACACAUACGCAUGGAAUAUCUAUAUCCAACAGGUAAAAUUUCAAAACACCAUUUGCCAAAGUCUGAUGAAGAGAAUACAAAUACACACGCGCGCGCUCAUAUAUAUAACCGCACAGCAGAAGGAUAUAUAAAAUAAAUUGAAGUUUCAACAGUUGAACAAUGCAAACUCAUUUUAAAAAAGCCUUCUAUUGUUUAAUUAAAAAAUUCGAAAGCCAUUAUAUACAUGAUAAAGACUCACGGACACCGAACCAUAUUAAUUUAAAAUUAUUUUCAACUGAGAUUUGAAUUUUGAAAUUACAUACACCAACACGCCCGAUUUAAAAAAAAACUAAUAAUAAAAUAUUUAAGUCAUCCUCUGUUCAGUCAUCAAAAACCAAUUUACGAUUUAUUUCAACACAAACACACCCGAUCUAAAAUAAAAUCAAAAUAACAAUAAAAUAUUUCAACCGUCCUCUGUUCAGCCGUCAAAAACGGAUUUCCAAUCUAUGCGAACACGCGGUAUAUGGGUUAACAAGUCCCAAUAUUGUCCUCCAUCCUUUCUGCACUUCUCUGCUAUCAACGGACAUGCCUCGAUCUGUAAUUGCAAAAGUGAGGAAGGCAAGCCCUUCUCCGGAAAGUAUUUGAGCUUGGGACAAUCAAUGAGUCGCAAUUCAGUGAGGUUUUGAAGAUCAACAAUUGAAGAAGAUAGGCGUUCCAGAUUUGGAAAUCUACAAAUCCACAGAGAUGUUAGAGAGGCAGGAAGAGGAAGCGCGGUCCCCGAUCCUUUGUCAUCUGCCUUUGGUGGGAAUGACACCAUGUCGUCAUCACAUUUAAUGAUUCUAAGUUUUCGCAGAGAGGAGAAUCUGUGAAAUCCCCGGCCCCACUCAAUCAUUUGUGGGGACAAUCCUUUCUGUACUUCUCUGCUAUCAACGGACAUCUAUGGAUGUAUAAACGCAAAAGUGAGGAAGGCAGGCCGUUCUCUGGAAAGUAUUUGAGCCUGGGACAAUUAUAGAGUUCCAAUGAAGUGAGGCUUUGAAGAUCAACAAUUGAAGAAGAUAGCCGUUCCAGAUCAACAUUUUUAUGGGGGUACUAAGAAAAAUAAAGAUAAUAUAAGGAAUGUUGUUGAGGAGUAUUUUGAUAUUUACAAAAGUGUUCAAAGUAAAAAUUGAUUUCUUAAAACUCAUUAGCUAGCGCACAUAAUAAUGGGGAGUAAAUUUUAGACUACGAAUAGUCCCACCCAUUUAAUAAUAUUCUUCGAUCAAUUAUGUUUACUUCAAAAAAAAAAAAAAACCCAUCUGUUUAUUACUUUCUAACUAUUCAUAUUAAUGUGUUAAUAAUUAUGAAGAACCGGUGUAAUUUAUAUGAUGUAGGAAGCACUUUAGGCAAAAUCAUCUGAAUCUCAAAAUUUCGUGAUAUUGUGCCAAAUAUCCAAAACAGAGCUUCCUACAUUGCUAUAGCAGUUUUUAAAAGUUGAGGAGUCCAAAUAUCCAAUAACUGAUAAAUUGUGUUAAGAAAUAAAAAUAUUAAUGGUGAUGACACAUACGCAUGGAAUAUCUAUAUCCAACAGGUAAAAUUUCAAAACACCAUUUGCCAAAGUCUGAUGAAGAGAAUACAAAUACACACGCGCGCGCUCAUAUAUAUAACCGCACAGCAGAAGGAUAUAUAAAAUAAAUUGAAGUUUCAACAGUUGAACAAUGCAAACUCAUUUUAAAAAAGCCUUCUAUUGUUUAAUUAAAAAAUUCGAAAGCCAUUAUAUACAUGAUAAAGACUCACGGACACCGAACCAUAUUAAUUUAAAAUUAUUUUCAACUGAGAUUUGAAUUUUGAAAUUACAUACACCAACACGCCCGAUUUAAAAAAAAACUAAUAAUAAAAUAUUUAAGUCAUCCACUGUUCAGUCAUCAAAAACCAAUUUACGAUUUAUUUCAACACAAACACACCCGAUCUAAAAUAAAAUCAAAAUAACAAUAAAAUAUUUCAACCGUCCUCUGUUCAGCCGUCAAAAACGGAUUUCCAAUCUAUGCGAACACGCGGUAUAUGGGUUAACAAGUCCCAAUAUUGUCCUCCAUCCUUUCUGCACUUCUCUGCUAUCAACGGACAUGCCUCGAUCUGUAAUUGCAAAAGUGAGGAAGGCAAGCCCUUCUCCGGAAAGUAUUUGAGCUUGGGACAAUCAAUGAGUCGCAAUUCAGUGAGGUUUUGAAGAUCAACAAUUGAAGAAGAUAGGCGUUCCAGAUUUGGAAAUCUACAAAUCCACAGAGAUGUUAGAGAGGCAGGAAGAGGAAGCGCGGUCCCCGAUCCUUUGUCAUCUGCCUUUGGUGGGAAUGACACCAUGUCGUCAUCACAUUUAAUGAUUCUAAGUUUUCGCAGAGAGGAGAAUCUGUGAAAUCCCCGGCCCCGCUCAAUCAUUGACUUCCAAAUCUCCAUAUUACCCCGAAUCCCAAGUAAAUGAAGGUUGGUGGGAAGGCCGUCUUCUUCAAGGCUUGGAAGCUCACCUCCUAUUAUUCUUAAUUCUUGAAGAGAGGUCAGAUUGUGCAAUCCCUUGGGUAAGGCCUCUAGUCUCUCACAGCUUUCGAUCCAGAGCUUAGUCAGUUUCGCACAAGGCAAUCCCCCUUCGGGAAAGGACACCAGAUUUCCACACCUCUGUAUAGUAAUCUCUUGAAGCUGGCGGAGAUUGUGUAAACCACUCGGUAAAAUUUUCAGAUUUUCACAAUCAGAAAUCCUGAUUAUUUCAAGAGAUGUGUUGUUGUCCAACCUUUCUGCUAUUGACUCCAGCUUUGAACAACCCGAUAUCCUUAUCUCUUGAAGCUGGCGGAGAUUAUGUAAACCACUCGGUAAAAAUUUCAGAUUUUCACAAUAAUCAACUGUGAUUGUUUCAAGAGAUGUGUUGUUGUCCAACCUUUCUGCUAUUGACUCCAGCUUUGAACAUUUAUAAACAGAAAGGGACUCAAGCAUGGCAGGUAACUCGUUUUUUGAAAAUAUACAUGUCAGAGACGGACAACUCUCAAUGUGUAAGUGCUCAAGAAGAGAUGAGGUGUACCUUCUGCUGCUGCUGCUGCUACUCUGGAUGCCCUCUUCCACUGUCAAAGUCCUUAUAUUAUCACAAUUCUGGAUGUCCAACUGCUUAAGGCUCGAUGGUAGAUGGACUCCAGCAAUAUAUGUCAACGAAUGGCAAUCCCGAAUCUUCAAGAUCUCGAGAGAUGAAUUGAUGUCGCACAUCCAUGCCUCUGGUAACGAUUUCAGUGCUUCACAAGAACUAAUAUGAAUUUCCCUCAACUUGGAAGGCAGAGCAAUCUCAGGGAAGGAAACAAGGGAACUGCAGUUGCUGAUUUGUAUCUCUCUCAAGGAACUCAGGCUGAGCGAUGAUUGUGGCAGCUUCACAAGGCCUUCGCAUCCGCACAAUGCUAGAUAUUCAAGUCUGCAUGACAACUCGCAGAGCUGCUGUUGUUGGUCUUUCUCUUCCUCCGCCACCAAGGAUUGAAGUUUGGGACAGCUUCUUAUCUCCAGACUUUUGAGAGAGCAAAUGUCUUGUAGUAAUCCGUCAUGACUCUUCCAUAUAUAUGUUUGCUCUUCUGUCGACAAAAAUAAUUCUUCCAAUUUCGGUAGUUGUGGCUUCAAUGGCCCCGCAAGAAACACUUGAUUUGAUGUAUCUCUACAAACCACUGAACUCUGUGAUCCGAGAUGACCAGUUGCACUUUCCCACACAACCUUUUUGCAUCCACCAAUUUCCAAUUUGCAAAGAGCUGGAAGACUCGAAACUGAAACUAACAAUUCUUCACAUCCUUCAAUAACAAGCAUCUCCAAUGCAGGAAGGUGCUCUGGAAAUGUUCCUUUCAGUUUAGAACAUCUUAAAAUGUGAAGCUCUCUCAAUUUAGGAAACCCUUCAACUCCUUGACUGGAUCCAUGAGGAAUCCAGUCUUCCCAUUCUUGCAUGUUUUCAAAAAGAAGAGUCUCCAAGCAUGGAAAAGGAAUUGGAGGAUCAUUCCCAUAGAACUCUGAACCCAACCUCUUUACUCUGCUCAUUCCACAUACUGCAAGAUGCUUUAGAGAGGGUAGUUGCCCGACUGACGGUAGGGCAGUACACAUGUCACAAUUUUCAAAUAUUAGGGUCACCAAAUUUGACAAUGAGGAAUCUCCUAACCAUAUUGGAAAUUUUGUACCUCCAUAGCCACUGAUAAAAAAUUGCUCCAGAUUUUUAUGGGGUUUCAGCAUGUCAAGCACGCCCUUUUGAGUUUCUGCCUCCCUUAAAGAUGAACCAUCGGUACUGUUUGUCCACCGAAGCAUUAACACUUUAAGGUUCUUCUUUCCAUCCAAUUGAGCCUCCUUGGCAUCACCAACGUAUUUUACGUUCUCCAAUUUUGAAAUGGUAAGUGUCCCACGAAGAUGCGUCAACAACUUUAGCUCUCGCAACCGGGAACCACUGUCUUUUCCUACAACAAAAUUACACAAUGUCUGAAGACAAGUCAACUUGCCAAUUCCUAGUGGCAUUUCCUCCAACGAAUCUGUAUUUGAAUUAUUGAGAUGAUGCAACUUGAUGAGAUUUCCCAUGCCUGCACACAACUUCCUCAGUCCCCGACAACCCUCCAACGAAAGGGUGUGCAAAUUGUAAAGCUUGUUGACUGAUUCAGGCAGAGUUCUAAUCUCAGUUCCAGACAAGUUAAGGUACCUUAAAUACCUCAAAUCACCAACUGAAUCCGGCAGCUCAGGGAUGCAGUAUCCACGCAAAGAGAAGACCCUCAAGCGUUGGAGUUUGAGCAACUUAGGAAGAAUGCUAGGAGCCAAGUAGCCAGGCUCACUAUUUGUCAACAUUACUGGUAAAAAAGUUCUCAAAUGUUGGAUAUCAUACAAGUCCCCAAACCUUUGAACGCCAUCAUAAUCUCCACAAAUGUAUGAUAGAUGACGAAGAUUUCUGGAAAAACAUUGUUGCUUGUUAACCUCCGAGGUAUACUCCAGUGUGAAGUAUGUCUCCCCUGCAGCCCAACGGGCAAGGUCGUUGAUAAGAUCGUGCAUAACAAAUCGUGAUGCAUCGGUGGCCGAUUGCUGGAAAAAAGAUCUUGAACAUAGCUCCUUAAAGAAAUCACGACCUAAAUCUUCACUAGGAUUCUCAUCUUCUUUGUGAUCCAAAAAACUGGAGGCACACCAUAAUAAAAUUAUCUCCUCCUCUUCAAAUUCAUAAUCCUUUGGUAACAAUGAGCAGUAUGCAAAGCAUUGUUUCAAAGUUGGAGGAAGAUAAUAAUAGCUCACUGCAAGGGCUGGUAUAAUGCGACACCUCUGUUCUGGUAAUUCCCAUAUCUUGCUACUGAGCACUCUCUCCCAAUAACAUCUGUCAUCGUUUCCUCGCAAAAGUCCUCCAAGUGUUUGCGCCGCCAAGGGCAAGCCAUCGCAUUUGGCCACUAUCUUCUUGCCAAUUUCCUCCAAUAACUUAUCUGACCCCAAAGAAUGUUGAGCGAAUACAGCUAGACAAUCAUCAAAUGACAACUUUUUUAAUUGAUAAGGUGAGGCAGUUCCCAUGAUGUCUGCAACCUGUUGAUUGCGAGUUGUGACAAUAAUCUUACUUCCCUUCGCUCCAGCUUCAAACGGACGGCUGAGGCGAACCCAAUCAUUGUAAUUCUCAUUCCAAACGUCGUCUAAAACAAGCAGAAAUUUCUUUUGAGAUAACUUGUUCUUCAGCUCCUCUUGAAGCAAAUUUAAAUUACUGUCAUCAAUAGUCUGCUUGGUAUCGGAUAUUAGAAUUUUUUUUGUUAGCCUGUUAACGUCGAAAUCCUCAGAGACACAAGUCCAUACCUUCAGAUCAAAAUGAUCCUGCACUCGCUUAUCUUUGUAGACAAGCUGAGCAAGAGUAGUUUUGCCCAGGCCACCCAUACCUAUAAUAGGAAUAACAGAGAAUCCACCAUCGUUGCUUAAAUCAUCCCUCAACAGCAGUUCAACAACAUCCUUCUUUUCUGUUUCCCUGCCAUAUACUGUGGGUUCCUCCACCAAAGAGGUUGUCUCCUCUAGCCUUUGCCUGGCUUUUUUGGACCCCCCAGCUAAACUUUUUAUCAAAUUCAGCGAGCGUAUUCCUUCUUCAAUAUCUUGAAAUCUGCUGUUGGUCUCUUUGAUUUUGGACAUCAUGGCGUAAUCGAACUGAAUCGAUUGUGGAGUAAAAGUGGUGCAGCAAGUAGGAAUGAGCUUCCGAAACUUACUUGUUCUUGUACGACUGCUACUGGGUUGAUCAUGAGCAGCAGCUGGUUCUCCAUUCCCAAGCAGCAACCUCCUCCGGAAAGCCUCAGUUUGAAACUCAUCCAACAAGUCUUCAACAUCAUAAGCCAAGUUCUGAAGCUUGCCAAGCCACUUCUUCACAAACUGAUUAGUCGUCUUCUUCUCCUCAGCAUCAUCAAGCACCGCCUUGAUCAUCUCCAACAUAUUCGCCCACUUCAUUAGAUCGUCUUGGAUCUUCUCUUGGCGUGCAAAAAACAGAAUCCCCUCUGAAGCUAACUUAUUGACCAGCAAAUCAACGGACACAGUUAGGAUUGCCUCUCCGAUGAAUGACAUUUUUUUUUCUUUUUUUGGGCAAAGGAAGAAAGGAGCAGAAUUAUGGGUUAUGGAAAGCAGAAUGAGAAAAUGGAACAUGAGUGAGAAAAUGGAUAAUUAAGCAGAAUGAGUUUGUGAUUGUGAAGGGUCUGGCCCAGCUAGAAAUCACGCGUUUAUACUUUAUUGACCAAUGACUAAUAAUUUGGCAAUUCACUCAUCACCACCACUUGGUGAGGAAAAUGCUUAGUAAUUAAGUGUCAAGGGUCACGCAAAAUACGGCGUCAAACGUGGCAAGUCUCCCCACUUGUUGUUCCUUGCAGCUAAGAAAAGAAAAAACAGAGCCGUAAUUAAUGACAGAAUUUUAAAAAUAAUAAUAAGAGAAAAACCUACAUUUUUUUUUAAUCUCAAUGCGCAGUCGUAUCAUAAUGUUAUAUUCAUGUUGUAAAACGAAAUUUUAGAUAAAACAAAUUCGACUCAUUUGUUAACGAUAUAUAUUUAGUAGGUUUCUAACAUAACUAAUAAAACGUGAUUAUUACACUAAAUGAAAUAAAAGACAGUACUUCCUCUAAUAGUUUAGCAAGUUUCGCAUGCUCGUGUUUCCGGAAACAUUAUAUGGAAUCAAUCAACAGUGAUACAAAGAGAAAAAUGGUAAUCCUAUCGCUGUUUUUUUUUUCUUUUUCAAAAGAGAUGGUGGGGUUGGGUUGUUUGCAAAGUUAAUAGCGUGGGUCUAUUUGUUUUUGUUUUAACUUUAUUAAUCAAUUAGUGAAGCAAACACGUAAUGAUUUGUAAAGAUCACUAGCAUUAGAUUAUUGAGAGGUAUUGCGCUUAGUAUUCACAAUUUUUGUAAGAUGAAUUUGUAAGACUUAUGAAUUUCGAUGAAAAUGUAUGGUUGUUAAGCUAUUAUUUAAUUCAUUAAUUCACUAAUUGUAACAGUAAGUGUGAAUUAAUGAGAAAAAGUGUGAAUUAAUUCGUUAUUAAGCUUUUUUUUUUUUUUUUUUUUGCAAAGAAAGAAACAGAAUUUGGAGUUUUGAAAAGCAAAAUGAGAAAAUUGUAACAGUAAGUGUGAAGGGUCAAGCAAAAUGCGUGUAGCAAGUCUUCCACUUGUUGUUUAUUCCAGUAAAGUGAAAAAUAAAAGGGAGAGCCCACCACCCAUUAAUAAUUUAGCAAUUCACCAAUCACCAGUCACCACCACUCGCUGCCAGAUUCAAUGAAUAUAAAAUCGCACGUUGAUAUUUGUAGGGUCAAGCCACGUUAAUCCAGUGUCCGGGUAAAUGCUGAUUGAAGAGGAAAAUGGAAUGCAUCUACCACGAACCUUCGCUUUACAAAUCUUCAAACUAAAUCAAAACGUUUCUCUCUCUCUCUCUCUCUUUCUGCCAUUAACUUACUUUAUUUAUUGAAUUAAUUUCCAUGCUGAAACGAAGACUUAAAAAGUACACCACAAUUUUUUAAUAAUUACAAUGAGAAUUCCUACCAUCAUGUUAUAUUACUGCCGUGCCAAAAUAAAUUAUAACAAAAUUUUAGCUGACCAUAAAUUUGACUCAUUUAUACUUAAUAAAAUAACAAGACGAUUAAUGUGUCAUCAACUGAAAUAACUCUAAUGUGAAAACAAAAAAAGUCCCGCCACCAAUAAUUUAGCAAACUUCACUUUUUUUUUUUCUUUUUUUUGAAAAAGUAGCAAACUUCACUUUAUUACACUAAAGUGAAACCAAGAGUCAGAAGCAGCCCCCACCACCAUCAAUAAUUUAGCAAGCAUCACGCGCUUGUGCUUCUCUUCUUGACGAACUGGACAUGGGUGGACCAAGCAUCCAUUGAAUAGUUGGAAAAACUAAAAAAUAAAAAUCAGUGCCCCGCAAAAAGAAUCCAUCUCAUAUGUAAUACAAGUGUCAAGAUUUAAUUAGAGUUCACAUAUAUACAUGCGUUUAGUUUUAAUUGUGGGAUAAAUUAAUCAUUAAUACUCAAGUAUUUCUAAAUAAUUGAAACAGUUAUCUGUUGUAAUAACAGUUGUAAAUAUUUUAAUAUUUAAAAAUAAUAAUAUUAUUGAUAUUUACAAAAUUUUUAGGAAGUGAUAACUAAUAUACUAGGGAUAUAUAUUUGUGGGGAAUGGUAAAUAUAGAGAAUAACAAUAAAAAAAUAUUAGAACUGUAAUAUAAAUUACUAUAAGUAAUUAUAUUUAUUUGGUUUGUCUAUUUAUAAAAUUAUGAAAUAAAUUAAAAAUAUAUAUACAUACAUAUAAUGUUAUAAAAUAUAAAAUCCAACCUUUCUAGGGUGAAAUAAAAGCCUAGCCCAAUGUGCCCCAAAAAUAUGUCUGGGUUGGAUCCAGGCAUUGCCAUACCCGAACUUGACCCCUAGUUUUGCCAUUACUCUAGAUCGUUAUAAAUAUUCUAAAUUUCAGUCUAAUUUACUUGUGUGAUGCAAAAAUUACAUUUAUCACUUCUUUCAAAUAAAUACUCAUAAAUUUCACCUAAAUUGUCACCCAAAAAAAGAGAAAAAUGUAUAGUUAAUUUUUCUAUUUCUUUACUCCAUUAUUCAAUGGGAAUAUAAUAAAUUAGGAGAAAGGAGAAAUUAAAGACAAUAUUAGAGUGCUUGUUGCAAUGAUAAAAUCUCAUGCAAAUGCUUAUUUCAGAUGUAAGCGAGGCAUUCAUUAAUUUGACCAAAAAUAAGUGAAUUUAUUUGUAUUUUAAUCAAAAUCGAGGGAUAUAAACAAAAUUUUCCCACUCCAGAUAUUUAUCAUUUUCUCGUUAGAAAAUAAAAUUGCAUAAAAUUAAGAAACCAGUAGGCACUGAAAGAGAGAAACAGACUGAGAAGAGAUCAAAAGAUGGAUUUGGAACUGAAAGAGAGCUUGGGCUGAUUCAUUCAUGAUAAUAUUCUGCGUUCGCUGUGAUAGAGACAAAAGUUGGCUCUUUGUAUGGUUCCCCACUGACGGCGCCAAAUGUCGAUGCCAAAAUUUGGACUAAUUAGUUACAUACUGGAUACCAAAUUUUGCGUCAGCAUUAAAUUUAUUUGUUAGGGAAGCGGCUUACAAAUCACCAAGGACGCCCUGCGAUCACUAGCAGAUAACUCGCAAACACCUGAAAUCAUAAAGAAUGGUAAGAGGCGCCAUAAGUUUUUCCAGCGUGAACUCUCUAACAGUCAAGUUAGUUAUCGGGUUUACAAGAAAAAUAAAAUAUGCAAUUUCUAUUUUUUUUAAUAAAUAAUCUUAAGUAAAUGUAAAAGAAAAAUCAAAAUUGAGAAAGAAAGGUGAGCCUCCCUCUUUAUUUAUUCCCCUAGGGAUUUUUUAUAAAGAUUUAACUUUCCCCCCACUCCCCCCCCCGCCCCCCAACAAAAUCUUUGUGAUCAGAAGAUGGAUGAGAUAAAAUAUGAGCCCCCCAAAAUGAUCUCAAUCAUGGAGGAGUCCUCCCUAGUUUGUUGCCCUAUUUUCGAAUUUGUUCUCCUCUUCUCUCGAAAGUUAAGGAUGAGAUAAAAGUAACCCCUUCACUCUCCAUUUUUUUCCUCACCAAACAGUUACGAAUUUAAAAUAUGAGUAUGAUUUAAUAAGAGAGAAUGAGAAUUGAUGAUGUCCCAAGAGACUGAAAAUAAAAGAUUAUACAAAUUUGCAUGGAGGCAUAUCAUAUAUUAAUCUUAAUUUUUUGUUGUUCAAAUAAUAAAUUAAUUCCAUUAAUCCUUUUUCUAAUUAUAUGGUGUGUAACACAUUGGCCACUUCUGAAUUAUGUUGAAUAUUUGUUAACUCAAAUAAAUAGUACACUUUUCUAUCAAUCUAACUCACUUUAUUAAUAUUCUUCAUCAUUAUGGUUAAUGGCUUAGCAAAUGUAGAACAAGGAGUUUUGAGUUUUCUGUUAUAAUACCAGGUCAUCUGGUCUUGAUUCUUUUCCUAUUUUGUUGCAUUAUUUGUUUAGUUUCCAGCUCUAAGACUAUUAUAAAUAGUCAGUUUUGAGUUGAAUAAAGGGAGCAUUACAGAAACAUUUGUCCUCUCUUUUAUCUCUCUACUUCCUUCUUCUUCUUAACUCUUAUUCUAAAUCAUACUAUAUCAUUUUGUUUCAGAUUUUGGCUGAUACUUGCCCUUUUGAAUGACUCGGGGGUCAAGUAUUGCUUCAAGCUGAGGAAGAAUAAUACAAUCGUCUGAUACAAGAGGAAGUUGAUUUGAAGACGAGGUGUGAAUAGGUGCCAAAUGCUUCCGAAGCAUGCUAACAUGAAACAAGUUAUAAAUUUGUGAGCUUGAGGGUAGAGCCAACCGAUAUGCUAUUGUCCCCACCUUCCCAAUAAUUUGAUAUGGCCCAAAAAAUCAAGGAGCAAGCUUAAUAGAAGCACGAAAGGCCAUUGACGUCUGUCGAUAUGGUUGGAGCUUGAGAUACACAUAGUCACCAACCUCAAAGGAUACCUCUCGAUGUUUUAAACCUGCCCGGCUUUUCAUUCGUUGUCUUGCCAAAGAGAGGUUGUGGCAGAGCUCUCGUAAAAUUGUGUCGCGAUCCCGAAGGUACUCAUCCACUGCUUGGAUAUGGGAAGUGCCAGGAACAUAAGUAAGCAAGUGAGGUGGAGGAAUACCUUAGACAGCUUCAAAUGGGGUCAUUUUGGUGGCAGAAUGGAUGGACGUUUUUUAGUUUAAUUCAGCCCAUGGAAUCCAUUCAACACAUUUUCGUGACUGAUCUCCGGCAAAACAUUGCAAGUAUUGCUCUAAAGUACGGUUCACUACCUCAAUUUGGUCAUCCGUCUGAGGAUGGUAACUAGAACUCAUACUAAGUUUAGUUCCUUGUAAUUGAAAUAAUGCUUGCCAAAAUGAACUUACAAAUACUUUAUCCCGAUCACUUACAAUGUCUGUUGGAAUGCCAUGGAGACGAACCACAUUAGCUACAAAUGCUUUAGCAAUCGUGACUGCCGUGUAUGGAUGUUUGAGAGCCACAAAAUGAGCAUACUUGGAUAAGCGAUCAACAAUUACCAUGAUGACAGUAUAACCAUUUGACGACGGAAGUCCCUCGACAAAAUCCAUUGAUACUUCAGUCCAUAUCUGAAGAGGAAUGGGUACUGGUUGCAGCAAACCGGCCGGACACAUAAAAUCAGAUUUGUACCUUUGGCAGAUGGUACAGUGCUAUAUAAAUUCCUUCACAAUUUUAUGCAAGUUUGGCCACCAGAAGCCGAGUUUAAUACGAGAUAGUGUCUCAUGGAACCCAAAAUGCCCACCAACUGGAGACGAGUGACGAUCAGUCAUGACUUGUGAAAUUAAAGUAGAAGUGGGAUUCAAAUAAAUUCUACCCCUUUUAAACCAUACUCCAUCUCGUUGUGCCAACUGUUGUGAUGAAUGAGAAUGACUCAGUUUCUUAUAAAAAGAGUCAUGUUGUACCUCUCCUUGCAAUUUUUGCCACCAAUCUACAUGUGGUCCCAAAAUAGACAUGAACCGAAAUUCAACAACACUAGAGAGUGAGUUAGCAGCUUGAUUUUCAGGUCCGCGUUUAUACUCAAUUUUGUAGUCAUAACCAAGGAUCUUUGAAAGCCAUCGAGCCUGUGCAGGAGUGGUAAUUCGCUGCUCAAGUAAAUACUUGAGGCUUUUUUUAUCGGUGUGGACAGUAGAUGGUUUCUCGAGGAGAUAUGGGCGCCAUUUCCGAAUUGAUUUGACAACAGCCAACAUUUCUUUCUCAUAGGUAGAUAGUAAUAAUGUCGUCCCUUUCAAAGCUUCACUAUAGUAUGCUAUUGGCUGGUUAUUCUGAGUGAGUACUGCUUUCCAAUCCCGCUAGCAUCACAUUCGAUUACGAAUUGUUGAGAAAAAUCUGGAAGGCUUAGGACUGGUGGAGACGUUAGUGCUUCUUUUAGCUUGGUAAAAGCUAACUCGGCUUCCUCGUUCCACUUGAAUCCUUCAUUUGAUAACAACUGAUAUAAAGGGGCUGCUAUACAUCUGAAGUGGCGGAUAAUUUUUCAGUAACAGCCUGCUAGGCCGAGGAACCCCCGUACUUCUCUGACAGUGGUUGGCGAUGGCUAUUCAAGAACAGCUUGUAUUUUGGAGGGACUUACUACUACUUCUUGUUCUGAAAUGACGUGACCCAAAUAAUCCACCUGAGAAACACCAAACCUGCAUUUUGCUUCCUUAACAAAUAAUUUGUUAGUAUGCAAAAUAGAGAGAACAAUCCGAAGAUGUGCAAGGUGAUCAUUCCAUGUCUUUGAGUACACGAGGAUGUCAUCAAAGAAGACUAAGAUAAACUUCCUUAGAUAAGGGCGAAAAAGAUCAUUCACGAGGCAUUGGAAGGUGGAUGGGGCGUUGGUCAAGCCAAACGGCAUACGAGAUAUUUGUAGUGCCCUUCGUGUGUUCUAAAGGUUGUUUUUGGUAUAUCCGCAUCUUAUACUCGAAUUUGGUGAUACCCAGCCCUUAAAUCUAACUUGGAGAAGAGUUUAGCUCCAUGGAGCUCAUCUAGAAGUUCAUCAAUUACAGGAAUUGGGUAUUUAUCUUUGAUCGUGAUGUUGUUCAAUGCACGGUAAUCCACACAAAAUCGCCAAUCACCAUAUGCUUUUUUUACUAAGAGGACUGGUGAUGAAAAUGGACUUUUACUCGGUCUUACCAGCCCUGAUUGCAAAAUUUCUCUCGCCAUCUUCUCUAUUUGUGUUUUCUGGUAAUAAGGGUAACGGUAGGGUCUUACGUUGACAGGGUGUGUAUUUGGUUGUAGUGGGAUGUAGUGAUCAUGUGGUCUCUUUGGCGGCAGGCCCAUAGGUGGCUUAAAAACAUUAGAGAAUUCGGUUAAAAUCUGAAUUAUGUCACCUAGGUAAAGAUUCGGCUGGAAAUUAUUGGGAGAAAGAGAGAUUUGGAAUAAGAAUCCACUACCUUGAACAGAGUUGAAUUCUUUAUCAGAUAAGGUCGCUAAAGGGGUGUGUUUAAGACCUUGGAAUGUGUAGGUCUCUUAUCCAGCUUUGUAGGUCAUCGUCAACUGCUGGUAAUCCAUCUCUAUUGGUCCAAUAGUCUCUAGCCAUUGCACACCCAAAAUCAAGUGAUAGGCUGCCACAUGAAGCACAAAAAAACAGCAGUAAUUGAUUUACCUUGAAUGGAGAUCGUGAGUGCUUGGCACAGGCCUUUGCAUUCGAUUUGUUCUUGGUUGGCGACCGUCACUUGGAACUUUUUUUUUUUGAAGAACAGGUAGCCCAUAUUUAGUGACUACAGCUUGAUCAAUGAAAUUGUGCGUGCUGCCGCCAUCUAUGAGCACCGUUACCGAUUUGUUCUUCAGUUUACCCAUCACACAGAAUGUUUGCGGAUGACUGGCUCCUGAAAUGGCGUAGGUAGAAACUUCAGGCAUGACUUCAUGGUCCUCAGAUUCAGGUUCGGCAGGUUCCUUAGCAAGGUUUAUUUGAUUCGAAUCCUCUAUCAUGAAUAAUUGCGGCCUUUGGCAACAGUGACCGGGAACAAAUUUUUCGUCACAAUAAUAACAAAGUCCAUUUGCCAUCGUUCUCGUGCCUCUUGAUUUGUGAUGCGUCAAAAUGGAAUUGUUGAAUUGCUGGCAUUUUGGUUUAUUUUGGAAGUUGAUGGGGGCCUAAUACGCCACCGGAAUGGUGUGGUAUGAUUCUUUGUGCUCCUGUAAUUGCGGAUGGACGAAAGGAAGUGCUUAUUUUCUUUUGCAGGUUAUUUCAUUCCUCAACUAGUCGAGCAACUCCAAUAGCAUUAGUUAAUGUUCGCGGCUGCUUGAUUUUGACAUCCAAGCGAAUUUCAUCUUUGAGACCUGCAAUAAAACAACCCACAAAAAAUUUUUCAGGUAAUUCGUCAAUACAGUGGCAUAAUUUUUCGAAAGCCUCCUAGUAAGCCUUUAAAGUUGAGGUCUGUUUUAAUCGUGUGAGAGCUUCAAAGGGAUCUUCAUAGUCUAUUGGGCCAAACCUUUGAAGCAUGGCUUUUGUGAAUUCUUGCCAAGAUAAUGGUCCCUUAAAUUUUGUUAACCACCGAUGCCACUGUAAGGCAAUACCUUCAAGAUGGAAAGAGGCAAGUUGAACUUAUAGGCUUGGUGUAAUGUUUUUAAAUUCAACGUAUUGUUCUGCCUUGUAAAUCCAACCGCUUGGGUCUUCUUCGUUAAAUCAUGGGAAGUGAAGUUUGAGGUGGUGAUAUUGUGCAUUUGGUGUGUGGGGUGUGUUAGUGUUUGUGGUAUGUGAGGUUUCUCUGGGGUAAAAAGGGUUGAUUUCAGGCUAGAUGGUUGGUUGAGGUCGAGACUCACAAAGCUUGUAACUCAGUUAACACCUUAUGCAAGGAAUCAUUGAUCUGAUCAAAAUUGGAUUCAUGUCGAGCUAAGGCUUUGUUGACAUCAUUGCGGAAUUCGGCAUUAGAUUUACCGCGAGUGUCCAUUGACAAACCGACUUUGAUACCAAAAUGAUAUGGUAUAAUUUAGAAUAAGAGUUAAGAAGAAGGAGGAAGCAAAGAGAUAAAAGAGAGGGAAAAUGUUUCUAUAAUUCUCCCUUUAUUCAACUUAGAACUGAUUAUUUAUAAUAGUCUUACAGCUGGAAACUAAACAAAUAAUGCAAACAAAAUAGGAAAAGAAUCAAGCUCAGAUCACCUGGUAUUAUAACAGAAAACUCAAAACAGAAUGUUAAAGACUAGCUCCACUAGUUUAUUAACAGAAUUGAUGACCAAGUCUUACAAAGCACAUGUAUCACUGUUGUAGUUAAAAUAAUUUUAAAACAAGUUAAAACAGUUCCAACUCAAAAUCAGUAGGCUGCAAUUGGGUUGUUACACAUAUUUCUAAAUUUCACUCUAAUUUAAUUGUGUAUGGACAAACUAACUUUGUCACUUCUUUCAUAUUAUUACUCAUAAAUUUCAACCUUAUUAUGAUGAUGCACAAUCUAACUUAACAAAAAUAAUGUUCAAAUUGUCACAAAAUGUUUUUUUCUUAAAAAAGAAAAGAAAAUCAUAUAUAGUAGUUAAUUUUUCUUCAUCUUUACUCCAGGAUCCAACUCCGUACUCCACUUUUUUGUUGUUAUUGUACCCAGCCGUUAGAUUUUAAUUACAUUGAUUUAACGGUUUGGAUUUGUAAAUGAAUAACGACGUAGUGUUUGGCUACCAUAUGAACCCACUGCAUCUAAUUGGUUUUGUGAUUUUUUGCUUUCUUCUCUGUAACGCCUGACUAGUUCUGGAAAUAUCGACCGCCAUCGACAACAAAUCUGAACCAUGUAUUAUUUCUUAGUAGUGGGCAAAUAAAGUUUGCCCACUACUAAGAAAUAAAGUUUCCACCACCGUACCAGUGUGUCGAUUUGCGAAUACAUUCAUUCAAAUAUUAAACAUUCAGAGAAGAAAGCAAACCGUGGCAGGAUAGCAAAACCUGCAAAUGGUCAUUCCCAACACGAACCCCUAUGGCUGUUUUCCUUUUAAUUUUCUUCUUUGAAUUCUCCUUUUAUUAAUCAUUCGAAAAACUCCCUUUUUUUAAAUCAUGUGUUAUUAACAUUUACAUGGUUAAUGUCAUCGAAAUCAAAUGGUUGUUAUCUACGAAAAGAGAAUUGCUAGAAAUUUUGUUAGUCCCAUUGCAACAAUAUAUUGUUAUAAAUUGCAUUGUUUCCCAUAUAACAAAUAUAAUAAAAUCUCAAUAAAUUAAUAGUUUUGGGAACAAUAAAAAAAUUUAUUAAAAUUUAACAAAUAUCAAUUAAUCAAUAAAUUAUUAAAUUAUUAAUUUAUGAAAAUAUUCAUUAUUUUGAAAAAAACAUGAUCACGUUUUUAAUAUUGAUUUCCCUUGAGUUAACAUCUAUUAUGUUUUAUUUGUCUAUUAGUUUUAUCUUGGGAAGAUUUUUUAAGAGUUAGCUGCUUUAUAUUAAGUUAUUAACAGUAAUAAAAUUAUUAGUUGAUACUGGCGAAUUUUCUGACCAAAAUCGUACAAAGUAGUUGAAAGUGUUUAUUUUUGUUAUUUCAUGACAUUCUAACAAACUAUAUGGGGUCACAAAAAGGUUGAUACCCCUACUUCUUGUUCUUUUUUUCCUCAAGGGUCAAGCAAAAUACGACGUAAAAUGUGGCGAGUCUUCCCACUUGUUGUUCUUUGCAGCUAACAAAAGAAAAACAGAGCCCGCCACCCAUUAAUAAUUUAGCAAUUCACCAAUCACAACAAAAUUCCAUUAGAUAUUCGUCGAUCAAGUAGUUAAUCCAGUGUCUGCUACGUAGAGCCUUCACUUUACGAAUCUUCAACUCAUAAACCAAGUUAAAUCAAGACGUUUCUCUCUCUGUAUAUAUAUUUUUUAACUCCUAAAACGUUUCUUUUUAGAAAUAUUUUACUUUAUUCAUCUAAUAUGUUAUCUAACAAAUUGACACAGAUGAAAUCACUCUAAAGUGAAGAUAAAAGGGGAAAAAAAAAACAUUCCAACCACCAAUAAUUUAGCAAGCUUCACUUUUAUUCCACCAAAGUGUAAAUAAAGCCAGCCCCCACCACCAUCAAUAAUUUAGCAAGCUUCACACGCUUGUUGUCUUCUCCUUGUCGAACUGGACGGGGUGGACCAAGAAUCAAUGAAAGAAUUUUAAAAAUAAUAAUAAAAGAAAAACAUAAACAUUUUGGACUCAGAGUAGAACCGUAAUUAAUGCUAAAAUUUACUCCGCUAACGUUUUCAAAAUAUUGUUCUUUAUAAUUGUCCAGCAAAUAAGACUAAGUUUUGGACAUUUUCAUUCUUCACUUACUUUCAAAAGCAAUAUUUCGAAACAUUUUACAGAAUCAAGUAACAGUUAUAUAACGAGAAAAGUGCAAAGUUGUGUAAUUCUAAUGUUUUUUUUAUCACAGACACUCAGAUCAUUUUUUAUUUGGGUCGCCAACUCGCCAAUGAACCCAUGAUUGAAUGAGUGUUUAGAAAGAAAAUCAAUAAAAAACAGUUUAUUUUUGGCCGUCGAAAUAUAGUAAGUGAGAAAGAUUAUUCUUUUUUUUUGUUAAUCAGGUUAGUAAUUAUGAUUGAGUGACUCAGAAUUAUAUUCUAGAUUGAGAAUCAAUGGUUCUCCAAUCUCCCACACUGAGAGGCUGUAAGUUUAAGAUUGUCGUUUGCUAUUAAUUUCAUUGACAAGAGAGCACUUGAAUUUAUUAAAAGGAGAAGGCUAUAAAGGUUUUCCUUUAUGAGAAAUGUAUCUGAUCAUUCCUUUUUACUUGAAAAUUUCAUAUAUAAAAACUUAUUAAUAAAUGAAAGAAUAUGCAUAAACUAUUAAUUCAUUUUAUAGUGAUUAUCGAAUGACAUGUGACCCAUGGAAGCAUGGAGUCUAUAAAAUAAUUCUUUUUUUUUUAUUAAACAAAAAAUCGGUGAUGUUGAAAAGUAAUAUUAUUAUUACUCUAAUUGGGGUGAACAUUCAUAAAAAGAAUGCCGUAUGAAACUAAAUUAUUAAUUCGUUUGAUAGUUGGUUAUUGAAAGAGCAAAGCAGUCACUUCAAAACUAAAUUAUUACACGUGCACAUGCAGCACAUCUAUCUAAAAUUUAAAAAACGGAAUUAGAAAUACAGGAUUUAUGGUAGAAAUACAACAGGAAUAAGAGUGAAAUUCCGAUUUUAAAAUUUGGGAGAAAUGAAAUGCGAUAUUUUUUUAUGAAUAAAAUAAUUUAAUUUUUUUUUUUUAAUUCUACCAGCAAAAACCAUUAACUUGUCAAGUUAUUGGUUUCAUUUACAGCUGACAGUCGGUUUCUUAGUUUCAUUCCUUAAUUCUACAAGAAAAAAAUAGAAUACUUAACAUUUUUUAUUUGACAAUUUUUAAGAAAUGUCAAAAAUAUAUGACAUUUUGUGAAAAACUGAGUAAUUGUGAAAUAUAAAUGACAAUUUAUUUAAACGUCAAAUAAUUAUGACGUUUAUCAAAUAAAUGAUAAAUAUAUUACAUAUUUAUUGAAUAAUUAUUAUUUACCUUUUCCUUUUAUUGACUUGAGAAAAAAACAAAAAAAACUGACUAUACUGCUUUUGUUUUUGUUCUUAGAACAGAUUUUAGUUUCUUUUGAGAAAAUUCAAACUCAUUCCCAUUACUUUCUUUUCAAUAAUCACCUCUCAGGUUUUCGUCAAUCACUCAAUUCCGAAUUUCAUCUCCAUUCUCUUUCGAAGAAGAACGCACGGAGAAUUUUAGCUUGCUUUCGCUGCUUCUCGAAUAUUGGGUAUUGUUUCUGUUGAGUACAUAAAAGCCCCAGGUCGGCCAUGCUACUAUUUCCACCCCGGCAUGGAUCACCUCGGCCAAAUGGUAUGAGCAGAACGCGGGAUGAACACGAGCCAACCAGAGACGAGUACCGGCCAGGGUAAUGUACCGACCAGAAUCUUAUACCGAGCCGACACCAAUUCCCCAAAAAAGCGGGAACACGAUCCCACAGAAUCACGGUAGUUGCGCUUUUCCUAGAACCGUUGUGGGAGAUGCGAGAUCCCACGUUUGCCCACAAUGUAGCAGUUAAAAUCCCAUGAGAGGCUACCACUACUCGAGAAAGGGGGGGAUGAAGGGUGAGUGAAAACGUGGGACAGCGGCUAUAAAAGAAGAAGAAACCGAUGAAGAAAGGGACAGAAAAAUUGAGAGAGGGAAAACGCUGCCAAAUUGCAAUCAGGCCAUUUUCUUACAAGACUCCGAAUAAUUUAGAAACCAUUUUUAGAUCUAAAUUGCACUGUUUUCCCAUAAACACCUUGAGCUAACUUAGGCAUCGGAGGGUUUACGCCGGCAAAACCAUUGGCGACUCUGAUCCGUUUUUGGUGAACGCAGGUCUAGUAAGAGAAAGAAGGGUGAUUCCAACCUCAGAGGUUCGCGCAACAGUUGACAACAUAAACGUUGGUGAAAGAAUCUGGUCGGUCAAAAGGCGAGCAGAUUUAAGCAUCAACAUUUUGGCGCCGUCUGUGGGGAGCUGGAUAAAAAGCUACCACCGAAUUAGUAGUUACCGGAGAAACAGCGAACGAUCAGACAUGGAUUUGCCAAGGAAGGACGCUUUGAGGGAGGAUAACGAAUCGGGGGAGACAAUCACCCUUCGGGAAAUUGCAAAUGAAGCCCGAGAGAGGGUGAUGCAAGAUCGAUUGGAACGGAUGGAGAAGCAAAUGGAGACUCUCGCUACCAUACUGAAUGAGUUGAGAGAUGAACGGAGAAGGGAUGGCGAAAUCCCCGUGGGGAGAGAUGAUGUGGGAGCAGAGCCCAACCUCCGGAGGCGUAGAGUCGAGGAGAUCCCUCCGCCGGCGGACCAACCUUAUGGGGUGGAUCCCCACAGAAGUACUGGUCGGGUUCCUGGAGAACAAGUAGAUGAAGGGAGGAACCAACCUCUCCCCAGGCGAGUACCGGAAGCUGAUGGCCGAGGAGCCAGUGCUGAUGAAGGAGAGUUAAGACAGCGGUUGCAGAAUGUCGAGCAUGAGCGAGAUCAGAUAGAUGCACGUGAUCCUGACCGUGUUGUAGAAUUGGAGGGAGAGGUGCGCAGACUGGCGUAGGUGAUGGAGGAGAUACAAGGCAAGAGAAAGCCCCCGAGCUGGAGGAUAAUGCUGGAUGAGGAAUCCCCGUUGUCAGCCGAGAUCAUGGGUACAGUAAUCCCAAGAGAUUUCCGCUUUCCCGACUUCAAAUACUCCGGUCGAAGUGAUCCCCUGGUGCAUAUUGAGCGUUUUAACGACAUGACGGGGGUGCAGGGGUUGACACCAGCUCAGAGGUGUAGGGUGUUCCCGUUGACUCUCGAGGGGCGAGCCCGAGAAUGGUACCGCAAGCUGCCCCGAGGAGGUAUAAAAAGGUACGAGCAGAUGUGCCAAGAGUUGGUCGAACAGUUCCGAGGUGCAGUAGCCCCAGAGGACGACAUGAUGGAACUGAUGGGGAUGAAACAGGAGGAGGAUGAGUCCCUUCGGGAUUUUGUAAAGCGAUAUCACCAGGCCGUGCUAGACUUGGGAGCUUUUAAUCACCCACAGGCGCUGAGGGGAUUAAAAGAAGGUGUAAGAAUCGGCCGAUUGUGGUAUAACUUGAGAAGCCCCCUUGUGCAGAAUUAUUCGACGGGGUAUGAACAGGCGAGGUGAGACAUAGAGAUCAAAGAGGAGAAAUCGGCAAGGAUAAAGAGUGAACAGCUGGAAGAGCUGAGGCGAAAAGAACGGAGAGUCCCGAUCGGGAGCAGAUCGGGAAAACGAGCUGGGGAAUCAUCAGUUAUGGGCGGAAUAUCAGCUCGGUCCCGCCCUUACCCCAUAGCUCAUAGGCCGCAACAGUUCCAACACAGCCGAGCCCAACCUCCGCGCACCCCGUUUCCGGAGCAGCAACGAGAAUUCAGGCAGAUGGCUGCCCACCCUUAUCACAACACUCCCAGAGGGUUACGUGCAACUGGUUCCAGAUCUGGACGACCAGAUCAGCUAGCAACUAUACCUGCCAGAGAUGACGUUCAUGAUAGCCGAGCAGUUCAGCUGGUAGACCAGAGCUUGGCCUAUAGACAGUACACUCCAUUAAAGAUCUCUAUGGAGGAAUUGUAUGAGAGGAUCGAGGGACGAGGCCUGCUGUACCCUCCCACCUAAUAACAAAACCUGCUCAUCGACGGGAUAAGAGCAGAUUCUGCAAAUUCCACGACACUCACGGUCACACUAUCAGCCAAUGUCGUGACCUGAAGAUUCAGGUGGAGGAUUUAGUAAGGAACCGAUACUUGGAUGAGUAUGUAGACGGAGUGUCCCCUAUCAUUGAGUCAGAGUACACACGGGAUGAAGGAGUUGAGAGGGGUCUGGAACGAGAACAGCCGACCAUCCGUGUGAUAGCAGGAGGGCCAACAUUGGCCGGGGAUUCAAACAGAGCACGGAAGAACUAUAGGAGAUACGCCAUGACUGGCAAAGAGGUGCUUCUAAAUUUGCCAGCAGCCAAGAGAGCAAAAGUGCGGCAAGUUCCCAUUAUGUGGACGGAGGAUGACGAAGAGGGUAUUUUGUAUCCUCAUGAGGAUGCCUUGGUGAUUAAGGCAAUGGUGGCCGGUACAGAAUUGCGACGAAUACUAGUGGACAUGGGCAGCUCAGUCGAUAUUCUGUUUAAGUCGGCCCUAGAUGAUAUGGGAAUUUCAGACCUAAAGCUGGAACGGACGAAUACAUCCUUGAAGGGAUUUAGAGGGGGACGGUUAACUCCCAUGGGGAUCAUUGAACUCCCGAUUACUAUGGAAAUAAAGCCGUUUGAAAGAACGACGAUGCUGGACUUUGUCGUGGUAGAGGAAAGAAGCCCUUACCAGAUGAUAUUAGGGAGGCCAUUCAUGAGGAUAAGCCAAUGCGUUGUAUCCACGCAUUACCUGGCGCUGAAGUAUAGAGUAAACGGAAUGGUUGGUGUAGUCAAAGGCGACCAGAGGAUGGCAAGGAGCUGUUAUGCUACAGCAGCCAAAGAGACACUAUAGGUUACUUCUCUAGAUAAUCGAGGAGAUUCAAAAAAGGGUCGCCAAGAACCUGUUGAGAAGCUAGAGGAGGUUGUGGUAAGCAAAAACAACCCGAGCAGAGUGGUUAGGAUUGGAUCAGGAUUGGUCGGGGCAAUAAAAGGAGAGCUGGUAAAGUGCCUACAGUCCCAUGCAGAUAUAUUCGCCUGGUCUCACGAGGACAUGCCAGGAAUUGAUCGCGGGGUAGCUUGCCACAGGCUGGCGAUCAAGAAAGGGGCGAGGCCGGUGAGGCAGAAGAGGAGGUGCUUUAACCAGGAAAGGUAUGAGGCCAUAAAUGCCGAGGUUGAGAAAUUGUUGAAAGCAAGAUUUAUAAGGGAGGCCAAAUACCCGGAGUGGAUUUCCAAUGCAGUACUGGUAAAGAAGGCCAACGGGAAAUGGAGAAUGUGUGUGGAUUUCACAGACCUUAACAAGGCAUGCCCGAAGGACAGUUUUCCCUUACCAAAGAUAGAUCAAUUGGUGGACUCCACAGCUGGUCACAGUCUGCUCAGCUUCAUGGAUGCCUUUUCAGGAUACAACCAGAUACCCAUGGACGAGCAAGAUGAGGAGAACACCACCUUUAUAACUAACAUGGGUUUGUUUUGCUACAGGGUGAUGCCUUUCGGCAUGAAAAAUACAGGAGCUACCUACCAAAGGUUGGUGAACAAGAUCUUCAAGCCCUUGAUCGGACAUACAAUGGAGGUAUAUGUGGACGAUAUGAUCACAAAGUCCAAAGAAUCGAGGGAUCACGUGAAGCACCUUGAAGAAACCUUUGAAUUACUGAGGAAGUAUGAGAUGAAGCUAAACCCGGAGAAAUGUGCAUUUGGGGUCAGCUCGGGCAAAUUUCUGGGAUUCCUGGUGAGCCACCGAGGGAUUGAGGCCAACCCAGAAAAAAUACGGGCGGUUACGGAGAUGAGGUCUCCACGGACAGUUAAGGAGGUGCAGAGCCUUACAGGGAAGUUGGCAGCGCUGAACCAAUUCAUCUCAAGGGCCACAGAUAAAUGCCACCAUUUCUUCCAAACCAUAAAGAAAGGGAGAAAGAUGGAGUGGACGGCAGAGUGCGAGGAAGCAUUUGGGCAGCUGAAGGAAUAUCUAAUCCGUGCCCCGUUGCUAUCAACUCCGAGAGCGGGUGACCAGCUGUUUCUGUACUUAGCAAUCUCUAAAUGGGCUACCAGCUCAGUUUUGGUCAGGGAAGAAGAAGGAAAGCAACACCCGGUAUACUACACAAGCAAGGCCCUGGUAGACGCAGAAACCAGAUAUCCAUUGCUGGAGAGAUGGGCGUUGGCUCUAAUAACAGCAGCACGAAAACUCCGACCAUAUUUUCAGGCCCACCAGAUUGUUGUGAUGACAGACCAGCCCCUUCGUCAAACGCUUCAAAAACCAGAUGCAUCCAGUCGAUUAGUAAAAUGGUCCGUGGAGCUAAGCGAAUUUGACCUAUCCUACAGGCCCCGAGGAGCAAUCAAAGCUCAAGCUCUGGCAGAAUUUAUGGUAGACCGAGCUGAACCGGGGGAAGAAAUUCGGGAGGAGCAACCGAUAGAACAGGAGAAACCAGAGGGGGUGUGGCUGGUAAUGGUUGACGGAUCAUGUAGUGAGCAAGGACCCGGAACAGGAGUUGUAAUACGAACCCCAGAAGGAAUCGAAAUAACAUAUGCAGUGAAGUUCGAAUUUCAGCUCACAAACAACCAAGCUGAAUAUGAAGCCUUUAUCACCGGGCUCAGAGUGGCGCACACUUUAAGAGCAGAGAGGGUAGAAAUUCGAGCGGACUCCGAAUUAGUAUGUAAUCAGCUCAAUGACCAGUUCCAAGCAAGAUGAGAGAAGAUGGGCCUUUAUCUGAAGAAAGCAAAGCAGAUGGUUGAGCUUUUCCAAGAGGUGGAGGUGAAGCAGAUAUCUCGGAACGAGAAUUACCGAGCAGAUAUAUUGGCUAGGAUGCCUGCAAUUGCAGAUCCGAAAUUACCUAAGUCGGUUCCACUAGAGGUAAAGACCUCGCCAAGUAUAGGAGAGGAGAUAGAGGUGAUGAGAGUAAGCAUUGUAGAAUCAUGGAUGGACCCGAUUCGCGCAUAUAUCCGGGAUGGAAUCUUACCAGAGGACAAACGGCAAGCCAGGAAAUUAAAAUGCCGAGCAGCGAGGUACACUUUACUAGAUGGAGUGCUGUAUCACCGAGGGUUCACCUUGCCCCUUUUGAGAUGUGUGGAUGAUGAGGAGGCAGAUUAUAUACUGAGGGAGAUUCAUGAAGGAAUAUGCGGCAAUCACUCGGGAGCAAGAACUUUAGCCAUCAAGGCACUCCGGCAAGGAUACUUUUGGCCAACUAUGCACCAGGAUGCGCAAAGGAUGGCAAAGAACUGUAAAACCUGCCAAAGCUUCUCUGAGGUUCCUGCACAACCCCCAGAAAAGCUGACCACUAUGACAUCCCCGUGGCCUUUCGCUCAAUGGGGAAUCGACUUGAUUGGUCCGUUACCUAAGGGCCGAGGAGCGGCGACACAUGCAAUUGUGGCAAUAGACUACUUCACUAAGUGGGUAGAAGUGGGAAGCCUCAGCCAAAUCACUGAGAGGAAGACAACAGAUUUUAUUUGGAGGAAUAUCAUCUGCAGAUACGGGAUCCCCUAUGCCAUCAUUACAGACAAUGGGAGACAAUUUGACAACAACAACUUCAGGGAAUUUUGCCGAAAUAUGGGGGUGGACCUGAAGUUCUGCACCCCCGCACACCCCCAGGCAAACGGACAAGUGGAAGCAGCCAAUAAAGUAAUAAAGAAGCUCUUGAAAACUAGAUUGGGAGAGAAGAAGGGAGCCUGAGUUGACGAACUACCAGGAGUAUUGUGGGCCUACCGGACAACUCACAAAACCGCCACAGGGGAAACCCCGUUCGCUUUAGCCUUUGGUCAUGAGGCGGUAAUCCCAGCAGAAAUCGAAGUGGGAACACAUCGAACAGAAUAUUUCGCUGAGGAGCAAAACGACGAGCAGAUCUGCUUAAGCCUGGACCUGCUGGAGGAGAAAAGGGAAGGGGCCUAGCAGAGAGUGGCCCAAUGUCAGCAACGGGUCAUGCGCUAUUACAACAAGAAUGUACGCGUGAGGCAGUUCCGAGCAGGAGAUUGGGUACUUAGGAAGGUGAACCAAAACACCAGGGAUCCUAACCACGGUGCUCUUGGCCCAAAAUGGGAAGGUCCGUACAGGGUGAUACGAGCCACUGGACCAGGAGCUUAUAAGUUAGCGCACCAAGAUGGACGAGACGUGAAGAGGUCAUGGAACGCCGAGCACUUAAAGAAGUAUUUCCAGUGAGCAAAGUGCUCUACUAAAUCUUCAUUUUGACAAGUUAUUUGUGUUAAUUGCAUGAUGUCUUGUUGCACAUGUAUGUAUUCAGUAUUUUUGUAAUACAUUCAAAUUCCGAAUAAAGAUGAAUUCAGCAUGAAAUCCCCCUGUUAGCAAGCCCAACAAAAAUUUUACCAAGGCAAGCAAAUGCCUACUUCUGCUCGGUCAAUGAAAGACCAGCGGCUAAUUUUACGAGAAAUUUACCAAGGCAAGCAAAUGCCUACUUUUGCUCGAUCAACGAAAGACCAGCAGCCAAUCUACUAAGGCAAGUAAAUGCCUGCCUCUGCUCGGUCAACGAAAGACCAGCAGCUAAUCUACUAAGGCAAGAAAGUGUCUGCCUCUGCUCGGUCAACGAAAGACCAGCAGCUAAUUUUACGAGAAAUUUACCAAGGCAAGCAAAUGCCUACUUCUGCUCGAUCAACGAAAGACCAGUAGCCAAUCUACUAAGGCAAGUAAAUGCCUGCCUCUGCUCGGUCAACGAAAGACCAGCAGCUAAUCUACUAAGGCAAGAAAGUGUCUGCCUCUGCUCGGUCAAACGAACGACCAGCAGCUAUUCUACUAAGGCAAGUAAAUGCCCGCCUCUGCUCGUUCAACGAAAGACCAGCAGCUAAUCUACUAAGGCAAGAAAGUGCCUGCCUUUGCUCGGUCAACGAAAGACCAGCAGCUAAUCUACGAAGGCAAGUGAGUGCCUGCUUCUGCUCGGUCAACAAAAGACCAGCAGCUAAUCCUACGAAAAUCCUACUAAGGCAUGAAAGUGCCUACUUCUGCUCGGUCAACGAAGGACCGGCAGCUAAAUUUAUGAGACUUUUGCUAAGGCAAAUAUGUGUCUGCUCCUGCUCAGUCACCGAAGACCAGCAGGCAAUUUUGCGAAAAUUUUUACCAAGGCAAACAGAUGCCUAUUCCUAAUUCGAUGCACUAAAGAACCAACAGGCGAAACCAGACAAGAAAGCCAAUAGAGAGCAUUUAAAAAAUUUUAUAAGCGUUCAAAUGUUUACAAAGCAAAUGAAAAACUAGAGUCUUUACAAAAAUAGACCUAAGGAUUAGGAGGAUCAACGGCCUCAGCAGGUGAAGGGUCAGCUAUCUCGGGAGGUAGAAGAUCAGCAAUAUCGGGAGGAGGAGGCACGGACCCCUGCCCCACUUCAAAAACACGCUGCCCAGCUUCUCCCUCCUGCACCCCAUUCAAAGGAACCUCCACCUGCUCCUGCUCAUCUUGCUCCUUAUCUCCCUAGCCGGCCCCAGCCAUAUACCUCUCCACCCCAUAUUCCAGCUUGCUCAUGUCGAGCUCGGGGUAUUCUUCCUUGAGUACAGACAUGAUGCACUUAUAGCUGAAAGCAACCCCGGAGUUAUACUCAGCAUCCAACCGAUCAUCCACAUCAGCGGAUUUGCCUUUCUCUUCAGCCAGCUGGUCACUCAGGGAUUUGAUCUCUCCCUCAAGGGCGGUCCUCAGAGUAUCUCUUUCACUUUGAGUAGCCUGAAGAUCGGACUUCAGAUCACCCAGCUCACCCUCAAGCUUGGAGGAAGUAGACUCAGCAAUCGCAACUUUCUCCUCAAGCUCCGUAAGCUGCUUGUUCAGCUCGGCCAGCUUCUCCUUGGACCAAUCAGCAGAUUCGACUUUCUUUUUCAACUCCUGGUUAUCAGCUUGAAGCUUCCUCUCAUGACGCGCGGACCCGGUCUUGUAGCACGAGACCAUUGUGGCCAGCCUGAAGGAGACUCUUUGAACAGAAGCAGCUAACUCGGAGAGGUUCAUGCUCUCGAUGUCCUUCACCAUCAUAGGCCCAACCGAUUUUUUGUAAUCUUUCUGAUAUGGGCUCAGGUAGUCACCUUGAUCCCGAGAUGGAAGAGGAGAAGAUCGGUCCCCAAACUGCAAGCUGACCUCAGGACUCUUGUCGGAGGUUUUCUCCCCACCACUCUUACGGGAUGGGGGAGGGGGCAGAACAGGGACAGGAGCCUUGGAGGGGCCGACGCUGUUCUUCUUUGGAGGAGGAGGAGGGUUACUGGAGCUGCUUGGAGCCCGACCACGCUUUCGGGAUAGAGUGCUAAGAAUCUUAUUAUCCAUUCCGGCAGCUAUGUCCACCAAACCCGAACCAACCAGGGCUGUCGGUGACAGGAGAUCUUGGCAGGCAGAUGCGUUCACCAGAGCAGUUUCCACCUGGAGCAGAGGUCGGACUUCAAGCCCCUUUAUCAAACCCCACGACUCUGAAAGAACAAACAAGGUUAAAGAACCCAAUAAGUAACAAGUCGAGAAAGAGUAUAUGCAAAAAAUGAACGACCUGGGGUGACAAAAUGUGUUGGAAGAUAAAUAUCACCACCCAACGAAUGAGCUGCUGGACACCAAGCUCCCCCAGCAAAGAAGAAUUUGUUCUUCCAAUUUUUGCACGAGGAGGGGAAGCCGGUGAUUGGUUUCCUCUUCGCAGAGCUCGACAUGAAGUAAUACCAGCCUGCUUCCUUCGGGCUACUCCUCAGCUGGUAUAGAUGCUUCACUUCAACGAGGGAGGGCUCCUCUGAUCCACACCUCUUCCACAACACAUACAUAGCCGAGAGAACCCUCCACCCAUUGGGAUGUAGCUGACCUGGGGCCAGGUGCAUACCACCCAAUAUCUUAGCAAAAUAACGUUGAAGGGGCAGCCGAGCUCCUAAUUUGAAGCUCUCCAGGUGCAUCGUCACAUACCCCCGCGGAGGUCGACUAGGGACAUCACCUUUUCCUGGAACUACCAGGAGAAUCUCCGCAGGAAUGUCGUAAAGGUUCCUCAGCUUGAAUAGAUUAGUUUGGGUGGUGGCACAAGCUGUGUAGUUAAUAGGGUAAGAAUCCGCCUCUACCCUAUGACCAAGGUGCCUUUUCUGAGGAGGUCCGCUCGGUCCGGAGCUGCUCCCCUCACCAUCACUAACUCCUUCAGGGAUCCCAACCCCAUCAAAGCUGUGGUUCUCACCAGAGCCCGACGCAGGUCCACCUCUAUUCCCUACAAGCUCUAGUUCGGGGGAGGGAGAGACAACCAAAGGGCGUGGGUACUCAAGGGUAUCCCUGCCAUGGGAAGGACCUACACUACUGGAGGGACCUAAGAAAUCGGUGGGUAUUGGCACGUUGAGGCCCGAAUCCCCUGAUUCUUCCUCGCCCUCAUCAACAAUUAACUUUCUUUUCCGGUUUCACAUAUCGGAAUCCCAAAAGAAAGCAAAGAAAACUCGAAUAUACGGAUACAAAAGGGGGCAACACGGAACCCAAUCAACAAUAACCAGAGAAGAGAUUAAAAGCAGUACCUGAGAUUAACUGGCCCUGAUAGCGCUGCCGUGACAGAGAAAAAACCAGCAAGUAGAAACUCCAGACGCAGGAAGUGUGAGUAAAGUUCAGAGAGGAGGCUGGUUAACGGUGGAGAAACGGAUAAACAAAGCAAUGAGGAUUUCAACCUAGGGAUUUGAAGUGAAAAGGGAAAAAAUAGAAGCAUUUAAGCGAUGAGGAUGCCAGCUCACUCACCACAUAUCGAGGGUGGAUAGCCCGUCGUUUCAAAUUUCAAAUACGAAGAGUCUGGUGAUGCCACGUCACUAACCGUUACAAGAGGCCAGGAUAGAUGUAAGCCCAGAUAUGCAAUGGACAUGUUCACUUAGGCCCAUGCUCAGGUCGAAGUCUCCCCAGAAGAAAAAUGGUACAUCAGGUCAGGCCCGUCCCAAUAAACAGAGGACCAGAUGAGAAGCUCCCCGGGUUGGUGAGAUUUGACCAUCAGUUUCUACUCUUAACUCAUUUCACUCGCCAGACCAGAAACUGGGGGACUGGUGUUGAGUACAUAAAAGCCCCAGGUCGGCCAUGCUACUAUUUCCACCCCGGCAUGGAUCACCUCGGCCAAAUGGUAUGAGCAGAACGCGGGAUGAACACGAGCCAACCAGAGACGAGUACCGGCCAGGGUAAUGUACCGACCGGAAUCUUAUACCGAGCCGACACCAAUUCCCCAAAAAAGCGGGAACACGAUCCCACAGAAUCACGGUAGUUGCGCUUUUCCCAGAACCGUUGUGGGAGAUGCGAGAUCCCACGUUUGCCCACAAUGUAGCAGUUAAAAUCCCAUGAGAGGCUACCACUACCCGAGAAAGGGGGGGAAUGAAGGGUGAGUGAAAACGUGGGACAGCGGCUAUAAAAGAAGAAGAAACCGAUGAAGAAAGGGACAAAAAAAUUGAGAGAGGGAAAACGCUGCCAAAUUGCAAUCAGGCCAUUUUCUUACAAGACUCCGAAUAAUUUAGAAACCAUUUUUAGAUCUAAAUUGCAAUGUUUUCCCGUAAACACCUUGAGCUAACUUAGGCAUCGGAGGGUUUACGCCGGCAAAACCACCGGCGACUCUGAUCCGUUUUUGGUGAACGUAGGUCUAGUAAGAGAAAGGAGGGUGAUUCCAGCCUCAGAGGUUCGCGCAACAGUUGACAACAUAAACGUUGGUGAAAGAAUCUGGUCGGUCAAAAGGCGAGCAGAUUUAAGCAUCAACAGUUUCCUCUAAUUUAGAUAUUUUUUUUUUUACAUCUCUCUUUCUAGUUUGAUAAUUUAGGGUUAUACUUGAAUUAAUUGUAUUUUUAAUCAACCAAGGUUGAUUUAAUUGAUUCCAAGUCUCAAUUUCCUGUUCAACAAACAAGGAACGCACAAAUCAUUUUCAUUUUCAUACUCAAUUUUGAAAGAAUUAAUUUAUUUUAUCUUUGGUUAGUACACUUUUGUUCAAUUUUUGUUUAUUUAACUUAAGAUAUAGAUUAUAUUGAGAACAGAGCUUUCUCCUUAAUUCCGCCAAGAGCAACGUUGAUUUCAGGUGAUAAUUGUGUAAUAUUUUCAAUUGAAAUUAAUUGAGUCUCGUAAUAAUAAUAGGGAUUUGAGAUUUACAUCCUGUUGAAAUGAUUUUAGAGUGUUAUUUGAAUGCGCAUUAAUUGUUUGAUUAAAUGUCUCUUUAAAAGAUUAUUUUUAUUUUUAGCAAACAUCUUAAUGCACUUUGCAAAUUGAAUCCAACAAGGGAAAAUUAUAGAACUGCAGCAGUUUUCAAAUUGAUUGCAUAUUAGAAGUAAUGUUAAUUUAUGCUGCAACAGUUCAAUGGGCUGGGCACAAGUUUAGGACUUUAGUUGCUCAAUUAAUGAAUCCACCACUCAUCAGACUUGGAACUUAUAUCUAUUGAAUCAAUAAAAAUAGUUGAUGGAAUCAAUGCCGAAAGCUUCAUUUGAUAUUUAUUUAUAACAUCUGUUAGAUUCUGGACAAUCACAAAGAUAUAGUAGCAGAAACUAUGUUAGAGACACUAUAGUUGCUUAAUUAGUGAAAUUGUGCUCUCAUUGCCCCCUUUUUUUGGUUGAUUCUAUAAUCUUAUUAGUUGUUCUUGUGGUUGUAAACAAUAUCAAUUUCUAAUAUUAAUAAAACUGAAUGAAUAAAAUGUGAUGCAUUUGCAGGAAAGUUAAUAGUUUAAAUAUGGAUAAAUCUUGGAUGUUGGUGGAUAGAAGGUCUGUAGAAUAUGAGAACACGGUAAAUGAGUUUCUCAAGUUUGCAGUACUUCAUGCUAGUCAUCCUGAGCUUUUGAGAUGUCCAUGCCAGGCAUGUCUUAGUUUUUAGGCUCAAACAAUUAAGAGUAUAGAAAAUGCAUGAUAGAACACAGAACUCAUAUUUUAGCAACAAUCCUCAGCUCACUGGCCCUUAGUUUAGAAUGACAAUUCUUAUUAGCCAAAGAUUCAAAAUGAUUUUUAGUUGUUUAUAAGUAGAGCACUAGAUCAACAAAUAAUUGAAGACCUGCAGCUUGGCUAUUGAACUAUAAGAUGAUGGCAAUUCGAAGACUAUAACUUGGCUCUGCCAUUCGAAGUAAGCAACGCAGCUGCCCAAAGUCUGCCAAGCCAUCAAGACUAAGUAUACUUCAAAGCUACAUCCAGACAAUACUAAGGGUGCGUUUGGGAUUGAGGUUGGGUAGCUGUAGCUUAAAAGCUACAGCACUAAAGUGUUUGGUAAACACUAACUGCUGUAGCUUUUAAGCUAUAUUGAUAUAAUUUUUCACUUGUAUAAUACAAAAUCUAUUAUAUCUUUAAUAAUUUUAUCAAAAUUAUUAUUUAAAAUUUAUAUUUACUAUAUAUUAUUAACUUUUGUUUCAUAAUUACAGUUUUUUUUUCACAGCAGCUGUAGCUUAAAAGCUACAGCACCUCAAUCCCAAACGCACCCUAAGAUACAACAUCAAUAAUAAUAACAUCAAGAAAUACAUGGAGGCCAUUACAUGUUACACCCACCCCAAUAAGAAAAAUACAGUCCUAGAAAUUUACAAACCCGUGCAGCAGGAAUAACCAAUUAAUUUAUACAGUUCAAUACUCGUUCCUCUGUUUCAAAUCCAAAUACACUGGUCUACUAUUCAUUAUGACAAUGCAUAUGCCGAUAUUGUCUUCCAUCCUUUUUGUACCUUUCAAUUUAGUGAGGUUUAGACAGGGGUUCCAGAUUUGGUAAAUCAACAAUCACCAGAUAUGUAGAGCGGCCGGAAGAGGAAGCAUGGUUCCUAAUCCUAAUCUUGAUUUAGAGCAGAUUAGGUAACACGUGGCAUUCUACAUUCUUGCAAUGCCAUUUCUUGUUAUGGCAGCGGCAUUCUUGGUCAUGGCAUCACAAGCAAAUGCUUUGAUUUGAAGACUUGCUUGGCUAUGAAAAAUAAGGAGAGCAAAGGUAGUUAAUCUUGGUGUGAUCAACAUUUUUAUGGGGUUACUAAGAAAAAUAAAGAUAAUAUAAGGAAUGUUGUUGAGGAGUAUUUUCAUAUUUACACAAGUGUUCAAAGUAAAAAUUGAUUUCUUAAAACCCAUUAGCUAGCGCACAUAAUAAUGGGGAGACAAUUUUAGACUACGAGUGGUCCCACCCAUUUAAUAAUAUUCUUCAAUCAAUUAUGUUUACUUCAAAAAAAAAAACCCCAUCUCUUUAUUACUUUCUAACUAUUCAUAUUAAUGUGUUAAUAAUUAUGAAGAAACGGUGUAAUUUAUAUGAUGUAGGAAGCACUUUAGGCAAAAUCAUUUGAAUCUCAAAAUUUCGUGAUAUUGUGCCAAAUAUCCAAAACAGAGCUUCCUACAUUUCAUUGCGCUAGCUAAUUUCUUGUACCAAAAUUAGGAAUCACUGAAAAAUAGAGUUACGUGACUGAAUAGUAUCAUAUCACAGAAACUCAAAACUCAAAAGUGCAAUAACAUUGAACAUUCAGCUGGCUAGCUUAUAUUAAUUAAUUAAUACUACUACUAGUUCUUUAUGAUUAAUUAAAAGAUAAAAUAUUUGACAAUCACAAAACAUUAUUCUAUCACUGAAGAGUAGAGCUUCCUACAUUGUUACCCAAGCUCUUUUAUAUCUCCCAAACAUUAUUAGAGUCCCACAUUUGUGGCACAUCAUUAAGUAAAAUGUGCCAAUUAGGAAGAGCUGGCUUCUUUGUUUUGUUUUCUUGGAUGUGUUGCAAUUUUCAAGUAUCAUUCAAAAUUUUACGCCAUCAACACAGGAAAAUUAUAUAUAUUCUGUCAGCACUUGCAUAUGUUGCAAGUGCUGACAGAACUUUUCAUUUGAUUUGAUAAUUGGCUAAGGGUGAUUUCGAUAACGUUUCCAAAGAAGAUAUAGAACAUAGAUCAAAAAGAAAAAUAAGUAAUUUGAUCAGUCGAUGCAAAAAAUGAGCGAGCUUCGUAGUCUGACUAACAGGACAUGGCUUGGAGCAAGGAUCAAUGGACAAGUUUGAGGUUUAUGAAAUAUUGGGAAAAGAGACAAAUAAUAAAGCCACUACAAGUUAAGCAGAUCAAAUAAACAGAACAGAGGAAAUAAGUGAUCAAUUUAUUACUUUGUGCAAUGGCCACAGCAACAGCGAAAAUAUGUCUACAUGACUACAUUAUCCGACUGGCAUGGUACUAUAACCGUGCAGCAUUACACUAACAUUUCCUUAUCAAUCAAUUUUGAUGGUAUGAUAUUAAAAACAUCGAUUUCAUAAUUUUAUGUAAUUCAAGAAUAUGACAGCUGUGUGUUGUCGUCUGGAUCACAUGUUCUUCACGUGAUUUCAUUUACCCUAUACGGCACAUUUGUCAGUCGUUUUGGUCACUCAUUGAAGCACGAAUUAAGGACGUCAUUCAAGGUUGUUAAUUGACCUUUACAAGGCGGAAAAAUUCUGGGUUUGUUUUAACAAACCCUGAAUGCAGCUUGUGAGUGGGGGGAACUUUCUAGAUUCUUCAUGAUCUGUAUAUAUAGUCUUAGAGGCUACAGUUGAGACAUAUGAAAAGCUUGUAACUUCUUCUUAAUGCUUGUAGUUUGAUCUCGGUGAUGGAGAUAAGAUUGCUGCUCUGUUCUUCACUUGAUAUAGGCUAUCUCCAAGCGGAACCACUUAAAUUGUGCCUCUGUUUUGCUUGUUUCAGUUGUUAUUCUUGUGAGGUGUGUGAUUUGCUUGUCAUUUCUAAAUCAUCAAUUAGAGAGUUUAGUGAGUUUAAUCGAUCAAGAAUCAACAAGAUGCUAUGAAAACAAAAUAUAUACAAAACUUAUAUCUGGUGGUUUGUCAAACGUACAGAGAAGAGAGCAAACUGUGGCAGGAUAGCAAAUACUGCGAAUGGUCAUUCUCAACACGAACGCCUAUGGCUGUUUUCCUUUUAAUUUUCUUCUUUGAAUUCUCCUUUUAUUAAUCAUUAGAAAAACUCCCUUUUUUAAAAUCAUGUGUUAUAAACAUUUACAUGGUUAAUGUCAUCGAAAUCAAAUGGUUGUUAUCUACGAAAAAGAGAAUUGCUAGAAAUUUUGUUAGUCCCAUUGCAACAAUAUAUUGUUAUAAAUUGCAUUGUUUCCCAUAUAACAAAUAUAAUAAAAUCUCAAUAAAUUAAUAGUUUUGGGGAUCAUAAAAAAAAUUAUUAAAAUUUAACUAAUAUCAAUUAAUUGGCAAAUUAAUAAAUUAUUAAUUUAUGAAAAUAUUCAUUAUUUUAGAAAAACAUGAUCACGUUUUUAGUAUUGAUUUACCUUGAGCUAGUAUCUAUUAUGUUUUAAUUGGUCCCAAUAAUAGUUUAAUUGUAAAUAAUUAAAUAUAUCAGUAAUGAUUUUUAAAAAAGAUCACUAGCAUCAGAUUAUUGGGCGGUAUUAAGGAGAAGUUAUGCUUAGUAUUUAUAAUUUAUGUAAGAUGAAUUUGUAAGACUUAUUAAUUUCUAUUAAAGAGUUUUUCAGUUAUUAAUUCAUUAAGUUAACUUGAAGUAUUAAUAUUUACUAAUUGUGGUGAUUAAUUCAUUAAAUUAACAUGUCAUAAUUUUCAAUGAAGAAUGAAGUUCAAUCAAUGUACAAAAAAAAGAUAUAUAUAUAUAUAUAUAUAAGAUUUUAAUUCCUAGUUUGAUUUAACUUUGUUUCGGUUAUUGACAUUGCUGAAGAGGCAGUAAAAGCUUGUUGAAUGUCAUCAAAUGCACAAAUUGGCAAUAUCGGUUGGCUUCUUUAUAGGCGCAUCCAUCACAAAAUGAAAGUAACAACAACCACCAUCGAAAAUUAAUUUACCUGAAAUCUUUGAAAAGAAAAAUUAACCUGACAUUUAUUGAUUUAUUUUUUUGGGGGCAAAGAAAGAACGGAACAGAAUUAUGAGUUUUGGAAAGCAGAAUGAGAAAAUUGAACAGAUGAGAAAAUGGAUAAUUAAGCAGAAUGAAUUUGCGACUGUGACGGGUCUGGUCCAGCAAGCUUAGUAGAAAUUACGCGCUGAUACUUCAUUGACCAAUGACUAAUAAUUUGGCAAUUCACCCAUCACCAGCACUUGGUAAGCAAAACGAAAAUGCUUAGUAAGUGUCAAGGGUCAAGCAAGAUACGACGUAAAAUGAGGCAAGUCUCCCCACUUGUUGUUCCUUGCAGCUAAGAAAAGAAAAACAGAGCCCACCACCCAUUAAUAAUUUAGCAAUUCACCAAUCACCACCACUUGUUACGAAAUUCCAUUAGGUAUUCGUAUGUCAAGCAGUUAAUCCAGUGUCUAUUACCUAGAACCUUCACUUUACAAAUCUUCAUCUCAAAUACCAAGUUAAAUCAAAACGUUUCUCUCUCACUCUUUCCUUUUAAACUCCAAAAACGUUUCUUUUUAGAAAUAUUUUACUUUAUUCAUGUAAUAUGUUGUCUAACAAAUAGACACAAUUGAAAUCACUCUAAAGUGCAAAUAAAAAAAUAAAAAAAAUCCAAUCACCAGUAAUUUAGCAGGCUUCACUUUAUUCCACCAAAGUGUAAAUAAAACCAGGCCUCACUGCCAUUAAUAGUUUUACAAGCUUCACACGCUUGUUGUUGUGUCUGCUUGACGAACUGGACAUGGGUGCAUCAAGAAUCAAUGAAAGAAUUUAAAAAAAAAAAAAACUGCACAUUUUCGAUUCAGAGUAGAACGGUAAUUAAUGCUAAAAUUUACUCCGCUAACGUUUUCAAGAUAUUGUUCUUUAUAAUUCUACAGCAAAUAAGACUAAGUUUUGGACAUUUUCAAAUUCACUACUUUCACAAGCAAUAUUUUGAAACAUUUUACAGAAUUAGCGAUUAUAUAAAGAGAAAAGUGCAAAGUUGCGUAAUUCUAAUGUGCCUUUGGAUUUAACCUGAAAUGAUCCGAAGGCCAGAAAUUGUAACGGCGGGCUUAAAUGUCAACACGCCAAGACAGUUAAUAGCAGCUAAAUUGGAAAAAAAAAAAAAAGGCAAUAGAAGUAUAGAUGGAGCAAUUUUUCGCUUAGGUCAUAGGUGCAAGAUGAAACUAAAAAAAGGUGGCAGGCAAUUUUAUCACAGAUGCUCAUGAUCGUUUUUUGUUUGGGUCGUCAACUCGCCAUGAGCCAUGAUUGAAUUAGAGUGUCUAGAAAGAAAAUUAAUAAAUAACGGUUUAUAUAUUUGGUCGUCGGAAUAUUGUAAGUGAGAAAGAUUAUCUUGUUUUUUUAUUAAUUAAGAUUAAGGUCAACUUACAAUUUUAUUUUAUUUUUUUAUGAUUUUCAAUCUUUACCAAAAGAAAAAUAUUUAGUGAUCCCUUUUAUCAACUUGCUUUUAUUGACUUUCUUCCAAUAAUAGAAGUGAAAAGAGAAACAGAGGCCACCACCACCAAGUGUUACCGGAUUCUAUAAAGACAAAAUCAGUGCCCAGCAAAAAGAAUCCAACUUUUCGUUAUGUGUUGCUUCCUAUUUAGUACAUGCACAUAUAGAUAUAAGAUAUCCACAUGCAUAUGCAGCGCGUCUAUCUAAAAUUUGAAAAACAGAAUUAGAAACCUUCUUGAAUAGGAAUAGAAAUACUCUCUAAUACUUCCUAAAAUAAUUAACCCUAAAUAAUUUGUCCUGCAUCACCAAACUCCGGAUUUUACAAAGCACGCAUAAAGGAUAAUAGACACGUUUGAGGUUUUUUUUUUAAAAAGAAAAAAAGAUUAUGAAAAUAGACAAAUAAUGAAGACACAAGUUAAGCAGAGCAAAUAAACAGAGGAGAAUGAAUUCAAUACUAUCCUUGAGAACUCAAUUCUUUAAUAAACUCAAUUUUUUAAAUGUAAUUUCUUUUUGGGGGUUAAACUCAUGUCAUAGACUGUAGUCUUUAAUUUGGGUUUGUUGUAUCAAUUUUUUGGAGUUUAUCUUGUUUUAUUUUUUCGUUUUUAUAGUGCAAGAUUUUCGGUGGAGAUAAAUCAGGAAUAAGAGUGAAAUCCCAAUCUUAAAAUUUGGGAGAAAUGAAAUGCGAUAUGUUUUUUCAUGAAUAAAACAAUUCAAUUUGAUUGAUUUUUGAGAAAUUAUAAAGGAAUUAAUACAAGUAAAGUGAGCCUAUUCAUUUGAUUUGAUAGUUGGCUGAGGGUGAUUUCGAUAACGUUUUCAAAGAAGAUACAGAACAAAGAUAAAAAAGAAAAAACAAUUAAUUUCAGUCGAUGGAAGAAAUGAGCAAGAUUCGCACAUGCAUGCAUGCAUCUGACUAACAGGACAUGGCUUGGAGCAAGGAUCAAUGGAAAAGUUUGAGGUUUAUGAAAUAUUGGGAAAACAGACAAAUAAUAAAGCCACUCCAAGUUAAGCAGAUCAAAUAAACAGAACAGAGGAAAUAACCGAUCAAUUCUUUGUGCAGUGGCCACAGCAACAGCGAAAAUAUGUCUGCAUGACUACAUUAAUUAGAAACAUUGAGUUCAUAAUUUCGUGUAAUUUCAUGUACUAGAUAUAUAUAAUUGAUUUGAGUUAGUUUAACAUCUAAAGAAAGAGUAAUGGGGAAUGAUGUCGAUGUGGCAUCUGAUGAGUAAUGAUAGACAAUAAAUACUGAUCAUGUAAGAAUGAAGUCUGUAUUUACUGAAAAAUAUUUGGUAAUAAAAUGAUGCUUUAAAAAUUUAAUAUUAGUUGCAACAAAAUAAAUUGGCAAUUAAAAUUAAUAUAUAUGUAUCCAAUGCUUCGAGUUUAUUUUAUCACUUCGCUAACAAUUUUGUAACUACAUUUUAAUUAUAAUGUGGAAAGGAGAUUUGAUUUUUGUAUUUAAAAAAUUAGGAAUGAAACAAGUCAAAAUCAAUCACAAGAACAACAAUAAGAGCAUAUUUUAUAAAAACCACAAAUACAUAAUAUAAAUUUAGUUUCGAAUUAAGUAAUUAUUAAUUUGCAUAGUAAGAGAGUCUUAUAGAAAAAUAGGAAUUUUUUUAAAAGAGAUUUGCUUAAGGAACAACUUUAGUUUGGUUUAGUUUGUGAAGGCUCAAGUAAUUGAAAGCAAUGCAAUUGAAGGAAAUACAAGCAUGUGUCUAAUUAGCAAAUGAAUUUCACUUUAACAAAGAAUAAAAGCUAAUUUCAUUGAUGGCAUAUGUUGUGCUUUCUUUUAUUUUAUUUUAUUUUUUUUCCUUUUAGUUAUUGAGGUUACUUUGCAAACUGCUCCAAGCUAAAUACAAAAUUUACUCUUACACUAGGAUCUUUGCAAUGGUCCUGCAAUUUGUAUUCCUUUUGGUCAGAUUGGUUUUCUUAUUUAAAUAAAAUUUCAGGGAUGGGAAAUCUUAUCCAUUGAAUAUCAACUUUGAAUUUUAUUAACAUUCAAACUUAGAAAGUACUUCAGGAACAAAGUGCAUUCAUAGCCGAUUAAACUAUGUCUAGCUACUACAAUGCAAGUUUCACUUUUACUUAAUUAAAUAUACAAAAUUAAAUCACAUGAGCUUGUCGUUUCAUUAUACGUCAAAUUAAAAUUAAAACGCAGAAUUGACGGUAUUGGAGUUUCAUAUUUAAUUUUUCUGUACUCAUGGGGAAUCAGAUGGCCAUCCAUUUUUACGUCUAUUUUAUGUCCAUCCCCACUAAGUAGCUUGGUCAUAUACAAUAUAGAAAAUGCAUGAUAGAAAAUGCAUGAUAGAAUAGAGAACUCAUAUUUUAGCAAUAAUCCUAAGCUCACUGGCCCUUAGUUCAAACUGGCAGUUCUUAUUAGUCAAAGAAUCAAAUUGACUUUUAGUUGUAUAUAAGUAGAGCACUAGAUCAACAAAUAAUUGAAGACUUGCUUGGCUGUGGAACCAUAGGAAGGCAAUUCGUGAACAUCCUUGAUAUUUCGUUUGGUUUUAUUUAAUUCUUUGUAAAGUUGUAUUGUAAGUAAAAUUUUUGUUAAAUGAAAUCCGUAGGUGAAGAGAAUUUUUAAAAGCAACCAUCAAAGUCACGAUCAAAAGGAAGAAAUCAGUAUAAAUAUUGAUUGUCUCAAGUUAGAUUAUACAAAGAUGAAAUAAUGCUAAUCUAAAAAAUUCGAUGAUUAUAAUUUGAUUUCCAUUAUAUUAAUUAUAUUCAAUCAUGCUCUUUAAAUGAAGAACACUCUAGCAUUUAUAUACACUCAGCUUAUGAAAUUAAUUACAAAACGAUCUUUGACAAAGUCUGAUGAAAAAAGUACAAAGUUAGACUUCCCGAUCAUGCAACCACCCAUCGAAUUGUGUAUUGUGUCAUCGUUGAGCUCUUAGAAGGAUUCAGCUGCUGAGGAGAAGAUAUAAUCUGUUUUUGUGUGAGAAGUUAUGUACUCUCCUUUUAUGGUGUUUCUCUUGGUAGUUGUCGGACAAACUGUAAUGUGAAUUUCUAUCUAAUGGGUAUCCUUUUAGUUAGUUUGGGAUUGUUGAUUUAUAUAUGAUGUUUGGUAUCUAAAAUUCAGAUGAUGAUAAUCUUGGCAGUACUUUUGUCAAAUUUUCUUGUGUUGUUGUUGGUUUAAUAAAAUAUCACAAAGGUGCAAAAUACAGUAAAAUUAACAUUGAGCUCAUGAGAUUGCCAUUAGAUAUAUUGAAAAAGAAAUUGACACAAGAAACUGAAAAUUAGUUGUUAAUUAUGAUGGGAAUAUAAUCUUGGUAUUUCAAUUAUAUCAUUUGUACUAAUCUCAUUUGUGUCUAUCAUAAAAGCAGAGUGGCUUGAUUGAAUAGUGUCAUAUUACGUCACAGCAAUCACAGAAACUCACCCAAAAGUGCAUGAGCAUUGAACAUUCAGCUAAUUUAUACUAAUUAAUUAAUAAUACUAACAAGAGUAGUUGGAUCUCGUCUUCUCUUGGAUAUAUCCAAUGACUUUGACUCAAAUAUGCUAUUGCAAGAGGAGAUUUCUAUUUUGUCUGAUUUAAGCCAUAAGACGCGUUUCAAGGUUCAUUCUGAUUGGUUAUCUGUUAGCUUUUUUGUUUUAAGAACUUCUUAUUUACGGAAGCAAAAUUCUCCUUUCCAGGAUGAUCUAGAUUUAGAAGUUGCUUUUGUCAUAUCAGACGAAGAGGCCAUCUUUAAGGCCUUGUCUAAGAUUGUUGAAUUUACUAGAAGGGACUACUGCUCUGAUUCGUCAAAACUACUAUGGCUGUCUUUUUCAUGAGCUUCUAAUAUAGAAUCAGUUUUAAUGGUAUGAUAUUAAAAACACCGAUUUCAUAAUUUUAUGUAAUUUCAUAGAAAAUAUAUAAUUGAUUUGAGUUAGUUUAACGUAUAAAGAAAGAGAGAUGGGGAAUGAUGUCGAUUUGGCAUGUGAUGCGUAAUAAUAGACACCAAAUAUUAAUCAUGUAAUAGUGAAAUAUAUAUUUGCUGAAAAAUAUUUGGCAAUAAAAUAAUGCUUUAAAAAUUUAAUAUUAUUUGCAAGAAAGUAAUUCGACAAUUAAAUGUAAAAGAUGUAUAUGCGACGCUUCAAGCUUAUUUUAUCACUUCAUUAGCCAUUUUGUAACAACAACUUUAAUAGAAGUUCAAUUAAUUCUGAUGCAUUCCAAAAAAAUUAGAGAUGAGGUAAGUUAAAAUCAAUUACAAGAACAACAAUAAGAAUAUAUUUUGUAAAACCCACAAAUAUAUAUAAUAUAAAUUUAAUUUCGAAUUAAGUAAUUACUAAUUUAUAUAGUAAGAGAGUCUUAUUGGAAAGCAGGAAUUUUUUAAAAGAGAUUCGCUUAUGGAAAAAGUUUAGUUUGGUUUAGUUUGUGAAGGCUCAAAUAAUUGAAAGCAAUGCAAUUGAAGGAAAUAUAAGAUUCUAAUUUUUUUAAAGUAAUCGCUAAAAUAUUUGACGAAUAGCUACAAGUUGGCAAUGCAAAUAAACGGAGGAAAACAGGGCAAAUAUUUACUUUCUUCCAAAAAUAAUAAAUGCACAAUCUGCUAUUACUACUAUAGAAUGUUAGCUACUAUAUAUGAGCACGUGUCCAGUUACCAAAUAAUUUCCACUUUAAAAAGGAAUAAAAGCUAAUAUCAUUGUUAGCAAAUUUUAUUUAUUUAUUACAAUUUUUUAUUAUCCUUUUUUUUUUUUGCGCUUUUAGUUAUAGGCCUAAAAAGAUAAAGCUAAAAAUCAAUCCCAAAUCUAAAGUGAAAAAUUGUGUCUAGAACAGAAUCUAUGUUUUGAUGUCUUUGUUUACAAGCUUAAACAAUUCAUAGUAUACAAAAUGCAUGAUAGAGAACAGAACUCAUAUUUUAGCAAUAAUCCUCAGCUCACUGGCCGUUAGUUCAGAAUGACAAUUCUUAUUAGUCAAAGAGUCAAAAUGAUUUUGAGUUGUAUAUAAAUAGAGCACUAGAUCAACAAAGAAUUGAAGACUUGCUUUUGCUAUUAAACCACGCGAUGGCAGUUCGAAGACUACAGCUUAGCUCUGCCAUUCGAAGUAAGCAAUUCAGCUGCCCAAAGACUCUCAAGCCAUCAAGACAAUACCAAGAUACAACAUCAAGAAUCACGUACAGACCGUCACAUAUUACAUUUGUCCUCUGUUUUAAGAGAGAUUUACGAGCCCAUGCAGUAGGAGUAAUUAAUUAAUUUAUACAGUUCAGUACUCAUUCCUCUUUCUUCUGUUUCAAAUCCAAAUCUAGUGCUCCAUCAUUUAUUAUGACGCAAGGUAUAUGGGUUAGCAUGUGUCGAUAUUGUCCUCCAUUCUUUGUGUACCUUUCUUCGAACAAGGGACAACCCGAGAUCUCUAAUCGCAAAAGGGAGGCAGGCAGGCCCUUCUCUGGAAAGUACUUGAGCUUGGGACAAUUACAGAGUUUAAUGAAAUGAGGUUUUGAUGAUCAACAAUUGAGGAAGACAGGCGUUCCAAAUUUAGUAAAUUAACAAUAACCAAAUAUGGUAGGGUGGCAGGCAGAGGAAGUGUGGUUCCUAAUCCUAAUCUUGAUUGAUAACUGGCUAUAAAACAUGUGGCAUUCUACAUUCUUGCAAUGCCAUUAAUUUCUUGUUAUGGCAGCAGCGUUCUUUCAUCAUGGCAUCACAAGCAAAUGUUUGAUUUGAAGACUUGCUUAGCUGAGAAAAAUAAGGAGAGCAAAGGUAAUUAAUUUUGGGGUGAUGAAUAUUUUUAUGGGUGUACUAAGAAAAAUAAAGAUAAUAGAAGUAAUGUUAUUGAGAAGCAUUUUGAUAUUUACAAAAGUGUUCCAAGAAAAAAGUUUUUUUUUGAAAUCUAUUUGCUGGUGCACAUAACAAAAGGGCAUUCUGAGUAAAUUUAAAACUACAAAUAGUCUCACUCUUUUAAUAAUAUUCUUCAAUUAAUUCUGUUUAUUUCAAAAUAAAUAUUCUAUCUCUUUAUUACUUUCUAACUAGUCAUGCUAAUGUGCUAAUAAUUAUGAAGAACUAGUAUAAUUUAUAUGAUAUAAGAACCCCUUUAGCACAUUAACCCGAAUUUAGCUAAUACAUGUGCCUAAUAUAGCGAAAUCAACAUUCAGCGCAUUAGAGUGCUAUUAUAUUUAUUGAGAAAGAAAUUAACACAAAAAACUGAAUAUUAAUUGACACUGGAUCAUGUUGGAUUGUCAGUUGUUAAUUAUGAUGGGAAUACAAUCUUCAUCAUUGCAGCUACUUGACUCAGAUAUGCUAUUGCAAGAGGAGAUUUCUAUUUUGUCUGGUUUAAGCCGUAAGAUGGAUUUCAAGAUUCGUUCUGAUUGGUUAUCUGUUAGCUUUUUGUUUUAAGAAGUUCUUAUUUACGGAAGCCAAAUUCUUCUUUCCAGGUUGGUUCAGAUUCAGAAGUUGCUUUUGUCGUAUCAGAAGAAGAGGCCAUCUUUAAGGCCUUGUCAAAGACUGUGGAAGUACUAGAAGGGACUACUGCGCUGAUUGUCUUUUUCAUGAGCUUCUCUUCCAUUUGAACAUGAGAAUAAUCAGAUGGUUGAUAUUUAUGUUACAAAAGUUGGAAGCAACUUAAGCAAUUCAGUAUCAUUGGAGGACUAUAAUAAUAAGCCGAUUCUUUUGCUUCUUGGAUUUUUUUGUUAAUUCACUCGCUGCAUGCUUAUCCCACCUCUGAUUUUUCUUAAUAUUUCUCUGUAGUUCACUUCACAGCACUUUAGCCGCUACAUUGGCAUUUUCUGCUAUUUGUUAUUGUUCAUUGAAGCAAGUUAGCUUAUGAGAUUGCUUUUUGGUAAAUGUUCUUCAGGGGGGUUGUGAAAGGCCAAAUCAACUGAGAUGACCGAGUUUUCUAGAUCAGCCAUCUCUGUCCUCAACAACUGUCAAUUACUGAGACACCAAACUCUAACCUGAUUCAUAUGGAUGUAGACUAAAGCUUCUUGCCGAUACCAUCCCCAGUCAAAGCUGCUAUCCUUGAAAGUUUUGCAAGAGAAAACAUGUCUGAGUCAGACAUUGACGUCCCCCCAAGCAUCAAACAGUAUAUCAAGAGCAAUGUUGGUUUCCCAGUCGAUACAAAUGCAGAAUUCAUAUAUGCAGAUUGCUCUCAAUCUCUGUUUAAUAAGCUAGUCCUCUGCUGUAUCCUACAAAGUGGAACAAUACAUUAUGCUUCCCAGCAGACUCCAAUGGGAAGUAUGUUUCUGCUGCCAAAUUUUUGAAAGCUAUCAUUGUGAAUAUCCCUCCCCAGUCUGAAGUGGGCUUUGAUACUUGUGACAAUACUCGAUCGAGACUGUAAAGAAGCCGUGGGUGUACAUUUCUGGUCCAACAAUCAAUCCAACUGGCUUGCUUUUACAGCAGGAAAGAGAUAGAGAAUAUAUUAACUGUUUGUGCAGAAUAUGGGGCAAGAGCUUGUUUAGUGUCGUGUCAAAAUAAAUAUAACAAAGUUUUAGCUGAAUAUAAAUUCGACUUAGUUAUUAUAGAUAUUUAAUAAAAUAAUAAAACGAUUAAUAUGUUACCUACAAUUUGGAGAAAUGAACUGCGAUAUGAUACUUCAUGAAAAAAAGAUUUAAUUUAUUAUUUCUACUAGUAAAACUAUUAAUUCAUCAACCCAUCAAGAUUUUUUUUCUUUUUUUCUUUUUUUCUUUUUUUUGAAUUCAACCCAUCAAUCUUUGUUUGUAACUGCCAGACCGUCAGUUUCUUAAGGCUCACGCAGUGCAAGGGUAGUGUAUCGUUUCUUUCUAACUGAAAUGGGAACUCGGAUGCUGAGAAAAUAUGCCUGCAUGACUUCAUUAAUCCAGCAGGCGUGGUACUAUCACUAUGCAACAUUACAUUAACAUUUCCUCAUCAAUCAAUUUUGAUGGUCUGAUAUUGAAAACGUCGAUUUCAUAAUUUUGUGUAAUUUCAUAGAAAAGAUAUAAUUGAUUUUAGUUAGUUUAACAUAUAAUGAAAGAGUAAUGGGGAAUGAUAUCACUGUGGCGUUUGAUGAGUAAUGAUAGACAACAAAUAUGGAUCAUGUAAUAAUGAAAUAUGUAUUUACUGAAAAAAAUUUGGCAACAAAAUGAUGCUUUAAAAAUUUAAUAUUAUUUGCUAGAAAUAAUUUGACAAUUAAAAGUAAAAGAUAUAUUUACAAUGCUUCAAGUUUAUUUUAUCACUUCACUAACCAUUUUGUAACUACAUGUUAAAUAGAAGUUCAAUUAAUUCUGACAAAGGUCUCUAGAAGAGAUUUGGUUUUUGUAUACCAAAAAAUUAGAGAUAAGAUAAGUUAAAAUCAAUUAGAAGAACAACAAUAAGGAUAUGUUUUAUAAAAGCCAAAAAUACAUAUAAUAUAAAUUUAGUUUUGAAUUAGUAAUUAUUAAUUUAUAUAAUAAGAGAGUCUUAUAGGAAAGUGGGAAUUUUUUAAAAGAGAUUUGCUAAGGAAAAAGUUUAGUUUGGUUUAGUUUGUGAAGGCUCAAAGUAAUUGAAAGCAAUACAAGUGAGGGAAACAUAAACUUCUAAUUUUUACAAAGUAAUCGCUAAAAUAUUUGACAAGUUUGAGAUGUUAAAAAAGCUGGGAAAAUAGACAAAUUAAUGAAGACCCUACAAGUUGGCAAAGCAAAUAAACAGAGGAAAACAUAGCAAAUAUUUACCAUUAUACAUAUAUAUAUAUAUAUAUUUUUUUGGGAAAAAGGAUACCGACACUUUUAAGGUUUAGGGAAAUGGUCACAAAUACACCUAAAUUUUCAUCAAGGGACACCAAGACCUCUUUUUAACUGUAAUGUCUUUUGUCUCUAUAAAUCCUAAGAAAAUGACGUCAAAAUUUUAUAAUAAAUAGACAUAUGGCAUAGAAGUAAAUGAAAUAACAUAUACAUCUUAAAAUAAUGUUAAUAUUGAAAGCUAUUUUUAUAUUUUACAAUCUAUUAGACCUAUUUUAUUAACUUAAAGUAAUUUUUAAUAAUAGAUAGAAACAUAAUAUUAAAAUAAAUAAGUUAAAAUUAAAAUUAUUUUGAAUAUUAUGUAAAAGUUAAUUUUAAUAUUAUUAAUAGGGAUUUUUUUAAUUGUAAAAUCUAUGUAACCCAAAGAUUUAUUUAAAAUCUUCAUAAUAUCACAAACAUAUUAUUAAAAUAAAUAUAAUAAUUUAAAUUUUUAAUAUUAUUUUAAAUGUAAAAAAUAAUGUAAUAUUAUUAGUCUACUAGAUAGAUUAUAUUAUUUAUAUUAAAUUUGUAUUAAUUAAAAAUCUUUAAGGUCAAUUUUUUAAUUACUAUAAUCAAAGGAUAUUAUGAGCAAAAAGGGAUUUUGGUGUCUCUUUUUAAAUAAAUAUCAUUUUCUCUUUUUUAUCCAAAAACAAAUGUUGCGAUUUUGUUUUUUUAACAUCUCAAACUUUCAAAAACAAUUGAAAGCGGUACACUUAUCAAAAACCUCAACAGCAUUAUCAACCAACCCAUGUUUACCAAACUCUUCGAUGAUGAGAGAUAGAGUUUGAGGAGAGACGGAGAGAUUGUAGGGUUUCAUGAGUUCGAUGGUCUUCCACAUGGACUGGUAGCGUUUGUGGUGGGCGAGGGUCAGGAUGAGCGGUUCGAAUUCGAGGGAGGUGGGGGAGUAUUGGGGCUGGGAGCGGGCCCAGGUGAAGAAGCCGAGGGAUUCGGAAGGGGAAGUGUAUUGAGGGUGCUUUCUGGAUAUAUGUCGUGACGGACUAUGUUGGCGAUGUGGUUUACGGCUGCAAGGUAAUCGUCUUUUGAGGUUUUAGCCGCGACCGCGGUGCUCAUGGUUUUGAAGGAGAGGAUGAGGUAUUGCCGUAUUGAGUUCGGCUUCUGAAUAGAGAAACUAACACCUGGGAAGGUUUAAUGUGGGAACUUCACAUGCGUUCUAUGUAUUCGAAAGAAUUCCGCAAUAAAAACUGCUCGAGCUGGCAAUCGCACUUGCAUGCUAUAUGUUUGAAUAGAUUCUGUAUUCUGAAAUAUAUGUGGCCAUCACACAAAUUGGCAAUAUCGAUUGGCUUCUUGCAGCCAUCACGAAUUGAAAGGAAAAACACCUACUAUCGAAAAUUAAUUUUAAGAAUCUCUUUUACUUGAAAUCUUUGAAAAGAAAAAUUAACCAAAUUCGGCUAGAGAUAUACAUAAAUCCGGUACUAGUUUAAAAUGUGAGUAUGGUUAAUUUAAUAAGAGAGAACAAGAAUCGAUUAUGUCCCAAAAGAGAGAAAAUUAAAUUAUAUAAAUUUUCAUGCAAAUAUAUCAUAUGUUAAUCUCAAUUUUUUGUUGCUGAAAAAUUAAUUAAUUCCACUACUUCCAUUUUUUUAAUUUUGUGUCGUGUACCACAUUUGCCACUCCUGAAUUACUUAAUUCAAAUAAAGGUUCGGCUACGUUGGAUCAGCUCCAACGUAGCGCCCACUAACACCAGCCAUAUGAUUAUAUAAAUCCGAUCUGACGGUCACGAUUACAUGGACUUAAAAUACAAGAUAUGCACAGGAUUAUGAGUAAUCUUCUUCUACUUCGCUCUUCAUCGGUUGUUUGACCAAAUACAAGAAACGAAUCAAAGAAAGCAGGACAUGCAAAUGAACACUAUAUACAAAAGGGGAGUGGGGGUCUGAAUGCCUCUUCAAUUGAAUCGGCCAAGUGUUGCUUGCAUGCGCUCUACAAACUGCUUUGCUGUCAUCUGAAGCUGAAAGAAUUAUCCCUAGCUCCGUCGGUUUUUUCUGCAAUAAAACGACAAUCCCUGCCUUCACUCAUCUUAAUUCAUCCCCCGGUUAUGUUCCUCCUUUUUUAAUCAAUAAUUAAUUGCUGCCCCCUGUUUCCCCUCUCUCUGUAGACUCUACCCACCAAAACCAUUUGCUAUCUUUCUAUUGAAAGUAACUCGGUAAUAUACAUGUAUACGAUGGAGACGGUGCAAGGACUGUUGGGGAAGCUGGGGCGGCAGUGCUAUGCUGUAUUUUGCUUGGGUGUGAUUCUUGUUGUGUCGGUGACAAUCGCUCAUUAUGUUGAACCAAAGGAUAUUUCCGCAUCAGCUGCUGGUGAAAGUAGAGCCAAGGCCACCCGUCGUCGUCUUCGACCUUUACACGGUCCUCCUCUUCCAGCCUCUCUGAAUUUCUACUGAUCAUCACUCCCCACCAGCCAACCAGCUGCUUUAUGCUACCUUCUAGAAUUCUAAAGACUUUAGUUAACUAAUUAACUUCUUCUAGACUUGUUUCUGGGUUUAAUCAAUUUGCUCCCCCCCAGUUUCUCUGUAAAAUUUUUGCUUAAUUUAAUUAAUUGUUAAUUAACAAAUAACAGAAACGCUAAUUUUCGCGCAAGUUUCAACAAUACUUACUUGGUUGCCUUCUGUUCUCCUGUUUGCGUCUCUGUCUUCCAUUACGAGCACCCAAAGAGGUAUAAUCAACGGUUUGCGAGAUAGCUGCGACUGCAGUAGGUGCCGGCGUCGAUCAUCAACAUGGCGGUGCACGGUAGAAUUAGGUGAGGAGAGAUGGAGAGGUAUAAUCAACGGUUGCUGAUCAAAUUUGAAACUUUCCAGCGAACCGACGGUGAUGAUGAGAUUGAUUCCAAUUAUAAAUCCUGUGCAUAUCCUGUAUAUUGAGUCUAUGUAAUCGUGACCGUCAGAUCGGAUUUAUAUGAUCGUAUGGCUGGUGUUAGUGGGCGCUACGUCGGAUUUAUAUGAUCGUAUUCUUCAUCAUUAUGGUUGAUGGCUUAACAAAUGCAGGAGUAGGGGACAGCCAAAAUAAAACACUUUCUCUUGUAUUAACCUUUGCUAGUCGUCGAAGUUAAAAAUUUUUAGAACAAGUUAAAACAGUUCCAACUCAAAAUCAUUAGUGCACAAUUGGGUUGUUAUAAAUAUUUUUGAAUUUCAGUCUAAUUUGACUUAUUUAAUUAUGUAUGCACAAACUAGUUUCAUCACUUUUUUCGUAUUGAUACCCAAAAUUUUCAACCUUAUUUUAUAUUGAUGCACAAUCUAACUUAAUAAAAAUAAUAUUCAAAUUGUCACAAUUUUUUUUUUUAAAUCAUAUACAAAGUUAAGUUUUCUUCUUCUCUAGGAUCCAGCUCUAUACUCCUCUUUUUUGUCGUUAUGCUGCUCAGUCGUUAAAUUUUAAUUACGUUAAUCUAACGGUCCGGAUUUGUAAUGAAUAAUAUUAAAUGCACCGGUAUAUUUUAAUUACGUUAAUCUAAAGCUGCAAUUAUGUGCCGUAAACAUUGACAUGGUUAAUGUCAUCGAGAUCACAUGGUUGUUAUUUACGAAAAGAGAAUUGCUGGAAAUUUUGUUAAUCCACUAUUGCAACAAUAUAUUGUUAUAAAUUGCAUUGUUUCCCAUAUUUAUAGAUUAAUUUUGAAAAGAAGCAAACAAUGCUAAGAACGUAUUUUACAGAAGCUAUAUAGACAUGUCAUAUGAAUUUCGUUUUUAUACUACGUAAUUAUUAAUUUAUAUAAUAAUAUAUUUCCUUCAAAACAUAGUAUUUGAAUUUGAAAUUAUUUUUUUUAAAUUAGCAUUACGAAAAUAAUCAUGAUUUGAUUGGUUUCAGUUUUAUAAGAAAAAAGUUGGGAAAAUAGACAAACAAUGAAGGAAAAAAUUAAGCAGAGCCAAUAAACAGGGGAAAGUGAAUUAAUGUCCUUGUGCACAUUAAUAAUCUCAUUUUUCCAUGUACAAUUUUGUAAAAUAUUCAUCUCAUAUACUAGAGUCUUUUGGUUUUAUGACGAAAGAGUCAUGGUAGCGAUGUAUCUAGAGUAAAAAGAUUUAAUUUAUUUUUCCUUGUUAUUAGCAAAAAUUAUUAUUAAUUAAUCAACCCAUCGAGAUAUAUUGGUUUCAUUUGUUACAACUAGCCAAUUGCUUAAUACAGUUUUGUACGUCUCACUAUUACUUGUAAAUAAAAUCAUAGAUGUGGUAUGUUGUGAUGUGAUAAAUUUAAAUACAAAUCUUAAUUACGUUGUGAUGUGAUAAAUUUAAUUCAUGUUAGGAAAUUGAGCUUCCUUCCAAGAUCUCUCUAAGCAAUUUAUCAAGCAAAAAAUUAAUAAAAAAAAUUAAAUGGAGAAUACAUUAAUCACACAACACAAGAUUUACGUGGAAAACUUCAAAUUCGGAGAAAAACCACGGCCGUUGUCACAAGACAACUAGAGAAAAAUAUUCCCUAUGUGGAAAAUUAUUAUAACCACUCUUAGAAAUAAUUUUCUCUCACCCAAGCCCCAAAUACAUAAUCUCAAGAAAUAUCCCUUAACAAAGCAAACCCGUAAUACCCAUAAUGAGGAGCCAACUUCUCCUUCAAUAUAACUACAUGCUUAAGAACAUUUCUCUCUCUCAAUUUCUCACCAAAACUUGGAUUCCUUCUCUGGGAUUUUGGGAUACUAAAAUAAGGAGGAGCACUCCUCUAUUUAUAGCCAAAUUAUGGCUUCCUUUUCUUCUUUUUUUUUCUUCUUUCCAUAUCUGGAGAUUUUCAUCAUAGUAGUUUAUUGAAAGUGAAGGCAGCUGAAUACACUUUUUUCUGAUGCAGUCUGUCCCUCUUUGGUGUGAUUAUUUGAAAUUUGUGCAAGAAUAUGAUCCAUCUAUACACGAAUGUGCCUAAUAAAAUAUCACAAAGGUGCCUAAUACAGUGAAAUUAACAUAUUCAGCUCAUGAGAUUGCCAUUAUAUAUAUUGAAAAAGAAAUUAAUACAAGAAACUGAAAAUUAAUUGACACUGGAUCAUGUUGGAUUGUUUGUUAAUUAUGAUGGGAUUAUAAUCUUGGUCUUUUAAUUAUCAUCUAGCUAAUGCAUGUGCACUUUCAUUUGUGUCUAUCACUGGAGAAUAAAGUUGCUUGAUUGAACAGCAUCAUAUGAAGGAAACUCAAAACUCAAUUUCGUUGCCUGAGCAUAUCAUGCUAUAUUUAGCUCAAAAGUGCAAUUAACGUUGAACAUUCAGCUAGCUGGCUCAUACUAAUUAAUUUAUAGGAUUGCUAGUUCUUUAUGAUUAACUAAAAGAGAAAAUAUUUGACAAUUACGAAAACAACAACAAUUCACUCUUAUAAACAACAUAAUAGAUACAUGGUCUAUAUUGCAAUUCUUUUUAUGAUUUUAAUUAAAAGAGAAAAUGCAAAGGAAAUAUUAUAUAUAAUUGAAGGUUCUCCUUGAUAAUUAGACAAAAUGACACCAAUCUGGCUAACUAAUACAAUCAUCAUAAUUAUCCGAUUUUCAUUUUAAUUAUGUCCAAUCAUGCUAAUUUAAUAAAGAAUACUGAAUACACGAGUAUUUAUAUGUUCAACAACUUUGACUUCUGAAAAAUAUAGGAGCUGCAUUUAUGCUUUGUGUUAUUAAGUAGGACAUGACCAUAUUAAGUUGCAUUUGUCAGAAAACUGAAAAUUAUUCAAAAGGAUCUUAAAAGAGGUGUUGAAUUGUGAGCUUAAAAAUGAGUUUAGAAGUUUCUGACAUGUCAGUUUGUAUCCUUAAUUGUGCAUGCCCUGUCAGUUUCUGGAUGAAACAGGAGAAUGUGACAUCUGUGUAUUGUCUUUUACUUCCAGUAAGUGAAUCACAUGUUCUUCACGUGAUUUGACAUACUUUAGACGGAUUUGGCAGUUGUUUUGGUCACUUAUUGAAGCACGAGUUAAGCACGUGAUUCAAGGUUGUUAACUGACCGUUAUAAGGUGGGAAAAUUCUGGGUUUGUUACAACAAACCCAGAAGGCAGCUGGUGAGUGGGGGACGUUUCUGUAUAUAUGGUCUUAGAGGCUAUAGUUGAGCCAUAUGAAAAGCUCCUAACUUCUUAAUGUUUGUAGCUUGUUCGUGGUGAUUGAAAUAAGAUUAUUACUCCGUCCUUCAGCGGAUAUAUGCUAUCUCCAAAAUGUGCCACUUAAAUUGUGCCUCUGUUUUGCUUGUUUCUGUUCUUAUUCUUGUGAGGUGUGUGAUUUGUUUAUCAUUUCUAAAUCAUCAAUUAGAGAGACCAACCAGAUCUUGGUGGUUUUAGAUUGAGUUCAAUCGAUCAAGAAUCAAUAAGAUGUAAUGAAAACAAAAUGACAGAAUAAUGCACGCACAUCACAGCAAUGUUUCAUUCAUUUCGAAUCUAUAUAUACAAAACUUUUAUCUGACAGUUUACAUUUGUUUAAUAUAGCGCUGUAACAUGCGUACCAUCAAAAGCUACAGCCGCCAUCUUUGUUUGUCCUCGUAGCAUCCUUGAUCUUAUUUUAUCGUGGUGAUUCUUGAAAGUUCAUCUCAUUCUCAUGUGCUGAGUCACUUGCUGAGAUGAUGAAUACUUGAGGGUCCUUCCUUGAGACAUUUCAGCAGAAACCUGAUUCAUUCUAUCAAACAUCUGCAUCACUAAUCACUAAAUGAUGUAAGAUAGUUCUGUUUUGAAAUAUUAAUAUGCAUGCAUCCCCCGCGUUAGUUAGAGCUGCUUGUCAUCUUCUAUUUUCUUUUGGGUACAGUUUUGAAUUUUUAAUUAAUUGGCUUUCUCGCGGGAUAUUGUUUUCUCCUUUGAUUUUCUAUUUUUUGAUGAUGGUGUACACAUACAAAGAUCGUGUAAUAAAGUGCUUUUAGUAAAUCAUGGUCGGUUUACUAUUAAUUAAUCAAAUUUAAUUUGCUUUGGUAUUUGUUAACAUCAUUGUUAUUAUAAAGCGGACCUAUACAAUUAUAGAAAGAACGCCAACGGACCAAGCUCUACCAGCAAAUUAAUGAGAUUGCUCUUGUACACGAUUAAAAUAAUUUCAAUUUCAUCGUAUUUAUGUGUGUGUCUAUAUAUAUAGAGAGAGAGAUUGUACAUUGACGAAAUAAUGAUAAUUUAGCAAAUCUAAUUUUCAUUUAUAUUAUUAUGUUAAUUUAUGCUAUUUUAAUAAAGGCCACUCGAACAUUUAUAUAUCCAAUAUGUAAAAUUUUAAAACAAUAUUUGCCAAAGUUUGACGAAGCGACUACCAAAGCUUAGUUGUAAUUAAUCAAAUAAAAAAAAUGUUUGCUUUGCUUGAUGUACUGUUUGCUUAUGAUCUUUUCUUGAUUUUCUUGUGGGAUGUUUCUCUUUGGAUGUUUUGUUUAUUAUAUUAACAACAAUAAAGUGCGUUUUAUAAAUCAUGGUCCUACAGUCAGUAGUAAAAGAAAGGGGAUUCUCACUUUCCCCCUACAGUAAUUAAUAUAUAUCAUUUGUCCCCCUUCUGUUUUUAUAAUGGCAUAAAACUCCCCUGACAACAUAAGUUUACAGUAUUACCCUUAUUUUUAAUUACUUUUUUAUUUACAUUUAUUAUAAAUUAAAUAAAUUACAUGAAUAGAAAUUAAAUAAAAAAAUUAAGUAUUAAAAACAAGAAAUAUAUGUUUUGAUAUGAGCAAAAAAAUUAAUAAUAAUUUUUUUUGUAAUAAUUUAUUUUGUGAACAUUUUCUUAUAAUAAACAUUUUGUAAUAUUUUAAAAUUAAAUGUAAAAAGUAUAGGCAAAAUAUUUGAUUAUUUAUCUUAUAAUAAAUUUUUAUUUUUCAUUCAAAUUUUCUUAUAAUAAUUUUUUUAUCAUUUUAUAAUAACUUUCUUAUAUAUUUAUUAUAAGAAAAAUAUGCACAAAAUAAAUAAGUACAAGAAAAAAAUUUUAUUAUUAAUUUUUUUCUCAUAUCAAAACAUAUAUUUCUUGUUUUUAAUUCUUAAUUUUUUAUUUAGUUUAUAGUCAUGCUAUUUAUUUAAUUUAUAAUAAAUAUAAAUAAAAGAGUAGUUGAAAAUAAGGGUAAUUUUGCAAACUUAUGCUAUUAGGGGGGUUUUUGGCCAUUAUAAAAACAGCAGGAGGAAAUGGUAUAUGUUGAUUACUGUAGGGGGGAAAUUGGCAAUCUCCCUAAAAGAAAUAAUGAGCUUGGUUUUUAUUAAUAAAAAUUAGAAAAAAAAUCUUUUUCUCUAGAACUUAUUAUGGAUUUUAAGCUAAAAAAAAAAAAUACUACCCCAAUUUCUAAAGAUAUUCCCUCUUAUUUCAUAUUGAUUUGUUAAUGCGAAGAUUCAUUGCAAUUAUAACAGUUUUGAUGAAUUUAAAUAUUCAAUAACUGAUAAAUUCUAUUUAUAAAUAUUAAUAGCAAUGACACGGAAACAAUUAAAUCAAAUUAAACAAUUGUUCUACUCACCGCUUUUCCUUUUGUUUCCAAAACCCAUUAACCACCGACAUCGAACCAUAUUAAUUUAAAAUAUUGUUCAACUGAGAUUUGAAUUUUAAAAUUACAUACACAAACACACCCGAUUUUUUUUAAAAAAAAAAGAAUACUGCUAAUAAAAUAUUUCAGCCAUCAAAAGCCACAUACCUAAGGUAUGAUGAGCAAAUCCUCCCAAUGAUCCUGAAAUUACUCUCGCACCCUAUCAAAAUAAUUUUAAUUUCAUCAUAUAUGCACACAGACACACACACAAAAUGUAAAUAAUUUUUGUAUAUAAAAUAUUUGAAAUAAUCACUAAACAACAAUUCACAAGGUAGAUUAUACCCAGACGAAAUAAUGCCAUUUUAAUAAAGAACGCUCGAGCAUUUAUAUAUCUAACAGGUAAGAUUUCAAAACAAAUUUUGCCGAAGGCAAAGUCUGGUGAAGAGAAAUGUUAUAUGUAUAUAACCGUACAGGCGCAGCAGAAGGAUAAGUAAAAAAAAACGAAGUUUCAAUAAGAAAUUAAUUCAUUACUUUCCAAAUGAUCAUCUUAAGGCUCAUUUGGAAAAUGGUGUUCUGAGGAUCACUGUGCCAAAGCUUGCUGAGGAGAAGAAGAGGCAGCCCAAGGUUAUUAACAUUGAUGAAGAAUCUGGUAAUUCUUCCGGUGAAGAUAGUAAGGCCACCAAGGCUCAAAUGUAAUUGAUUAAAGAAAGAAGUGCUUGCUUUGCUUGAUGUGCCAUUUGUUUUGUGAUCUUUUCAUGGUUUUGUUGUGUGAUGCUUCUCUUUAGAUGUUCUGUUUAUUGUAUUUUGAUGGGUUUUUGAGGAUGGUUGUAUGUAUUAACAACAACAAGGUGCUUUUUAUAAAUCCGGUUCCUAAUUUUGUAAAAGAAAUUAAUACUCUUGGUUUAUUUUUAAUGAAAAAUUAAAAAGAAAAAGCUUUUUUCUAUGGCAUAUAUUAUGCAUUUUAAGAAAAAAAAAUAUCACAUUCCAAUUGAUGAAGACAUUUCUUCUGUCAUAUUGAUGUGUUAAUAGAAAGAUCUAUAUGAAUUAUAAUGAUGAAUCUAAAUAUUCAAUAACUGAUAAAUUGUAUUUAUAAAUAUUAAUAGUGGUGGCAUAUAAACAAUUAAUUCAAGGACUCGCCUAUAAUGAAUUAAUUUAAAGAGUAUAAAUAUUUUAAUAAAUCAUACUCGAUUUACUAUUAAUUAAUCAAAUUUAAUUUACUCAAAUUAUUCCUCUACAUGAUCAAAGUAAUUUCAAAUAUACACGCACAGACACAAAAAAUGUAAAUGACUUUGAAAUAUAAAAUAUUUAAAAUAAUCACCAUACUAACAAUUCACAAGUCAGAUUAUAAAUGGUCGAAAUAAUGAUAAUCUAGUGAAUUCAGUCAUAAUAAUUUGAUUUUCAAUUAUAUUAAUUAUGUCGAAUCAUACUAUUUUAAUAAGAAAGAGCACUCGAGAAUAUAUAUAUCCAACAACUAAAAUAAUAGAAUAUAUAUAUAUAUAUAAAAACACGCGCACGCACAUAUAUAUAAUCGUACUGCAGAAGGAUAGAUAAAACCAACAGCUGAAUAAUGCAAACUGACUUUUUUCUUUGAAAAAAAAGGCAUUUUAUUGUUUAAUUCGAAAACCCAUUAUAUACAUGAUAAAGACUCACCGACACCGAACCAUAUUAAUUUAAAAUAGUUUUCAACUGAGAUUUAAAAUUACAUACACAAACACACCCGAUUUGUUUUAAAAAAAACUACUAAUAAUAAAAUACUUCAGUCAUUCUCUGUUCUGCCAUCAAAACCCCAUUUAUAUAUCUAACAUGUAAGAUGUAAAAACAAAUUUUGCCGAAGGCAAAAAGUCUGGUGAAAAGAAAUGUUACAUCUAUUUAACCGUACAGGCACAGCAGAAGGAUAAGUCAAAGAAAAACGAAGUUUCAAUAAGAAAUUAAUUACACAUUUACACUCAAUAAGAAAUUAAUUCAUUACUUUCUACCACUUUUAUUUAAAAAAACGUAGUCUAUUAUUUAAUAAAAAUUCGAAAACCCAUUUACAUGAUAAAAACUCACCUACACCGAACCACAUUAAUUUAAAAUAAUUUUCCACUAGGACUUGAAAAUUACAUUCACAAACGCACCCAAUUGAAAAAAAAAAUUAAAUAAAAUAUUUCAGUCGUCCUCUGUUCAGUCAUCAAAAACCCAUUUAAAAUCUAUACAGACAUAAGAAGUCCCCAUAUUGUCCUCUAUCCUUUCUGCACUUCUCUUUCAUCAACGGACAUUCCGAGAUCCAUAAUUGCAAAAGUGAGGAAGGCAGUUAAGUGAUCAAUUGGUAUUUGUAAGCGUCGUUGUAGUACAACAACAUACUAAUCAACUACUACGCUCUGCCAGCCAAUUAAUCAGCAAAUCCUCCUCAAAUUGGGCUUGUAUACGACCGAUUUUAAUUUCAAAUGAUAGAUGUAUAUAAAUAUAUAUCUAUAUAGAUACACACACAUACACAAAAUGUAAAUAACUUUCAAAUAUAAUAUUCAAUAAUCACUAAAUUAACACUUCGCAGGUUAGAUUAUACAUAGACCAAUGGAUAAUGCUAAUCUAUUCUAAUAAAUUAAGAACACUCGAAUAUUUCUAUGUCCAGUCGGUAAAAUUUCAAACCAACUUUUCCCAAGCUCCUCCUAUGCUGAAUUAAUUAAUACAUUAAAAGGUCCGUCUCUGCUAAAUAAUGCAAUUGCGCUAUUCUGCCCUUUUUUUAAAAAGCAUUCUACUAUUUAAUAAAAAAAAAUUCGAAUGCUCAUCAUAUACAUGAUAAAAACUCACCGAUACCGAGCCAUAUUAAUUUAAAAUAGUUUUCAACUGAGAUUUGAAUUUUAAAAUUACAUACACAAACACACUCAAUUUAAAAAAAGAAAAAAAAAAGAAAAUACUAAUAAUAAAAUAUUUCAGCCGUCCUAUGUGUUAUCGCCAAAAACGGAUUUACCAUCUAUUUCAACGCGCGGUAUAUGGGUUAACAAGUCCCAAUAUUGUCCUCCAUCCUUUCUGCACUUCUCUACUAUCAACGGACAUUCCCAGAUAAUUAAUAGCAAAAGUGAGGAGGGCAGGCCCUUCUCCGGAAAGUAUUUGAGCCUCGGACAAUCCCAGAGUCGCAAAAGUGAGGAAGGCAGGCCCUUCUGUCAUAUUGAUGUGUUAAUAGAAAGAUCUAUGUGAAUUAUAACAAUUUUGAUGAAUCUAAAUAUUCAAUAACUGGUAAAUUGUAUUUAUAAAUAUUAAUAGCGGUGGCACAUAAGCACUUAAUUCAAGAACUCACCUAUAGUGCAUUAAUUUAAAGAGUAGAAAUAUUUAAUAAAUUAAUCAUGCUCGGUUUACUAUUAAUUAAUCAAAUUUAAUUUACUCAAAUUACUCCUCUACAUGAUCAAAGUAAUUUCAAAUAUACAACACACAAAAUGUAAAUGACUUUGAAAUAUAAAAUAAGCACCCCACUAACAAUUCACCAGCAAGAUUAUAAAUAGUCGAAAUAAUGAUAAUCUAGGGGGUCCAGUCAUAAUAAUUUGAUUUUUAUUUAUAUUAAUUAUAUCAAAAAGAGUACUCGUGAUUAUAUAUAUAUCCAACAGCUAAAAUUUCAAAACAAUAUUUGCCAAAGUCUGAUGAAGAGAAUUACAUAUAUAUAACAUGCACUCGCACACAUUCUAUUGUUUAAUUAAAAAAUUUGAAAGCCCAUUAUAUACAUGAUAAAGACUCACCGACGCCGAACCAUUUUCAUUUAAAGGAUUUGUUUUCAACUGAGAUUUGAAAUUAUAUACACAAACACACCUGAUUUUUUUUUUUAAAAAAUUACGAAUAAUAAAAUAUUUCAGUCGUCCUCGGUUCAGUCAUCAAAAACCCAUUUAAAAUCUAUAGCAACACGCGGUAUAUGGGUUAACAAGUCCCAAUAUUGUCCUCCAUCCUUUCUGCACUUCUCUGCUAUCAACGGACAUUCCCAGAUAAUUAAUAGCAAAAGUGAGGAAGGCAGGCCCUUCUCCGGAAAGUAUUUGAGCUUGGGACAUUCCAAGAGAUACAAUGAAGUGAGGUAUUGAAGAUCAACAAUUGAAGAAGAUAGGCGUUCCAGAUUUGGAAAAUUGAAAAUCCACAGAGUUGUUAGAGAGGCAGGAAGAGGAAGCGUGGUCCCCGAUCCUUUGUCAUCUGCCUUUAGUGGGAAUGACACCACGUCAUCACAAUUAAUGAUUGUAAGUUGUCGCAGAGAGGAGAAUCUGUGAAAUCCCCGACCCCGCUCAAUCAUUGACUUCCAAAUCUCCUUAUUACUAUUAAUCUCCAGUGAAUGAAGGUUGGUGGGAAGGCCAUCUUCUUCAAGGCUUGGAAGCUCAACUCCUUUUCCUAUUCUUAAUUGUUGAAGAGAGGUCAGAUUGUGCAAUCCCUUGGGUAAGACCUGUAGUCUCUUACAAUAAGAUAUCUCCAGCCUCGUGAGUUUCGCACAAGGCAAUCCCCCUUGGGGAAAGGACACCAGAUCACAUUCCCAUAUCCCUAUCUCUUGAAGCUGGCGGAGAUUAUGUAAAGCACUCGGUAAAAUUUUCAGAUUUCUACAAAAACUAACUGCGAUUGUUUCAAGAGAUGUGUUGUUGUCCAACCUUUCUGCUAUUGACUCCAGCUUUGAACAUCCACCAACACGAAGGGACUUAAGAGACGGAGGUAGAUUGCCAACUUCAAGGGACUCAAGCGUGGCAGGUAACUCGUUUUUUGAAAAUAUACAUGUCAGUGAUAGACAACCACUAAUUUCCAACUCCUCGAGAAGAGAUGAGGCGUACCUUCUGCUGCUGCUACACUGGAUGCCCUCUUCCACUGUCAAAGUCCUUAGAUUAUAACAAAGGUAGAUCUCCAACCUCUUAAGGCUCGGUGGUAGCUGGACUCCAGCAAUAUAUGUCAACGAAUGGCAAUCCCAAAUCUUCAAGAUCUCGAGAGAGGAAUUGUUGUCGCACAUCCAUGCCUCUGGUAACGAUUUCAGUGCAUCACAUUCUCUAAUCUGAAUUUUCUUCAACUUGGAAGGCAGAGCAACCUCAGGAAAGGAAACAAGGGAACUGCACUUGUAGAUUUCUAUCUCUCUCAAGGAACUGAGGCUGAGCGAUGAUUGUGGCAGCUUCACAAGGCCUUCGCAUCCGCUCAAUGCUAGAUAUUCAAGUCUGCAUGACAACUCGCAGAGCUGCUGUUGUUGGUCUUUCUCUUCCUCCGCCACCAAGGAUUGAAGUUUGGGACAGCUUCUUAUCUCCAGACUUUUGAGAGAGCAAAUGUCUUGUAGUAAUCCGUCAUGACUCUUCCAUAUAUAUGUUUGCUCUUUUGUCGACAAAAUUAAUUCUUCCAAUUUCGGUAGUUGUGGCUUUAAUGGCCCUGCGAGAAACACUUGAUUUGAUGUAUCUCUACAAACCACUGAAUUCUGUGAGCCGAGAUGAUCAGUUGCACUUCUCCACACAACCUUUUUACAUCCACCAAUUAUGAAUUUGCAAAGAGCUGGAAGACUCGAAAUUGAAACUGACAAUUCUUCACAUCCUUCAAUAACAAGCUUCUCCAAUGCAAGAAGGUGCUCUGGAAAUGUUCCUUGUAGCUUAGAACAUCUUAAAAUGUGAAGCUCUCUCAAUUUAGGAAACCCUUCAACUCCCUGACUGGAUCCAUGAGGAAUCCAGUCUUCCCAUCCUUGCAUGUCUUCAAAAUGAAGAGUCUCCAAGCAUGGAAAAGGAAUUGGAGUAUCAUUCCCAUAGAACUCUGAAUCCAACCUCUUUACACUAGCCAUUCCACAUACUGCAAGAUGCUUUAGAGAGGGUAGUUGGCCGACUGACGGCAGGGUAGGACACAUGCCACAAUAUUCAAAUUUUAAGGUCACCAAAUUUGAGAAUGAGGAAUCUCCGAACCAAGUUGGAAAUUUUGCACCUCUAUAGCCGCUGAUACAAAAUUGUUCCAAAUUUUUAUGGGGUUGUAGCAUGUCAAGCACAUCCUUUUCAAUUUCCGCCUCCCUUGAAGACGAGCCAUCGGUACUGAGUGUCCAUCCAAGCAAUAAUUCUGUAAGAUUCUUCUUUCCAUCCAAUUGAGCCUCCUUUGCAUCACCAACGUCUUUUACAUUCUCCAAUUUUGAAAUGUUAAGUGUCCCAUGAAGGUGCGUCAACAACUUUAGCUCUCGUAACCCGGAACCACUACCUUUUCCCACAACAAAAUUACACAACGUCUGAAGACUAGUCAACCUACCAAUUCCUACUGGCAUUUCCUCCAACGACUUCGUAUUUGAAUUCUUAAGAUGAUGCAAUUUGGCGAGGUUUCCCAUGUCUGCACACAACUUCUUCAGUUUCCGACAAUCUUCCAACAAAAGACUAUGCAAAUUGUAAAGCUUGUUGACUGAUUCAGGCAGAGCUCUAAUCUGAGUUCCAGAUAGGUUAAGGUACUUUAAAUACCUCAAAUCACCAACUGAAUCCGGCAGCUCAGGGAUGCGGUAUCCACGCAAAGAGAAGACCCUCAAGCGUCGGAGUUUGAGCAACUUAGGAAGAAUGCUAGGAGCCAAGUAGCCAGGCGAACUUUUUGUCAACAUUACUGGUAAAAAAGUUCUCAAAUGUUGGAUAUCAUACAAGUCCCCAAACCUUUUACCGCCAUCAUAAUAUUCAGUACUGUAUGACAGAUGACGAAGAUUUCUGGAAAAACUUUGUUGCUUGUUAACCUCUGAGGUAUACUCCAUUGUGAAGUAUAUCUCCCCCGCAGCCCAUUGAGCAAGGUCAUUGAUAAGAUCGUGCAUCACAAAUCGUGAUGUAUUGUUGCUUGAUUGCUGGAAAAAAGAUCUUGAACGUAGCUCUUGAAAGAACUUUCGACCUAGAUCUUCGUUGGGAUUCCCACUCUCUUUAUGAUCCAAGAAACCUGAAGCACUCCAUAAUAAAAUUAUCUCCUCCUCUUCAAAUUCAUAAUCCUUCGGAAACAACGAGCAGUAUGCAAAGCAUUGUUUCAAAAUUGGAGGAAGAUAAUAAUAGCUCACUGCAAGAGCUGGUAUAAUGGGACAUCUAUCUUCUGGUAAUUCCCAUAUCUUGCUACUGAGCACAUCUUCCCACACACCUCUGUCAUGUUCUCCACAUAAAAGUCCUCCCAGUGUUUUUGCUGCCAAGGGCAAGCCAUUGCAUUUGAUCACUAUCUUCUUGCCAAUGUCCUCCAAUGACUUGUGUGAACUGAAAUCUCUUGUCCCCAAAGAGUGCUGAGCAAACACAGACAGACAAUCCUCAGUGGACAAGUUUUUCAAUUCAUAAGCUUGAUCCGGCCUCAUGAUUUUUGCAACCUGUUGAUUGCGAGUAGUGACAACAAUCUUACUUCCCUGUGCGCCAGCUUCAAACGGACGGCUCAUGUCAACCCAGUCAUUGUAAUUCUCAUUCCAAACGUCGUCUAAAACAAGCAAAAAUUUCUUUUGAGAUAACUUCUUCUUCAGCUCCUCUUGAAGCUUAUUCAAGUCGUGAUCAUCCACUUUCUGGUCACUAGCAAUUGAAAGUAGGAUUGAUUUUGUAAGCCUGAUAAGAUCAAAAUCAUCAGAGACGCAAGUCCAUGCCUUGAGAUCAAAAUGGUCCUCCACUUGCUUAUCAUUGUAGACAAGCUGAGCAAGAGUGGUUUUACCCAGCCCGCCCAUACCUGUAAUAGAAAUAACAGAGAAUCCACCAUCAUUUCUUGAAUCAUCCUUCAACAACAAUUCAAAAAUUUCCUUCUUUUCUGUUUCCCUGCCAUAUACUUUGGCUUCAUUCACCAAAGAGGUUGUCUCUCGUCUUUGCCUGUCUUCUGUGCUCCUCCCCGCUGAACUUACGUUCAAACCCAGCGAGUUUUUCUGUGUCACAAUUUCUUGAAAUCUGCUGUUGAUCUCUUUGAUUUUGGACAUCAAGCCAUAAUCGAAUUGAAUAGAUUGUGGAGUAAAAGUGGUGCAGCAAGCAGGAAUGAGCUUCCGAAACUUACUUGUUCUUGUACGACUGCUACUGGGUUGAUCAUGAGCAGCAGCUGGUUCUCUAUUUCCGAGCACCAACUUCCUCCGGAAAGCCUCAGUUUGAAACUGAUCCAACAAAUCUUCAACAUCAUAAGCCAAGUUCUGAAGCUUGCCAAGCCACUUCUUCACAAACCGAUUAGUCGUCUUCUUCUCCUCAGCAUCAUCAAGCACCGCCUUGAUCAUCUCCAACAUAUUCUCCCACUCCAUUAGAUCGUCUUGGAUCUUCUCUUGGCGUGCAAAAAACAGAAUCCCCUCUGAAGCUAACUUAUUGACCAGCAAGUCAACGGACGCCGUAAGGAUUGCCUCUCCGAUGAUUGACAUUUUUUUUCUUUUUUAUUUUUGGGCAAAAGGAAGAAAGGAGCAGAAUUAUGAGUUAUGGAAAGCAGAAAGAGAAAAUUGAACGGGUGAGAAAAUGGAUAAUUAAGCAGAAUGAGUUUGUGAUUGUGAAGGGUCUGGCCCAGCAAGCUUAGUAGAAAUCACGCGUUUACACUUUAUUGACCAUUGACUAAUAAUUUGGCAAUUCACUCGUCACCACCACUUGAAAAUUCAAGGGUCACGCAAAAUACACGUAAAACGUGGCAAGUCUUUCCACUUGUUGUUCCUUGCAGUUAAGAAAAGAAAAAACAGAGCCGUAAUUAAUGACAAUUUUUAAAAUAAUAAUAAGAGAAAAACCUACAUUUUUUUUAAAUCUCAAUGCGAAUACGUAUCAUAAUGUUAUGUUCCUGUUGUAAAACGAAAUUUUAGAUAAAACAAAUUCGACUCAUUUGUUAAAGAUAUAUAUUUAGUAGAUUUCUAACAUAACUAACAAAAUGUGAUUAUUACACUAAAUGAAAUAAAAGACAGUACUACCUUUCAUAAUUUAGCAAGUUUCGCAUGGUCGUGUUUCUGAAAACAUUAUAUGGAAUCAAACAACAAGGAUACAAAGAGAAAAAUGGUAAUCAAUUAAUAUUCACUAACUGCGGUGCUGAUUAAUUUACUUAACUUGUCAUUAUUUAUAAUUAAGAAUGAGGUUCAAUCAAUUUAUUGGGAAAAAAAACAAAGAUACUUUUUUUUUUAAUUUUAAUUCUAAAAAUUUGAUUUCACUCUCUUUCGCUUUUUGACUUAUUAAAGAGACAGUAUCUCAUCUCACAAAUUGGCAAUAUUUGUUUGGUAUUGACUUAAGAAGGAAACAGAACUUUGAGUUGUGGAAAGCAAAAUGAGAAAAUUGAGCAGUAAGUGUGAAGGGUCAAGCAAAAUGCGUGUAGCAAGUCUUCCACUUGUUUAUUCCAGUAAAGUGAAAAAUAAAAGCAGAGCCCACCACCCAUUAAUAAUUUAGCAAUUCACCAAUCACCGGUCACCACCACUUGUUACCAGAUUCAAUGAAUAUAAAAUCACACCUCGACAUUUGUAGGGCCAUGCAACAUUAAUCCAGUGUCCGGGUAAACGCUGAAUAAAGUGGAAAAUGGAAUGUAUCUUACUACGAACGUCCCCUUUACAAGUCUUCAAACUCAUAAACCAAGUUAAAAUAAAUUAAAAAAAAAAACGUUUCUCUCUCUCUCUCCUUUUGCCAUAUGAUUACUUUAUUUAUUUAAUUAAUUUCCGUGCUAUAACGAAGACUUAAAAAUACACUAUAAUUUUUUAUAAUCACAAUAGUAAUUUCUACCGGCAUGUUAUAUUAUUGUCGUGUCAAAAUAAAUUAUAACAAAAUUUUAACUGAACAUAAGUUCGACUCAUUUAUUAAACAUAUAUACUUAAUAAAAUAAUAUGACGAUUAAUAUGUUAUCAAUGAUGUAGACACAACUGAAAUAACUCUAAUGUGAAAACAAAAAAAAGUCCCCGCCACCAAUAAUUCAGCAAGCUUCACUUUAUUACACGAAAGUGAAAGCAAAAGCCAGAGGCAGCCCCCACCACCAUCAAUAAUUUAGCAAGCUUCACGCGCUUGUGCUUGUCUGCAUGACGAACCGGACAUGGGUGGACCAAGCACCAUUGAAUAAUUGGAAAAAAUGAAAAAUAAAAACCAGUGUCCAGCAAAAAGAAUCCAUCUUCAUUUGUUGCUUCCUAUUCAGUACAUCUACCUAGCAUUUAAAAAAAUGGAAGUAGAAAUUAAAACUCACUCUUUUAGAUAUGGCUCAUAUAUAUUACAAGUAUCAAAAUUUAAUUAGAGUUCACAUAUUUACAAUGUGUCUAGUUUUAAUGGAGAGAUCAACUAGUCAUUAAUAAUGAGGUUUUUCUAAAUGAUUGAAUAAUGAUAUUAAUUAUUGAUAUUUACAAAAUUUCUAAGAAGUGAUAACUAAUACGUUGGGGAUAUGUAUUUGUGCGGAAUGGCAAACAUAGAGAAUAGCAAUAAAAAUGGUGGAACUUUAAUAUAAUGAAAAAGGUAAACAGUAGAAAAUUAAUAUGUAAUUCAAGACACAUUACAAAUAUUACUUUUCUUAAGACAUUAUUUGCCCCCGCCAAUUCAGUGAUACACAUGAGUUAAGCAAAUAUGUCUUUAGGAUAUAAUGAAACAUUUAUUUAUUUGCUUCCGUUGUGCAUCAACGAAAGUAAACCUGAAUACUCUUGAAUAUUGCAAGUCUGCUAGGAAUCAAUAUGUUGAUUCUGUUAAAAAACAAUGUAUUGGAUAUUUGAUGCAUAAAAAAUAUAUGUUAUUUGAUGAAAUUCAUUUUAAGAAAUAGGGGUAAGAAAAGAGUAGUGCAAGAUUAUCUUAUUCAUAUCUAAAAUUCUAAAUAUAUGAAUUUAUUUAUUAUGGUGACAUAAUAAUAAUUGUAAAUUAAAAAUAAAUUUACUAUUAAAAAAAUAAAAUUUAUUAAUAAAAAUAAGGGUUAUAUAUCUUUUUUAAAAUGUUAAGAAGUUUUAUAUCUCUUUUUUAGAUUAAAUUUUCUAUUUCCUAUUAAGCAAAACCCACGUCAAAAGUGAAAAGGAAAAACAGAGCCCACAGAAUAGAGCCCAUUACAAAUAUAAAAUCGGAGGAGCUCAUGAUCAUGCCUUUUGCUUUACAUACUAAAUUAAAUAAAAGCCAAACCAGAAUCUUGCCUUUCCUUAACAUGAUUAAUUAGGCCCUGCAUCAGAGAGAACAUGAAAGCAAUGAACCAUUUUGUUAAUCUUAAAUGUCAGGAAUAUAAUUAGCUUGGAAUAAAGUUGCAUUCUUCUCCUCUGACUGUCUCUUCAGGUUCAUUUUAAAAGUUUGAAGAGAGUUUCAAUUCUUCUACACUUUAGAAUAUCAAUGUUCUUGCUUUCUUCAAAUGUUGAAUAAAGAGAAAAAAAAAUUGUUGACUGUAGAAGGAAAAUAGAAUGCAUCCACCUUCGCUUUGGAAGUCUUCUACUUAUAAAAGCAAGCUAAAUUAAAAGAUUUUAAUCUCUCUUUUUAUUAUUAUAAGUGCACUGCAUUUUUUUUAAAUAAUCACCUAUACAAAUUUGUAAUGUAAUGAAAUAUUCAUAUUCCUGUAGUGUCGAAAUGAGAUAAAAUGAAAUUUUAAAUAACACAAUUUCGACUCGUUUGUUAAAGGUAUAUACUUAAUAAGCUAAUAACAUAAUUAACAGAACCCUAUUAUUACACUAAAUGAAAUAAAAGACGGUAGCCACCAAUAAUUACACUAGCAAGCUUCGCAUGCUCGUGUUUAAGGAACUGGACAUUGGUGAAUUAAUCACGGAUAAGAAACAAUUUCAAAAAACAAAAUGGAUACUAUACAUUUUCUUUUUUUAAAUUGUACAGAAAAUGGGACUAAUUUUCAAAUAUUUUCAAAUUCACUUAUUAACAAAAGCUAUACAAAAUGAUUUCCUUUUUAUUUUGAAAUAUUAUACGGAAUCAAAUAACAGUGAUUGAGAGAGUGUAAAGUGGUAAUUCUCCGAUUGUAUUUUCUCUCUUUUUUAAAAGGAGAUGGUGGGGUUUGGUUGUUUACAAAACUAUUGGUGUGAGGGUCUAUUUGUUUUUGUUUUCACUUUAUUAAUUAAUUACGAAGCAAACAUGUAAUCAUUUGUAAAGGGGCCACUAGCAUCGGAUCAUGUAAGAUGAAUUCGUAGGACUUAUUAAUUUUGAUGAAAAUGUAGCAUUAUUAAGUUAUUAAUUCAUUAACUUGAGGUACUAAUAUUUACUAAUUGUGGUGAUUAAUUUAUUUAACUUUGUCAUAAUUUUCAAUUGAGAAUGAAGUUCAAUCAAUGUAUAAAAAAAUAAUUUUUUUAGAUUUUUAAUUCCUAUGAUUUAAUUUCUCUCUGUUUCGAUUAUUGACGUGUUAAAAGCUUGCAGAAUAUCAUGAAAUGCUUGUAUCUCACCUCACAAAUUGGCAAAUAUCGGAAGGCUUCCAUGACGAAUUGAAAUUAAAAACAACUACCAUCGAAAUUUAAUUUUAAGAAUCUUUUUUACUUGAAAUUUUUGAAAAAAAAUUAACCAGAUUAAAUUAGAGAUAUCAACCUUAACUUAGUGUUGUGCACCACAUUGGCCACUUCUAAUUGUGAAAAGAAAUAGAACUUUUGUAUCGAUGAAACUUAUUUUAUUAGUAUUAUUCAUCAUAUGGUUAAUGGCUUAGCCGAAGGAGAAGGGGUCAGCCAAAAUAAAUAAAGUACCUUCUCAUGCAUUAACCUUUAUUAACUGUUGUAGUUAAAAUAAUUUUAAAACAAGUUAAAACAGUUCCAAUUCAAAAUCAGUAGGCUGCGAUUGGGUUGUUACACAUAUUUCUAAAUUUCAGUCUAAUUUAAUUGUGUAUGGACAAAUUAACUUUUAUCACUUCUUUUAUAUUAAUACUCAUAAAUUUCAAUCUAACUUAACAAAAAUAAUGUUCAAAUUGUCACAAAAUGUUCUUUUCUUAAAAAAGAAAAGAAAAUCAUAUAUAUAGUAGUUAAUUUUUCUUCUUCUUUACUUCAGGAUCCAACUCCGUACUCCACUUUUUUGUUGUUAUUGUACCUAGCCGUUAGAUUUUAAUUACGUUGUUUUAACGGUUUGGAUUUGUAAAUGAAUAACGACGUAGUGUUUGACUACCAUCUGAACCCACUGCAUCUAAUUGGUUUUGUGAUUUUUUGCUUUCUUCAAUAAAAAAACAGUUUAUUUUUGGUCGUCGAAACAUGGUAAGUGAGAAAGAUUAUUCUGUUUUUUUUUUUGUUAAUUAGGUUAGCAUUUAUGAUUGAGUGACUCAGAACUAUAUUUUAGAUUGAGAAUCAAUGGUUAAGAUUGUCGUUUGCUAUUUUAUCGACAAGAGAGCACUCGAUUUUAUUAAAAGGAGAAAGUCAUAAGAUUUCCUUUAUGAGAAAAUGUAUCUGAUCAUUCCUUUUUACUGGAAAAAUUAAUAUACAAAAACUUACUAAUAAAUGACAUAAUAUACAUAAAUUAUUAAUUCAUUUGAUAGUUGAUUAUCGAAUGACAUUUGAUCCAUGGGAGCAUGCAGUCUAUAAAAUAAUUCUUCUUUUUUUUUUUUUAAACAAAAAAUCGGUGAUGUUGAAAAGCAUUUCUGUAUAUUAUUAUUACUCUAAUUGGAGUGAACAUUUCAUAAAAAGAAUGCCGUAUGAAACUAAAUUAUUAAUUCGUUUGAUAGUUGGUUAUUGAAUGACAUGUGACCCACAGUAAAUAGUUAAAUUUGGCGGCAACAAUAAUUACAAGACGAACUUAAAGCAGCGCAUAGGUUUUUCUUAAAAAUACAUAAACAAUUCGAUAUUUGAAAUUCUAAUAUCUCAAUAAUAUUGAUCAUGAUUCAGUUACCAAUUAGAUCCACUUACAAUUUCUUUUUUUCUUUUUUUUGAUUUCCAAUCUUUACCAAAAGAAAAUAUUUAGUGACCCCUUUUAUCAACUUGGUUUUAUUGACUUUCUUCCAAUCAUAGAAGUGAAAAGAGAAACAGAGGCCAGCACCAAUAAGUGUUACCAGAUUCUGUAAAGACAAAAUCAGUGCCCAGCAAAAAGAAGCUAUGUUUUCGUUAUAUGCUGCUUCCUAUUUAGUACAUGCAUAUAAAGAUAUACACGUGCACAUGCAGCACAUCUAUUUAAAAUUUAAAAAACCGAAUUAGAAAUACAGGAUUUAUGGUAGAAAUACAACAGGAAUAAGAGUGAAAUUCCAAUUUUAAAAUUUGGGAAAAAUGAAAUACGAUAUUUUUUUAUGAAUAAAAUAAUUUAAUUUUUUUUAAUUCUACCAGCAAAAACCAUUAACUUAUCAAGUUUUUGGUUUCAUUUACAGUUGACAGUCGGUUUCUUAGUUUCAUUCCUUAAUUCUACAAGAAAAAAACAGAAUACUUGACAUUUUUUAUUUGACAAUUUUUAAGAAAUGUCAAACAUAUAUGACAUUUUGUGAAAAACUGAGUAAUUGUGAAAUAUAAAUGACAAUUUAUUUAAACGUCAAAUAAUUGUGACGUUUUAUUAAAUAAAUGAUAAAUAUAUUACAUUUUUAUUGAAUAAUUAUCAUUUACCUUUUCCUUUUAUUGACUUGAGAAAAAAAAAAACAAAAAAAUUGACUAUACUGCUUUUGUUUUCGUUCUUAGAACAGAUUUUAGUUUCUUUUGAGAAAAUUCAAACUCAUUCCCAUUACUUUCUUUUCAAAAAUCACCUCUCAAUUUUUCAUCAAUCACUCAAUUCCGAAUUUCAUCUCCAUUCUCUUUCGAAGAAGAAUGCACGAAGAAUUUUAGCUUGCUUUCGCUGCUUCUCGAAUAUUGGGUAUUGUUUCCUUUAGUUUAGAUAAUUUUUUUUUUAUAUCUCUCUUUCUAGUUUGAUAAUUUAGGGUUAUACUUGAAUUAAUUGUAUUUUUAAUCAACCAAGGUUGAUUUAAUUGAUUCCAAGUCUCAAUUUCCUGUUCAACAAACAAGGAACGCACAAAUAAUUUUCAUUUUCAUACUCAACUUUGAAAGAAUCAAUUUAUUUUAUCUUUGGUUAGCACACUUCUGUUCAAUUUUUGUUUAUUUAACUUAAGAUAUCUUUUUCUUUCUUUUCUUCAAGCAGAUUAUAGAUUAUAUUGAGAACAGAGCUUUCUCCUUAAUUCCGCCAAGAGCAACGUUGAUUUCAGGUGAUAAUUGAAUGUGUAAUAUUUUCAAUUGAAAUUAAUUGAGUCUCGUAAUAAUAAUAGGGAUUUGAGAUUUACAUCCUGUUGAAAUAAUUUCAGAGUGUUCUGCUAUUUGAAUGCGCAUUAAUUGUUUGAUUAAAUGUCUCUUUAAAAGAUUAUUUUUGUUUUUAGCAAACAUCUUAAUGCACUUUGCAAAUUGAAUCCAACAAGGGAAAAUUAUAGAACUGCAACAGUUUUCAAAUUGAUUGCAUAUUAGAAGUAAUGUUAAUUUAUGCUGCAACAGUUCAAUGGGCUGGGCACAAGUUUAGGACUUUAGUUGCUCAAUUAAUGAAUCCACCACUCAUCAGACUUGGAACUUAUAUCUAUUGAAUCAAUAAAAAUAGUUGAUGGAAUCAAUGCCGAAAGCUUCAUUUGAUAUUUAUUUAUAACAUCUGUUAGAUUCUGCACAAUCACAAAUAUAUAGUAGCAGAAACUAUGUUAGAGACACUGUAGUUGCUUAAUUAGUGAAAUUGUGAUCUCAUUGCCCCCUUUUUUUGGUUGAUUCUAUAAUUUUAUUAGUUGUUCUUGUGGUUGUAAACAAUAUCAAUUUCUAAUAUUAAUAAAACUGAAUGAAUAAAAUGCGAUGCAUUUGCCGGAAAGUUAAUAGUUUAAAUAUGGAUAAAUCUUGGAUGUUGAUGGAUAGAAGGUCUAUAGAAUAUGAGAACUUCAUGCUAGUCAUGCUAGUCAUCCUGAGCUUUUGAGAUGUCCAUGCCAAGCACGUCUUAGUUUAUAGGCUCAAACAAGUAUAGAAAAUGCAUGAUAGAACACAGAACUCAUAUUUUAGCAACAAUCCUCAGCUCAUUGGCCCUUAGUUCAGAAUGACAAUUCUUAUUAGCCAAAGAUUCAAAAUGAUUUUUAGUUGUUUAUAAGUAGAGCACUAGAUCAACAAAUACUUGAAGACCUGCAGCUUGGCUAUUGAACUAUACGAUGGUGGCAAUUCGAAGACUAGAAGUUGGCUCUGCCAUUCGAAGUAAGCAACGCAGCUGCCCAAAGUCUGCCAAGCCAUCAAGACUCCAUCAAGUAUACUUCAAAGCCACAUCAAGACAAUACUAAGAUACAACAUCAAUAAUAAUAACACCAAGAAAUACAUGGAGGCCAUUACAUGCUACAGCCACCCCAAUAAGAAAUUAAUAAAGACAUUCCUAGAAAGUUACAAACCCAUGCAGUAGGAAUAACUAAUUAAUUUAUACAGUUCAGUACUCGUUCCUCUGUUUCAAAUCCAAAUCCACUGGUCUACCAUUUAUUAUGACGCAAUGUAUAUGCCGAUAUUAUCCUCCCUCCGUUAUGUACCUUUCAAUUUAGUGAGGUUUAGACAGGGGUUCCAGAUUUGGUAAAUCAACAAUCACCAGAUAUGAUAGAGCGGCCGGAAGAGGAAGCAUGGUUCCUAAUCCUAAUCUUGAUUUAGAGCAGAUUAGGUAACAUGUGGCAUUCUACAUUCCUGCAAUGCUAUUUCUUGUUAUGGCAGCGGCAUUCUUGGUCAUGGCAUCACAAGCAAAUGCUUUGAUUUGAAGACUUGCUCGGCUAUGAAAAAUAAGGAGAGCAAAGGUAGUUAAUCUUGGUGUGGUCAACAGUUUAAUGGGGGUACUAAGAAAAAUAAAGAUAAUAUAAGGAAUGUUGUUGAGGAGUAUUUUGAUAUUUACAAAAGUGUUCAAAGUAAAAAUUGAUUUCUUAAAACCCAUUAGCUAGCACACAUAAUAAUGGGGAGAAAAUUUUAGACUACGAAUAGUCCCACCCAUUUAAUAAUAUUCUUCAAUCAAUUAUGUUUAGUUCAAAAAAAAAAAAAAAAACCCAUCUCUUUAUUACUUUCUAACUAUUCAUAUUAAUGUGUUAAUAAUUAUGAAGAACCGGUGUAAUUUAUGUGAUGUAGGAAGCACUUUAGGCAAAAUCAUCUGAAUCUCAAAAUUUCGUGAUAUUGUGCCAAAUAUCCAAAACAGAGCUUCCUACAUUGCUAUAGCAGUUUUUAAAAGUUGAGGACUCCAAAUAUCCAAUAACUGAUAAAUUGUGUUAAGAAAUAUAAAUAUUAAUGGUGACGACACAUAUGUAUGGAAUUCCUCUGUUUUGAGUUUGACUAAAACAACCUGAAUAAUUUCAAACAAUCCAUCAGCCCAAAGUCCUUGAGAGAUUGAACUGGAUUUCAGUGCAUCACAUUUUGAAAUUGAAACUAACAUUAAUUAGAAAGGCCGAACAGCCUCUGUUUUUUACUAUAAUACAAAAUGGGAAGUCAAAAACCAAUUCAAGGAACUCUCCUGUUUUUGACUGAACAUACAUAAUCCGAACAAUUUACAAUUAAAUAAAUCGUCCAAAAUCUCCUUUAGUCCAACCCCCAUUUCCAUGGUUUAAUAGAAUAUCAUAAAGGUAUCCAAUACAGUGAAAUUAACGUUCAGCUCAUGAAGUUUCCGUUAUAUAUAUUGAAAAAGAAAUUAAUAAAAGAAAUUGAAAACCAAUUGACACUGGAUCAUGUAAGAUUGUUAGUUGUUAAUUAUGAUGGAAAUAUACACUUGGUCUAUCAAUUACCAUCUAGCUAAUGCAUGUGCACUUUCAUUUGUGUCUAUCACUGAAGAGUAGAGUUACUUGAUUGAAUAGUAUCAUAUCACAAAAACUCAAAACUCAAUUUCAUUGCGCGAGCAUACCACGCCAUAUGUAACUCAAAAGUGCAAUAACAUUGAACAUUCAGCUAGCUAGCUUAUACUAAUUAAUUAAUACGACUACUAGUUCUUUAUGAUUAAUUAAAAGAUAAAAUAUUUGACAAUCACGAAACAUUAUUCUAUCACUAAAGAUUAGAGCUUCCUACAUUGUUACCCAAACUCUUUUAUAUCUCCCAAACGUUAUUAGAGUCCCACAUUUGUGGGCACAUCAUUAAGUAAAAUGUGCCAAUUAGGAAGAGCUAGCUUUUUUGUUCUGUUUUCUCGAAUGCGUUGCAACUUGCAGGAAAUUUAAACCGUCAACACCUGCAGGAAAUUUAUAUAUAUUCUGUCAGCACUUGCAUACAUUGCAAUUUUCAACGAAUUCCAAAUCUUCAGAUCUUGAAUUAGCUGGACUGACGUCCGACCAACUCCACUGGCUAAAACAAAGGAUUAAUUUUUGAGAAAUUAUAAAGAAAUUAAUACAAGUAAAAUGAACCUAUUCAUUUGAUUUGAUAUAAUUGGCUAAGGGUGAUUUCGAUAACGUUUUCAAAGAAGAUAUAGAACAAAGAUCAAAAUGAAAAAUAAGUAAUUUGAUCAGUCCAUGCAAAAAAGGCGCAAGCUUCGCCCACACAUGCAUGUGUCUGACUAACAGGACAUGGCUUGGAGCAAGGAUCAAUGGACAAGUUUGAGGUUUAUGAAAUAUUGAGAAAAUAGACAAAUAAUAAAGCCACUGCAAGUUAAGCAGAUCAAAUAAACAGAACAAAGGAAAUAAAUGAUCAAUUUAAUUCUUUGUGAAAUGGCCACAGGCCACAGCAACAACGAAAAUAUGUCUACAUGCAGCAUUACAUCAACAUUUGAUCAUCUAUCAAUUUUCAUGAUAUUAGAUUAGAAACAUUGAGUUCAUAAUUUUAUGUAAUUUCAUGUACUAGAUAUAUAUAAUUGAUUGGAGUUAGUUUAAAAUAUAAAGAAAGAGUAAUGGGGAGUGAUGUCAAUGUGGCAUUUGAUGAGUAAAGAUAGACAACAAAUAUUGAUCAGGUAAUAAUGAAAUAUGUAUUUACUGAAAAAUAUUGGCAAUAAAAUGAUGCUAUAAAAAUUUAAUAUUAGUUGCAAGCGAAUAAAUUGACAAUUAAAAUUAAUAGAUAUAUAGGCAAUGCUUUAGGUUUAUUUUAUCAUUUCACACCAUUUUGCAACUACAUUUUAAUUAGAAGUUCAAUUAAUUUUGACCAAAGACUCUAGAGAAUGUCAAAAAGAGAUAUGAUUUUUGUAUACCAAAAAAAAAAUAGAAAUGAAAUAAGUCAAAAUCAAUUACAAGAACAACAAUAAAAGCAUAUUUUAUAAAAGCCACAAAUACAUAAUAAGAGUUUAGUUUUGAGUUACAUAAUUAUUAAUGGGUAAAAGUCCAUUUAGUCACUGUAUUUUAAGAUUAGUGUCCAUUUAGUCCCUGUAUUUUUAAAAAUGUCUCGAAACAUUCCCGUCGUUAAAGUAUUGAUACCCUACUGUUACUUUUUAUUUUUUUGACUUAUUUUUACAUUAUUACCCUUUUAUAAUAAUUUUUUUGUCUGAACAUUAAUAAAAAAAAUUAAAUUACCAAUUUAAUCCUAGAAAAUUAAAAAAAUUAUAUUAAAUUUUUUUUCAAGCACCAUUUGCACACUUGGUAGUUUGCAUACAAUUUUUAACAAUAUAAUUUUUGACAAUUAGAAAUUAAUAUAAUUUUUUUUUAUUUUUAGGGUUAAAUUGGUAAUUUAAUUAUUUUCUUUUUAUUAAUGUCCAAAAAAAAAUUAUUAUAAAAGGGUAAUAUUGUAAAAGUAAGCUAAAAGAAAUAAAAAGUAACGGUAAUAGUAUCAAUACUUUAACAGCAGAGAUGUUUCGAGGCAUUUUUAUAAAUACAUGGAUUAAAUGGAUACUAAUUUUAAAAUAUAAGGACUAAAUGUGCUUUUACCUACUAUUGAUUUAUAUAGUAAGAGAGUUUUAUAGAAAUGUAGGAAUUUUUAAAAGAGUUUUGCUAGAGCAAAAAGUUUAGUUUGGUCUAGUUUGUGGAGGUUUAAGUAGUUGAAAGCCGUGCAAAUGAAGGAAACAUAAACUUCUAAUUUUUUACAAAGUAAUGGCUAAAAUAUUUGAAAAGUUUGAGAUUUUAAAAAGGCUGGGAAAAUAGACAAAUAGUGACGACACUACAAGUUGGCAGAGCAAAUAAACAGAGGAAAACAGGGCAGAUAAUUACCAUUAUACCUAUAAUUUUUAUUUUUUCCAAAAACAAAUGUUGCGAUUUUUUUUUCCAAAAAAGAAGCACAGUCUGCUAUUACCACUAAAGAAUGUUAGCUACUUUAUAUAAGCAUAUGUCUAAUUACCAAAUAAAUUCCACUUUAACAAAGAAUAAAAGUUAAUUUCAUUGAUGGCCCGUGUUGUGCUUUCUUUUUUUAUUAUUUUUCCUUUUAGAUGUUGAAGUUACUUUGUAAACUUCUCCAAGCGAAUUAAAAAAUUUCCGCUUACUCUAGGAUCUUUUCAAUCGGCCUGCAAUUUGUAUUCUUGUCUGUAAGAUUGAUUUUUUUCUUUAAAAAAAUUUAAAAAGGGAUGAGAAAUCUUACCCACUAAAUACCAACUUUGAAUUUUGUUAUUAUUCAAACUUUGUAUUUCUUGCUCAAAGCCAGUUAAACUGUGUCUAACUGUCAUGCAGGUUCCAUUUUUACUUGAUUAACUGUAUAUACAAAACUAAAUCACCUGAGCCUCUGGUUUCACUAUUUUCCAACUAGAAACUUAAACGCAGAAUUGAUGGUAUUGGAGUUCCUUAUUUAUUUUAUGUACUAUUGGCCGCUAGGUAGCUUGGUCAUAUACGUGUAUGGGGAUGUCAUGUUAGGAAAUUGGUGGGUAAAGCAGACACGCAGCUACAAUAAAAUUGGAAGAAAAUAAAGAACAAGCACAAAAGAGAAUACCAGAAAUUACGUGGUUCGGCUUUUAGCCUACGUCCACGGGCGAAGACAGGAGGAAAUAUUAUACUAGUGAAAAGGAGUUACAAGUAUUGUAGUAUUUUAGCUCACUACCCAAAACCCCAAUACACCCAAACUCUCAAAUCACUAAGCACACAAAAUUCUUUGCUCUUGCAAGAAUUACUUCUCUCAACUCUCAAUUCUCUCUACAAAAAUUGCCUCUCAAGAUUGGAAUGAAAAAUGAGUUAGGGAGCUCUUCCUUUUAUAGCCAAAAAAAUGGCUAUUAAAUUAAUAUAUAUAUGUAUAUAUUUCAAAUGUUGUUGCCAACUUCUUCUUUUUCUCCAUUUGGAUGGCACCAUUUUCUUUGGCCGGCUGCACAUUUUCUUUGGCCGGCUUGUCAAAACCAACUUGAAUUGGUUUUGUGGCCACCGGCCUUUGACAUUUCUCCCACUUGGAGAUUUGAUUGAAAAUCAAUCAAUCUCCACAUCAUCCUUUCUGCUUCGCCAUAAUCAUGUUGCCUACGUUUUCGUUAGGCCACUAAAGGAUCUACUCCAGACAAACUUAUCAGUAUUGAUUGGCUUGGUCAAAACAUCUACUAGGUUCUCUUUGGUAUGGAUUUUCUGCAAAUCCACACUUCCGUCUUCCACUACUUCUCGUACGAAGUGAUACUGAACUCCUAUGUGCUUUGUCCUGGAAUGAAAGGCUGGAUUCCUUGCAAUGUGCAAGGCACUCUGACUGUCACAAAACACAGAAAUUUUCUGUUGUUUGUGCCCGAGCUCCUCCAAUAGCCUUUGUAUCCAAAUAGCUUCCUUGCAAGCUUGUGUAGCUGCCAUGUACUCUGCUUCUGUUGUAGAUAAUGCCACAACGGUCUGCAGUUUCGAAACCCAGCUUACAGCUGCUCCCGCAAGUUCAAACACAUAACCAGUAGUGGAUUUCCUUUUAUCAAGGUCUCCUGCAAAAUCUGAAUCCACAUAACCCCUGACAGUAAACUCUGAUCCUCCAUAACAUAAUGCAACAUCUGAGGUUCCUCUGAUGUAUCUCAGAAUCCUCUUCACAGAUAUCCAAUGCUCUUCACCAGGAUUCGCCAUGUAUUGACUGACUGCUCCCACUGCUUGUGCAAUGUCCGGUCUUGUACAUAUCAUAGCGAACAUUAAACUUCCCACUGCUGAUGCAUACGGUACUCGAGACAUCUCCUUCCUCUCUGCUUCAUUGCUAGGACACAUACUUGAGGAUAAUUUGAAAUUAACAGGAAGUGGGGUAGAAAUUGACUUACAAUCUUGCAUGUUGAAGUGUCGCAAGAUUUUCUUCAAAUAAUUCUUCUGCGAAAGCCAAAUCUUCUUGUUAUUUCUGCCUCGGUGAAUUUGCAUCCCUAGAAUCUUGUUUGCUGGUCCCAAGUCCUUCAUUUCAAACUCCCUAUCCAACUGUGCCUUUAAUUCUUGGAUUCGAUCUUUGUUGGGACCUGCUACCAACAUGUCGUCCACAUACAACAGUAAAAUAAUGAAAUCAUUAUCUUCAAACCUCUUGUAAUAUGCACAAUGGUCUGAACUGAGUCUGUUGUAUCCAAGGCUCAUGAUGAAGGAAUCAAAUCUCUUAUACCAACACCUCGGCGCCUGUUUGAGACCGUAAAGAGAUUUGUUCAACUUGCAAACCAAGUUCUCCUUUCCUGUUUCUGCAAAACCUUCUGGUUGAAGCAUAUAUAUUUCUUCUUCAAGUUCUCCAUGAAGAAAUGCAGUUUUCACAUCUAAUUGCUCAAGAUGUAGGUCAAAUGUAGCACACAUCGCCAAGACUAUUCUGACUGUUGUGAGUCGAACCACGGGCGAAAAUAUCUCGUUGAAGUCAAUACCUUCUUUCUGAGCAUAUCCUUUCACCACCAAUCUUGCACGAUAUCGCUCCACUUGGUCAUUGCCAUCACGCUUGAUCUUGUAGACCCAUUUGUUUCCAAUGGCUUUUCUUCCACGUGGUAGUGGUACAAGUUCCCAUGUCUUGUUCUUGUGUAGAGCUUCAAUUUCUUCCUGCAUUGCUGUCAUCCACAAAGCAAUAUCUGAGCUUUCUAAAGCUUUAUGGAAAGUUGAUGGCUCUCCAUCCUCCGUUAGAAGACAGUACGCAACGUUGAUCUCUGUGACAUACUCCGAGUGCCACGUUGGUGGUCGUCUCUCACGAGUUGACCGACAAACUUCUGGAGCCUCGGACUCGACUGGUUCUUGUUCCUUGUGCUCUGGUGCUGCUUCAGAAGAAUCUGAAUCUUCUAGAUUAUUUUCCACAUAUACUGGCACGGUCUCUGACUUUUCUUUUGUAGUGCUAUCAUCCUCAUCUCUCAUUUGCAGUUGAUCUUCUACAAAGAUAACAUCUCUGCUGAUGACGAUCUUGUGGGCAGUGGGGUCCCACAACGAUACCCCUUUACUCCAUCAGCAUACCCCAAGAAGAUACAUCUUCUAGAUUUUGGAUCUAGCUUUGUUCUUUCUUGGGCAUUGUACAUCACGUACACAGGACAUCCAAAUGCAUGUAGGUAGGAAUAAUCAGCUGGCUUUUCAGUCCACAUUUCCAUCGCUGUCUUCAGCCCAAUAGCUGUAGAUGGCGAUCGAUUUACUAUAGAACAUGCAGUUGGCUGCUUCUGCCCAGAAUGAAUUGGGUAGACUAGCAGUCCUCAACAUAGCUCUUAUUCUUUCUGUAAGAGUUCUGUUCAUCCGCUCUGCCACUCCGUUUUGUUGAGAAGUGUAUGCUACCGUGAACUACCUCUGAAUACCUUCUUGCUUACAGAAAGCAAGAAACUCGCCGUCUGUAUACUCUCCACCAUUAUCUGUCCUCAAGCACUUGAUCUUUUUACCAGAUUCAAGUUCCACCCGCGCUUUGUAUUCUUUAAACAAAGGAAAUACAUCUGACUUUUUCUUAAUUGGAUACACCCAACAUCUUCUGGAAUAAUCAUCAAUGAAAGUCACCAUGUACUUUGCACCUCCCAUGGAUAUAUCUGGUGAUUCCCAAACAUCAGAAUGAAUCAAGUCUAGAAUGCAUUUACUUCUAGCAAUAGAUCUACUAAAUUUUAAUCUAUGCUGCUUACUUGUAACACAAUGCUCGCAAAAUGGUAAACUUACCGAUUUGAGCCCCGGAAGCAAUUUUCGCUUAGAGAGAAUCUUCAAGCAUUGUUCUGACAUGUGGCCAAGUUUGAGAUGCCACAUCAUCGUUGAUUCUUCUCCAUUUGACGCGACACACGCAUCAGCCUCCUGUAGUGUUUCUCCUCUAAGCAUGAAUAGAUUAAAACCGAUCUUUUCUGCUUUCAUCAAUACAAGCGCGCCUUUAACGAUCUUCAUAAUUCCAUUCUCCACAUGAGUUUUGUACCCAUGACAAUCCAUUUGUCCCAAAGACAAUAGAUUUUUCUUCAGGCCGUUGACAUAUCGUACCUCCCCAAUUGUGCGAAUUGUACCAUCAAACAUUUUUAUUUUGAUAGUACCAAUACCAGCGAUCUCCAAGGCAUGAUCAUCUCCCAUAUAUACAGAUCCUCCUGAGAUAGGUUCAUAUGUGUGGAACCAUUCUCUCCUAUAGGUCAUGUGCCAGGUAGCUCCUGAGUCUAUAAGCCAGACAUCAGAAAGUCGUUUUCUGCCUUCUGAAAUAGUUGUUGCCUCGCUGUAAAGAAUUUCGCCAUCAUCCGAGGUACUUGCUACACAACCCUGAGCAUUUGAUGACUCAGGUUCUUUGCCCUCUCUUUUCUUCUGGUUACUCCAACACUCUUUCUUGACGUGCCCUCUCUUGCCACAGUUGUAGCAUUUAACAUUCUUCUUACUUCUGGAUUUUGAUCUACCAUGAUUUUGACUCCCACUGGGGCCACGUUCCGUUGAUCUCCCUCUUGUCACCGAUAGCGCUUCUGCUUGCUGCGAACUUGCUUGUCUGUUUUCCUUAUUUUUCCGCCUGCUCUCCUCAUUUAAUACUGAGGUUGCAACAUCGUCGAAAACUAGACUAUCCACUGGAUUGUUGUUCGUCAGGUUGAUGAUGAGUUGAUCAUACGAAUCUGGUAGACUUUGAAGUAGAAGCUCUGCACGUUCAUUUUCCUCUAUAUUAUGACCCAACAUUGUGAGUUGUGAAAAUAGAGUCUUCAAUGUGUUGAUGUGGUCGGUCAUCAUUGUAGAUUCCGCCAUUCGAAGAGUAUAGAGUUUUCUCUUCAAGAAGAUUUUGUUGUGUAGUGACUUGGCCUCGUACAAUUUUGUGACAGUAUCCCAUAUUUCCUUCGCCGUAUUUUUCUCUGCCACACUGGAUAAUACUCCGUCUGCAAGUGCCAAGUGUAGAUCAGAAAUGGCGUUGCCGUCUACCUCGUUCCACUUGUCAUCAGUUAUCUCCAUGGGCCUUUCUCCAAUUGCUGCCAAGCAAUUAUUUUUCCUCAAUACAGCUUUCAUCUUCAUUUUCCACAACGAAAAAUUAUUUCCGUUAAACUUCUCAAUUUCAUACUUUGCCGCCAUUUUGUUGAUAAAUACCGCACACAAGCUAGUGUACCACCUUGAAUAGUUGUGAGUAUGUGUGAGAAUGCACACCAGGAAAGUUCCCAGGAAAGACUGGAGGGGUCACAAUGGUCCCACUUAAAACCCAGACUCCUUAAGCUCUUAUCGCCUUUGUGACAGAACUUUCCUAGACAUGUACAAAACCACACAGUUGCUUUACUCACACCACUAUUCCCUGCUUUGCACCGCAAAAUUCUUGGAUCGCUUCCACCGUUUCACGUGAAUAGUACCGUAUACGUGAAUAGUGCCGUAUACGUGAACAGUAACUGACUCCAAAAAUAUAACCAAUAGCUCUGAUACCACUGUUAGGAAAUUGGUGGGUGAAGCAGACACGCAGCUACAAUAAAAUUGGAAGAAAAUAAAGAACAAGCACAAAAGAGAAUACCAGAAAUUACGUAGUUCGGCUUUUAGCCUACGUCCACGGGCGAAGACAGAAGGAAAUAUUAUACUAGUGAAAAGGAGUUACAAGUAUUGUAGUAUUUUCGCUCACUACCCAAAACUCCAAUACACCCAAACUCUCAAAUCACUAAGCACACAAAAUUCUUUGCUCUUGCAAGAAUUACUUCUCUCAACUCUCAAUUCUCUCUACAAAAAUUGCCUCUCAAGAUUGGAAUGAAAAAUGAGUUAGGGAGCUCUUCCUUUUAUAGCCAAAAAAAUGGCUAUUAAAUUAAUAUAUAUAUAUGUAUAUAUUUCAAAUGUUGUUGCCAACUUCUUCUUUUUCUCCAUUUGGAUGGCACCAUUUUCUUUGGCCGGCUGCACAUUUUCUUUGGCCGGCUUGUCAAAACCAACUUGAAUUGGUUUUGUGGCCACCGGCCUUUGACAUGUCAUGGGGCCUAAAAAAUAAAGGUGAAAAUCAGUCACAAAUCUGAAGUGAAAAACAGUAACUAGAACAGAAUCUAUGUUUUGAUGUCUUUAGUUUAUAGGCUCAAACAAUUAAUAGUAUAGAAAAUGCAUGAUAUAGCACAGAACUCAUGUUUUAGCAAUAAUCCUAAGCUCACUGGCCCUUAGUUCAGAAUGACAAUUCUUAUUAGUCAAAGAAUCAAAAUGAUUUUUAGUUGUUCAUAAGCAGAUCACUAGAUCAACAAAUAAUUGAAGACUGGCUUGGCUAUUGAACCAUACGCGGCAAUUCGAAGACUGAAACUUAACUCUGCCGUUCGAAGUAAGCAACUCAGGUGCCCAAAGGCCGUCAAGCCAUCAAGACAAUAUGAAGAUACAACAUCAAUAAUAAUAACAUCAAGAAAUACAUAGAGGCCAUUACAUAUUACACCUAUCCCAAUUAGAAAUUAGUUAAUACAGUCCUAGCUCCUCUGUUUUAAAAGAAAUUUACAAACCCAUGCAGUAGGAAUAAUUAAUUAAUUUAUACAGUUCGGUACUCAUCCCUCUUCUGUUUCAAAUCCAUAUCCACUGCUCUGCCAUUUAUUACUACGCAAGGUAUAUGGGUUAGCAAGUGCCGACAUUGUCCUCCAUUCUUUGUGUGCCUUUCUUCUAUCAAGGGACAACCCAAGAUCUCUAAUCGCAAGAAAAAUAUUUCAGAGUAAAAAGUGAUUUCUUAAAAUCUAUUAGCUAGUGCACAUAAUAAAAGGGCAUUCAUGGUAAAUUUUAGAUUACAAGUAGUCCAACCUUUUAAUAAUAUUCUGCAAUCAAUUCCGUUUGUUUUAAAAUAAAAGAAAUCCAUCUCUUUAUUACUUUCUAAUUAGUCAUAUUAAUGUGUUAAUAAUUAUGAAGAACCAGCGUAAUUUAUAUGAUGUAGGAAACCCUUUAGGCAAAAUAACCUGAAUUUUUUAGAGUAGCGGCUAGACAUAUUGGGCAUAACCUCAGUUUCUGUUACUUCUUUGACCCUGCCUAAGCUCUUUUAAGGGCUAAUAUCAAAAUUUCGUGAUAUUGUGCCUACAGAGCUUCCAAUUCAAGGAGCUCCCCUGUUUUUGACUGAAACAUAUGUAAUCCGAACAAUUUGUAAUUAGAUAAAUCAUUCAAAAUCUCCCUCAAUCUAACCCACAUUUCUAUGGUUUAAUAACAUAUCACAAAGGUGCCUAAUAUAAUGAAAUUAGCAUUAGUUCACGAGAUUGCCAUUAUAUAUAUUGAAAAAGAAAUUAAUACAAGAAACUGAAAAUUAAUUGACACUGGAUCACGUCGUGUUGUUAGUUUGAUUAUGAUGAGAAUAUAAUCUUGGUCUUUUAAUUACCAUCUAGCUACCGCAUGUGCACUAGUUUCAUUUGUGUCUAUCACUAAAGAGUAGAGUUGCUUGAUUUGAACAGUAUCAUAUCAUAGAAACUCAAAACUCAAUUUCGUUGCCCGAGCAUACCAUGCCAUAUGUAGCUCAAAAGUGCAAUAACAUUGAACAGUCAGCUAGCUAGCUUUUACUAAUUAAUUAAUACGACUAUCAGUUAUUUUUUAUUAAUUAAAAGAGAAAAUAUUUGACAAUCGUGAAAACAACAACAAUUCACUCCAAUAAACAACAUAAUAAACACAUGAUAUAUAUUACAAGUCUUUUUAUGAUGUAGAUUAGAAGGGAAAAUACGAAGGACAUAUUAUAUAUUAUAUAUGAUUGAAUUUAAUCCAUGAUAAUUAGACAAAAUAACACUAAUCUAGCUAACUAAUCCAACCAUCAUAAUAAUUUGAUUUUCAUUAUUUUAUUGUGUCCAAUCAUGCUAAUUUAAUAAGAAAAACACAGAACACUUGAGGAUUUAGAUAUUCAACAACUUUGGCCAAGUUUGAAAAAAAUUAGAGCUUCCUUCAUGCUUUGUGUUCUUAUGUUACACAUGAUCAUAUUAUGUUACAUUUGACAGAAAACUGAAAAUUAUUGAAAAAAAAAAAUCUUAGUUAACACAUAAUCAAAAUGAGAGAAUAAUGCACACACAUCACAACAAUGUUUCAUUCAUUUUGAAUCUAUAUUUACAAAACUUGUAUCCGAUGGUUUACAUUUGUUUAAUCUAACGGCUAUGACGUGUACUGUCAAAACGCUACAGCUGCCAUCUCUGUUUGUCCUUGUUGCAUCCUUGAUCUUAUAUUAUCCUGGAGAUUAUUGAAUGUUCUUCUCAUUCUCAUGUGCUCGAGGGUCCUUUCUUGAGACAUUUCAGCAAACACCUGAUUCAUCCUAUUAAACAUCAGCAUCAUUAAUCAGUAAAUGAUGUAAGGUAGCCCUGUUUUGAGAAGUCAACAUAAAUCAGUCACCUUAGAUUUUCUCAGUCUCAGAGCACAACGGGUGAUGAUUUGAUGAAAAAUGUUAAUAUGCACGCAUCCCCUGAAUUAGCUAGAGCUGGUUGUCAUUUUCUUCUUUCUUUUGGUACUGUUUUAGAUUUUUAAUCAAUCAGAUUCAGCUGCAUGUUUGCUUUUAGUCCAAACCAAAAUAAGAUAUUAAGUACUUUUGCCAGAAUAGACGCAACCAAAAUUCUAUGGGAUCUGUAGUUCCUAGUUCAUGCAGAAGCGGCCGAAUGCUUCCGGCAAUCAGGAGCAGUGGUCACCCAAAGUAAAAGACUUUCUCUUGUAUUAACCUUUGCUAGCCGUCGAAGUUAAAAAAUUUUUUUGAACAAGUUAAAACAGUUCCAACUCAGAAGUAGUAGUGCCCAAUUGGGUUGUUAUAAAUAUUUCGGAAUUUCAGUCUAAGUUGAUUUGUUUAAUUAUGUAUGCACAAACUAGCUUGACCACUUCUUUCAUAUUGAUACCUAUAAAUUGCAACCUUAUUUUACGUUGAUGCACAAUCUAACUUAACAAAAACAAUAUUCAAAUUGUCACAGAAUGUUUUCUUCUUAAAAUAUAUAUAUAUAUAGUAGUUAAUUUUUCUUAUUCUUCACUCCAGGAUCCAGCUCCAUACCCCUCUUUUUUGUCGUUAUGCUGCUCAGCCGUUAGAUUUUAAUUAUGUUAAUCUAACGGUUGAGAUUUGUAAAUGAAUAAUGAAGUGGUGUUUGGCUACUAUCUGAGCCCAUUGCAUCUAUUUGGUGUUGUGAUUUUUCGCUUGACUAGUUCUGAAAAUAUCGGCAGCCAUCGACGGCAAAUCUGAACAAAGGCAACAUGAGGUGAUCGUGGUGAAAAUGUUUUUUGGCAUGCGAAUCUAAUGACUUUCGAAUACGUUCAUUCAAAUAUUAAAUGCAAUUCAGGCAAAUAGAAGCUUGGUUGAUUGAUUGCUCUUCAUGUGAAAUUCUACCUAAUGGCUAUCCUUUUAAUGGUUUAUAUUGUCUUAUAUGCAAAUUAAAUUCGGAAUUCGGAUGAUAAUAAUCUUCAUUUAGAACAGAUUAGGUAACAUGUGGCAUUCUACAUUCUUGCAAUGCCAUUUCUUUUUAUGGCAGCGCCAUUUUUAAAACGGCAUCGUUUUGUCCAUUAAGAUGUUUCAACUUGUCCCGGGCUGGACAUAUGACUCACUUAAUGAUAACAAAACGGCGAGGCAUGAUAUGAAGGUGUUUUGGCUAAAGGCUUAAGUUCUGCAUGUGACAAGCACGUGAGAGAAGAAUCAAGUUAGUUAUAAGUUGUUAUACACGUGGCUGGAUCUGGUGCAAUCUGGGGUAAUGAACACCCGUUAUAUAAGCUGAGCUUUCAGGCAGUUUCAGCAAGAUGUAAAGAGCUUCUAGUGAGAAUGAAGAGAUAGAAAAAGUAUCAUUUUAUUCCUUGUUAGUUUCUCCGUGUGAGCUCUGUAAAAUAAUUAACCCUAAAUAAUUUGUCCUGCAUCACCAAACUCCGGAUUUUACAAAGCACGCAUAAAGGAUAAUAGACACGUUUGAGGUUUUUUUUUUUAAAGAAAAAAGAUAAUGAAAAUAGACAAAUAAUGAAGACACAAGUUAAGCAGAGCAAAUAAACAGAGGAGAAUGAAUUAAAUACUAUCCUUGAGAACUCAAUUCUUUAAUAAACUCAAUUUUUUAAAUGUAAUUUUUUUUGGGGCUUAAACUCAUGUCAUAAACUGUAGUCUUUAAUUUGGGCUUUGUUGUAUCAAUUUUUUGGAGUUUAUCUUGUUUUAUUUUUUCGUUUUUAUAGUGCAAGAUUUUCGGUGGAGAUAAAUCAGGAAUAAGAGUGAAAUCCCAAUCUUAAAAUUUGGAAGAAAUGAAAUGCGAUUUGUUUUUUCAUGAAUAAAACAAUUCAAUUUUUUGUUAGCACUUGCGUAUGCUGCCAGUUAAUUACACCGUCAACACCUGCGGGAAAUUUAUAUAUUUUCUGUCAGGACUUGCAUACGUUGCAAUUUUCAAUGACUUCCAAAUCUUCAUAUCAUGAAUUAGCAGGAUUCACGUCCGACCAACUCCCCGCGGCUAAAUCAAAGGAUUAAUUUUUGAGAAAUUAUAAAGAAAUUAAUGCAAGUAAAGUGAGCCUAUGCAUUUGAUUUGAUAAUUGGCUGAGGGUGAUUUCGAUAACGUUUUCAAAGAAGAAAUAGAACAAAGAUCAAAAAGAAAAAACAAGUAAUUUCAGUCGAUGGAAGAAAUGAGCAAGAUUCGCACAUGCAUGCAUGCGUCUGACUAACAGGACAUGGCUUGGAGCAGGGAUCAAUGGACAAGUUUGAGGUUUAUGAAAUAUUGGGAAACAGACAAAUAAUAAAGCCAAUCCAAGUUAAGCAGAUCAAAUAAACAGAGGAAAUAACCGAUCAAUUCUUUGUGCAGUGGCCACAGCAACAGCGAAAAUAUGUCUGCAUGACUACAUUAAUUAAUCCUACUAUCACAUGCAGCAUUACAUCAACAUUUGAUCAUCUAUCAAUUUUCAUGAUAUGAGAUUAGAAAUAUUGAGUUCGUAAUUUCGUGUAAUUUCAUGUACUAGAUAUAUAUAAUUGAUUUGAGUUAGUUUAACAUCUAAAGAAAGAGUAAUGGGGAAUGAUGUCGAUGUGGCAUCUGAUGAAUAAUGAUAGACAACAAAUACUGAUCAUGUAAGAAUGAAGUCUGUAUUUACUGAAAAAUAUUUGGCAAUAAAAUGAAGAAUAUUUGAUUUUUUUAUUUUUUAUUUUUAUAUCUCCCAAACAUUAUUAGAGUCCCACAUUUGUGACACAUCAUUAAGUAAAAUGUGCCAAUUAGGAAGAAUACUUGACAUUUUUUAUUUUACAAUUUUUAAGAAAUAUCAAAUAUACAUGACAUUUUGUGAAAAAUUAAGUAAUUGUGAAAUAUAAAUGACAAUUUAUUUAAAUGUCAUAUAAUUGUGACGUUUUAUCAAAUAAGUGACAAAUAUAUAAUAUAUUACAUAUUUAUGGCAUAAUUAUCAUUUAUAUUUUCCUUCUAUUGACUUAAGAAAAAAAUUUAAAAACUCACUAUUACCGCUUUUGUUUUCGUUCUUAGAACAGAUUAGUUUCUUUUGAGAAAAUUCAAACUCAUUCCCAUUACUUCCUUUUCAAUAAUCACCUCUCAAUUUUUUCAUCAAUCACUCAAUUUCGACUUUCAUAUCCAUUCUCUUUCGAAGAAGAACGCACGAAGAAUUUUAGCUUGCUUUAGCUGCUUCUCGAAUUUCAGGUAUUGUUUCCUUUAAUUUUGAUUUUUUUUUCUUCUCUCUUUCUAGUUUGAUAAUUUAGGGUUAUAGUUAAAUUAAUUGUAUUUUUAAUCAACCUAGAUUGAUUUAAUUGAUUCCAAGUCUCAAUUUCCUGUUCAACAAACAAGGAACGCACAAAUAAUUUUCAUUUUCAUUCUCAAUUUUGAAAGAAUCAAUCAAUUUAUUUUAUCUUUGGUUAGUACACUUCUGUUCAAUUUUUGUUUAUUUAACUUAAGACAUUAUUUUCAUUCUUAUCUUCAAGCAGAUUAUAGCGUUGCUCCUCUCAUUGAUUAUAUUGAGAACAGUGCUUUCUCUUAAUUCCGCCAAGAACAACGUUGAUUUCAGGUAAUAAUAAUAAUAGGGAUUUGAAGUUUACAUCCUGUUGAAAUGAUUUUAGAGUGUUCUGCUAUUUGAAUGCGCAUUAAUUGUUUGAUUAAAUGUCUCUUUAAAAGAUUAUUUUUGUUUUUAGCAAACAUCUUACUGAGAUGCCUCUCGUAAUAGUAUUACCGUAAUGUAUUUUGCUUCAUUUUGGUCUGUUUAUACACUUUAACCAGGGAAAAUUACAGAACUGCAACAGUUUUCAAAUUGAUUGCAGAUUAGAAGUAAUUUUAAUUUAUGCUGCAACAGUUCAAUGGGCUGGGCACAAGUUUAGGACUUUAGUUGCUCAAUUAAUGAAUCCACCACUCAUCAGACUUGGAACUUAUAUCUAUUGAAUCAAUAAAAAUAGUUGAUGGAAUCAAUGCCGAAAGCUUCAUUUGAUAUUUAUUUAUAACAUCUGUUAGAUUCUGGACAAUCACAAAGAUAUAGCAGCAGAAACUAUGUUGGAGACACUAUAGUUGCUUAAUUAGUGAAAUUGUGCUCUCAUUGCCCCCUUUUUUUGGUUGAUUCUAUAAUUUUAUUAGUUGUUCUUGUGGUUGUAAACAAUAUCAAUUUCUAAUAUUAAUAAAACUGAAUGAAUAAAAUGCGAUGCAUUCGCAGGAAAAUUAAUAGUUUAAAUAUGGAUAAAUCUUGGAUGUUGAUGGAUAGAAGGUCUAUAGAAUAUGAGAACGCGGUAAAUGAGUUUCUCAAGUUUGCAGUACUUCAUGCUAGUAAUCCUGAGCUUUUGAGAUGUCCAUGCCAAGCAUGUCUUAAUUUAUAGGCUCAAACAAUUAAGAGUACAGAAAAUGCAUGAUAGAACACAGAACUCAUAUUUUAGCAACAAUCCUCAGCUCAUUGGCCCUUAGUUCAGAAUGACAAUUCUUAUUAGCCAAAGAUUCAAAAUGAUUUUUAGUUGUUUAUAAGUAGAGCACUAGAUCAACAAAUAAUUGAAGUCGUGCAGCUUGGCUAUGGAACUAUACGAUGGUGGCAAUUCGAAGACUACAACUUGGCUCUGCCAUUCGAAGUAAGCAGCGCAGCUGCCCAAAGUCUGCCAAGCCAUCAAGACUCCAUCAAGUAUACUUCAAAGCCACAUCAAGACAAUACUAAGAUACAACAUCAAUAAUAAUAACACCAAGAAAUACAUGGAGGCCAUUGCAUGCUACAGCCACCCCAAUAAGAAAUUAAUAAAUACAGUCCUAGAAAUUUACAAACCCAUGCAGUAGGAAUAACUAAUUAAUUUAUACAGUUCAGUACUCGUUCCUCUGUUUCAAAUCCAAAUCCACUGGUCUACUAUUCAUUAUGACGCAAUGCAUAUGCCGAUAUUGUCUUCCAUCCUUUAUGUACCUUUCAAUUUAGUGAGGUUUAGACAGGGGUUCCAGAUUUGGUAAAUCAACAAUCACCAGAUAUGAUAGAGAGGCCGGAAGAGAAGCAUGGUUCCUAAUCCUAAUCUUGAUUUAGAGCAGAUUAGGUAACAUGUGGCAUUCUACAUUCCUUCAAUGCCAUUUCUUGUUAUGGCAGCAGCAUUCUUGGUCAUGGCAUCACAAGCAAAUGCUUUGAUUUGAAGACUUGCUUGGCUAUGAAAAAUAAGGAGAGCAAAGGUAAUUAAUCUUGGUGUGAUCAACAGUUUAAUGGGGGUACUAAGAAAAAUAAAGAUAAUAUAAGGAAUGUUGUUGAGGAGUAUUUUCAUAUUUACAAAAGUGUUCAAAGUAAAAAUUGAUUUCUUGAAACCCAUUAGCUAGCGCACAUAAUAAUGGGGAGAAAUUUUUAGACUACGAAUUAGGGGUGGGCAUGGGUUGGUAAAAUCCAACCCAAACCAAACCCUAAAAAUUUGAAUCCAACCCAAACCAACCCAAAUAUUUUUAACCCAACCCAAACCAAACCAUUUGGGUUUGGUUUGAAUUUUAUUAUCAAAAUAAUUUUUAUUUUAAUAAAAUUUAAUUAUAUCAAAAUUAUAAUAAUUAUUAAUUGUUAUUAAUUAUUAAAUUGAUAUUAAAAUAAAUGAAAUAAAUGAUAUUAAAAAUUAACAAUAAUAAGUGAAAUAAAUGCUGAGUAAAAUUUGUGGAGGGUAGCUCCUUAAAAAUGCCACCUAUUAAUGUUAAAUCAUUCAAAUGAGGACACCCAACCGUGUGAUACUUUUGAUACUUUUGGGACCAUCUUCAUCUUUCCUCAAGCAAAUGGCACUCACUAGCAUCUUCAUCCUUAAAUAAGAUAAAUAAAUAAUUUAUAAUGUUGAAUAGUUAUAAAGAUGAGUAAAUUUAAAAAAGGAACAUGAUUCAUACCAAAAUUGUAAGAAUAACAUCAAUCUAAAGUCAUUGCCUCCGUUGUUGCACUUGAUCCAAACUCUACAUUAAAUAAAAAUAAAUUAAUAAAAAAAGACUAGUGAUAAACAAAUAUAUAAUUUUUUUCGCUUGUUAUGAUAAACAGUAGUUACCUGACAUCAUGGCUUCAUAAAACUCAAGCUCCUCCAUCGUUGGUUCAUCUUGUAAUGGGACAAAAGUGUGAAGUAACCAAUUUUGUGAGCAUAUCAAAGCUUCCACCAUCUUUGGACUUAAAGAACUACGAAAUGAAUCAAUGAUGCGUCCUCCAGUACUAAAUGCAGAUUCUGAAGCUACUGUAGAUAUUGGAAUUGCAAACACAUCCUUUGCAAUAUGUGAAAGAACUCGAUAUUUUAUUGAGUUCAUUUUCCACCAUGCCAAAAUCUCAAAGUCAUCGUCAUCAACAUGUUCACAUGGCUCCAACAAGUACCUCUCUACUUCAUUUUUCAUCUCAACACAAUCAUAUUUUCGUAUUCUUUGUUUGAACUUUGCAACACUUGAAAGUUUAGAAAACCCCACCUUUUUAUCAAAUUUCCUACUAUCAACAAUUGACGACUUACCAACAUCACUAGAUGAUCCACAACCACCAAUCUUAGUGUCAAGAUCUUUAUAGUAUUCAUAAAGACGUAUUAAAAGAUUUUUCAUCUUUUCAGACUUCUUCCCAACCUCAUCAAUAACAAAAAUGUCACAUAUUUUAACUUAUAACGUGGAUCAAGAAUAACCGAAAUAAGCAACAAAUUAUUUAACCUAUCAAUUGAACCCCAAUAUUUGUCAUAUUUAUUUUUCAUACUUGUUGCCAUUUUAGAUAAAACAAGAUCAUCACUACUUUCAAUUAAUGAUGUCAAAUCGGAAUGAAUUGAGCACAUUUCAUGAAAAUAUAAGUUUGAAGUCACGUACAUUGAACCACUAAAUUUCAAAAUUAUAUCAUAAAAUGACUUCAAAAACAACACAAAAACAUUAGCAUUUUCCCAAUCAUCACUAUUAGGGGGUCCUCCAUCUUCUUUGAAAUAUGAAACAUAAUGUUGAUCAUCAUCCUCCAUUCUCUCAAAAGCCUUUUGAAAUUUUAAAGCACUCUCCAACACUAAGUAGGUGGAAUUCCACCUAGUGGACACAUCUUGAACCACAAGACCAGCACCUUCAAUUCUUUCAUGCUCCACACAUAUUUUAAAUUUUUUUAGCCUUGCAGGAGAUGACUUUACAUACUUGACAGCAUUACGAAUUCUAGAAAUUGACACAUGUAAGUCUUUCAAUCCUUCAUUCACAAUUAAAUUCAAAAUAUGCGCACAACAUCUCAUAUGUAAAAAAUCACCAUCUAGCACAAGCCCAUUCUCACUCCAAUUCUUCAAUUUCUUUUUGACAUAAUUGAUAGCUAACUCAUUUGAACUAGCAUUAUCAACAGUAAUGGUAAAUACCCUUUCUAUACCCCACUCAAGCAAACAAGAUUCAAUUACCUUUCCAAUUGUCUCCCCCUUAUGGUCAGGUAAUGUGCAAAAAUUUAAAAUUCUUUUCUGCAAUUUCCAUUCACUAUCAAUGAAAUGGGCUGUUAUCACCAUAUAGUAAUAAUUUUGUAUAGACGUCCAUGCAUUUGUGGUUAUACAAACUCUUUGCUUAUUUGAAACAAAAAAGUUCCUUAAUUUUUGCUUUUCUUCCCAAAAACGUUUGUAUACAUCUCUAGCAAGGGUUCUCCUAGACGGUAGAUCAAAGUUUGGCCCCAAUUGCUUACUAUAUUGUUGAAAGCCCUCUUUCUCCACAAAACUAAAGGGUAAUUCAUCAAUAAUAAUUAACCGUGUAAGGGCUUUUCUACAUGCUUCUUUGUCAAACACAUGAGACUUAGAUUCAUCUUUCAUUUCAUGUGAAGUUGUUUGAUUUUCAUCCUCAAAUAUGCUCAAAUAAUCAGGACAACGUAACAAAUGAUUCCUUAAUGUACUAGUCCCAAUUUUAGUCCCAUGUUUAUUCUUACAAGCAUAAUCAUUACCACAAUAAUUACACUUGCAUCUAUUACCUAGAUCGUAUUUAGUGAAAUGAUCCCAUAUUUAUGAUCUCUCUGAUGGCUUUUUCCUCUUGCUUUGAGUAGUUGCAAGCGUGUCCAAGGAACUAGUACCAUGACAACUUGAGUUCUCAUCCAUCUAAAAUUAAAUGAAAAAAAAAAUAAACAACUUUAAGCCAAUUCAACAAAAACUUUUACCAAAUAUAAGGAACAACAACAAUAGUGCCAGUAAGAGCAUCAAGUUUCAAUCCAGCAGGAACAACAAUCUGCAAAUAUUCUACUAGACGAAAAUAUGCCAGAGAAACUAUUAAGUAUCCAACUUUCAUUCCAGCUUUGGAUUCAAAUAUAUUCUUAGUUAUAACCAACAAUCAUCUACAAACGAUAGGAAAAAAAAUUCAUUAAAAAAUAUCUUGAUUUAGGGCCAUCAGAACAGAAUCGAAGCAUUACAGGGCCACACCACAACAACAAAAGAAAAAAAAAAUUGAAGCAGAGCCUGAUUUCAAAUUCAAUUAAACUUUUUUUUUUGGGUCAUCUACAAGCUCCCUCAAAAUUCAAAAACUUUUGGAUUUACCCACUAUCAUAUAUACUUAAUUUAUUAAACAUCUUAUUAUAGAAUAUUUUAUGUUAUUUGUAAUGUAGCAGGGGAGGCUAGCUAUCUGUGGCUAAUCCAAUGUUCAUCUCUCUUCUACUGAAUAAUUUAUUAUUGUAAAAUGAUAGGAGCCCAGCUCUUAUUGCUAUUGCUAGCUAAUAUUGGAUGGAAUAAGUGUCAGGAUGAAGCUGAAACAAGAGUCAAAAUUUCACUAUUAUCUAAAAAUAAGAGCCACCACAACAAUAACAAAAGCAAAAAAAAUUGAAGCAGAGCCUCACCUUAAAUCAUUAGGACGAUAGCAAUCGAAGUGGGGACUUUAGGAGUCGAUGACAAUGAGAGAUCCACCACGUCACUUUUGUCGAUAGGGAUUGUAGAAGAUGGAGAGAGAUUCAGCGGUUUGUUUAUUUUGUUUUCAGCGGUUUGUUUAGUUUUGGAAAUUUUUUCUUAACCCAUAGGUUAACCACACCCAAACCAUUAUAAAAUGGUUUCAUACAUAAAAACCCAAAUUCAACCCAUUUUUUUAAUUUACCCAACCCAAACCAUUUUAUUUGGUUUGAGUUUGGGUAAACCCAUGGGUUGUGGGUUUAUGCCCACCCCUACUACGAAUAGUCCCAUCCAUUUAAUAAUAUUCUUCAAUCAAUUAUGUUUACUUCAAAAAAAAAAACCAUCUCUUUAUUACUUUCUAAUUAUUCAUAUUAAUGUGUUAAUAAUUAUGAAGAACCGGUGUAAUUUAUAUGAUGUAGGAAGCACUUUAGGCAAAAUCAUCAGAAUCUCAAAAUUUCGUGAUAUUGUGCCAAAUAUGCAAAACAAAGCUUCCUACAUUGUUAUAGCAGUUUUUUUAAAGUUGAGGAGUCCAAAUAUCCAAUAACUGAUAAAUUCUGUUAAGAAAUAUAAAUAUUAAUGGUGAUGACACAUACGCAUGGAAUUCCUCUGUUUUGAGUUUGACUUAAAUAACCUGAAUAAUUUCAAACAAUCCAUCAGGACAAAGUCCUUGAGAGAUUGAACUGGAUUUCAGUGCAUCACAUUCUGAAAUUGAAACUAACAUUAAUUAGAAAGGCAGAACAGCCUCUGUUUUUUACUAUAAUACAAAAUGGGAAGUCAAACCAAUUCAAGGAACUCCCCUGUUUUUUUACUGAAACAUACAUAAUCCGAACAAUUUAUAAUUAAAUAAAUCAUUUAAAAUCUCCUUUAAUCGAACCUCCACUUCUAUGGGUUAAUAGAAUAUCAUAAAGGUGCCCAAUACAGCGAAAUUAAUGUUCAGCUCAUGAAGUUGCCAUUAUAUAUAUUGAAAAAGAAAUUAAUACAAGAAACUGAAAAUUAAUUGACAUUGGAUCACGUAAGAUUGUUAGUUGUUAAUUAUGAUGGGAAUAUAUACUUGGUCUAUUAAUUUGUGUCUAUCACUGAAGAGUAGAGUUACAUGACUGAAUAGUAUCAUAUCACAAAAACUCAAAACUCAAUUUCAUUGCGCAAGCAUACCACGCCGUAUGUAGCUCAAAAGUGCAAUAACAUUGAGCAUUCAGCUAGCUAGCUUAUAUUAAUUAAUUAAUACCACUAUUAGUUCUUUAUGAUUAAUUAAAAGAUAAAAUAUUUGACAAUCACGAAACAUUAUUCUAUCACUGAAGAGUAGAGCUUCCUUCCUACAUUGUUACCCAAGCUCUUCUACAUCUCCCAAACAUUAUUAGAGUCCCACAUUUGUGGCACAUCAUUAAGUAAAUUGCUUACGUUGCAAUUUUCAACGAAUUACAAUUCUUCAGAUCUUGAAUUAGCAGGAUUGACGUCCGAUCAACUCCACGUGGCAUGUGUCUGACUAACUGGACAUGGCUUGGAGCAAGGAUCAAUGAACAAGUUUGAGGUUUAUGAAAUAUUGGGAAAAUAGACAAAUAAUAAAGCCACUCCAAGUUAAGCAGAUCAAAUAAACAGAACAGAGGAAAUAACUGAUCAAUUUAAUUCUUUGUGCAAUGGCCACAGCAACAGCGAAAAUAUGCCUACGUGACUUCAUUAAUUAAUCCGACUGGCGUGGAUGUUACUAUCGCCGUGCAGCAUUACAUCAACAUUUGAUCAUCUAUCAAUUUUCAUGAUCUGGGAUUAGAAACAUUGAGUUCAUAAUUUUAUGUAAUUUCAUGUACUAGAUAUAUAUAAUUGAUUUGAGUUAGUUUAAAAUAUAAAGAAAGAGUAAUGGGGAAUGACGUCAAUGUGGCAUUUGAUGAGUAAAGAUAGACAACAAAUAUUGAUCAUGUAAUAAUGAAAUACGUAUUUACUGAAAAAUAUUGGCAAAAAAAUGAUGCUAUAAAAAUUUAAUAUUAGUUGCAAGCGAAUAAAUUGACAAUUAAAAUUAAUAGAUAUAUAUAUGCAAUGCUUCGGGUUUAUUUUAUCGUUUCACACCAUUUUGUAACUACAUGUUACUUAGAAGUUCAAUUAAUUUUGACCAAAGACUAGAGAAUGUCGAAAAGAGAUAUGAUUUUUGUAUACCAAAAAAAAAAUUAGAAAUGAAAUACGUCAAAAUCAAUUACAAGAACAACAAUAAAAGUAUAUUUUAUAAAAGUCACAAAUACAUAAUAAGAGUUUAGUUUUGAAUUACAUAAUUAUUCAUUUAUAUAGUAAGAGAGUCUUAUAGAUAUAUAGGAAUUUUUUUAAAAGAGUUUUGGUAAAGCAAAAAGUUUAGUUUGGUCUAGUUUGUGGAGGUUCAAGUAGUUGAAAGCAGUGCAAGUGAAGGAAACAUAAACUUCUAGUUUUUUACAAAGUAAUGGCUAGAAUAUUUGAAAAGUUUGAGAUUUUAAAAAGGCUGGGAAAAUAGACAAAUAGUGAAGACCCUGCAAGUUGGCAGAGCAAAUAAACAGAGGAAAACAGGCAGAUAAUUUAUAUUAUACAUAUAAGUUUUAUUUUUUCCAGAAACAAAUGUUGCGAUUUUUUUUCCCCUAAAAAAGAAGCACAGUCUGCUAUUACCACUAAAGAAUGUUAGCUACUUUAUAUAAGCACGUGUCUAAUUACCAAAUAAAUUCCACUUUAACAAAGAAUAAAAGUUAAUUUCAUUGAUGGCACGUGUUGUGCUUUCUUUUUUUAUUAUUUUUCCUUUUAGAUGUUGAAGUUACUUUGCAAACUGCUCCAAGCUGAUUACAAAAUUUCCGCUUACUCUAGGAUCUUUUCAAUGGGCUUACAAUUUGUAUUCUUGUCUGUAAGAUUGAUUUUUUUUCUUUAAAAAAAUAAAAAGGGAUGAGAAAUCUUACCAACUAAAUACCAACUUCGAAUUUUGUUAUUAUUCAAACUUUGUAUUUCUUGCUCAUAGCCAGUUAAACUGUGUCUAACUGUCAUGCAGGUUCCAUUUUUAGUUGAUUAACUGUAUAUACAAAAUUAAAUCACCUGAGCCUCUGGUUUCACUAUUUUCCAACUUGAAACUAAAACGCAGAAUUGAUGGGGUAAUUCAUGGGGAAUCAGAUGGCCAUCUAUUUUUAGGUCUAUUUUAUGUACUAUUGGCCGCCAGGUAGCUUGGUCAUAUACGUGUAUUGGGAUGUCAUGGGGCCUAAAAAAUAAAGGUGAAAAUCAGUCACAAAUCUGAAGUGAAAAACAGUAACUAGAACAGAAUCUAUGUUUUGAUGUCUUUAGUUUAUAAGCUCAAACAAUUAAUAGUAUAGAAAAUGCAUGAUAUAGCACAGAACUCAUGUUUUAGCAAUAAUCCUAAGCUCAAUGGCCCUUAGUUCAGAAUGACAAUUCUUAUUAGUCAAAGAAUCAAAAUGAUUUUUAGUUGUUCAUAAGCAGAUCACUAGAUCAACAAAUAAUUGAAGACUGGCUUGGCUAUUGAACCAUACGCGGCAAUUCGAAGACUGAAACUUAACUCUGCCGUUCGAAGUAAGCAACUCAGGUGCCCAAAGGCCGUCAAGCCAUCAAGACAAUAUGAAGAUACAACAUCAAUAAUAAUAACAUCAAGAAAUACAUAGAGGCCAUUACAUAUUACACCUAUCCCAAUUAGAAAUUAGUUAAUACAGUCCUAGCUCCUCUGUUUUAAAAGAAAUUUACAAACCCAUGCAGUAGGAAUAAUUAAUUAAUUUAUACAGUUCGGUACUCAUCCCUCUUCUGUUUCAAAUCCAUAUCCACUGCUCUGCCAUUUAUUACUACGCAAGGUAUAUGGGUUAGCAAGUGCCGACAUUGUCCUCCAUUCUUUGUGUGCCUUUCUUCUAUCAAGGGACAACCCAAGAUCUCUAAUCGCAAGAAAAAUAUUUCAGAGUAAAAAGUGAUUUCUUAAAAUCUAUUAGCUAGUGCACAUAAUAAAAGGGCAUUCAUGGUAAAUUUUAGACUACAAGUAGUCCAACCUUUUAAUAAUAUUCUGCAAUCAAUUCCGUUUGUUUUAAAAUAAAAGAAAUCCAUCUCUUUAUUACUUUCUAAUUAGUCAUAUUAAUGUGUUAAUAAUUAUGAAGAACCAGCGUAAUUUAUAUGAUGUAGGAAACCCUUUAGGCAAAAUAACCUGAAUUUUUUAGAGUAGCGGCUAGACAUAUUGGGCAUAACCUCAGUUUCUGUUACUUCUUUGACCCUGCCUAAGCUCUUUUAAGGGCUAAUAUCAAAAUUUCGUGAUAUUGUGCCUAAAGAGCUUCCAAUUCAAGGAGCUCCCCUGUUUUUGACUGAAACAUAUGUAAUCCGAACAAUUUGUAAUUAGAUAAAUCAUUCAAAAUCUCCCUCAAUCUAACCCACAUUUCUAUGGUUUAAUAACAUAUCACAAAGGUGCCUAAUAUAAUGAAAUUAGCAUUAGUUCACGAGAUUGCCAUUAUAUAUAUUGAAAAAGAAAUUAAUACAAGAAACUGAAAAUUAAUUGACACUGGAUCACGUCGUGUUGUUAGUUUGAUUAUGAUGGGAAUAUAAUCUUGGUCUUUUAAUUAUCAUCUAGCUACCGCAUGUGCACUAGUUUCAUUUGUGUCUAUCACUAAAGAGUAAAGUUGCUUGAUUUGAAUAGUAUCAUAUCAUAGAAACUCAAAACUCAAUUUCGUUGCCCGAGUAUACCAUGCCAUAUGUAGCUCAAAAGUGCAAUAACAUUGAACAGUCAGCUAGCUAGCUUAUACUAAUUAAUUAAUACAACUAUCAGUUAUUUUUUAUUAAUUAAAAGAGAAAAUAUUUGACAAUCGCGAAAACAACAACAAUUCACUCCAAUAAACAACAUAAUAAAUACAUGAUAUAUAUUACAAGUCUUUUUAUGAUGUAGAUUAGAAGGGAAAAUACGAAGGACCUAUUAUAUAUUAUAUAUGAUUGAAUUUAAUCCAUGAUAAUUAGACAAAAUAACACUAAUCUAGCUAACUAAUCCAACCAUCAUAAUAAUUUGAUUUUCAUUAUUUUAUUGUGUCCAAUCAUGCUAAUUUAAUAAAAAAAACACAGAACACUUGAGGAUUUAGAUAUUCAACAACUUUGGCCAAGUUCGAAAAAGAUUAGAGCUUCCUUCAUGCUUUGUGUUCUUAUGUUACACAUGAUCAUAUUAUGUUACAUUUGACAGAAAACUGAAAAUUAUUGAAAAAAAAAAAAAUCUUAGUUAGCACAUGAUCAAAAUGAGAGAAUAAUGCACACACAUCACAACAAUGUUUCAUUCAUUUUGAAUCUAUAUUUACAAAACUUGUAUCCGAUGGUUUACAUUUGUUUAAUCUAACGGCUAUGACAUGUGUACUGUCAAAACGCUACAGCUGCCAUCUCUGUUUGUCCUUGUUGCAUCCUUGAUCUUAUAUUAUCCUGGAGAUUAUUGAAUGUUCUUCUCAUUCUCAUGUGCUCGAGGGUCCUUUCUUGAGACAUUUCAGCAAACACCUGAUUCAUCCUAUUAAACAUCAGCAUCAUUAAUCAGUAAAUGAUGUAAGGUAGCCCUGUUUUGAGAAGUCAACAUAAAUCAGUCACCUUAGAUUUUCUCAGUCUCAGAGCACAACGGGUGAUGAUUUGAUGAGAAAUAUUAAUAUGCAUGCAUCCCCUGAAUUAGCUAGAGCUGGUUGUCAUUUUCUUCUUUCUUUUGGUACGGUUUUAGAUUUUUAAUCAAUCAGAUUCAGCUGCAUGUUUGCUUUUAGUCCAAACCAAAAUAAGAUAUUAAGUACUUUUGCCAGAAUAGACGCAACCAAAAUUCUAUGGGAUCUGUAGUUCCUAGUUCAUGCAGAAGCGGCCGAAUGCUUCCGGCAACUCAGGCAGAUAGAACCCUGGUUGAUUCGUUUUUCUUCAUCUGAAAUUCUACCUAAUGCCUAUCCUCUUAAUUGGUUUAAAUUCUUCUUUUUUUUCUUUGAAUUGUUGAUUUAUAAUGUCUUGUAUGCAAAAUUUAUAAUUUCGGAUGAUGAUAAUCUUGUUUAAGAAGAGAUUUCUAGUUACGGCAGCAGCAUUCUUGAUCAUGGCGCUCUGGUUUGCUUAGUUUCCUUUUUGUCUCUGAUAUUUUCUUGGCAUUCUUGUUCUCUCUUGUAAUAAAGUGCUUUUGAUAAAUUCGCCUGGUCGGUUUACUUCACUGACCAUUAAUGAGCAAAUCCUCCCAGUGACCCUCAAACUCUUCUACACAAUUAUAAUAAUUUCAGUUUUACAUAUACAAAAAUGAACAGCUCUCAAAUAUAUUAUUUGAUAAUGACAAAAACAAUAAUUCACUCCAAUAAAUCUCAUAAUAAAUACAUGAUCUACAUUGCAAGUCUUUUUAGGACGCAUUCAAAGAGAAAACAUAAGGAAUGGCAUUGCAAGAAUAUGGAAUCAGAAUAAAAGGGGAUGGUCGAGUUGGGUUGCUUGCAAAAUUAUUGGUGCGGGGUUCUACUUGUUUUUGUUUCACUUUAUUAAUUAAUUAGCGAAGCACACACGUCAUCAUUUGAAAAAGAAUCACUAGCACCAGCUUAUGAAAAAUAAAUUUGUAAGACAUAUUAAUUUCAAUGAAAAUGUAGCGUGAUUAUGUUAUGAAUUCAUUAACUUACUUCAUAAAUAUUCUUCAUCAUUAUGGUUAAUGGCUUAGCAAAUGCAGGAGCAGGGGUCACCCAAAAGUAAAACACUUUCUCUUGUAUUAACCUUUGCUAGCCGUCGAAGUUAAACAAGUUAAAACAGUUCCAACUCAGAAGUAGUAGUGCCCAAUUGGGUUGUUAUAAAUAUUUCGGAAUUUCAGUCUAAGUUGAUUUGUUUAAUUAUGUAUGCACAAACUAGCUUGACCACUUCUUUCAUAUUGAUACCUAUAAAUUGCAACCUUAUUUUACGUUGAUGCACAAUCUAACUUAACAAAAACAAUAUUCAAAUUGUCACAGAAUGUUUUCUUCUUAAUAUAUAUAUAUAUAUAGUAGUUAAUUUUUCUUAUUCUUCACUCCAGGAUCCAGCUCCAUACCCCUCUUUUUUGUCGUUAUGCUGCUCAGCCGUUAGAUUUUAAUUAUGUUAAUCUAACGGUUGAGAUUUGUAAAUGAAUAAUGAAGUGGUGUUUGGCUACUAUCUGAGCCCAUUGCAUCUAUUUGGUGUUGUGAUUUUUCGCUUGACUGGUUCUGAAAAUAUCGGCAGCCAUCGACAUCAAAUCUGAACAAAGGCAACAGGAGGUGAUCGUGGUGAAAUUGUUUUUUGGCAUGCGAAUCUAACGACUUUCGAAUACGUUCAUUCAAAUAUUAAAUGCAAUUCAGGCAAAUAGAAGCUUGGUUGAUUGAUUGCUCUUCAUGUGAAAUUCUACCUAAUGGCUAUCCUUUUAAUGGUUUAUACUGUCUUAUAUGCAAAUUAAAUUCAGAAUUCGGAUGAUAAUAAUCUUGAUUUAGAACAGAUUAGGUAACAUUUGGCAUUCUACAUUCUUGCAAUGCCAUUUCUUUUUAUGGCAGCACCAUUUUUUAUCAUUGUUUGUGUGGACCUAUUUGCUGAAUUCAAAACUUGGCGUGUUAAAACGGCAUUGUUUUGUCCAUUAAGAUGUUUCAAGUUGUCCCCGGCUGGACAUAUGACUCACUUAAUGAUACCAAAACGGCGAGGCAUGAAGGUGUUUUGGCUAAAGGCUUAAGUUCUGCAUGUGACAAGCACGUGAGAGAAGAAUCAAGUUAGUUAUAAGUUGUUAUACACGUGGGUGGAUCUGGUGCAAUCUGGGGUAAUGAACACCCGUUAUAUAAGCUGAGCUUUCAGACAGUUUCAGCAAGAUGUAAAGAGCUUUCUAGAGAGAAUGAAGAGAGAGAAAAAGUAUCAUGUUAUUCCUUGUUAGUUUCUCCAUGUGAGCUCUGUCAAAUACUUUGAUUCAUAAAUAAAACUCAUUUUAGUCGAUUCUCCCUUGGAUGCAUGUUCUGCCUCAUUGCACGGCCGAACCACGUAAACAGUGCUCGUUUCUGGGUGUGAUUGUUUGUUAAUCUUGCUUAUUUCUUGGCUGAAAUCUUGCUUUAAGUUCUUAAGUCAUCUAUUGAGUUCAUCGAGGUCAUUCAAUUGUUCAUAUGUAGCUAGUUUGAUCUUGUACAGGGUCUUAGGCAGUGUUUUGAUAGCUUGAUUAGCAUUAGCGGCUAUCUUGACAGUACAAUUGGUAUCAGAGCUAGUUCUUCAGAUCAAGAUCCAAGUAUGGCUCCAUCAAAGAUUGAUCUUGAGAAGUUCAAUGGAAAGAAUGACUUUAAUAUGUGGAAGGUUAAGAGGGAAGCAUUGCUGGUAACACAGGGUCUUGGGUAUGCUAUUCAACAAGUAACCAAAAAACAGGAAAGGAGGUAUCUUCGUCAAAGACCCCAGGGCAGGUUGCUGAGAUAGACAAAAGGGCUGGGGGACAAUAAUCUUGAGCCUUGCAGACUCAGUGAUAAGGGAAGUGGCAAAAGAACCACGGUUGUUGACUUAUGGGCUAAGUUGGAGAGUAUGUACAUGAAAAAAUCCCUUGCUAACAGAUUGUACACAUAAAGAAGAGCAUCCCUUGCUAACAGAUUGUACACAUAAAGAAGAGCAUGUUUACAUUAAAGAUGAUUGAAGGCUCAUCUCUUGAUGAUCAUAUUGAUGGGUUCAACAAAGUGUGUGACACUUUGAAAGCAUUGAUGCAGCAUUAAAUGAUGAAGAUAAAGCCUUAUUAUGAAUGAGCUCCCUUCCCAAAGUCCUAUCAGCAUUUUGUUGAUGCCUUGAUGUACACACACACACAUAUAUAUAUCAUAAAUUUUAUUUUAUUUUGUAGUUAAGUCUUUAUGUUUUUUUCAUUUGUGUCUAUCACUAAAAAGCAGAGUACUUGCUUGAUUGAAUAGUGUCAUAUUACAUCACAUAAACUCUCUCAAUUAUUGAAAAAAAAAAAUCUUAAAAGAUCCCUACUUUGUGCUUAAAAAAUCUUUAAAAAAAUCUUUAAAAAUCUUCAAAGUUUUCAAUUAUUGAUAACUGAAAAUUAUUGAAAAAAAAUCUUAAAAGAGAUGUGUUGAAUUGUGAAAUUAAAACUGAGUUUCAGACAUUUCGGACAUGUCGGUUUAUAUCCGUGAUUGUGCAUGCCCUGUCGGUUGCUUGAUGAAACAGGAGAAUAUUGACCUGUGUGUAUUAUCGUUUACUUCCUGCAAUUAAAUCACAUGUUGUUCAUGUGAUUCCAUUUACUCUAUACGGCACAUUUGGCAGUCGUUUUGGUCACUUACUGAAGCACGGGUUAAGUACUUGAUUCAAGGUUGUUAACUGACCUUUACAAGGCGGGAAAAUUCUGGGUUUGUUAUAACAAACCCGGAAUGCAGCUAGUGAGUGGGGGAGUUUUCUAGACUCUUCAUGAUAUGUAUAUAUAGUCUUAGAGGCUAUAGUUGAGACAUAUGAAAAGCUUGUAACUUCUUCUUAAUGUUUGUAGUUUGAUCUCGGUGAUGGAGAUAAGAUUGCUGCCCUGUUCUCCAGGCCGAACCACUUAAAUUGUGCCUCUGUUUUGCUUGAUGACUACCAGUGGUGAGAAAACAGCUACAGAACAAAUCAAGCUUGAUGACUCAAAUAUUAGGGAAGCCAUAGUCAAGGCAUCUGGUUUAUGCAUCAACAGUGGUUCGUGGACUAGAAUUCCUAGCUAUUGCCGCUUCACAAUUGCACUGGAAGAAAGCGAAUUUGAUCGAGCUUUGGAUCGCAUAGCUAAAUUCAAAAGCAUCGUACAAAUAGUUAACUAAAAAACGGUAUUGUCAUUUGUCAUGAUUUAUUUCUAUUGCCUGAUGAUGAUACCCAUCACGCCUUAGUUGUCGUGAAUAAAUCUAAAAUCAACAUUUGUGACGUUAAUAUCCAUUUGUGACGUUUUGAGAUUAUAAUAUAUGACAACACUGAUUAGUGUUGUCUCCCAUGUGAAUUGAGACAAAUUAUUUUCCCAAUUGCGCUUUCAUUUGAACAAUUCCACUGUAGAUUUAUAAAAUAAUGAUCAAAUUGUGUUUUUUAUUAAGUUACGAGUAAUUGGUUAAAUAUUAAUACAAAACUAUUGUGAGAUGAAUGAAUCAAGUUGGUUCUAGAAACGACCGUGUUUUGGAGCUGUAAAGCUUCAUUAAGCUCACGUGCUUCUCAGCUGGUUCUUAACAGAAAACGAACUGAUCGAAACGACAGAGCUCAAGCGCGUUUUGUGUAUCAGUUUAAGUGACCACGUGAGGAAGCAUGUGACAAAGGUUUUCAGAGUUCGUUAAGGUUGUUAAACCACGUGUCAACGAGCGGCUUAUUCUGGAAAUCAAGGAAGCUACCCAAACAGAGUAUAAAGGCUGGUUUUUUGGGGUGAUUCAACAACGAUUUUCAUGAGUCUUGCAGAGAGGGUUUUAUGAGAGAGAAAGUGUGAACUUGUUCUCUGAAAAGUCUGGUGUAAGGUUCUGUAACAAUCUCCAUUACUGUUUCAAUAAAGCUCAUCUUGAGGCUUCUCCCGUGGAUGUAAGCUGAGCAUUCCAUGCUUAGCUGAACCACGUUAAUCUUGGUGUCUGUGGUUCUUUUCUUGGUUCUUGAAUCUUCAGUUUCUUGUUUGUGUUCAUAGCUAUUGUGCUUUGUUGUUCUUGGGUGAAUUAGUCUAAGUAAAUCUUGGGGGUGUGCAACUUGCAUUGACUAAAUCACAAGCAUCCUAGGGCAGUGGCCAGUUUAGCUUUGUUAUAGGCUUGCUGUUUCACUACAACUAUUUUAAGUAACAUGUGGCAUAUUCUAAUUCUAGCCAAGCUUCCAACUAAGAUUCCCAAAUCAAAAGAAUUUCAACCUUCAGAACAUUCUGCAAAACGUUUAGUCUCUACGCAGUGCUAGAAUUUUCCCUAAGUUUCUAUCGCAAAGACUUCUAAAGAACUAUUCAGAUAUCGAGCUAUAAUCCAGUCUAAAGUGUAUAUAUCUCUCUAAUUCACCUCCCUCCAUUUCACCAGAAAAUCGACGAACACUUAGCUUCAAACAAACACUCUCAAAAAGCUAGCUAGCUACCCAGAUGGCAAAACCAAGAAUUCUUGCAAUGACAAUGUUGUUUCUUGUUAUGGCAGCAACAUUGAUGAACAUGGCAUCACAAGCAAACGCUCUGAUGCCGUGCACACAAUCACCUUUCUUUGACAUGAUGUUCCCAAUGACGGAAGAGCCUUUCAGGGUUCUUGAACAAACCCCUUUAACAAUCGCAAAAGGAGCUGAUCAUCAUCAAACUCUAGCCCCAGCGAGAGCAGACUGGAUGGAGACACCAACAGCCCACAUGAUCACGCUCGACAUUCCAGGGAUGAAGAAAGAUAAUAUGAAGAUUGAAGUUGAAGAGAACAGAGUACUGAGAGUGAGUGGGGAGAGGAAGAGUAAUGAUUAUUAUAAGGAGGGAGUUGAAGGAGAGAAAUGGCACAGAGCUGAGAGGACAUUUGGCAAGUUUUGGAGGCAGUUUAGGAUGCAUAUGAGUGCUGACUUGGAUCAUAUUAAGGCUCACAUGGAAAAUGGGAUUCUGAGGGUCACAGUACCAAAGCUUGCUGCGUAGAAGAAGAGGCAGCCUAAGGUUAUUAACAUUGAUGAAGAGUCUGGUAAUUCUUCCAAUGAAGAUAUUAAGGCUACCAAGGCUCAAAUGUAAUUGAUUAAAGAAAGAAGUGAUUGCUUUGCUUGAUGUGCUAUUUGUUUAUGAUCUUUUCUUGGUUUUGUUGUGAGAUGUUUCUAUUUGGAUGCUCUAUUUAAUGUAUUUUGAUGGGUUUUUGAGGAAGGCUUGUAUGUAUUGACAACAAUAAACUGCUUUUUAUAAAUCCUAGUCCUACAACACUAGAAGAAAUUAAUACGCUUGGUUUAUAGUUGAUAAAAAUAUCUUUUUUUUAAAAAAAAAUCUUUUUCUUUGGCAUAUAGUAUGCCUUUUGAGGGGAAAAAUAUUUAUCCCACUCCUAAUUCGUCCUCUUCUGUGAUAUUAAUGUGUUAACACGAAGAUUCAUUGUAAUUGCAACAAUUUUGACGAAUCCAAAAGUUCAAUAACUGUUAAAUUGUAUUUAUAAAUACUAAUAGCGAAGGUACAGAAACGAUUAAUUCAAGAAGUUGCUUAAAGUGCAUUAAAUUAGGGAGUAUAAAUAAUUGUGUGAUACAGUCCAGCCUUCAUCUGCUUAUAAUUAGCAACCAAAAACCACUUUGCAACGCCAUUAAAAAAACAUUUUAACAUUAUUGCUGAGGGAAGAGUCAGCUUAGGCUUAUUAACUCGUAUUAUUAAUGCUGAUGACGCAGCUGGUAAUCCUUUUGGUGAAUAUAUUAAGGCAGCUGAAGCUUAAAAUUAAUUAAGCCCACUAAAGCUUAAAAGUAAUUCUUCUAGUGACGAUGCUUUGCUUAGUUCGCUUUUUGUUUUUAAAUUUUUUUGGGGCCAACGUUUUGCUUAUUUUGCUUUUUAAAUUCUAUUCACUUUCUCCUUCAAUUUUCUGUUUUUGUUGUUAUCGAAUUUGAUGAUGGUUUAUAUGUACGAAGAUUAUGUAAUAAAAUGCUAUAUAUUAUGUAAUAAAGUGCUUUUGUAACUAUAUAUAUAUAUAUAUAGAUAUUUCAACAACUGAGGAAGAGAUGGCCAUUAUACAUUACACAUUUGCACUCAAUAAGAAAUCAAUUCAUUAAUAUAGCCAAUAACAAGCCUGGUUUAUUGUUAAUGAAAAUUAAAAAAGAAAAAAAAAGUCUUUUUCUUUGGCCUUUAUUAUGCAUUUUAAGAGGAAAAAAAUUUAUCCCACUCCAAUUCAUGAAGAUAUUCUCUUUUUUGUCAUAUUGAUGUGUUAAUAUGAAGAUCCAUUGCAGUUGGUGAAUUCAAAUAUUCAGUAACUGAUGAAAUUGUAUUUAUAAAUUCAUACUAAUAGCAAUUGAAGAUUAUAAUUAAUUUUGUAAUAUGGUCUAGCCCUCGUGUGUUUAAUUAGCACUCAAAAACCACUUUACAAUAGGCAUUAAAAGAACAUUAUAACGUCAUUGCUGAUGAGUUCUGGUGAAGAUAUUAAGUUAAGGCCACAAAAAUCGAAAUGUACGUAGCUUCGUUUGUUUUUUGUUUUUGAUUUUUUUUGGGGCAAAUGCUUGGCUUCGUUUGCUUUUUCGUUUUUGAUAUUUUCUUGGCUUUAUUGUGUGGCAUGUUCUUGUUUUCUUUUGAUUUUCUGUUUUGGGUGUUAUAGAAUUUGAUGACGAUGUACAAACACUAAUUAAUUACUAAUAAGAACAUUAACAAUUUUUGUCGAAGUUUGAUCAAGAGAAAUAUUACACAUAUAUAACCGUACAGCUAAAUAAAAGAAAAUGAAGUUUAUUUCUAACGGCUAAGCAUGAGAUACGCAUAAGAAAUUAAUCCAUUAAUUAAUUAAUUAAUAUACAUGUCCCCCGCUGCUAAAAUAAUGCGAGCCCCUUACUCUACUUAACAUUUUUCUUUUUAUUAAUUUAUCAACUGAGAUUUGAAUUUUAAAAUUACAUACACAAACACGCUUGAUUUAAAAGAAAAAAAUUCUAAUAAUAAAAUAUUUUACAUAUGUAACCAUACGGCGGAAGAACAAAUAUAAGAAACUUACAGCUGAGAAUGAGAUAGGCAUAAGAAAUUAAUUAAUAGAGUCCUCCUCCUUUGCUAAAUAAUGCGAGCCCAUUGUUCUUUUUAUUUCGAAAACCCAUUAAUCACCAACACAUAAUACACGCCCAAUUUAAAAAAAAAAAAAAACUACUAAUAAAAUAUUUCAGUCUUCUGUUGAGUCGUCAUCAAAAACCCAUUUACGAUCUAUUACAACAUAAGGUAUAUGGGUUAACAAGUCCCAAUAUUGUCCUCCAUCCUUUCUGCACUUCUCUGCUAUCAACGGACAUCCCCCGAUGUAUAAUUGCAAAAGUGAGGAAGGCAGGCCCUUCUCCGGAAAGUAUUUGAGCUUGGGACAAUCCUCGAGAUACAAUUCAGUGAGGUUUUGAAGAUCAACAAUUGAAGAAGAUAGGCGUUCCAGAUUUGGAAAACUGAAAAUCAACAGAGAUGUUAGAGAGGCAGGAAGAGGAAGCGCGGUCCCCAAUCUUAUGUCAUCUGCCUUUGGUGGGAAUGACACCAUGUCGUCAUCGCAUCCGCUGAUUCUAAGUUGUCGCAGAGAGGAGAAUCUGUGGAAUCCCCGACCCCACUCAAUCGUUGACUUCCAAAUCUCCAUAUUACCCGCAAUCCACAGUGAAUGAAGGUUGGUGGGAAGGCCAUCUUCUUCAAGGCUUGGAAGCUCAACUCCUCUUCCUAUUGUUAAUUCUUGAAGAGAGGUCAGAUUGUGCAAUCCCUUGGGUAAGGCCUCCAGUCUCUCACACCCAUGGAUCCUGAGCUUACUCAGUUUCGCACAAGGCAAUCCCCCUUCGGGAAAGGACUCCAGAUUUCCACACCUUCCAAUACUAAUCUCUUGAAGCUGGUGGAGAUUAUGUAAACCACUCGGUAAAUUUUUCAGAUUUCCACAAUAACAAAUGUCGAUUGUUUCAAGAGAUGUGUUGUUGUCCAACCUUUCUGCUAUUGACUCCAGCUUUGAACAACUAAGAACAUGAAGGGACUUAAGAGACGGAGGUAGAUUGCCAACUUCAAGGGACUCAAGCGUGGCAGGUAACUCGUUUUUUGAAAAUAUACAUGUCAGAGAUCGACAACUCUCAAUUUCCAACUUCUCGAGAAGAGAUGAGGUGUACCUUCUGCUGCUGCUGCUCCUCUGGAUGCCCUCUUCCACUGUCAAAGUCCUUAUAUUAUCACAAUCGCUGAUGCUCAGCUGCUUGAGGCUCGGUGGCAGCUGGACAGCAGCAAUAUAUGUCAACGAAUGGCAGUACAAAAUACUCAAGAUCUCGAGAGAUGAAUUGGUGUCGCACAUCCAUGCCUCUGGUAACGAUUUCAGUGCAUCACAACUGCAAAUCUCAAUUUUCCUCAACUUGGAAGGCAGAGCAACCUCAGGAAAGGAAACAAGGGACCAGCAGCCGUAGAUUUCUAUCUCUCUCAAGGAACUGAGGCUGAGCGAUGAUUGUGGCAGCUUUACAAGGCCUUGGCAGCCGCUCAAUCUUAGAUAUUCAAGUCUGCAUGACAACUCGCAGAGCUGCUGUUGUUGGUCUUUCUCUUCCUCCGCCACCAAGGAUUGAAGUUUGGGACAGCUUGCAAUCGUCAGUCUUUUAAGAGAGCAACUGUCUUGUAGUAAUCCGUUAUGACUCUUCCAGAUAUAUGUAUGCUCUUUCAUAUCAUUUAUCUCCAAUUCUUCCAAUUUUGGCAGUUGCGGCUUUAAUGGCCCUGCGAGAAACACUUGAUUUGAUGCAUCUCUACAAACCACUGAAUUUUGAGAUCCGAGAUGACCAGUUGCACUUUCCCACACAACCUUUUUACAUCCGCCAAUCUGUAAUUUGCAAAGAGCUGGAAGACUCGAAACUGAAACUGACAAUUCUUCACAUCCUUCAAUAACAAGCAUCUCCAAUGCAGGAAGGUGCUCUGGAAAUGGUCCUUUCAAUUUAGAACAUCUUAAAAUGUGAAGCUCUCUCAAUUUAGGAAACCCUUCAACAACUCUUUGACUGGAUCCAUGGGAAAUCCAGUCUUCCCAUUCUCGCAUGUUUUCAAAAAUAAGAGUCUCCAAGCAUGGAAAAGGAAUUGGAGGAUCAUUCCCAUAGAACUCUGAACCCAACCUCUUUACUCUGCUCAUUCCACAUACUGCAAGAUGCUUUAGAGAGGGUAGUUGCCCGACUGACGGCAGGGCAGUACACAUGUCACAAUUUUCAAAUUUUAGGGUCACCAAAUUUGGCAAUGAGGAAUCUCCUAACCAAGCUGGAAAUUUUGUACCUCCAUAGCCACUGAUACAAAAUUGUUCCAAAAUUUCAUGAGGUUUUAGCAUGUCAAGCACAUCGUUUUCAGUUUUUGCCUCCCUUGAAGAUGAGCCAUCGGUAUUGAGUGCCCAUCGAAGCAAUAAUUCUCUAAGAUUCUUCUUUCCAUCCAAUUGAGCCUCCUUUGCAUCACCAACACAUUUUACAUUCUCCAAUUUUGAAAUGUUAAGUGUCCCAUGAAGGUGCGUCAACAACUUUAGCUCUCGUAACCCGGAACCACUGCCUUUUCCCACAACAAAAUUACACAACGUCUGAAGACAAGUCAACCUACCAAUUCCUACUGGCAUUUUCUCUAAAGAAUCUGUAUUUGAAUUCUUAAGAUGAUGCAAUUUGAGGAGAUUUCCCAUGUCUGCACACAACUUCUUCAGUUUCCGACAGUCCUCCAACAGAAGGGUGUGCAAAUUAUAAAGCUUAUUGACUGAUUCAGGCAGAGCUCUAAUCUGAGUUCCAGAUAGGUUAAGGUACCUUAAAUACCUCAAAUCACCAAUUGAAUCCGGCAGCUCAGGGAUGUGGUAUCCACGCAGAGAGAAGGCCCUCAAGCGUUGGAGUUUGAACAACUUAGGAAGAAUGCUAUAAGCCAAGUGUCCACGCGAACUAUUUGACAACGUUACUGGUAAAAAAGUUCGCAAAUGUUGGAUAUCGUACAAGUCCACAAACCUUUUAACGCCAUCACAAUAUUCAGGAAUGUAUGAUAGAUGACGAAGAUUUUCGGAAAAACUUUGCUGCUUGUUAACCUCUGAGGUAUACUCCAUUGUGAAGUAUAUCUCCCCCGCAGCCCAACGGGCAAGGUCAUUGAUAAGAUCGUGCAUCACAAAUCGUGAUAUACUGUUGCUUGAUUGCUGGAAAAAAGAUCUUGCACGUAGCUCUCGAAAGAACUUUCGACCUAGAUCUUCACUAGGAUUCCCGCUCUCUCCGUGAUCCAAGAGACCCACAGCACACCAUAAUAAAAUUAUCUCCUCCUCUUCAAAUUCAUAAUCCUUUGGAAACAAUGAGCAGUAUGCAAAGCAUUGUUUCAAAGGUGCCGAAAGAUAAUAGUAGCUCACUCUAAGCGCAGGUAUAAUGUCACAUCUCUCUUCUGGUAAAUCCCAUAUCUUGCAACUGAGCACAUCUUCCCAAUCACUUCGGUCACGUUUACCACGUAAGAGUCCACCAAGAGUUUUCGCAGCUAAGGGUAAGCCGUUGCAUUUGAUCACUAUAUUCUUGCCAAUGUCCUCCAAUGACUUAUGUGAACUGAAAUCUGUUGUCCCCAAAGAGUGCUGAGCGAACACAGACAGACAGUCCUCAGUUGACAAGCUUUUGAGUUCAUAAGCUUGAUCCAGGCUCAUGAUUUUGGCAACCUCUUCAUUGCGAGUGGUGACAACAAUCUUACUUCCCUGUGCGCCAGCUUGAAAUGGAAGGCUGAGGUGAACCCAGUCAUUGUAAUUCUCAUUCCAAACGUCAUCUAAAACAAGCAAAAAUUUCUUUCCAAAUAGUUGUUUCUUUAGCUCCUCUUGAAGCUUAUUCAAGUCGUGAUUAUCCACAUUCUGGUCACUAGCAAUUGAAAGUAGGAUUGAUUUUGUAAGCCUGCUAACAUCAAAAUCAUCGGAGACGCAAGUCCAUGCCUUGAGAUUAAAAUGAUCCUCCACCUGCUUAUCAUUGUAGACAAGCUGAGCAAGAGUGGUUUUACCCAGCCCGCCCAUACCUAUAAUAGGAAUAACAGAGAAUCCACCAUCAUUUCUUGAAUCAUCCUUCAACAACAAUUCAACAAUUUCCUUCUUUUCUGUUUUCCUGCCAUAUACUUUGGCUUCCUCCACCAAAGAGGUUGUCUCUUGCCUUCGCCUGGCUUUUUUGGAUCCCCCAGCUGAACUUUUUAUCAAAUUCAGCGAGCGUAUUCCUUCUUCAAUAUCUUGAAAUCUGUCGCUGAUCCCUUUGAUUUUGGACAUCAUGGCGUAAUCGAACUGAAUCGAUUGUGGAGUAAAAGUGGGGCAGCAAGUAGGAAUGAGCUUCCGAAACUUACUUUUCGUGCUUGUACGACUGCUGCUGGGUUGAUCAUGAGCAGCAGCUGGUUCUCCAUUUCCAAGCAGCAACUGCCUCCGGAAAGCCUCAGUUUGGAACUCAUCCAACAAGUCUUCAACAUCAUAAGCCAAGUUCUGAAGCUCGCCAAGCCACUUCUUCACAGACCGAUUAGUCGUCUUCUUCUCCUCAGCAUCAUCAAUCAUUAUUUGUAAUUAAAGAAUGAGGUCCAAUCAAUUUAUUGGAGAAAAAUUAAUUUUAAUUCUUAGGAUUUGAUUUCACUCUCUUUUACUUUUUGACGUUGCUAAAGAGACAGUAAAAAACUUACUAAAUGUCAUCAAAUGCUUGUAUAUCAUCUCACACUUUAGCCACAAAUGCUUGAUAUUUUUUUUUUCUUUUUUCCCGUACAGAAAGAAACAGAAUUUUGAGUUCUAAAGCAAAAUGAGAAAAUUGAGCAAAAUGCAUGUAGCAAGUCUUCCGCAUGUUUAUUCCAGUAAAGUGAAAAUAGAUAAUUGAAAAAUGAUAAACGAACGAAAGCGCACGAAGGGACGACAGAAAACGCGUUUCCUCAUCCAAUUUUGUUCUUGUGGACCGAAAAUAAAUAAUAAAAUAUUUUUUUUGGGAACCGAUAACAAAUAGUAAAAUAAAGAAUAAAAAAAAUGGUGUGAACGAACGAAAGCACAACGAAGGAGGAACGACAGAAAACGCGUUCCCUCAUCAAAAUUUUCUUUUAUGGGACCGAUAAUAAAUAAUAAAAUAUUUUUUUGUGGACCGAUUAUAAACAGUAAAAUAAAAAAUGAAAAAAAGGAUAGUGACGACGAACGAAGGCGCGAGGAAGGGACGACAGAAAACGCGUUCCCUCAUUCAAUUUUUCUUUUGUGGGACCGAUAAAAAAUAAUAAAAUAUUCUUUUAUGGGACCGACUAAAAAUAGUAAAAUAAAGAAUAAAAAAAUGAAAAAAAGGAUGUGUGCAAUUUUUCUUUUAAUAAUUUGGCAAUUUUUCGUUGCCAGAUUCAAUGAAUGUAAAAUCGCACCUCGAUUCAAAAUAAAUUUUAGCUGAACAUAAAUUCGCCUCAUUUAUUAAAUAUAUAUACUUAAUAUAAUAACAACGAUAUAGACCCAACUGAAAUAACUCAACGGAGAAAUUGAAACUUACUUUUUUAGUUAUGGCUCAUAUAUAAUACAAGUAUCAAGAUUUAAGUAGAGUUCACAUAUACACAUGCGGCUAGUUUUAACCGAGAGAUAAAUUAAUCAUUAAUACUCAGGUGUUUCUAAAUGAUUGAAUAAUGAUAUUAUACGAACCUUCCCUUUACAAGUCUUCACACUCAUAAACCAAGUUAAAAUAAAAUAAAAUAAAAAACGUUUCUCUCUCUCUCUCUCUCCUUUUGCCAUAUGAUUACUUUAUUUAUUGAAUUAAUUUCCAUGCUAUAAAGAAGACUUAAAAGUACACUAUAAUUUUUUAUAAUCACAACGGUAAUUUCUAUCAUCAUAGUAUAUUAUUGUCGUGUCAAAAUAAAUUAUAACAAAAUUUUAGAUGAACCUAAGUUCGACUCGUUUAUUAAAUAUAUAUACUUAGUAAAAAUAAUAAGACGAUUAAUAUGUUAUCAGGUAUAGGAUCAUUUGGCCACUUGGGCUUGUAGCCCAAUGGUGAACCAUUGUCCUUAAAGUUAAGCAUGACUAUGAGGACAAUGGUUCGAGUCCCCACGGACUCAACCUUCCUCAAUUAAACAUAAUUGUGUGGAGACUUCUUAUAACGUCUUUCUCCCUUGCGAAAUGCGAGUGGAGUAGAGACAUCCCUCCUCUAUGAGGGGUAUUUGGAUGGGCAUGUACUUUAUAGAAUAAAAAUAUAAUAAUAUAAAUCCCAUGUGAGUGGAGUAGAGACAUCCCUCCUCUAUGAGGGGUAUUUGGAUGGACAUGUACUUUAUAGAAUAAAAAUGUAAUAAUAUAAAUCUCAUGUAUAUAUAUCUGAUUGUAAAUAUCAGUAUAAUGACCUGCUAUCAUAACAGUUGUAUAUAUCUCUGUGUAAUUUUAAGUUUAAAAAAAAAAAAAAAAGGUAUAGGAUCAUUUGGGCAAUCCGAAGAGUAUUCCAGAAACCGAACGUGAGAGGCAGAUCUUUUGAUCCAACCAUGGCUUUUAUUGCCCCGUACAAAACUCUACUAUUAAUGUUUUUGUGAACAUUGAAGCAUAUGGACCAUUGACUAAGACAGCGGGACCCCUGAAAAUAGACCGUGGAGAAACGAUAGCAACUUUUAUCGAGAUGUGAACGUACUCACACUCACUACUGGAUCCCUGCCGGCCUUUUAUCUCACCCACCUUCAGACAUUGCCGCUCAAAUCACGAAGGAAAGGCAGUGGAAAGGGUAUGAUUGCUAUCAUUGUCCUACGUCCAUUGGAAAGUUAUAUUUUAAAAAUCACCAACAAGGUAUUUUAGGUCCCCCGUGAAUUAUGUCGUUUUUGUCACCCAUAUUUGCACCGACACUCGGUGGGGUGGUGCGAGGGACUAUUAAGAAUAAAAAUAUGGAGACACCAAUUAGGGAUUAUUAUUAUUAUUAUUAUUAUUAUUAUUAUUAUUAUUAUCAUUGCUUAAAAUCUCUUAAAAAAAUAUAUGUUAACAUUGGGAAGGAUAUAUAAUCUCUUUUUUAUUAGUAAAAUCUGUUUAUUUUAGUAGUAACUUAAUCUUUAAUUUACAUUUACUAUCAUGUCCCUAUAAUAAAUAAAUUAAUAUAUUUAACUUAAGAGAGUGAGCCUUCCAAUUUUACUUCCCAUUUGUCCAAUUGGCUUUCAUUCAUUUACAACCAUGUUUAACAUCUCAUUUUUCCUAAUUGGCAUUGGAAGAAAAUAAAUUUGAUUUUAUUUUUAUCUAUUAUUCAUCAUUUUUUAUCAUUGGUAAGGAUAUAUUCAUAAUUUAAAGUGAAUAAUUUGGACAAAAGAUAAUUAUAUCUUAAUUUUAAGUUGUAAAUAAAAAGUUGUUAGUUUUAUUAUACAUGUCAUCGAUGACAUGUCUUAAAUCAAUAUAUUUAUUUAUUUAUUAUAGGAAUAUAAUAAUAAUUAUAAAUUAUAAAUAAAUUUAUUAUUAAAACAAAUGGAAUUUAUUAACAAAAAUAGGAAUUAUAUAUCUUUUUUAAAAUAUUAAAACAUUAUUUUUUUUUUAGGGUAUCACUGUCCAUUUCCCAUUAAGCAAAAGAAAAAUCAGAGCCCACUAUAAAUAUAAAAUCAAUGGAGCUCAUGAUGAUGCAUUUGCUUUACAUACUAAAUUAAAUAAAAGCCGAACCAAGAAUCUUUGCCUUAGCUUAACAUGAUUAAUUAGGCACUACUUCAUAGAAAACGCAAAAGCAAUGAACCCUUUUUUUAAUCUUAAAUGUCAUGAAUAUAAUUCUUCUGCGUUAAUUAAUCAUUCUUCUCUGACCGUCUCUUCAGGUUCAUUUCAAAAGUUUGAAGAGAGUUUAUCAAUUCUUCUACUUAUAAAAGUAAGUUAAAUUAAAAGAUUUUAAUCUCUCUUCUUAUUACUAUAAGUGCGCUGUGCACGACAUUUUUUUACAAUAAACAAUGCCAAUUUGUAAUGUAAUGUUAUAUUCAUAUUCCCAUCGCGUCGAAAUUUUAAAUAAUGCAAAAUCGACUCGUUUGUUAAAAGGUAUAUAUUUAAUAAACUAAUAACAUAAUUAACAUAACGUAAAUAUUACACUAAUUAAAAUAAAAGACAGUAUCCGCCAACAAUAAUUAAAUUAGCAAGCUUCGCAUGCUCAUGUUUCAAUAAUUAAAUUAGCAAGCUUCGCAUGCUCAUGUUUCAAGAACUUAACAUUGGUGAAUUAACACCAAGGAUCAAUGAAAGAAUUACAAAAUAACAAAAUGGAUACUAUGCAUUUUUUCUUUCAACAGAAAAUGGGACUAAUUUUCAAAUAUUUUCAAAUUCACUUAUUUACAAAAGCAGUACAGAAUGAUUUCCUUUUAUUUUGAAACAUUGUAUGAACACGAAUAACAAUGAUACAAAGAGAAAAGUGGUAAUUCUCUGAUUUUUUUUCUUUUUUCCCUCUUUUUUGAAAGGAGACGUUGGGGUUUGGCUGUUUGCAAAAUUAUUGGUGUGGGGUUCUAUUUGCUUUUGUUUUCACUUUAUUAAUUAACUAGCGAAGCAAACAUGUAAUCAUUUGUAAAGGAGUCACUAGCAUCGGAUUAUGUUAGAUGAAUUUGUAAGACUUAUUAAUUUCAAUGAAAAUGUAGUGUUAUUAAGUUAUUAAUUCACUAAGUUAACUUGAGGUUCUAAUAUUUACUAAUUGUAGUGAUUAAUUUAUUUAACUUGUCAUAAUUUUCAUUUGAGAAUGAAAUUCAAUCAAUGUAUGAAAAAAGAAAAAGAAAAAAGAUAAUUUUUAAAAAUUUUUAAUUUCUAUGAUUUGAUUUCACUUUUUUCUGAAUAUUGACGCUGUAAAAGCUUUCCGAAUGUCAUCAAAUGCUUGUAUCCCAUCUCACAAAUUAGCAAAUAUCGUUUGGUUUCUUUAUACGUGGCCAUCACAAACUAAAAGUAACAACAUCCACCAUAUAUGGAAAAUUAAUUUUGAGAAUACUUUUUACUUUUAAAAGAAAAAUGCGAGUACAAUUUAAUAAGAGAGAACAAGAAUUCAUCAUGUUCCAAGUAACUGAAAAUAAGAUUAUAUAAACUUGAAUGCAGACAUAUCAUAUGUUAAUCUUAAUUUUUUUUGUUGCUGAAAAUUAAUUAAUUAGUUCCACUAUUCCUUUUUUAAUUGUAUGGUGAGAAACACAUUGACCACUUCUGAAUCAUGUUGCAUAUUUGUUAACUCAAAGAAACAGUAUAUUUUUGUAUCAAUCAAACUCACUUUGUUAAUAUUCUUCAUCAUUAUGGUUAAUGGCUUAGCAAAUGUAGGAGGAGUCAACCAAAAUGAAUCACUUUCUCUUGUAUUAACCUUUUAUUAAUUGUUGAAGUUAAAAAAAAUGUUAAAACAAAUUAAAAUAGUUCCAACUCAAAAUCAGUAGGGUGUAAGUAGGUUGUUAUAAAUAUUUUUAAAUUUUAGUCUUUUUUUUUAUUACAUGAGACUAUUGUUUAAACUACAACUCAUAUUACAUGAGACUAUAACUGAUAUUUACAAAUCAGACUAUUAUUGAGACAAACUUUAGCCUAAUUUAAUUGUGUGAUGCACAAACUUUCUCACUUCUUUUAUAUAAAUAAAGGGUAGAACUAUUUGAACUCAUUAAAUCACUUUUUAAAUCCCUCUACUUAUUAAGAUCAUCAUAAAAAUUCAAAAAUCCUUUUUAUACUCACUGCAUCUCUUAAAAAUAUCGCAAAUAUGACACAUUUGUCUUCACCUUCUAUUUAUCUUCAACAUUAACAAUUUUUAUUUGAAUCUGUAAUAUUUUUAACACUGUUCAUUCACUCAUUAGAGUUCCAAUAAUAGAAUAUAGAGAUUAAAAAUAUCAUUAGCAAAUUAUUUGUUUGUGUUCUAUAUGAUAUUCUUGGUUUGGAAAAAGCUUUAUCGGCAAUAUAUGUAAAUAAAAGACUAAGAACUUCCAAUAAUUCAGAUUUGAUCGAAACUUCACAAACUUAUUUUCACUUAAAAAAAUAAAAUAAAGUAAAAGAAAUUCUUGUGUUUUAAAAGAGAAACUGCCAGACAUGUUUCUAAGACAACUAGAAACCAAACUAGGCUUGAAGUAGUGAGUUUUGAAUUAUAAAAAAUACAUAAGUGUAAUUUCACCUAAAUCAAAUGAUGAAUUUCGUGACAACGGAUUUAGACUAUAGACCAAUACACAAAGAAUUGGAUGUUCAUCGCAUUUGUUCUUGAAAUUGUUUUGCGCAAAAAGGUUAACUAUUGUAUUAUAUUGUAUUGCAUUAUUUUAAUACAUGUGUAUUGUAUUAUGCUGUAUUGCAUUAACACUGUAUUAUAUUAAUACUAUACAACGUUUGGUUCUCCAUUGUACUCUAUUAAUUUUUAAUUAUACAUACAUUAUAUUAUGCUAUACUAUAUUAUUUUUUUGGUGGUUAAUUUCAAUUAUAUGUUUGGAAAUAAUAUUUAUUAGUACUUAGCAAAAUAUAAAAUAUAGAACCUUAACUUUUAGAAUAUUUACAUCAUUUUUUUUAGUAUAAAUGUAAAUAAUUAUAAUAAUUCUUCAUAGAACUUAUGUAAAAAUAACAAAUUCUGAAUUUUUGAUAUCGUAACAUUUUUUUUUAACGGCGUUUUUCAAAUGUAUACCUUAUUGAUGAUGCACCAUAAAAAUAAAUAUCAAAAUUUGCGAUCAUGAUCAAGUCGAGUUUUACAUGAUGAAAGCAUGACACAAAAAUUGAAAAAAAAUAAUAGCCGGCAAAAAGUUAUACAAGCAACAACAAAAGUGCUAAUUACUCGGAAAAUAAACAAUCAAGAGCCGCUGAUAGAUAUGAAUCAUAUGACAAGGUAGAGGAAUACAGAUAUCUGCAUACAUUUUUAACAAAGAUCAUCUUUGUAACCAAUUGUUGGCUUUGGCAUUAAAAGAUCAUCUUUGUAACCAACUGGGUAGCUAUAAAAUGAAUACUAAGUCAAUCAAAGGGGAAAGCUUGCUACAAGACUUUGAAGCAUUAUUCUGUUGCAUCACCUUCCUCCUCUGCCUCGCUUCCUGCAUCCCAAAUUAAAGAACAACAAAUAUUAAAUAACAAAAACAAAAUCUUCAAUAGACUUUUCAUACUCCAUAGAGCAAAUCUAUGGGAAUCCACAAAAUAAUUGAAAUACAUCAAUCCUGCAGGUCAUAGUAACAAAUUACAGAUACACAAUCAUGCAUAUGCAACUAAAAAAUGCUUAUGUAUUACAGCCGCUUUUUGGCAUCACUACUUCAUAAGUUAUAUAUGAUAAGAUAACAUUAUUAUUCUAAUCACAUGGUUAUGAUUUUAGUUGGACAUACAAAAGCUACGUGCAUGAAUCUGUAUGAUGCCACCUUUCAUGAGUCCAAAAUUUAAAUCAAAUCAAUUUGGUUGAGCCUUGAAAUUCCUAUUCCAGUCAAAGGAGAUGAUUUUUCCAAAGGUAAAGAAUGAGUCCGAUUACUUAAGCAUAUCAACCUUUUUUCUAGGCUAAAGUUUAUCCCUUUCCAUUUCACUAACUCUCCUCGCAAUACCUUGCGUCAACAUUUGCAUACUUGAUAUACUUUCACAACGGCUAAAAACUCAUUUAGUCUAUGUAUUUUAAGAUUAGUAUCUAUUUAAUCCCUAUAUUUUUAAAAAUACCUCGAAACAUCUCUAUCAUUAAAGUAUUAAUACCCCUACCGUUACUUUUUAUUUUUUUUCGCUUACUUUUACAAUAUUACCCUUUUAUUCUUAAUAAAUCCACUCAUUAAAUUAAACUCAUAUAGAAAGGUUGUAAAAAGAUCCCAAACUAAUUAAAAUUUUUAAAAAUUACCCUACAUCAAAUUAUUUUUUUUGUACCAUAAAACAAAACGAUAGUCGCAAACUUAUUUUGUACUAGGAGUAAUGAUUAUGUACAAAAAUGGGCACAGAAAGGUCUUUGGCUCUACAGUCUACUCGGUGAUUCGUGAAAUGCUUUCAAAGAGGGGGCAAAAAGAAAAAAGAAAAAAGAAAAAAGAAAAUAGAAUAUAUUCUAAUUUUUUAAUUAAAAAAAAAAAACCCUACUAUGUACUUUUAUAAUAACUCCCUCGAGUGCAAUGUCUCAAAGGUUGUCUUCUUCGUCCCGCUGACAACCCAAAAGGCAGAAACGCAAUGUCGUCGAAUUCGAUGGAGUCAUUGAUUCUCCAACUCCACGAGAUCUCGGCGGUUAAAUUCGGAAACUUUAAGCUAAAAUCCGGCAUAUCGUCUCCCGUUUACAUCGACCUCCGACUUGUCGUUUCUUACCCUUCCCUCCUCCGCCAAAUAUCCAAAACCAUCAUCUCCUCCCUCCCCUCCACAACCAAAUACGACCUCGUGUGCGGCGUUCCGUACACCGCCCUCCCAAUCGCCACCUGCGUCUCCGUCUCCAACGACGUCCCCAUGCUCAUGCGGCGCAAGGAAAUCAAAGACUACGGCACCGCCAAGGCCAUCGAAGGCAAUUUCAAGAAGGACGAAAUCUGUCUAAUCAUCGAAGAUUUAGUCACCAGCGGCGCGUCGGUCCUCGAAACGGCGGUGCCAUUGAGAGCGGCGGGGCUGGUGGUGACGGACGCCGUCGUAUUGAUCGACAGAGAGCAGGGAGGGAGGGAGAAUCUGAAGGAGAACGGAAUUGAGUUGCAUGCGAUGAUAAAGCUGAGCGAAAUGGUUAGGGUUUUGAGGGAGAAAGGGAAGCUUGAUGAGGAAACGGAGAGAGUGGUGAUGAAGUUUUUGGAGGAGAACAAGAAAGUGGCGGCUUCGAAUUUAGGUGGGGUUAGGGUUAGCGUUAAGGGUUUGAAGUACGAAGAGAGGGCGAAUUUGAUGAAGAAUGAGACUGGGAGAAAAUUGUUUCAAGUGAUGGUGAAGAAGGAGAGUAAUUUGUGUUUGGCUGCUGAUGUUGCCACUGCUGCUGAGUUGCUUCAAAUUGCCGAGAAGGUUUCUUGUUUUAAGUUAUUCAAUUUUCAAUUUUUGUGCUUUAAAUUGUAGGUACAAAUACUUAUAGCAGAGUGUACAGCUACUUCACAGCAUAAAUUCUGUUGUGAAAUUAUUAUUUUUUUUAAUUUCUGUUUUACAAAUUUCUUUUCCCUGAAAAUUGAGUUCAUUCCUUUCAUGCCCAUUAUUAGAAAUUAGAAACAUCCUAGGCUAGGUCUUGGACACGUGGCACACAUGUGGGUCAUGGCAGCCGCUGCUGGGCCUGAAGUUUAGGCCCAAUCUAUUAAUGGUUUUGUUGCUGGCAAUGCCAUUUGUUAAUUUUUUUUUUUUUUUGGGUUUGACCUUUGCCACCGAAAAAAAAAGAUGAUGUUGACUACAUUAGAGUACUUUACUCUGCCUACUGCCUGUUGCCUGUGGUUUGGUUGUUGAUUUUGUGACAUUUGGAUGUAAUAAUGUAUAAGAAUGUCCAAUAUAAUCAUUCUGGAUUAUCUUUUAGAGUGAUAAAACUGUGGUGCAACUGUGGUACCGUGCCACAGUUGCACCUGGAUUCCCACUUAUUCAAGUGAACCCCACUCAUUUGAGUGGAUCCAACGGCUGGUGCAACUGUAGCACGGUACCACAGUUGCACUGUAGCCUGACCCCUUUUAGAGUGCCAUUUAUUCUUUUGUAGUAGUUCAAUUUUUUCUCACGCAAUUUAAGGGAAAAAGAGGGAAAAAAGAAGUAUAUGCAUCGGUGAUAAUAUUACUUAACUAAUUUAAUAUUGAUUUGUUAAUCAUUAAUAUUUCGUGAAUGAUUUACAUUCAUGUUUUUCACAGGGUUCAUGAUAGCACUGCACAUAAUACGAUGCUUUAUUCAUCUGAUUUUCAUAAGAAAGAUAGUUUGUUUGUUUUUUCUUCUCUCUAAUUCUCAUUUGAGAUUUUCAGGUUGGACCAGAGAUCUGCUUGUUGAAAACCCAUGUCGAUAUAUUGCCUGAUUUCACCCCAGAUUUUGGUUCCAAACUUCGUGCGGUAUAGCUCCUCAACCCAUUUUCUAGGGAAAUAAACUCGACUAUAUUCUGAUUUUGUGGAUUCUUAUGAAAUGUUAAUUAAGCAAUACUAGUUAUAGCUAAAAAAUUUUCAACUCUUGAAGAUUGCAGAAAAGCAUAACUUCCUGAUUUUUGAAGAUCGCAAGUUUGCGGACAUUGGUAACACUGUGACCAUGCAGGCUGAAGGGUAAGACUCUGCGCUUCUAUAUUUCUUAAUUUCUUUGUUCUUUGUGUCCUUGCUUCCUCUUGAGGGUUCCUGUCUCUGUGUCUGCAGUGGUAUAUUUCGUAUAUUGGAUUGGGCCGAUAUAAUAAAUGCUCACAUAAUCUCUGGACCGGGAAUUGUGGAUGGUCUGAAAUUAAAGGUUAGAAUCAACUAUUUGGUAUAACUUUUGUUUGCCAUGAAGUAAUCAACUAAUCUGUUUCUAAUGUCACGCAUACUAUUGAUUUACCAGGGAUUGCCUCGUGGUAGGGGUCUGUUGCUGCUGGCUGAGAUGAGCUCAGCUGGUAACCUAGCAAAGGGAGACUAUACAGCAGCAGCUGUGAACAUUGCCGAGGAUCAUUCUGAUUUUGUCAUUGGAUUCAUCUCAGUUAAUCCAGCAUCAUGGCCAGGGGCACCAGUCAAUCCAGCCUUUAUUCAAGCAACCCCUGGAGUUCAAAUGGUAAAGGGAGGUGAUGAUCUAGGCCAACAAUAUAACACUCCAUACUCGGUAAGUUCUGUUCGUUCACUAGCUCCCCUCAACAUGUUAUUUUUCUAGCAAUACUAUCCAUGAAAACUAUUAAUACAAACUUAUCUAUGCAAAUGAACAUGGGAAUACAAUUAUUAAGGUAAACGUUAAAAGAAAGUCAAUUUAAUUGCCACAUCACCCAUUUUCAUUUGUGGUUUUUUUUUUUUUUACUAAUCAAAUUUCAAUGUGCCAGGUUAGUUUAUAUUGGUUGAGUGUGUAUGUCUAGUGUUUUGAUAAAUUUGUCACAAGUUGUAAAAUAGAUGUAAACUUGAGUGAAGAAUUAGCAAUUGAACAACCAGCUCCAAUCGAAUUAGCAUUUUUGCCUUAUGUUCAAAUUUGAGAAGGCCUAACUGAAACAUUUUUUCUUAGGGUCCCAGGUGCAUUGAGCUAGCCGAAGGACUAAUGGGUGCUAGUUACUUAAUAUAAUCUAAGAAAUAAAAUCAGCAUUUUACAUGUAAUGGAAUUUUAGGCAUGUCAAUGAGGCAUAAGGGGAAGAAGUUUUGAUUGCAAAUUUGGGAGGCCAUCAAAAUGAUUUGUUUUGGUGUGAUAACAAAAAAUUCUAAUGAAUAAACCCAAACCCUGGAAUGUUUUGCCAUAUAUCACUAGAUCCUCAAAAGGUUAGGAAAAUGAGGUAAAGAAGAUCCAUUUUCCUCCUGUUUUAUAUAUGUAGGAACUUUAUCUUUUCAUGGGUACAUCAUUGCUAUCACUAGAUCCCCAAGAGAUUAGGACAAUAAGAUAGAAAAGAUCCAUUUCGUCCUUUUUUUUUCACAUAUAGGAAUUUCAUCUUUUCAUGGGUACUUCAUUUCUAUGGAGCCAAAGAUAUCAUUUGCUCUAGUUUCUGAAAUUGAGCUUCGUAUACCAUGCUUUGAAAUUGACCCUUGACUAGAGAGAAAAAAUUUUCGUUUAUGACCAGAAAUUUUCUGUAAAUUGAAAUGAGAAAAAGUUGGAGAGGAAAAGCUUGGGAUUUAUAAUUUGGUAACAUGUUUUAUCUUUUCUUCAGGCAGUAAGCUUUGCUUAGCUGUGUCUAGAUAUCUUUUUGUCCUUGAUUAGCUGAAUUCCUAGAUAUUUCAUCCUAAAGACUUAUUCGUAUCCAUCUUUUCCCUCCAUACAUUGAACCAAUGUUGUAUCUUGUUUCAAAACAGGUAAUUUCUCCAACUUCAAAUUUAGCCUAGCCAACUAUAAUUUAACCAGGGAACAAGCUAGAAGGGGCAGAGCUAAUGAACUAAGGUUAACUGGUGUUUAAAAUAGUUGUAACUUGUACCUCAGUGAUUUUAUUCGAGAGCCUCACAGCCAUGUGAUAUUCCCUUUGUCACACAUAGUAUGACUAUUAAGAUGCUUCUUGCAGGCUAACUAAUCAAACUUGUUACACCAACAAAACAAUAGCUGAGUGCUCGACUGCUCUUAACCUGUUCUAUUUGGUUGACACUGUUGCAGCUUUAAUAACUUUAACGUAAAAUUGUUCUCCAGGUCAUCUACGAUAGGGGUAGUGACAUAAUUAUUGUGGGUCGUGGAAUUAUAAAGGCAGCAGACCCUGCAUUGGCAGCCCGUGAGUACCGGCUUCAAGGAUGGGAGGCCUACUUGGCUAAGUGCAGCUGAUCCUCCAUUUAGGUCUGGACUUCUGCUCGCUUCAACGGUUGCGAUAAUGAACAGAUGAGUCAAGUUCUGUUUAAUAUACCAUGCAUUGGUAUGUCUUAUGAAACCGAGAGAGUUUGAAGCUUUUGGCUGCAUUGUACUUAUAGUAACUUCUCAAGUCUGGUAAUGCUGCUUGUCUGGUUUUCCCAAUGAAACAUGGUUGCAAGAUUUCUGAGUGUUGUGUUAUCAACAAUAUAUGAAAUUUAUGAACGUGGUGUUUGGAGUUGCCAACCAUCUCAUUCAAAAUUAUCAUAUUGAAUGAUUCGGAUGAUUCCUCUUUUGUGGUUUGGAUGGACACGUGGCAAUGCGCAGUAGAUGCCUUGGAAAUUGGUAUCGGGCAAUCAUCUUUAAAUGUUGAUAUGGUAAAAUGACCAGGAUUACUUUAUGUUUAGCAAAACGAAUCCUUUUCUCUCUAAUAUUUUAUAACCUACAAAUAAUAAUGUUAAAAUGUCAGUUUUUCCAACCGAAACAACUUAUAAUUUAAAAAAAAAAAAUUGAUAGCAGAAUAUUAAAUAAAGGGAUAUUUUUUUUAGAAAAGGAAAAUAGUUAAUUUAGCCAAAUAGAAAGAAGAUACUCAUUUUCCCAAUGGUUUUUUUUAAACUCUCAUUUUCUCAAUAUAUAACUAAUAAUUUAACAAAGUGUUAUUAAUAUUUUAAAAUAUUUCUUAGGAUGAAUUGAUUUUUAAACGCGAGCGAGAAGAAAUUGAUAAGAUUUAAGGGUAAUUUUUAAAAACCUCCCCUGAGGUUUGAGGCUGUUGCAAGUAGAUGGUGAAAAUCAUUUUAUUUGUAAAAAGCCCCCUACCGUUAGUUAAAAUUUUCAUUGACUAACUGUUGACUUUGAAAAGACAAUAUUACCCCCAAUAUUUACAAUUCUAAAUAUUUAUAAUUUCAUAAGUAAUUAAAAUAAUUAUUUUCACCAUGAUCAAGUUAUUGAUAUUUCUUUAAAAUCUUAAAAAAAUAAAAUUACAAAUCUUAAAAUAAUUUUUUUUAAGUUUGUAAUAAAAUUACAAAUCUUAAUUAUUUGAUAUAAAAAUAUAAUUUUUUUUAAGUUUGUAAUUUUAUUUUUUUAAGAUUUUAAGGAAAUUUUAACUGACGUAAACUAUUAUUGGGGGUAAUAUUAUCUUUUUAAAGUCAACAGUUAGUCAAUGAAAAUUUUAACUAACGGUAGGGGGUCUUUUACAAAUAAAAUGAUUUUCACCAUCUACUUGCAACAGCCUCAAACCUCAGGAGAGAUUUUUAAAAAUUACCCUAAGAUUUAAUUAGUAACAUUAAGAUCGGUAAAUGAUAUAAUAUAAAACAAAACUAGUAAAGAACAAAAAGGGCCAACAUGAAGAAAACCCAAAAUUGAAACCUGUCCUUUUUGUAUUUUCUCGAGAAAUUUCUCUCUCCGACUUACAGCUCAACGGCUUUAGUUUGAAAUUCUUCACACUCUUUCAAUUGUCUUUCAACGCGCACACUUCGUAUCCUUCGUUAUUAAUUGUUCACACACGCUCCCCCAACACCGAGCAGACUCUCUCUCUCUCUCUCUCUUCUGUCCGAAUUAGGGUUCUGUUGGGCCGUGAAACAUUAUAAUGCGCUUCUGAUUUCAAAUACUUUUCCAGGUAAUUUAAUCUUUUUUUCCUUUCUUGCUUUCUGGAAUAUUCUAAGAUCUUAAUCUAGAUUUGUUUCCUCAUUUCGGCAUUUUAAAAAAUUUGCUUUUUUUUUUCUCUUACGGUUUAGGGUUCUCAAAAUCAUAUACGAUGCUGUUUUACUGCCACAUUUGUAAUUCGGCCAUUUUUCUUUUUCCUUUUUUUUUUGUGAGUGUUGAAAAGGAAAAAAGUGAUAUUUUCCUUUCUGGGUAUUGCUGGAUUUUGUCCCCAGAAAAAAAACUGUAAUUCCGUCUCUUUGCGUGUAUAUAUGUAUAGGUAUCUUCUACAUUACCAUCUUAUUGGCUUUCCGGGUGACGAAAAUGGGUAGCUUAACUUUCUUAUAAUUGAGUUAUGCUAUGUGGGUUUGUUGUGGUGAUUAAAUACUGAUGGCAGUGUCUAAUGAGAUGAUGAGGGAACUCUAUCUAUGCGAAAAUGCAUGGUGUAUUUCGUGUUUAAAGAUUUUUAUGCAAGUUUUAUUGUAUUACGUUGUUUUAUUAAUAUUACUGUCUCCCAAUAUUUGAGUUCUUGUGUUUAUCGAAUGAUAGAAAAGAGUUUACCCUGAUUUAUGGUUUUGAUUGAGAUGUAAUGGAUAUUUUUAUUUGAUUAUAGGUUGGGAAGUCAAAACUUGACCUUGGUGCCUGCAAGGAAGAAGUCAAGAAGAUUGACUAGGAAACAAGAUCUGUUGGUAAGAAUUCCUUCCCAACGAAAACUUUAAUACUGAUUAAUGUCAUAAACUUGUUGGUUCAUUUUUUUUAAAUUUAAAUUUUCAUUUGCCUGGGCAUGUUUGCUGUACUAUUAUUCAUAAAUUGGGAAUUGAUCUUUGAAUGAGUAUUGGAAUCAAAUAAUGACGAAAGUAUAUAAUGAACAGUUGAAUGUUCUUUGGCCAAAAUAAAUUCACUUUGGCAUGACUCAAGGCUGAAAGAAAAGAUUAUGUAAUGAAAAGAAGACAAUUUUUAUGAUGAUUAUGUAUACAUGUCAAACAAUGUCGUAAAAAGGAAAUAUGUCAUAGAAUGCAGAAAAUGUAGGAAACUACAUUGCCCCUCUUAGAGUUUAUCUAUAUAUAUAGUUUCCUUAUAUAUAUAUAUAUAUAUAUACCCUAAGGACCGGAAAGAGUUAAAGCUUAGGGUGACUGGUAGAAUUUGGAAAGAACAGUGAUGGAUGGAAGUGCUUUUUGUCUUGCAGCUUCGUGCAAUCAUGUUUUGCCGUCAUAGCUGGUAGUUGAGUUUUAUCUUGUUGGUGGGUAGUCCAGUGAGUCCUCUUGUUCAUGUAUUUUUUUGUUAUGUAGAAAGCAAAUUUUCUUUGCAUGUCCUUGCACUGAAUGCAUGAGUGGGGAAGACGUGUCGUGACUCUUUAUGCCUACAAUUGUAAUAUCUAUCUAAAUAUAUUUCAAUGUAUUGCAUUGCUGCAGUGCCAUUAGUUUUCUCUUUGCCUAUGAUGCAUAUGAACGAAGUCAACAGGAAUUAAAGCUUUGUGUCAUUAGUUUAACCAUGAAGCACUUGAAAGAGUUUUGUGGAAAGUUUUUCAAAGAAACAAAUUUUCUUAUUAUCAAUUUGCAAUUGAAUAAAAAAAUGACACAUUAAAUUCUCAAAAAUGACACAUUAAAUUCUCUCUUUUUAAUUAAAAAUUUUAUUAUCAAAAUAAUUUUUAAAAAUUACUUAAUUAAUUCUUUCUUUUUUUUUUCUUCUCAAUUUCAUAAAUUCUCAUAAAUUCAUUCAGAUAUCCUUUUUUAGCUACAAAUAAUCGAUAUCACUAAGUAUUUCAUGUUUGCUUUAUAUGAAAAAAAGGAAUUAUGAAUAAAGUACUUUAGAUAUAUUAUUAUUAUUAUUAUUAUUAUCAUUAUUAUUAUUAUUAUUAUUAUUAUUAUUAUUAUUAUUAUUAUGAUAUACUAAAAAAGGACAAAAUUAAACUAAAAAUAUAGUGAAAUUGAGUGUUUAAUUUGUAAAGAAUAGAGAAAAUAUGCAAUUGUAAGAUAAAGAGAGAAAGUGACAAGUGAAGAGUAAUUUUGAGAAUUUUAAAUUUUUAAUAAUAAAUUUAUUUUUUAAAAUAGGUACAGAGAUAAAUUUAAUUCAAAUAGGAGAGGAAUUUAAUGAGUUCAAAUAGCCUCACCAUUGUAAUAAUAUUAUACAGAAUUUAAUGUUAUACUAUAUUAUAUUUAUUUUUUAUUGAUAUUAUUUAAAUUUAUUAUUAAUUAUAUUAAAUUAUUAACUAAAUAAUUAUUUUAUGUUAAUUAUUUUUAUGUUAAUCAUUAAUAUAUAAAUAUAAUAUAAAAUAGCAUUUUUAAAUAAAACUACAUGAUACCAUAAUUUUAUUUUUAAAUUUUAUUUAUUAUAAUAAUAAAAUUAAUUAAAAUAUAUUUAAUGCCUCAAUUAAGGCAAAAGCUGGUAAUGUUCCACAAUGCAGUUUCCAAAACUUUCAAAUAUAGGUAACCAAUAAAUUAAUGUAAUCCGUAUUUAUAAUAUUAUGCAAUGUUAUGUUCCAAACACACCCUUAAUUUAGUUUUUGCCGCAUUAUCAAAUCUCGUGCCCUCCUUUGUAAAUUGUAUUGGUAACUUUACAACAUAAAAUUAUUUAGUCAAUUAGAAUAUAUUUAAUUCUUACUAUUUUAUAAAAUAUUAAAUUUAAAUGGUAAAAAUAUUGACUAUUGCCAACCAUCACAAUCCACCGCUUGCGAUAUCAUUUUGAUAUCCUUUGACAUCAAUUUAGGAAUUAAUAUAAUCCUUAUUAUUGGAGCUAUACAACGAUAUAUGUAAAACCGAAAAUAGAGCUUCAUUCAUUGUAGAUUUAUGGUCAAAGUUUUGUAUCUCUAAAUUUUGACCGUAUAUUUAUUAUAAUGAUAGGAAACUCUGUUGCUGAUGAGAUAUGCACCAUUGUGUAUAUCGAAUGAUGAAAAUUAUAAUGGUACCGAAAUUGACAUCAAAAGAUACUGGAAUAUGAACACCGAAGAUAGCUCAUGGUGGCCCAUGGGUGACGGUGGUGAGUAAUCUUCUGUCGUUUAUAAAUUUUAAAUAAUAAAUUUAAUAAUUAUAAAUAAUAAAAUUUUUAAGACAUUUAUAAUUAUAAAAAAUAAUUUAAUAUAAGUAAUAAUAUUUAUAUUAUUACAUAUAAUGCUAUACAAUAUAACACCAAAUAUUGUACAAUAUUAAUAUAAUAAAAUGAUAAUGCAAUAUGUCUACACUAUAAUACAAUAUAGUGUGCCAAACACUCUCUACGACUUUACUUAAUGUUGCUCAAUGCCUUUUAUUUCAAUUCCCAAUCAUGAGUUCAUCUCAAUUAAUGCUGGGCCCAAAUGUAGUGUUGUGCAAUGCUGCAAGUCAAACAUACCCUUUGUGUAAUACAUUCACACACGCACUCUCUUUUUUUAAGUAAGAGCAUCCCCACAUUGUUAAAGUAAAAAUGUCACUAAAAUACAAAAGAAUAAAAAUUUCAAUAUAUAUAUUUUUUAUUUGUUAGUAUAAUGAAAAUUGUGUUUUUUGUUUGUUAGUAGCUUCCUCAUUUUAACAAAGUUAGGAUGCUCUCACUAAAAAAUGAUUAUAUAUAUCGGAGUGAGUUUUCAAUUAAAGAUCCAUUAUUAUAUUAAAGUCAAUGAUAAAUUAAAAAUAAAAAAAUACUGGUUAAUAAUAUAUAUGCAUCAGAGUCUGUAAUUUUAUUUUUUAACUUAUUGUUGAUUUUAAUAUAGUUAAGAUUCAUGUAUAUAUAUUUAAAAAGUAGAAGAAGAAAUCAAUUUAAAGGGCCAUUGAGAUCUGGAUCCAAAAGCCCAGAAAACUUCAAAUUGGACUAUGACCCAAACAGAACCCCAGAAUCAACUUACACUCGACCUCUCCCGGAAGCAGUAUCGAGCUGAUUUUGCAGGUGAAAAUCCGUUGAUUUUAAUUUCUUUUUCUCCAAAAUUUUCAUUUCAGUUAUUAUUAUUAUUAUUAUUUUUCAAUAAGUUCAUCGAAUUUGUUCUCUGUUUCUUAACCAAGAAAAUGAUCAAAUAAAGUCUUCUUGUUGAUUCAGGUUUAUACUCGUAAAUAAUAUAUCAUGCCGGACACUCAGGCUCUUGUGAAUGACUUUCUUAACAAGCUUAAAAAACGGUGACGUUUCAGACAGUAUAUUUUAAUUAUUCUUUUUUUUUUUACUGAUUUUAGGAGCUGAUUUUGUUUGUUUGUUUUGUGAGUGGCAGUAAGAUCGAGGGCUCGCAAGCAACGGCAAGGCAGACCGCGGAGCUGCUUCGCUCUGUGAUUUCGCAGCAGCGCGUGCCGUACACAAAUCAGGCUGGAGCUUUAAUUGAUGCUGUCAAAGCUAUUGGCGAGCAGCUCGUUGCUGCCAAUCCUGAUACAAAUAUGGUACUUAGUCAUGUUAGUUAUUUUUAAUAUCAUUGUAAUGAUAUCACCUUUUUUCAGCUGAAUUGAUUUUUAUCAAAAUGUUAUUAACUUGAACUAUGUUAAUUGUUUUCAUCGCUCUUAAUUUAGUUUUGUUGUAAUCCAGCAUCCUCCAAUUAGUAGUUUAGUACAGCUAAUAUAGUGUAUGUGCUGUAGGUAAUUUGGCAUAGUUACCUCUGAGGUUGGGGUCUUGUACAAUUAUUUAUGUUAGGCACCAGAACUUGCAUUUGUUUGGGGCAUGCAUUAGAUAAUCUGGUAUCUACAAAUUUAUUGUACUUCCAUAGCAAAUAUUCUUCUUUUCUUUUUGAAUCACAUGGAUGAAACUAUGCAUUCUGCUGUUGAAAAUUAGUACUGUUGCUAUAUUCACUAUCAAAUGGAUUCGGCAUCGCUAAGAAACCUUUUCUACAAAGUUAUACUUGUUUUUUUAUUUAUGAUUUGUUUCUUUUAUUUCUUUCCCUUUUGUGGCUUUUCAAUUCUCCCUAGCACUUUUUUCCAGAUCCUCUUUCCAAAAUUAAAAAUGAUUAAUUUUCUUCUUUGUUUGUGAUUUAUGUUUUCUUCACUUUUCUGAUUGAUUAAAUGAUAUAUCAAUGCAGAGCUUGCCGUGGGUAAUAUUGUGAGGCGUGUUUUACACAUCAUUAGAGAGGAAGAUCUGUCUUUGACUACGGCUGCUAUUGGUGGGCUGAACUUAUCUGCUGUAAGUGAUGAUGAAAAUGAUGAUGAUCGAGAUGGCGACUCAACUCUAUCAGCAGCUGCUGUUGCUGCUGCUGCUAGAAGUACUUUGCGUCCACCUUCUUUGCAAACUCUGCUCGAGGACACACCUGUCUCUGCAGCUGUUCCUCAGACUUCCUCAUCUGGGGGUGAUUCUGAAGGAAAAAGCAAAUGUGUGUUACUUUUUUUUUUUUUUUUUUAUAAAGUGUUUUUGAUAAUUCUUCAAUCACAGCAUCUUCUGUUAUUUUCCCUAAAUAAGCUUGUCUUAUGUAACACAUGUUUUAAAUAUGCAAUCGGAUGCAUCUUGGUGAUAAACUGGUGUUCCUGAAUGUUUUAGCAUUGAUGAUUUAGUUAAUUCAGCCUUAUGAUGGUAGAUAGUUAACAUACUAGUUUCCUUCACAGCUGCUGAUAAAAGUUCAAGAAGUCGGAAGCUGAAGCAUGAUGUUAUUGAAGCGGUUAAUGAACUUAUUCAAGAUAUUGUCACUUGCCAUGAACAGAUUGCUGAACAAGCAGUGGAGCAUAUACAUCAGAAGUAAUUAUUCCUUUUCCUGAUUUCAACUAGACAAUAUGUUUUUUCUCCAUACUUGGACUUUAUUUUCAGGAGAAUUGGAUGUCUACAUAAUUCCUUUUUACCUGUUAAUUUAGGAUAUAUGUAUUCAGUUUGUUGUUUAUGAAUGUACUACACUUAAAAAUGCAUGCAAUAUCUCAUUUAGAAGCAUAUAUAUAUGCUCUUUUCAUUCUUGUUAGGUUUUUUCUAUGUCACUUUCUUAAGUCUAAAAGAAUAAUGUUGUUUGUCUAUUCUCAUGUUGUCUUCCCAAGGAAUUGUAGGAUGAUAAUUUCAUGUAUCGAUGAUGAACUGUAAGCAGUUUUCAUAUCUGGCUUGCAAGCAUUCCCUUUUAGUAUGAUGUGGAGGUUAGGUUGUCGGAAUUGUUGGUGAUUCAUUGACCUGAGGGCUAAUUACGGUGCUGGCAUGAGUAUAAUUGACUUUAAAUGACUUUUCUGCACAGAACUAAGCUGGGCUGUGUAUUUCUGUAUUGAUCACUCAUUUGUGCUCUUUAGAACUUAGAAGUGCAGGAGGGUAGGUUAUGAGGGGAUUUGGAAAGUAGGAAUUCAAAUGCUUAAAUUGAUAGGCAUACUUGGGCAAUAAGGCGUUUAAAUGCUUCACUUGUAUGAUUUAACUACGAUUUGCAACAAGAGCGGCAUCAUUCAUUUAAACAUAGAAGAUUUAGAAAAAUUGUAUUGGAUGUGUUAGUGCUAAUGAACUUUUAAGCAUUUGGUGUUUCUGCUUUUUUCCUUCUAGGUGAAAGUGAAUAUGUUUUAUUUAACUCAUUCAACAAAUUGCAAAUUUGGUAAGGUGGUAACUGCGACUUUGCUCAUGUUAUUGUUUGACUGCGUAACGAGUUCAACUGUGUGCUUUACUGCCGAGAGAGCUCUAAUGAAGCUGUUUUUUGAUUUUGAGGGGCAACUUCAUUAGCUCUUUCAUUAGGAUAAUAAUAUAUGUAUUAUAUUCGUAUUCUCCUUAGAGAUAAGGAUAAGAGUGUAAUAAGUGUGAUGUGACUUAAAGUAGGUAAUGAGUUGUAAAGUAGAUUCCUUAGUGAUAAGGAUCAAUAAUGCAAAUAGUGGAUCCCUUGAGCCUAUAAAAGAGAGUCCAUGGUUUGUAUCUAGGCAUCGAGUCUUGGAGUGCAAAUAGUGGAUCCCUUGAGCCUAUAAAAGAGAGUCCAUGGUUAGCAGGGGAAAUAUUGUGAUUCAUGGCCUUUAUCUAGUUUGGGUCAGCUAUGGCAUAUUAUAUAUGUUCUCUUGUGUCUUAUCUCCUAUAUUGUCCAAUACAUGUAUAUGCUUAUUUUUAAAUUCUUCAUCUAUGUUUCUUCCUACCAUUUGCUACUUCCAUUAAUUUUAGCUAUUAAAUGUAUUUUCAGUGAGGUAAUAUUAACUUUAGGCAGUUCAAGGACGGUGUUGGAAUUUCUUUUUGCUGCAAAGGAGAAAAAAAGAUCAUUCCGGGUAUUUGUCGCAGAGGGUGCUCCAAGGUUUGUGCAAUGGCUUGCUAUUUGUUGAUUGCAAAGAAAUAUUUCACUGGCUACUUUGGCUCUGAUGUUCUCUCUCUCUCUCUCACAUUCUCUGUUUGGUUGCUGUUCUGCUACUUCUUGUUUUAUAGGUAUCAGGGGCAUCUGCUUGCAAAAGAAUUGGUAGCAAGAGGUUUACAGACCACACUGAUUACUGAUUCUGCAGUUUUUGCCAUGAUUUCCCGAGUAAACAUGGUAUGUUUGGGCCACUUUUCUCGUUUGGUUUUGGAUUUCCUGAAAUGUUUUUAGCUUGAUCUAAAAUUUUGCAAUGUAAAGGUUAUAGUUGGAGCUCAUGCUGUCAUGGCCAAUGGUGGGGUUAUAGCACCUGUUGGGAUGAAUUUGGUUGCACUUGCAGCUCAGAAGCAUGCUGUCCCUUUUGUUGUACUUGCCGGAAGUCACAAGGUAGUUUGGUGCAACAAACUGCUUAACUAGAAAAUUAAGUAAAAUUUAGAAAGCCCAUUUUCCUUAACUGCCAUUCCUAAAUUCGUUGGUCUUGUGUAUGAACUGGUGUGGAGUUUAAGAUGGUGCUCAGUUAUUCAUGUGAAGUGAACUUCCCUUUCAGAUAAAACUGAUCACUAAUGUAAGGAGUAGUAUGUGCAAGAUGCAAAUGUGUUUAUGAAUAGUAUGUGGGUGUAAAAGCUCAUAUUCUUUGUACCAAAUAUUAUUGAAUGUUGGUUGAAUUAAUCUCUGUAGCUGCAGUCCUUUUUAAUGCAUCAACAUGUUUGCUGGGUAUUGAAUUGCAUCUGGUUGUAAUAACAUUGUAGUUGGAGAUAAAUCAUUGAACUCUGGUACUUCAGUUCUGGGUAUGAUCUUUUUGACAAAUGUGGUUGGUCUAUAUGACAGUUAUGCCCCCUCUAUCCGCACAAUCCUGAAGUUUUACUGAAUGAGUUGAGAUCCCCAUCAGAGCUGCUGGACUUUGGAGAAUUCUCAGACUGCAUGGAUUUUGGGAGUGGCAGUGGUUCCCCUCUUCUUCAUGUGGUCAAUCCAGCAUUUGACUAUGUUCCACCGAAACUUGUUAGUCUUUUUAUUACUGACGCGUAAGUUCAACUGCCCUUUUAGCAUGAGACAGAGACAAUCUACACCUUACGUGCAAUUUUUAUGCAAUAUAUAUAUAUACAUUAAGAUUACUUAUUUGAUUUCAUUGUAGAGUACCAGUUUUCUGGCCCCUUUAUUUUCCAUUGGUGUUCCAGUUCUAUCUCUCAAUAUAUUUCAUUUUUUUUCCUCUGCUAUUGCUGUGUUGUUCUGCUAAUUUCUUUUCUUCUUCACAGGGGAGGGCACAAUCCUUCAUACAUGUAUCGGUUGAUUGCUGAUUAUUACUCGGCUGAUGACUUGGUUGUGCAGCGAAGAGCUACUGCUGGGAAUUGAUUUUGGUUUGUAUCAUCUAUUGUGUAAGUAGUCUUUUUGUGCCAAUGCUCUGGUGGAAAAUUGUUGAUUUUAACAAAAAGGAUAAUCUUUUUAAAUUGACAUAACAAUUGGUACUCUUUCUGAUUGUUAUGAUUCCAAUAAACUUAAUUGAUGUUGCAAACUGCUUCAUCUCGGGAUAUACAAUAAUUAAAAGAUGACAAUGAGUGAAUGCUGUAACUUGGUAUAUCAUUUUGAGCUUUGACUUUAUCUAAUCUUUGCCCUAUUUUAAGGUCAGGAAUUUAUUAUGGCAAGAGCAUUAGCUUUGGGUUUGAGAAAUUUCAAAUCACUGAAUUUGGAGCUGAGCUGAUGCUGUAAAAGAACUCAGGGACAUAGCGAUUGCGAGGCAAUGGUGUGAACUUAGUGCAAAUUUUAGGGACGCAAACAAUGAUAGGAUAAUUUUUGUUGGCAGAAAUAUUAAAAUGUAAAAUAGAGGCUAAGAGUUGUACUGAGAUAAAAAGGUGGAUACGGUUGGAUAAUAUUUUUUGAUUGUAUCAAGGUUGGUGGUCAAGUGCUGUAUUCUUCUUCAUCAGUGAUUUUCAGACGGACGGUAUAACAUUGUUGUAUUGCUUGUUGCUUAAAAUUUUCAUAGCAGAACGUAGCUGUUGAGAUGUUUCCUAGAAUAAUUUUCUCGUCUUUGCAUGAAUAACAUUGGAGAAUAAUUAUCUGUUUAACUGUGUGUUUUCUUUCGUUCCUCGACGGUUGAGACAUGUUACUUUUGAGUAAUGAUAUGAGCCCAAAGGUCGACAUAAAUGAGUGCCAUGUGGAUGCCUCCAAGAAAGAAACAGGGCGUCCAAACCGCAUCAUGAGAGUGACAUAACGUUUGUCGGGCUCAAUAUAUCAUUACAUGUUACGUUUUGGAACAUAAACCAAGGAUUUGAAAUGCAUUAUUAUACAUUAAUCCCCCUGACAUAAUAGGCCGAACCCUUUAAGCCAUUUGAGAAGGGUCGAGUGUUAAAAAGGGAGUAACAAGAGCUACGAGACUAGUCUCUUGACUCGCAUUACAAGAGGUUACAUAAAACUUCGAAUAUUAAAAUUAAGGCGCACAUAAUGCAACUUAGAUAAUGAGAAAUCAGCAGUAACUUUGCAAACAUUGGAAAAUGUUACAUAAAAAUGAGAAUACAGUUUUCAUUGAUGGUCUACAUCGAACCAGAAAUACAGAUAAGUCCUGGCAUAUAUAACUCGAACUCGCUGCAGCACUAGAUCUCCACUAGUCAAAACAGCCUUGGCACCUCCUUCAAUUCGAGUAUGCAAAACAGUAACACUAUCACCAUUACUCUUCAUUGGAGUAGAUGUAAUACAGCUACGAGCUGUACUCACGAUUGGGCAUGAGAGGAAGUCCAGUGGAUUCGUCUCACACUGAAGUACACACCCAUCUAUAGUUAACCUUCCACUCCGAUGGAGAAAGCAGCAGCCAAGCUCUGCUUUCACUGUUAAAUUCGCCAGCUUGCAUGUGGAUAGAAACUCCAAGGCACUGCCCAAACAAAACAAAUAUUGCAUAGCAAAUUUUGUUGCUUGAGAUAUUAUGCCGGUCAUUUUCGAGGAUCCUACUUCAUAUUUUUGGAUAACUAAAUCUAAAGGAAGAGGCUUGGUAUAAAACAGCUCAACCUUAAAAUAUAUAACAAGAUCUUGAAAAAGAGCAACCAGCACAUCACAAUUAUUCAUCUUAUGUGAUGAUUUAUUAUAUCUACUUGUGAACCAUGCAUAAAGUCUGUUGAAUUAAAGUGUCACUCCUAUUAACGGUAUCUUCUGUAAAAUCCAACAAUAUGAAAGGGUCCUCAUGUAAUUCUAAUUAAUCUCCACAAAACAGUAUAACUUAAUCUGAAAUAAAAACCAGAAAAUUUACAAACCUGUCCGAACCUCGAGAACAGAUGAGGGUUGUUUCAUCAGGAAGCUCACCUCCACCGACCUGAAAAGUAAGUUCAGAGAAAAGGAAAAAGUGGAAAACAUUUAGAUGACAGAGAUCUUAUUUCUCUCUCUUCUGCUUUCCAACCAAGAAUAGAAAGUGAGAAGCCAUGUUUUUAUCUUCAGUAGGCAAUUACUUUGCGAUCAUAAUACAAAAAGGAAACCAAGGAAAUAAGUGACAAUAGCCAGCUUUCAUGAGUUGCGCUGAAGGCAGAUUUGUCACUCAGACGAAGCUGGUUUACUCAAUCAUAUCGUUUCUCAUAUUGGAUUGAUUCCUUGAACCCGCAUGAUAAUGGGAUAAAUCUGAUGUUGACUUGUGCAAUAAAGUUCCCUAAGGUUAACCAAACUAUGAAUUUCAAAUUCACCAGUCCUCGUAUGACUGCAAAACUUAAUUAGACAUUAUGAGCCCUAUAUGAGAAUAGGGUUUAAAUUUUGGGAUUUAUGGUUUAGGUAUCUGCAUUAAUCUGUGUCUCUAGUAUAGAUAAUUUUUAUUUACUUUUUUUUUUUUUUUGAUGACAUGAGACUAUUGCUCAAAUUACAACUCAAAUUACAACUCAUAUUACAUGAGAGUAUAACUGAUAUGUACAAUCCUAUAUAUAUACUGAGACCUAUUGAUAUUAAUGCUGAUAUGACACUGCUCAGAUUUUUUUUUGUAACCCUCUCAAAUAUUCGAGGGACGUCAAACUCCCCUUCUAGGAGAAAGACUGCCUUCACUCGAGCUCUGGGGCUCCAAGGAAGGAAAUAUAAAUUAAACCCCUACAAUACGCAUGCGGAGGCUCGAACCCCUUCCCUCACAUUUGUGAGGGAGUGGCUCUAGCCACUUGGGCUAAGCACAAGUGGUUUUAUUUACUUUCUAUAUGAGCAUGCCAUUCACUCUUUUUUUCAUUUUGGGAGAAGAAACAGUCAACCUACAAAGAUAAUAAAAUUCAAGCAAAUAUAAUAACAAUUAAUGUCAACAAUAGCCCCAAGAGGUGAAGAAAUUUUACCCAUCACCUCACACAGUUUUACCACAAGUCAGAGUUAAUCCAAAUUCAUUAGUUGGGGGCAACGCCUCAUGUCAACUUUGAAUCAACUUCAGAAGAAUAACCUUCCAUCAAUAACUUAUACAAUUCAUUUUUAAAUUAAUUUUAACAAUAAGUCUGUAUCAAACAUAUCUUGCAGCUCAUUAUGUAGAAUAUAAAUUAAAGAAUAAGAAUUCUGUUGGACUAAAUGACUGUAAUGAAAUAUGUACAGUAAAAGGACAAAUAGUGUGCCCCUCUUUUUUCUUUUUGCCUUUUUAAAUUUUCAUGAUAUUAACAGUCCAAGAGACUUUCCUAACCAAGUUUCUAUAGUGUAAAUUACAUCGCGGAAUGGGAAUAAUCCUUUAAUUGUUCACAUGAGUGUAUUAUUGAGAACAAGGAACGAUUGAAUAACGACCAAAUUAAGUCAGGCACAGUGGUUUGUAUUCGCACACAUAUAUGAAAUAAUGUUUUAUAAAACAAACAACAUACCAGGCACAGUUAUUUUUUUACUGAAUAUUAGAGACAGGAUGACUAUCGCCUGCUGCAAUUAAAAUGGUGUCGCCCGAUCUAUGAGGAACAAUAUGAAGAUCAGGUUUUAUAGUCCUAGCGUAUCCCACUUCUAUUGUUAUAGUUUAGAAGUUAAGUUAAUUUUAUUCCAUAAUUUUAUGAUAAAAAUUUAUAAUGUCUUGACUAUUUUAUUAAAAUUAUUAAAAAUUAUAUUUACUACACAUUAUCAAUUUUUAUUUCACAAUUAUAUGAAUUUUUUUACAGCAAUCGUAAUGUUUGAGUUAAAGCACCUCAAUAUUAAAUAAAUAUUUAACCUACAUCUUUUGUGUAAAAAAAAAAAACCACAAUUCUUGCUGAAUGUUUGAUAAAUCACUUGCCAUACAAUAAAAUUUCAUGAUAUUUAUAAAAAAUAAUUAUGAAAAUUUAUCAAAGAAUUUGAUAUUAGUAACAUUUUUAUUCAAUAAUACUAACUAUACUUUUUUUAAGAAAAAGUUGGGCCAGAUAUCAAAGCCCAGCUGGCUCGUUUUGGGCGAAAACUUAAAAGCAACUCUGGUGGCCAACAUUGGGCGUAACUCAGAAGUAAUUUCGUGGGUGGCGUGGGUCAUGUCGGUUUCUUGUGGGUGGUGAAUGAGAAUAUUGGGUGCUGUUAGUGUUGUCGGUUAGUCAAAUACUUGAUGAUGGUCAAACAUAGCAAACCUUAAAAGAAAGAUUUUGAUUCAGUGAACAGUCGACUUGGAGUUUGUUGAACAAGUGGAAGAUGAAGAGAAGAUAAACAGUGAACGAAGUACUAAACGAUUCAAAAGCAAAACUAUGAAAAAUAAUUCUUUUAUUGCUCCAAUAAACAAUCUUGAUGAUGGCUGCCUUAUGCACGUAUUCAGCUUCUUAUCCCCAAUUCCAGGUGACUAUCUUUUUUUGGGGAAUUAUUUGUAUUUAAUUAAAAAAAAUCUUCUCUUUCUUAUAAAUGUUUAGUGUCAUUAAGUUAUGUAGUAUUUGUGACCUGAAUGUUGCUGGCCUUUUUAGAAGUUUGCUUCGGGUUUUUGACUUUUGUGUUGGGAGUCUUAUUUAUUUUCCCUAUUGGGUUUUGCCCAAUUCAUCACUUUUCCUGAAAUUUAUUUUGUACAUUGAGAGGAUUAUUUAUUUUUUUAAAAAAAACAAAAAUUUUAUAUUUAUGCGGAAUUUCAGAAUAUGGGCAUUUCUGUUGUGAACAAUUGUCUAUUAAUUUUAAAUUCCUGUUUCAAAAACUCUAUGUGCUAAAUUUAUGUUAUUGAUACUCUUUUGUGCGUAAAAUAGUAUAUUGUGUCCCUUAGAAGGGCUGUAUAUCCUCAUUCUUCACAUGCCUUAAAAGAAAUCUAGAAGGAUCGGAUAGAAAUUAUUGUCAAAGAACAUGAUAAUUACAUCAAGAUUUCUGGGGUUUAAUAGAUAUUGUUGAGUAAGCUUGACAUAUUUUAUGCAUAAUUGUCUUUAUGAUGAUUUUGACAUAUUUUAUAUGUAAUUGUCUUUAUGAUGAUUGUUUGGCAUUGAGAUGGAUGUUUUAGAUGUUUGCCAAAUGCAUGUAUGAUAUAAUUUUGUGCGAUCUCUUUCACAGUUGUUAUGGAGCUUGCAGAUCGGUAUAACACAGCACUCGUUUGCCACAGAUGGAAUUAUUUGGCAUGUCAUCCUCGCUUGUGGCUGCGGGUAGAUCAGUCUGUUAAGGAUCUCUCAGAGCCUGGAGUUUUCCCCGACCUUAAGACAGCCGUAUCUGUGGCAAGGUUUGUAAUGUUGUGACUGCCUGUAUGUGAUUUUAAACACUUUAGGCCCUAUUUGGAGUGUUGUCAAGUAGCUUGAUUGCCAUAAUGGAGUACUUACUCAUUUAUUGCUACAACUUUUAAGGUACAGUGUCCAGCACAAUACUAAACAGAAUUAAAUAAUCCAAAACAAAUUGUAAAUGUUAACAAUGUUUAAAUAUAGCUAAGAACAUCAAUAUAUAUAGAGUUUGUAAAUAACACAUACCCAAAAAAGUAUAGAAAGGCAAAGAUAGCCUCAAGUUUUGUACUAAAUUGGAGAAAAAAAAUAAAAUGAUUUUUUCCAAAAAUAACCACAGAGUUGUUAGUAAUAAGUAGAGAUGGUAAAAUGAGUUGUUAUCAUGACACGAUAACACAACAUGGAUGUGGCACGAAUUUUGUAUAUUCAUGUUGAUAAAUAUUGAUACAAUUAAUUAAAUAGUUGAUACUAUACGACACAAUAAAUAACCGUAUGGUUUUCAUGUUGGAUCACCUCAGCAUGAUUACAUGUUUAUGGCAUGAAUAUCAAUUAAUAUAAGUAAUAUUAUUAAAAAAAUUCACACACACACACACACACAUAUAUAUAUUUGUGUUGAUAAAUAUUGAAAUGAUUAAUAAAAUGGUUGAUACGAUACGAGACGAUAAAUAACCGUAUUGUUUCAUGUUAGACCACCCUAACAUGAUUACAUGUUUAUGACAUGAAUAUCAAUUAAUAUAUGGUAAUAUUAUUAAAAAAAUUAACAUAUAUAUAAACGAUCAAUAAAUGAGUCAUACCCAUAUUUUGGUAUUUUAAUAUUGAUGUUUUGAUAUUUUGAUACAAUUAAAAAAAAAUAGAUCAUGUCAGUGUUUUCUUAACUUGAUACGACAUAGUUUAACUCAAUUAAGUAACUCACAUGUUAAAAAUUCUCUAGUAUUCUCACAAACUCUGUAGCUCCGCCAGUGGCUAGUAGUGUGGGAGUCAUUGUGUGAGCCUUUGUUAUUGUCUUUGACACUAUUUGUUUUUUAAUUGUUAUUUAUGCCUUUCUAAGUUUCUAACUAUUUUUAUAAGUUCGCGAUGAAGAUUUCAAACUAGUUAAAUUGUGUGGCUCACUUUUGUUGAAAGAAACAGUUGCUAUGAUUGCGGUUUCAGACAAGACAUAUCGUUAUGGAAAUGUGUUGGCUGCCACUAGUUUAGUGAGAAACGUUUUGACGUAAUCGGUGAAUAAGGAUGUCUUUAUUUGUAGCGUUGCUCUGAUUUGAAAGUUCAUCAAGGAUGUUGGGAGUAGAGCAUUUAGAACAAAAUAUAUUCUUGUUUCCUUUUCCUAAUGAGAAUGAUCACUGUCAUAGUUUGUUAGUGAGACCUUGGCAUUUUUUUUUGAAUUACAUGAGACUAAUGCUCCAAUUACAACUCAUAUUAUAUGAGAUUUACAACUGAUAUUUACAAUCAGACAAUUAUUGGGCCUAAUUUACAUUAAUUCUUAUAUAGCACUACCCAUAUUUUACCCUCUCUAAUAUUCGAGAGGUGUCUACUCCACUCACAUUUCGAAAGGGAGAAGACUGCCUUCACUUAAUAAUUAAGGAAGGAAAUAAACCCCUACAUGCGUCGCGGGGGCUUGAACCGCUGCGCUCACAGUUGUUAGUGCAGGGUCCUAGCCACUGGGCCAAGGCCCAGUUGGUUAGACCUUGGCAUUUUAAUCGUUCUUUAUUGGCUCUCUUUCCUUUAGCUAGCAAUAGAGAAUAGUCUAGUCAACAAUUUACUAUAGUUUUUUUUUGGGUUCAUAUUUACAAUAUGUCGUUAUGUUACAUGUCGAAGGAAAUGGUUGAUUUCCUCGGAGGAAUGCUUGGAGGAGUGAAGAAUUUGGAUGCUGGUCUUAGUUGUGUUUUGUAUGAAAGUUCUUUUGCAUUCAAGUUUUAAUUGAUGUCUCUAGGCCACUUAAACUUGGUUUGCUAAUUCGGUUUCGCACUAAUGAUGAUGUUCCUGUGCUCCUAGUGGUUUAUAAAAGGUUAUCAUAUUUUUGUUAAUAUUGCGAUUGUAUAGAUAAUUUAUUUCCAGAUUGUUCCGCAUUUGACUUAUCUAAAGUGGAGCAGGGUGUGGUCAUGGAGUAUGGAUGCAGGCUAAUGCUGGCAGUGUUUGUCGGAAGUCAGAGGGUCGUAGACAAGUAAAUCAUAGUGGUAGAGAAUUGGAUUUGGGAUAUCAUGAGGUGGUUUUUAACGCGACAAUAAAUGCUUCAAGUGUUACGAAUAAUCAUGAGAGUAAUGAUAUAAGAAAAGAGGAUAGUGGGAGAAAUGAGCAUGUCUGUGUGAAUAAUGCUUAUAUUUAUGAGAUAGUGAACGAGAGAAAUCAAGUUCAGUAAUAAAAAGACAAAUCGUGGAUGCGUUUAUAAGAAUUUCAAAUUUUGAUUGUAUAUGUGUUUUACAACCUUUUAUUACUAAUAGUCACUUGCCUAAGGAAACAAAGAAGGCAUCAUGCGCAGAAUUUGUUAAAGAUUUUGUGAAGGAUUGAAUGGAGUUGAUGGUAGUGACGUGGUUGGCCAUGGGCCUUAUGUGCCCCAAACUGGAGCUAUGGCUUCUUGUCUUGGUGAUGAUUCGAGUGACAAAAAUGAAUCUAGUAAUGUUGCAAGAUUGAAAAAUUAGAGAGAGUAAAGAGAAAAAAUUUACCACAAUGUGAAGGGGCUAUGAAAAGGAAAAAAUGAAAGCGACUGGCACGAAAAAUUCUAAAAGAAAAAUCUCAUAUUUCUCUAACUUUGGGAUCUAAGUAUGGUAAUGAGAAGGAUAUUAGAGAUUGGUCUAAUCAAUGGAAAUGAGGCAGGAUGGUUGCUAUUGAAUCGGAGGACGGUGAUGAUGGCGUUUGUGCAGACAAUAAUUUGGUUGUGUAGUCUAUGGCUUUGUCAAAUUUAUCAACAAGAGUUAACGUUGAUCAGCCCCACCGAUUGCCAUGAUAUCCUAACCUAAAAUGUCCAAGGUUUAGGGAAUCCUUUGGAUCCCACACUCUUUAUAAAAUGCUCCGUGAGGUUAGACCUUCUGUUGUCUUUUUAUGCGAAACUAGAUUAAUGGCGGCAAAGAUGAAUUGUAUUAGUAUGACAUUGGGUUUGGACAAUUGUUUAGAUAUUGAUUUGGUUAGUUUUUGGAGUGGCUUAGCAUUACUUUGGAAAAAGAAAGCUCAGGUUGUUGUGAAUUCCUAUAGUACCCAUGCAAUAUAACAGUGAUCAAUUGUUAUGCUAACAUUAGAUAUAGCAUUAAAUGUUCUAGGUUUCAUUUACCCUACAAGGUCAAUCCCCACGUCAAGUUCUUCACUAAUUUUAUAUUAAGUAUUACCCUAUUCAAAUUAAGAUUCACUCAACUUGGGAAACCCAAUCUAAAACCUAGUAUUGUCUUAAUUUGUUCCACUAAGUUGGCCAUUUUCAAGGCUCUUUAUUAGCUAGUAUCCAUUAAAUGUGUGAUCAGCCAAAAUAGAGAAUUGAAAUAAACACAAUUAAGACAAAAUGCUAUAACAAAUACAGAGCAACACACCUAUGUCAGUCAAACAGAUCGUUUAUCACUCAACCACAACAAAUUCAAUUUGUGAUUUGCGAUAGAACAGUAAAUAAAAUUGUUUCAGCCAUCAAAUACAUCCCCAUAAUUAAAUAAACAACAAGAAGAUAAGAAGAAGAACUGAAGUAUGCUCGAUCUUAGUGAUAUCUUCUUUAUUUCCUCUUUGAAUCUUCUAUUACAUCCUUCGAUUUAUCUCUUAAUGUUUUGUUUUCUUAUUGUUUCUUUUCGGUAUUCCCCUUAGGUGAUGGCUCUUUAAUUUUUUUCUUUUCAUGUGUGCUCAUUUUAUAACUUAGAAUUAAGGCAACUAAAAGUGUGUGACGCGUAUCCUCCAUUUUUAGAAACUUUAUAUCGCAAUAUUUUAGUUAUUGCGCACGAAAUCCAGUCUGUCAUUGCUCCAGGAUUGCUACAGCAACUGCUAUAGCAUCUUCAGUGUUCCAGACUUAUUUCAAUUCCUCUGCAGUCAAGAUAUUUUGUCACUUUUGCAAGUUUGUUGCAGCAACAUUUCAUCCUUAAAACUUGAGCUUUUCGGUCACCUACAAUUAUGCACAUAAUCUAAGCACAAAAUAAUCUAAAAACAAACUUAAUUUAUUAAAAAUAAAUUAAAAUGGAUGCUUAUGCCAAAUGUAACUAAUAUGUCAUAAAAAUACAUUAUUUACUUUCUAAGUAAUAUUGAUUUAAGUCUAAAAGUAUCAUGAUAACUUUCAGUUCAUAAAGUUAUCAAUUAGCAAAUUGAGUAAUUUGAAAUUAGCUUCCCAAGACUAAAUUGUUUACUUUCUUUUAGGAAUUAUCUCUAUAAAUUGUGAAUCUCACGUUGCACAUAGUCACUUGGAUGCAUCUUAAGAGAUCGCAAGAUAUCAUCUAAUGCUUGUUUACAUGGACCAUCCUUAAUAAAUUUAAUUUUAUCUUCACGAUUUUAAAAACCAUUCCUAAAGUUGUACAAUACGCUUCACAAGAAAGUCUUUCACAUUUAUGAUAUUUAGAGCCAAUCCAUUUAGCUCUUCUUUUUUUAGCAAAUAAUAUCAUAUAAGUCCAAUGAACCAAUUAACACAUACAAUCCAUUCUUCUUUUCACCUUUCAUCACAAUAGAACCCUCCUUAGUCACUUUUAUGCCAUCACUAUCUAACUUAAAUGAAUAUCUAGAGCUGUCCAACAUGCCUGAAGAGAUCAAAUUUCCCUUUAACUCAGGAGCAUGUCUAAGCCUAUGUAAAGUUAUGAUGAUCCCAUCAAAUAUUUUAAUCUUAACAAACCUUAUUCCAACAAUUUAACACUUAUUGGUGUUUCCCACAAAACCUCUACCACCAUCAAUAAACUCAUAUUGAUGAAAAAGUGACUUAUUAGGCAUAUGUGAAAAGAACAACCCAAGUUUAAUACCCACUGACCUUCUAAGUUGCCUUUUGAGGUUAUAAAUAUAUCAGCCCUAUAAUAACCAUCAUCAAAGGAGAUAUUUAAAGCCACAGCCACACCUCCUAACCUUUAUUGACUUUCCUUCUUAUUUUUCUCUGCACUUUCUCUGAUGUAAUGCAUUUGUUUCUUACAAAAAAGCAUUUCCUCUUGUUUUUCUUCUUUUUGCAUUCUCUUGGUUCUUUCCUCUUUUUGAUUCUUGUUCUACUGUUCCUUCUUCUUUCGGUUCUGGCAAUUAGCCCUUCACCAUUACUUACUUCACGGCCAUCAUGCUUUUCAAUCUCUUUUGAGCUUAGUGAUGUCGUGACAUCUUCCAAAGUCAAGGUUUUCUUCUAUACAACAUUGUAUCCACAAAACCUUCAUAUGAUUGUGGCAAUGAACUUAAAAAGAAAAUGAUUUUGUCUUCAUCUCUAAUCUUCACAUUUUCAACCUCUUCAAGAUCAAGAAUGAUCUUGUUGAAAGUGUCAAUGUGUUCUUAAAUAGACACCCCUUAUAUCAUUGAAAAAGUGUACAACUGUUUCUUCAAGAACAACUUGUGAGCCAAAGAUUUCUUCAUACAAAGGCCUCCACCUUAUUCUAUAUCCCAAGGUAUGUUUUUGUUUAGAGAUUUCCCUCAAGAUUGAGUCAGUAAGACUCAAAAUUAUUGUUUUGAAGGCUCUAUUUUAAAUAUGUUUCUUCUUUUCAUCAGGUUUAAAGCUUGUUGCCUUAUCAGGAUCUUCUUCUUCUAAGACGAAUUCAAGGCCCUGAUGCACAAGUAGAGCCCUCAUCUUCAUCUUCCAAAGUGAGAAAUCACCACUCAGCUUCGCAAUUUCUGGUUUUAAUAAGUGACAUGGUCAAGGUUCACUAAGUCUCUGAUACCAAUUAUUGUAAUUAAUGGUUAACAAUCAAGAACUCAACCAAUCUUUCGAGCUUUAAUCAAACAAGAUUAAUUGAAAUCAAGAUUGAAGAAAAACAUAGCAAGAACAAAGAAAUAGAACUCAAUCACAAAGAACAAACUUCUCUGUUUGAAGGGAAAAACUGGCACACUUUUACUAAUCCAGCUUAUCACAAAUUGAUCACACAUUACAAAAGAGGUUGCAAGCUUUAGAAAUAAACAAAAAGCACAUAAUUUGGUUAAGAAACAAGAGAGAAAAGGUUCACACAUUAGAGGUUGUGCACUAGCCUAUUUAUUUUGGAAAUUUUCAAAAACUAUCUAACAACCUUUAACGAACUAUAGCCAUGUCAGCAAAAAUUUACAAAACGACCCUAAGCUAAAGUCGAUCUGUACAAUGGCCCAACAAAUCUCCUUCAUUUUACUUUAAUUCCCAAAAACAGAAUAUAUAUCUUCACAUUUAUAAUGGUUGGCUUAAAAGAAAAUAUAGAGAUUGUAUAUAAAAUAAAAAACUACUAAAUUGUAAAAAUGAAAAAUAGGCAAACUCAAAAAAUAAUAAUAAUAAUAGGUUCAAAAACUCGCUUCAAACUUGUUAUGACAUAUACAUUCAUUCAAAUAACUUAAUCAAUUUCACUCAUCAAAUCUCUUAAUUCAUAGUUGUCACUAACAUCAUCAUGCAAAGUUGCUAACGCGGUGUAGCGUAACUCAAAACCAAAGAUAAUAUAAGUCAUCAUGUCAUCCAAUGUCAAAUGAUCAUACAAGAUGCCUAGAAAACUUUAAUAAUCUUUUUAAUUUUUUUUAUAAAAAUACCUCACCCUCAAACUUAUUCUAAACAUUAUCCUUAAUGUUUCUUAUUCUAAAGAAGUGCAUGUCAAUGUGUAAAAAUACAAAGAAGAUAUGAAUGCCAAUAGUAAGAGAAAUAAGUAGGAGAGAUUGCACCUAAAUUGGCGAUCGCUCUUAAAUUGGCUGCAAAAUAUUCUAGAAAAAAAUCUAAAGAAAACGUUAAAAUAAAUAUAAAGAAUAAAAUACAAAAAGCAAAAUAUUAGAGGUUUUUAAUCUAUAAAAGGAUGAUGGUAGUGAUACUCUUUAAUGUCAUACAGCUUAGGCCACACCUGUCUUAAGCUUAUUUGAAAGCUAUCUUACUACUUUAUUCAUGUCAAAAUGUGACUUAUCUUGUGCUGCUUUAGGAAGUAGCUCUAGUUUGAAUGGUUUUUCUUCAAGAGGAAAUAGCUUAAUCUUUUCUUUCCACUUAGUUAAAACCAUGAUAUGGGCAAAGAAAGUAAAAUAUUAACUUCUAGGAAAAUUAUCAUUCGUAUACUUUAAAUUUGUACUUUUAUCAAAAAUACUACAACAUUUUAAGGGUGUAUGAAUCGUCCACCUUAAAUUGACAAACGUUAUCUACCGACCACUAAACCUCUAGCUACCAUUUGAAAGUUAAUGGAACUAUAGUGAAUUGACGAUUUUACCCUUGAAAAUUAUCACUUGUAUACUCUUAAAAUCUCUUAUUAUCAUUUAGAUACCCUUAAAUUAUCACUUGUAUCAUAUGAAAAUACCAUACUACCCCUCUAAUGUUAUCAUAUUUAAACAGCAACUAACGGUUUGGUAGACGGUAGAUAUAUUUUGUCAACUUAGGGUGGACGAUUGAUAUACCCUAAAAGUGUUGUAGUAAAUUUGAUAAAAGAGUAAACUAAGGGUAUACGAUUGAUAAUUUCCCUAACUUCUAAAAUAGCACUAUCAACAUCAAAAGAUAAAACAAAGUGAAUUAAGUAUGUCUUUAGAAGAUCAUCAUAAUGGUUAGAAAUAAAUCAAUCAUUAACUUGUGCUUCUAUCAUAUCUACUUCAACACUUCAUCAUCUUCUUGUGCCUGCUUGAGAACAUUAAAAAUAUUCAAUUUCAUACCCGUGUUACCAACAGACAAUUGCAUGUUUCUAGUCCUACAACUAAUAUAAUCAUCUACUAUCGCCCAAAAAGGACAACUUAAAAUAACAAGAGUGUGCUUUGUAUGAUUCUGCACAGGUUGAGUAUCAAUAAUAAUAAAAUCAAUAGAAGAAUAAAAUUUAUCAAUCUGCAUGAACACAUCCUCUAUAAUACCACAAGAUAUUUUUAUUGACCUAUCAGUAAGUUGUAAAAUAAUAGAAAUUGAAUGUAAUUGACCUAGCCCAAGUUACUUAUAAACAGAAUAAGGCAAAAUAUUAACACUAACUCGUAGAUUCAACAAAGCUUUAUCAAACAAUUAGAUCCUUAUAACAUUUGAGAUAGUAAAAGAACCUAAAUCCUUAAAUUUUGGUCGCAUUUUAUAUUGAAAUAAAUUGCUAGUUUGUUCAAUUAGAAAUGCCUUCUUAAUAACAUGCAAAUUUCUCUUUCUAGUCUUCAAAAACUCAGCAUAUGAGGAACGUUGCUUGAUAGCGUCAUGUAAAGCAAACUUUAUAUUUACCUACUUGAAGAUUUUCAUGAUCUCACCUGUUUUUUUUUCUCUCUCUCUCUUCCUUUCUGCCAUAAAAUUACUUUAUUGAUUGAAUUAAUUUCCAUGCUAAAACGAAGACUUAAAAAGUACACUACAUUUUUUUAUAAUAAUCCCAAUGGUAAUUCCGACCGUUACGUUAUAAUACUGUCGUGUCAAAAUAAAUUAUAACAAAAUUUUAGUUCGACUUAUUUAUUUUUUUGAAAUUGAUUAAUCAUCAUGUUAUUAUAUUACAUAGAGAUAUAUAUAAUUGUUAUGACAAUAGAUCAUUACACUGAUAUUUACAAUCAGAUAUAUAUACAUGAAAUUUAUAUUAUUAUAUUUUUAUUUUAUGAAGUACAUGUUCAUUCAAAUACUCCUCACGGAGGAGAGAUGUCUUUACUCCACUCGUAUUUUAUAAGGAAGAAAAACAUUAUAAAAAAUCUCCACAUAAUUAUAUUUGAUUGAGAGAAGUUGAGUCCGUAGAGACUAUGAUUCACCACUGAACUACAAGCUCAAAUAACAAAUUCGACUUAUUUAGUAAAUAGAUAUACUUAAUAAAAUAACAAAACGAUUAAUGUGUAUCAAUGAUAUAGACACAACUGAAAUAACUCAUAAUGUGAAAACAAGAAAAGUCCCGCCACCAAUAAUUCAGAGGCAGGCCCCACCGCCAUCAAUAAUUCAGCAAGCUUCACAUGCUUCUGCUUGACGAACCGGACAUGGGUGGACCAAGCACCAUUGAAUAAUUGCAAAAAAAUGAAAAAUAAAAAUCAGUGUCCAGCAAAAAGAAUCCAUAUUCAUGUGUUGCUUCCUACUCAGUACAUCUACUUAGCAUUUAAAAAAAAAUGGAAGUAGAAAUUAAAACUCACUUUUUUAGAUAUGGCUCAUAUAUAUUACAAGUAUCAAGAUUUAAUUAAAGUUCACAUAUUUACAAUGUGUCUAGUUUUAAUUGAGAGAUAAAGUGAUAAACUAUUCAUUAAUAAUGAGGUUUUUCUAAAUGAUUGAAUAAUGAUAUUAAUUAUUGAUAUUUACAAAAUUUCUAAGAAGUGAUAGCUAAUACGUUGGGGAUAUGUAUUUGCGCGGAAUGGCAAACAUAGGGAAUAGUAAUAAAAAUAGUGGAAUUAAUAUGAUGAAAAAAGGUAAACAGUAGAAAAUUAAUAUGUAAUUCGAGGCGCGUUACAAAUAUCACUUUUUUUAAGACAUUAUUUACGCCCACCAAUUAAGUGAUGCAUAUGAGUUAAACAAAUAUAUCUCUAUGAUAUAAUGAAACGCUUCUUCAUUUGUUUGCGUUGUGUAUCGAAUAAAGUAAACCUGAAUAUAUAUAUGAAUGUUGCAAGCUUGCUAAGAAUCAAUAUGUUGAUUCUGUUGAAAAACAAUGUAUUGGAUAUUUGAUGCAUAAAAAAUAGAUGUUAUUUGAUUAAAUUCAUUUUAGGAAAUAGGGCUAAUAAAAGAGUGGUGUAGGAUUAUCUUAUUCAUAUCUAAAAUUUUAAAUAUAUUGAUUUAUUUAUUAUGGUGACGUAAUAGUAAUUAUAAAUUAAAAAUAAAUUUAUUAUUAAAAUAAAUAAAAUUUAUUAAUAAAAAUAAGGGUCAUAUAUCUUUUUUAAAAUGUUAAAAAAAUUUAUGUCCUUUUUUGGGAGUGAAUUUUCUUUUCUCAUUAAGCAAAACCCACCGCAAAAGUGAAAAGAAAAAAUAGAGGCCACAAAACAGAGCCCACUACAAAUAUAUAAUCGGAGGAGCUCAUGAUCAUGCCUAUGCUUUACAUACUAAAUUAAAUAAAAGCCGAACCAAGAAUCUUGCAUUUGCUUAACAUGCUUAAUUAGGCACUACUUCAAAGAGAACUUGAAAGCAACGAACCCUUUUGUUAAUCUUAAAUGUCAGGAAUCUAAUUAGCUUGGAAUAAAGCUACAUUCUUCUCCUCUGACCGUCUCUUGAGGUUUAUUUCAAAAGUUUGAAGAGAAUUUAUCAAUUCUUCUUAUAAAAGCAAGCUAAAUUAAAGGAUUUUAAUCUCUCUUCUUAUUACUAUAAGUGCACUGCAUUUUUUUAUAAUCAACAAUGUCAAUUUGUAGUGUAAUGUUAUAUUCAUAUUUCUGUCGCGUCGAAAUAAGGUAAAACAAAAUUUUAAAUAACACAUAUUCGACUUGUUUGUAAAAGGUAUAUAUUUAAUAAGCUAAUACCUUAAUUAACAUAACACUAUUAUUACGCUAAAUGAAAUAAAAGAUGGUACCCACCACCAAUAAUGACAUUAGCAAGCUCCGCAUGCUCGUGUUUUAGGAACUAGACAUUGGUUAAUUAAUCAAGGAUAACGAAACAAUUUCAAAAAACAAAAUAGAUACUAUGCAUUUUCUUUUUUUAGUCGUACAGAAAAUGGGACUAAUUUUCAGAAAUUUUCAAAUUCACUCUUUUACAAAAGCCAUACAAAAUGAUUUCCUUUAUAUUUUGAAACAUUCUAUGGAAUCAAAUAAUAGUGAUACAAAGAGCGCAAAGUAGUAAUUCUCUUGUUGUAUUUUUUUUUUCUUUUUUAAAAGGAGAUGGUGUGGUUUGGUUGUUUGCAAAAUUAUUGGUGUGGGAUCUAUUUGUUUUCAAUUUCACUUUAUUAAUUAAUUAGCAAAGCAAACAUGUAAUCAUUUGUAAUGGGGCCACUGGCAUCGGAUUAUAUAAGAUGAAUUCGUAAGGCUUACUAAUUUCGAUUAAAAGGUAGCGUUAUUAAAUUAUUAAUUCAUUAACUUGAGUACCAAUAUUUCCUAACUGUGGUGAUUAAUUUAUUUAACUUGUUAUAAUUUUCAAUUGAGAAUGAACUUCAAUUAAUGUAUGAAAAAUUAAAAAGAUAACUUUUCUUUUUUUUUUUUCAAAUUUUUAAUUCCUAUGAUUUGAUUUCACUCUUUUUGUCGAUUAUUGACUUGUGAGAGCUUGUUGAAUGUCAUCAAAUGCUUAUAUCUCUUAUCCAAAUUGGCAGAUAUCAUUUGGUUUCUUUAUAGGCGGCAAUCACGAAUGAAAGUAACAACCCCACCAUAUAUCGAAAAUUAAUUUUAAGAAUUUUUUUACUUGAAGUCUUUGAAAAGAAAAAUUAAUCAGAUUAGAUUAGCGAUAUACAUAAAUUCGGUACCAAUUUAAAAAUGCGAGCAUGAUUUAAUAAGAAAGGAUGAGAAUUGAUCAUGUCCCAAAAGACUCAAAAUAAAAUUAUACAAAAUUACAUGCAGGCAUAUCAUAUGUUAAUCUUAAUUUUUUUUGCGGCUGAAAAUUAAUUAAUUAAUUCCACUACUUCUUUUUUUUAAUUGUAUGGUGUGUAACACAUAGUGAAUUAUGUUGUAUAUUUGUUAAUUCAAAGAAAUAAUACUUUUGUAUCCACCAAACUUUAUUAAUAUUCUUCAUCAUUAUGGUUAAUGGCUUAGCAAAUUUAGGAGGAGGAGUCAGCCAAAAUAAAGUAUUUUCUAUUACAUUAACCUUUAUUAAUUGCAGAAGUUAAAAAAAAUUAAAACGAGUUAAAACAGUUCCAACUCAAAAUCAAUAGUUUAUAACGCAGGGGUGUAAAAAAUAUCUGUCCGGACUGAAUUCGGACCGGAUCCGAGCUAGUUUAGGGAUGUGCCGGUCUAGUCUCGGGCAUCAUUGGAGAAGUCCAAUGUCCUCCAAGUCCAAGGUCCGGCCAAGAACUUAAAUUUUAUAGAAAAAAUAAUAAAUAUAUAUUAUUGUAAGUAAUUAUGUUUAUUUGACUCGUCUAUUACAUAUAUUUAAAAUUUUAAACAUUUAUAUUUUGUGUCCAGUUUCAUUUAAAUAAGAUUUAAAAAUUAUAAAAUUAUGAAAUAAAUUUAAAAAAUACAUUCAUACAUAUAAUGUUAUAAAAUAUAAAAUCCAACCUUUCUAGGGUGAAAUAAAAAGCCUAGCCCAAUGUGUCCAAAAAAUAUGUCUGGGUUGGAUCCAGGCAUUGCCAUACCUGAACUUGACCCCGAGUUUUGCAAUUAUUCUAGAUCGUUAUAAAUGUUUCCAAAUUUCAGUCUAAUUUACUUGUGUGAUGCAAAAAUUACCUUUAUCACUUUUUUCAAAUAAAUACUCAUAAAUUUCACCUAAAUUGUCACCCAAAAAAAGAGAAAAAUCGUGUAGUUAAUUUUUCUACUUCUUUACUCUAUUAUUUAAUGGGAAUAUAAUAAGUUAGGAGAAAGGAGAAAUUAAGGAGAAAAUUAGAGUGCUUGUUCAAAUGAUAAAAACUCAUGCAAAUGCGUAUUUCAGAUGUAAGUGUGGCAUUCAUUAAUUUGACAAAAAAUAAGUGAAUUUAUUUAUAUUUUAAUCCAAAUCGAGGGAUAUAAACAAAAUUUUCCCGCUCCAGAUAUUUAUCAUUUUCUUGUUAGAAAAAAAACUGCAUAAAAUUAAGGAACCAGUAGGCACUGAAAGAGAGAAACAGACUGAGAAGAGAUCAAAAGAUGGAUUUGGAACUGAAAGAGAGAAACAGACUGAGAAGAGAUCAAAAGAUGGAUUUGGAACUGAAAGAGAGCUUGGGCUGAUCAUUCAUGAUAAUAUUCCGCGUUCGCUAUUAUAGAGACGAAAGUUUGCUUUUUGUAUGGUUCUCCACUGACGGUGCCAAAUGUCGACGCCAAAAUUUGGACUAGUUAGUUACAUAUUGGAAACCAAAUUUUGCGUCAGCAUUAAAUUUAUUUGUUAGGGAAGCGACUUACCAAUCACCAAGGACGCCCUGCGAUCACUAGCAAAUAACUCUCAAAUACCUGAAAUCAUAAAAAAAAUGGUAAGAGACGCCAGAAGUUUUUCCGGCGUGAACCCUCCAGUGUUCAAGUCAGUUAUCGGGUUUACAAGAGAAACAAAAUAUGCAAUUUCUAGUUUUUUUAAAAAAUAAUCUUAAGUCAAUGUAAUAGAAAAAUCAAAAUUGAGAAAGAAAGUUGAACCUCCCUCUUUAUUCAUUCCCCUAGGGAUUUUUUUAUAAAGGUUUAAGUUUCCCCCCACUCCAACCCCCCCAAAAAAAAUCUUUGUGAUCAUAAGAUGGAUGAGAUAAAAUAUGAGCCCCCAAAAUGAUCUCAAUCAUGGAGGAGUCCUCCCUGGUUUGUUGCCCUAUUUUCUUAUUUGUUCUCCUCCACUCUCGAAAGUUAAGAAUGAGAUAAAAGUAACCUUUUCACUCUCUAUUUUUUCCUCCAUUUUUUUUCCUCACCAAAUAGUUACGAAUUUAAAAUAUGAGUAUGAUUUAAUAAGAGAGAACGAGAAUUGAUAAUGUCCCAAGAGACUGAAAAUAAAAGAUUACACAAAUUUGCAUGCAGGCAUAUCAUAAGUUAGUCUUAAUUUUUUGUUGUUCAAAUAAUAAAUUAAUUCCACUAAUCCUUUUUCUAAUUAUAUGGUGUGUAACACAUUGGCCACUUCUGAAUUAUGUUGGAUAUUUGUUAACUCAAAGAAAUAGUACACUUUUCUAUCAAUCUAACUCAUUUUAUUAAUAUUCUUCAUCAUUAUGGUUAAUGGCUUGGCAAAUGUAGAAUAAGGAGUCAGCCAAAAUGAAUUACUUUCUCUUGUACUAACCUUUGUUAAUUGUUGACAUUAAAAAUAUUUUAAAAUAGUUCCAACUCAAAAUCAGUAGGUUGUAUGUAGAUUGUUAUAAAUAUUUCUAAAUUUCAGUCUAAUUUAAUUGUGGAUGCAUAAACUUGACUUUUUCACUUCUUUCAUGUAAAUGGAGGGUAGAACUAUUUGAACUCAUUAAACUACUUUUUAAAUUCCUUUACUCAUUAAACCCAUCAUGAAAAUUCAAAAAUCUUUGUGUAUACUCAUUGCACCUCUUAAUAUCACAAAUAUGAAUCAUUUGUCUUCACUUUUGUUUGUCUUCAACAUUCACAAAUUUUAUUUGAAUCUGCAAUAUUUUUACCACUAUUCAUUCAUUUAUUAGAGUUUCAAUAUAAGAAUAUAGAGAUUAAAAAUAUCAUUAACGAAUUAUUUCUUUGUUUUCUAUAUGAUAUUCUUGGUUUGGAAAAAGCUUCAUUGGCAAUGUAUGUAAAUAAAAGACUAAGAACUUCCAAUAAUCCACAUUUGAUGGAAACUUGUUAUACUUGUUUUCACUUUAAAAAAUAAAAGGAAAAUUAUCAUCCGUAUACUCUAAAUUUACAUUUUUAUAAAAAAUACUACAACACUUUAAUCGUAUUUCAAUCGUCCACUCUAAAUUGAUAAAAGUUAUCUGCCGACCAUUAAACCGUUAACUGCAAUUUAAAAGUUAACAGAACUGUAGCGAAUUGAUGAUUUUACCCUUGAAAAUUAUCACUUGUAUACCCUUAAAAUCUCUUAUUUUCACUUAUAUACCAUUAAAUUAUCACUUGUAUUAUAUGAAAGACCAGAUUAUUUCUAUGACGUUAUCAUAUUUAAACAGUAACUAACGGUUUGGUGGACGACAUAUACAUUUUGUCAAGACGACUGAUAUACCUUGAAAGUGUUGUAGUAAAUUUGAUAACGAAGUAAAAUAAGGGUAUACGAUUGAUAAUUUUCCAAAAUAAAAUAAAUAAAACAAAAGAAAUUCUUGUGUUUUAAAAGAAAAAAAACUUCUAAAACAACUAUAAACCAAACUAGGUUUGACGUGGUGAGUUUUGGAUCAUAAAGAAUACAUAAUUGAAAUUUCACCUAAAUCAAAUAAUGAAUUUCAUAACAAUGGAUUUAGACUAUAGACCAGUAUACAUAGAAUUGGAUGUUCUUGGCAUUUGUUCUUGAAGUUGUUUUGCCCAAAAAAGUUAACUAUUGUCCUUAGGAGUAAUUUUGGUUAGGGAGAAAUUUGUAAUAAAUUUUUUAAUGAAUUAAUAUUUUUUGUGAGUAAAAUUAUGGGUUCAUAUACACUCAUUCAUAAAUAAUUAUUCAUAAAUUGAACCCUUCUUUUAUGUUGAUGCACAACCUAAUUUAACAAAAAUAAUGUUCAAAUUGUCAUAAAAUUUUAAAAAAAUCAUUAAGCUAAUUUUUCUUCUACUUCACUCCAUUAUUCAAUGGGCAAAUAAUAAUUUAGGUGAGGGGAGAAAUAAUGGGGAAAAUUAUAGUGAUUGUCGCUAGAUACACCGGUACAAAUGCUUGGGUGUGCGCGCGCGUGCAACGUUCUUUAAUUUGGCAAAAAAUAAAUGAAUUUAUUUGUAUUUUUAAUCAAAUUCAAGUGUCCAAACAAAAUUUUUCUGGGAAAAAGAUAAACAUGUACACCCUCAAUAUUUAAAUAAAGAGAUAAAAAUAUUCCUAACGUUUUAAAAAAAUAUUUACACCUUAAUUUACUAACAAAAACAGUAAUUUUUAACAAAAAUUACUAUUAUACCCUUUUAACAUAUAAAAAAAUUAUAUAUACAAGUUUAAUUUAUAAUAUUAAUACCAUAAAAUUUUAUUUAAAUUUUAAACUUAUAUAUUUAACAAUUCUCCACAUGUUAUUAUUUAAAUUUGUAUAUUUAUAACUAAUUUUUUAUGUUAUUUAUUAUGGUAUUUAAAAUUGAAAUACAAGUCAUUAAUAACUAAUUUUAUUUAUUUUUAUUCUUAAGUAAUGAAUUAAAUUUAUUUAACUUGAAGAGAGAAUUUGAUAAAAAUUUAAAUAAAAAAAUUGAAUAAUGAGGAUAUAUUUAUAAUUUUAUUAAUAAUAUAUAGAUAAAUUAAAUAAUUAAUAAUUUUUUAUAUACUAUAAAGGUAUAAUAAUAAUUUUCAUUAAAAAUUACUGUUUUCGUUAAUGAAUUAAAAUGUUAAUUUUUUUUUAAAAUGUUAAAGAAUUUUUACCUCUUUACCUAAACGUCGUGACUGUAUUUUGCCCUUUUCCCAAAUUUUCCACUCUGGAGUCGACAUUUAUCAUUUUCUCGUUAACAAAAAAAAUUGCAUAAAAUUAAAAAACCAUCAGGCACUGAAAGAGGGAAACAAAGAAGAUGGAACCUAAAGAAGAAACCCUAGCAACAAUCCCAGAAGAAGAAGAAGAAGAUGGAGACACGGUUAUUCCCGACGUUGAGAACAACCCUAAACCAACAACAAAAGACAACUCUUCGGACUCGAGCGAUGCCUCUGACUCAGACUCCGACUCGGACUCUGAAUCAGAAGACGAAGCAAAACAGAGCAUGGAGCUUCAAACCCUACAGUAUCAACUAUCCAACGAACCCUCCAAUUACGACACCCAUGUUCAAGUAACUUCAAUACACAUAUUUAUUGAGUGAUUUUGUGGAUACCCGUUUGCUUGUUCUUCUUGGGUUGCGAUAAAAAUGGUUUUUAUUUUUAUUUUUUCAGUAUAUAAAGGUUUUGAGAAAAAUGGGUGAGAUAGAGAAGUUGAGACAAGCAAGGGAAGCCAUGAAUGAGAUUUUUCCAUUGACUCCUGCUAUGUGGCAAGAAUGGGCGAGAGAUGAAGCCUCUAUUUCAACUGGGUAUCUGUCAUUUCCUUUUUGCAGUGGUUUUUGAUUUAACAAAUGUUUUUUCGCUUAGAGAUAUGGAUGUUUAUGCUAGUUAUUUGCUAAUGUAAAAAGGAACAAAACCUGCUUAAAAGGUAUUAAAGAAAGAAAAAAAAAAAGAACCAAUUUGAAGAAGGGGAUACUUAUGGUGGGAGUUCUAUUCUUUGGGGUUUAAUUGAUGGGAAGAAGAAAUAGCUUAUAUGUUUACAGAAUUAGACAUUUGAUCGCGGAGUUAGUUGAGGUAGAUAAUUAAUCAGAAUGUCGGAUGUUUUUUCUGUUGGCCUCAGCUAAUUGUUAAGAUUUCAUACUUUUUUUCUGGUUUUACAUAGCUGUGACCUAAAGCUUAAUGUAUAUAUUGAUAAUUACACAAUCCGUUUCUUGCUGAUACUUGGCUUUAAUUUGUAGACCUGAGGCUCUUUUGGGAGUUGAGAAGAUUUACGAAAGAGGAGUUUCUGAUUAUCUGGUUUGUUCCCUUUAUGCUUACAGAAUUUGAAUUAACACUAUGCAUGAAUUUAUGAUUCUUUUUAUUUUUUAUUUUUUAUUUUUUGAGAAAGAUUUUAUCAAAUUGAAGCAUUGUAGUAAAGCGUACUAGUUGUAAUCUUGAUUCACUUUGUUUUUAUUUUAUUACCAAGAGGUGCUAACAGUUCAUGAUGCACAAAAGAUUGGGGGGGGGGGGUUGGGGGAAUCUUGUUGGUACAUACAUAAAUUUUAGUACCAAAAAAAUAAUUUUACAGUGGCUGAAGAGCAGCAUUUUCAUUUAUAUGAAAGUUGAAUUGUUGUAUCAUCUGUUUCCGUCUCCUUUGCGGUAAAUAAAGUCCUUGAUGAUGGCAAUAAGAAUCACAGAAGAAGUUGUUAAGUUCAUAUCUGGAGAUUUUCAUCAUAGCAGUUCAUUGAAAGUGAAGGCAGCUGAAAACACUUUUUUCUGAUGCAGUCUGUCCCUCUUUGGUGUGAUUAUUUGAAAUUUGUGCAAGAAUAUGAUCCAUCUAUAUGCGAAUUUUUACCCGAUGGCUUUUGAAAGGCAAGGAAUUUAUUUGAGCGGGCUAUUACUGCUGCUGGUCUGCAUGUUUCAGAAGGCAGUAAAAUAUGGGAAUUGUACAGAGAAUUUGAGCUAGCCAUAUUUUGUAGGAUCGAUGAGACUAACUUGAAGGUGAGAUAUUUCAAUUUAUUUUACUUUUUAUUUGGGGGGUUAAAUAACGAGUUUAUUGCCAUCUAAAGAAAGAAAAAGGGAAGACUUUUUUUUUUGGGGGGGGGGUUGCCAACCCUAGCACAUGAGAAGCAUUCCAAGAUCCUUCCUGCUUGUUUUGCAGGAAAAGGAAAAACAGGUUCAGCGGAUUCGAAGUAUAUUUCGUCACCAGUUGUCUGUUCCCCUUGCUAACUCAAGUACAACUUUUCUUGCCUACAAGUCUUGGGAGGUCGAACAGGGGGCUGUUCUUGAUGUUGAAUCUAGUAAUCUAGACGGAAUGUCUUCUAAUGUUGCCUCAGCAUACCAAAAGGCAUUGGAGAUGUGUAAUGCACGAGCUUAUCUUGAAGAGCUGAUUUCCAGGCAGGAUUUAUCUGACUCAGAGAAAUUUCAGCAAUACAUGGUAGAUGACUUUACUAUCAUCAUUUGAUAGCUUUUUAUAAUAAGUAAAAUCUAGCUGUAAAAAUUUAUUAAUUUCAACUUUUUUUUGGUGGAUUUCUUCUUAUGGCAUUAGUAUUUUGGUUUUUGGUAGCUUACAAAUAAUAUCUGCACUUUAAAUAUCAUCUGUUGUUUCUUAGCAAAUAAUAGUAAUAAUAAUAAGUAAUAAAUAAUUAAUAUCUGCUCUUUAACUCUUUGGCCCGGGGGGGGGGGGCGCCUGGGGGAUGCAGUGUCAUUAUUUUCCUUCUUCUCCUUUUUCUGUUUUGUGCUUUUUCAAGUCCAAUAUUAUUAGAUUAAUCUGUUAUUGUGGUAGAUAUACUUGAACUAUGAGCAAUCUUCUGGAGAUCCUGGUCGAGUUCAACUUCUUUAUGAACGUGCUAUUACCGGCUUUCCUGUAUCAAGUGAUCUCUGGCUUGAUUAUACUCGUUAUCUUGACAAAACAUUAAAGGUUUAUCCUUCUAUUUUCUAUUUUAAUUCUUCUGUUGCAGCUUUUUGUAUACUAAUCCACUCUCCUCUUCAGGUAGGUAAUGUUGUGAGAGAUGUUUAUUCCAGGGCUACAAGAAAUUGUCCCUGGGUUGGAGAACUUUGGGUACGAUCUUUGCUUUCUCUGGAAUGUAGCUGUGCUUCUGAGGAGGAGAUAUCCACUGUAGGUUUAAUUGUUACCCUUCAUUCUGAGCUUAAUCUAUUUUUCUGAAUGUAAUUAAUUUUGAUUGUUUGAAGUUAAAGAAAUAAUCAGCUUCCUAGGCAAAUUUCUUGGCAAGCACUUGAUUGUGGGAGUAACUGAGGAGAAGCAUUCCCUAGUGUUUUUUUGUUCUUCCCCUCCCCUGAAAUUGCACUAUAUUUCCCUUGAAGACUAAUUUUUGCUUUAGCAUUUACACUUCUGUACAGAAGCAAACAUGAAUCAGAGAGAUUUAGUGGGCAAAUACACCUGGGCAAAAAAAUUAAUGCAUAUUAAAUACCGUGGUGGUUGUUGGAAUGCUUCAAAAAAAGUGUUUUCUUGGUGCUCCUGCUCCUUUUAUACUUUCAUAGCAUUUUAAUAACUGGGUUGUUUAAACGUCUUGUACUUAUUUUCUUUACAAAUGUCUGUAUUUUUUAAAUUUAUACAAGAUUUUUCUAAUUAUAUUAAUAGCAAUAAAUUGCAUAAACUCAAAUCUUAAUUUCAUUCUGCCCCUAUUGCAUACAUAUGGGAUUCACCCAUUAUUUCAUCAAAUUUUCCGUUGCUAAUUUCAGGUCUUUGAGAAGUCCCUACUAUGUGCAUUUUCAACCUUUGAGGAGGUAAAGAUAUAAAUUUAUGUCUACUGUACAUACCUUGAUUUCUUGAGCUGUAUGAUUUGGUAUAUAUCUACUUCUGAUUCAUCAUGUAUUUUUUUGUUAACUGGUUCUUUUUUAUUUCAGUACCUAGAUCUAUUCCUUACUUGAAUAGAUGGUUUGAGGCGGAGAAUUUUAUUCUCUGGUGAAGUUGAGGGCGUCUUGGAUUAUUCAUUGAUAAGGGAAACUUCAGGUUUGUAAACUUAUACCGUUUGCUAUUCAAUAUUAAAAUUGGUUAUACUCCUUAAUAUCAAGAAAUUGAAGCUUUCCAAAUCAUACCCAAAAAAUGCUCAAUUGUGAAUUACUGGAUGGAGCUAGUUGCUAGAUGAUACUUCUAAGAUUCAAGACAAAUGUUGUUUUAUGUAUGGCUAUCAAGUACUUUGGCCCACAAUUGUGGCAUAUUGGUCUUAUGCCAGCAUCAGGUAUAACAUUGUGUCUGGCAUAUAUACCAUUGGAAUUCUGGGUUUCUGUUGAAUGGGCUCCAACAGCUAUAUCUGUGUCCAAUGUUGUGGGGUCCUCUUCUUUGGUGCUUUUAAGUGAGGUUUUAAGUUUUCUUGUUAAAAUUUUGUUACAUAUCAAGUAGAAGGCACUGCACUGAAGCAUUGGUACUUCUAGAUCGCUUGUUCUGGAUGGUAGAUUUCAAUCCAUUGCUUUUAUUUCUUGGAUCAUGUGUAUCAUUGAGGACUUUCCUGGCCAGUGAUAGAGCUGGUAGGGGAAAAAAGUCAAAAUUCCUAUGGGAUGCUUUCUGACUUAGGGAAGAUGUCUUCAACAAUUUGUGGAUUUAAGUCUUCACAUGAUGUUAACUCUUGAUAGUCUAACCUUGGUUCAGGAUGUAUAGCUGUCUUCAAAGUUUGUGCUCAUAAACGAGUAACCUCUCUGUCUUUAUGAUACCAGUUAAAUUUGUUAGCUUUCUAGGAUUUGGAGGGUGUAAAUGUCCAUAAACAACAAUGUAUUCUCUUCCUUACAGCGUGCAUCAGAUUACUUGUCAGAACAGAUGAAGAGUACCAACGGUUUGCUGCAUUUGUAUGCUUAUUGGGCGCGUCUUGAACAAAGUAUGGGAAAAGAUAUGGUUUCAGCUCGUAGUGUCUGGGAGAGGCUACUUAAGAUCAGGUUCAACAAUUUUAAUUUUUGCCAGUGCAUACAUAGCAUAAUUUCUUUAUAUCUAUAUAUAUUUUCAGAUAACUUAUGCUUCUCUUAAUGCAGUGGUACAAUGUUGGAAGCCUGGCAAAGUUAUAUAUCUAUGGAAAUUGAAUUGGGUCAUAUUAAUGAAGCUAGAUCCAUCUACAAGAGAUGCUACAGUAAAAGAUUUACAAGAACAGGUUCAGAGGUAAAUUUCCUUCGUCCAGCUUCUUUAAUUAAUAUUAACUGCUUGACAACGUACCUUGUUGUUUCCAUCUUGUUUGUUUAAUUGGUCUUAUUUGUAAACACCUGAAAUCAUACAUCUUAAUUUCUGAUAAUUAGAUGUUAUUUUAGAUAUCUGUAUCUGUUAACGUUCUUUCAAGUCUAAUUCCAAUGCAUAUUUAGUUAAACUGCUCUUUACUGCAUUUUGGAUUAGUUAAUGUCUUCCUUUCCUAAAAAACAGAAUCAUUCAGGACAUAUGCCAUGCUUGGCUGUGAUUUUAACGGGAAUUUUGUAAUCAAAUUUUUAAUGAAUUUAUGGGUUUGUUGAGUAAAAUUAUGGGGUCAUACAGACUCACCCAUAAAUUGAACCCUUAUUUUAUGUUGAUGCAUAACUUAACUUAACAAAAAUAAUGUUCAAAUUGUCACAAAAUUUGAAAAAAAAAAAUCACAGUUAAUUUUUCUUCUACUUUACUCCAUUAUUCAAUGGGCAUAUAAUAAAUUAGGAGAGGGGAGAAAUAAAGGGGAAAAUUAGAGUGAUUGUCGCAAUGAUACACUGAUACAAAUGCUUAUGUAUGUGUAGUGUGUGUGUGUGUUGGUGGGGGGGGGGGGGUUCUUUAAUUUAACCAAAAAUAAAUGCAUUUAUUUGUAUUUUUAAUCAAAAUCGAGGGAUACAAACAAAAUUUUUACCACUCCAGAGUCUAGACAUGUAUCAUUAUCUCUUUUAAAAAAAAAAACAUUAGUAGCUGAAAGAGAGAAACAAAUUAAGAUGGAACCCAAAGAGAAAACCCUAGCAACAAUCCCAAAAGAAGAAGAAGAUGGAGACAUUGCCAUGCCCGACGUUAAGAACAACCCUAAACCAACAACAAAAGCAACUCUUCGGACUCGAGCGAUGCCUCUGACUCGGACUCUGACUCUGACUCAGAAGAUGAAGCAGAACAGAACAUGGAGCUUCAAACCCUAUAGUAUCAGCUAUCCAAUGAACCCUCCAAUUACUACACCUAUGUUCAAGUAACUUCAAUACACAUAUUUAUUGAGUGAUUUUGUGGAUAAUCAUUUGUUUGUUCUUUCUUGGGUUGCGAUAAAAAUGGUUUUUAUUUUAUUUUUCUUUUUCAUUAAAUAAAGGUUUUGAGAAAAAUGGGUGAGAUAGAGAAGUUGAGACAAGGUAGGGAAGCCAUGAAUGGGCGAGUGAUGAAGCCUCUAUUUCAACUGGGUAUCUGUCAUUUCCUAUUGCAAUGGUUUUUGAUUUUGUGAACAAAUGUUUUUUUGCUUAAGAGAUAUAGAUGUUUAUGUUAGUUAUUUGCUAAUGUAAAAAGGAACAAAACCUGCUUAAAAGGUAUUAAAGAAAGAAAAAAGGAACCAAUUUGAAGGGGAUACUUAUAGUGGGAGUUCUACUUUGGGGUUUAAUUGAUGGAAAGAAGAAAUAGCUUAUAUGUUUACAGAAUUAGACAUUUGAUCGCUGAGUUAGUUGAGGAAGAUGUUUAAUCACAAUGUCUGAUGUUGUUUCUGUUGGCCUGAGCUAGUUGUUAAGAUUUCAUACUUUCAUUCAACAAUGCAAUAGACUUUGGUUGGGUCCACCGUAGUUGGGUGUUCUGAGGAAUCAAUGAGUGUCUUGAGAAAACUUGGGCGGAGUGCUGGUCAUUUUCAGGAUUCAGUUUCCAAGAAAACAAAAACGAAGUCAAUAGUUGUAGUUUAAAUUAAUUUAUGUUUUUAUCUUUUUCAUUGAGCCCAGUGAGCUUUUAUUUUUACUUUGUUCGCUUUUGUUUCUUUCCCUUCUUUUCCUACUGUUUCUUGACAAUCAAACAGAUCAGGAUUAAGUGUUUACUUUUGGUGUAAUUAUUCACUCUAACUCGAAUAAUACUUAGGUUUAGUGCUAACAAAAUAGGAAGUGAAUUAAUAGCUGAAGCUGACUUAGGAGUGGAAUGAAUGUUACCAAAAAUAUACUAUAUGGUAGAUAGAAUUUGCGUUUUAGGUAAGACUAAAAUAAUUACAGCUGUUAAUUUAUUUCAAUAAGUUCGUACAUCAUUCAAUAAUAAGUCCAAGAUUUUAAUGGUUUUGUUUCCUGAAAAUUUGUCAUGAGUGCAUGAACAAAGUUCUAUGGAUGAACUUCUCCUAGUUAAUUUUAGUUCAAUGUCGCAGUUCCUCAUAUUAACUGUAUAAAACACUAAUCUUGCUCUUUACUUUGAAGCAUUUUAAUAAUUGAUGCUAAUUCCUUAGCCAUUUUAUUCAUCUUGUGCAUAAAUUAUGCAAUCAAUAAACCAACUCAACUUUCAUCUUUAUUUAGUGCAAAUUUUGCAAGGCCACUAGGAGGUUUUUGUAUGUCUCAUGCUAACAUGGUCGCCAUGGUUUCACUAUGUAAAUUUUCCCUACUGAAAUUCAUGAUCCGUCAUAUACCACUGAUGAAGCUGUUUCUGGGGCUUUAAAAGCACCAAAUUUUAGUUUUAUCCUUUCUAGCUUAUUAACCUGUCCGCAUCUGCAUUAUUAUCUUUCCUGUCAUACGAAAGUUUCAUUUAUCAUCUUCCCAACAAAACCAUCGAUAGGUUAUUGUUGACUUUUUUUUUUUCCAUUUAGAUUCAUGCCAGAUUAUGGUUGCUGGAUUUUCUGCUUUGACACUUUAUUGUUUCUAAGUAUAGGCUACCAAGGGAGGAAAAAAAUUGACACUGAUGGUCAUCCCCAGCAUUUUUAUCCCAGGAGACUGGUCAAUUCACUUUCUAUGAAGGACUAAAUAGAAUUCCAGACUCUAUUUUGAAGGACAAAGCUGUGGCUGAGCUUGGUUGUGGAAAUGGAUGGAUAACCAUUGCCGUAGCUGAGAAGUGGUUGCCUUUGAAGUUUUGUUGGUUUGUCGUCCUUAUGCCAUGUGAGAGCUUUUGUUUCCUUCCUUACCAGUGCCUUCAGGGGCUCCAUCAUGAUUUCUCUCAUCAUUUUCUAUCUCUGUGUUUUGCAAGGCUAUUUGAUAUUUAUAACAGCAUUGGCACCAGGUUAUGGUGAUUUAAUGCAUUCCUAUUAGGAAAAAUUACAUAAUUAUCAACUCUGUCCUUGUCCAAAAGUCUUUGUUGGAGUAUGUUGAAAAUAUAACCUUGUAGCAGUUCUUAUAUGCUGUCUGAAUAUCGUUUUGCAGUCUAUGGCCUUGAUAUUAAUCCCAGAGCAAUAAAGAUCUCUUGGAUACAAUUGUACUUAAAUGCAUUAGAUGAAUCUUUUUCUAAGCUUUUCCGUCACUGUCACUGCAAAAGGUCUUUUGUAUUGAUGGUUAUCUGUGGGGCCAGGAAAGAAGGUCAGCCCGUCUAUGAUGCGGUGAAGAAAACCUUACUGGAUAGGGUGGAGUUUGAUGAAUCUGAUCUCCUAGCGUAUUGUUGACAUCAUGACAUUCAACUUGAAUGACUAGUGGGGUGCAGACCUCAGGUACUCUCACUUUCUGCAACUCAUGAUAUUUCUAGGGGAUUAAAUUUUGGUGAAGUUUGUUUACCCAACAUCAAGUUGGAAUUUUAGUGUGCCCACAUGGAUUACUUUUAACUCCUAGUUUAACUUAUUCUGUUUUCUCCAUGCAGGUUCUCAACUCCAAUUCCAAUGCAAUGUCGAAAAUAAUCAAUGAAAAUGCAAGCGAGGAAUUUCUGUAUUCAUUGAGUAACUAUUGUGGACUGCAGGUUGGAGGAUAUUCUAAAUAAUUUAAUUUUGAUGCGCAAUUGCAAAUUUCCGGGAAGUUAGCACUUACAGGCUUCUUCUGGUUUCACUUAUUUCUAAGCAUACUUGUUAUAACUUUGGUUUGAAGCUUGCAUACCUUAGGUAAGGUUGUUGUCUUUAGUUGGUCAAUAUCAAUUGGGAAAUAUAGCAAACCAGUGAAGACAGUGGGAAAAGGAUAAUGUGAGUUUGACAGAUGCUGAGAGGAGAUAGGGAAACUUGGAUCUGAAAGUUUUUUUUUUUUUUUCUUAACGUGUAACCUCUUCACAAUGCCAUUGAUUCCCAUAGUUCAUGUUGCUAGGUGAACUUAACAACAACUAUCUGUUAUGCCUUGUGGAUAACUGAGAAAGUUUAUUGAUUUUGACAGAUUGCUUUUUGAAAUAGAGUGCAAGUAGAUUGACUAAUAAUGAACAUACUGUAUCAAGUUGUUACAUUUGAACAUGUUAAGGUCAUAUGAAGCAUACUUCUUGUAACUUUUUUUUUUUUUUUGCCCUCCCCAUUUCCCUGUAUGGAGGGUUUCAUGGAGGAUCAGUUUGGCUCAGGUCUAAUUGCUGGAGCAGUUGAGGAAGGAAUUACUGUUAUCAAAAUAAAGAUUCAUCUCACUCACUAGCCAGUUGAGCAGCUCGUCACUAGUCGAAUUCAUUGCCGAUUGCGGCCCGUAUCCAUUGCCCAUCACUGUUUGGAUUCGUCGGUUCUAUCAUGUUGGUUCAGUAGCUCAUCGCCGCUGUCAUGGUCGGCCUCUUUGUUGUCAUUGAAGAACCAAUCGAUAAAUAUGAUGAUAAUUUUUUAUGACAAUAAUUAGGAUGAUUGAUGAUGAUGAUUACCAUUGUUUUUUUUUUUUUUGAAGGAUUACCAUUGUUGAUGAUUAAUAUUAUUGAUGAUGAUUUUUUAUGACAAUAAUUUUGAUGAUGAUGAUGAAGAUGAUGUAAUUGCGAUGAGAUAAUGAAGAUGAAACUGAAUUGUGAUGUUGAUAAUGAAAUCGGCGGAAGGAAGAAGAUAAUUGUGGUGAUGAUGAUGAUGUUGAUGGAGAAGAAGAAAUUAACAUGAUUGAUGACGAAGUAAGGAGGAAUUUAUAAAACAGAGAGAAAAAGAAAAAAGAGAAGAUGAAGAGGAUAAAAAGAACAAAUAAAAAAAUAAAAAAAGGAAAAAAACAGGAGAGAAAAUAAUAAUAAAAACAAAAGAGGAAAAUAAUAAUAAUUAUUAUUAUAAAAUAAGUUAAAUAUUAUUAUUAUUAUUAUUAACAAUAAUUUUAUUGAUAACCAUAAUCAUUUAAUAGAUAAUAAAAAUAAUGGUAAUAAUGAAUUACGGGUAUUUUAAUAAUUUAAAUAAUUCAUUGUGAUUUAAAAAUAAAAUAAAUAUAUUAAUAGUAUGUCUUUUUUAGACGGCCAUCCAAUUUUAUGUCUUUUUUAUGGCCAUCCACUUAGUAGCUUGGUUAGACGUAUUGGGAUGUCGUAGGCCUUAAAAGAUAAGAGCAAAAAAUCAAUUCCAAAUCUAAAGUGAAAAACACUAGCUAGAAAAAAAUCUAUGUUCUGAUGUCUUAGUUUGUAAGCUCAAACAAUGAAUAGUAUACAUACAGCGCAUUAUAAAACACAAAACUCAUGUAGAUUUUUAGUUUCGAAAUUCAUUUCAGAAAAUCUGUUCUGUUCAACAGGUUAAAGUAGAUUAUCAACUAAACUCUACCCACAUACUUGCAUACAAUUAGAGCACUAGGUCAACAAAGGAGCACAUCUUUCGGAAGAUAAUUGAAGACUUGUUUGGCAAUUUGAAGAUUACAUCUUAGCUCUGCCAUUGGAAGCAAGCAACUCAGCUGCCCAAAGACCGCCAUGCCAUCAAGACAAUACCUAGAUACAACAUCAAUAAUAAUAACAUCAAGAAUUACAUAGAGGCCGUCGCACGUUACACCCACCCCAAUAAGAAACUAAUUAAUACCGUCUUAGCUCCUCUGUUUUAAAAGAAAUUAACACACCCAUGAAGUAGGAAUAAUUAAUUAAUUUAUACAGUUCAGUACUCAUUCGACCUCUGUUUCAAAUCCAAAUCCACUGCUCGACCAUUUACUAUGACGUAAGGUAUAUGGAUUAAUUAACAAGUGCCGAUAUUGUCCUCCAUCCUUUUGUGUACCUUUCUUCUGGCAAGGCCUUUUCUGGAAAGUAUUUGAGCUCCAGACAAUUACAGAAUUUCAAUUUGCUGAGGUUUUGAUGAUCAGCAAUUGAAGAAGACAAGCGUUAAUAAUUAUGAAGAACUGGUGUAAUUUAUAUCAUGUAGGAAGCCCUUCAGUUACUUCUUUGACUGUGCCCAAACUCUUUUAAGGGCUAAUAUCAAAAUUUCGUGAUAUUGUGCCUGAAGAGCUUCAUACCUCAUUGUAACUGUUUCUAAAAGUUGAUGAGCCCAAAUAUCCAAUAACUGAUAAAUUAUGUUGAGAAAUAGAAAUAUUAAUAGUACUGAUACAGACGCAUGGAAGUCCCCCGUUUUGAGUUUAUGCUUGUGCUUGUCUACUUGACAAAAAGGACAUAGGUGGAAAGUGGACUAAGCAUCAUUGGAUAACUUGGAGGAAAAAUAGUGUCCAGCAUAAAGAAUCCAUCGUUAUGUGCCGCUUCCUAUUUAAUUACAUUUAUCUAACAUUUAAAAGAUGGAAGUAGAAAAUUAACUCAGUUUUUCAGAUAUGGCUCAUAUACAAUGCAAGUAUCAAGAUUUAAUUAGAGUUCACAUAUAUACAUGCGUCUAGUUUUUAUUGAGAGAUUAACUAAUCAUAAAUACUCGUGUUCUAAAUGAUUGAAUAAUGACAUUAUUGUUAUUUAUAAAUUUAUAAGGAUAAAUUUAUACCGAAAAGGGUCCCCAACAUAACUUGAACAACUUUACUUGUGUUUGCUCAUUGAAUAAUGUUAUAAAAAAUAAAUACAUAUGUUAGAAGAUUCAUAGUAUAUUGGAGUGUUUUUUGUACUUGAAUGAUAAUGAAUGAAGGUAUGUUAAUUUACUUUAAAUAGAAACCUUCCUAAAAGGAAUAGAAAUGCUCUAUAACAUACCAAAUACUACCUUAAUCAAAAUUUAGUAGGCAAAAAUUUUAAAAAUGGAAUAAUUAACCCUAAUUAAAUAAUUGUCUUACAUCACCAAACUCUUUUUUUUUUUUUUUAAUUAAGGCAUCACAAAACUCUGUAAAGCAUAAAAUAUAAUAGGCAAAUUUGAGCUAAAAAAAAAUGAAGUUAGGAAAAUGACUUGCAUACUGUCUUUGAUGAGCGCAUAAUUUUCUUGAAAAAAAAGGAUUUUUGUGUUUUUUUUUUUUUUGGUAAAUUCGUGUCGUUUACUAGUCUUUUGGGUUUUGUUGUAUAAUUCUUUGGUACGUGUUUAUCUUGCUUUUGUAUAUGUUAGGAAACGGAGUGAAAUCCCAAUAUUAAAAUAUGGAGAAAUGAUUUUUCAUGAAUAAAAUGAUUUAAUUUAUUUUUAUUUCUACAACAAAAAUUAUUAAGUUAUCAACAUAUUGAUUUCAUCUGUAAGUUCCAGUCAGUCAGUUUCUCACGUUCCAUUGUUAUCUUUUAAAAGAUACUGCAAUGCUUUAAGUGUAUUUGAUCACUUCACUAAUAAUUUGAUAUUUACAAAUUGAAAAAAUAAAUUAUUUCUGACCAAAGACACUAGAGAAUGUCGAAAAGAGUUUGAGUAAUUUUUGUAUACACACACAACACAAAAUUAAAUUACGUGGCAAUGUUGAUAGUGAGUCGUUUUUGGGAAUCCAUAAGUUCACAUGUGCACAGACGUCGGUUGCCUGCCAGCCCUUUCCUUUUUUUUUUUUAAUAUCUCCAAAUCAUUUAUUAGAGUCCCAAAUUUAUCACACAUCAUUAAGUAAAAUGUGCCAAUUAGUAAGAGCCAGCUUCUUUCCUCUGUUUUCUUGCGUAUGCUGCAUUCAAGUAUCACUGAAAAUUUUAAUUAUACCGUCAACAGCUGCAGGAAAAUUAUAUACAUUCUAUCAACACCUGCAUGCUGCAAUCCUCAAUGACUGCCAAAUCUUCAUACCAUGAAUAUCAAGUAACUUCCAACUCUUCAUAUAGUGAAUCAGCAGGAUUCACGUCCGACCAACUCCACAGGCACGGCUAAAGCGAAAGAUUAUUUUUUCAGAUAUUAUCAAGAAAUUAAUUUAAGUGAAAUAAGCUAAGAGUGAUUUCGAUAAGGUUUUCAGAGAAGAUAUAGAAAGAAGAUAAAAUAAAUAAAUAAGUAAUUUCAGUCGAUGCAAAAAAUGGGCAUGUGUCUGACUAACAGGACAUGGCUUGGAGCAAAUAUCAAUGGAGGAAAUAUCAGCUUAUAAUUUUAUAAAAUAAGCAUCAAAAUAUUCGACAAGUUUGAGGUUUAUGAAAUAUUGGGAAAAUAGACAAAUAACAAAGACGCUCACACUACAAGUUAAGCAGAUCAAAUAAACAGAACAAAGGAAAUAACUGAUCAAUUUAAUUCUUUGUGCAAUGGCCACGGCAACAGAGAAAAUAUGUCUACAUGACUAUAUUAAUGCUACUGGCGUGGAUGGUACCAUCACCAUGAUGAUAUGAGAUUAAAAACAUUGACUUCAUAAUUUUAUAAAAUUUCAUAUAGAAGAUAUAAUUGAUUUGAGUUAGUUUAACAGAGAAAAAAGAAUAAUAAGGAAUUACAUUGAUGUGGCGUGUGAUGAGAAUUGAUAGAGAAGAAAUAUUGAUCAUGUAAUAAUGAAAUAUGUAUUUACUGAAAAAUAUUUGGCAAUAAAAUGAUGCUAUAAAAAUUUAACAUUGUUUGCAAGAAAAUAGUUUGACAACUAAAAGACAUAUAUAUGCAAUGCUUUGAGUUUAUUUUAUCGCUUCACUAACCAUUUUGUAACUACAUAUUAAAUAUAAGUUGAAUUAAUUCUGAUCUAAGACUCUAGAGAAUGUAGCUAGAAAAAUGAUUUGAUUUUGUAUAUAAACAAUAUUAGAGAUGAGAUAUGUCAAAAUCAAUUACAAGAACAAUAAUAAGAACAUAUUCUGCAAAAGUUAUAAAUACAUAUAAAAUAAAUUUAAUUUCAAAUUAGGAAAUUAUUAAUUUGUAUAGUAAGAGAGUCCAAUAGAAAAAUAGAAAUUUUUUUGAAAGAGAUUUGCUUAGGGAACAACUUUAGUUUGGUUUAGUUUGUGAAGGAUCAAGUAAUUGAACGCAAUUGAAGGAAAUUCAAACUUUUGAUUUUGACAAAGUAAUCGUUAAAAUGCUAAAAAUACUGGGACAAUAGACAAAUAAUGAAGAUCCUAAAAGUUGGUGGAGCAAAUAAACAGAGUAAAACAGAGCAAAUAUUUACCGUUAUACAUAUAUUUUUAUUUUUUUCAAAAAUGAAUGUGUCUAAUAUAUAACCACAGUCCGCUAUUACUGAUGUAUUAUAUAAGCACGUGUCUAAUUACCAAAUAAAUUCCACUUUGACAAAGAACAAAAGCUAAUUUUAUUGUUACCGCCUGCAGUUGUGCUUUCUUUUAUUUAUUUUCGUUUUGUUAUUUUCGUUUUGAAUGGUCCUGCAAUUUGUAUUCCUUUCUGUGGGAUUGGUUUUUGUGAUAAAUAUUAUUCAAACUGCUCAACAGGUGGAUUGUCCUGCAAUUUGUAUUUUCGUUUUAGUGAUAAGAACAUGGCUUGGAGCAAAUAUCAAUGGAGGAAAUAUCAGCUCAUAAUUUUAUAAAAUAAGCAUCAAAAUAUUCGACAAGUUUGAGGUUUAUGAAAUAUUGGGAAAAUAGACAAAUAACAAAGACGCUCACACUACAAGUUAAGCAGAUCAAAUAAACAGAACAAAGGAAAUAACUGAUCAAUUUAAUUCUUUGUGCAAUGGCCACGGCAACAGCGAAAAUAUGUCUACAUGACUUUAAUGCUACUGGCGCGGAUGGUACCAUCACCGUGAUGAUAUGAGAUUAAAAGCAUUGAUUUCAUAAUUUUAUAAAAUUUCAUAUAGAAGAUAUAAUUGAUUUGAGUUAGUUUAACAUUGAAAGAAAGAAUAAUAAGGAAUGAUAUCGAUGUGGCGUGUAAUGAGAAUUGAUAGAGACAAAUAUUGAUCAUGUAAUAAUGAAAUAUUUAGUUACUGAAAAAUAUUUGGCAAUAAAAUGAUGCUAUAAAAAUUUAACAUUGUUUACAAGAAAAUAGUUUGCAAUUAAAAGAGAUAUAUAUGCAAUGCUUUGAGUUUAUUUUAUCAUUUCACUAACCAUUUUGUAACUACAUAUUAAAUAGAAGUUGAAUUAAUUCUGAUCUAAGACUCUAGAGAAUGUAGAAAAAUGAUUUGAUUAUGUAUACAAACAAUAUUGGAGAUGAGAUAUCAGAUAUGUCAAAAUCAAUGACAAGAACAAUAAUAAGAACAUAUUCUACAAAAGUUAUAAAUACAUAUAAUAUAAAUUUAGUUUCAAAUUACGAAAUUAUGAAUUUGUAUAGUAAAAGAGUCCAAUAGAAAAAUGGAAAUUUUUUAAAAAGAGAUUUGCUUAGGGAAAAACUUUAGCUUGGUUUGGUUAGUGAAGGCUCGAGUAAUUGAAAGCAACGCAAUUGAAGGAAAUACAAACUUCCGCUUUUGACAAAGUAAUCGCUAAAAUGCUAAAAAUGUUGGGAAAAUAGACAAAUAAUGAAGACCCUACAGGUUUGCGGAGCAAAUAAAUAGAGUAAAAUAGAGCAAAUAUUUACCAUUAUACAUUUACUGCAGAAACAAAGUGCCUUCAUAACACCAGUUAAACUGUGUCUAGCUACCAUGCUGGUUCUACUUUUACUUUAUUAAAUAUAUACAGCAUUAAAUCACCUGAGCCUCCAGUUUCUCUAGUUUCCAACUUGAAAUUAAAACGUAGAAUUGAUGGUAAUGGAGUUCCUUAUUUAAUUUUGCUGUAGGUCAUGGGCAAUUAGACGGCCAUCCAUUUUUAUGUCUAUUUUAUGUACUAUUGGCCACUAAGUAGCUUGGAUAUUUUAUACGUAGUUUGAAAUAAGUCAAAAUCAAUUACUAGAACAACAAUAAAAGCAUAUUUUAUAAAGGCCAAAAAUACAUAAUAUAAAUUUAGUUUUGAAUUUUGUAAUUAUUAAUUCAUAUAUUAAGAGAGUCUUAUAGAAAAAUAGGAAUUUUUUGAAAGAGAUUUGCUAAAGUAAAAAAUUUCGUUUGGUUUAGUUUGUGAAGGCUCAAGUAAUUGAAAGCAAUGCAAGUGAAGGAUAUAUGAACUUGUAAUUUUUACAAAGUAAUUGCUAAAAUAUUUGACAAGCUUGAGAUUUUAAAAAGGCUGGGAAAAUAGAAAAACAAUGAAGACCCUACGAGUUGGCAGAGCAAAUAAACAGAGGAAAACAUGACAAAUAUUAUGUUGAUGCACAAUCUUAUUUUAUGUUGAUGCACAAUCCAACUUUUUAACAAAAAUAAUAUUUAAAUUGUCACAAAACGUAUUAUUCUUUAAAAAAAAUUCAUAUACAGUAGUUAAUUUUUCUUUACUCCAGGAUCCAACUACAUACCCCUCUUGUUUGUCGUUAUUCUGCUCAGUCGUUAGAUUUUAAUUACUGUAAAGAAUUGUGGAAAUGCUCAUAUAUUAUUUGUUGCUGUGUACAAGAUCCUUAUAUACAAAAAUACUAGAAUCAUCUAAGGCAAGUACCAAACGGUCAAAUAAUAGAAAAGGAAAGAAUAUAAAGGAGAAUGAAUAUUACAAUAUGCUAAGUUAGUGGCUAAGAUCAAGGACUGAUUGAUUCUUGUUCUAAUACUCCCCCUCAAGUUGGGAAGUGAAGAUCCGUAACUCCCAACUUGCCAAGAAGAUAUUGAAAUUGAUGUUUACCAAGAGCUUUGGUAAAAAUGUCAGCCAAUUGUUGUCGUGAAGGCACAUAAGUUAAGGAAAUGAUUUUGGCAUGAAGCUUUACACGAACAAGAUGGCAGUCUAUUUCUAUGUGCUUGGUACGCUCAUUGAAGAUGGGAUUGGCAGCGAUAUGAAGCGCAACUUGAUUGUCACAAUGUAAAGUUAUAGGCAUUGGAUGGGUCACAUGAAGAUCACGAAGUAGAGUUUUCAACCAAACCAAUUCACAUGUUGUUGUCGCCAUGGCUCGAUAUUCGGCUUCAGCGGAAGAGCGCGAUACAACUGGUUGCUUCUUGGUUUUCCAAGAAAUAGGACUAUUGCCAAGCAUGAUAAAAUAUCCAGUAGUGGAUCGACGGGUCAUGGGGCAACUUGCCCAAUCUGAAUCUGAGAAGGCAGAGAGUUCCAAAGAGUUAGUGGAGGACAAGAGGAUACCAGCGCCGGGAGAAAAUUUGAUGUAACGUAAGACACGCAGGGCAGCAUCAUAAUGUGGUCAUCUUGGAGUGUGCAUAAAUUGACUAAGUAUGUUCACAGCAUAUGUAAUUUAUGGCCGGGUGAUUGUCAAAUAGAUGAGACGUCCUACAAGUCGUCGGUAUUGGUCAGGAUUUUGACAAAGGGUUCCUUGAUCGUUAGAGAGCUUCAAGUUUUGUUCCAUUGGAAAAGAAGAUGGCCGUGUGCCUAAUUGUCCACUGUCUUGAAGUAUAUCUAAAGCAUAUUUCCUUUGAUUGAAGAAAAUCCCUUGCUUUGAGCGAGCCACUUCAAUUCCUAAAAAAGAUUUCAAAGUUCCCAAGUCUUUAAUAUGAAAUUGAGCCUGCAAAAACAUCUUCAAUGCAGUUAUAGUGUCAAGAUGGUUACCAGCAAUUAUUAUAUCACCAACAUACACAAGCACCAAUGUAAAAUGAGAAUCAUGCAUUUUAGUAAACAAACAAGAAUCAACAUAAAAUUGAAUGUAACCAAUUUGUUUAAGAGCGGAUGAGAAUUUUUCAAACCAAUUUCGAGAAGCUUGCUUGAGACCAUAAAGGGACUUGUUUAACUGACAAAAUUGAUAAGACUCCCCCUGUUUACAAACUCCUGGAGGUAAGGUCAUAUAAAUUUCCUCAUGCAAGUCACCAUGAAGAAAUGCAUUAUGAACAUCUAACUGAAAUAAUAACCACCCUCGAAUAGCUGCCAUUGCCAAUACACAUCUAACAGUCACAAGUUUUGCAACAGGUGCAAAUAUCUUAUGGUAAUCCAAACCUUCAGUUUGUGUGUAUCCUUUAGCAACAAGGCGUGCUUUGUAUCUCUCAAUAGAACCAUCAGCUUUUCUUUUAAUUUUGAACACCCAUUUACAACCAAUUGGUUUCUUGCCGGGAGGUAGAUCUUGUAUAGGGAUGGCAAAUUGGUCCAUCCAAAUUGGAUAUCCAUAUAUCCAAUCCAAUUGGAUUGGAUAAUAUCCAUCCAAAAUCUUCUUGGAUAUGGAUAUGGAUAUUUUUAAAAAUAUCCAAUUAGAUAUUGGAUGGGUAUGGAUAUUUAAUGGAUAUCCAAAAUCCAAUUAAUUUAUCCAUUUAAAGUUAAAAAAAUUUAUAUUGUUCAACUAAAAUAAAAAAAAAAUCUAAUUUUCUCUUAUAUUAACUAGUGAAAAAUUUAAAUUUCUCUUAUAUUAAAAACUAAAGUUUUCAAAAUUACCCUUUAAUUUUUUAACUUAUUUAAUACUAUUUAUAAUUGUUAUUUUAUUUUAUUGAUUUAAUAUUAUAAAUGGAUUUCCACCGGAAAGUCACCGGACCACCACCGGAGUUCGCCGGACCACCGUCGGAUAUCGCUGGAAUUACCGCCGGACCUCGGCGGAAAGUCACCAGAAGACCGCCAGACCACCGUUGGCUUCACCGGAAGAUUGCCGGACCACCGCCGGAAUUCGCCGGAAGGUCGCCGGACUUUGCCGGAAAGUUGCCGGACCGCCACCACCGACCACCGGACCGCCAUUUUAUUAUAUAUAUAUAUUAUUACUAAUAUAAAUAGUUUAAUAGCCAAAUUUGAUAUUGAAAUUUUAACUAUUUUAUAUUAUUAUUUUUAUAUAAUUAAAAUAAAAUAUCCAUGGAUCUCCAUAAACUAUAUGGAUAAAAUCCAUAUCCAUGUCCAAUAUUAAAUAGUGGAUAUGGAUAUGGAUAUAUCCAUUAUGGAUAAUUAUGGAUUUAUGUUUAUCCAUCCAUCAUUGGAUAUUUGUCAUCCCUAAUCUUGUAUUGUCCAAGUGUUACUUUGCUCUAAAGCUUUAAUCUCUAUAUCCAUAGCAUUGCGCCAAUGAGCAUGUUGAACGGCUUGAGAAUAUGUAGUUGGUUCAACAUCGUGAGAUAUGGCUGAAAGAAAGGCUACAUGAUCACUAGAAAACUUGUCAUAUGAUAAAUACUUGGAUAAUGGAUAUAAAGAACUUACCAAUAGUGGAUGAUUAGUAAAAGUAUUAGAGUUGCCAAAUGUACCGUGAAGUGCAGUAGAGCAAAUAUAAUUCUGAAGAUAAUUUGGAUGACAAGACUGUCGUUGGGACCGUCGAAGAGGUGGAGAAGGGAGAACUACUGAAUCAGAUGUACCUUGGUGGAGUGGCUGCUCAUUGGAAGAAGUUGGAAGGAGCUGUGCAUUUUCAUUGGCAAGAAGUAUGAUAGGAAGAGGUAAAACAUUGUUAUUUUCUUGUUGAUUGGUGAUAGUUUUGAAUGGGAAUUCAGUUUCCACAAAAGUAACAUCACGAGAAAUAAAAGUCUUUUUGUUAAUGAUAUCAUAAACUUUGUAUCCGGGAUACCCAAAUGGGUAACCAACAAAUAUACACUUGGUAGCACGGGGAGCAAAUUUAUGAUGAUUAGCACUGUUGGUAUGAACAUAACAAAGACAACCAAAGACACGAAGACGAUCAUAGUGAGGUUUAGUCUUAAAAAGCAUUUCAUAAGGAGAUUGACCACCAAGAUUAGGAGUGGGUAUACGAUUAAUCAAAUGGGUUGCAGUUAAAACACAAUCUCCCCAGAAAGAUAAAGGUAAAUGUACUUGAAAACAUAACGCACGUGCAACUUCUAAAAAAUAUGUCGGUGCUUGCGUUCUGCUACCUAAUUUUGUUGAGGUGUUUCAACACAAGUCCGUUCAUGCAAGAUGCCAUGCUCAUGAAAAAAAGAUUGCAUCUGAUUUGAUAAAAAUUCACGUCCUUGAUCAGUACGAAUUUUUUUAAUUUGUGACUGAAAUUGUGUUUUGAUCAAGAAGUAAAAGUUUUUUAAUAAUUGAAAAGCUUCAAACUUGUGCCGCAUGAGGUAAACCCAAGUACAACGAGUAUGGUCAUCAACAAUAGUAAGAAAAUAAUAUGAUCCCGUAUAUGUAGAUGUGCGAUGAGGUCCCCAAAUAUCACAAAAAAUUAAUUGAAAUGGCAUAUCAGAACGAUUUUUAUUCAAUUGAAAUGAACUUCUAGUGUUUUUUGAAAGUUGACAAAUUUCACAACAAGAAUUAAAUGAUGCAAUAUCAUAAAUAAAAGACAAACGCUGCAUUCGGUCUUUAGAAGGGUGACCGAGUCGCAAAUGCCAAAGAUUGGAAUUGGGUUCCUUUGCAACGUUCAUUACUGAAGGAAGGGAAGAAUGACCAUUGAUAUGCUCAUAAUAAUAUAGUACAUCCCGAACUUCACCCUUUCCAAUCAGCUUCUUCGUUGAAAGGUCCUGAAAAACACAAAAUGAAGGGAAAAAUAUAGCAGCACAGUUCAAAUCCUUGGUUAGCUUGCUUACAGAUAAUAGUUAAAAAUUAAAAUGAGGAACUAAUAAGGCAUUAUCUAAAGUCAAAGAGGAGGAUAAUUUAAUGGAUCCACAUUUUGUUGUAGGAACAGUUGUGACAUUUGGUAGUCUCACGGGUUUGACAUGAGACAUGGGCACAAAAUUUUUAAAGGAAGAAAUAUUAGGGUCAUGUGAUCAGAUGCCCCACUAUCAAUUAUCUAAGAAUUAUUAUAUGAGUUAAUAGCAGAAUUGCAAAAAGGAAUGAUUUUACCAGCUAAGUUUACAGUAGAUGGCUGCUUACUUGUUGAAAGUAUAGAUAAUAAAUGUUGAUAUUGUUCAGCCGUGAGACCGGGAAUUUGGAUAGUAGGCUGAGAUGAUGAAUUCUUGUCUUUUGGAAUGGGAUGAUCAUCUAGUUGUUGUGGCUUCGUGGUUGCAGGAGCAGCAACAUGCGAUCGAUUUGAAUGUUUCCAGUUUGGUGGGUAGCCAACAAUUUUGUAACAUUUGGCUUUUAUAUGCCCAUAUUUCUCGCAAUGAUCCCAUAAAGGUCUACCUCGUCCUUGUGUCUCUUGUACUCCAUGCAAUUGGCUAGGAUGUGAAUGAUUUUGACGGCUGGUCAUUUGAGUCUUAUUAUUGGCUGUCAAGGCUGUUGAUUCAAUAGAUGGUUGACUGGAAACAUGGAGAAGUCGUUGACGUUCUUCCUGAUGAAUAAUUGAAUAUGCUUUUCCAACAUUUGGAAGUGGUUCCAUGGCUAAGAUUUGACUUCAUACCGAAGAAUAUGAAUCAUUGAGACCCAUUAGGAAUUGAAACACCUUUUCAGUCUCCAGUAAUCCCUGUAAUUCAUUUGAAGUUUCACACUUGCAAGAAGAAAUAGUGGUUAAUGUGGACAAUUCAUCCCAAUAAAAUUUCAAAGUAUUAAAAUAAAUCACUAAUGAUUUUUGCUCUUGCUGGUGAUUGCAUAUGGCUCUCUUAAGUUCAUAAAUCCGUGGAUUAUUACUUUGUGAAAAACCUUCUUCCAACCCAAGCCAAAGAGAGCGUGGCGUAUCACAAUAGAUGAGGCCAUUGGCAAGAUUUUUCUCUAUUCCAUUGAGCAUCCAUGAAAGGACCAUGUCAUUGCAUCGCUCCCAAGUUUUUAAAUCUUGUGAGGUUGAUGAAGGUUUUUGUAUGCUUCCAUCAAUAAAACCCAAUUUGUUUUUGGCAUUUAAUGCCAUCUUCAUGGAUCUUUUCCAUGUUGAAUAAUUAUCACCCGUUAGCACAUUAGAUACAAGAAUGGCUCCAGGAUGAUCAGAUGAAUGAAGAAAGUAUGGUGAAGAAACAUCGGUAAUGAGGGAAUUUGAUGUUUCUAAUAUUGGAUUCAAACUACUAGACAUGAUUGUCAAAGAGAAAAGCAGAAAUGAGCAAAAUUUGCUCUGAUACCAUGUAAAGAAUUGUGGAAAUGCUCAUAUAUUAUUUGUUGUUGUGUACAAGAUCCUUAUAUACAAAAAUAUUGGAAUCAUCUAAGGCAAGUACCAAACGGUCAAAUAAUAGAAAAGGAAAGAAUAUAAAGGAGAAUGAAUAUUACAAUAUGCUAAGUUAGUGGCUAAGAUCAAGGACUGAUUGAUUCUUGUUCUAAUAAUUACGUUGAUCUAACGGUUGGGAUUUGUAAAUGAAUAACGAAGUGGUGUUUUUGGCUACCGUCUGAACCCAUUGCAUCUAAUUGGUUUUGUGAUUUUUCGCUUUCUUCUCUGCAACGCUUGACUAGUUCUAGAAAUAUCGACAGCAAAUUUGGAGCAUGUAUUAUUUUUCAUUAAAAUAAGUUUCCACCACCGUACCAGUAUAUGGAUUUCUGAAUUAAUUAUUAAAAGAAGCAAACAAUACUGAGAAUAUAUUAAUUAUUAAUUUAUAUAAUAAAAUGUUUGCUUCAAAAUAUACUAUUUGAAUUUGAAAUAAUAUUUUUUAAAAAUUUUAAUAUCACAAUAAUAGUCAUGAUCCAAUUGGUUUGAUUUUUUUUUUUCAGAAAAAAUUUGGAAGAAUAGACAAAUAAUGAAGACACAACCUAAGGAGAGCCAAUAAACAGGGGAAAGUGAAUUGCGUACUGUCCUCGAGCUCUCAAUUAUCCAACAUUCUCAAAUUUCUAUGUACAUUUUCGUAAAUUCAUGUCAUAUACUAGAGCUAGUAUUUUGGGUUUUGUUGCAUUAGUUCUCUGGUGUUUAUCUUGUUUUAUUACCUUAUGAUGCAAGAUUCGUGGUAGCGAUACACCUCGAAUAAAACUAUUUUUGUUUUUUUGGCAUUUUUAUUAGCACAAAUCAUUAUUAAUUACUGAACCCAUCGAGAUAUUGGUUUCAUUUGUAACAACUUGCUAAUUGCUUAAUACAUUUUUGUAAUUCUCGUCAUGAAGUCACAAAGAACCUGCAAAUAAAAGAUGAUUCAUAUACAGGUACAUAUAGAAUAAAGAUAUUUAAACAUAAACAUUCAAUUUUAUGAUAAACCUAACUGUCAUUGAGUUAUUGCUAUUAAAGGAAGUGAACAGAAAUAGAUGUAGAAAGUCAGAAAUAUGAAUGAGUGCACUUGAUGAUUUCUCGAAUAGAAAAUUAAAGUAAUAUCAUUUUUAAUAAAUGUGAGAUGAUUUAUACUCUAGAAUUUAUUUUGAACACUUAUAUUUUUAUUAUGAAAAAUCUCAUAGUUCAAUUUAUUAGUAUGGACAAUUCAAUAUAAGUAAACAGAAUAAUAAUACUUUUGAAACUCAUCUAACCAUAGUGCGCACGCACCCAUAUAAACCUUAAACCAUAAUAAAACGUUCUUCCUCAACAUAAAGACUAAUUCAUUAUUUAAAAGCAUAUAUUAACAAAUUUGUACACACAGAUUCUAUGGUUCUAAUUUCUUUGACUUUAAUUUUUCACUUCUCCACCAAAGGAGGUUCUACACAAAUAAACAACAGCAGAAAAACAAAUAUAAAAUGUGAUUCGUGUGUAGAAGAUAUAUACUCAUCAUAACAAUAACUGAUAAAUUGUAUUAAGAAAUAAAAAUAUUAGUAGUGAUGACAUGAAAGAAGUCUGUUGUCUUCACUUUGACUAAAAAUAAUUUAAAAUAAUCGACCAAGCGAAAUUCCUUAAGAAAUGAACUAGGUUGGGAAGGCAGAGCAGCCUCUGUUCUUUUUACUAUAAUGCUAAGAAUUGACUUCAAUUGGGAAGUCAGGCCAAUUGAAGAAGCUCCCCUGUUUUUCACUGAAUCAUAAUCCGAACAAUUUAUAAUUAAAUAAAUCAUUCAAAAUCUCCUUUAAUCGAACCCCCACUUCUGUGGUUUAAUGAAAUAUUAACGUUCAGCUCCUGAAGUUGCCAUUUUAUGUAUUGAAAAAGAAGAAAAUACAAGAAACUGAAAAUUAAUUGAUGCUGCAUCAUGUUGGAUUGUUAGUUGUUAUUAUGAUGGGGAUAUAAUCUUUGCCUUUUAAUUAUCAUCUAGCUAACGCAAGCCCACUAGUUUCAUUUGUGUCCAUCACUAAAAAGUAGAGUUGUUUAAUUCAAUAGUGUCACGUUACAUCACAUAAAGUCACUCAAUUUUCAUUGCCAUAUGUAGCUCAAAAGUGCAUGAACAUUGAACUUUCAACUAACUUAUAUUGAUUAAUUAAUACGACCAUCAGUUCUUAGUACCCAACAACAUCCAUCAAUAAGAGCAAAAUCCCCAUUAAUUUCAUAAAUAAAAAUAAUAAUAAGUUACAAAGACAAUAUUUGACAAUCACAAAAACAACUAUAAUUCACUCCAAUAAACAACAUAACAGAUACAUUAUCAAUAUUGCAAGUCGUUUUAUGAUUUAAUUAAAAGAGAAAAUAUGAAGGACAUAUUUUUUAUAUAAUUGAAUGUUCUCCUUGAUAAUUAGACAAAAUAACACCAAUCUAACUACCUAAUUCAAUCAUCAUAAUGAUUCAAUUUUCAUUUUUUAAUUAUGUCCAAUCAUGCUAAUUUAAUAAAGAUUACUGAGCACUUAAAGUACCUAUAUCUUCAACAACUUUGGCUAAGUUAGAAAAGUGUUAGAGCUGCAUUUAUGCUUUGUGUUAUUAAGCAGGACAUGAUCAUAUUACGUUGCGUUUUUCCGAAAACUGAAAAUUAUUAAAAAAAAAAUCUGAAAAGAGAUGUUGAAUCGCGAGCUUAAACUGAGUUUUAGACAUGUUUGACUUGUCGGUUGAUAUCCCUGAUUGUGCAUGUGCUGUCGGUUUUUGGACGGAACACAAGAAUAUGACAGCUGUGUGUUGUCGUCUGGAUCACAUGUUCUUCACGUGAUUUCACUUACCCUAUGCGGCACAUUUGGCAGUCGUUUUGGUCACUCAUUGAAGCACGAAUUAAGAACGUCAUUCAAGGUUGUUCAUUGACCUUUACAAGGCGGGAAAAUUCUGGGUUUGUUUUAACAAACCCAGAAUGCAGCUUGUGAGUGGGGGGAACUUUCUAGAUUCUUCAUGAUCUGUGUAUAUAGUCUUAGAGGCUACAGUUGAGGCAUAUGAAAAGCUUGUAACUUCUUCUUAAUGAUUGUAGUUUGAUCUCGGUGAUGGAGAUAAGAUUGCUGCCCUGUUCUUCACUUGAUAUAGGCUAUCUCCAAGCGGAACCACUUAAAUUGUGCCUCUGUUUUGCUUGUUUCGAGGUGUGUGAUUUGCUUGUCAUUUCUAAAUCAUCAAUUAGAGAGUUUAGUGAGAUCUUGGUGGUUUUAGAAUGAGUUUAAUCGAUCAAGAAUCAACAAGAUGCUAUGAAAACAAAAUAAGAGACUAUUGCACGCACAUCAUAGCAAUGUUUCAUUCAUUUCGAAUCUAUAUAUACAAAACUUAUAUCUGGUGGUUUCUGUUUGUUUAAUCUAACGGCUAUAACAUGUAUAUUGUCAAAAGCUACAGCGGCCAACUUUGUUUGUCCUCUUAGCAUCCUUGAUCUUAUAUCAUCCUGGUGAUUCUUGAGAGCUCUUCUCAUUCUCUCGUGUUGAGUCCCUUGCUGAGAUGAUAAAUACUUGAGGGUCCUUCCUUGAUAUAUUUCAGCAAACACUUGAUUCAUUCUAUCAAACAUUUGCAUCACUAAUCAUUAAAUGGUGUAAGAUAGUUCUGUUUUGAAAAAUCAAUAUAAAAUCAAUCACCUUAGAUUUUCUUAGUCUCAGAGCACAAUGGCUGAUGAUUUGAUGAGAAAUAUUAAUAUGCAUGCAUCCCCUGCAUUCGUUAGAGCUGCUCUCAACCUCUGUUUAAUAAGCUAGUCCUCUGCUGUAUCCUAGAAGGUGGAACAUUAUGCUUCCCAGCUGGCUCAAGAGGGAACUAUGCUUCUGCUGCCAAAUUUUUGAAAGCGAACAUCGUGGGAAGAGGUUGAUCUGAAGCCAUUGCAUCUGAUUGGUUUUGUGAUUUUUUGCUUUCUUCUCUGUAACGCUUGACUAGUUCUGGAAAUAUCGACCAUCAUCGAUGGCAAAUCUGGACCAUGUAUUUGCCCACUACUAAGAAAUAAAGUUUCCACCACCGUACCAGUAUGUCGAUUUACGAAUACAUUCAUUCAAAUAUUAAACGUACAGAGAAGAGAGCAAACUGUGGCAGGAUAGCAAAAACUGCGAAUGGUCAUUCCCAACACGAACGCUUAUGGCUGUUUUCCUUUUAAUUUUCUUCUUUGAAUUCUCCUUUUAUUAAUCAUUAGAAAAACUCCCUUUUUUUAAAUCAUGUGUUAUAAACAUUUACAUGGUUAAUGUCAUCGAAAUCAAAUGGUUGUUAUCUACGAAAAGAGAAUUGUUAGAAAUUUUGUAAGUCCCAUUGCAACAAUAUAUUGUUAUAAAUUGCAUUGUUUCCCAUAUAACAAAUAUAAUAAAAUCUCAAUAAAUUAAUAGUUUUGGGGACCAUAAAAAAAUUUAUUAAAAUUUAACAAAUAUCAAUUAAUUGGCAAAUUAAUAAAUUAUUAAUUUAUGAAAAUAUUCAUUAUUUUAGAAAAACAUGAUCACGUUUUUAGUAUUGAUUUACCUUGAGUUAGUAUCUAUUAUGUUUUAUUUGUCUCUAUUAGUUUUCUCUUGGGAAGAUUUUUUAAGAGUUAGCUGCUUUAUAUUAACAGUAAUAAAAUUAUUGUAUGGUUUUGUUUUUCCAUGUUAAAGAUCGAUUAGUCCUCUGCUUCUCCUCAGAGUCAUCGAGCACCGCCUGAAUCAUCAACAACGUGCUCUUCCACUUCAUCAGAUCGUCUUCGAUCUUCUCUUGGCGUGUGUUAAGGAAGUUAAGGAAGCUCAUAUUUGCAGUCAAGCAGAGGAUCACAGCAGCUUCUAUAAUCAGUUGCAAGUUGAUGACAUGUACUGCCAGCUGGCACUAGGUGGUUAUGUAGCUGCUUGUACUUAUACACGUGAUAAGUUUGUUAAUUAGUUUGUAAUUAGUUAGUUAGUUUUGUAACCAUCAGCUGAGAAGCAACACUUGUAUAUAUAUGCUUGUAAUCGUUCAGUAGCAUUUAAAAAAAAAGCUUGAGAAAAUAAAAGAAGAAAGUUUUCUAAAUCUCAGUUUAUUUUCUUAUUAGCCAAACACUCAUUUUCUGUUUUAUAACUUGGUAUCAGAGCCAGUCAUGGCAUCUCUGAAUAUUGCCUCAUCAAAUCACACUUCGAAUAUUCAUACAAACUCAACAAACUUCUCAUUCACAUUCAAUACCCCUGUGAAACUGGAUCAGGCAAACUAUCUGAUCUGGAGGUCCCCAGUUCUAGCUUCCAUACGCGGCAAUAGGCUAGAAAAGUUUAUUGAUGAAAAUGUCACUCCUCCUCCAUCUCAUAUUGCUCAAAGGAUUGACGAUGAACUUAGAUCUGUUGAGAAUCCAGAUUCAUCAAGCUGGAAAGCACAAGGUCAAGUACUUCUUGGCUGGUUGUUGUCAUCGAUGAGUGAAGGUAUUAUAAGUCUGGUGUUUAAUUUGGAAACUUCUCUUGAGGUAUGGAAAGCUAUUGAAACUCAAUUUGGAUCACAGUCAAAAUCCAGACUCUUACAUUUGAGAUAUUUGAUGAAUUCAACUAGGAAAGAUGAUCUGAAAAUCAAUGAGUAUUUCAUUAAAAUGAAGAAUAUUGCUGAUAACAUGGCUGCGGCAGGAAGUGCCUUAAGCAGUGAUGAUUUAAUUUUGCAUGUACUCUCAGGACUAGGACCAGAUUAUAAUGCUGUUGCUACUUAUAUUACUGGUCAAAUAAGUGGUGAUAAAAUGAAUUUAAAUGAGGCUUAUGCUAUGUUGUUGACUCAAGAAGCUAGAAUUGAGCAACAAGCACAUAUGCUUUCUGGAAUGGAUGUUAAGCAUAAUUUUGAAGCUAAUUUUGCUCAGAACAGAGGUUUCAAGAAAGGAAAUUUCUCAGGUGGUAGAGGAUCUGGUAAUCAUGACUAUUUUACUGGAUUAGAUAAUGCUGGAAAUUUUGGAAAUAAUUACAGAAGUGGCUAUGGAAGAUCUGGUUUCUUUGGUAAUGGUUUUGGAAAUAAUCAUAAUAACCAAUUAAGAGGAUUUCAAAGUGAUAAUCAAAGGGGAUCAGGCUCAGGAAAUUGGAACAAUGGUGGGGGUGGUAACAAUAACUCUAUCAGGCCUCAAAUGAAUCCAAAACCUCAGUGGAAUGCUUCUAAACCAACUUGUCAAAUCUGCUUAAAAACUGGUCAUACUGCAAAUGUCUGCUGGAAGCUUGAAGAAUUCUUUACCUCUGGUGCUUGCAAACCUCCUCCAAACAGAAAUCCCAAAGCUGCAUAUCUAGCUGAUAUGGAUGGUGCAGUUGAUGCCAACUGGUAUCUGGAUAGUGGAGCUACACACCAUCUUACCAAUGACAUGAGGAAUAUGACUAUGGCAGAAUCCUUUGCAGGUAACUCUAAACUCAUCAUUGGAAAUAGUACUGGUUUACAUAUAACACAUGUUGGAAAUGCUGUGUUAAGAAUGCAUAACUCUUCUGCUCAUCAUAUACUCAAAUUAAACAACAUGCUUCUUGUUCCACAAAUAUCCAAGAAUCUUAUUGGCAUAUCUCAGCUAACCAAAGAUAACAACAUUGUUAUUGAAUUUACUGAUAAAUCCUGUGUUGUGAAGGACAAGGUGAGGAAUUUGAUCAUACUGCAGGGCAAAGCUGAAAAAGGUUUAUACAGAUUGCUAUUGUUUCCCUCUAAUAAAGUCUCUUCUCAAUCAUGUCAAAGGUCUCUUGAAGCCACUCAAUCCAAAAUUUCAAAUGUUCCUAUGUCUAUGUUUUCAGUUGUUCAGUCAGUUGUCAAUAAUCAAACAAGUCCCUGCUUGCAUACUGCAGCAGAACCUUGUAUCAGUCCAAAUUGUAUGCUGAGUGUUUCUGUUUUGCAUCAGAAACUUGGUCAUCCUAAUUCCAAAGUUUUAAGUCAUGUAAUAAACUCUUGUUCAGCUUUCAAGAAUUUAAAUGGAAGUAACUUUCUUGAUUCAUGUGAUGCAUGUAAAAUGGGAAAAAUGCAUAGAUUACACUUUCCAGUUUCUACUACCAAAACAAAGCAUGUAUUAGAAGUUUUGCACACUGAUUUAUGGGGACCUGCCCCUGUGCUUUCAGUUCAAGGUUACAGAUAUUAUGUGAGUUUUGUGGAUGAUUUUUCGAGGUUCACAUGGAUAUUCCCAUUAAAAACCAAGGAUGAAACACUAGCUGUGUUUAAAAUCUUUAAGAAGCAAAUUGAGAAACAGCUAGAUAGAUCCAUUAAAUGCAUUCAAUCAGAUUGGGGUGGGGAGUAUAGAUCAUUUGUUAAUUUUCUUCAUGAGGAAGGUAUUCAAUUCAGACACUCAUGUCCCUAUACUCACAAUCAGAAUGGCUUAGUUGAGAGAAAACAUAGACACAUAACCGAGCUAGGUCUCACCUUAGUUGCUCAAGCUUCUUUGCCUCUCAAAUUUUGGUGGGAUUCCUUCCAUACAGCCACCUAUAUUAUCGAUAGACUUCCCACACCCAUACUAUCUAUGCAGUCACCUUAUGAAUAUGUCUUCAAAACCAAACCUGAUUACAAAUUUCUCAAGGUCUUUGGUUGUUCAUGCUUUCCAUUCUUAAGGGAUUAUAAUACUCACAAAUUCCAUUUUCAUACCUCAAAAUGUGUAUUUCUUGGUUACAGCCCUUUACAUAAGGGUUACAAGUGUAUGCAUUCUUCUGGAAAGAUUUUUAUAGCCAGUCAUGUGUUAUUUGAUGAAACUUCUUUUCCUUACACAUCAAAUUCACAAUUCUUAACUUCAUCAUUCAAACCCUCUGAUUUCCAUUACAGUCUUCUUCAAUCUUGUACUGUUUCACUUCCCAAUAGCAAUCAAGAAACCUUUGAAGCUAGCUCUGCAGAAAAUGAAGCUCCAUCUCAUCAUUUCAGUGAUCAUUCCUCACCUGACAGUCAUAAUACAACCUUUGAUGUUUCACCUUCUCAAAUACAUCUUCAACCCUCUACCAUAGCUACUUCACAAACACAACAGCCAUCCUCAUCUACUAUUCAAUCCACACAACCAUCCUAACAUCCUCUGCCGAAUCAUCCCAUGAUUACCAGAGCAAAAGCUGGUAUAUUCAAGCCUAAAGCAUUCUUAACAUCACAUAACAGCCUGGAACCAUCUACUGUUGAUGAAGCUUUGUCUGAUUCUAAGUGGAAAGCUGUAAUGCAAUUAGAGUUUGAUGCUUUAACCAGAAAUAAUACCUGGAAUCUAGUACCUAUGACAUCUCAGCACAAGUUGGUUGGUUGUAAAUGGGUCUUUAGAACCAAGUACAAUACAGAUGGUACAGUUUCUAAACACAAAGCAAGAUUGGUAGCCAAGGGCUUUCACCAGGCAGCAUGAGUGGAUUAUAAGGAAACUUUUAGUCCUGUGGUAAAGUCUUCUACAGUAAGAACUAUACUAAGUUUGGCAGUGAUGAAAGGUUGGAAAGUCAGGCAAAUCGAUAUAAAUAAUGCCUUUCUUAAUGGAGAUAUUUCAGAGGAUAUAUACAUGACACAACUAGAGGGCUUCAUCACCAAAGAGGGCUAUGUCUGCAAACUUAGCAAGGCUCUUUAUGGCUUGAAGCAAGCUCCUAGAGCUUGGUAUGACAAACUCAAAGGGUGUCUUACAAGCUGGAAUUUCUUCAACUCCAAGGCUGAUACAUCCUUGUUCAUCAGACAUGACACGAGAGGUAUCAUUCUUGUUCUUAUCUAUGUGGAUGAUAUUCUUAUUACAGGACCAGAUUCUUCCCUGUUGGAAACAUUCAUCACUAAAUUUAGUAAGGUUUUUGCCUUAAAACAUUUGGGAUUGGUAUCCUAUUUUCUGGGUGUUGAGGUGUGUUAUACUGAUAGUGGGAUGCAUUUAUCACAAACAAAAUAUAUUAAAGACCUCUUAAGUAGAGCUUCAAUGCAGAACUGUAAAGGUUCUGAUACACCUCUCAGCACAGGUCAAAAGUUAGAAAAGGUAGCAAAGGUCUGUUUGGGGAAAGAAUUUGAAGAUCCAACUCUCUAUAGAAGUAUUGUUGGAGGGCUCCAAUACUUGAUACUCACCAGACCUGAUAUUGCAUACUCAGUUCAUAAGCUCAGUCAAUAUUUGAGUGCUCAUACACUUCAGCAUUGGCUUGCUUGUAAGAAAGUACUUAGAUAUCUUCAAGCAACUGUCACUCAUGGAAUAUAUAUUCAGAAGGAAGGAGAGCUUGAAGUUACAGGUUUGAAUGGAUACUCAGAUGCAGAUUGGGCUUGUAAUACAGAUGAUAGAAAGUCCAUUGGAGCAUAUUGCAUCUAUCUUGGCAACAAUUUAAUUUCAUGGUCCUCUAAGAAACAAGCCAUAGUGGCCAAAUCCAGCACUGAAAGUGAGUAUAGAGCACUGUCAUCAGCAAGUUCAGAAAUCUCUUGGCUUGAAUCUCUAUUUUCUGAGCUCAACAUUGUAAAGCUGCCAACACCAGUGCUUUGGUGUGAUAAUCAGAGUGCUGGGGAAUUAGCCAAAAAUCCUGUGUUUCACUCCAGGUCUAAGCAUAUCGAGUUGGACAUUCAUUACAUUCGAGAUAAGGUACUUCAAAACCAAUUAGAAGUGAGAUACAUUCCUACAGAUGAACAAGUUGCUGAUGUCCUCACCAAAGCUUUAUCACUUCCAAAAUUCAGCUACUUCAGGUCCAAGCUCAAUGUCGUUAGCAGACCCUUGAGCUUGAGGGGGGAUGUUAAGGAAGUUAAGGAAGCUCAUAUUUGCAGUCAAGCAGAGGAUCACAGAGCAAAGGAUCACAGCAGCUUCUAUAAUCAGUUGCAAGUUGAUGACAUGUACUGCCAGCUGGCACCAGGUGGUUAUGUAGCUGCUUGUACUCGUACACGUGAUAAGUUUGUUAAUCAAUUUGUAAUUAGUUAGUUAGUUUUGUAACCAUCAGCUGAGAAGCAACACUUGUAUAUAUAUGCUUGUAAUCGUUCAGUAGCAUUUAAGAAAAAAGCUUGAGAAAAUAAAAGAAGAAAGUUUUCUAAAUCUCAGUUUAUUUUCUUAUUAGCCAAACACUCAUUUUCUGUUUUAUAACUGCGUGCAAACCACCGAAUCCCCUCUGAAGCUAACUUUGGCGUGCAGCUCUUCGAUGAUUGGCUUUUUUUUUCUUUUUUUUUUGGUUGUGUUUUUUUUUGGCUCCUAGUUUGAUUUAACUUUGUUUCGGUUAUUGACAUUGCUGAAGAGGCAGUAAAAGCUUGUUGAAUGUCAUCAAAUGCACAAAUUGGCAAUAUCGGUUGGCUUCUUUAUAGGCGCAUCCAUCACAAAAUGAAAGUAACAACAACCACCAUCGAAAAUUAAUUUUAAGAAUCUUUUUUACCUGAAAUCUUUGAAAAGAAAAAUUAACCUGACAUUUAUUUAUUUAUUUAUUUUUUGGGGGCAAAGAAAGAAAGGAACAGAAUUAUGAGUUUUGGAAAGGAGAAUGAGAAAAUUGAACAGAUGAGAAAAUGGAUAAUUAACCAGAAUGAAUUUGCGAUUGGUCCAGCAAGCUUAGUAGAAAUCACGCGCUGAUACUUCAUUGACCAAUGACUAAUAAUUUGGCAAUUCACCCAUCACCAGCACUUGGUAAGCAAAACGAAAAUGCUUAGUAAGUGUCAAGGGUCAGGCAAGAUAUGACGUAAAAUGAGGCAAGUCUCCCCACUUGUUGUUCCUUGCAGCUAAGAAAAGAAAAAACAGAGCCCACCACCCAUUAAUAAUUUAGCAAUUCACCAAUCAAUCACCACCACUUGUUACGCAAUUCCAUUAGGUAUUCGUUUGUCAAGCAGUUAAUCCAGUGUCUAUUACCUAGAACCUUCACUUUACAAAUCUUCAUCUCAAAUGCCAAGUUAAAUCAAAACGUUUCUCUCUCACUCUUUCUUUUUAAACUCCGAAAACGUUUCUUUUUAGAAAUAUUUUACUUUAUUCAUGUAAAUAUGUUGUCUAACAAAUAGACACAAUUGAAAUCACUCUAAAGUGCAAAUAAAAAAAAAAAUCCAAUCACCAGUAAUUUAGCAAGCUUCACUUUAUUCCACCAAAGUGUAAAUAAAACCAGGCCUCACCGCCAUUAAUAGUUUUACAAGCUUCACACGCUUGUUGUUGUCUGCUUGACGAACUGGACAUGGGUUCAUCAAGAAUCAAUGAAAGAAUUAAAAAAAAAAAACUGAAAUUUUCGAUUCAGAGUAGAACAGUAAUUAAUGCUAAAAUUUACUCCGCUAACAUUUUCAAGAUAUUGUUCUGUAUAAUUCUACAGCAAAUAAGACUAAGUUUUGGACAUUUUCAAAUUCACUACUUUCACAAGCAAUAUUUUGAAACAUUUUACAGAAUUAGCGAUUAUAUAAAGAGAAAAAUGCAAAGUUGCGUAAUUCUAAUGUUUUUCAGGCUGAGCUGCCUUUGGAUUUAACCUGAAAUGAUCCGAAGGCCAGAAAUUGUAACGGCGGGCUUAAAUGUCAACACGCCAAGACAGUUAAUAGCAGCUAAAUUGGAAAAAAAAAAAAAGGCAAUAGAAGUAUAGAUGGAACAAUUUUUCGCUUAGGUCAUAGGUGCAAGAUGAAACUAAAAAAAGGUGGCAGGCAAUUUUAUCACAGACGCUCAUGAUCGUUUUUUAUUUGGGUCGUCAACUCGCCAUGACCCAUGAUUGAAUUAGAGUGUCUAGAAAGAAAAUUAAUAAAUAACGGUUUAUAUAUUUGGCCGUCGGAAUAUUGUAAGUGAGAAAGAUUAUCUUUUUUUUUAUUAUUAUUAAUUAGGUUAGUAUUUAUGAUUGAGUGACUCAGAGCUGUAUUUUAGAUUGAGAAUCAAUUGUUCUCUCAUACUGAGAGGCUAUAAGAUUGUCGUUAGCUAUUUCAUCGAUAAGAGAACACCCAAAUUUAUUAAAAGAAGAAAUGUAUAAGGUCUCCUUUAUGAGAAAAUGUAUCUGAUCAUUCUUUUUGACUUGAAAAUCUCAUAUAUAAAAACUUAUUAAUAAAUAACAUAAUAUAUAUAAAAAUGAUACUCAAUGAUCCUGUACUAAAACUAUAAUUUACCUGCACUAGUAGUUUCCAUAAUUUUCAAUUCAAAAGUAAGCAGUUGAACGUGCUCUCUCUUCUGGUUAUAGAUAUCAUAUAUAUAAAUUGAAGUAAUCGCGCGACAAGUAGCAAAACAGAUAAUGCACGGAAGAUAAUGAUCAAUGGCUGAAGUUUAAUUUAAUUGCAGAUAAAAUGUCAAUCAAGAUUAAGGUCUACUUACAAUUUUAUUUUAUUUUUUAUGAUUUUCAAUCUUUACCAAAAGAAACAUAUUUAGUGAUCCCUUUUAUCAACUUGCUUUUAUUGACUUUCUUCCAAUAAUAGAAGUGAAAAGAGAAACAAAGGCCACCACCACCAAGUGUUACCGGAUUCUAUAAAGACAAAAUCAGUGCCCAGCAAAACGAAUCCAACUUUUCGUUAUGUGUUGCUUCCUAUUUAGUACAUGCACAUAUAGAUAUAAGAUAUCCACAUGCACAUGCAGCGCGUCUAUCUAAAAUUUUAAAAACAGAAUUAGAAACCUUCUUGAAUAGGAAUAGAAAUACUCUCUAAUACUUCCUAAAAUAAUUAACCCUAAAUAAUUUGUCCUGCAUCACCAAACUCCGGAUUUUACAAAGCACGCAUAAAGGAUAAUAGACACGUUUGAGGUUUUUUUUUUAAAAGAAAAAAAGAUUAUGAAAAUAGACAAAUAAUGAAGACACAAGUUAAGCAGAGCAAAUAAAUAGAGGAGAAUGAAUUAAAUACUAUCCUUGAGAACUCAAUUCUUUAAUAAACUCAAUUUUUUAAAUGCAGGGGUAAACUCAUGUCAUAUACUGUAGUCUUUAAUUUGGGCUUUGUUGUAUCAAUUUUUUGGAGUUUAUCUUGUUUUGUUUUUUCGUUUUUAUAGUGCAAGAUUUUCGGUGGAGAUAAAUCAGGAAUAAGAGUGAAAUCCCAAUCUUAAAAUUUGGGAGAAAUGAAAUGCGAUAUGUUUUUUCAUGAAUAAAACAAUUCAAUUUUUUGUUAGCACUUGUAUAUGUUGCAAGUUAAUUACACCGUCAACACCUGCGGGAAAUUUAUAUAUUUUCUGUCAGCACUUGCAUACGUUGCAAUUUUCAAUGACUUCCAAAUCUUCAUAUCAUGAAUUAGCAGGAUUCAGGUCCGACCAACUCCCCGUGGCUAAAGCAAAGGAUUAAUUUUUGAGAAAUUAUAAAGAAAUUAAUACAAGUAAAGUGAGCCUAUUCAUUUGAUUUGAUAAUUGGCUGAGGGUGAUUUCGAUAACGUUUUCAAAGAAGAUAUAGAACAAAGAUCAAAAAGAAAAAACAAGUAAUUUCAGUCGAUGGAAGAAAUGAGCAAGCUUCGCACAUGCAUGCAUGCGUCUGACUAACAGGACAUGGCUUGGAGCAAGGAUCAAUGGACAAGUUUGAGGUUUAUGAAAUAUUGGGAAAACAGACAAAUUAUAAAGCCACUUGUUAGAGUGCAAUUUAUGCACUAGUUUUGCAUUGUUUACUUCCCUUAAUAUCGAUGUUUUGCAUUUAAUAAUAGUGAUUUACUUGUGUUUUACUUUUGUAGGUGCAAUUCUAUUGAUUGGUGAUAAAAUUGAGCUAUAAGAUGAUGUUUAAGGAUGAUUGUUCUCUUGGAGAAAUUAUGAGCGGCAGAAGAACUUUGUUGAUAAGGCGUGGGCGCGUGCUGUCAACUGCGGACCUGCAGUUUUUAGUUUAACGUGUUUUGUAUUUUUGGCUAUUUUUUAAUUACGAAUUUAAUAUUUCAAAUAUUAGUAUUUUAUUUUAAAUAGAACUCUAAAAGAGAAGAGAGAGAGAGUAUUUAAGGGAGGAAUCUAUUGUGAAAAAGGAGGGAAUUUUGAUUGGAGAAAAAGAAAAGAAACCCUAGAUCUAAUUUUUCUCUUCUCUCUAUGAAGAACUAAACUUAUUUUUCUGGUUGAAGAAUAAUGAAGCUUUGAUUCAUCACUACUGUGAGAUCUUUCUUGUGCUUUAAUUGUUUUAUUGCUUUUUGGGUAUUUGUUUAUUCUCUGAAUUAUUUUCAUGAUUAUGUUUGUUAAUUAGAUAAUUGGCCACUAUUUAAUUAUCAACUUAAUCUAUUGUCAAUUAAAGGAUUCAUCGUAUGAAGAAUUUAAUGUUUGUGACAAAUAACAUAGCAGAGAGUUGUGUUGUGAGAAUAAACAAUCUAAUUUAAAUAAAUCAUCAUAUGUGUUGAUUAGGAUUUGGGUCUCUCUGGUUUUUUAGGCUGUCAAUUGAUUAAAUCCUAUGAUCGUAUCUAGGGUUGUCUAUUGAUUAGGGAAAUAUCCAACGGUCGUACCUUGGUUAUCGACUAAUUAAGGAGAGAUUGGCUAUUAGAGGGUCUCAGUAGCUAUAACCAGUCUAUUCAUAAGUAAUAAUAAUUUAUAUUUGAAUCAAUGAUCAGUAGUCGAAUCAAGCUGAGUUAAUUCCUUCAACCAAAGCUUUCUCCAAUUUGAAUCACAACUUUAAUUUACAUUCUUGUUAUUUUAAUUUGAUUUUUAUUAUUGUCAACAAUUCCCCCAUUUUACAUUUUACGUUUCAAAAGGAUUUAAAUAAUUACCGAUCUCUGUGGACACGACCCUGCUCAAUCACUAUACACAAUUUAUUUAGAGUAGGAAUUUAUUUUUGUUGGCUUCGACAACCAUCAAAUUUUGGCGCCGUUGCCGGGGAUUGGUGUCAUUUAUUUAAUCCUUUUUACGUUUUACUUGGUGUAUGGUUCGUUCUUCUCGUACAGGUACACUUUCGUUUGAUCCUGAAAUUGAGAAGACAGCUCGCCAGCUGAGACAGCAGACGAAGCGAGCUAAGCAACGAUCCUCGUCGCCUUUGCUUUCUGAAACAGAUACGGUGCCUGAUUUAGUUCAAUCAUCUAGCGAUUCGGAAGAACAAGUGAUGAAUAGAGCUGCACCUGUAGAAAGAACUCUUAGAGAGUUAGCUGAACCAGACUUGAAUCAGCAACCACUCUGCAUUCAAUAUGUAGACUUGGAGGUAAAUUUUGAAUUAAAGUCUGGUUUUAUUCAUUUAUUACCCAAGUUUCAUGGUUUUGCAGGUGAAGAUCCUCAUAAACAUCUUAAGGAGUUUCAUGUUGUAUGUUCAAGUAUGAGACCACAAGGCGUGACUGAAGAGCAGAUUAAGCUGCGUGCUUUUCCGUUCUCUGUAGAUGGGCUAGCUAAAGAUUGGUUGUACUACUUGCCUCUUGGAUCGAUUACAACGUGGAAUGGUUUGAAGAAGCAGUUCCUCGAGAAGUACUUUCCUGCUUCAAGAGCUGCCAACAUCAGAAAAGAUAUUUGUGGGAUCAGACAACUUCCUGGGGAGACUUUGUAUGAGUAUUGGGAGCGAUUCAAACAAUUGUGUGCCAGUUGUCCUCAGCAUCAGAUUUCUGAUCAACUUCUUAUUCAAUAUUUUUACGAAGGACUGUCAUUGAUGGAUAGGAGUAUGAUAGAUGCUGCUAGUGGAGGCGUGUUAGUGAACAAGACCCCUACUCAAGCAAGGGAGUUGAUAUCAAAUAUGGCUGCCAACGCACAACAAUUUGGCAGCAGGCAAGAUCCUACUUCAAGGAAGGUGAAUGAGGUAAAUAUUUCUUCUGUUGAACAACGUUUAGAUAAACUUACUUCUCUUGUGGAAAAGUUUGUUGUAGGCAAUGUGCAACAGGUGAAGACUUGUGGCAUUUGUUAUAAUAUGGGUCAUUCAACUGAUAUGUGUCCUACACUUCAAGAAGAACCUGUUGAACAAGCCAAUGUAGUUGGAGGAUUUCCAGGCAUGCCUCAGAGGAGGUAUGAUCCUUAUGCACAAACAUACAAUCCGGGAUGGAAGGAUCAUCCCAACUUCAGCUAUGGAGUUAGGCCGUCAGGAUUCCCACAACAGUAUCCACCAAGACAACCAGCACCUCCACAGUCAACCUCCAAGUCAGGUAUAUCUCUUGAAGAAAUUGUUAAAUCGCUUGCGACUAAUACUCAACAAUUUCAGCAGGCAACUACAGCAAGCAUUCAGAACUUGGAGAACCAAAUGAGUCAAUUGGCGACUACAGUGAGCCGUCUGGAGUCUCAAGUAUUAGGGAGAUUGCCUUCACAAUCUGAGGUGAAUCCAAAGCAAAACGUUAGUGUUGUCAUCCUUAGAAGUGGGAAGGAGUUGCAAGAGCCUAGUAAGAAAGUGACAGAGCAUGUAGAAGAUGAGCUUAAGAAGAAUGAAUUGAUGCCUCAAUCUCAAGAUGCACAACCCACCAGAGUGAAACCCCUACCUAUUGUGAUACCUCCUCCUUUUCCAAGCCGGUUUGCAAAAUCCAAGAAGGAGGAACAAGAGAAAGACAUCCUUGAGACAUUUCGCAAGGUUGAGGUAAAUAUUCCUUUAUUAGAUGCUAUUAAACAAAUACCUCGAUAUGCUAAAGUCCUUAAGGAACUGUGCACCUCUAAGAGAAAAUUAAGAGGAGAUGAAAAAGUUCAUAUGGGGGAGAAUGUUUCAGCAGCUCUCCAAAAGAAAUUACCUCCCAAGUGCAAGGAUCCAAGUAUGUUUACUAUCCCUUGCAAAAUUGGUAGUGUUAGAGUCGAGAAGGCUAUGUUAGAUCUAGGAGCUUCUAUUAAUGUCAUGCCUCGUUCCAUUUAUUCAUCUUUGAAUGUUGGUCCAUUAAAAAAAACUGGCGUGAUAAUUCAACUAGCUGAUAGGUCUAAUGCAUAUCCUGAUGGGGUAUUAGAAGAUGUCUUAGUACAAGUUAAUGAGUUGGUUUUUCCUGCUGAUUUUUAUGUACUUGAUAUGGAAGAUGAUAACUCCUCUAAUUCUGUCUCAAUUUUGCUAGGAAGACCUUUUCUUAAGACUGCUAGAACUAAAAUGGAUGUACAUAAAGGGACUCUCACUAUGGAGUUUGAUGGAGAGGUUAUAGAAUUCAAUAUGAAUGAUGCCAUGAAAUAUCUUAGUGAGGAACAUUCGGUAUUUUCUGUGGAUGUUAUUAACCCUAUAGUGCAGGAAGUUUUUUACAAGAAAAAAACGAAGACAUUUCAUGAUAGAAUGAUUUUGAGAAAGGAGUUCUCUGUUGGUCAAAAAGUUCUUCUUUUUCAUUCUAAGCUUAAACUUUUUCCGGGUAAAUUACGUUCUUGCUGGGUUGGACCUUUUAUUAUUACUAAUAUUUUUCCUCAUGGUGCAGUUGAGAUUCGGAGUCCGACCUCUGACAAAGUUUUUAAGGUUAACGGUCAUCGCUUAAAACCUUUUUAUGAAGGUUUUUCGGUGAAUAUUGUGGAGGAUGUGGCUCUCGAGAGUCCCAAUUAUGGAGAUUGAUGCAUAAAUGUGUCUAGCCAAAGACAUAAAACAAAGGCGCUUUUUGGGAGGCAACCCAAAGGAUUUAUUUAUUUUGACUUUUGUUAUAUCUUUUAUUUUUAAUUUAGAUUUAGAUUUUUUUUUAUAAUGUUUUUGCUUAUUUUGGUCAGAAGAAAAUUUUUGAUAAGGCGUGCCCACGUCUUAACUAAUAAGUACUUUUGUGAUUUUUAAAGUAAAAUGGUUUUAAGGCGUGCCCACGUCCUUAUUAGAAAAGUACUUCUGAAAUUCUUUGUGUCUCAAAGUGAUUCAUCACUAAAAAAAAAUUAUUUAUUUAUUUGAAAAUUAAAAAAAAGGAAAAAAAAACUUUUUUUUCCUUUCUUUUCUUGCUUUUUUAUAUAUAUUUUUUUAUUUGAAAAAAAAACGAAAAAAAAUUUACUGUUCAUAAAAUCCCUAAUUCACAGAAUUGGUUUUCUUCUCCAGCUUUCACCGACCAGCCCACGCAGCAGCAGCAGCACGCAGAACCAGCGUCAGCCCAGCCCUCGCGUGCAAUCAACCCCAGCACGCAAAUCCAGCAGCCCACUAGCGCAGCAGGACCAGCCCCAGCAGCGCACAGCAGAAUCAGCCCCAGUGCACAGCAUCCCGCACGCAACCAGCGUCACCAGCGCGCAACCAGCAAUCCACCAUCGGGCCAAGCUCCAGCCGAGCAGUAAUCGUCCGCAACCAGCCUACGCCCUUAUUCCAGCCGGGUGAAUCGAAAUCCGUGAGUGAAAUUAUUGUAACAAUGCCGAAGAGGAAAGCAUCAACUUCCAAGUCAUCUAAAAAGACACCCGUCGCAAAGAUAUCCAAGAUUGCCGCUCUCAUUACAGUUUCAUGGAACACAGUUUCAGAUUCACGCCGAGUCGUGAGACAAAGAUCGAACCAUGGAAAAGGCAUGAGUGUUUUGCCACUUGCGGAAUCCAAUCUCGGAGGGUGCCUUGAAUUUACGACUCAACAAGAGAAAGAAAGUUUACUGAACCAGGACCCACUCAACCUCCAAAGAAGCUUUAUGCUAGAAGUGGUGCUACCUCUGAUGACGAGUUUGACGACGACACUGCUGCCCCGCCGACUAUUCCUUCUACAUCCACACCACCUUUGAGCAUUCAGUUAGAGAAAAUGGAGCCCAAGUUGAACAAGAUGGAGCAGAAUUUGGCCGCAUACUUCAAGAGUGUAGGAUUUAUCCCACCAUUUCCGCCAAGCCCAUAGACGUUAUGAGGAUCAAAGCUCACAAUUCAGGGAAGUUUUUGCCUUUAAUCUUUUAUCCUUAUGCUUUAAUUUUUAUGUGAGCUUUGAUUAUCUUACAUUGGGGACAAUGUAAGUUCUUGGUGUGGGGGAGGGAUUUUUGCAUUAUUGAUGUCUGGAAGUAUUAUUUUCACUCUACUAAUCUAUUUUCAUUCUACUCAUCCUUAAAUGAUUUUGGAGUUAGUAUGCUUCAUAUAUUAUUAUUUUUCUUUUCUUUUCUUUCUCACUACUCUUUUUCCAUCUAUCUCAAAUUAUUUACAUCUAUUUUUAUUCUAUCAUACUCUUUCAUCACUCACAUUUUAUCUUUCACUUUUCAUAUUACUACAUACAUCUUUCUCACUUCUUAUCAUUUUUACCUUUACUUCACUCAUACAUUCUUCUCAUUCUACACCACUAUUGAUGGUUGAUUCAUUUGAAGAGUGUACAUGAUUUGAUGGCAAAUUUACCAACUUUGUGAGGAUUUGAGCCAAUGAGCAACCACUUUGCUCUAAUUAUUUUUGUUAUGUGAAUAUCAAUCUUAGUUUGUUUAUUCUAGAACUUGCUUUGUUAUGCAUGUUGAAGCCACAUUACGGGAUUUUUUGCAUUAAAAUGAUAAGGGCAAACCAUUUGCCAUUUUUCUAUUCUCGCAUUUUCCUUUUUCUCUACCCGAAGACCUUUAUUUGCUACCUUUGUUUGAGCCUUAACCAUUACCCAUCUAAUUCUCUCCGUCUACUUAACCAUUUUUCUUCUUUUUGAGCCUCAAUUUAAAGAGAUUUUUGGACUCAUUGUGUGGAUAUAUUUUGUUGCUUUUUCUACCUUGUAUUAAAGUUUCUCAAUUAGAUCAACAAGCAUUAUGCUUGAAUUAAAUUGUGCAAGGUUCGUUUCUUUUGUUUGAUUAAAAAACAAAACAAAAAAAAAGAAAAAAAAGAACAAAAAAAAAAGAAAAAAAAGAAAAAAAAAAGAAGAAAAAGAAAAAUAAAAAAAAAGAAAAAAAAAGUUUACAUUCUUGGUGACUUGAGUAGAAAUAAGCAUUUUGAUAUCACAAGUUCAUUCAAUGAGUUCAUUCUUCUCAUUUUAAUCUCUUUUUCUUUCGUAAACCUUUCUUUUCCAUUCAACCUAUUUAACCUCAUUACAACCCUUAGAUUUUUGCAUUUUAUUCAUGUUUUGUGGAUUGAGAUGUGAUAUAUGAGCAAGCUUAUGGUAAUAGCAUUCUUUGAUUUGAUUUGAGUGCAUAAAUGAUACCCUAAACACUUUGAGUGCAUGGAGUGAAGUUAUUGAGAGGGCUAUUAAAUCUUGUUGCACUUGAAUUUUGAAUGGAUCCUCUUGGUGGUUGAAUGUUCUUAUUCUAUCUUAUGAAAUUCUAUGCUCUAAAAUCCUUGUCUCUCGAAUGUUGAUCGACUUAAUUUCUUGAGGUAUGCUUGCUUAAAAUUGUUUUUGGAUGAGUUGAGAUGAGAAUUGAGUGGAGAUUUGAGAUUAAUCUUGAGUUAUAUGCUUGAGGACAAGCAUCAUCUUGGUGUGGGGGAAUUUGUUAGAGUGCAAUUUAUGCACUAGUUUUGCAUUGUUUACUUCCCUUAAUAUCGAUGUUUUGCAUUUAAUAAUAGUGAUUUACUUGUGUUUUACUUUUGUAGGUGCAAUUCUAUUGAUUGGUGAUAAAAUUGAGCUAUAAGAUGAUGUUUAAGGAUGAUUGUUCUCUUGGAGAAAUUAUGAGCGGCAGAAGAACUUUGUUGAUAAGGCGUGGGCGCGUGCUGUCAACUGCGGACCUGCAGUUUUUAGUUUAACGUGUUUUGUAUUUUUGGCUAUUUUUUAAUUACGAAUUUAAUAUUUCAAAUAUUAGUAUUUUAUUUUAAAUAGAACUCUAAAAGAGAAGAGAGAGAGAGUAUUUAAGGGAGGAAUCUAUUGUGAAAAAGGAGGGAAUUUUGAUUGGAGAAAAAGAAAAGAAACCCUAGAUCUAAUUUUUCUCUUCUCUCUAUGAAGAACUAAACUUAUUUUUCUGGUUGAAGAAUAAUGAAGCUUUGAUUCAUCACUACUGUGAGAUCUUUCUUGUGCUUUAAUUGUUUUAUUGCUUUUUGGGUAUUUGUUUAUUCUCUGAAUUAUUUUCAUGAUUAUGUUUGUUAAUUAGAUAAUUGGCCACUAUUUAAUUAUCAACUUAAUCUAUUGUCAAUUAAAGGAUUCAUCGUAUGAAGAAUUUAAUGUUUGUGACAAAUAACAUAGCAGAGAGUUGUGUUGUGAGAAUAAACAAUCUAAUUUAAAUAAAUCAUCAUAUGUGUUGAUUAGGAUUUGGGUCUCUCUGGUUUUUUAGGCUGUCAAUUGAUUAAAUCCUAUGAUCGUAUCUAGGGUUGUCUAUUGAUUAGGGAAAUCGACUAAUUAAGGAGAGAUUGACUAUUAGAGGGUCUCAGUAGCUAUAACCGGUCUAUUCAUAAGUAAUAAUAAUUUAUAUAUGAAUCAAUGAUCAGUAGUCGAAUCAAGCUGAGUUAAUUCCUUCAACCAGAGCUUUCUCCAAUUUGAAUCACAACUUUAAUUUACAUUCUCGUUAUUUUAAUUUGAUUUUUAUUAUUGUCAACAAUUCCCCCAUUUUACAUUUUACGUUUCAAAAGGAUUUAAAUAAUUACCGAUCUCUGUGGACACGACCCUGCUCAAUCACUAUACACAAUUUAUUUAGAGUAGGAAUUUAUUUUUGUUGGCUUCGACAACCAUCAAAUAAACAGAGAAAAUAACCGAUCAAUUCUUUGUGCAGUGGCCACAGCAACAGCGAAAAUAUGUCUGCAUGACUACAUUAAUUAAUCCUACCAUCACCAUGCAACAUUAAAUCAACAUUUGAUCAUCUAUCAAUUUUCAUGAUAUGAGAUUAGAAACAUUGAGUUCAUAAUUUCGUGUAAUUUCAUGUACUAGAUGUAUAUAAUUGAUUUGAGUUAGUUUAACAUCUAAAGAAAGAGUAAUGGGGAAUGAUGUCGAUGUGGCAUUUGAUGAGUAAUGAUAGACAACAAAUACUGAUCAUGUAAGAAUGAAGUCUGUAUUUACUGAAAAAUAUUUGGCAAUAAAAUGAUGCUUUAAAAAAUUAAUAUUAGUUGCACGAAAAUAAAUUGGCAACUAAAAUUAAUAGAUAUAUAUCCAAUGCUUCGAGUUUAUUUUAUCACUUCGCUAACAAUUUUGUAACUACAUUUUAAUUAUAAUGUCGAAAAGAGAUUUGAUUUUUGUAUUAAAAAAAAUUAGAAAUGAAACAAGUCAAAAUCAAUCAUAAGAACAACAAUAAGAGCAUAUUUUAUAAAAACCACAAAUACAUAAUAUAAAUUUAGUUUCGAAUUAGGUGAUUAUUAAUUUACAUAGUAAGAGAGUCUUAUAGAAAAAUAGGAAUUUUUUUAAAAGAGAUUUGCUUAAGGAACAAAUUUAGUAAAUUAACAAUCACCAAAUAUGGUAGGGUGGCAGGCAGAGGAAGCGUGGUUCCUAAUCCUAAUCUUGAGUGAUAACUGGCUAUGUAACAUGUGGCAUUCUACAUUCUUGCAAUGCCAUUAAUUUCUUGUUAUGGCAGCAGCGUUCUUUCAUCAUGGCAUCACAAGCAAAUGUUUGAUUUGAAGACUUGCUUAGCUGAGAAAAAUAAGGAGAGCAAAGGUAAUGAAUUUUGGUGUGAUAAAUAUUUUUAUGGAUGUACUAAGAAAAAUAAAGAUAAUAGAAGUGAUGUUAUUGAGGAGCAUUUUGAUAUUUACCAAAGUGUUCAAAGAAAAAAGUUAUUUUUUGAAAUCUAUUUGCUGGUGCACAUAACAAAAGGGCAUUCUGAGUAAAUUUAAAACUACAAAUAGUUUCACUCUUUUAACAAUAUUCUUCAAUUAAUUCUGUUUAUUUCAAAAUAAAUAUUCUAUCUCUUUAUUACUUUCUAACUAGUCAUGCUAAUAUGCUAAUAAUUAUGAAGAACUAGUGUAAUUUAUAUGAUAUAAGAAGCCCUUUAGCACAUUAACCCGAAUUUAGCUAAUACAUGUGCCUAAUAUAGCGAAAUCAACAUUCAGCGCAUUAGAGUGCCAUUAUAUAUAUUGAGAGAGAAAUUAACACAAAAAACUGAAUAUUAAUUGACACUGGAUCAUAUUGGAUUGUCAGUUGUUAAUUAUGAUGGGAAUACAAUCUUCAUCUUUUGAUUAUCAGCUAGCUAAUGCAUGUGCACUUUCAUUUGUGUCUAUCACUGAAAAGUAAAGUUGCUUGAUUGAGUAGUAUCAUAUCACAGGAACUCCAAACUCAAUUUCAUUGCCGGAGCAUACCAUGCCAUAUGUAGCUUAAAAGUGCAGCUAUCUUAUACUAAUUAUUUAAUACGACUAUUAGCUCUUUAUGAUUAAUUAAAAGAGAAAAUGUUUGACAAUCACGAAAAUAAUAACAAUUCACUCCUAUAAACAACAUAACAAAUACAUGGUCUAUAUUGCAAAUCUUUUUAUGAUUAUAAUUAAAAGAGAAAAUACGAAGACAUAUUAUAUAUAAUAAUUGAAUGUUCUCCUUGAUAAUUAGACAAAAUAACACCAAUCUAGCUAAUUAAUCCAAUCAUCAUACUAAUUCAAUUUUCAUUAUUUAAUUAUGUCCAAUCAUGCUAAUUUAAUAAAGAGCACUGAACACUCGAGUACUUAUAUGUUCAGCAACUUUGGCCGAGUUUGAAAAAGAUUAGAGCUGCAUUUAUGCUUUGUGUUAUUACUUACGACAUGAUCAUAUUAUGUCGCAUUUGUCAGAGAACCGAAAACUGUGGGGGGAAAAAAAAUCCUAAAAGAGAUGUAACGAAAACAAAAUGAGAAAAUAAUGCACACACAUCAUAGCAAUGCUUCAUUCAUUUUGAUUCUAUCUAUACAAAAACUUGUAUCCGAUGGUUUACAUUUGUUUAAUCUAACGGCUAUAACAUGUAUACAGUCAAACGCUACUGCUGCCAUCUUUCUUUGUCCUCGUUGUAUCCUUGAUCUUAUAUUAUCCUGGUGAUUCUUGAAAGAUCUUCUCAUUCUCAUAUGCUGAGUCGCUUGCUGGGAUGAUUAAUACUCGAAGGUCCUUCAUUGAGACAUUUCAGCAAACACCUGAUUCAUUAUAUCAAACAUCUGCAUCACUAAUCGCUAAAAGAUAUAAAAUAGUUCUGUUUUGAAAAAUUGAUAUAAACCAGUCACCUUAGAUUUUCUUAGUCUCAGAGGACAACGGGUGAUGAUUCGAUGAGAAAUAUUAAUAUGCAUGCAUCCGCUGCAUUAGUUAGAGCUGCUUGUCAUUUUCUUCUUUCUUUUGGAUACUAUUUUAAAUUUUUAAUCAGUCUAAUUCAGCUGUAUGUUUGCUUUCAGUCCAAAUCGAACUCAGAUAUUAAGUACUUCUACAGGAAUGGACGCACCCAAAAAUCUAUGGGAUCCGUAGUUCUUGCAGAAGCGGCAGAAUGCUGCCAGCAAUUCAGGCAGAUAGAAGCUUGGUUGAGUGGUUGUUCUUCAAUGUGAAAUUCUACAUAAUGGGGAUCCUUUCAAUGGGGUUUAAAUUCUUUUUUUUUUUGAGUUGUUGAUUUAGAGCAGAUUAAGUAACAUGUGGCAUUCUAUAUUCUUGCAAUGCCAUUUCUUGUUAUGGUAUCAACAUUCUUGACCAUGGUUUGAUUUGCGUAAUUUUGCUUUCUGUUUUUGAUAUUUUCUUCGCAUUGUUGUUGUGGGAUUUGUAGAUAGUGUAUAUGUAUGAAGAUAACGUAAUAAAGUGCUUUUGAUAAAUUCCCCUGGUUUGUUUACUUCACUAAUUCAUUAAUGAGCAAGUCCUCUAUAGAGCUGUGUUGUGCGUACAAGUUUUGCUACAUGAAAUCGUUAGGUGAGGAGAAUUUUUAAAAGCAUACAUCAAAGUAAUGAUUAAAGGGACAAAAUCAACGUAAAUAUUGAUUAUCUUGAGUUAGAUUAUACAAAGAUGAAAUAAUGAUAAUCUAAUAAAUUUAUCAUAAUACACUACUCAAAAAUGCAUUUUAAUGACACAAAUUUUAUGACAUACAUCUUUAUGUCAUGAAAAUAUUUGCAUGAUGUAUAAUGCUUUCGUGAUUAUUUGAUGAUAAAUUCAUAAUUGCUGCUGAUAUGAAAUGAAGUGAUGAUAGGUAAAUAUUAUGCGAUUUUUUUUUUAUGGGUAAGAAUAUUUGAACCCACCAAAUUACUCUUUAAACUUAUUUUUUUAUUGAUAAUUUUAUUACAAAAUUACCGAUAAUUUGAAUUACUAUUACAGACAAACAAUAAUUAUAUAAAAUUAUUUUAUUUUUACUCAUUGUUUAAACCUACCGCAAAACUCAAUCAAAGUAUGCCUUUUUUUUUCUUCUGCAAGUUUUUAAUAAGUUCAUCCUUCAUCCACAGUUGAGAACUUUCUAAUUUUUUUUCUUGUUCUAGUAAUUUGGAUAUGCUGUGUUAGAUACUGAAUUUAUUAAAUUUCUUCUUCUCUUUUGAAUAAAAUCUCUUUAAAAUUCAAUUCAUAAAAAAAUAAAAAAUUAAUCUCCUUAUAAUUUAAUAUGUUUCAGCUGUCUUAGUGGAAUGAUGCAAUUUGUUUCCAUCAAAGUUUUGAAGCAUCCUGAAAUUUUGAGAUCGACAUGAUAACAAAUUAAUUUAAUUCAUGGUGUACUCUAAAUUUUCAGCCACAAAAAAAAUAGCCAAAUUGAAGUGUACCUGGGCAAGAAGAAACUGCGAUUAUACAAUUUCAGUGUUCGACUCUAUCAAUAAAAAAGAAAAUAAAAAAGAACUCUCAUUGUUCCAUUAUUUUUCCCAUAAAUAAUGAUAUACAGAGAAUUUAGUUUGAUAUGGGAUAUAAUAAGUAUUUAGGUGAGUUUAUAAAGUAAAUUUUAAAAUUUUAAAAUUUAGUAAUGGGUUUAUAAAUAAUUGAGUUCAUAUAAUAUUUUAAUAAAUUCAAAUAACCCACCCUUUUUUUUUUUAAAAAAAGAUCUAAUUACAAAAAUACCAUUCCAAUCGGCAGCAUUUUAUAUUUUAUUUUAUUAAAUAUUAUUUUAUUUUUAAAUUACUAGUGACGCAAGAAACGGCAUCAUUUAUUGAUAUUUUUAAAUUGUUUAAGAUUUGUUUAAUUAGAAAAUUGCCAUUGUUGAUAUUUAAUUAAUUUUAAAAAAUAAAAAUAAUAAAAUUGGUAAGCUCUACUCCAUAAGUGAUGAACGAAUUGACAAAUUUGCAGUAAGUGAUGAACGAAUUGAUAAGCUCUACUCCAUCGGCUCCUUAAUUGAGAAAAAACCCAAGCCCGUGCAGCGCAGCCUCACAAUUGAUAGAGACCCUAAGCCACCAAACUCGACAAUCAUCACUCAACGUCGUCGCAAGCUACCGGUCGCUCAACAAGCACCAGUUCCUUGCUCUACAGCCAUCGCUCAACCGCUGCCAUUACCUGUUAAUUAUUCGCUUGAAUUAGGGUUCUGAUAUUUUGGGAUUUUUUGUUAGUCGUGGAAUUAUGAAGCAAGGACGACGAUGACGAAGAUGUGGUGGUUGACGACGGCAAUGGCAACGUUGAAUAUUGAGGCACCGGAGGAAAAAGCAUUGGCUAUGUAUCUUGGUCGAUUUGCCUCGAAUUGAUCACUAAACAUGGGGAUAUCGUGGGCCGAGCUUCAACGCAGUGGCAAAUUUCAUUUGGGUAACUGAAUUUUUUUUUUGUUUAAUUUGUUUAGAGUUCAAUUGUUUAGAUCUAGGCUAAUUUUUAAUGAUAAUUUUUAUGAUUAAAUUAUAUGAGUAUGCUUAAAUUUUUUUUCCUUCAAAUUUAUUUUCUGAUGUUGCAUUUGGUUAGCAAAAAGAUAAAAAUAGUAGAAAAUGUCAGAAUUAUUGUUAUGAAAAUGUUGUUUUAGUCUGAUAUUGGGAAAAUAUCAUUAUACAUAUUGGCAUGAUAUUCAUGGGAGACAAAAUUGAGAAUGAUGACAGACUAUGCAUUGCUCACAACUAAUUUAAAACUCACUAUUUCUAUUGUUUGUGUUUCAGUAACUUUGGGGGAAUUCCAACUAUAGUUAAUAAGCUAUAAACUUGUUUAGGAUUGCUGAUCAAUUUGCUAGAAAGAGUUGCAAAGUAAUUAGCUUUCUCUUAUAACUUUUACAGAUCAUCUGUGGAGGAGAACUGCAAGGAGUUGAAGACUCUAGACCCUAAACUUCAUAUCUUGAUUUAUAAGUGCAAUGGGCAUAAGUCCGAAUUAUGGGCUGGAGAUGGUAUAUGUAAUCUUUCUACUCUUGGUGUUUUUUUUUCCUCUAGUUAUUUUUUGUUCUCUACUCCAUUGUAUAUUUGUAUUCAAAAGUAUUUUUUCUUUGUUUUAAGCUUUUAAAUUUAUGGAGAUGAUCUUAUUAGGUGUUAAAAAAAAUAGUUGUAGAGCUUUACUAAAACUAUGUAAACUCCUAUUGAGAUUUGGGUUUGAUUUUGUAAGAUUGCUAAAAAUUUCAUAUUUUAUACUUGUUUUAUACUUUUCUAGUUGAAUUUCUUGCUUGUGGAAGAUAAAAUAAAAGUCCAAUUCAUGUUGUAAAAUUUUUUUUCCUCCCUUCUUUCUUUCCUUAUAAUCUGGCUCUGGCUUUGGUGCUAUGCUUGGUGCAGUUUAUGGUUUCAAUGCAGGGAACCAAUUUCAUCAUAAUCAUCUUAAAGGAUCAAAAUGGCUUUCUUUUGUAACUGGGUAAGUCAAUGCUACUUCCUGAAUUCGAUUUGGAGUUCUUUCGGAAUAGAUUUCCUUCCCUUACAUCACUUGGCUUCUAGUUGCAUCUUCUUGGCUUUCUCCAGCGGACUUUUUUAUUGGCAAAAUUCCUUUGUUUCUAUUGUUUUCAAGUGCUAGUGCUGGAUUUAGAGGUAUGAAUGGUGCCUUCAUUUUUAUUUUUUUAUUUUUAUUUUGUACUGUAAUAUACUUCUUUGUAUAGCUAGUACAAAAUAGUUCUUCAACUUCUUACUUUUGGCUUUAAUGGGUUCGAUAUAUGAUAGCGGAGCCCUAUCAGCAUUUGAUGUCAGACAACAAAUAGGGGACAGAUGGGAUUAGAAAAAUAAGUAACAUGACCAAAAUAAAAAUCUAAUCUACUCAUAUAAGCAACUCAUCAAAUAAGUGUAUCACAUACUUAAGUGAAUAAGAUUCCGUGAUUUCUAGGAAUCCAAGUCAAAUUAUAACAUUCUUUAAAUAAGACUCACAAGCUUAUUAGGUGUUAUAUUGAAUCAUCUAAGUUGAAUAAUCUUUUGGGUUGAAUAUGUUAAUUUCUUAUUCCAUAUGUUUCAGCCUCUCAAUAGUUGAAUUAGCAAUGAAAAUUUGAAAAUGGAAAAACUCAGUGCAAUUAUUUUAGGUGCUUAUCAUAGAUAAGAAUUUCACUUUUUACACUUCAUUGUCUGUUGUCAAAUUUAUUAAGUAUGAACCCGGAUUAGGUUUGUGCUCUCAAGGAUUUAUAAAUAAGUGCUACUUGACUUAGAUGUAAGAAAAUUGAAAAGCAGAGUUGCUUGAUUGAAUAGCUUCAUAUUUUACAUCACAGAAACUCAAUUUUCAUUGCCAUAUGUAGCUCAAAAGAGCAUGAACAUUGAACAUUCAGCUAAUUUAUACUAAUUAAUUAACACAACUAUCAGUUCUUACUUCUUGGUACCCGGCAACAUCCAUCCAUAAGAGUGAAACCCCCAUUGAUUUCAUAUAUACAAAAUAAAUAACUUACAAAGACAAUACCUGACAAUCACAACAAAAACACUAAUUCACUCCAAUAAACAACAUAACGAAUACAUGGUCUAAAUUGCAAGUCUUGUUAUGAUUUUAAUUAAAAGAGAAAAUGUGAAGGACAUGUUAUAUAUAAUUGAAUGUUAUCCUUGAUAAUUAGACAAAAUAACACUAAUGUAGCUAACUAAUCCAAUCAUUGUAAUAAUUGGAUUUUCUUUUUUUAAUUAUGUCUAUUGAUGCUAAUUUAAUCAAGAACACUGAAUACUUGAGUGUUUUUAUGUUCAACAACUUUGGCUAAGUUUGAAAAGAUCAUAUUAAUUAUUAAUAUAAAUAAAUAAGCCAACAAGGUACAUAUUACAUAUAUGUGUAGUUGCAAUAAAUACAUAUGUAAUAAAGAUCAUAAAGCUCAGGGCCAUUAAUUCAACAUUACCAAAUCAAUAUCCCAAUAAUGGUUUGAUUACUAAUCUAAGCAUUAAAUGAUCAGCAAACUUUAUUUGGCCAAAACAAAUGCUUCCUUGUUGCCUCCUUGAUCUUUUCCUGGCUGGUGAUUCUUGAAUGUUCUUCUCAUUUUGAUAUGCUGAGUCGUUUGCUGAUUAUAAAUGCUAAUCACCUUAAAUUUUCUUAGUCUUCUUCUUCAUGUGAAAUUCUACCUAAUGGCUAUCCUUUUAUCUGGUUUGAAUUCUUCUUUUUUCUUUGAAUUGUUGAUUUCUAAUGUUCUUGUCAUUCGCACAUGUGGCGUUCUGCACUCUUGCAAUGCCAUUUCUUAUUAUGGCAGCAGCAUUCUUGGUCAUGGCAUCACAAGCAAAUGCUUUUGAAUUGCUUUGUUUGAUUUUUGUUUCUAAUAUUUUUUUUUUUUGGCAUUGUGGGAUACUGUUUCUCUUUUGAUUUUCUGUCUUUGUUGUUAUGGGAUUCUGGUAUAGUAUGCAUCAGUACACGUAUGAAGAUGAUGUGAUAAAGUGCUUUUGAUAAAUUGCCCCAGUCAGUUUACUUCACAAACCAACCAUUAAUGAGCAAAUCCUUCUAAUGACCCUUGUACACAUUAGAAUAAAUACAAUUCUAUAUAUACACAAAAAUAAAUAACUCUCAAGUAUAUUAUUUGAUAAUCGCAAAAGCAACAAUUCACUCCAAUAAAUCUUAUAACACACUCAUGGUCUAUGUUGCAAGUCUUUGUAGAGAAAAAAUGAAGGACACACAAUUGAAUUUUUUCUAUGAUAAAGAACUCUAAACAAAUUCAUCUACAUAUCGCAGUACCCCUUACAAAUUCAUUUGUUUCUUCUUUUCCUUUGAUCAAGUGCUAAUUACAGCCUUGAUAUUUCAUUUGGUUUUAGUUAAUUUUCUAUAGGGUUGUGUUGUGUGAAAUUAAUUACAAAACAAUCUUUAACGAAGUCUUAUGAAAAUACCAUAUUAUAACUACAAAGUUAGGCUUCCUAAUCAAGCUACUGUUCAUCAGAUUGUGUAUUGUGUUACUGGUGAGCUCUUAUGUCAAUUAUGACCAGACGGCGCCUUGGCUAACUGUGAGUUAUGUGCGAACAUAAGAGCUGCAAAUGAAUUAUGUACUAUUUUUAUGUGACAAGGUAUGUGCUCUGUUUUUAUGGUCUUUCUCUCUGUAGUUCCCUCUGUAGUUUUUUUUUUUUGGGAUACAUUGAUAAUAAAAUUAGAAGUCUACUAAUAUGUACAACCAGAAACCUAUUGGGGACUUUUUGUCUUUUGAUGCAGUUGUAGGGCACAGCUCAAAUAUUCUUUCCUCAUUUAAUAUUGGAGAAAUCCGACUCCCAAGCGAUUCUGUCUACGGUUGUUGGACAAACUGUAAUGUGAAUUUCUAUCUAAUGGGUGUAUCAUUCUUGCAGUCAGUUUGGGAUUGUUGAUAUAGAUAUGAUGUUUAGUCUCCAAAAUUCAGAUGAUGAUAAUCUUGUGAGUACUUUUUGUCAUAUUUUCUUUUGUGUUGGUGUUGGGAUCUUAAUUUUGUAUCCAAUGUUAGGACAAUAUGAACCCAUUUUAAGUGAUAUGAUGCAAGUUCAUGUUCAAGAAUCCAUUUAAUGAAACAUUCCAGUGUUUAAUAAUGAGUAAUUGGUUUAAGAUUAAUACCAAAUAUUUUAAGUAACAUGUGGCGUAUUCUAGUGAGAUCCUCCAACUCAGAUUUCUAACUCAAAUGGAAACGUUUCGAAUUUCUUCAGAACAUUCUGCAGAACGGUUCGUCUUGUCUUUACAGUUUCUUUUGUGAAUUUCUCCCAGUUUCUUUUGUGAAGACUUCUGAAUAAGCUUCCAGAUAUUGAGAUACAAUCCAAUCUAAGCCCAUACGUAUAUCCGCCUCACAUUUGUCCAUUUCCCCAGAAAAUCAAAAAGCACUUUAGUUCGAAACAAACACUCUAAAAAAAACCAUCUAGCUACCCAGAUGGCGAAAUCAAGAAUCUUGCAAUGGCAAUGCCAUUUCUUGUUAUGGCAGUAGCAUUGAUGAUCAUGGCAUCACAAGCAAAUGCUCUGAUGCCGUACACACGAUCACCUUUCUUUGACGUGAUGUUCCCAAUGACGGAAGAUCCUUUCAGGGUUCUUGAACAAACCCCGUUAACAACCCAAAAGGAGCUGAACAUCAUCAAACUCUAGCACUGGCGAGAGCAGACUGAAAGGAGACACCAACAUCACACGUGAUCACACUCGACAUUACAGGGAUGAAGAAAGACGAUGUGAAGAUUGAAGUUGAAGAGAACAGGGUACUGAGAGUGAGUGGGGAGAGGAAGAGCGAUGAUUAUUAUAAGGAGGAAGUUGAAGGAGAAAAAUGACACAGAGCUGAGAGAACAUUUGGCAAGUUUUGGAGGCAGUUUAGGAUGCCUAUGAGUGCUGACUUGGAUCAUGUUAAGGCUCAUUUGGAAAAUGGUUCUAAGGAUCACAGUGCCAAAACUUGCUGAGGGGAAGAAGAGGCAGCCUAAGGUUAUUAACAUUGAUGAAGAGCCUGGUAAUUCUUCCGGUGAAGAUAUUAAGGCCGCCAAGGCUCAAAUGUGAUUGAUUAAAGAAAGAAGUGCUUACUUUGCUUGAUGUGCUAUUUGUUUUGUAAUCUUUUCUUGGUUUUGUUGUGGGAUGUUUUUCUUUGGAUGUUCUGUUUAUUGUAUUUUGAUGGAUUUUUAAAGAUGGCUUGUAUGUAUUAACAACAAUAAAGUAUUUUUUAUAAAUCCGGGUCCUAAAUUUGUAAAAGAAAUUAAUAAUACGCUUGGUUUAUUGUUAAUAAAAAAAAAAAAGACGUCUCUUUUUCUUUAGCAUAUAUUAUGCAUUUUAAGGGAAAAAAAAUUAUCACAUUCUAAUUUAUAAAGCAUUCCUCUUCUGUCAUAUUAAUGUGUUAAUACGAAGGUCUAUUGGAAUUAUAAUAGUUUAGAUGAAUCCAAAAUAUUCAAUAAUUGAUAAAUAGUAUAUAUAAAUAUUAAUAGCAAUGGCACAUAAUCAAUUAAUUCAAGAACUUGCCCAUAGUGCAUUAAGUUAAAAGAGUAAAAAUAACAUUGCAAAACAGGCCAGACCUUACGUGUUUAAUUAGCAAUUGAAAACUACUUUACCGUACAACACCAUUAAGAGAUAUUUAUAACACUGUUGUUGAUGAGGCAGCUGUUAAUUCUUUUGGUGAAGAUGUUAAGGCCACUAAAGCUGGAACGUAAUCAGGGAAAUAUAAUGUAUUCACUUAGUUUGCUAUUUGUGUUUUUAUAUUUGUUUGGCUAAUUCUUUUAUCAGAUUGCUUUUUGUUUUUGAGAUUUUAUUGGCUUAGUCGUGGGAUAUUAUUUAAUCUUUUAAUUUUGUGUUUUUAUUGUUAUGGGAUUUGAUGAUGGCAUACAUAUAGGAAAAUUAUGUAAGAAAGUGCUUUUAAUAAAUUAUGGUCGGUUUACUAUUAAUUAACCAAAUUUAAUUUACUCAAAUUACUCCUAUACACGAUUAAAAUAAUUUCAAUUCCAUGAUAUAAAUACGCGCGUGCGGACACACAAAAUGUAAAUAACUUUCAAAUACAAAAUAUUUAAAAUAAUCAUCAUACUAACAAUUCACAAGUUAGAUUAUAUUAAGGCCACCAAGGCUUAAAUGUAAUUGAUUAAAGAAAGAAGUGCUUGCUUUGCCUGAUGUGCCAUUUGUCUAUGAUGUUUUCCUGGUUUUGUUGUGUGAUGCUUCUCUUUAGAUGUGUUGUUUAUUGUAUUUUGAUGGGUUUUUGAGGAUGGUUGUAUGUAUUAGCAACAACAAGGUGCUUUUUAUAAAAUCCGGGUUCUAAUUUUGUAAAAGAAAUUAAUACUCUCGGUUUAUUGUCAAUAAAAAAGAAAAAGGAAAAAGCCUUUUUCUGUGGCAUAUAUUAUGCAUUUUAAGGAAAAAAAAAUCACAUUCCAAUUCAUGAAAGACAUUCCUUCUGUCAUAUUGAUGUGUUAAUAGAAAGAUCUCAUAACAAUUUUGAUGAAUCUAAAUAUUUAAUAAUUGAUAAAUUGUAUUUAUAAAUAUUAAUGCCGGUGGCACAUAAGCACUUAAUUCAAGAACUCGCCUAUAGUGCAUUAAUUUAAAGAGUAAAAAUAUUUAAUAAAUCAUGCUUAGUUUACUAUUAAUUAAUCAAAUUUAAUUUACUCAAAUUACUCCUCUACAUGAUCAAAGUAAUUUCAAAUAUACAACACAGAAAAUGUAAAUGACUUUGAAAUAUAAAAUAUUUAAAAUAAUCACCCCACUAACAAUUCACCAGCAAGAUUAUAAAUAGUCGAAAUAAUGAUAAUCUAGGGGGUCCAGUCAUAAUAAUUUGAUUUUUAUUUAUAUUAAUUAUAUCAGAAAGAGUACUCGAGAUUAUAUAUAUCCAACAACUAAAAUUUCAAAACAAUAUUUGCCAAAGUCUGAUGAAGAGAAUACAUAUAUAUAUAACAUGCACUCGCACACAUUCUAUUGUUUAAUUAAAAAAUUCGAAAGCCCAUUAUAUACAUGAUAAAGACUCACCGACACCGAACCAUAUUCAUUUAAAGGAAUUGUUUUUAACUGAGAUUUGAAAUUAUAUACACAAACACACCUGUUUUUUUUUUUUAAAAAAUUACUAAUAAUAAAAUAUUUCGGCAAAACAAAUUUUGCCGAAAGCAAAAAGUCUGGUGAAAAGAAAUGUUAUGUGCAUAUAACCGUACAGGCGCAGCAGAAGGAUAAGUCAAAGAAAAACGAAGUUUCAAUAAGAAAUUAAUUACACAUUUACACUCAAUAAGAAAAUCAAUUCAUUACUUUCUAGCGCUUUUAUUUAAAAAGCGCAGUCUAUUUUUUAAUUAAAAAAAUUCGAAAACCGAUUACAUGAUAAAAACUCACCGACACCGAACCUUAUUAAUUUAAAAUAGUUUUCAACUAAGAUUUGAAAUUACAUUCACAAACACACCCAACUAAAAAAGAAAAAUUCUAAUAAUAAAACAUUUCAGUCAUCAAAAACCCAUUUAUAAUUUAUUUCAACACGCGGUAUAUGGGUUAACAAGUCCCAAUAUUGUCCUCCAUCCUUUCUGCACUUCUCUUCUAUCAACGGACAUCCCUCGAUGUAUAAACACAAAAGUGAGGAAGGCAGGCCCUUCUCCGGAAAGUAUUUGAGCUUGGGACAAUCCCAGAGAUGCAAUUGAGUGAGGUUUUGAAGAUCAACAAUUGAAGAAGAUAGGCGUUCCAGAUUUGGAAAUCUGAAAAUCCACAGAGAUGUUAGAGAGGCAGGAAGAGGAAGCGCGGUCCCCAAUCUUAUGUCCUCCGGUGGGAACGACACCGUGUCCUCAUCACAUCCUUCGAUUCUAAGUUCUCGCAGAGAGGAGAAUCUGUGAAAUCCUCUGCUCCGCUCAAUCAUUGACUUCCAAAUUUUCGUAUUACCAUCAAUCUCCAGUGAAUGAAGGUUGGUGGGAAGGCCAUCUUCUUCAAGGCUUGGAAGCUCACCUCCUGUUCCUAUUCUUAAUUCUUGAAGAGAGCUCAGAUUGUGCAAUCCCUUGGGUAAGGCCUCUAGUCUCUCACAAUCAGAUGUCUCCAGCGUCCUGAGUUUCGCACAAGGCAAUCCCCCUUCGGGAAAGGACACCAGAUUUCCACAAUUCCAUAUCUUAAUCUCUUGAAGCUGGCGGAGAUUAUGUAAACCACUCGGUAAAAUUUUCAGAUUUUCACAAUUAGAAAUGUCGAUUGUUUCAAGAGAUGUGUUGUUGUCCAACCUUUCUGCUAUUGACUCCAGCUUUGAACAACUCCGAACAUUAAGGCUCUUAAGAGACGGAGGUAGAUUGCCAACUUCAAGGGACUCAAGCGUGGCAGGUAACUCGUUUUUUGAAAAUAUACAUGUCAGUGAUGGACAAACUGCAAUUAAUAAGUGCUCAAGAAGAGAUGAGGUGUACCUUCUGCUGCUGCUGCUGCUGUGGAUGCCCUCUUCCACUGUCAAAGUCCUUAUGUUACUGCACCACUGGAUGUCCAACCUCUUAAGGCUUGAUGGUAGCUGGACUCCAGCAAUAUAUGUCAACGAACGGCAAUCCUCAAUAUACAAGAUCUCGAGAGACGAAUUGGUGUCGCACAUCCAUGCCUCCGGUAACGAUUUCAGUGCGUCACAUUCCCUAAUCUCAAUUUGCUUCAACUUGGAAGGCAGAGCAACCUCAGGAAAGGAAACAAGGGAACUGCACUUGUAGAUUUCUAUCUCUCUCAAGGAACUGAGGCUGAGAGAUGAUUGUGGCAGCUUCACAAGGCCUUCGCAAUAUCUCAAUCUUAGAUAUUCGAGUCUGCAUGACAACUGGCAGAGCUGCUGUUGUUGGUCUUUCUCUUCCUCCGCCACCAAGGAUUGAAGUUUGGGACACCGUCUAAUCGUCAAUCUUUUGAGAGAGCAAAUGUCUUGUAGUAAUCCGUCAUGACUCUUCCAUAUAUAUGUUUGCUCUUUUGUCGACAAAAUUAAUUCUUCCAAUUUCGAUAGUUGUGGCUUCAAGGGCCCCGCAAGAAACACUUGAUUUGAUGUAUCUCUACAAACCACUGAAUUCUGUGAUCCGAGAUGACCAGUUGCACUUUCCCACACAACCUUUUUGCAUCCACCAAUCUGUAAUUUGCAAAGAGCUGGAAGACUCGAAACUGAAACUACCAAUUCUUCACAUCCUUCAAUAACAAGCAUCUCCAAUGCAGGAAGGUGCUCUGGAAAUGUUCCUUUCAGUUUAGAACAUCUUAAAAUGUGAAGCUCUCUCAAUUUAGGAAACCGUUCAACUCCCUGACUGGAUCCAUGAGGAAUCCAGUCUUCCCAUUCUCGCAUGUUUUCAAAACGAAGAGUCUCCAAACAUGGAGGAUCAUUCCCACAGAACUCUGAACCCAACCUUUUUACUCUGCUCAUUCCACGCACUGUAAGAUGCUUUAGAGAGGGCAGUUGCCCGACAGACGGCAGGGCAGUACACAUGCCGCAAUCUUCAAAUUCAAGUGUUACUAAAUUUGAGAACAAGGAAUCUCCUAACCAUGUUGGAAAUUUCAUACCUCCAUAGCCUUUGAUACAAAAUUGCUCCAGAUUUGUAUGAGGUUUUAGCAUGUCAAGCACGCCCAUUUCAGUUUCUGCCUCCCUUGAAGAAGAACCAUCGGUACUGCAAGUCCAUUUAAGCGAUAAUUCUUUCAGAUUCUUCUUUCCAUCCAUUUGAGCCUCCAUGGCAUCACCAACGCAUUUUACAUUCUCCAAUUUUGAAAUGCUAAGUGUCCCAUGAAGGUGCGUCAACAACUUUAGCUCUCGUAAACCGGAACCACUGCCUUUUCCCACAACAAAAUUACACAACGUCUGAAGACUAGUCAACCUACCAAUUCCUACUGGCAUUUCCUCCAACGACUUCGUAUUUGAAUUCUUAAGAUGAUGCAAUUUGAUGAGGUUCCCCAUGUCUGCACACAACUUCUUCAGCCGAUCACAAUCUUCCAACAAAAGACUAUGCAAAUUGUAAAGCUUGUUGACUGAUUCAGGCAGAGUUCUAAUCUCAGUUCUAGACAGGUUAAGGUACCUUAAAUACCUCAAAUCACCAAUUGAAUCUGGCAGCUCAGGGAUGCGGUAUCCACGCAAAGAGAAGACCCUCAAGCGUUGAAGUUUGAGCAACUUAGGAAGAAUGCUAGGAGCCAAGUAGCCAGGCCAUCUAUUUGUCAACAUUACUGGUAAAAAAGUUCUCAAAUGUUGGAUAUCAUACAAGUCCCCAAACCUUUGAACGCCAUCAUAAUCUCCACAAAUGUAUGAUAGAUGACGAAGAUUUCUGGAAAAACAUUGUUGCUUGUUAACCUCCGAGGUAUACUCCAGUGUGAAGUAUGUCUCCCCUGCAGCCCAACGGGCAAGGUCGUUGAUAAGAUCGUGCAUAACAAAUAGUGAUGCAUCGGUGGCCGAUUGCUGGAAAAAAGAUCUUGAACAUAGCUCCUUAAAGAAAUCACGACCUAAAUCUUCACUAGGAUUCUCAUCUUCUUUGUGAUCCAAAAAACCGGAGGCACACCAUAAUAAAAUUAUCUCCUCCUCUUCAAAUUCAUAAUCCUUUGGUAACAAUGAGCAGUAUGCAAAGCAUUGUUUCAAAGUUGGAGGAAGAUAAUAAUAGCUCACUGCAAGGGCUGGUAUAAUGCGACACCUCUGUUCUGGUAAUUCCCAUAUCUUGCUACCGAGCACACCUUCCCAUACCCGUCUGUCAUGUCUUCCACGUAAUAGUCCUCCAAGUGUUUGUGCAGCUAAGGGCAAGCCAUCGCAUUUGGUCACUAUCUUCUUGCCAAUUUCCUCCAAUAACUCAUGCGGCCCCAGAGAAUGUUGAGCGAAUAUAGCUAGACAGUCAUUAUCUGACAAUUUUUUUAAUGGAUGAGGUGGAAGAGUCCCCAUGAUUGUUGCAACAUCCUGAUUGUGAGUAGUAACAAUAAUCUUACUUCCCUGUGCACCAGCUUCAAAUGGAAGGCUGAGCUGAAUCCAAUCAUCGUAACUAUCAUUCCAUACGUCGUCUAAAACAAGCAAAAAUUUCUUUCGAGACAACUGCUUCUUUAGCUCCUCUUGAAGAAAAUUUAAAUCAUUAUUAUCAACAGUCUGCUUAGUAAUGGAGCUUAGAAUUGUUCUUGUUAGCCUGAUAAGAUCAAAAUCAUCAGAGACACAAGUCCAUGCCUUGAGAUCAAAAUGAUCCUCCACUUGCUUGUAGACAAGCUGAGCAAGAGUGGUUUUACCCAGCCCGCCCAUACCUAUAAUGGGAAUAACUGCGAAUCCACCAUCCUUUCUUGAAUCAUCCUUCAACAACAAUUCAACAAUUUCCUUCUUUUCUGUUUCCCUGCCAUAUACUUUGGCUUCCUCCACCAAAGAGGUUGUCUCUUGCCUUUGCCUGGCUUUUUUGGACCCCCCAGCUAAACUUUUUAUCAAAUUCAGCGAGCGUAUUCCUUCUUCAAUAUCUUGAAAUCUGUCGUUGAUCUUUUUGAUUUUGGACAUCAAGGCGAAAUCGAACUGAAUCGAUUGUAGAGUAAAAGUGGUACAGCAAGUAGGAAUGAGCUUCCGAAACUUACUCUUCGUGCUUGUACGACUGCUGCUGGGUUGAUCAUGAGCAGCAGCUGGUUCUCCAUUUCCAAGCAGCAACUUCCUCCGGAAAGCCUCAGUUUGGAACUCAUCCAACAAGUCUUCAACGUCAUAAGCCAAGUUCUGAAGCUCGCCAAGCCACAACUUCACAUAAUCAUCAGUCGUCUUCUUCUCCUCAGCAUCAUCAAGCACCGCCUUGAUCGUCACCAACUUAUUCUUCCACUUCACUAGAUCGUCUUUGAUUCGACCUUGGCGUGCAAAACGCAGAAUCCCCUUUGAAGCUAACUUAUUGACCAGCAACUCAACGGACGCCGUCAGGAUUGCCUCUCCGAUGAUUGACAUUUUUUCUUUUUUCUUUUUUUUUGGGUUUUUUUGGACAAAGAAAAAAACUAAAUUAUGAGUUUGUGGAAAGCAAAAUGAGAAAAGUGAAUAAGCGGAAUGUGUUUGUGAUUGUGUCUAGCAAGCCUAGAAAUCAAGAAAAAUCCACCGUAAAAGUGAAAAGUAAAACGGAGCCCACCACAAAUAUAAAAUCAGAGGAGCACAGAAUAAAAAAAAAAACAAAAGAAAAGAAAAAGCCAAGCCAAGAAUCAUAUGCCAUUGCUUUACAUAUUAAAUUAAAACAAAAGCCAUGCCAGGAAUCCUGCCUUUGCUUGAUAUUUGACAAGAUUAAUUGGACAUUACACAUUAUUUCACAGAGAAUAAAACUUGUAAAGAACCAAACCCAUCAAACCCUUUCUUUAUCUUAAAUGUCAGAAAUAUAUAAUUAGCUUGGAAUAAAGCUAUACUCUUCUCCUUUUUCCAUUUCUACAGGUUCAUAUAGGCAUAUCAUAUGGAUUUUGUUUUAUGCUAGGUAAUUAUUAAUUUAUAUAAUAAUAUAUUUCCCUCAAAAUAUACUAUUUGAAUUUGAAAUAAUUUUUUAAAAUAAUUUAAUAUCACAAUAAUAGUCAUGAUUCAAUUCGGUUCAGUUUAAUUUUUUUAGAGAAAAAAUUUGAGAAAAUAGACAAAUAAUGAAGACGCAAUUGAAGCACAGCCAAUAAACAGGGUAAAGUGAAUUGCGUCCUGUCCUUGAGCACUCAAUUCUCUUCAAUCUCAAAUUUAUACGUACAUUUUUGUAAAUUCAUGUCAUAUACUAGAGUCUUUUGGGUUCUGUUACAUCAAUUGUUUCGUGUCUAUCUUGUUUUAUUAAUUUAUGGAGCAAGAUUGCUAGUAGCGAUAAACCUGGAAUAAAACGAUUUAUUUAUUUUAUAUAUAUAUUGCGUUGUUAUCAGCAAAAAAUAUGAUGGGUUUCGUUUGUAACAACUAGCUAAUUGCUUAAUACAUUUUUGUACUUCUCGUCAUGAAGUCACGAGGAACUUGUAAAUAAGAUCAUAGACGUGGUACGAUGUGACGUGAUAAAUUUAAAUCAAAUCUAAACUAAGAUGGUUCAUAUAUAGGUACAUACUGAAUAAAGAUAUUUAAAGCAUUCAAUUUUAUGACAUACCUAAUAGUCAUUGGCUUAUUGUUAUUAAAGGAAGUGAAUAGAAAUAGAUGUAGAAAGUGAAAAAGAUGAACUAGCGCACAUGAUGAUUUCUCAGAUAAAAAGUUAAAUUUAUAUUCUUUUUUUUAAUAAGUGUGAGAUGAUUUACACCCUAAAAUUUAUUUUGAACACUCAUAUUUUUAUUACAAAAAACCCCAUAGUUCAAUUUACUGGUAUGGACAAUUCAAUAAAAAUACAUAGAACAAUAAUACUUUUGACACCCAUCUGGCUAUAUUUAACAAGUUUGCACGCACAGACUCUAUGAUUCUAAUUUCUUUGACUUGGUUUUAGUUUUUGUUGAAUAUAUAUCUACCUAUAUAAAGUGUUAGUGAUUUUUCACUUCUCUACCAAGGAGAUUCUACACGAAUAAACAACCGCAGAAAAAAAAAUAUAAAAAACCUGAUACAGGUGAAGAAGAUAUUCAUCAUAACAGUUUUUUAAAGUUGAUGAGUCCAAAUAUCCAAUAACUGAUAAAUUGUGUUAAGAAAUAAAAAAUAUUAAUAGUGAUGACACAAAGGAAGUCCCGUGUUUUGAGUUUGACUAAAAUAAUCUGAAUAAUUUAAAAUAAUCGAUCAGGCCAAAUUGCUGAAGAGAUGAACGGCCUCUGUUUUUUACCAUAAUACUAGGAAUUGACUUCAAUUGGGAAGUCAGGCCAAUCGAAGGAGCUCCCCUGUUUCUGACUGAAACAUAAUCCUAACAAUUUACAAUUAAAUAAAUCAUUCAAAAUUUCUCCUUUAAUCGAACCCCCACUUCUAUGACUUAAUAAAAUAUUACAAAAGUUCUUAAUACAGUGAAAUUAACGUUCAGCUCAUGAAGUCGCCAUUAUAUAUAUUGAAAAAGAGAUUAGUACAAGACAUUGAAAAUUAAUUGACAUUGAAUCACGUUGGAUCCUUAGUUGUUAAUUAUGAUCUUGGUCUUUUAAUUAUCAUCUAGCCAACGCAGGUCCACUAGUUUCAUUUGUGUCAAUCACUGAAAAGUAGAGCUUUAUUGAACACCGCAUAUUACAGAAACUCACUCGAUUUUCAUUGCCAUACAUGUAGCUCAAAAGUACAUAUUAUAUCAGUGAACAUGGAACAUUCAGCUAACCUAUAACAAAUAUAAUAAAAUCUCAAUAAAUUAAUAGUUCUGGGACCAAUGAAAAAUUAGUUAAAAUUUCAUGAAUAUCAAUUAGUCGAUAAGUUAAUAAAUUAUUAAUUUAUGAAAAUAUUCAUUAUUUUGGAAAAAAAUGAUUACGUUUAUAGUAUUGAUUUACGUUGAGUUAGAAUCUAUUAUUUUUUAUUUGAAUAUUAAUUUUCUUUUAAGAAGAUUUUUUAAUAGUUAACUACUUUAUAAUAAGACUAUUGUAUGAUUUUUAUUUUUCCAUGUUAGAGAUGAUAGUUCUGCUAUGCAAGCUGUUUCGAUCAAAGGAUUAGAUGAUAUUGACAUUGAAUAAUUUUUUGUUGCAAAAUGACAACACCAAUUAGAAUUUCUUUUCGCAUUACAAAAGAAAAAAAUGAGAUCCAAUUCUAAAUUAAUUUAAAAAGAAAUAAACGAUGCUGAGAAUAAAUUUUACACAAGCCAUAUAGACAUAUCAUAUGGAUUUUGUUUUAUAUUAGGUAAUUAUUAAUCUAUGUAGUAAUAUAUUUCCUUCAAAAUGUACUAUUUGAUUUUGAAAUUAUUUUUGAAAAAUUUAAUAUCAUAAUAAUAGUCAUGAUUCCAUCGGUUUGAGGUUUUUUUUUUUUUUUUGGUUUAAGAAAAAAGAUGGGACAAUAGUCAAAUGAUGAAAACACAAGCUAAGCAGAGCCAAUAAACAGGGGAAAGUGAAUUACUGUCCUUGAACACGUUCUCUAAUAAUCUCAAUAUUCUACGUACAUUUUUGUAAAUUCAUGUCGCAUACAAAAGCCUUAUGGGUUUUGUUGCAUCAAUUCUUUGGGGAUUUAUCUUGUUUUAUUAUUUUGCGACGCAAGAGUCCUCGAAGCAAUACAUUUGGAAUAAAACGAUUCAAUUUAUUUUUCGUUGUUAUUAACAAAAACUAUAUAUUAUUAAUUAAUCAACUCAUCGAGAUAUUGGUUUCAUUUGUAACAAGUAGCUAAUUGCUCAGUACAUUGUUGUACUUACUCAUUAUCAUAUCAAGACGAACUUGUAAAUAAGAACAUAGACGUGGUACACUGUGAUGUGAUAUAUUUAAUUCAAAUCUAAAUUAAGAGAUGAUUCAUAUAUAUAGGUACAUACUGAAAAAAGAUAUUCAAACAUAAACACUCCAUUUUAUGAUAUACCUAACAAUAAUCGGUUUAUUGUCCAUAGGAAAUGGAGUGAAUAGAAACAGAUGUAGAAAGUCAAAAAGAUGAACGAGCGCACAUGACGAUUUAUAAAAUAAUAAAUUAAAUUUAUAUCGUUUUUAAUAAGUGUGAGAUUAUUUACAUUUUCAAAUUUAUUUUGAAUGCUCUUAUUUUUUACUACAAAACCUCAUAAUUCAAUUUACUAUUAAGAGCAAUUCAAUAUAAAUAAAUAGAACAAUAAUACCUUUGACACCCACCUAGAGCGCACACACCCAUGUAAAAUUAUUAAACCUUAAACCGAAGAACAUUCUUCCUCAACAUUAAAACUCGUGCAUUAUUUAAAACCAUAUUUAACAAAUUUUCACAAAGAGACGCCAUGAUUCUAAUUUCUUUGACUUACAUUUCAAUUUUUGUGGAAUAUAUAUCUAUUCCAUAUUAAGAGAUUCUGAAUCUUUCACUCGGCUGUCAAGGAGAUUGUACUGAAUAAACAACAGCAGAAAAACAAAUAAAAAACUUGAUACACGUGUAGAAUAUACUCAUUAAAUUUUAAUUUUCGGCACAAUUAUGAGCUGCAUAUUUAUACACACACACAAAUAACUGUUCUGCAAAUAUGUACAAAUCAAUUUCAGCCAUCCAACUUUUUUUCGAAUUUUAAUGAAUAUAAAUUUUAUAAGUUGGGCAACUAUGAAACAUAAAAUUAGCAAAAUGAUAUUAUUAACAAAUAAGGAGAGCAAAAGGUAAUUAUAUCUUGGUGUGCUAAAUAUUUUUAUGGGUGUAGUGAAAAAACUAAAGAUAAUGGAAGAAAUGUUAUUGAGGAGUAAGUGAAAAGUGAUUUCCUAAAAUCUAUUAACUAAUGCGCAAAAUAGAAGGGCAUUUUGAGAAAAUUUUAGAUUAAAAAUAGUCCCAUCCUUUUAAUAAUAUUCUUCAAUCAAUCUGUUUAUUUCAAAAUAAAAAUCCAUCUCAUUUUUACUUUCUAAUUAGUCAUAUUAAUGUGUUAAUAAUUACGAAGAACCAGUAUUAUUUGUAUGAUGUAGGAAGCCCUUUCGACACAAUAACCCAAAUUUCUAAGAGUAGCGGCUGGACUUGAUUGGGAACAACUUCGAUUCAGUUUAAAAGGUUAAUCUCAAAAUUUCGUGAUAUUGUGCCUAAAGAGCUUCCUGCAUCAGUAUAACAGUUUCUAAAUUAAUAUAAUUGUGUGUUCAUUUUUUAUGAUUUUCCUUUAAUUUUUUUUUUAGAAACUGUUGUUCUUCAAUAAUUAUUCUAACAAUGUUGCUUUAAAGUGAUGUUGAUACGGGAGUCGAUGAGUCUUUAUCUGAAACAAAAAUUUACAAAAAAAAAUAUUAAAUUAAAAAAAAAGUACAUCAAAUAUUGGGCUCCCCCAAGUUUUACAUUUGUCUUCCACAAUGAGACAAGCCCUUUUUUCAAGUGAAGACUUUUGAUGUACAAUUUGUAAAGGAAAUUUGCCCCAUAUAAUUUUCCUUUCUACAACUUGCAAGCUUAUGUAAAUCAUAUCAACUUAAAAGAUUCCAAGAUUUGGUAUUUUGGUGAUUUGAGUAUCCAAUGGUGAUGACACAUACGCAUGGAAGUCCCCUGAUUUGAGUUUGACUAAAAUAAUCUGAAUAAUUUAAAACAACACAUCAGGCCAAAGUCCUUAAGAGAUGAACUGGAUUUCAGUGCAUCACAUUCCGAAAUUGAUACUAACCUUAACUGGGAAGGCAGAACAGCCUCUCUUUCCUACUGUUGCACAAAAUGGCAAGUCAAGCCAAUUCAAGGAACUUCCCUGUUUUUUACUGAAAAAUACAUAAUCUGAACAAUUUAUAAUCAAAUAAAUCAUUCAAAAUAUCCUUUAAUCGAACCCCCGUUUCCAUGGUUUAAUAAAAUAUCACAAAGGUGCCUAAUACAGUGGAAUUAACACUCAGCUCAUGGGAUUGCCAUUAUAUAUAUUGAAACAGAAAUUAAUACAAGAAACUGAAAAUUAGUUGACACUGGAUCACGUUGGAUCGUUAGUUGUUAAUUAUGAUGGAAAUAUAAUCUUGGUCUCUUACUUAUCAUCUAGCUAAUGCAUGUGCACUAGUUUUAAUUGUGUCUAUCACUGUAAAUAGUAGAGUUGCUUGAUUGAAUAGUAUCAUAUUACAUCACAGAAACUCGCUCAAUUUUCAUUGCCAUAUGUAUCUCAAAAGUGCAUGAACAUUGAACAUUCAGCUAACUUAUACCCAACAACAUCCAUCAGUCAGAGUGAAACCCCAAUUGAUUUCAUAAAUACAAAAUAAAUAACUCGCAAAGGCAAUCUUUGACAAUCACAAAAGCAACAACAAUUCACUCCAACAAACAACAUAACAAUUAUAUGGUCUAAAUUGCAGGUCUUUUUAUGAUUUUAAUUGAAAGAGAAAGCACGAGGGACAUAUUAUAUAUAAUUGAAUGUUAUGAUUGAUAAUUGGGCAAAAUAAUACUAAUCUAGCUAACUAGUCCAAUCAUCAUAAUAAUCUGAUUUUCAUUAUUUAAUUAUGUUCAAUCAUGUUAUUUUAAUAAAGAACACUGAACGCUUGAGUAUUUAUAUGUUCAACAACUUCGGCUAAAUUUGAAAAAAAAAAAGUAUUAAUUAUGAAUAGUAAUAAAUUACCCUACAAGCCACAUAUUGCGUACAUAUGCAGUUGCAACAAAUAUAUGUGUAAUAAAAAGAUCAUAUGUGCUUAGAAAAUGAAGCAUCAUUGAAUAAAUGGAAAAAAAAGAAAGAAAAUUAAAAUCAGCGUCCAGCGGAAAGAAUCCAUCUUUACGUGUUGCCUCCAAUUUGGUACAUCUAUCUGACUUUAAAAAAAUUGCAGUAGAAAUUAGAGCUCAUUUUUUUAGAUAUGGCUCAUAUACAAUACAAGUGUCAAGAUGUAAUUAGAGUUUACAUAUAUACACGUGUCUAAUUCUAAUUGACAGACAAACUAAUCAUAAAUACUCAGGUGUUUCUAAAUGAUUGAAUAAUGAUAUUGUAGUGACUUGAUUGCUUUGUUCUCUGAUUAGAAAUAAAUCACUGUCCAAGAACCUUUGUCAAGAUCUGUUCAAGUUGCAAUUAAACCAACACCAAUCUGAGGCUUCAAUGCUGAUUCACACCAUAGCUCUAGGUUAAUGGAGGUUGAAAACAGAAGAUUAAAUUGAACUAGAAGCAGCACACACUCACACAAAGAACAGGAUUUAACGUGGUUCGAUUAUGCAUAAAUGCACAAUCUACAUCCUUGGGAGAAGCCACAGAGCUAAUACAGAGGAGAUUACAAGGAACAAGAAGACUCUUUCUCUCUUUCUAAGAUCUCUCUGGAAAGCUCUCAAAAUCCUAUGCAAUGUUUUUCAACAACCAGCCUCUUUACACCCCUGAUAUUGAAACCCAGAUUGCAUAGCUUUUGGACGCGUGUAUAACGGCUUCAUAACGAAUUUGAUUCCCUUCUCACAUGCGGUCUCACGUGCUUCACUUAAACUUGCUCAAAACGACUGAAAGUAGCGUCGUUUUUCCUUAAGAUUAGUGAAGAAGAUAGCAUGUGUGUUGCACGUGAGUCGUAAGUGGAUUCGCUUACUCAAAACACAGCCGCUUUAGGGCUUCGAGUUUUGGAUUCAUGGCACUCUAGUCCAGAGAUAUUAUUGGUAUUUAUAAAUUUCAAAGUGGUGAUAACAGAUUCACAACAUAUUGGAGUUUUGGAUUCAUGGCACUUAUGGUUUCUCAUCAAAUAAUGUUAUAAAAAAAAAUACAUAAGUUAGAAGAUUCACAACAUAUUGGAGUGUAAUUUCCACUUGAGUGACAAUGAAUGAAGUUAUGUUAAUUUAGAUUAAGUACAAGCCUUCCUAAAUAGGAUUAGAAAUACUCUAUUAACAUAUCGAAUACUACCUUAGUAAAAAUUUAGUUGACAAAAAUUAAAAAAAAAAAAGCCUUGAAGGCUUGAAACAAUUAACACCAACUAAAUAAUUGUCUUACAUCACCAAUUUUUUUUUUUUCAUUUUAAUAAGACAUCACCACACUCCUGACUUUAUAAAGUGACUUUAUAAAGUAAAGCAUAAAAUAUAAUAGAGAAGUUUGAGUUUAAAAAAAUAAAGUUGGGAGAAUGACUUGUCACGCUGUCUUUGAUCAUUGAGCACACAAUUAUCUGAGAAAAAAAAACUCUAUUGUAUUUGUGUUUGUUGUAGAUUCAUGUCAUUUACUAGUCCUUUGGGUUUUGUUGUAUCAAUUCUUUGGUAAAUGUUUAUCUCGUUUUCAUUCUUUUAUGAUGUGAGAUUCCUGGUUAUAUUAGGAAUCAGAGUGAAAUCCAAUCUUAAAAUUUGGAGAAAUAAAACGUAAUAUGAUUUUUAAAAUUUAGAGAAAUAAAAUGUAAUAUGAUUUUUUAAUGAAUAAAACGAUUUAAUUUAUUUCUUUUCUACUAGUAAAAAUUAUUAAUUUAUUAACCCAUCAAGCUAUUGGUUUCAUUUGUAAGCUGGUCAGUCAGUUUUUUAUUUUGAGUUGUUAUCUUUCAAAAGAUAUUAGAAAAAUCUUACUUUGAGUGUACUUGAUCACUUCACUAAUUAUAGGGUAUUUACAAGUUAGAAAAAUAAAUUAUUUCUGGCCGAAGACACUAGAAAUUAAAGUUCAUAUGACUUUGUAAUACUGUUUGGUAAGUGAGAAAAUUGCCGAGAAAAUACAGAGCAAAUAGAAUCUUUAAGAAGAUCUAAAUUUCUGUAUUUUAUUGAUCUAAAAAAAUGAUACAAGCUCUUAUAUACAAUUGUAAGAUUCUACACACUCACAAUGAAAUAUCACGCUACUAGUAAUUAACAACCCUUAUAACAAACUCAACUGAUUCAGGCUGACUCCAGAGAAUGUCGAAAAGCGUUUGGCUAAUUUUUGUAUACACACACAUAACACAAAAUUAAAUUAGUUGGCAGCGUUGACAGUGAGUCGUUUUUGGCCAUCCAUAAGUUCACAUGUGCAUGGACAUCUGUUGCCAGCCCUUUCAUUAUUUUAAAUCUCCAUAACAUUAUUAGAGUCCCACAUUUAUCACACAUCAUUAAGUAGAAUGCGCUAAUUAGGAAGAGCUAGUUUCUUUGUUCUGUUUUCUUGCAUAUGUUGCAAUUUUCGAGUAUCACUGAAAAUUUUAGACCGUCAAACCUGCAGGAAAAUUAUAUACAUAUUCUAUCAUUCAACCUCAACAAAUAAAUUCUUUUCACUGGAAUCCAACAAUCGUUAAGUGUUAACCUUGUAGUUCUCAAGAGCAGAAAUUGUUGUAUUAAUUUUUUCAAAGUGUCUCUCUUAAAAGAACACUAAAGAUAGGAGAGUGAAAUUUCAACUGAGAUCUUGCCACAUAAGACGAUCGAUUUAAUCCGACAAAAUGUGCGUUAGGUUAAUAAGAGCCAAUACUGCCCUGAUCCUUUCUGCAUCUUUCUUCUAUCAGCGGACAAUCCUUGAUAUACAGUUGCAAGAGCGAGGUAGGCACGCUCUUGUCCAAAAAGUAUUUUGGCUUCGGACGAAUAUAAAGCCAAAGAUACACCAACGACGUGAGAUUUUGACCAAUUGAAGGCAGGCAUUCCAUGCUUUGGAAAUCAUAAAUCCACAAAAGGGUUCCUAACUCCUGUGGCGAAAUGACACCACGUCAUGAAGUCCUCCGAUUGACAGUCGUUGUAGAGAUGAGAAUCUGUUCAAUCCCCCUUCCCCCCCACCCCAUCGAUGGCUUCCAAAUCUUCAUAUCAUGAAUAUAAAGUGACUGAAGGUUGCUGGGAAACCUACCAUCAUCUGCCUCAACUGGGAAGCAAUACCAUAUAUGCUUGCCAGACCUCCUCUGUUUCAUUCUUGAAGACUGUGCAUGUCCUUGGGUAAGGCCUCUAGCUUAUCACACCACGUUAUCCGGAGCUUAGACAGUUCCGCAGAAGGCAAUCCUCCUUCAGGAAAGGGUCAUUUCAAUAAAAGCACAGUACAAUUGCUUAACUAAUUUUUUGAAAACAGAGAUAUGAGAGAUUGACAAUUUACAAUUGCUUAACUGCUCAAGAAGAGAGCACGCUUGAAUUAUGAAAUACGAAAAAGAGAGCACAAAUGAAAAAUCUUAAGGAAUCAGCAGGAUUCACAUCCGACCAACUCCACGCUGCUAAAGCAAAGGAUUAAUUUUUGAGAAAUUGUAAAGAAAUUAAUACAAGUGAAAUGAGAGCCUGUUCAUUUGAUUAUUGGCCAAGGGUGAUUUCAAUAACGUUUUCAAAGAAGAUAUAGGACAAAGAUCAGAACGAAAAAUAAGUAAUUUCAGUCGUUGAAAAAAAAGAGCAAGCUUCACACAUGCAUGCAUGUGUCGGACCAACAGAACAUGGCUUGUGUCAAGGAUCAAUCAAAGACAUAUAAACUCAGUUUUAUAAAGUAAGCAUCAAAAUGUUUGACAAGUUUUAGAUUUGUAGAAUAUUGGGAAAGCAGACAAAUAAUCAAUGAAGACACUGCAAGUUAAGCAGAUCAAUUAAACAGAGGAAAUAGCUGAUCAAUUCUUUGUGCAAUGGCCACAGCAACUGUGAGGUUAUAAGUUGCUGAUGUGUUGGGCUUCAAUACAAGAUUCGAAGAGUUCUUGGGGCUGUGUGAAGACUGACUUCAGUUGGAGGGGUCUUAUUGUAAAUUUUAUGCUGAUGUGGCAGAGUUCGUUGAGAAUUCGUUAUGCCUUUUCCAGAAAUAUCAGAAUAAAAGGCGCUGGUGAUUAGCCCCUGAUCUGAGAUCAAUAUCUUCUUCAUUUCUUGUUCAUUUUGUUGGAAAUUUGGUUCUCUGUGAUCCUUGUAAUUGCCUCUUCAUAAUCAACCUGUAUCUAGAUUGUUAUGAUCAACAAAAGAGCAGUUGUUUCCUUCAUUGAUUUGUGUACUUGAAACAGUGCUCUGUGUUCUAUUCUUGGAAUUGCUUUCUUGUUUGGUUGAUCUGGUUUGAUUCUUUCAAGUCCGAUUCAUCAAGUUCUUCACGAAUUAACUUGUGUAGCCAUUAAAGUUUCAACAGCAACAGAUUAAAUAUAUCUACAAGACUACAUUAAUCCUAAUGGCAUGGUAGCAUCUCCAUGCAACAUUACAUUAACAUUUCAUCAUCAAUCAAUUUUGAUGAUAUGAUAUUAAAAACAUUGACUUCAUAAUUUAACAUAUAAAGAAAAAGUAAUACUUAUUUGAUGAGUAUGAUAGACAGCAAAUAUGGAUCAUGCAAUAAUGAAACAUGUAUUUAUAGAAAAAUGUUUGGGAGUAAAAUGAUGCUAUAAAGUUUAAUAUUAGUUGCAAGAAAAAAAAAUUGGCAAUUAAGAUUAACAGAUACAUAUGCAAUGCUUCGAGUUUAUUUUAUGACUUCCGUAACGAUUUUGUAACUACAUAUUGAUUAGAAGUUCGAUUAAUUUUGACCAAAAACUCUAGAGCAAGUCGAAAAGAGAUUUGAUUUUUUGUAUACAAAAAAAAUAAUCAAUAAAAGCAAGCUCUGGUGUUGUUAAGCUAAGGAUACAGGGGUUAAAAUUACUCACCACUCAAUGGAAUCCACCAAAGAGAUACAGAGUUUGAUAAUAACUCAAAGUUCAUCCAAUUUCCAAAAUUAAUCUCUGUCCUUUGGUUACAACUACAUAAGCUUAAAUAGCUUUCUUGGAACAAUCCUCCAAGCAUAGAUUUACUACAAAGAAACCCUUCAAAUAACUUGACUUUAAAGACCAACAUUAAAGCUAGACAUUAAUAAAACAUUGGUAUGCUUAAAACACAACAAAAAAAAUUAAAAAAAAAUCCAAGUCCCGAAAUAUUCUUCUUGACUCAAAACUGAACAGUCUGCACUUAACUGAUCAUAACUUACUGUAGAAAACUCCAAAUUUAGAUUAGUAAAAUUCAUUGGAAAACUAACAGAAAUAUCUUUCCAAUGAUGUAUGGCUCGAAAAUUAAUUCGAUCUCAUGCAGUACAGUUGAAUUCCCAAAGAUGCCCCUUCUGCACAGAAAUUCUGCUCACUUGAUUAAUGUAAGAACUUGAGCUGCACUUGGUAUAACUUGAUUACCAAAUAUUUCAAACGCCCGUGUUAUUUUCACUGGUGGCCGUAGGUCUCAUGACAGACUGAACCACGUUGUCUCUGUUUUCCCUGUGAUUUUGUCUCUGAUUCUUCUUGUUCUUUCUUCUUGAUUCUAUUUCUUGGAAGUUUAAGUCUGGUUUGUUGAAUAUUGAGUUGAUUCAGAUUCGGUUCGGUGCUUGUGCAUCUUGUGUUAGUCUCAUUCAAGAUCUUGGGCAGAGUCUUUGGUUUGACAAGUUAAUUAGAUCGUCCAAAGCUCUACGUUUUUUUUUUUUUUUUAAACAAAAAAGAAGCACAGUCUGCUAUUAAUACUGUAGCAUGUUAGCUACUAUAAAAGCUCGUGUCUAAUUACCAAAUAAAUUCCACUUUAACAAAGAAUAGAAGCUAAUUUUAUUUUUUCUUUUUGUUAUUGAAGUUACCUCGCAAACUUCUCGGAAGCUUAUUACAAAAUUUCCUUUUACUCUAGGAUCUCUUGAAUGGUCCUGCAAUUUGUAUUCUUUUAUGUGGGAUUGGUUUUUUCUUUAAACAAAAUUUCAAGGAUAAGAAACCUUUCCCAUUGAAUACCAACUUUGAAUUUUAUUAUCAUUUGAACUUAGAAAACUGCAGAAACAAAGCGCGUUCAUAGCACCAGCUAAGCUAGCUGUGUCUUGGUACCAUGCUGGUUCUAUUUUUACUUUAUUAAAUAUAUACAAAAUUAAAUCUCCUGAGCCUCUAGCUUCACUAGUUUCCAACUUGAAAUUAAAACGCGGAAUUAAUGGCAUUGGAGUUCGUUAUUUAAUUUUGCUUUGGUUCAUGGGGAAUCAGAUGGCCAUCCAAUUUUUUGUCUAUUUUAAGUACUAUUGGCCACUAAGUAGCUUGCUUAUAUAUGUGUAUUGGGAUGUCAUAGGCCUUAAAGCUGAAAAUCAAUCCCCAAUCUAAAGUGAAAAACAGUAGCUAGAACAUAAUCUAUGUUUUGAUGUCUUAGUUUAUAAGCUCAAACAAUUAGUAGUAUAUAGAAAAUGCCCGAUAGAACCCAAAACUUGUAGUGAUUUUUAGUUUCGAAAUUCAUUUCAGAAAAUCUGUUCCGUUCAACACAUUCAACUAAACUCUAGCCAUGUACUUGUAUGUAUACAGGUAGAGCACUAGGGCAACAAAGGAGUCCAUCCUUAAGGCCUUGUCUAAGACUGGUUGUCUUUUUCAUGAGCUUCUGGCUUUCCAGCUUGCUGAGCGACGUACACAUAAAGAGGUUAUCCUUUUCUUUUUUUCUUUGUUUUUAUAUGACAGAAUCCAUUUUUGAAUAUAUAUAUAUAUAUAUGUUUAGGUACACAAACACACACAUGAAUAUGCAUGUUUUUAUGAGUUCAUUUAAGUAUAUCCAAUGUUGAAUAACUCUUCCAUUUGAACUUGACAGUAAUCAGGUAGUUGAUAUUUAUGUUACAAAAAUUGGAAGUGUUAGAUAUGAGACUCAAAUCUGAACUUGAGAACACAUACGACAAGUCACGUGGAUCUUUGUAUUAAAUGUGACAUGUCAUGCGUAGGAGUUCACGGAGCUGUAUGACAUUCUUGCUCUGUCGGGAAAACGAGUAAGUAACACACGUGACGUAACACGUGCAUAACUUACUCAAAACGACAGGAGUUUGUGCCGCUUUGUGCUCAAGAGCUUGUGAAGGUGUAACACGUGGCUACCAGAGGUUCAAAAGGCCGUUAAAGGUUGUUAUGACGCGGGCAAAAACUGGGGUUCUUCACAAGCAGCCCAGGUGGCGUUAACAGCUGACUGGUGAAGGGUCUUUCUAGAUCCUUUUCUUACUAUAUAUAUGCCUUUAUGGUGAGAUCUCGCGUAGAGUGAUUCUGUAACACCUUCUUAAGAACUUUGUAUCUUUAAUAAGCUCAGAUAGUGGAAUUCUUCUUCUCCUUCACAGUAGAUGUAGGCUCACUCUAUGGCCGAACCACUAUAAAUCAUUUAGUGGAACUCUCCUUCUCCUUCACAGUGGAUGUAGGCUGACUCUGUGGCCGAACCACUAUAAAUCAUUGGUGUCAAGUGUGUGUGUAUUUUUGUCUCGGUUCUCUUUGAGUUUCUUGCUUUGGUUACAACUGAUUCAUCAGCCAUUAAAGCUAAGUAUAUUCUGAAAUCUUGAGUUCAUAAAGGUCGUUCUUGGGGGGUCUAAAUUGGUGCUUAAUCCGGUUUAGUUUCAACAAGAAGCAACAAAAGCAAUUCAGAAUCAUGCAAGGACUUGGAUUUUUUUGUUAAUUCACUGGGCAUAUGUUUAUCCAACCUCUGAUUUUUCUUAAUAUGUCUCAGUAGUUCAUUUCACGCCACUUUUAGCCGCUCCAUUGGCAUUUUCUGCCAUUUGCUUUUGUUCAUUGGAGCAAGUUAGCUUAUUAAAUUGCUUUUCGAUAAAUGUUCUUCAGAGGGAAUGUGAAAAGGCCAAAUGAACCGAGAUGAUCGGGUUUUCUAGAUCAGCCAUCUCUGUCCUCAACGGUGCUGAACCGUCAAUUACUGAGACACCAAACUCUGACCUGAUUCAUAUGGGAUGUAGACCAAAGCUUCUUGCCAUACCAUCUCUGGUCAAAGCUGCUAUCUUUGAAAGUUUUGCAGGACAAAACAUGUCGGAGUCAGAAAUUGACGUCACCCCUAGCAUAAAACGGUGUAUCAAGAGCAAUUUUGGUUUCCCAGUCGAUACAGAUACAGAAUUCAUAUAAGCAGGUUGCUCUCAAUCUCUGUUUAAUAAGCUUCCUCUGCUGUAUCCUAGAACGUUAUGCUUCCCAGCUGGCUAGAAUGGGAACUAUGUUUCUGCUGCAAAAUUUUUGAAAGCGAGCAUUGUGAAUAUCCCGACUGUGUAUGAAGUGGGCCUUAAGAAGACAGAGAGGACACUUGUGACAAUACUCGAGACUGUAAAGAAGCCGUGGGUAUACAUUUCUGGUCCAACAGUCAAUCCAACUGGCUUGCUUUAUAGCAACAAAGAGAUAGAGAAUAUAUUAACUGUUUGUGUAAAAUAUGGGCCAAGAGUUGUGAUUGAUGCUUCAUUCUCGGGAUUGCAAUUCAAAUACGAGGGUUGGGGUGGCUGCAAUCUGGAAGGCUGUUUAUCGAAGCUGUAUCGUCUCUCUCUGUGUCUCUGCUGGAGGGCUGUCUCCGAAGAUGCUUACUGGAGCCCUCACAUUUGGAUUUCCGGUUCCAAACCAACGUCAUUUAGUUGAUGCAUUUAGUAGCUUUCCGGGAUUAAGAAUAUAUUUUAUGCUAUGAAGAAUACAUUUUUGAUAAAUUAACCUCAAUUCUGAAUUUUAAUUUAGAGAAUGUCGAGAAGAGAUUUGAUUUUUCAUAUAGAAAAAAAUUAGACAUGAAAUAAGUCAAAAUCAAUUACAAGAACAACAAUAAGAAUGUAUUUUUUAAAAGCCACAAAUACAUAAAAUAUAAAUUUAGUUUAAGAUUAGGUAAUUAUUAAUUUGCAUAGUAAGAGGUUCUCGUUGGAGAAAUCCAUUAACCUUCGGCUAAUUUGAUGCAAGGUAUAAUUUUGCAAUGCCCAAUAAUAUAUAGCUGUAUGGUAUUUCUGUAUUAUAUAUACUCCUAAUGAAAAUGAAGCAAAUACGUAAUACUACUACUAUGACAUAACUUUCAUGAUUGCCAACUGCCAAAACCAGCCACCUCUCAUACGUGCCUUAUUGAGCAUGGAAACACCUUAUAUUAUAAUUUCCGUUCACCCAUAGAAGAAUUUCAGGGCCAUUAAUUCAACAAUUACCAAACCAAUAUCCCAAUGAUAGUUGGAUUACUAAUCUUAGCAUUAAAAGAUCUACAAUUUUUAUUUGGCCAAAAUAAAGGUUUUCUUACUGCCUUCUUGAUCUUUUCCUGCCUGGUGAUUCCUGAAUGUUCCUCCCAUUCUCAUAUGCUGAGUCGCUUGCUGAGAUGAUAAAUACUCGAGGGUCCUUCCAUAAGACAAUUCAGCAGACACCUGAUUCAUUCUAUCAAACAUCAGCAUCACUAAUAACUAAAUGGUGUAAGAUAGUCUGGUUUGAAAAUUCUAUAUAAAUCAAAUUUUUAUUUUUCAUCAUUAUGGUUAAUGGCUUAGCAAAUGCAGGAGUACGGAUCAGACAAAAUGAAGCACUUUCUCUCGUAUUAAGCUUUAUUAGUCGUUGAAGCUAACAAAUUUUAAAACAAGUCAAAACAGUUCCAACUCAGAAUCAGUAGGCCGUAAUUGGGUUGUUAUAAAUAUUUCAAAGUUUCAGUUUAAUUUAAUUGUGUAUGCACAAACUAACUUUAUCACUUCUUUCAUAUUAAUAUUCAUAAAUUUCAACCUUAUUUUAUGUUGAUGCACAAAAUGUUUUUUUGUUAUAUAUAUAUUCAAAUAGUCAAAUUUCUUCUUCUUUACUCCAGGAUCCAGCUCUGUACCCCACUUUUUUGUCGUCAUUCUACCCCGCUGUUAGAUUUUAAUUCCGUUGAUCUAAUGGUUGGGAUUUGUAAGUGAAUAACGAAGUGCUGUUUGGCUACCGUCUGAUAGCAAAUCUGAAGCAAAUGUAAUCACCACCAUGCCGGUAUAUUCAUUCAAAUAUUAAACGUACAGAGAAGAAAGCAAAUUGUGGCAGGAUAGCGAAAAUUGCAAACGGUCAUUCCCAACACGAACACCUGUGGCUGUUUUCCUUUAAUUUUCUUCUUUGAAUUUUCCUUUGAUUAAUCAUUAGAAAAACUGCUUUUUUUUUUUCAAAAUCAUGUGUUAUUAACAUUUACAUAGUUAAUUCAUCAAAAUCAAAUGGUUGUUAUCUACGAAAAGACAUUGAAAAUUUCCUUGUCACAAGUCUUUUCGUAUUACAAAAGCAUAUUUAACAAAAUUGCACUCACAGAUUCUAUGAUUCUAAUUUCUUUGACUUGAUUUUAGUUUUUGCUGAACAUAUAUGUAUCCCAUAUAAAGUGUUAGUGAAUUUUUCAUUUCUCUAGCAAGGAGGUUCUGCACGAAUAAACAACAGCAGAAAAUAUAUAUAUAUAAAACGUGAUACGAGUGUUUGUACUUUGCUAAUGGCGUUGCACUCUCCAAACAUGAAGAGUGCAUUAAGGUGCAUUAAGCAUUGGCUGAUUAGAAUCAUUCAUGUUAAGAAAUAAAAAUAUUAAUAGUGAUGACUCAAAGGAAGUCCCGUGUUUUGAGUUUGACUAAAAUAAUCUGAAUAAUUCAAAAUAAUCCAUCAGGCCAAAGGAAGUCUCGUGUUGAACUGCAUUGGGAAGGCAGAGCAGCCUCUGUUUUUUCACUAUAAUACUAAGGAUUGACUUCAAUUGAGAAGUCAGGCCAAUUGAAGAAGCUCCCCUGUUUUUGACUGAAACAUACUCCGAACAAUUUAUCAUUAAAUAAAUUAUUCAAAAUCUCCUUUAAUCGAACCCCCAUGUCUAUGGUUUAAUAAAAUAUUAAAAAGGUACCUAAAACAGUGAAAUUAACACUCAGCUCUUAAAGUUGCCACUUUAUGUAUUGAAAAAUGUACUUGAAAACGAAUGUUGAGAUUUUUUUCCCCAAUGAUUUCAUAAACACAAAAUAAAGAUCAUAUAUACUUUGAAAAUGAAGUUUCAGCAGCUGAGAAAGCUAGCCGUUACUAACAUAUUACACCCACCCACCCCACCAAGAAAUCCAUUAAUCUUGGGUUAAUCUGACACAAGGUAUAAUUUUGCAAUGGCCAAUUAUAUAUAGUUGUAUGGUAUUUCCGUAUUAUAUAUACUCCUAAUGAAAAUGAAGCAAGUACGUAAUACUACUACUAUGACAUAACUUUCAUGAUUGCCAACUGUCAAUACCAGCUACCUUUUAUACGUGCCUUAUUGAGCAUGGAAACAUCUUAUAUUAUAAUUUCCGUUCACCCAUAGAAGAAGUUCAGGGCCAUUAAUUCAACAAUUGCGAAACCAAUAUCCCAAUAAUAGUUUGAUUACUAAUCUUAGCAUUAAAAGAUCUGCAAUUUUUUUUUGGCCAAAAUACAUGCUUUCUUACUGCCUUGUUGAUCUUAUCCUGCCUGGUGAUUCCCGAAUGUUCUUCUCAUUCUCCUAUGCUGAGUCGCUUGCUGAGAUGAUGAAUGCUCGAGGGUCCUUCCUUGAGACAUUUCAGCGAACACCUAAUUCAUUCGGUCAAACAUCAGCAUCACUAAUCACUAAAUGAUGUAAGAUAGUUCUGGUUUGAAAAAUCAAUAUAAAUCAACCACCUUAGAUUUUCUUAGUCUCAGAGCACAAUGGGCGAUGAUUUGAUGAGAAAUACUAAUAACAUGCAUCCCCUGUAUUAGUUAGAGCUGCUUGUCAUUUUCUUUUUUCUUUUGGGUACUGUUUUAAAUUUUUAAUCAAUCGGAUUGAGCUGCAUGUUUGCUUUCAGUCCAAACUGAAAUCAGACAUUAAGUAUUUUUGCUAGAAUGAAUGCAACCAAGAUUCUAUGGGAUAUGUAUGAAGAUGAUGUAAUAAAGUGCUUUUGAUAUAUUCCCCUAGUCGGUUUACUUCACUAACCAUUAACGAGCAAAUCCUCCCAAUGACCCUCAAAACUCUUGUGCACAAUUAAAAUAAUUUCAAUUAUAUAUAUAUAUAUAUAUAUAUAUAUAUAUAUAAAUAAACUCUCAAAUAUGUUAUUUGAUAAUCACCAAAAAAAAAAACAAUUCACCCCAAUAAAUCACAUUACAGUCUAUGUUGCAAGUCUUUUUAGGACUAAUUCAAAGAGAAAAUGCGAAGGACAUGUAAUUGAAUUUGGGACACAGAAUAUAUUCCCAAUUACCCUUUAGUGUAAACAGUUCCACUUCAGAUAUAUAUAAUGAUGAUGAAAUUUUGUUUUCUCAUAGCAAUCAUUCUAGUGUUUUACAAUGAGUAAUUGGUUCAAUAUUAACACAACACUAUUUUAACAUGUGACAUAUUCUAUCGUAGUGUGCUUCAACUCAUACUUCUAACUCAAAUAGAAAAGUUUCCAUUUUAAUUUUAUUCAAUCUAAUGGUGCACGUUUUUAGUCAAAAAGCCACAAUAAGUCAUCGUUAUUCUUCUACUAUUGAAAUGAAUAUAUCAAAUGGAUGAAAAUUAAAUUAAAAGAUUGAAAUGACUAUGUGGAAGAAAAUUGAUGUAAAAUGUUGAAGUUAAGAAGCCCUCCGAAUUAUAGAAGAAACGAAAUAUAUUGACACACAACAGUUUAUUUAUUAAUUAAGAGAGACAAAAUAUAUAAAUACAAACAAAGAAAAUCUCUUGCAUAUAUCAAACUUACGCUCACGUAAUUGACAGGUAAUAACAAUACCCAUUUUUUUUAUUUCAUAAAACAUAGUAUGAAAGAGAACACUUCAUGCAUUUAACCACUAUAAUUAGGAUUUCUCUCAUAUUGAGAGACUAUUAAAAGAUCAAGAUUGUCAUCUUUUAUAUCCUCGUCACGACAAUACUAAACACACGAUGAUGCCUUCAACCCUCCAACCCAUCGAUCUUACCUGAAAAAAUUAUAAUUAAUAGGAAACUUAUUCACAAAUGCAUAUAUUUAGAAAAGAAUUACAAAUGAACGAACUCAGCCUAAAAAUUAACCUGCACAAGCAAAGAAAUUAUAUACCAUUUUUGACUUGCGAACAAAAGCGAAGCAAUAAUGCAUGGUAUAGACAUAAGCCAUUUUUAAAAGACUAUAUUCAUCAUGCGGAAGUUAGAAAACUUACCUCCUGCCAUAGUUAUCAGAUUUAAUUGUACACAACUUUUCUACUAGAAUGCAAACAAAACCAACGAAAACAAGCGAUGCUUUGUAAUCAGAAUUUUCUAGUCUAUCUAACACUUAAUUCCUGAGAGUAGAUGGUAUACACAAGCUCUGUUGUUAGACCAGGGACCCUCAAUAUUUUUUUUGAAAAAACUUGACCGUAAGUCAUCUCCCAUCAAGAUGACAUGUUUAAAUAAAAGAGGAAGUUAUGAGCCAUUAUCCCUUUGAUUUUAGGAAACCACCCGUAACGUGUAUGAGAGAUAUUAAGAAGAGUUGUUUUAUCUUUAUUCCAAUUUUAAACCAAAACCAACGUUUUGAAAUUAAACUAGAUAAAGAUAAUUAUCAAUUUAAAUUAGAAAACUAAUAAUUAAAAUAAAUUAGAUGGCCAUAUUAUACACGUUUUGAAAACGUGUCUAACAAUUUUUACUUUAUUGCAAAUGUGAUCAUAUGGCCUGAUGCGGUCCACAAAAUAUAUAGUUGUCAAAAAGAAGACGAACAAAGCAAUUGAUCAUAAGCCAUUUUUACUUUAUUGCAAUAAAGCAUGAUUAACGCUUAUUGCAAUCACUAAAGAAAGAGAGAUUCUAGAGUACAUAGAAUUAUUACGCUUGAUUAAUAUAUAUAUAUAUAUAUAUAUAUAUAUAUAUAUAUAUAUAUAUAUAUAUAUAUAUAUAUAUAUAUAUAUAUAUAUAUAUAUAUGUAAUUUCCCUAACGAAUAUGUCUAAUUCAGGAACUAAUUACUUUUUCAGGCCUAUGAAGUCAUUUCAAUAUUUUAAUUUUUUAAUCAUUUAUUUACUAUUUACAUAUUAAUAUUUUGAUUGUUAAUUUUUUACAUUUCCAAUUACUUAACAUAUAUCAAUUAUUUUUGUUGCCUUUACAAAGUCGUUACAAGAAUAUUAUGUUAGAGUGGAGAUACUUUCAUACUUUCAUGAGUUAACGGCGGUCAAUGGUUAAAGAUAACGAGUUUUGGGGUAGAUUGAUGUUUUCAAUAGUAAGAGGGGGAAAUUUGAAGAUUGUCAAUUCCCUAAGGGUAAUUAGAAAUUAACCCAUAUAUAUAAUAGGUACAUUUGAUAUGAAACGUAUAAUUUAAUUAAAUAUAUCUAUUAAUUACAUUUUAAUUUUUUAAAAUAAAUAUACACAUAAUAUAUAUGUAUUAAUUUAUAUAAAAAUAUAUAAAGAAAAUUAUUAUGUAGCACAAAUUCCCGCCCUAUUAAAGAUCUCAUGAUAUCCAAAAAAAUAAUUAUAUAUUUAUAGCAAAGUGUUGGUAUAUUUUGAAGGAACGAGUUCGGUACGGAAAUGUAAUAGUAUGUGUUUUUAAUGACGUUUAUAAAGUCAUUAAAUGUCAAAAGGAAUGAAUUUAGUGAUCAAUUAAUAAUUAGAUAGGUAAACAUGAAAUCUCUCGGUCUAUUAAUGUAGUAUAGUUUCUCCCUCAGUUAUUAUCAUUAAAUUAAUUUGUAAAUCUCGUUUCCCGCUACUCCUUCCAAAUAUACAUGAGUAGUGAUAUUUGGCCCUUUUAUUAUAACUCACAAUCUCCUAUUUUUUUGUUAACCCCAUUAAAUAUUUUUAAAUAAAUUUUUAUCUCUCAACAUAUCACACAUAAUUAUGGAUUUACAUUUAUUAUAAUUUCUAUCUUUUUUUCCAAGCACUCACUAUAUAAAAUUUAUAAAAUCUAUUUAAAAAAAAAACUCUCAUAAUCACUAUAAUCUCUUUUUUUAAAAAAAAAAAAUUUAUCCGUCGUUGUCAUAAUCAUUAAAAAGAAAAAGGCACCAUCCUUUAUUGAAAUCUCUCGGUCUAUUAAUGUAGUAUAUUUUCUCCCUCAGCUAUUAUCAUUAAAUUAAUUUGUAAAUCUCCUUUCCGGCUACUCCUUCCAAAUAUACAUGAGUAGUGAUAUUUGGCCCUUUUAUUAUAACUCACAAUCUCCUAUUUUUUUGUUAACCCCAUUAAAUAUUUUUAAAUAAAUCUUUAUCUCUCAACAUAUCACACAUAAUUAUGGAUUUACCUUUAUUAUAAUUUCUAUCUUUUUUCCAAGCACUCACUAUAUAAAAUUUAUAAAAUCUAUUUUAAAAAGAGAAAAAAACUUUCAUAAUCACUAUAAUAUCUCUUUUCAAAAAGAAAAUUUAUUCGUCGUUGUCAUAAUCAUUAAAAAGAACAAGGCACCAUCCUUUAUUGAAUAUUGAGUACUGUAAAUUAAUUUCUUUCACGAUUACAAAAAAAGAGUAUACAAUAUUUGAGAAAAAAAUAAUGAUUUAAAAAGUUAAAAAAAUUAGAGUUUAAGAAAUUAGAUUAGCUAAAUUCGAUAUUAAUAGAAAUUGUCAUAUGAGUGCACUUAAAAGUUAUUUACCCUUUUAAAUCAUUUCACAUAAUAAUAAAAUAUGUACUAACAUAAAAGUGAUUAGUAGAGACUGAUGAGAUAUAAUGAGUCAAAUAUCAAAUUCUACAUAUAUAUAAUAGCUAAUAUAAUUGUUUAAAUAGGAUUGUAAUUAAACUCAUUAAUUAACUACCUUUAAUUUUUCAGUAGGCGAUAUUUUUGAAACGUGAUGAUCAUGUGUGAAUAUUAUUCGAAAGUAAUGAUUUUACUAAAAUCUUCGUCUACAAUGAUGUUACAGUACUGAUGCUCAUUUAUUAGCUGUUGUCUUACCUCUUAAUUAAUUUUUUGCAUUUGCACUUGGAAUUAAUCAUUUGGCCGUGAUAGUAAUGCUACAGCCAGCGGAAUUUGAGCCUCCCUUCUUCAAUGCCUGGUACGAGAAUGAAGCUAACAAUCGGGAUGGACAGAACAUUCUGUUAUGGCAAACGUGUUUACUUCACUUUCAUUAACAAGACUUAAGCAACCCACAAAACCAGAGUUUGCAGAAACAAGAUUAAGAAACAAAACAAAAGAAGUAUCAAGCAAUCAAAGAUACUCAACACACCAAGAAUCUAACGUGGUUCAGCUCCACAAAGGAACCUACAUCCACGGCUGUAAAACCAGCAAGGGCAGAAGCUUUAUUGAACAACAAGAAGAUCGUUUACAACUGAGUCACCAAUUACAGAUUAAAGCCUAUCGAAUGUUUUCUCUCUGUAAAUCCUCUCUGUUUUUCUAUAUAUGUUUUACUAGCUUAGAGACAACUUAUAUAUGUAAGCUUCUCACGUGUGUUCCACUUGCAAUGAGUCAGUCUGUUAUUUAACUAACUAACCAACUCUUGACUUGAAUCCCACUUAUGCCAGCUCAUACGACACCUCAGCAUGUCCAUAACAGAUUAUAACUAAUCUCGGCUUCACAAAUCUCCACCUUAGUUCUAAUCUGAUUAUGCUUCUCCCUUCACUGCAACACAUCACCAGAAAGCUUGUUUCAUAAGCUAACACUUCCAAUCAGAUUCAGUAAGUCCCUGAACCUGACUGAUGGCAAAGGCUUGGUUAACAUGUCAGCUGGAUUUACUUCAGAUGGCACCUUAACUACAUUUACUACUCCUUUGCUGAUUUCAUCCCUUAUAAAGUGCAUUCUAACAUCAAUAUGUUUAGUUCUCUCAUGAUACUUAGGAUUUUUACUUAGCUGAAUAGCACUUAAGCUAUCACAGCCAACUACAACAACUUCUUGUUUAAACCCCAACUCAGAGACUAGUCCUCUCAGCCAUAUUGCCUCUUUGACAGCUUCUGUAAGUGCAAUAUAUUCAGCUUCUGUUGUUGAGAGGGCAACCACUGAUUGCAGGGAAGACUUCCAACUUAUAGCACCUCCACACAUGGUAAACACAAAACCUGUGAUGGAUCUUCUUCUAUCUUUGUCUGCUGCAUAGUCUGAGUCCACAAAUCCAGCUACUUCAGGUGAUGCUCCACUUAAUUUCCCAAACAUAAUGGCAGUGACAGCAGACCCUUUGAGAUACCUUAGUACCCAUUUCACUGCAUUCCAGUGACCCUUCCCUGGAUUCCCCAUAAACCUACUGAUGACUCCAACUCCAUGAGCCAAGUCAGGUCUGGUGCACACCAUGGCAUACAUGAUGCUGCCAACUGCACUGGAGUAAGGUAUCUCCUUCAUGUAGUUGAAAUCAUCAUCAGUGGUAGGUUCCAGUGACUUGGAUAACUGAAAGUGAGUUGACAGAGGUGUUGAAACAGGCUUUGAAUCUUCCAUAUUGAACCUGGUUAAUACCAUCUUCACAUAAUCCUCCUGAGAUAGAUACAAAACUUUGGACUCCUUAUCUCUCUUUAUCUGCAUUCCUAGAAUCUUUGUAGCUGCACCCAAAUCCUUCAUUUCAAAUUCAGUGCUGAGCUCCACCUUAAGCUUCUUUACUUCUUCCUUUUGUUUACAUGCAAUAAGCAUGUCAUCCACAUACAGAAGUAAGUAGAUGCCUCUACCAUUUGUCAGGAAUUUAAAAUACACACAAUUAUCAAAUCUGCUCCUACAGUAUCCAUGGCUUAGCAUGAAUUCAUCAAACUUUAAAUACCAUUGCCUUGGAGAUUGCUUGAGGCCAUACAAACUCUUCUUCAAUAAGCACACUUUAUCCUCUGAUCCUCUCUCAAUGAACCCUUCUGGUUGUGCCAUGAAAAUCUCUUCAUCAAGACUGCCAUGUAAAAAGGCAGUUUUAACAUCCAUCUGCUCCAGCUCCAGGUCAUGAUAUGCAGAGAGGGCCAGCAGCAACCUAAUUGAGCUAUAUUUGACUACAGGUGAGAACACUUCAUUGAAGUCAACUCCCUCUCUCUGUGUGAAUCCCUUUGCUACAAGUCUGGCUUUAUAUCUUGGUGGUUCAUUUUCUGAAGCUCCAGCCUUCAACUUGAAAAUCCACUUGCUGCCAACUAGUUUCUUGUUAGAUGGUCUGUCCACUAAGAUCCAAGUAUUAUUUUUCUUUAAAGAGACUAUUUCAUCCUGCAUUGCAGCAUACCAUUUCAGCUUAUCCUCACAUCUCAUAGCUUCUUUAUAGCUCAAAGGUUCUCCACCAGUUACUUCAUCACCUACUGUUAGUGCAUAGGAAAUGAGGUCAGCUAUGCCAUACUUCUUUGGCAUUUUGAUGGCUCUCCUCUCUCUGUCCCUAGCAAGCUGAUAUGUUUCCAGUUCUGGUGGUUGUUUUCUUUCCUUGGUCUGGUCUGAUGGUUGUUCAGGAGGCUUACAACUAUCAGAAUGCUUUACCAUCUGUCCAGCACUUUCUUCUUCCUCUGUUUCAGCAGCUUCAAUCUCAGUUUCUACCUUUGACUGGAGCAUUUGCUCUUCAUCAAAGGUGACAUCCCUGCUGAUUAAUAUCCUAGAUGGUUUCCCAUUAAGGGUCCAUAUCUUGUAUCCAUUAAUGCCCUCAGGAUAUCCCAAGAAAUACCCUUUAACAGCCCUUGGUUCAAGCUUACCUUGCUUUAAGUGUGCAUAAGCUGGACACCCAAAGAUCCUCAAAUUGCUCAAGUCUGGUGGCUUUCCAGACCAAAGCUCCUAAGGUGUCUUGAAACCUAAAGCUGAGGAUGAGCUUCUGUUUAUCAGGUAAGCAGCUGUGGUGACUGCUUCUGCCCAAAAACCUUUGGAUAUGUUUGCAUUCAGCAGCAUGCAUCUUACCCUCUCUAUUAUGGUUCUGUUCAUCCUUUCUGCCAGUCCAUUUUGUUGUGGAGUGUAGGUGACAGUUCUAUGCCUUGCAAUGCCCUUAUAUUUGCAGAAAUCUUCAAACUCUUUUCUGCAAUACUCUAGCCCAUUGUCUGUUCUGAGCCUUUUUAUUUUCUUACUAGUUUGGUUUUCAAUGAGAGUAACCCACUCUUUGAACUUCCCUAGUGCUCCACUUUUGUGUUUCAACACAUAGAUCCAAACCUUCCUAGAGUAGUCAUCUAUGAAGGACACAAAGUACCUAGCUCCACCUAAAGAUGGAACUUGUGAUGGCCCCCAAAGGUCUGAGUGGAUGUAAUCUAGUGUCUGUUUGGUUUCUUUUCUCCCUGAACUGAAUUUCAGUCUUGUGGCCUUCCCAAACACACAUUUCUCACAGAAUUCUAAGGAAGUAACUUUAUCAUUACCAAGCAAACCUUGAUUGCUUAGCUCCUUGAGGCCUCUUUCACUGAUAUGAGCUAGUCUCAUGUGCCAGAGUUUGGUUUUAUCUCUGGUCACACUUGCUGAGAUCCCUUGCACAGGUGAGGAUCCAACUAGUAUGUACAGCCCAUUUUUCCUAACCCCUUUCAUAACAAUUUUACCCUGAUCCAAGACCUGUAUCUCUCCAUUUUCAGCCUUAAUAGUACACCCUGAUUGGUCAACCAUUCCUAGAGAUAUCAGGUUUCUUUUCAGUUCAGGGACAAAUCUCACUUGGUGUAAAUCUCUAGUGACACCAUCAUGCAAUUUUAAGCUAAUGGUUCAUAUCCCAGCCACCUUGCAAGCUAGGUUAUUUCCCAACAACACCUUUCCACCAUUUACACUUUCAAAGGUCUUAAAGAAACUUUUAUUUGGACACAUGUGGAAUGAGCAACCAGAGUCCAGAAUCCACUCACCAGUUGGGUGCCUCUCUGCAGCCACCAAGACAUCUGCUUCAUCAUAGUCACAUUCAUCUUCAGAGGCAACAACAGCCUUUCCAUUUGAUUUCUUUUAUAGUUCUUCUAAUUUCUUUUUCUCGAAGCAAUCUUUAAUGUAGUGUCCCUCUUUCUGACAGAAGUAACACUUCCUCUUCUUCUUUUUCUUUUCAGCUUUAUCUUUCUUGUUGUUGUUCUUUGUUUGCUUAUUGUGUUUCUUUUCUGGCUUUCCUUUGACAACCAAACCUUCUACAUUAUUUUGAUCUUUCAUGUCUGAUCUUUUCUUCAAAUCCUUGGAUUCCAGAGCAUCUUUGACAUCUUUCAAAGAGAGGGUUUGUCUGCCAUAGAGGAGGGUAUCUACAAAAUGUUCAUAAGAUUCUGGAAGAGAACUUAAGAGGAUGAGUGCCCUGUCUUCAUCUUCAAGAAUUAUGUUGACAUUCUCGAGAUCAAGAAUGAGUUUGUUGAACUCAUCCACGUGAUCUUUCAUGGCUACUCCAUCUUUCAUUGAGAAUGUGUAUAACCUCCUCUUCAUAUACAGUCUCUUAGCCAAUGAUUUUUUCAGAAACAUUUCUUCUAACUUGCUCCACAAACCAGCUGCAGAUCUUUCUUUGGAUACUUCUCUCAAGACUUCAUCAGAGAGGUGCAAGAUAAUGGUGCUAUGGGCCUUAUUGUUUAUGAUCCUCUGAUCUGCACUAAAGCUUGAAGAGCCUUCUCCAUUCUCUUUCUUGGCCAUCGGAUCUUCUCCAUCAUCGAGGGCACUGUCAAGCCCUUGUUGAAUAAGUAUCGCUCUCAUCUUCAAACUCCAGAGAUAGAAAUCAUUGUCUCCAUUGAAUUUUUCAAGAUCCACUCUGGUGCUUGCCAUCUUUGAGUCUGAUCCCAACCGACACCAGGCUCUGAUACCAGUUUGUUAUGGCAAACGUGUUUACUUCACUUUCUUUAACAAGACUUAAGCAACCCACAAAACCAGAGUUUGCAGAAACAAGAUUAAGAAACAAAACAAAAGAAGUAUCAAGCAAUCAAAGAUACUCAACACACCAAGAAUCUAACGUGGUUCAGCUCCACAAAGGAACCUACAUCCACGGCUGUAAAACCAGCAAGGGCAGAAGCUUUAUUGAACAACAAGAAGAUCGUUUACAACUGAGUCACCAAUUACAGAUUAAAGCCUAUCGAAUGUUUUCUCUCUGUAAAUCCUCUCUGUUUUUCUAUAUAUGUUUUACUAGCUUAGAGACAACUUAUAUAUGUAAGCUUCUCACGUGUGUUCCACUUGCAAUGAGUCAGUCUGUUAUUUAACUAACUAACCAACUCUUGACUUGAAUCCCACUUAUGCCAGCUCAUACGACACCUCAGCAUGUCCAUAACAGAUUAUAACUAAUCUCGGCUUCACACAUUCUUUAGACAUAGAGGUCAAAUUAAGAUAAGGGGGGUCAAGAUUUUUUGUUAAAUUUUAUAAGAUAUGAUGAUGGUUGCUUGUAAUAUGUUGUAAUGGGCAAACUAUGGAAGCAUAACAUCUGCAAAGACUUGCUUUUGUCUUUAAUGGACAACUAGCAAGUAAAAACCUUGCUUGAUAUGCUGCUUUUAGAAACCAAUUUGCAAUCCAAUUCAAUAUUACUAUUCAUUUUUCAGGUACAUACAAGUUGGGAAUGCUGUAGCAAUUCCAGUUGGUAUUGUAUUGGGAUACGCUUUUGGUCAAGCUUGCCAAGGAUUAGCCGAUGAUGAUCAGCCAUUGACUAUACUCCCUUUCAAGUUUCCCAAUUGUCUUGCACAGUCAUCUUCAACACUUGCAGAAGAAGAUUCUGAUUGAAAUUGUAAGGAAAACAUAAAUAUGAUUCAUCAAAUUAUACUCUUGUUAGUUGCGAGUUAUUACCAAUUUGAUUUUUAAUUUGCUAUUGAUGUACGGACAAGCAUGUUCAAUGCAUUAUUUGUUAUUGAAGAUGUUUCGAGGUAGGAAUUAGAAUAUGUUGCAUCUUUUAAUUAGUGUUUUAGAUAUAUAUACUUUAUGCUUUUUCAGUCUGUAAUCACAUGUAUCAAAUAAAAGGUUUAGUUUUAGGGUUAAUUUUGGUAUCAAUCAUAAAUGUCUAUAUCAUUAUUGAAAGGGUGUUAAAUUAAAUGCUAAAAGGAUGAAUUUUUUUCCCUCAAGUGUGAGGGAUGUUUAUGAAAGUGACACCAUCAUAUGGCAUGGAGUCAUACUAUUAACAUAUUAUUUGAAUAUUAUUCACCAAAUAUCACAUAAUCAUGCCUUUUAUACAAGUGUAUAUAUGUAGAUGUAGUACAUACUCUUAUAUGUAGCCAUGAGAUCGAAUCAUGUCUUAGUAAAUGAAAAGUUGCUUCUUGUAAUCUUAUACUACGUUCUUUGAUAAAGACUUUCGCUUUUUGCUUUGAAAUGGUAACUAGGGGUGGGCAAAAAAAACCGUAGUCUUAAAAAAACCGAACCGAAUAGACGAUUUUUUCUAAUUCGGUUCGGUUUUUAUUUAAAAAAAAAACCGAAUAUACCGUUUGUAAAAAACAACCGACCCGAAAAACCGAAUUAUUGAUGAAGAUCGGAGAAUGUUGUUGGCGUUUGUUUGUAAUUUUAUUUUUUAUUUUUUGUUGUAAGUUGUAAUUGUUGUUAUUUUUAUUUCUCUUUAUAACAUUAUGAUUAUGUUUAUAUAGAUGGAGUAUUGGAGUUUGGUUAUGUAUUUUGAAAUUUUAAUAUUUCAUAUUUUGGGAGUAUCUUAUUAAUAGUUAGUAAAAUAUUAGUGAUAAAAUGUGUUUUGAAUACUUUGUAUUUAUUGUUAAUAAUUGUAAUAAAAUUAGGAUAAAUUAAUUGUUGAAAAAAAUUAUUACAUUCAUGAGGCCCAAUGGGCUAAAAAUUUAAAAAUUCAAAAUAGGCCCUAUGAGCCCAUAACCAAAAAAACCGAACCGAACCGAACCGAACCGAACCGAUUCGAAAAGAACCGUUUGAGUUCGGUUCUUAUUCGGUUCUACUUAAUUUCGAACCGAACCGAACCGAACCGUGCCCACCCCAAUGACAACUACAUAAUAAAGUAAAGACUUUCGCUUUCAUUCUUUAGUGGCAUUCUAUGAUGAAUUGACACAUUUUGUGACCCAUGCUUAAACCAUGUGGUGCUUUUUAUCAUCAUUAUUCCCAUUUCCAUUCUGCUUUUGGCUUUUAGGAAUUAAGGGUAUGCAACUUGCGAGCUUCUUUUGUCACCAACCCAAAAGGCCAAAACCAAUAAAAGAAAGCAACUCUCCUUCUUGUUCUAUCAUUCAUGUUUCAUUCUCUAGAUUGCCGUGCUCUUUGGUUUAUGAAAACGACAAAAUAUAGAACUUUAAUUAAUUUGAUAUGAUUUCAAAGCAUAAUGAGGAUGCAAUACGACAAAAUAUAAACAUUUAUUAAUUUGAUUAAAUUCCAAAGGAUAAUGAGAAUGAGGGAACAAUGCAUUGGAAAUUGCACUAGAAUUGGAUGUGGAUAAAAAUAAAAUGCGUUUUCUUUGGGGUUUUAAUUCAAAAGAGAGAAAUAUAAGUUGUAUUUUACUAAUUAAUCGAAAAAAAAAUUUAAAAAGUAUUUAUUCGUCAAUGGAAAAAAAAUUAUGAAAAGAUUUAAAACAAAUUUCACCAGUAUUUUCUCAAACCAAGAAUGGUUACUACGAACAUCAGGCAACAAACAGACAAUUUCCAAUUUAAUUAUUAGUUUUAUAUUUAUAUAUAUAUAUAAGUUCGUUUUGAUUUUUUAAUGAAUUAUAUAAGUGGGCCAUUUGUCUAAAGUCAGACAGUCAAUAACCACCGGCAUUGUUAUAUAAAACUUCUGUUUUAAAAUUUUUAACACCUAAUGUGAAAAUAUCCUCAAGGGGCCCUAGACUUUAUAAAAUAUAAUAUUAAAUCUAGUGCUAAAAAAUACUACAACUUAGAUCUACCUUAUAUUCUUGUUAUUACAAGGUGAUAAAAAUCUGUUUGCAAUUUUUGCCAUGUAGUUUGGAUUCAUAAUAAAAACACUAUUUUUUAGAUUUAUUUUGAUGUUCGAACUUGGUAAAAAUAUUUAUUUAAAUUAUUAGUACAUAGCUAGGUUAUUUGAUAAAUACAGGCAAAUUUUCUAACCAAAAUCGUCCAAAGAAGUUGAAAGUGUUUAUUGUUGUUAUUUCAUGACAUUCUAACAAACUGUAAGGGGUCACAGAAAGGUUGGUACCCCUACUUCUUGUUCUUUUUCUUUUCUCACUUUCUCAUAAGUUGACUUUAAAGGAAUACCCAUAAAAAGUGAUUGAAAAAGAUAUUCCACGUAGACUACACCAUCCACUCAGGAUGCACCACGUGUAAAACAUCAUGACCUUUUCUCUUUCUCGGCAUAAAAAUAUUUAAAAAAAUAAAUAUUAAAUAAAUAAAAUAAUAGAUGUAUGUAUAUAUAUGUGUGUACACACGCACGCGCUAAAAUACCGGGAACGAGAAAACAGACUUCCUACUUUCUUCUUUCAAUUUUCUAAGCUCACGCUAGCUUUCUCUCUCUAAAAGUAGGAACCGUAAAUUGAGUGAACGUGCGGAAUGACGGCAGCGACGCCGGCGGCGGAGGCGGUGGAGAAGUUCUUGAGGAAAUGCGAGGCGUCGGGUGACGAGGCGUACGGUGCGUUUCGGUCGGUGUUGGAGAAGCUGGAGGAUCCGAGUAGUCGGACGCAGGCUCGGGUCUUCCUUUCGGAUCUUCAGAAACGGGUCGAUGACUCGGACGAGUGUCUAAACAAGUACCAUUUCCGGAUCCAAGAUGUCGUCUUGGACCAAUACGAAGGUCCAUUUCUCUUGCUUCAUUUUUUCUUGUUUAAUUCGGUUGAUUUUUUUUUUUUUUUGAGCUAGUGGUUUGACUUUCUUUGAAUUAGGGACUAAAAAGUGAUUGUUUGUUUUUUAGUUUGGGGAGUGGUUUUAUGGAAGAUAGUUCGGAGGAAAAAGUGCUUUUGAUAUUAAGUGAUUUUUGGGAAAGUAAUUAAGUGCUUAUGUGACAUAAGAAGUGCAUUGUAGAAAAGCAAUUGUGCUUUUCGUAUGUUUUAAAGAAUUUUUGAGUAGUUCAGUUUGGUGCUUCUAAUUAAGUGUUUUUUCAGAAUGUGAUUUAUGUUCUUUUUUUUCUUCAAUUCAAGAAGUGCGUUUUAGAGAUGUAACUGUUAGAAAUUUUUCUGAAAGAAGCCCAAAAAAACGUAUGCUCUUUUUUUUUUUUUUUUUGUAGUUCAGCUGGAAACUUAAAGAAAAUGCAGAACUUACUUUUUUUUAAGAAAAAUCUGAUUUGAUUACUUGAAAACAUUUAUGAUUGUGAGUGCUAUUAAUUAUUUGCAUUUUUUUUAUGCAUUAACUUUCUUAACUUAGGGUGUUUAUUUUAUCAUGAUUAUUUUCAUUCAACAAUACAAUAGACUUUGGUUGGGUCCACCUUAGUUGGGUGUUUCUGAGCAACCAAUUAGGGUCUGGAGAAAACUUGGGUGGAGUGCCGAUCGUUUUCAGGAUUCAGUCCCAAGAAAAUACAAACGAAGUCGUAGUUGUAGUUUAAAUUAAUUUAUAUUUUUGUCUUUUUCUGUGAGCCCAGUGGGCUUUUGUUUUUACUUUGUUCUCUUUUGUUUCUUCCCCUUCUUUUCCUACUGUUUCUUGACAAUCAAAACAGACCAGGAUUUGUUUCAUUUAAACGUUUACUUUUGGUGUAAUUAUUCACUCUAACUCGAAUAAUGCAUAGGUUUAGUGCUAACAAAAUAGAAAGUGAAUUAAUAUCUAAAGCUGAUUUGGGAGUGGAAUGUAUGUUACUAAAAAUAUACUAUAUAGUAGAUAGAAUUUGCUUUUUAGGUAACACUGAAAUAAUAACUGCUGUUAACUUAUUUCAAUAAGCUUGUAAAUCAUUUCAUAAUAAGUCCUAGAUUUUAAUGGUUUUUUUUCCUGAAAUUUUUCGUCAGUGCAUGAGCAAAGUUCAAUGGAUGAACUUCUCUUUCAAUGUCACUGCUCCUCAUAUUAACUGUAUGAAACAGUAAUCUUGCUCUGUACUUUGGAGCAUUUUAAUAGUUGUUGCCAAUUCCUUAGCCAUUUUAUUCACCUCGUGCACAAAUUAUGCAAUCAAUAAGCCAACUCAACUUUCAUCUUUCUUCAGUGAAAAAUUUGCAAGGCCACUAGGAGGUUUUUGUACAUCUUAUGUAACUUGGCCGCCGUGGUUUUACCAUGUAAAUUUUCCCUAUUGGAAUUCAUGAUCCCUCAUAUGCCACUCGUGAAGCUGCUUCUGCCGCUUUAAAAGCACCAAAUUUCAGUUUUAUCCUUUCUAGCUUAUUAACUUGUCUGCAUACGCAUUAUUAUCUUUGUUAUUGUACGAAAGUUUCAUUUAUCAUCUUCCCAACAUAAACAUCCAUAGGUCAUUGUUCACUUUUUUCCUUUAGAGUCAUGCCCGAUUAUGGUUGCCGGAUUUUCUGCUCUGACAAUAUUGUUUCUAAGUAUAGGCUACCAAGGGAGAAAAAAAUUGACAAUGAUGGUCAUCCCCAGCAUUUUUAUCCCAGAAGACUGGUAGUUUACUUUCUAUGAAGGACUGAAUAGACAUCCUGACUCUAUUUUGAAGGACAAGACUGUUGCUGAGCUUGGUUGUGGAAAUGGAUGGAUAACCAUUGCCAUAGCUGAGAAGUGGUUGCCUUCGAAGGUUUGUUGGUUUGUCAUCUUUUGCCAUGUGGGAGCUUUUGUUUGCUUCCUUACCAGUGCCUUCAGGAGCUCCAUCGUGAUUUCUCUCCUCAUCGUUUUCUAUCUCCUUGUUUUGCAAGGCCACUUGUUAUUUAUAAGUAACAGUGUUGGCACCAGAUUAUGGUGUUUUAGUGCCCUCCUAUUCAGAAAAAUUACAUAUAAAUGAACAUGUGAAUUAUCAAGUCUGUCCUUGUCCAAAAGUCUUGAUUGGAGAAUGUUGAAAAUAUAACCUUGUAGCAGUUCUUUUAUGCUGUCUGAAUAUUCUUUUGCAGGUCUAUGGCCUUGAUAUUAAUCCCAGAGCAAUAAGGAUCUCUUGGAUAAAUUUGUACUUAAAUGCAUUAGAUGAAAAAGGUCAGCCCAUCUAUGAUGCGGAGAAGAAAACUUUACUGGACAGGGUGGAGUUUCAUGAAUCUGAUCUUCUCGCUUAUUGCAGAGAUCAUGACAUUCAACUUGAACGAAUAGUGGGAUGCAUACCUCAGGUAUUAUCACUAUCUGCAACUCAUGAUAUUUCUCGGGGCUUAAAUUUUGGUGAAGUUUGUUUUUCCAACACCAUGUUCGAAUUUUAGAGUGGCCACAUGGAUAACCUUUUAACUCCUAGUUUAACUUAUUCUGUUUUCUCCAUGCAGAUUCUUAACCCCAAUCCCGAUGCAAUGUCCAAAAUAAUCACUGAAAAUGCAAGCGAGGAAUUUCUGUAUUCAUUGAGUAACUAUUGUGCGCUGCAGGUUAGAAGAUAUUCUAAAUAAUUUAAUUGUGAUUGCAAAUUGCGGGGAAGUUAGCAAUUAAGUUGACAGGCUUCCUCUACUUUCACAUAUUUAGAAGUAUACAUGUUAUAAUUUUGGUUUGAAUCUUGCAUAACUUAGUUAAGGUUGAUGUCUUUAGUUGUUCAAUAUCAAUUGGGAAAUAAAGCAAACCAGUGAAGACCGUGGGAAAAGGAUAAUGUGAGUUUGACAGAUGCUGAGAGGAGAUAGGGAAACUUGAUCUAAAAGAUUUUUUUUCUUUUUCUUUUCCCUGAUUUUUGUUUUUUCUUAGUGUUUAGCCUCUUUACAAUAACAUUGAUUCCCAUAGUUCAUGUUUCUUGUUGAAAAUAAAGAUUCAAAGUUAGGAUUUAUUUGUAAUCUAGGCUAUUUUAGGAAUAAGUUAAAUUAUAAUGGGAAGAUUCAUUAGGAUUCUUUCCAGAUUUUGUUUCCUAUUAUUUAGGAAAGGAUAGAUGUAGUCUCCUAUUUUCUCUCCUAUUUUGCUGUAUAUAUUCCCUGUACAUACUGUUCUGGAAAGUAAGAAAAAGAGGAACCAAUUCACCGUUUUCUUCAUAGGUGCACUCAACAACUAUCUGUUAUGUCUUGUGGAUGACUGAGAAAGUUUAUUCAUUUUGACAAAUUGCUUUUUGAAUAGAGUACAAGUAGAUUGACUAAUAAUGAAUAUAUUGUAUCAAGUUGUUGCAUUUGAAAACUGUGCAUGACUGCGGUCUUUAUCACUUUUAUUCUCAAGGUUCAUGUUGACCUAAAUUUAAAAGCCUUGGACGUUUGGAAAAUCUAUAGCACUGAGUUUGCGAAACCUUUUAGUGCCCUGAAAGAUUGACUGCUUCAAUUGUGUUUUCAAUAUCUUGUUAUUAACAUAUUUGUAUAUAUGUUAAUAUCUUGUGGAUGACUGAGAAAGUUUAUUCAUUUUGACAGAUUGCUUUUUGAAUAGAGUACAAGUAGAUUGACUAAUAAUGAAUAUAUUGUAUCAAGUUGUUGCAUUUGAAAACUGUGCAUGACUGCGGUCUUUAUCACUUUUAUUCUCAAGGUUCAUGUUGACCUAAAUUUAAAAGCCUUGGACGUUUGGAAAAUCUAUAGCACUGAGUUUGCGAAACCUUUUAGUGCCCUGAAAGAUUGACUGCUUCAAUUGUGUUUUCAAUAUCUUGUUAUUAACAUAUUUGUAUAUAUUAUGAAGGCUAAGCUGUGUAAAUGAGAGAUAAAACAUAAAAGGUCAAUACACAGCUGUGUCACCUUUUACUUCUUCUUUAUUUAUUUAUUUAUUUUCUCUGUAUGCAGGGUUUUGUGGAGGAUCAGUUUGGCUUAGGUCUAAUUGCUAGAGCAGUUGAGGAAGGAAUUGGUGUCAUCAAACCUUCCGGGAUUAUGAUCUUCAAUAUGGGUGGUCGUCCAGGACAGGGCGUUUGCGUGUCGACAAGCUUUGGCAGACUAAAAUUCUUCAGGCAAGUGAACCUUUUUUUGUGGAAAUUCAUUAUCUAUCCCAAAUAUCCACCUCUUGAAUGUGUUUUUGCAGGCUUCUGACACAGAUAUUUCAGCUUUAGUUGAAAUUGAGAAGAAUAGUCCUCAUCGUUUUGAGUUCUUCAUGGGACUUUCUGGUGACUUACCUAUUUGUGCUCGAACAGCAUGGGCCUACGGAAAGGCUGGUGGACGUAUCUCUCAUGCUUUAUCAGUUUAUAGUUGUCAACUCCGUCAACCAAACCAGGUCUACAUUUCAUUUGGGUUUUAUUGAUAAAGUGGGUAAUUGCUCUGACCAGGGAAGUGAGCUAAAAUGAUAUCAACUUAUAUUUAUGGACAGGUUAAGAAAAUUUUUAAGUUUCUGAAAAAUGGCUUCCAUGAGAUCAGCAGUUCUUUGGAUUUAUCUUUUGAAGAUGAUUCAGUUGCUGAUGAGAAGAUUCCAUUCCUGGCUUAUCUUGCCAGUGUUCUGAAAGAGCGUUCUUUUUUCCCCUAUGAGCCACCAGCUGGAAGCAAAAGAUUCAGGAACCUGAUUGCUGACUUCAUGAAAAAGUACCACCAUAUUCCGCUCAAUGCUGAUGUGAGAAAACCUUAACUACUCAUCUAUUUUUGUACUUCUCUGGACAAGUAACUUUUGUGUUCUGUCCGUCCUAGGUUCUGUUUUCCCUGAUGCAUUUUUUCAAUUUCUUUGCAUGUGAACUCCUAGGUUCUGUUUCUCCUGAUGCAUUAUCUCAAUUUCUUUGCAUGUGAGCUUGGUGCAUUCAUAUUAGUUUAGGAGGGAAUCUAUUGGUCAUUUACUUGUUUGUGACGAAUAACGUAUGAAACAAUCUUGUUAUUUUUUGUUCUCAAUACGUAGAGCUCUAUGGACCAAUUGCUUAUCUUCUUUUAUCCUCAUUAGAAUUUCUUCAGACAACUUCUACUUCAUGCAAUUUGUGAUAAUUUGCAUUGUUUUUGUGGUCAUUCUUAUGUCUAUUGGACAAAUACUGUAAUGUGAAAUUCUGUCUAAUGGUAUCCCUUAUUCCUUUUGCAUCAUGUCCCCUCAAGUAGUUAAAUGCAUUUUUGGAUUUGUCAAUUUUUUUGGUUUGAUGAAAUCUUGAUUCUCAUGUUACCUAUCUGUUCAUUUAAUUUGACCGUGGAAUGUGUUGUUGCUGUGAGUUAUGCUGCACAUGCUUGUUAUUCGUCCAGUCUUUUUGUGUAAACAUAGAGUUUUGUACAUACUUAUAUAUGUACUGGACCUGAGAUAUUUGCACCUGACCUACUUAUUAAUGUACAUGACAAAUGAAGAACUUUUUGAGAUCUGGAAUGGAUCAAGACCUGCAACUUUCUACUUGUAGAUUUUCCACUGUCCAGUCCAAUUGUAAAAUACAGUUUGUGAUUGCUGCAUGCAUAAAUUAGCCAAACUUAAAGAUGUUGUAGUUGCCUUUUUCUCUUUUUUUGUAUGAGUAAAACAAUCCACAUUCUUAACUUUUCUUCUCCACUUGUUUCUCAAGAACGUUGUUGUUUUUCCUUCAAGAGAUGUGGCAAUUGAGAAUGCUCUUCGAUUAUUUUCACCUCGCCUUGCAAUUGUUGAUGAACGUCUAACCAGACACUUACCAAAGCAAUGGUUAACAAGUUUAACAAUUAAGGUAUGAUCUAUUUCUGAUUUAUUUUCUGUUAUUUUUGACAUAGUUGAAAAUUUCAUUUUUGGGCAGAUUUUCUUUGCUAUUCUUGGAACAAGUAAUAGUGCUCAUUCCCUUGCUUGAACACAUACUAGUUCAGUCGCACCGCGGAAUUUGUUAGAUGAUAAAAUAUCAGAUAUGAACUCAGCACAUUGUUAUACUGUUGCCUUUAUUCCUCAAGUGACAGUAAAAACUAGUAAUUGCAGUAGAUGAUAUAUUUAAUGAAAAUUACUGGGGCGACCAGACUUUUGUGUUGACAUUGAAGGGGGAGAUGGAGAAAGACCGCAGGAACAUAGCGAGCAGGGAUAGCUUUGUCUUAUGUUGUGAUGUUUGAUUUUCGCAGCCUUGACUAGUGGAGCUAAGAAGUUUAUUCCAAUCCCUAGUGCACUGAGAACAUUUCAUUUUUAUUUGUAGUUGCUGCAUUUAUGGUCCUGGCUACAAUCUUGUUCGAAGACCUUUCCUCAACCCACUUCCUUUGAAUUUCUUUGUUGUCAGUUGUCAUCUUGUGCUGCAUAACUACAAAAACAUCCUUCUUGCAGGGUACAGAUACUGAAAACUCUUCGGAGCAUGAACUAACAGUAAUUGAAGCACCACGCCAGUCAGAUUUGAUGGUGGAGCUGAUAAAGAAGCUGAAGCCUCAGGUGGUAAUUUCUGGGAUUGGUGAUUUUGAGGCUGUUACCAGUUCAGCCUUUGUACAUCUUCUAGAUGUUACAAGAGAAGUUGGAUCUCGUCUUUUCUUGGAUAUAUCUGAUCACUUUGAGCUCUCCAGCCUCCCAAGUUCCAAUGGGGUCCUUAAAUAUCUUGCUGGAAAUGUUCUUCCUUCACACGCGGCAGUUAUUUGUGGCCUUGUUAAAAAUCAGGUGAUUGUUUUUCAUUAUACUGGCCACUUGACUGUUAUGCUAUUACAAGAAGAGAUUUCUGUUUGUUCUGAUCAAGUCAUAAGAUGGGUUUCAAGAUUCGUUCUCAGUGGUUAUCUGUUAGCUUUUUGUUCUUAUUUAUGGAAGCCAAAUUCAUCUUUGCAGGUUUAUUCAGAUUUAGAAGUUGCUUUUGUAAUCUCAGAAGAAGAGGCCAUCUUUAAGGCCUUGUCUAAGACUGGAAGUACUAGAAGGGACUACUGCACUGAUUAGUCAAAACUACUAUGGUUGUCUUUUUCAUGAGCUUCUGGCUUUCCAGCUUGUGGAGCGACAUACGCAUAAAGAGGUUAUCCUUCUCUCUUUUUUUGCUGUUUUCAUAUCACAGAAUCCAUUUUUGAAUAUAUGUAUUUAGGUACAGAAGCACAUGAAUAUUCAUGUUUUUAUGAGUAUAUUUAAGUAUAUCCAAUGUUGAUUAACUCGUCCAUUUGAGCAUGAGAUAAUUAGAUAGUUGAUAUUUAUGUUACAAAAUUCAGAAGCAACAUUAGCACUGCAGUAUCAUGCAAGGACUGUAACAACCUGGAUUCUUUUUCCACCUGGAUUUUUUUGUUGAUUCACUUGGCAUAUGUUUAUCCAACCUCUGAUUUUUCUUAAUAUUUCUCUGUAGUUCAUUUCACGGCACGUUUAGUUGCUACAUUGGCAUUUUCUGCUAUUUGUUUUUAUUCAUUGAAGCAAGUUAGCUCAUGAAAUUGCUAUUUGAUAAAUGUUGUUCAGAGGGAUUGCGAAAAGGUCAAAUCAACUGAGAUGAUCGGGUUUUCUAGAUCAGCCAUCUCUGUCCUCAACAGUGCUGAACUGUCAAUUACUGACACACCAAACUCUGGCCUGAUUCAUAUGGAUGUAGACCAAAGCUUCUUGCCCAUACCAUCUCUGGUCAAAGCUGCUAUCUUUGAAAGUUUCGCAAGACAAAACAUGUCUGAGUCAGAAAUUGAUGUCACCCCCAGCAUCCAACAGUAUAUCAAGAGCAAUUUUGGUUUUCCAAUUGAUAUCAAUGCAGAAUUCAUAUAUGCAGAUUGCUCUCAAUCUCUGUUUAAUAAGCUAGUCCUCUGUUGUAUCCUAGAAGGUGGAACAUUAUGCUUCCCAGCUGGCUCAAAUGGGAACUAUGUUUCUGCUGCCAGAUUUUUGAAAGCGAACAUUGUGAAUAUUCCUACUGAGUCUGAAGUGGGCUUUAAGAUGACAGAGAAGACACUUGUGACGAUACUCGAGACCGUGAAGAAGCCGUGGGUGUACAUUUCUGGUCCAACAAUCAAUCCAACUGGCUUGCUUUAUAGCAACAAAGAGAUGGAGAAUAUAUUAACUGUUUGUGCAGAGUAUGGGGCAAGAGUUGUGAUUGAUACUACAUUCUCAGGAUUGGAAUUCAACUACGAGGGUUGGGGUGGCUGGGAUUUGGAAGGCUGUUUGUCAAAGCUGUAUUCUUCCGCCAAUUUGUCUUUCAAUGUGUCGCUGCUCGGAGGGCUGUCUCUGAAGAUGCUGACUGGAGCACUCAAAUUUGGGUUUCUGGUUCUAAAUCAUCCUCAGUUGGUUGAUGCAUUUAGUAGCUUUCCGGGAUUAAGAAAGCCUCAUAGCACAGUCAGAUACGCUAUAAAGAAGUUGCUUGGUCUGAGAGAGCGAAAAGCAAGAGACUUGAUGAAUGCUGUUGCAGAACAUAUAAGAAACUUGGAAAGUAGAUCAAAGCGCUUGAAAGAGGUACUUCUAUCUGUCCUCUUACAAGAAAUUUUGAAUUAACCAAUUACAUGUAGUACAUAAUCUUUGAAUUAUAUUACUCAAUUCUAAAUAUAUGUCCUACCAUUUUCUCCAUGGUGAUCUUUCUGCAACAGGCACUUGAGAAUUGUGGGUGGGAAGUGGUUCAAUCCUGCAGUGGUGUUUCAAUGGUGGCGAAGCCCUCUGCCUAUCUCAACAAAACUGUAAAGAUCAGCCGGCAUUCAGCUGGCAGUGGUGAGAAAACUGCUACAGAACAAAUCAAGCUUGAUGACUCAAAUAUCAGGGAAGCCAUAGUCAAGGCAACUGGUUUGUGCAUCAACAGUGGUUCGUGGACCGGAAUUCCUGGCUAUUGUCGCUUCACAAUUGCACUGGAAGAAAGCGAAUUUGAACGAGCUUUGGAUUGCAUAGCUAAAUUCAAAAGCAUCGUUCUUACACGUAGUUAACUAAAAAAUGGUAUUGUCAUUUGUCAUGAUUUAUUUCUAUUGCCUGAUGAUGGUACCCAUCACGCCUUAGUUGUCGUGAAUAAAUCGAAAAUCAAAUUGCACUGGUUUUUACCGGUUAUCAACAAUUGUGAUGUUUUGAGAUUAUAACAUACUUGACAACGUUGACUAGCGUUCUCUCCUAUGUGAAUUGGGACAAAAAUUAUUUUCCCAAUCACGCUUUCGUUUGAACAAUUCUACUUCAGAUAUAUAAAAUAAUGAUGAAAUUGUGUUUUAUAAUUAGUUACGAGUAAUUGGUUCAAUAUUAAUACAAAACUAUUUUAAGUAACACGUGGCAUAUUCUAAUUCCAGUGAGCUUCUAACUCAGAUUCCCAAAUCAAAAGAAACGUUUCAAUUUUCUCCAGAACAUUCUGCAAAACGUUUCUUCGAGUCUCUACGCUGUGCUAUAAUUUUCUCUCAGUUUCUUUUGCAAAGACUUCUAAAGAACUGUCCAGAUACCGAAAUAUAAGGGGUUUUUAAUUAAAUACCCUUUAAUAGUUUCAAAAUUAUUUAAAUAUCCCCUCCCUUUUUUGUUUUCAUGGAUACCCUAACAAAUGUGAGUAAAGUCGGAAAUACCCUUAAUGAAUACAUCAAAUUCACUCAAUGAAUUAUCUUCAUAUUUCUUUCCUCAUUUCUUUCACCCAACUCCAUUUUUGCUGCCGAUUCUUUCAAAAUCUCUUAGAAUCUCUCAAAAUCUCUCAUAACUUCUUACACAAAUACAAUUAUGUAUUCAUUUCUUUAACACCCACUCUUUCUUUAAAGGUGCAUUGCUUAUUAAACAACCCAAUAAGGUAUGUUAAUGUUGUUGGGUUUUAAAUUUUUUAAUUUUUAGGAAAAUUUAGAAAUUUUCCUCACAUUACAAUGUUUUAUUUUCACCAUUUUUUCUUAUACGUAGAAAUAUAUGCAAUGUAGGUUGUUUAAUUAUUUUUUUCAGCAAUAUAACUUAUUUAUGGCGAAAAUGUUUCGAGUCGUGCAUUCUUUUGAUACCGUGUACGUCAUAUAGUUAGUUAUGUAGGUCGUGUAAGUAAUAUAGUCGUGUAAGUCGUGUAGGUCAUGUAAGAAAUAUAGUCGUGUAGGUCAUGUAAGAAAUAUAGUCCUGUAAGUCGUGUAAGUAAUAUAGUCGUGUAGGUCAUGUAGGUCGUGUAGUUACUUGUAUAUGAAAUUUAAUAUUAUUGUUUUUAUUGUAUCAUCAGAUAUGGUUUUGGUACGUGUGCCUAUUCUCUUCAAUGGUGAAUGGAUUGAGCAAAAUGACGAGUAUAAGUUCAAAGGUUCAAAAGCUAAAGGGAUAAUGAUACCACGAUCGACAACAUAUGCCGAAUUGGUGGAGAAGAUAGCUGAAGUUAUUGAUAUAGAUACUUCGGAAUUCGAAAUCACAAUGAAGUUCAAACUUAAGACAUCUGAUCCUAUGCCACUAGUUACAAUUCAAACCAAAAAAUUCGUGUAAUUUUAAAGUCGCAAUUAAACAUAUUACAGCUAUUUAAAAAGUUUUUUUUUUUUUUAUCUUCAAAGUGCUUUCUUCCUCUGGCCAAGCAUACAAGCAUACAUGAGGAAUGUCUGCAUAUAAUUAAUCCAUGAAAUCAAUUAAGAAAAAAAAAUAUCAACCAUAGGAAAUUAAUGUAAUGUUAUACACAUAAGAACACCAUUCGCAGUGAUAAAAUAUUUCCACUCAUAACUAGACAUAUCAUGACUUACCAUGGCUUAUAAUUGGAAAUUAAGAAUCUCUCUAACUAAUGAUAUUUCACAAGGUAAAGGUAUAUGCACCAUUCCAAUUUAUUGUGAGCCUAAUUAAACUAAAUGUAAUGUGUAGAUUCUAUUGACAAGAAACAAAAUGUGGAAUUGAAGGUCGUGUAAUUGUGUAAUACAAGAAGAUCGUGUAAUUGUAUAAUACAUGAAGGUCGUAUAAACAUGCAAUACAUGAAGGUCGUGUAAACGUGCAAUACAUGAAGGUCGUGUAAACGUGCAAUACAUGAAGGUCGUGUAAUCGUGCAAUACAUGAAGGUCGUGUAAUACACAACCUUGAAUAUUACAUAACCUUACACGACCAAAUCUUAUGUUACAUAACAAAAUUAUAAUCAGCACAAUCCAUUAAUUUUUCACAAUUUGCAUGCAGCAAAACAACUAGAAAUUUGUUUUCGAACAUGUUAUGAGAGACCCACAACUAAUUAAUCUAUUUUUUCAAUAUAAAACCCUAACUUUUUAUUUUUUUUCCCUUGAAUAUUAACAAGAAAACUAAUUACACGGAAUUACUUGUCUCAACUAGUUACAUUCUGACAAUUUUGCAGUAAAUGAUCAACUCUCUCCGGCGAUUAUGUAGUGACGAACUAUGCUUCACUUUCUCAGUUGUGGCAGCUUCCCCUUCUCAGGCUUAGUUUGCUCGUGUUGAAGUUCGAUUUACCAUGUAUGGAGAAUGAAUGUUUGUUUCGGUAGAGGUGAUGCCGGUGAGGGAAUUGUAGAGGUGAUGUCGAUGAGGGAAUUGCAGUAUUUGUUUGUUUGAGUUUGAUAAUGGAGGGAAUUGCAGCAGAUGAGUGUUUGUUUGCUUCAGUAGAGAAGGGAGAGGUGCUGUCUAUUGAGUUGAAAUGUUUUAAAAUGAGGAUAGCUUAGUAAUUUCCUAUCAGUUUUUAAAGGGUAUCGAUGAAAAUUUUGGCAAAAACAGAUUUUAGGGUAUUGAGAUAAUUUUUGAAGUAUGGAGGUGUACCGGGCGCAAUUGGCUCGAAAUAUAAUCCAAUCUAAGUGUAUAUAUCUCUCUACGUAAAGAUAUUCUAAUUCUAAUUAUCACAUUCUAAUUCAUAAAGAUAUUCCUCUUCUGUCAUAUUAAUGUGCUAAUACGAAGGUCUAUUGGAAUUAUAAUAGUUCAGAUGAAUCCAAAAUAUUCAAUAAUUGAUAAAUAGUAUAUAUAAAUAUUAAUAGCAAUGGCACAUAAUCAAUUAAUUCAAGAACUUGCCCAUAGUGCAUUAAGUUAAAAGAGUAAAAAUAACAUUGCAAAACAUGCCAGACCUUACGUGUUUAAUUAGCAAUUGAAAACUAUUUUACCGUACAACACCAUAAAGAGAUAUUUAUAACACUGUUGCUGCAGCUGUUAAUUCUUUUGGUGAAGAUGUUAAGGCCACUAAAGCUGGAACGUAAUUAGGGAAAUAUAAUGCAUUCACUUAGUUUGCUAUUUGUGUUUUUAUAUUUGUUUGGCUAAUUCUUUGCUCAGAUUGCUUUUUGUUUGAGAUUUUAUUGGCUUAGUCGUGGGAUAUUAUUUAAUCUUUUAAUUUUGUGUUUUUAUUGUUAUGGGAUUUGAUGAUGGUAUACAUAUAGGAAAAUUAUGCAAGAAAGUGCUUUUAAUAAAUUAUGGUCGGUUUACUAUUAAUUAACCAAAUUUAAUUUACUCAAAUUACUCCUAUACACGAUCAAAAUAAUUUCAAUUCCAUGAUAUAAAUACGCGCGUGCGGACACACAAAAUGUAAAUAACUUUCAAAUAUAAAAUAUUUAAAAUAAUCAUCAUACUCACAAUUCACAAGUUAGAUUAUAUUAAGGCCACCAAGGCUUAAAUGUAAUUGAUUGAAGAAAGAAGUGCUUGCUUUGCUUGAUGUGCCAUUUGUCUAUGAUGUUUUAUAAAUGGCCGAAAUAAUGAUAAUCUAGUGAAUCUGGUCAUAUUAAUUUGAUUUUCAUUUAUAUUAAUUAUGUCGAAUCAUACUAUUUUAAUAAGAAAGAGCACUCGAGAAUAUAUAUAUCUAACAACUAAAAUUUCAAAACAAUAUUUGCCAAAGUCUGAUGAAGAGAAUACAUAUAUAUAUAUAACAUGCACUCGCACACAUUCUAUUGUUUAAUUAAAAAAUUCGAAAGCCCAUUAUAUACAUGAUAAAGACUCACCGACACCGAACCAUAUUCAUUUAAAGGAAUUGUUUUCAACUGAGAUUUGAAAUUAUAUACACAAACACACCCGAUUUUUUAUUUUUUUUAAAAAAAUUACUAAUAAUAAAAUAUUUCAGUCGUCCUCUGUUCAGCUGUCAAAAACGCAUUUAAAAUCUAUAGCAACAUGCGGUAUAUGGGUUAACAAGUCCCAAUAUUGUCCUCCAUCCUUUCUGCACUUCUCUGCCAUCAACGGACAUCGAUAGAUACUUAAUCGCAAAAGUGAGGAAGGCAGGCCCUUCUCCGGAAAGUAUUUGAGCUUGGGACAAUACUGGAGAUCCAAGUGAGUGAGGUUUUGAAGAUCAACAAUUGAAGAAGAUAGGCGUUCCAGAUUUGGAAAAUUAGAAAUCUCCAGAAAUGUUAGAGAGGCAGGAAGAGGAAGCGCGGUCCCCAAUCUUAUGUCCUCCGGUGGGAAUGACACCAUGUCGCCAUCGCAUCGGCUGAUUGUGAGUUGUCGCAGAGAGGAGAAUCUGUGGAAUCCCCGACCCCGCCCAAUCGUUGACUUCCAAAUCUUCGUAUUACCAUCAAUCUCCAGUGAAUGAAGGUUGGUGGGAAGGGCAUCUUCUUCAAGGCUUGGAAGCUCACCUCCUUUUCCUAUUUUUAAUUGUUGAAGAGAGGUCAGAUUGUGCAAUCCCUUGGGUAAGGCCUCUAGUCUCUCACAAUCAGAUAUCUCCAGCGUAGUCAGUUUCGCACAAGGCAAUCCCCCUUCGGGAAAGGACUCCAGAUUUCCACAUUUCUCUAUGCUAAUCUCUUGAAGCUGGCGGAGAUUAUGUAAACCACUCGGUAAAGUUUUCAGAUUUCCACAAUCAGAAAUCUUGAUUGUUUCAAGAGAUGUGUUGUUGUCCAACCUUUCUGCUAUAGACUCCAGCUUUGAACAUCCCCAAACACCAAGGAACUCAAGAGACGGAGGUAGAUUGCCAACUUCAAGGGACUCAAGCGUGGCAGGUAACUCGUUUUUUGAAAAUAUACAUGUCAGUGAUGGACAGCUGUUAAUACGCAACUGCUCAAGAAGAGAUGAGGUGUACCUUCUGCUGCUGCUACUCUGGAUGCCCUCUUCCACUGUCAAGGUCCUUAUAUUAUCGCAAUUGUAAAUCACCAACUGCUUAAGGCUCCGUGGUAGCUGGACUCCACCAAUAUAUAUCAACGAAUGGCAAACCCAAAUCUCCAAGAUCUCGAGAGAUGAAUUGGUGUCGCACAUCCAUGCCUCUGGUAACGAUUUCAGUGCAUCACAAGCCGAAAUGAAUAUUCUCCUCAACUUGGAAGGCAGAGCAACCUCAGGAAAGGAAACAAGGGAACUGCACUCGUAGAUUUCUAUCUCUCUCAAGGAACUGAGGAUGAGCGAUGAUUGUGGCAGCUUUACAAGGCAUUGGCAACGGCUCAAUCUUAGAUAUUCGAGUCUGCAUGACAACUCGCAGAGCUGCUGUUGUUGGUCUUUCUCUUCCUCCGCCACCAAGGAUUGAAGUUUGGGACAGCAGUAGAUCUCCAGUCUUUUGAGAGAGCAAAUGUCUUGUAGUAAUCCGUCAUGACUCUUCCAUAUAUAUGUUUGCUCUUUUGUCGACAAAAUUAAUUCUUCCAAUUUCUGUAGUUGUGGCUUCAAUGGCCCCGCAAGAAACACUUGAUUUGAUGUAUCUCUACAAACCACUGAAUUCUGUGAUCCGAGAUGACCAGUUGCACUUUCCCACACAACCUUUUUGCAUCCACCAAUUUCCAAUUUGCAAAGAGCUGGAAGACUCGAAACUGAAACUAACAAUUCUUCACAUCCUUCAAUAACAAGCAUCUCCAAUGCAGGAAGGUGCUCUGGAAAUGUUCCUUUCAGUUUAGAACAUCUUAAAAUGUGAAGCUCUCUCAAUUUAGGAAACCCUUCAACUCCUUGACUGGAUCCAUGAGGAAUCCAGUCUUCCCAUUCUCGCAUGUUUUCAAAACGAAGAGUCUCCAAGCAUGGAAAAGGAAUUGGAGCAUCAUUCCCAUAGAACUCUGAACCCAACCUCUUUACUCUGCUCAUUCCACAUACUGCAAGAUGCUUUAGAGAGGGUAGUUGCCCGACUGACGGCAGGGCAGUACACAUGUCACAAUUUUCAAAUUUUAGCGUCACCAAAUUUGACAAUGAGGAAUCUCCUAACCAAGCUGGAAAUUUUGUACCUCCAUAGCCACUGAUACAAAAUUGUUCCAAAAUUUCAUGAGGUUUUAGCAUGUCAAGCACAUCCUUUUCAGUUUCUGCCUCACUUGAAGAUGAGCCAUCGAUACUGAGUGUCCAUCGAAGCAAUAAUUCUCUAAGAUUCUUCUUUCCAUCCAAUUGAGCCUCCUUCGCAUCACCAACGUCUUUUACAUUCUCCAAUUUUGAAAUGUUAAGUGUCCCAUGAAGGUGCGUCAACAACUUUAGCUCUCGUAACCCGGAACCACUGUCUUUUCCCACAACAAAAUUACACAACGUCUGAAGGCAAGUCAGCCUGCCAAUUCCUAGUGCCAUUUCCUCCAACGAAUCUGUUUUUGAAUUAAUGAGAUGAUGCAAUUUGAUGAGAUUUCCCAUGUCUGCACAUAACUUCUUCAGCCGAUCACAAUCUUCCAACAAAAGACUAUGCAAAUUGUAAAGCUUGUUGACUGAUUCAGGCAGAGUUCUAAUCUUAGUUCCAGACAGGUUAAGGUACCUUAAAUACCUCAAAUCACCAAUUGAAUCCGGCAGCUCAGGGAUGCGGUAUCCACGCAAAGAGAAGACCCUCAAGCGUUGGAGUUUGAGCAACUUAGGAAGAAUGCUAGGAGCCAAGUAGCCAGGCAAACUAUUUGUCAACAUUACUGGUAAAAAAGUUCUCAAAUGUUGGAUAUCAUACAAGUCCCCAAACCUUUUACCGCCAUCACAAUAUUCAGGAAUGUAUGAUAGAUGACGAAGAUUUUCGGAAAAACUUUGCUGCUUGUUAACCUCUGAGGUAUACUCCAUUGUGAAGUAUAUCUCCCCCGCAGCCCAACGGGCAAGGUCAUUGAUAAGAUCGUGCAUCACAAAUCGUGAUGUAUUGUUGCUUGAUUGCUGCAAAAAAGAUCUUGAUCGUAGCUCUUGAAAGAACUUUCGACCUAGAUCUUCGUUAGGAUUCCCACUCUCUUUAUGAUCCAAGAAACCCGAAGCACUCCAUAAUAAAAUUAUCUCCUCCUCUUCAAAUUCAUAAUCCUUCGGAAACAACGAGCAAUACGCAAAGCAUUGUUUCAAAAUUGGAGGAAGAUAAUAAUAGCUCACUGCAAGAGCUGGUAUAAUGGGACAUUUAUCUUCUGGUAAUUCCCAUAUCUUGCUACUGAGCACACCUUUCCACUCACGUUUGUAAGGUUUUCCAUGUAAAAGUCCUCCCAGUGUUUUUGCUGCCAAGGGCAAGCCGUUGCAUUUGAUCACUAUCUCCUUGCCAAUUUCCUCCAAUGACUUAUGUGAACUGAAAUCUGCUGUCUCCAAAGAGUGCUGAGCGAGUACAGACAGACAGUCCUCAGUUGACAAGCUUUUGAGUUCAUAAGCUUGAUCCAGGCUCAUGAUUUUGGCAACCUCUUCAUUGCGAGUGGUGACAACAACCUUACUUCCCUGUGCGCCAGCUUGAAAUGGAAGGCUGAGGUGAACCCAAUCAGUGUAAUUCUCAUUCCAAACGUCAUCUAAAACAAGCAAAAAUUUCUUUCGAGACAACUGCUUCUUUAGCUCCUCUUGAAGAAAAUUUAAAUCAUUAUUAUCAACAGUCUGCUUAGUAAUGGAGCUUAGAAUUGUUCUUGUUAGCCUGAUAAGAUCAAAAUCAUCAGAGACACAAGUCCAUGCCUUGAGAUCAAAAUGAUCCUCCACUUGCUUAUCAUUGUAGACAAGCUGAGCAAGAGUGGUUUUACCCAGCCCGCCCAUACCUAUAAUAGGAAUAACUGCGAAUCCACCAUCCUUUCUUGAAUCAUCCUUCAACAACAAUUCAACAAUUUCCUUCUUUUCUGUUUCCCUGCCAUAAACUUUGGCUUCCUCCACCAAAGAAGUUGUAUCUCGCCUUUGCCUGGCUUUUUGGGACCCCCCAGCUGAACUUUUUAUCAAUUUCAGCGAGCCUAUUCCUUCUUCAAUAUCUCGAAAUCUGUCGUUGAUCUUUUUGAUUUUGGACAUCAUCGAGUAAUCGAACUGAAUCGAUUGCAGAGUAAAAGUGGGGCAGCAAGUAGGAAUGAGCUUCCGAAACUUACUCUUCGUGCUUGUACGACUGCUGCUGGGUUGAUCAUGAGCAGCAGCUGGUUCUCCAUUUCCAAGCAGCAACUUCCUCCGGAAAGCCUCAGUUUGGAACUCAUCCAACAAGUCUUCAACGUCAUAAGCCAAGUUCUGAAGCUCGCCAAGCCACAACUUCACAGAAUCAUCAGUCGUCUUCUUCUGCUCAGCAUCAUCAAGCACCGCCUUGAUCGUCACCAACUUCUUCUUCCACUUCACUAGAUCGUCUUUGAUUCGACCUUGGCGUUCAAAUAAACGAAGCCCCUCCGAAGAUAACUUAUUGAUCAGCAUCUCAACGGACGCCUUCAGGAUUGCCUCUCCGAUGAUCGACAUUUUUUCUUUUUUCUUUUUUUUGGGUUUUUUGGACAGAGAAAGAAACUGAAUUAUGAGUUUGUGGAAAGCAAAAUGAGAAAAGUGAAGAAGCGGAAUGAGUUUGUGAUUGUGUCUAGCAAAGCCUAUAAAUCAAGAAAAAUCCACCGUAAAAGUGAAAAGUCAAACGGAGCCCACCACAAAUAUAAAAUCAGAGGAGCACAGAAAUUAAAAAAAAAAAAAAUCAAACAUGUAAUGAUUUGUAAAGUUAUUAGCGAUUUGUAAAAAUCAAACAUGCGUCUUCUUCCUCUGAGUGUAUUUUUUUUUUCUUUUUCAAAAGAGAUGGUGGGGUUGUGUUGUUUGCAAAGUUAAUAGCGUGGGUCUAUUUGUUUUUGUUUUAACUUUAUUAAUUAAUUAGUGAAGCAAACAUGUAAUGAUUUGUAAAGAUCACCGGCAUCAGAUUAUUGAGAGGUAUUGCGCUUAGUAUUCACAAUUUCUUGUAAGAAGAAUUUGUAAGACUUAUUAAUUUCGAUGAAAAUGUAUCAUUAUUAUUUAAUUCAUUAAGUUAACUUGAGGUAUUAAUAUUCACUAAUUGUGGUGCUGGUGAAUUUACUUAACUUGUCAUUAUUUGUAAUUAAAGAAUGAGGUUCAAUCAAUUUAUUGGAGAAAAAUUGAUUUUAAUUCUUAGUAUUUGAUUUCACUCUCUUUUACUUUUUGACGUUGCUAAAGAGACAGUAAAAAACUUGCUAAAUGUCAUCAAAUACUUGUAUCUCAUCUCACAAAUUGGCAAUAUUUGUUUGGUAUUUCAUCUUAACGGGACGCCGUAAGGAUUGCCUCUCCAAUGAUUGAUAUUUUUUUUUUCUUUUUUUCCCGCACAGAAAGAAACAGAAUUUUGAGUUUUAAAGCAAAAUGAGAAAAUUGAGCAAAAUGCAUGUGGCAAGUCUCCUGCUUGAUUAUUCCAGUAAAGUGAAAAUAAAAGCAGAGCCCACCACCCAUUGAUAAUUGGAAAAUGAUAAACGAACGAAAAGCGCGACGAAGGGACGACAGAAAACGCGUUUCCUCAUCAAAUUUUGUUUUUGUGUACCGACAAUAAAUAAUAAAAUAUUUUUUGUGAGAGCGAUAACAAAUAGUAAAAUAAAGAAUUAAAAAAAAAGAUAGUGUAAACGAACGAAAGCGCGACGAAGGAACGACAGAAAACGCGUUCCCUCAUGAAAAUUUUUUUUUGUGGGAUCGAUAAUAAAUAAUAAAAUAUUUUUUUGUGGGACCGAUUAUAAAUAGUAAAAUAAAGAAUAAAAAAUAAAAAAAUGGAUGGUGAAAACGAACGAAAGCGCGACAAAGGGAUAACAGAAAACGCGUUCCUCAUCCAAUUUUUCUUUUGUCGGACCGAUAACAAAUAAUAAAAUAUUCUUUUGUGGGACCGACUAAAAAUAGUAAAAUAAAGAAUGAAAAAAAGGAUAGUGUGCAAUUUUUCUUUUAAUAGAAUUUAGCAAUUCACCAAUCACCAAUCACCACCACUUGUUACCAGAUUCAAUAAAUGUAAAAUCGCACCUGGACAUUUGUAGGGUCAAGCAACAUUAAUCCAGUGUCCGGGUAAAUGCUGAAUAAAGGGGAAAAUGGGAUGUAAAUUUACUAUUAAAACAAAUAAAAUUUAUUAAUAAAAAUAAGGGUUAUAUAUAUUUUUUAAAAUGUUAAGAAGUUUUAUAUCUUUUUUGGAUUAAAUUUUCUAUUUCCUAUUAAGCAAAACCCACGUCAAAAGUGAAAAAGAAAAAUAGAGCCCACAGAACAGAGCCCAUUACAAAUAUAAAAUCGGAGGAGCUCAUGAUCAUGCCUUUUGUUUUACAUACUAAAUUUAAUAAAAGCCAAACCAAAAUCUUGCCUUUACUUAACAUGAUUAAUUAGGCACUGCAUCAGAGAGAACACGAAAGCUAUGAACCAUUUUGUUAAUCUUAAAUGUCAGGAAUAUAAUUAGCUUGGAAUAAAGUUGCAUUCUUCUCCUCUGACCGCAAGAUAUGGACUGGGCCACUCCAAAGAGAUUGGUAAUGCUGUAUCAGUAUAAUUAGCUUGGAAUAAAGUUACAUACAUUCUCCUCCUCUUACUGUCUCUUUAGGUUCAUUUCAAAAGUUUGAAGAGAGUAUCAAUUCUUCUACACUUUAGAAUGUCAAUGUUUUUGCUUUCUUCAAAUGUUGAAUAAAGAGAAAAAAAAAAUGUUGAAUGUAGAAGGAAAAUGGAAUGCAUCCACCUUCGCUUUGGAAGUCUUCUACUUAUAAAAGCAAGCUAAAUUAAAAGAUUUAAAUCUCUCUUUUUAUUACUAUAAGUGCACUGCAUUUUUUUUUUUAAAUAAUCACCUAUACAAAUUUGUAACGUAAUGAAAUAUUCAUAUUCCUGUCGUGUCGAAAUGAGAUAAAAUGAAAUUUUAAAUAACACAAAUUCGACUCAUUUGUUAAAAGUAUAUACUUAAUAAGCUAAUAACAUAAUUAACAUAACGCUAUUAUUAUACUAAAUGAAAUAAAAGACGGUAGCCACCAAUAAUUACACUAGCAAGCUUCGCAUGCUCGUGUUUAAGGAAUUGGACAUUGGUGAAUUAAUCAAGGAUAAGAAACAAUUUCAAAAAACAAAAUGGAUACUAUACAUUUUCUUUUUUUAAUUGCACAGAAAAUGGGACUAAUUUUCAAAUAUUUUCAAAUUCACUUAUUAACAAAAGCUAUACAAAAUAAUUUCCUUUUUAUUUUGAAACAUUAUACGGAAUCAAAUAACAGUGAUUCAAAGAGUGUAAAGUGGUAAUUCUCUGAUUGUAUUUUCUCUCUUUUUUAAAAGGAGAUGGUGGGGUUUGGUUGUUUGCAAAAUUAUUGGUGUGAGGGUCUAUUUGUUUUUGUUUUCACUUUAUUAAUUAAUUACGAAGCAAACAUGUAAUCAUUUGUAAAGGGGUCACUAGCAUUGGGUUGUGUAAGAUGAAUUCGUAAGACUUAUUAAUUUCGAUGAAAAUGUAGCGUUAUUAAGUUGUCAAUUCAUUAACUUGAGGUACUAAUAUUUACUAAUUGUGGUGAUUAAUUUAUUUAACUUUGUCAUAAUUUUCAAUUGAGAAUGAAGUUCAAUCAAUGUAUGAAAAAAAUAAUUUUUUUAGAUUUUUAACUCCUAUGAUUUAAUUUCCAUCUGUUUCGAUUAUUGACGUGUUAAAAGCUUGUAGAAUAUCAUGAAAUGCUUGUAUCUCACCUCACAAAUUGACAAAAAUUGGUUGGUUUCUCCAAAGGCUGCCAUGACGAAUUGAAAGUAAAAACAACCACCAUUGAAAAUUAAUUUUAAAAAUCUUUUUUACUUGAAAAUUUUUAAAAGAAAAAUUAAGCAAAUUAGAUUGCAGAUAUCAAUCUUAAUAUUUUGUUGAUGAAAAUUAAUUAAUUAAUCCCAGUACUUUCUUAAUUUUGUGUUGUGCACCGCAUUGGCCACUUCUGAUUGUGUUGCAUAUUUGUUAAUUCAAAGAAAUAGAUCUUUUGUAUCGAUCAAACUUAUUUUAUUAGUAUUAUUCAUCAUAUGGUUAAUGGCUUAGCCAAUGAAGGAGAAGGGGUCAGCCAAAAUAAAUAAAGUACUUUCUCAUGCAUUAACCUUUAUUAAAAAGCUUUAUUAACUGUUGUAGUUAAAACAAUUUUAAAACAAGUUAAAACAGUUCCAACUCAAAAUCUGUAGGCUGCAAUUGGGUUGUUACACAUAUUUCUAAAUUUCAGUCUAAUUUAAUUGUGUAUGGACAAACUGACUUUAUCACUCCUUUCAUAUUAAUACUCAUAAAUUUCAACCUUUUUUUAUGAUGAUGCACAAUCUAACUUAACAAAAAUAAUGUUCAAAUUGUCAAAAAAUGUUCUUUUCUUAAAAAAGAAAAGAAAAUCAUAUAUAGUAGUUAAUUUUUCUUCCUCUUUACUCCAAGAUCCAACUUCGUACUCCACUUUUUUGUUGUUAUUGUACCCAGCCGUUAGAUUUUAAUUACAUUAAUUUAAUGGUUUGGAUUUGUAAAUGAAUAACGACGUAGUGUUUGGCUACCAUCUGAACCCACUGCAUCUAAUUGGUUUUGUGAUUUUUUGCUUUCUUCUCUGUAACACUUGACUAGUUCUGAAAAUAUCGACCGCCAUCAACAAUAAAUCUGAUCCAUGUAUUAUUUCUUAGUAGUGGGCAAAUUAAUAAAGUUUCCACCACCGUACCAGUAUGUCGAUUUGCGAAUACAUUCAUUCAAAUAUUAAACAUUCAGAGAAGAAAGCAAACCGUGGCAGGAUAGAAUGCUGCGUUCUGUGCUAACUAUAAAUUCUCACAGUGGCACGCAUAUCACAUGACACACAGAGCUCAGACAACACGCUCAACUGCCACAACACUCACCAAAUCUUCACCCAACUCAUGCAUCUCACCUCUCUGUGCUCUCUCUGUUGGCUCUCUCUCUCCCUCUCUCUCCCCCCGUCGCUCACGCAUCUCACCAUGCUCUCUUUUCACCGUCGACUUUCUCUCUCUCUCUCCCCAUGGGUCUUUCCACAGCUGGCGCGGGUCUCCAUCGAGAAUGCUUCGAACUCAUCAAGAGUGGUAGUAAAAGCAACAGUUUCAAUCGAGAACGGCGUCGUCUCGGCUCGGAAGAAGUAAUAACAGUGGUAUUUGGCGGGGGUUUUGGGUACUUUUUGUUCCUGUUUGUCCAUUAAUUAAUUAAUUUGGAAAAAGAACGGUGUAUUUGACAAAUAAAUAAUGGGGAUGGUUGGAUGUAAUUAAGGGGAUGAUGAACAUAAUAAUGGUUUAAGAAGACCAGGAUUUUGUUAACUUUUUUCUAGGUUUCUUGAAGAAUGUAACUUAAAAUAAAUGCAUCAAAUUAAGUAAACAUAAAAUCAUAAUAAUAAUAAUAAUAAUAAUUGGACUCAAUAAUUAUAUGUGAAAUUUACAUAUGUGUCAAGUAGGAGCAUGAUAUCAUCAUUUACACACACACACACCACACACACACACACACAUAUAUAUAUAUAAAUGACAAUUUAUUUAAAAGUCAAAUAAUUGUGACGUUUUAUCAAAUAAGUGACAAAUAUAUAAUAUAUUACAUAUUUAUUGAAUAAUUAUCAUUUACCUUUUCCUUUUAUUGACUUAAGAAAAAAAACAAAAAACUUGCUAUACCGCUUCUGUUUUCGUUCUUAGAACAUAUUAGUUUCUUUUGAGAAAAGUCAAACUCAUUCCCAUUACUUUCUUUUCAAUAAUCACCUCUCAGUUUUUCAUCAGUCACUCAAUUUCGAAUUUCAUCUCCAUUCUCUUUCAAAGAAGAACACACGAAGAAUUUUAGCUUGCUUUACCUGCUUCUCGAAUUUCAGGUAUUGUUUCCUUUAAUUUUGAUUUUUUUUUUUACCUCUCUGUUUCUAGUUUGAUAAUUUAGGGUUAUACUUGAAUUAAUUGUAUUUUUAAUCAUCCUAGGUUGAUUUAAUUGAUUCCAAGUCUCAAUUUCCUGUUCAACAAACAAGGAACGCACGAGUAAUUUUCAUUUUCAUUCUCAAUUUUGAAAGAAUCAAUUUAUUUUAUGUGUUCAAUUUUGUUUAUUUAACUUAGGAUAUCUUUUUCAUUCUCGUCUUCAAGCAGACUAUAGCGUUGCUCCUCUCAUUGAUUAUAUUGAGAACAAUGCUUUCUCCUUAAUUCCACCAAGAACAACGUUGAUGUCAGGUGAUAAUUGAAUGUGUAAUAUUUUCAAUUGAAAUUAAUUGAGUCUCGUAAUAAUAAUAGGGAUUUGAGAUUUACAUCCUGUUGAAAUGAUUUUAGAGUGUUCUGCUAUUUGAAUGGGCAUUAUUUUUUUAUUUUCAAUUAAUUGAGUCUCUUUAAAAGAUUAUUUUUGUUUUUAGCAAACAUCUUAAUGCACUUUGCAAAUUGAAUCCAACAAGGGAAAAUUACAGAACUGCAACAGUUUUCAAAUUGAUUGCAUAUUAGAAGUAAUGUUAAUUUAUGCUGCAACAGUUCAAUGGGCUGGGCACAAGUUUAGGACUUUAGUUGCUCAAUUAAUGAAUCCACCACUCAUCGGACUUGGAACUUAUAUCAACUGAAUCAAUAAAAAUAGUUGACGUAAUCAAUACUGAAAGCUUCAUUUGAUUAAUAAUGAACUACAGACAUUUAUUUAUAACAUCUGCUAGAUUCUGGACAAUCACAAAUAUAUAGUAGCAGAAACUAUGUUAGAGACACUGUAGUUGCUUAAUUAGUGAAAUUGUGAUCUCGUUGCCCCCUUUUUUUGGUUGAUUCUAUAAUUUUAUUAGUUGUUCUUGUGGUUGUAAACAAUAUCAAUUUCUAAUAUUAAUAAAACUGAAUGAAUAAAAUGCGAUACAUUUGCAGGAAAGUUAAUAGUUUAAAUAUGGAUAAAUCUUGGAUGUUGAUGGAUAGAAGGUCUAAAGAAUAUGAGAACACGGUAAAUGAGUUUCUCAAGUUUAAUGUGUUAAUAAUUAUGAAGAACCGGUGUAAUUUAUAUGAUGUAGGAAGCACUUUAGGCAAAAUCAUCUGAAUCUCAAAAUUUCGUGAUAUUGUGCCAAAUAUCCAAAACAGAGCUUCCUACAUUGCUAUAGCAGUUUUUAAAAGUUGAGGACUCCAAAUAUCCAAUAACUGAUCAAUUCUGUUAAGAAAUAUAAAUAUUAAUGGUGAUGACACAUACGCAUUGAAUUCCUUCGUUUUGAGUUUGACUAAAAUAACCUGAAUAGUUUCAAACAAUCCAUCAGCCCAAAGUCCUUGAGAGAUUGAACUCGAGAAUAUAUAUAUCCAACAGGUAAAAUUUCAAAACACCAUUUGCCAAAGUCUGAUGAAGAGAAUACAUAUACACACACGCGCGCUCAUAUGUAUAACCGCACAGCAGAAGGAUAGAUAAAAUAAAUUGAAGUUUCAACAGUUGAACAAUGCAAACUCAUUUUAAAAAAGCAUUCUAUUGUUUAAUUAAAAAUUCGAAAGCCCAUCAUAUACAUGAUAAAGACUCACCGACACCGAACCAUAUUAAUUUAAAAUUGUUUUCAACUGAGAUUUGAAUUUUGAAAUUACAUACACCAACACGCCCGAUUUAAAAAACAAACUAAUAAUAAAAUAUUUAAGUUGUCUAUGUUCAGUCAUCAAAAACCAAUUUACGAUUUAUUUCAACACAAACACACCCGAUCUAUAAAAAAAAUCAAAAUAAUAAUAAAAUAUUUCAGUCGUCCUCUGUUGAGUCGUCAUCAAAAACCCAUUUACGAUCUAUUUCAACAAGAGGUAUAUGGGUUAACAAGUCCCAAUAUUGUCCUCCAUCCUUUCUGUACUUCUCUGCUAUUAACGGACAUCUAUGGAUGUAUAAACGCAAAAGUGAGGAAGGCAGGCCGUUCUCUGGAAAGUAUUUAAGCCUGGGACAAUUAUAGAGUUCCAAUGAAGUGAGGUUUUGAAGAUCAACAAUUGAAGAAGAUAGCCGUUCCAGAUUUGGAAAAUCUUCAAUCUGCAGAGAUGUUAGAGAGAGGCAGGAAGAGGAAGCGUGGUCCCCCAUCUUAUGUCCUCUGGUGGAAAUGACACCAUGUUGUCAUCACAUCCUGUGAUUCUAAGUUCACGCAGAGAGGAGAAGCUGUGAAAUCCCCGGCCCCACUCAAUCAUUGACUUCCAAAUCUUCGUAUUACCAUUAAUCUCCAGUGAAUGAAGGUUGGGAGGAAGGCCAUGUUCUUUGACGCUUGGAUGCUCACCUCCUAUAAUUAAUUGUCGAAGAGAGUUCAGAUUGUGCAAUCCCUUAGGUAAUGCCUCUAGUCUCCCACACUCAUACAUCAUGAGCUCAGUCAGUUUCGUACAAGGCAAUCCCCCUUCGGGAAACGACACCAGAUUUCCACACCCCUAAAAUCUAAUCUCUCGAAGCUGGCGGAGAUUAUGUAAACCACUCGGUAAAUUUUUCAGAUUUUUACAACUAAUGAUAGUGAUUGUUUCAAGAGAUGUGUUGUUGUCCAACCUUUCUGCUAUUGACUCCAGCUUGGAACAUCCCCAAACAAAAAGUGACUUAAGAGACGGAGGUAGAUUGCCAACUUCAAGGGACUCAAGCGUGGCAGGUAACUCGUUUUUUGAAAAUAUACAUGUCAGAGACGGACAACUCUCAAUGUGUAAGUGCUCAAGAAGAGAUGAGGUGUACCUUCUGCUGCUGCUACUCUGGAUGCCCUCUUCCACUGUCAAAGUCCUUACAUUAUCGCAAUUCCGGAUGACCAAGUUCUUAAGGCUCGGUGGUAGCUGGACUUCAGCAAUAUAUGUCAACGAAUGACAACGCGAAAUCGUCAAGAUCUCGAGAGAUAAAUUGGCGUCGCACAUCCAUGCCUCCGGUAACGAUUUCAGUGCAUCACAACGGUGAAUUGAAAUGCUCCUCACCUUGGAAGGCAGAGCAACCUCAGGGAAGGAAACAAAGGAACUGCAGUUGUAGAUUUCUAUCUCUCUCAAGGAGCUGAGGCUGAGCAAUGAUUGUGGCAGCUUCACAAGGCCUUUGCAAUCAUUUAAUAGCAGAUAUUCAAGUCUGCAUGACAACUCGCAGAGCUGUUGCUGGUCUUUUUCUUCCUCCGCCACCAAGGAUUGAAGUGUGGGACACCAUCCAAUCGUCAGCCUUUUGAGAGAGCUAAUGUCUUGCAGAAAUCCGUUAUGACUCUUCCAUAUAUAUGUUUCAUUUUUAAUAUUGCUUAUCUCCAAUUCUUCCAAUUUUGGUAGUCGCGGCUUCAAUGGCCCUGCAAGCAACACUUGAUUUAAUGUAUCGCUACAAACCACUGAAUUCUGUGACUCGAGAUGAUCAGUUUCACUUCUCCACACAACCUUUUUACAUCCACCAAUCUCUAAUUUGCAAAGAGCUGGAAGACUCGUAAUUGAAACUAACAAUUCUUCACAUCCUCCAAUAACAAGCAUCUCCAAUGCAGGAAGGUGUUCUGGAAAUGUUCCUUUCAGUUUAGAACAUCCUAUAACUUCAAGCUCUCUCAAUUUAGGAAAUCCUUCAACUCCCUGAGUAGAUCCAUGAGGAAUCCAGUCUUCCCAUUCUAGCAGGUUUUCAAAACGAAGAGUCUCCAAGCAUGGAAAAGGAAUUGGAGUAUCAUUCCCAUAGAACUCCGAACCCAAUCUCCUUACUCUGCUCAUUCUACGUACUGCAAGAUGCUUUAGAGAGGGUAGUUGCCCGACCGACGGCAGUGUGGUACACAUGCCACAAUCUUCAAAUUUAAGUGUUACUAAAUUUGAGAAUGAGGAAUCUCCUAACCAUAUUGGAAAUUUUGUACCUCCAUAGCCACUGAUAAAAAAUUGCUCCAGAUUUUUAUGGGGUUUCAGCAUGUCAAGCACGCCCUUUUGAGUUUCUGCCUCCCUUAAAGAUGAACCAUCGGUACUGUUUGUCCACCGAAGCAUUAACACUUUAAGGUUCUUCUUUCCAUCCAAUUGAGCCUCCUUGGCAUCACCAACGUAUUUUACGUUCUCCAAUUUUGAAACGGUAAGUGUCCCACGAAGAUGCGUCAACAACUUUAGCUCUCGCAACCGGGAACCACUGUCUUUUCCUACAACAAAAUUACACAAUGUCUGAAGACAAGUCAACUUGCCAAUUCCUAGUGGCAUUUCCUCCAACGAAUCUGUAUUUGAAUUAUUGAGAUGAUGCAAUUUGAUGAGAUUUCCCAUGCCUGCACACAACUUCCUCAGUCCCCGACAACCCUCCAACGAAAGGGUGUGCAAAUUGUAAAGCUUGUUGACUGAUUCAGGCAGAGUUCUAAUCUGAGUUCCAGAUAGGUUGAGGUACCUUAAAUACCUCAAAUCACCAAUUGAAUCUGGCAGCUCGGAGAUCCAAUAUCCACACAAAGAGAAGACCCUCAGGCGUUGAAGUUUGAACAACUUAGGAAGAAUGCUAUGAGCCAAGAAUCCUUGCGAACUAUUUGACAGACAUACUGGUAGAAAAGUUCGCAAAUGCUGGAUAUUGUACAAGUCUUCAAACCUUUUAACGCCAUCAUAUUUUCCACAGAUGCAUGAUAGAUGACGAAGAUUUUUGGAAAAACUUUGUUGUUUGUUAACCUCUGAAGUAUAAUCCAUUGUGAAGUAAAUUUCCCCCGCAGCCCAAUGGGCAAGGUCAUUGAUAAGAUCGUGCAUCACAAAUAGUGAUUUAUUGUUGCUUGAUUGCUGGAAAAAGGAUCUUGCACGUAGCUCUUGAAAGAACUUUCGACCUAGAUCUUCACAUGGAUUCUCGCUCUUCCGAUGAUCCAAGAAACCCACAGCACUCCACAAUAAAAUUAUCUCCUCCUCUUCAAAUUCAUAAUCAUUUGGAAACAAUGAGCAGUAUGCAAAGCACUGUUUCAAAGGUGCCGAGAGAUAAUUGUAGCUCACUCUAAGCGCCGGUAUAAUGUCACAUCUCUCUUCUGGUAAAUCCCAUAUGUUGCAACUGAGCACACCUUCCCAAUCACUUCGGUCACAUUUACCACGUAAGAGUCCACCAAGGGUUUUCGCAGCUAAGGGCAGGCCGUCGCAUUUGAUCACUAUCUUCUUGCCAAUUUCCUCCAAUGGCUUAUUUGAACUGAAAUCUCUUGUCCCCAAAGAGUGGUGAGCGAACACGGACAAACAAUCAUCAAUUGACAACUUUUUUAAUUGAUAAGCUGAAGCAGUCCCCAUUAUGGCUGCAACCUCUUGAUUGCGAGUUGUGACAAUAAUCUUACUUCCCGGUGCGCCAGCUUCAAACGGACGGCUCAUGUCAACCCAAUCAUUGUAACUCUCAUUCCAAACGUCAUCUAAAACAAGCAAAAAUUUCUUUCGAGACAACUGCAUCUUUAGCUCCUCUUGAAGCAAAUUUAAAUCACUAUUAUCAACAGUCUGCUUAGUAAUGGAGCUUAGAAUUGUUCUUGUUAGCCUGAUAACAUCAAAAUCAUCAGAGACACAAGUCCAUGCCUUGAGAUCAAAAUGACCCUGCACUCGAUCUUCAUUAUAGACAAGCUGAGCAAGAGUGGUUUUGCCCAGCCCGCCCAUACCUAUAAUAGGAAUAACUGAGAAUUCGCCAUCAUUUCUUAAAUCAUCCCUCAACAACAAUUCAACGAUUUCCUUUUUUUCUGUUUCCCUACCAUAUACCUUUGCUCCGUUCACCAAAGAGGUUGUGGGUAGUCUUUGCCUGACUUUUUUGGAUCUCCCCGCUGAACUUUCUUUCAAACCCAACGAGUCUUUCUGUGUUGCAACAUCUUGAAAUCUGUCGUUGAUCUCUUUGAUUUUGGACAUCAUGGUGUAAUCGAACUGAAUCGAUUGUGGAGUAAAAGUGGUGCAGCAAGUAGGAAUGAGCUUCCGAAUUCUGGUAUGACUGCUACUAGGUUGAUCAUGAGCCGCAACUGGUUCUCCAUUUCCAAGCAGCAACCUCCUCCGGAACGCCUCAGUUUGAAACUCAUCCAACAAGUCUUCAACAUCAUAAGCCAAGUUCUGAAGCUCGCCAAGCCACAACUUCACAGACUGAUCAGUCUUCUUCUCCUCAGCAUCAUCAAGCACCGCCUUGAUCAUCACCAACAUAUUCUUCCACUUCUUUAGGUCGGCCUGGAUUUGCUCUUGGCGUCCGAACAACCGAAUCCCCUCUGAAGCUAACUUAUUGACCAGCAAAUCAACGGACGCCGUAAGGAUUGCCUCUCCGAUGAUUGACAUUUUUUUCUUUUUUAACGCACAGAAAGAAACAGAAUUUUGAGUUUCAAAGAGCAAAAUGAGAAAAUUGAGCAGUAAGUGUGAAGGGUCAAGCAAAUUGCACGCAACAAGUCUUCCACUUGUUGUUUACUCUAGUAAAGUGCAAAUAGAAACGGAGCCCACCACCCAUUAAAAAUUUAGCGAUUCACCAAUCACCAGUCACCACCACUUGUUACCAGAUUAAAUGAAUGUAAAAUCGCACCUCGACAUUUGUAGGGUCAAGCAACAUUAAUCCAAUUGUCCGGGUAAAUGCUGAAUAAAGUGGACAAUUGGAUGUAUCUACUACGAACCUUCCCUUUACAAAUCUUCAAACUCAUAAACCAUGUUAAAAUGAAAAACGUUUCUCUCUUUCUCUCUCCCUUUCUGCCGUAAAAUUACUUUAUGGAUUGAAUUAAUUUCCAUGCUAAAACGAAGACUUAAAAGUACGAUACAAUUUUUUAUAAUAAUCCCAAUGGAAUUUCUACCGUCACGUUACAUUACUGUAGUGUCAAAAUAAAUUAUAAUAAAAUUUUAGCUGAACAUAAAUUCGACUCAUUUAUUAAAUAUAUAUACUUAAUAAAAUAACAACGAUAUUUUAUUACCUGGCUUCUCCCCAAAAAGAUAAUUUUCAAAAUUGUUCAUGGAGAAGUCUAUGUUGCAGAUUCUGUAACAUACGCACCCAAUGCAUGCACCACACUUGUUCUGUGCAUGGAGAAAAAGCAUGCAAAUGCUUUUGUUAGGUAGCUGGCUUAAAGCAGAAUCAGUAAGUUACAGAGUCUGUAACUUAGCCUGCUCCAUGUGAAAACAAAAAAAGUCCUGCCACCAAUAAUUCAGAAAGCUUCACUUUAUUACACGAAGGUGAAAGCAAAAAGCCAAAAACAGCCCCCACCACCAUCAAUAAUUUAGCAAGCUUCACAUGCUAGCGCCUGUCUACCUGACGAACUGCACACAGCACAUGGGUGGACCAAGCAUCAUUGAAUAGUUGUAAAAAAUAAAAAAUAAAAAAUAAAAAUCAGUGUCCCGCAAAAAGAAUCCAUCUUUAUGUGUUGAUAUGCACAUCUACCGAACAUCCAAAAAAUGGAAGUAGAAAUUGAAACUUACUUUUUUAGUUAUGGCUCAUAUAUAAUACAAGUAUCAAGAUUUAAGUAGAGUUCACAUAUACACAUGCGUCUACAAAAUUUUUAGGAAGUGAUAACUAAUAUGUUGGGAUAUAUAUUUGUGGGAAAUGACAAAUAUAGAGAAUAGCAGUAAAAAUGUUGGAAGUUUAAUAUAAUGAAAAAAGGUAAAUUGCAAAAAAUUAAUAUGUAAUUUAAAGCACAUUACAAAUUGAGUAAUGUACAUGGGUUAAGCAAAUAUACCUCAAUGAUACAAUGAGACACUUAUUUGUUUGUUUGCUUUGUGCAUCGACAAAAAUAAAUUAGAAUACUCUUUAAUGUUGCAAAAACAAUAUAUUGGAUAUUUGAUGCAUAAAAAAGAAAGUUAUUUGAUGAAAUUCAUUCUAGGAAAUAGAGCUAAGAAAAGAGCGGUGUAGGAUUAUCUUAUUCAUAUUUAAAAUUCUAAAUAUAUUGAUUUACUUAUCAUAGUGAUAUAAUAGUAAUUGUAAAUUAAAAAUAAAUUUAAUAUUAAAACAAAUAGAAUUUACUAAUAAAAAUAAAGUUAUAUAUCUUUUUUCGAAAUAUUUAAGAAUUUUAUGUCCUUUUUUUUUUCAAAACGUUUGGAGUGAAUUUCCAUUUCCCAUUAAGCAAAACCCACCGCAAAAGUGAAAAGAAAAAACAGAGCCCACUACAAAUCUAAAUCAGAGGAGCUCAUGAUCGUGCCUUUGCUUCACACACUAAAUUAAAUAAAAGCCGAACCAAGAAUUGCCUUUGCUUAACAUGAUUAAUUAGGCACUACAUCAAAGAGAACACGAAACCAAUGGACCCUUUUGUUAAUCUUAAAUGUCAGGAAUAUGAUUAGCUUGGAAUAAAGUUACAUACUUUCUCCUCCUCUUACUGUCUCUUUAUGUUCAUUUCAAAAGUUUGAAGAGAGUAUCAAUUCUUCUACACUUUAGAAUGUCAAUGUUCUUGCUUUCUUCAAAUGUUGAAUAAAGAGAAAAAAAAAUGUUGAAUGUAGAAGGAAAAUGGAAUGCAUCCACCUUCGCUUUGGAAGUCUUCUACUUAUAAAAGCAAGCUAAAUUAAAAGAUUUAAAUCUCUCUUUUUAUUACUAUAAGUGCACUGCAUUUUUUUUUUUAAAUAAUCACCUAUACAAAUUUGUAAUGUAAUGAAAUAUUCAUAUUCCUGUCGUGUCGAAAUGAGAUAAAAUGAAAUUUCAAAUAACACAAAUUCGACUCAUUUGUUAAAGGUAUAUACUUAAUAAGCUAAUAACAUAAUUAACAUAACGCUAUUAUUACACUAAAUGAAAUAAAAGACGGUAGCCACUAAAUGAAAUUUUGUUGUUAUUGUACGUUGAUUUAAUGGUUUGAUUUUCCACUAAAUGAAAUAAAGCCGUUAGAUUUUAAUUACGUUGAUUUAAUGGUUUGGAUUUAUAAAUGAAUAACGACGUGGUGUUUGGCUACCAUCUGAACCCACUGCAUCUAAUUGGUUUUGUGAUUUUUUGCUUUCUUCUUUGUAACGCUUGACUAUUUCUGGAAAUAUCGACCGCCAUCGACAGCAAAUCUGAACCAUGCAUUAUUUCUUAGUACUAAGAAAUAAAGUUUCCACCACCGUACCAGUAUGUCGAUUUGCGAAUACAUUCAUUCAAAUAUUAAACGUUCAGAGAAGAAAGCAAACCGUGGCAGGAUAGCAAAAACUGCGAAUGGUCAUUCCCAACACAAACCCCUAUGGCUGUUUUCCUUUUAAUUUUCUUCUUUGAAUUCUCCUUUUAUUAAUCAUUAGAAAACUCCCUUUUUUUUUUUUAAAUCAUGUGUUAUUAACAUUUACAUGGUUAAUGUCAUCGAAAUCAAAUGGUUGUUAUCUACGAAAAGAGAAUUGCUAGAAAUUUUGUUAGUCCCAUUGCAACAAUAUAUUGUUAUAAAUUGCAUUGUGUCCCAUAUAACAAAUAUAAUAAAAUCUCAAUAAAUUAAUAGUUUUGGGAACCAUAAAAAAAUUUAUUAAAAUUUAACAAAUAUCAAUUAAUCAGUAAAUUGAUAAAUUAUUAAUUUAUGAAAAUAUUCAUUAUUUUGAAAAAACAUGAUCACGUUUUUAAUAUUGAUUUACCCUGAGUUAAUAUCUAUUAUGUUUUAUUUGUCUAUUAGUUUUAUCUUGGGAAGAUUUUUUAAGAGUUAGCUGCUUUAUAUUAAGUUAUUAACAGUAAUAAAAUUAUUAGUUGAUACAGGCGAAUUUUCUGACCAAAAUCGUACAAAGAAGUUGAAAGUGUUUAUUUUUGUUAUUUCAAGACAUUCUAACAAACUAUAAGGGGUCACAAAAAGGUUGAUACGACGUAAAAUGUGGCAAGUCUUCCCACUUGUUAACAGUAAUAAAACUACUUCUUGUUCUUUUUGUCCUCAAGGGUCAAGCAAAAUACGACGUAAAAUGUGGCAAGUCUUCCCACUUGUUGUUCUUUGCAGCUAAGAAAAGAAAAACAAAUCCCGCAAUGGAGUCCCCUUAAGUGGCUUGCCUGGGUUUGCUCCCCAGUUCGAGUCGCAAGGAAGUCGCCUUUGUUGGGAGAACCUGUGUCCUCCAGUUCGAGCGGGGACUUCUAGUCUGAGUUGUGGUACGGGCUUAAAGGCGUCUCCCACAGUUGGGCCCUCCCCAGGAUACCUCGUGGUUAAGAAAAAAAAAAAAACAAGAAAAAAAGAGCCCGCCACCCAUUAAUAAUUUAGCAAUUCACCAAUCACCACAAAAUUCCAUUAGAUAUUCGUCGAUCAAGUAGUUAAUCCAGUGUCUGUUACGUAGAGCCUUCACUUUACAAAUCUUCAACUCAUAAACCAAGUUAAAUCAAGACGUUUCUCUGUAUAUAUAUAUAUAUAUAUAUAUAUAUUUUUUUUUUUUAACUCCUAAAACGUUUCUUUUUAGAAAUAUUUUACUUUAUUCAUCUAAUAUGUUAUCUAACAAAUAGACACAGAUGAAAUCACUCUAAAGUGAAGAUGAAAGGGGAAAAAAAAACAUUCCAACCACCAAUAAUUUAGCAAGCUUCACUUUUAUUCCACCAAAGUGUAAACAAAGCCAGCCCCCACCACCAUCGAUAAUUUUGCAAGCUUCACACGCUUGUUGUCUUCUCCUUGACGAACUGGACGUGGGUGGACCAAGAAUCAGUGAAAGAAUUUUAAAAAUAAUAAUAAUAAAAGAAAAACCUAAACAUUUUCGACUUAGAGUAGAACCGUAAUUAAUGCUAAAAUUUACUCCGCUAACGUUUUCAAAAUAUUGUUCUUUAUCAUUGUACAGCAAAUAAGACUAAGUUUUGGACAUUUUCAUUAUUCACUUACUUUCAAAAGUAGUAUUUCAAAACAUUUUACAUAAUCAAGUUACAGUUAUAUAACGAGAAAAGUGCAAAGUUGUGUAAUUCUAAUGUUUUUUUUAUCACAGACACUCAGAUCAUUUUUUAUUUGGGUCGCCAACUCGCCAAUGAACCCAUGAUUGAAUGAGUGUUUAGAAAGAAAAUCAAUAAAAAACAGUUUAUUUUUUGUCGUCGAAAUAUAGUAAGUGAGAAAGAAUAUUCUUUUUUUUUUUUGUUAGUAUUUAUGAUUGAGUGACUCAGAACUAUAUUUUAGAUUGAGAAUCAAUGGUUCUCCCACACUGAGAGGCUGUAAGUUUAAGAUUGUCGUUUGCUAUUUCAUCGACAAGAGAACACUUGAAUUUUAUUAAAAGGAGAAGGCCAUAAAGGUUUUCCUUUAUGAGAAAUGUAUCUGAUCAUUCAUUUUUACUUGAAAAUUUCAUAUAUAAAAACUCAUUAAUAAAUGACAGAAUAUGUUGAAAAGUCAUGCAUGUGGCAUCCAAAUUCAAGAAAGCAUGCAAAUUUCAAAGUGCUACCAAACAAUUGAAGAAAAAAAUGAAAAGUUGGCAAAUUUUGCAAAUUUGCCAAAUGGACACCAUUGACAAUUUGCUUAAGUUAGGUGGAAUAGUAGAGGGGUUGGUGCACUUCUUCCAUUUUAAUCAUCUCAAAAUUGUUAAGCUUAUAAGUUUCUAAGCUUUUGAGAGAAGUGAGAGAAGUGUGUAUGGGGAAUUUAUCUUUCCUGCAGAGUGUGAGAGUAUUGGGUAUAUUUGGGUUUCUGGGAAGUGAGAUUCGUUACUCAAAUAUUGUACUCUAUUAAUUGUUAAAUAAACAAUUAUUCUUUCUUGCCUCCGUGGAUGUAGGUUUAAUUACCGAACCAUGUAAUUCUUGUGUCCUUUAUUUUUCUAUAAUUAUUUGGUGCGCUUGAUUUCGCAUUCCGCGCACAACAAAAUAUACAUAAAUUAUUAAUUCAUUUGAUAGUUGAUUAUCGAAGGACAUGUGACCCAUGGGAGCAUGCAGUCUAUAAAAUAAUUCUUUUUUUAUUAAACAAAAAAUUGGUGAUGUUGAAAAGCAAUAUUAUUAUUAUUCUAAUUGGGGUGAACAUUCAUAAAAAGAAUGCCGUAUGAAACUAAAUUAUUAAUUCGUUUGAUAGUUGGUUAUCGAAUGACAUGUGACCCACAAUAAAUAGUUAAAUUUGGCGGCAACAAUAAUUACAAGACGAACUUAAAGCAGCGCAUAGUUUUUUCUUAAAAAUACAUAAACAAUUCGAUAUUUGAAAUUCUAAUAUCUCAAUAAUAUUGAUCAUGAUUCAGUUACCAAUUAGAUCCACUUACAAUUUCUUUUUUUCUUUUUUCUGGUUUCCAAUCUUUACCAAAAGAAAAUAUUUAGUGAUCCCUUUUAUCAACUUGGUUUUAUUGACUUUCUUCCAAUCAUAGAAGUGUUACCAGAUUCUGUAAAGACAAGAUCAGUGCCCAGCAAAAGAAGCUAUGUUUUCGUUUAUAUGCUGCUUCCUAUUUAGUACAUGCAUAUAAAGAUAUACACGUGCACAUGCAGCACAUCUAUCUAAAAUUUAAAAAACGGAAUUAGAAAUACAGGAUUUAUGGUAGAAAUACAACAGGAAUAAGAGUGAAAUUCCAAUUUUAAAAUUUGGGAGAAAUGAAAUGCGAUAUUUUUUUUAUUAAUAAAAUAAUUUAAUUUUUUUUAAUUCUACCAGCAAAAACCAUUAACUUAUCAAGUUAUUGGUUUCAUUCACAGUUGACAGUCGGUUUCUUAGUUUCAUUCCUUAAUUCUACAAGAAAAAAACAGAAUACUUGACAUUUUUUAUUUGACAGUUUUUAAGAAAUGUCAAACAUAUAUGACAUUUUGUGAAAAACUGAGUAAUUGUGAAAUAUAAAUGACAAUUUAUUUAAACGUCAAAUAAUUGUGACGUUUUAUCAAAUAAAUGAUAAAUAUAUUACAUAUUUAUUGAAUAAUUAUCAUUUACCUUUUCCUUUUAUUGACUUGAGAAAAAAAACAAAAACAUUGACUAUACUGCUUUUGUUUUCGUUCUUAGAACAGAUUUUAGUUUCUUUUGAGAAAAUUCAAACUCAUUCCCAUUACUUUCUUUUCAAUAAUCACCUCUCAGUUUUUCAUCAAUCACUCAAUUCCGAAUUUCAUCUCCAUUCUCUUUCGAAGAAGAACGCACAAAGAAUUUUAGCUUGCUUUCGCUGCUUCUCGAAUAUUGGGUAUUGUUUCCUUUAAUUUAGAUAAUUUUUUUUUUUAUAUCUCCCUUUCUAGUUUGAUAAUUUAGGGUUAUACUUGAAUUAAUUGUAUUUUUAAUCAACCAAGGUUGAUUUAAUUGAUUCCAAGUCUCAAUUUCCUGUCCAACAAACAAGGAACGCACAAAUAAUUUUCAUUUUCAUACUCCAUUUUGAAAGAAUCAAUUUAUUUUAUCUUUGGUUAGUACACUUCUGUUCAAUUUUUGUUUAUUUAACUUAAGAUAUCUUUUUCUUUCUUUUCUUCAAGCAGAUUAUAGAUUAUAUUGAGAACAGAGCUUUCUCCUUAAUUCCGCCAAGAGCAACGUUGAUUUCAGGUGAUAAUUGAAUGUGUAAUAUUUUCAAUUGAAAUUAAUUGAGAUUUACAUCCUGUUGAAAUGAUUUUAGAGUGUUCUGCUAUUUGAAUGCGCAUUAAUUGUUCCUCUGUUUCAAAUCCAAAUCCACUGGUCUACUAUUCAUUAUGACAAUGCAUAUGCCGAUAUUGUCUUCCAUCCUUUUUGUACCUUUCAAUUAGUGAGGUUUAGACAGGGGUUCCAGAUUUGGUAAAUCAACAAUCACCAGAUAUGUAGAGCGGCCGGAAGAGGAAGCAUGGUUCCUAAUCCUAAUCUUGAUUUAGAGCAGAUUAGGUAACAUGUGGCAUUCUACAUUCUUGCAAUGCCAUUUCUUGUUAUGGCAGCAGCAUUCUUGGUCAUGGCAUCACAAGCAAAUGCUUUGAUUUGAAGACUUGCUUGGCUAUGAAAAAUAAGGAGAGCAAAGGUAAUCAAUCUUGGUCUGAUCAACAUUUUUAUGGGGGUACUAAGAAAAAUAAAGAUAAUAUAAAGAAUGUUGUUGAGGAGUAUUUUCAUAUUUACACAAGUGUUCAAAGUAAAAAUUGAUUUCUUAAAACCCAUUAGCUAGCGCACAUAAUAAUGGGGAGAAAAUUUUAGACUACGAAUGGUCCCACCCAUUUAAUAAUAUUCUUCAAUCAAUUAUGUUUACUUCAAAAAAACAAACCCAUCUCUUUAUUACUUUCUAACUAUUCAUAUUAAUGUGUUAAUAAUUAUGAAGAACCGGUGUAAUUUAUAUGAUGUAGGAAGCACUUUAGGCAAAAUCAUUUGAAUCUAAAAAUUUCAUGAUAUUGUACCAAAUAUCCAAAACAGAGCUUCCUACAUUUCAUUGCGCUAGCUAAUUUCUUGUACCAAAAUUAGGAAUCAUUGAAGAGUGGAGUUACGUGACUGAAUAGUAUCAUAUCACAGAAACUCAAAACUCAAAAGUGCAAUAACAUUGAACAUUCAGCUGGCUAGCUUAUAUUAAUUAAUUAAUACUACUACUAGUUCUUUAUGAUUAAUUAAAAGAUAAAAUAUUUGACAAUCACAAAACAUUAUUCCAUCACUCAAGAGUAGAGCUUCCUACAUUGUUACCCAGCUCUUUUAUAUCUCCCAAACAUUAUUAGAGUCCCACAUUUGUGGCACAUCAUUAAGUAAAAUGUGCCAAUUAGGAAGAGCUGGCUUCUUUGUUUUGUUUUCUUGGAUGUGCUGCAAUUUUCAAGUAUCAUUCAAAAUUUUACGCCAUCAACACGGGAAAAUUAUAUAUAUUCUGUCAGCACUUGCAUAUGUUGCAAGUGCUGACAGAACUUUUCAUUUGAUUUGAUAAUUGGCUAAGGGUGAUUUCGAUAACGUUUCCAAAGAAGAUAUAGAACAUAGAUCAAAAAGAAAAAUAAGUAAUUUGAUCAGUAGAUGCAAAAAAUGAGCGAGCUUCGUAGUCUGACUAACAGGACAUGGCUUGGAGCAGGGAUCAAUGGACAAGUUUGAGGUUUAUGAAAUAUUGGGAAAACAGACAAAUAAUAAAGCCACUACAAGUUAAGCAGAUCAAAUAAACAGAACAGAGGAAAUAAGUGAUCAAUUUAUUACUUUGUGCAAUGGCCACAGCAACAGCGAAAAUAUGUCUACAUGACUACAUUAUCCGACUGGCAUGGUACUAUAACCGUGCAGCAUUACACUAACAUUUCCUUAUCAAUCAAUUUUGAUGGUAUGAUAUUAAAAACAUCGAUUUCAUAAUUUUAUGUAAUUCAAAGAAAAGAUAUAAUUGAUUUUAGUUAGUUUAACAUAUAAGGAAAGAGUAAUGGGGAAUGAUGUCGAUGUGGCACGUGAUGAGUAAAGAUAGACAACAAAUAUUGAUCAUGUAAUAAUGAAAUAUGUAUUUAUUGAAAAUAAAUUGACAAUUAAAAUUAAUAGAUAUAUAUCCAAUGCACCGAGUUUAUUUUAUCACUUCGCUAACCAUUUUGUAACUACAUGUUAAUUAGAAGUUGAAUUAAUUUUGACCAAAGACUCUAGAGAAUGUUGAAAAGAGAUUUGAUUUUUGUCUUUAAAAAUAUUAGAAAUGAAAUAAGUCAAAAUCAAUCACAAGAACAACAAUAAGAGCAUAUUUUGUAAAACCACAAAUACAUAUUAUAAAUUUAGUUUCGAAUUAGAUCAUUAUUAAUUUGUAUUGUAAGAGAGUCUUAUAGAAAAAUAUGAAUUUUUUAAAAGGAGAUUUGCUUAAGGAACAACUUUAGUUUGGUUUAAUUUGUGAAGGCUCAAGUAAUUGAAAGCAACGCAAUGGAAGGAAAUACAAGUUUGAUUUUGACAAAGUAAUCACUAAAAUAUUUGACAAGUUUGAGAUGUUAAAAAACUGGAAAAAUAGACAAAUAAAGAAAACCCUACAAGUUGGCAAAGCAAAUAAACAGAGGAAAACAGAGCAAAUAUUUACCGUUAUGCAUAUAUAUUUUUUAAAUUUCCGAAAAAGAAUGUUGCGAUAUUUUUUCCCAAAAAGAAGCACAGUUUGGCAUAUGUUGUGCUUUAUUUUAUUUUAUUUUAUUUUAUUGAAGUUACUUUGUAAACUGCUCCAGCAAUUUGUAUUUCCUUUCGGUGAGGUUGGUUUUUUUCUUUAAAUAAAAUUUCAGGGAUGAGAAUGCAAGUUUAGAAAGUACUGCAGCAACAAAGUGCAUUCAUAGCCAUAGCCGGUUACACUAUGUCUAGCUACAAUGCAAGUUUCACUUUUACUUAAUUAAAUAUACAAAAUUAAAUCACUUGAGCCUCUCGUUUCAUUAUACUUCAACUCAAAAUUAAAACGCAGAAUUGAUGGUAUUGGAGUUUCAUAUUUAAUUGUGCUGUAGUCAUGGGGAAUCAUAUGGCCAUCCAUUUUGACGUCUGUUUUAUGGCCAUCCCCACUAAGUAGCUUGGUCAUAUACAAUAUGUGUGUGCGUGUAUGUAUGUGUAUAUUGGGAUGUCAAAGGCCCUAAAAGAUAAAGCUGAACAUCAAUCCCAAAUCUAAAGUGAAAAACAGUAGCUGGAACAGAAUCUUUGUUUUGAUGUCUAAGCUCAAACAAUUGAUAGUAUAGAAAAUGCAUGAUAGAAUAGAGAACCCAUAUUUUAGCAAUAAUCCUAAGCUCACUGGCCCUUAGUUCAGAGUGGCAGUUCUUAUUCGUCAAAGAAUCAAAUUUACUUUUAGUUGUAUACAAGUAGAGCACUAGAUCAACAAAUAAUUGAAGACUUGCUUGGCUGUGGAACCAUAGGAAGGCAAUUCGUGAACAGCCUUGAUAUUUCAUUUGGUUUUAUCUAAUUCUUUGUAAAGUUGUCUUGUGUAUAAAAUUUUUGUUACAUGAAAUCGGUAGGUGAAGAGAAUUUUUAAAAGCAAACGUCAAAGUCACGAUCAAAGGGACGAAAUCAGUAUAAAUAUUGAUUGUCUCAAGUUAGAUUAUACAAAGAUGAAAUAAUGCUAAUCUAAAAAUUCGAUGAUUAUAAUUUGAUUUCCAUUAUAUUAAUUAUAUUCAAUCAUACUAUUUAAAUGAAGAACACUCCAGCAUUUAUAUACACUCAGCUUAUGAAAUUAAUUACAAAAUGAUAUUUGACAAAGUAUGAUGAAAAAGGUACAAAGUUAGACUUCCCGAUCAUGCAACCACCCAUCGAAUUGUGUAUUGUGUCAUCGUUGAGCUCUUAGAAGGAUUCAGCUGCUGAGGAGAAGAUAUAAUCGGUUUUUGUGUGAGAAGCUAUGUACUAUGCUUUUAUGGUGUUUCUCUUGGUAGUUGUCGGACAAACUGUAAUGUGAAUUUCUAUCUAAUGGGUAUCCUUUUAGUUAGUUUGGGAUUGUUGAUUUAUAUAUGAUGUUUGGUAUCUAAAAUUCAGAUGAUGAUAAUCUUGGCAGUACUUUUGUCAAAUUUUCUUGUGUUGUUGUUGGUUUAAUAAAAUAUCACAAAGGUGCAAAAUACAGUAAAAUUAACAUUAGAUAUAUUGAAAAAGAAAUUGACACAAGAAACUGAAAAUUAGUUGUUAAUUAUGAUGGGAAUAUAAUCUUGGUAUUUCAAUUAUAUCAUUUGCACUAAUCUCAUUGUGUCUAUCACUGAAAAGCAGAGUGGCUUGAUUAAAUAGUGUCAUAUUACGUCACAGCAAUCACAGAAACUUACCCAAAAGUGCAUGAGCAUUGAACAUUCAGCUAAUUUAUACUAAUUAAUUAAUAAUACUAACAAGAGAAGUUGGAUCUCGUCUUCUCUUGGAUAUAUCCGAUGACUUUGAGCUCUCCAGCCUCGCAACCGGAAAUGUUCUUCCUUCACAUUCGGUGAUUGUUUUUCAUUAUUGCGGCUACUUGACUCAAAUAUGCUAUUGCAAGAGGAGAUUUCUAUUUUGUCUGAUUUAAGCCAUAAGACGGGUUUCAAGGUUCAUUCUGAUUGUUUAUCUGUUAGCUUUUUUUGUUUUAAGAACUUCUUAUUUACGGAAGCAAAAUUCUCCUUUCCAGGAUGAUCUAGAUUUAGAAGUUGCUUUUGUCAUAUCAGACGAAGAGGCCAUCUUUAAGGCCUUGUCUAAGAUUGUUGAAUUUAGUAGAAGGGACUACUGCUCUGAUUGGUCAAAACUACUAUGGCUGUCUUUUUCAUGAGCUUCUAAUAUCGAAUCAGUUUUAAUGGUAUGAUAUUAAAAACAUCGAUUUCAUAAUUUUAUGUAAUUUCAUAGAAAAGAUAUAAUUGAUUUGAGUUAGUUUAACGUAUAAAGAAAGAGAGAUGGGGAAUAAUGUCGAUUUGGCAUGUGAUGCGUAAUAAUAGACACCAAAUAUUAAUAAUGUAAUAUUGAAAUAUAUAUUUGCUGAAAAAUAUUUGGCAAUAGAAUAAUGCUUUAAAAAUUUAAUAUUUUUUGCAAGAAAGUAAUUCGACAAUUAAAGUAAAAGAUGUAAAUGUUAUGCUUUCUUUUAUUUUCUUUUAUUGAAGUUACAUUGUAAACUGCUCGAAGCUAAAUACAAUAUUUACUCUUACACUAGGAUCUUUGCAAUGGUCUAGCAAUUUGUAUUCCUUUCGGUGAGGUUGGUUUUUUUCUUUAAAUAAAAUUUCAGGGAUGAGAAAUCUUAUCCAUUGAACAUCAACUUUGAAUUUUGUUAAUAUUCAAACUUAGAAAGUACUGCAGGAACAAAGUGCAUUCAUAGCCGGUUAAACUAUGUCUAGCUACAAUGCAAGUUUCACUUUUACUUAAUUAAAUAUACAAAAUUAAAUCACAUGAGCCUGUCGUUUCAUUAUACGUCAACUUAAAAUUAAAACGCAGAAUUGACGGUAUUGGAGUUUCAUAUUUAAUUUUUCUGUACUCAUGGGGAAUCAGAUGGCCAUCCAUUUUUACGUCUAUUUUAUGGCCAUCCCCACUAAGUAGCUUGGUCAUAUACAAUAUGUGUGUGCGUGUGUGUAUGUGUGUACUGGGAUGUCACAGGCCCUAAAAGAUAAAGCUGAACAUCAAUCCGAAAUCUAAAGUGAAAAACAGUACCUAGAACAGAAUCUUUGUUUUGAUGUCUGGAAAAUGCAUGAUAGAACAGAGAACUCAUAUUUUAGCAAUAAUCCUAAGCUCACUGGCCCUUAGUUCAAACUGGCAGUUCUUAUUAGUCAAAGAAUCAAAUUGACUUUUAGUUGUAUACAAGUAGAGCACUAGAUCAACAAAUAAUUGAAGACUUGCUUGGCUAUUGAACCAUAGGAAGGCAAUUCGUGAACAGCCUUGAUAUUUCAUUUGCUUUUAUCUAAUUCUCUGUAAAGUUGUCUUGUGUGUAAAAUUUUUGUUGCAUGAAAUCGGUAGGUGAAGAGAAUUUUUAAAAGCAAACAUCAAAGUCACGAUCAAAGGGACGAAAUCAGUAUAAAUAUUGAUUGUCUCAAGUUAGAUUAUGCAAAGAUGAAAUAAUGCUAAUCUAGAAAAUUCGAUCAUUAUAAUUUGAUUUCCAUUAUAUUAAUUAUGUUCAAUCUUGCUAUUUUAAUGAAAACACUCGAGGAUUUAUAGACACUCAGCUUAUGAAAUUAAUUACAAAACGAUCUUUGACCAAAUCUGAUGAAAAGAUCAUAUUAUAAGUGCAAAGUUAGACUUCCCGAUCAUGCAACUAUCUAUCGAAUUGUGGAUUGUGUUAUCGUUGAGCUCUUAGGAAGAUUCAGCUGCUGGGUAGAAGAUAUAAUCUGUUUUUAUGUGACAAGCCAUGUACUCUGCUUUUAUGGUGUUUCUCUUGGUAGUUUUUGGACAAACUGUAAUGUAAAUUUCUAUCUUAAGGGAUUCCUAAUCCUUUUAGUUAGUUUGGGAUUGUUGAUUUAUCUAUGAUGUUUGGUAUCCAAAAUUCAGGUGAUGAUAAUCUUGGCAGUACUUUUGUCAAAUUUUCUUUUAUGUUGGUGUUGUUUUAAUUAAAUAUCACAAAGGUGCAAAAUACGGUAAAAUUAACAUUGAGCUCAUGAGAUUGCCAUUAGAUAUAUUGAAAAAGAAAUUGAUACAAGAAACUGAAAAUUAGUUGUUAAUUAUGAUGGGAAUAUAAUCUUUGAAUUAUAAUUAUAUCUAUCUAACGCAUGUGCACUAAUCUUAUUUAUCUCUAUCACUGAAAAAGCAGAGUGGCCUGAUUGAAUAGUAUGAUAUUAUGUCACAGCAAUCACAAAAACUCACUCAACAUUAUGCUAAUUUAUACUAAUUAAUUAAUACGACUAACAGGAAAAGUUGGAUCUCGCCUUGCUAAAAAUCAGGUGAUUGUUUUUCAUUUUUGCGGCUACUUGACUCAAUUAUGUUAUUGCAAGAGGAGAUUUCUAUUUUGUCCGGUUUAAGCCAUAAGAUGGGUUUCAAGAUUCAUUCUGAUUGGUUAUCUGUUAGCUUUUUGUUUUAAGAACUUCUUAUUUACGAAAGCCAAAUUCUUCUUUCUAGGUUUAUUCAUAUUCAGAAGUUGCUUUUGUCAUAUCAGAAGAAGAGGCUAAGACUGUUUAAGUACUAGAAGGGACUACUGCGCUGAUUGUCUUUUUCAUGAGCUUCUAAUAUCCAAUGUUGAUUAACUCUUCCAUUUGAACAGGAGAGUAAUCAGAUAGUUGAUAUUUAUGUUAAAAAAGUUGGAAGCCACUUAAGCAAUUCAGUAUCAUGCGAGGACUAUAAUAACCCCGAUUCUUUUGCCUCUUGGAUUUUUGUGUUAAUUCACUUGCUGUAUGCUUAUCCGACCUCUGAUUUUUUCUUAAUCUUUCUUUGUAGUUCACUUCACAGCACUUAUAGCCGAUGCAUUGGCAUUUUCUGCUAUUUGUUAUUGUUCAUUGAAGCAAGUUAGCUUACGAGAUUUCUUUUUGAUAAAUGUUCUUCAGAGGGUUGUGAGAGGCCAAAUCAAUUGAGAUGACCGGGUUUUCUAGAUCAGCCAUCUUUGUCGUCAACAGUGCUAAACUGUCAAUUACUGAGACACCAAACUCUAACCUGAUUCAUAUGGAUGUAGACUAAAGCUUCUUGCCGAUACCAUCCCCAGUCAAAGCUGCUAUCUUUGAAAGUUUCGCAAGACAAAACAAUGUUGGUUUCCCAGUCGAUACAAAUACAGAUUUCAUAUAUGCAGAUUGCUCUCAAUCUCUGUUUAAUUAGCUAGUCCUCUGCUGUAUCCUAGAAGGUGGAACAAUACAUUAUGCUUCCCAGCAGGCUCCAAUGGGAUCUAUAUAUGUUUCUGCAGCCAAAUUUUUUAAAGCGAUCAUUGUGAAUAUCCCUACCCAGUCUGAAGUGGGCUUUGAUACUUGUUACAAUACUCGAUCGAGGCUGUAAAGAAGCUGUGGGUGUACAUUUCUGGCCCAACAAUCAAUCUAACUGGCUUACUUUACAGCAAAAAAGAGAUAGAGAAUAUAUUAACUGCUUGUGCAGAAUAUGGAGCAAGAGCUUAUUUAGUGUCGGGUCAAAAUAAAUAUAGCAAAGUUUUAGCUGAAUAUAAAUUGUUAAUUACAGGCAGAGCAAGUUGAGUUUAAAAAAUGCGAAACACCCAGUCCCAAAACAGAGAAGCUUGACGUUGGCCGGCAGGAUUAAUAUUAUUUUUUUUUAACAACAAUCAAAGCCAGUUGGGAAUUUAUUAAGAGGUUAAUUCGUUGAAGUAUAAAAAAGGAAUUAGCAGGAUUCACGCCCGACCAAAUCCACAUGUCCAAAGCAAAGGAUUAAGUUUGAGAGAUUAUAAUGAAAUAUAAGUAAGCGUCGUACAUGCAUGCGUCUGACUGACAGAACAAAUGAAGGAAACAUAAACUUAUCAUUUUUAAGAUGUAAGCAUCAAAACAAUCGACAAGUUUGAGGUUCGUGAGAUAUUGGGAAAAUAUACAAAUAAUAAAGCCACUACAAGUUAAGCAGAGCAAAUAAACAGAGGAAAUAACUGAUCAAUUUAGUUCUUUGUGCAAUGGCCACAGCAACAGAGAAAAUAUGCCUACACGACUACAUUAAUCCUACUGGCGUGGUACUAUCACCAUGCAAAUUAACAUUAACAUUUCAUCAUCAAUCAGUUCUGAUGACAUGAUAUCAAAAACAUUGAUUUCAUAAUUUUAUGUAAUUCAUAUAAAAGAUAUAUAUAGUCGAUUUGAGUUAGUUUAACAUAUGAAGAAAGAGUAAUGGGGAAUGAUAUCACUGUAGCGUGUGAUGAGUAAUGAAAGACACCAAAUAUGGAUCAUGUAAUAAUGAAAUAUGUAUUUACUGAAAAAUAUUUGGCAAUAAAAUGGUGCUUUAAAAAUUUAAUAUUGUUUGCUAAAAAAUAAUUUGACAAUUAAAAGUAAAAGAUGUAUAUGCAAAACUUUGACCUUAUUUUAUCACUUCACUAACCAUUUUGUAAGUACAUCUUAAAUCGAAGUUCAAUUAAUGCUGACGAAAGACUCCAGAGAAUGUCGAGAAGAGAUUUGAUUUUUGUAUACCAAAAAAUUACAGAUGAGAUAAGUUAAAAUCAAUUACAAGAACAACAAAAAGAAUACAUUUUAUAAAAGCCACAAAUACAUAAAAUAUAUAAUCAGUUUCGAAUUAAGUAAUUAUUAACUUAUAUAGUGAGAGAGUGUUAUAGGAAAGUUUGGAAUUUUUUAAAAGAGAUUUGCGAAGGAAAAAGUUUAGUUUAGUUUAGUUUGUGAAGGCUCAAGUAAUUCAAAGCAAUGCAAUUGAAGGAAAUAUAAACUUCUAAUUUUUACAAAGUAAUCGCUAAAAUAUUUGACAAGUUUGAGAUUUUCAAAAAGCUGAAAAAAAUAGACAAAUAAUGGAGACCCUACAGAUUGGUAGCGCAAAUAAACGGAGGAAAAUAGGGCAAACAUUUAUAUUUUCCAAAAAGAAUAAAAGCACGUGUCAAUUACCAAAUAACUUCCACUUUAAAAAAGAAUAAAUGCUAAUAUCAUUGUUAGCACAUGUUGUGCAUUUUUCAUUUAUUUAUUUAUUUCUUUGCUUUUACUUAUUGAAGUUACUUUGCAAACUGCUCCAAGCAAACUACAAAAUUUCUUCUCACUCUAGGAUCUUUGCAAUGGUCCUGCAAUUUGUUUUCCUUUCUAUUAGGUUAGCUUUUUAUUCCAAAAAAAAAAAAAAAAAAAUUGGGCAGAUGGAAACCUCACCCACUAAAUACAGAUUUUGAAUUUUAUUAUUAUUCAAAAUUAGAUAACUAUGCAAAUAAUGUGCGGUUAUAACCAGUGAAACUGUGUCUAGCUACGAUGCAGGUUUAAUUUUCACUUGAUUAAAUAUAAACAAAACUAAAUCACCUGGGCCUCUGGUUUCACUAUUUUUCAACUUGAAAUUAAAACGUAAAAAUUGAUGGUAUUGGAGUUCGUUGUUUAGUUUUGCUGUAGGUCAUGGGAAAUCAAAUGGCCAUCCAUUUUUAUGUCUAUUUUAUGUACUAUUGGUCACUAAGUAGCUUGGUCAUAUAUGUGUAUUGGGAUGUCAUGGGACCUAAAAGAUAAAGCUGAAAAUCAAUCCCCAAUCUAAAGCGGAAAACAGUAGCUAGAACAGAAUCUAUGGUUUGAUGUCUUAGUUUAUAGGCUUAAACAAUUAAUAGUACAGAAAAUGCAUGAUAGAACUCAUCUUUUAGCAAUAAUCAUCCGCUCACUGGCCGUCAGUUCAGAAUGACAAUUCUUAUUAGUCAAAGAAUCAAGAUGAUUUUUAGUUGUAUAUGAAUAGAGCACUAGAUCAACAAAUAAUUGAAGACUUGCUUGGCUGUUGAACCAUGCCGAUGGCAAUUCAAAGACUACAGCUUAGCUCUGCCAUUCAAAGUAAGCAACUCAGCUGCCCAAAGACUGCCAAGCCAUCAAGACAAUACCAAGAUACAACAUCAAGAAUCACGUACAGGCCGUCACAUAUUACAUUUGUCCUCUGUUUUAAGAGAGAUUUACGAACCCAUGCAGUAGGAGUAAUUAAUUAAUUUAUACGUUCAGUACUCAUUCCUCUUUCUUCUGUUUCAAAUCCAAAUCUAGUGCUCCAUCAUUUAUUAUGACGCAAGGUAUAUGGGUUAGCAUGUGUCGAUAUUGUCCUCCAUUCUUUGUGUACCUUUCUUCGAACAAGGGACAACCCGAGAUCUCCAAUCGCAAAAGAGAGGCAGGCAGGCCCUUCUCUGGAAAGUACUUGAGCUUGGGACAAUUACAGAGUUUGAUCAAAUGAGGUUUUAAUGAUCAACAAUUGAAGAAGACAGGCGUUCCAAAUUUAGUAAAUUAACAAUCACCAAAUAUGGUAGGGUGGCAGGCAGAGGAAGCGUGGUUCCUAAUCCUAAUCUUGAGUGAUAACUGGCUAUGUAACAUGUGGCAUUCUACAUUCUUGCAAUGCCAUUAAUUUCUUGUUAUGGCAGCAGCGUUCUUUCAUCAUGGCAUCACAAGCAAAUGUUUGAUUUGAAGACUUGCUUAGCUGAGGAAAAUAAGGAGAGCAAAGGUAAUUAAUUUUGGGGUGAUGAAUAUUUUUAUGGGUGUACUAAGAAAAAUAAAGAUAAUAGAAGUAAUGUUAUUGAGAAGCAUUUUGAUAUUUACAAAAGUGUUCAAAGAAAAAAGUUAUUUUUUGAAAUCUAUUUGCUGGUGCACAUAACAAAAGGGCAUUCUGAGUAAAUUUAAAACUACAAAUAGUCUCACUCUUUUAAUAAUAUUCAAUUAAUUCUGUUUAUUUCAAAAUAAAUAUUCUAUCUCUUUAUUACUUUCUAACUAGUCAUGCUAAUGUGCUAAUAAUUAUGAAGAACUAGUGUAAUUUAUAUGAUAUAAGAAGCCCUUUAGCACAUUAACCCGAAUUUAGCUAAUACAUGUGCCUAAUAUAGCGAAAUCAACAUUCAGCGCAUUAGAGUGCUAUUAUAUAUAUUGAGAAAGAAAUUAACACAAAAAACUGAAUAUUAAUUGACACUGGAUCAUGUUGGAUUGUCAGUUGUUAAUUAUGAUGGGAAUACAAUCUUCAUCAUUGCGGCUACUUGACUCAAUUAUGCUAUUGCAAGAGGAGAUUUAUAUUUUGUCUGGUUUAAGCCAUAAGAUGGGUUUCAAGAUUCAUUCUGAUUGGUUAUCUGUUAGCUUUUUGUUUUAAGAACUUCUUAUUUACGGAAGCCAAAUUCUUCUUUCCAGGUUGAUUCAGAUUCAGAAGUUGCUUUUGUCGUAUCAGAAGAAGAGGCCAUCUUUAAGGCCUUGUCUAACACUGUGGAAGUACUAGAAGGGACUACUGCGCUGAUUGUCUUUUUCAUGAGCUUCUCUUCCAUUUGAACACGAGAGUAAUCAGAUAGUUGACAUUUAUGUUUCAAAAGUUGGAAGCAACUUAAGCAAUUCAGUAUCAUGUGAGGACUAUAAUAAUAAGCCGAUUCUUUUGCUUGGAUUUUUUUGUUAAUUCACUCGCUGCAUGCUUAUCCCUCCUCUGAUUUUUCUUAAUAUUUCUCUGUAGUUCACUUCACAGCACUUUAGCCGCUACAUUGGUGAAAAGAUAUUAUGCUCAAAAUAUUUUCUUUGUAUAUCGAAGAACGAGAGAGUUACAAGCUUAUAUACAACUAUUAAGGUCAGCCAAAUCUCUUAGAGUAACGGCUAGACAGGCUGUCCUAUUUAUGACUACAUACAUUAAGGAAUGAAAUCAUUUGUACAUAAGGAAUAUUAAUAUUAUCAAGUGAUACUUGCUCAAAAUAAAGAUUGUGUCUAGAAUAAGGGAUUGCCGAUGCCAAAUCUUGCUGCUAAUAAUAUUCGGUGAGCUAUAGCUACUGAUUGUAUGGUUUAUCAUCCCCCCUCAAGCUGGUGUGCGGAAGCGGAAAAAUCCCAAGCUUGCGACGAAGAUUAAGAAACUGAAAUUUUGAGAGAGCCUUCGUGAAGACAUCGGCGAUCUGCUUAAAUGAAGGGACAUAAUGUGUAGAAAGCUGACCAGCAGUUACUUUCUCCCGAACAAAAUGAUAGUCCAGUUCUAUAUGUUUUGAUCGAGCAUGAAAAACUGGAUUUUUUGACAUGUGUAAAGCACUUUGAUUAUCACAUAGUAUCCUUGGGGGUUGAAGAAGAAAUAGGCCAAUGUCCAUAAACAAAUAAGUAAGCCAAGUGAUUUCAGCUGCAGUUGACGCCAUGGCACGGUAUUCAGCUUCUGCACUAGAACGGGAAACAGUUGGUUGUUUCUUAGAUGCCCAAGAUACACAAUUAGCACCAAUAUACACACAGUAACCGGUAGUGCUUCUUCUAGUGUCCUUGCAUCCAGCCCAAUCUGCAUCACAAAAGGCAACAAUUUUUAAAGGACUUUGAGAUGUAUAUCGAAUGCCAAAUUGAAUGGUUCCCUUUAGAUAUCGAAGUAUUCUCUUGACAGCUCGCAUAUUAGCCUCGUUGGGGGCUUGAAAGUUUUGACAAACUUUGUUUACAGCAUGUACAAUAUCAGGCCUAGUAAAGGUCAAAUAUUGUAAUGCUCCCACAAUGCUACGAUAUGUUGUUGGAUCGACUGGUGUAAGAUCAUUUGGAUGUUCUUGAGGUUUUACUGCAAUUGGAGUGGAGAGAUGUGUGCUGUCCAGCAUUUUAGUCCUGCAAAGUAGAUCAUAAGUAUAAUUUGUUUGAGAGAUAAAUAUGCCAUCAGAAAGAUAAUUUAUUUCAAGUCCUAAAAAAUAAUGUAAGGGGCCUAAAUCUUUGAUGGCAAACUCUUUGCUGAGAAGAGAGAUAAGUUUCUCUAAAAGUAGCUCAUUAUUUCCUGCAAGGACAAUAUCGUCAACAUAAACAAGCAUAAGAGUUAUAGUGUUGUGUGUGUGUAGGACAAAUAACGAAGAAUCUGCCUUACUGCAUUUGAAGCCAUUCUGAAGUAAAAAUUGAGACAACCUUUCAAACCAAGCACGAGGUGCUUGCUUUAGUCCAUAAAGUGAUCGCUUUAAUUUACAUACAUGGUUGGGAAAUCUAGCAUCUGUAAAUCCUGGAGGUUGUUCCAUGUAUAUUGUUUCUUUUAAGAAACCAUGAAGAAAUGCAUUCUUCACAUCAAGUUGUCGCAUCACCCAUUUUUCAGUUACAGCUAAGGAUAAAAUGACUCGAAUGGUGGUGUGUUUAAUAACCGGACUAAAGGUUUCUCCAAAGUCCAGUCCCGGUAUUUGAGUAUAUCCCUGUGCCACCAAUUGUGCUUUAUGUCGAUCAAGAGUUCCAUUUUUCUUGAAUUUAUUUUUGAACACCCAUUUUGAUCCUACAACAUUCAAGUCCUCUGGGCGAGGAACUAGAACCCAAGUCUCAUUAUGUUCAAGAGCUCGAAUUUCUUCUUCCAUAGCAGAUUUCCAAUGUGGCUGCUUAAUUGCGGAUUUCCAUGAUUUUGGCUCAACUUGAACAUUAAGUGCCAUUUGAUCAGCAAGUUCAGGAUUAUUUUUCAAUCGACGCCUUGUGAUCAUAUGGUGAGGAGCUGUCAAGUUUUGAUUUGAUGAUGAUGACUGAGAAGAGUGCCCGCUUUCAUGUGGUAUUCUUAGGUCCACAUAGAUGUUGAUUCCUUCUGGACUGGUCUCUGAAGAAUUUGCUGUGACAUCUUGAGUGCUUUCUUUAGAGUUAUCUGAUCUUGUGGGCUCAAUAGCGUCUGACACCACCAAAGGAAUGUCAUCACUUGUUAUAGGAAUAUUAAUAUUAUCAAGUGAUACUUGCUCAAAAUAAAGAUUGUGUCUAGAAUAAGGGAUUGCCGAUGCCAAAUCUUGCUGCUAAUAAUAUUCGGUGAGCUAUAGCUACUGAUUGUAUGGUUUAUCAAUUGGCAUUUAAAUGCUAUUUGUUAUUGUUCCUUGAAGCAAGUUAACUUAUGGAAUUGCUUUUUGGUAAAUGUUCUUCACAGGACUGUGAAAGGCCAAAACAACUGAGAUGACCGGGUUUUCUAGAUCAGCCAUCUCUGUCCUCAACAGGGCUGAACUGUCAAUUACUGAGACACCAAACUCUAACCUGAUUCAUAUGGAUGUAGACUAAAGCUUCUUGCCGAAACCAUCCCCAAUCAAAGCUGCUAUCUUUCAAAGUUCUGCAAGAGAAAACAUGUCUGAGUCAGACAUUGACGUCCCCCCAAGAAUCAAACAGUAUAUCAAGAGCAAUGUUGGUUUCCCAGUCGAUACAAAUGCAGAAUUCAUAUAUGCAGAUUGCUCUCAAUCUCUGUUUAAUAAGCUAGUCCUCUGCUGUAUCCUACAAAGUGGAACAAUACAUUAUGCUUCCCAGCAGACUCCAAUGGGAAGCAUGUUUCUGCUGCCAAAUUUUUGAAAGCUAUCAUUGUGAAUAUCCCUCCCCAGUCUGAAGUGGGCUUUGAUACUUGUGACAAUACUCGAUCGAGACUGUAAAGAAGCCGUGGGUGUACAUUUCUGGUCCAACAAUCAAUCCAACUGGCUUGCUUUUACAGCAGGAAAGAGAUAGAGAAUAUAUUAACUGUUUGUGCAGAAUAUGGGGCAAGAGCUUGUUUAGUUAUUAUAGAUAUUUAAUAAAAUAAUAACACGAUUAAUAUGUUACUAAACAAAUAAACACAAUUGAAAUAGCCGUAAUGUGAAAACAAAACAACUCCAUUGUUUUUGUGUUUUUUUGUAAAUUCUUGUCAUUUAGAGUUUUUUGGGCUUUACUGCAUCAAUUAUUUGGUGUUUAUCUUGUUUUAUUCUUUUACGAUGUAAGAUUCUUGGUAGUGAUACAUCUGGAAUAAGAGUGAAAUCGCAAUCUUACAAUUUGGAGAAAUGAACUGCGAUAUGAUACUUCAUGAAAAAAAGAUUUAAUUUAUUAUUUCUACUACUAAAAACUAUUAAUUCAUCAAACCAUCAAGAUUUUUUUUCUUUUUUUUUUUUGAAUUCAACCCAUCAAUCUUUGUUUGUAACUGCCAGACCGUCAGUUUCUUUCUAUCACUAUGCAACAUUACAUUAACAUUUCCUCAUCAAUCAAUUUUGAUGGUCUGAUAUUGAAAACGUCGAUUUCAUAAUUUUGUGUAAUUGCAUAGAAAAUAUGUAAUUUCAUAAUGAAAGAGUAAUGGGGAAUGAUAUCACUGUGGCGUUUGAUGAGUAAUGAUAGACAACAAAUAUGGAUCAUGUAAUAAUGAAAUAUGUAUUUAUUGAAAAAAAUUUUGCAACAAAAUGAUGCUUUAAAAAUUUAAUAUUAUUUGCUAGAAAUAAUUUGACAAUUAAAAGUAAAAGAUAUAUUUGCAAUCCUUCGAGUUUAUUUUAUCACUUCACUGACCAUUUUGUAACUACAUGUUAAAUAGAAGUUCAAUUAAUAGAAGUUCAAUUAAUCGUCGUCUUCGACCUUUACACGGUCCUCCCCUUCCAGCCUCUCUGAAUUUCUACUGAUCAUCACUCCCCACCAGCCAACCAGCUUCUCUAUGCUACCUUCUAGAAUUCUAAAGACUUUAAUUAACUUCUAGACUUGUUUCUGGGUUUAAUCAAUUUGCUCCCCCCCAGUUUCCAUGUAAAAAUUCUGCUUAAUUUAAUUAAUUGUUAAUUAACAAAUAACAGAAACGCUAAUUUUCGCGCAAGUUUCAACAUUACUUACUUGGUUGCCUUCUGUUCUCCUGUUUGCGUCUCUGUCUUCCAUUACGAGCACCCAAAGAGGUAUAAUCAACGGUUUGCGAGAUAGCUGCGACUGCAGUAGGUGCCAGCGUCGAUCAUCAACAUGGCGGUGCACGGUAGAAUUAGGUGAGGAGAGAUGGAGAGGUAUAAUCAACGGUUGCUGAUCAAAUUUGAAACUUUCCAGCGAACCGACGGUGAUGACGAGAUUGAUUCCGAUUAUAAAUCCUGUGCAUAUCUUGCAUAUUGAGUCUAUGUAAUCGUGACCGUCAGAUCGGAUUUUUAUGAUCGUAUGGCUGGUGUUAGUGGGCGCUACGUUGGAGCUGAUCCAACAUAGCCGAACCCUUCAAAUAAAUAGAACUUUUGUGUCAGUCAAACUUACUUCAUUAAUAUUCUUCAUCAUUAUGGUUAAGCCAAAAUAAAACACUUUCUCUUGUAUUAACCUUUGCUAGUCGUCGAAAUUAAAAAUUUUUAGAACAAGUUAAAACAGUUCCAACUCAAAAUCAUUAGUGCGCAAUUGGGUUGUUAUAAAUAUUUCUGAAUUUCAGUCUAAUUUGAAUUAUUUAAUUGUGUAUGCACAAACUAGUUUUAUCACUUUUUUCGUAUUGAUACCCAAAAAUUUCAACCUUAUUUUAUAUUGAUGCACAAUCUAACUUAACAAAAAUAAUAUUCAAAUUGUCUCAAUUUUUUUUAAAAAAAAUUAUAUACAAAGUUAAGUUUUCUUCUUCUCUAAGAUCUAGCUCUAUACUAAGUUUUCUUCUUCUCUAGGAUCUAGCUCUAUACCCCUCUUCUUUGUCGUUAUGCUGCUCAGUCGUUAGAUUUGAAUUAUGUUAAUCUAACGGUCCGGAUUUGUAAUGAAUAAUAUUAAAUGCACCGGUAUAUGGAUGUACAAUUUUGGUAAAUUCAUCUCAUAUAUUAGAGUCUUUUGGUUUUAUGACGAAAGAGUCAUGGUAGCGAUGUAUCUAGAGUAAAAAUAUUUAAUUUAUUUUUCCUUGUUAUUAGCAAAAAUUAUUAUUAAUUAAUCAGCCUAUCGAGAUAUAUUGGUUUCAUUUGUUACAACUAGCCAAUUGCUUAAUACGGUUUUGUACGUCUCACUAUGAAAUCAUGAAGUACUUGUAAAUAAAAUCAUAGGUGUGGUAUGUUGUGAUGUGAUAAAUUUAAAUACAAAUCUUAAUUACGUUGUGAUGUGAUAAAUUUAAUUCAUAUCUAAAAAUUAAGAGAUGAUUCAUAUAUAGGUACAUACUUAAUAAAGAUAUUUAAAUACAAGCAUUCAAUUCCAUGAUACACCUAACGAUCAAGGGGACUGAAUAGAAAUAGAUGUAAAAAGUCAAAUAGAUGAACAAGUACACAUGAUGAUUUAUUAAAUAAAAAAUUAAAUUUAUAUCCUUUUUAAUAAGUGUGAAAUUAUUUACACUCUAAUAUUUAUUUAAAACACUCAUAAUUUUUUAUUACUAAAAACUUCAUAAUUCAAUCUAUAAAUAAGAACAAUUCAAUAUAAGUAAAUAGGACAAUAAUAUUUUUGACAUUCAUAUAUCUAACGUUCACACACCCAUGUAAAAUUGCUAAACCUUAAAUCGUAGAACGUUCUUCAAAACUCAUCAAUUAUUUAAAAGUAUAUUUAACAAAUUUGCAAGACACAGACUCCAUGUUUCUAAUUUCUUUGGCUUUAGAUUUCAAUUUUUGUUGAACAUAUAUCUAUUCCAUAUAAAGAGUUUCUGAAUUUUUAAUUUCUCUGCCAAAGAGGUUCUAUGGGAAUAAACAACUGUUAAAAACAAAUAAAAAAUCAGAUACAAGUGUAGAAUAUACUCAUUAAAUUUUAAUUCUUUGCACAGACACGACCUGCAUAUAUACACAAAUAACUGUUCUACGAAUAUGUAGAAGCAAUCUCAACUGUCCAUUUUUUUUUUGAAAUUUUAACGAAUAUAAAUUUUAUAUGUUGGAUAACUAUGGAAAAUAAGAUUAGGAAAAUAAUAUUAUCAACAACUAGGGAGAGAAAAGGCAGUUAAUAUUAGUGCAAUGAAUAUUUUUAUGGGUCUAAUAAGAAAAAUAAAGAUAAUAAAAGGAAUGCUAUUGAUAAUAUUAAUAGCAUUCUUUCAUAUGAUGCACAAAUUACCUUAAUCACUUCUUUCAUAUAAAUACUCAUAAAUUUCAUCUAAAUUAUAAAAAAGGGAAGAAAAAAAAAUCAUAUAGUUAAUUUUUCUUCUUCUUUACCCCAUUAUUCAGUGGGAGUAUUGUUGCAAUGAUAAGAACUCCGGCAAGUGCUUAUUUCGGAUACAUGUGUGGCAUUCAUUAAGGAAUGAUAAGAACGCCGGUGACCAAGAAUAAAUGAAUUUAUUUGUAUUUUAACAUCAACAAAAUUUUUCCAUUCCGGAUAUUUAUCAUUUUCUCGUUAAAAAAAAUUGCAUAAAAUUAAGAAAGCAGCAGUCCCUGAACGGGAGAAACAGAGUAAGGGAGUUCAAAUUUCAAAAGAUGGAACCCCGUAGAAGAAGCCCUAGCAACAAUCCCAGAAGAAGAAGAAGAUGGUGAUGAAGACACGGCCAUGCCCAACGUUAAGCACAACCCUGCAAAAAAAAAAAAAAAACAAAAGACAACUCUUCGGACUCGAGCGAUGCUCUGACUCCGACUAGGAUUCUGACUCAGAAGACGAAGCAAAACAGAACAUGGAGCUUCAAAACCUAGAGUUUCAGCUAUCCAGUGAACCUUUCAAUUACGACAACCAUGUUCAAGUAACCUCAAUACGCAUACUUAUUGGGUGAUUUUGUGGAUGCCCAUUCGCUUUUCUUUCUUAGUUGGGUUGCGAUAAAAAUGGCUUUUUUUCUUUCAGUAUAUAAAGGUUUUGAGAAAAAUGGGUGAGAUGGAGAAGCUGAGACAAGCUAGGGAAGCGAUGAAGAGAUUUUUCCAUUGACUCCUGCUAUGCGGCAAUAAUGGGCGAGAGAUGAAACCUCUAUUUCAACUGGGUAUCUGUCAUUUCCUUUUUGCAGUGGUUUUCGAUUUUGUGAACAAAUAUUUUUUCGCUUAGAGAUAUAGAUGUUUAUAUUCGUUAUUUGCUAGUGUAAAAAGGAACAAAACCUGCUUAAAAGGUGUUAAAGAAAGAAAAAGGAACCAAUUUGCAGAAGGGGAUACUUAUAGUGGGAGUUCUAUUCUUUGGGGUUUAAUUGAUGGGAGAAGAAACAGCUUAUAUGUUUACAGAAUUAGACAUUUGAUCGCUGAGUUAGUUGAGGAAGAUAUUUAAUCACAAUGUCUGAUGUUGUUUCUGUUGGCCUCAGCUAAUUUUUAAGAUUUCAUGCUUUCAUUCAACAAAGCAAUAGGCUUUCGUUGGGU
RNAcentral lists this long non-coding RNA (406136 nucleotides) under Citrus maxima (pomelo). RNAcentral's name for it is "long non-coding RNA (CMAX_LNC004143)". Lineage: Eukaryota; Viridiplantae; Streptophyta; Magnoliopsida; Sapindales; Rutaceae. The record is from RNAcentral.